GUCGCCGGUGCGGUGGGGGUGCACGAGCUUGUUGGCAGCUAGUAGCUCAUCAGUCGGACCGCAUGCGGUUGAGCUGGUUGAGCGCGGGCUGGAGGAUGUUGAAGAGCACCCAGCCGAUGGCGGGAGCGACGACGAUGAGCAGCAGGAGGCCCCGGCUGUCAUCAGCGGGCGCCGCGGCGGCGAGCGCGGCGAGAUCCUGCACCGACGCGGCGGCGGAGGCCUCGGGCGGGGAUGCCAUCCCGGCGGCGGUGGCGGCGGCACCGAGGCCGAGCCCCGCGACCACGGCCUGGCUGCGCAUGCGGUUGAGCUGGUUCAGCGCCGGCUGCAGGAUGUUGUAGAGCACCCAGCCGAUGGCGGGCGCGACCACGAAGAGCAGCAGCUGGCCGCGGUUGUCGCUCCCGGCGUCGGCCGCCGCCGCCACGUCCGCCAGCGCCGCGUCCGACGACGCCAGCGCCGAGAAGAAGGCGCCCGCCAGCGCCGCGGCCGCGGCCGCCGCCGGCGUGGUGGUUGACGUUGACGACACGGCCACCGCCGCGGUCGUCUGCUUCUUGGCCUGCGUCGUCGUCGGGACGCGCAGCGAGACGGCGCCGCUGGUGGACGGCGCCGACCGCGCCACGAUCUUGGCGGGUUUCAGCAGGGCCAUCGUGGCUAUGGUCGCCAUGGCAGUUAGGCGGGGCAGAGAUGGCGGUGGCACCGGCGGCUGCUGCUGGUGGUGGCGGCGGAUGUGAGGUGUGGUGUGGGUGUGGCGUGUGGGUGCGCAGUGCAGUGCAGUGCAAUGGCGAGGGCGAGCUAGCUUUUUCGUCUCGGUGGCUUUAUCUCUGCAAGGUUGGAGACGCCCAGUGUGUGCUCCAGAAUUGACACCUUAUCCUUGCGUCUGCAUGGCCAUUGGUCGCGGAGCAACGGGGUGGGUCCCGCAUCGACACCAAAGGGAGACCGAAGGUUCAGACAAUCGAAAUGAACCUAGACUGCUCUAGAAAUUAGAAUGCGUGCGAGAAUAUACUUCCGUUAGCGAAAUAUACAUUUGGAUUUGGUCGACAACAACGUGCCCAAAAUAGGGCCAAAUGUCUAAUUCUGCCGAAAGUUUUUUUUGGACCCGCUUCCCCUUUGCAUCCCUCUAGUAUCAGAAUUUCACUACAAAUACAAGCAUGGCUUUGCCACACGGUCAUUAGAACACUUUCUCCGUCUCAGGCCCUUGGCAUUUAUAGAUUCAUAACUUUCGCUAUGUAUUUAGAUAUAUCAUAUAGCUAUGCGUAACAAAUUCUAUAAAUUUAGAAAUAUCAAAACGUUUUAUAGAAUGAACUAAGGCGUAACCAUUCCAAACCAGCUCUUCUUUUCACAUUUUCUACCGCAUUGAGAUCCACUACGCGUCUGUCUUCCAUUGCGCGCGAUAAAUGAAAUGUGAAUUAUCAUGCGACACCAUUACAAUCACCGGACACCAUUACUAUUCCGGUGGGUGGUGAAAAACAGCACCAAGUCACAAACUUUGCAAAUGUUUCAAAUUUUAUAACACCUUAGGCAGUGAAUUAGUUUUUUAAAAAACAUUUUUCACUUGCAUCGCCUUGUAUGAUUGUACUCGACGACUGGAACCGGCAACCCCCAGACUUUGGUACAGGAAGCCGAGGCAAAAUGAGAGGGCCUGUAGGCGGCUUGGUAGGACGGCCAAAGCUUGAUCCUAGUUUCUUACUACUUUCGUUUUAAAAUAUAAGAUGUUUUGAUUUUUUUUUAGAUACAUAGCUUUUGCUAUGCACAUAGGUAUACACUAUGUCUAAAUACAUAUUAAAUCUAGAAGAUCCAAAAUGUCUUAUAGUUUGAAAUGGGAGGAGCAUUUUAGAGACUAGGUAAUCAAUGUACUUGAAAUAUCUCCUUAAAAAAAGUACUUGAAAUAUUUGUGAGUAUCAAUCUAAGCAGUAUCCUCCAGCCUGCAAAUAGACCAUUUCUAAGCGCACACAGCUUAGAACGAAAUGAUCUAUUCGCAAGCUCAGGAACUUUCAUCACAUCAGCCGUGCAUGAGACACAUAAUCUAAGUGUUUAACACUUCUUGGCAACAUCUUUUUUCUAAGCUAGUAGUAGUUCAAGAUAGUUUGACGCAAGUUGGAAACCCCACAUGUUAGUUAGAAGCUUUCCAAAAUGCAAACAAUACGUUGCAAUUUUGUUCAAACAAAUUGAAACGUUUCCUAUACUCUAUAUUUAGAGAUUGCUUCACAUACUAGUUACUCCCUCCGUCCAUAAAUAAAUACACGGUUCGUUUCUCGAGGAGUCAAACUUUUUUAAGUUUGACUAGAAAUAUAUCAAAUACUUCAUCCAUCCCAAAUCAUAAGUCAUUUCAAGAAUCUUGGAGAGUCAAAAUAUCUCAAGUUUGACUAAAUUUAUAUGAUAAAAUAAUACUAACUAUUAUGAUAUCAACUAAGUAUCAUUAGAUUUUUUUUUAGUUAUAUUUUCAUAGUAUACUCACUUUAUGUUACAAAUCUUAGUAUUUCUCUCUAUAAUUUUGGUCAAACUUGAAAAUGCUUUAACUCUCUAAGAUUCUUGAAAUGACUUAUAAUUUAGAAUGAAGGAGUAAUAUCAAUAUUUGUAUCUACAAAUAAGUAUAUUAUGAAAGUAUAUUAAUGAUAUAUAUUACAUAUGAUAAAUAUUAAUAUAUUCUUGUAUAUAUUUAGUUAAACUUAAAAAUAUUUGAGAUGCGCAUUUAUUUGUAGACGGAGUACAACUAAUUACUUCACAUUUGGAAGGCCCAGCAGGCCCAAAUACUUCUUCAAGGCCUAUGGCGGAUUGGGGUGGUCGAGCCCAGUGUGAAUCAGAAAAAGGGCUGGGCCGGUUGGGAGUUUGGAGGAAAGCGCCAACGAGCGCGGAGCGCCUCGCCAAGCAUGUAAAGCAAAUGAUAAAUGCAAUGAAAAUCAUCAACGAAUGACAGUAAUCCAUACAAUGCAUUGCAGAGGACCAAAUUAGAUACAGCUUAAAAAUGAAAUAAGGUAGCAGUUAUUCACUCCCUACACUACCUCCACCUGACACAAAUACGAGCAUCAGAGAAGAGGCCCCAAUCGAGGAAUUAUUUGUCAAGUAGAAACCACGACGCAAAGACGAAAAAAAAGAGAGGCAAGUUUAUCACAAAUUUUCACAGGUUUGUUCCAUGAUCAUUUUGAAUGGAAGACACGAUCCGCUCUCAGGCUUCCAACUGGAGCUUCUUGAUCGUGUCGAUCUGCUUUGCCGGGUUCAGGCCCUUGGGACAAGCAUGCGUGCAGUUCUUGAUGGUGUGGCAGCGGUAGAGCUUGAACUCGUCGUUGAUGGAGUCCAGGCGCUCCUUGGUGAACUGGUCACGGCUGUCCUGUAUCCACCUGGAACAUCGAAUGGAUAUUUUAUAGCACAACCCAUCGUGGUAUGGCAAGCAUGCCCUACUUGGGCAUCAGAAGUUCAAAGUUCAAACUGAACCGAAGGGGGCAAGUAUUUCAAUCACUUCAUUGGAGAUAAAUAUGAAAACACAAUCACAAAAAUAAGGAAACUAGACUCUAAAGUUUAGAUACCAGUAUUUGGAAUCUACUCCCAAAUUAUAAGUCAUUCCAACUUUCUUGGAGAUCUCAGGUUUGACCAAGUUUAUAUAAUAAAAUAAUAGGGACAUUUAUGAUACCAAAUAGUAUCAUUAGAUUCUUCAUUAAUUACAUUUCAUAGUAUACCUAUUUAAUGCCAUAAGUCUUUGUAAUCCCAACAUUACUUAUGAGAUGCUUUGACUCUCCAAGAAAGUUGAAAUGACUUAUUUGGGACAGAGGGAGUACACAUAUCUGCAGCAUGUAGCAUUUACAGAUAUGCUGUCUGUCCAGGAGAAACAGUUUCUUAUGGCAAUUAGGCAGUAAAAACACUCAAAAUUAUUACCUAUGGGAGGUGAUAUUCAAACAGUGCUUUUUGGAGCAUAAAGUUAAGGCAACAAAACUGCCCCCAUUAACUAGUUUUGAUUAAUCUCAGCUCAACUCUAGGAAUAUAAAAUAUUGCAUACCAAAAAAACAAUAAUGUUAAUUAAUUACACAAACUGCAAACAAAGUUGGUUAUCAUAUUAUUUGAUGAAAGUUAACUGCUAUAUCUUAGUUCCUAUGAUCUAACAGAAACCCCAUGUGCACAUCAAAUAAAUUAAACAGAGGUAAGAUGAAUCAAACAGCUGAUGUAUGGAUCAUACAAUCAAAUAAAACACUAGAAUAACAAAUGACUCAACAUAUCAGAGGAUCACAAAUAUGCAAUGCAGAACAGACUUCUGAGAAGUGAGAAAGAAGUCCAGAAAGGUAGAACAAAAAGUAGCCAAACAAACACUAAAACAAACAACUUAGGAAGUCGGAUUACUCUAACAUACAAUAUUCAUAAUAAUUUUGAGCACAUGAUGUAACCUUUGGAGUGAGACGGUAACUACUUAACAAUAUAAAGUACAGAGUAACUGAUAACAGAAACAAGCAAAACAUAUUCACAACCCAGUGGGAAGAUAACAGAAAAAGAAACAUUUCUGCAUUCAGAAACAUGUUCCAAUCCUUUAACUUCAUAAUAAGUGCAUAAUAUCCAAAAAAACAGUGCAGUACACUGAUUCAGCUAAAACAUUUAAAUAAAACUGGCUGCUGGUCAGAAACUUUAAAGCUUGUUUCAGGGAUCACACACUGAAAGGUUGCAUGUAAACAACCUUAUUUUCCUGGACUACUGCAGAGCUAGCGGUUUUUUCUACUGGCUCAUUAGCAUCUACCAUGAUGCUUUCUUUACGCCCGUCAGUUCACCCUUGUUUGCCAAUGUGCGGAACACAAUACGGGACAUGCGGAAUUUCUUGUACACAGCGCGAGACCGGCCUGUGAAAAUGCAGCGGUUUCUAAGGCGUGUCAUGGAGCUAUUUCUUGGCAACUUGGACAACUUAUAGCGGAACUUCUCCCGCAUAUCCAAUGGAAGAUCAGGGUCCCUACAGACAGCCUUAUACAGCUUUCCCCUCAGCUCAUAUUUUUCUGCAAGCAAUCUACGUUUGUGGUCCCGCAGGUUUCUCUUCUCUGACACCCCAUGAUAUCCUCGAGCUUGAAGGUGCAUGAACAUGUUGGGUUUUGGUUUGAUAAGCGUCCCCCACAGCGGAAGCCUAAAAAGGGUGAACGUGUCAUGGACUUAGCAACAUCCUAAAACUUAGAGCAAAGAAAAUUUAUCAUAUUAGACAACUAUCAUUCAAGGGAAACAAGUGCAGACAAAUCCACAAGAUGUUUGAUCAUCAGUGUAGUUUAACGGUGAUGAAGCGAGGAACUCGCACUCUCUAUACUGGAAGAGAGGUUAGCAGUUUAGCACGCCACUGCCCAACAACUUAUCAGAGGAAUUAGAUUCACCAAAACAUCCACCAUAUGUUAAUUUAAGUUGGGCGGUGUGACGUGUUUACAACUCAUAAGGUAAAUGCUAGAAGAAUACUGGUACCACAAUGCCUUUAAAGCUGCCGAAGCAAUCUUCUGUAGAAGUGCAUUCAACAUGUUUCCUUCACUAGUCAUACUAAUAAUCAUAAGAUCAUAGUCACAGCAGCCACUCAAUCAUGAUCAUGAAACCAAUUCUCAUUGGUGUUACUGCCACCAAUAUAAACAACAUAGGAUCCAUCACAUCUAAGGAACAAACAAUUCAUCAAGACAUCAGACCAAAUAACCAAUCUACCUGGAUCACAACCCGUUUCCAGGCUCGUGUAGCUAAGCUAUCAACUAUAUCAGUGUACACACAUCACUUCAAUUGGCAAUCUACUUGGAUCACAAUUAUUUUCAGGCCGUAGCUAAGCUAUCAACUAUAUCAAACAAUCUACACACAUCACUUCAACUCGAAUUACUUCAUGACCAGAAGAGCAUGACUUGCAACCGAUCAAUCACACAUCACUCAGCAAUUAUCAAACAGUUCAAAUGGAAUUACUUCAUGAUCAGAAGAGCAUGACUAACAACCGAUCAAUCACACAUCAUUCAGCAAUCAUCAAACAGAUCCAGCAUGCAUCACUCAGCAGUCAUCCAUCACAGUAUCAAAGGGGGUGGCGGUGGUAUACCUGUUGGCGUGGAGCAGCGCGGCAGGGCCGAGGUACUCCUCGGGGUUCCACCAGUAGGAUGGGCAGGAUGUGGAGCAGCAGGCGCAGAGGAUGCACUCGUACAUGCCAUCGAGCUUGGCACGAUCGGCCUUGGUCUGCGGGAUCUCCUUGCCCUGCUGCGGCGGCGGGUCCUUGCGCUUGAGCCACGGCUCGACGCUCUUGUACUGGCUGUAGAAGUUGGUCAUGUCCACCACCAGGUCCUUGAUGACGAACAUGUGGGGCAGCGGCGAGACCGUGGACGCAGAUGACGCGGAGGAGAUCUUGGUGAGGCAGGCGAGGCCGUUGUCGCCGUCGAUGUUCAUGGCGCAGCUCCCGCAGAUGCCCUCCCGGCAGCUGCGGCGGAAAGUGAGCGACGGGUCCUGCUCGUUCUUGAUCUUGAGCAGCGCGUCCAGCACCAUCGGCCCGCAGUCGGACAGGUCCACCUGGUAGUCCUUGAGGUGCGGCUUCGUCGACGGCGAGUCCGGGUCCCACCGGUAGAUCGAGAACGUCUUCGUGUUGGCCGCUGCCUUCGCCGCCGGCGGAGGCGGAGGCGGCGCGGGGGAGGAGGAGUGGGGCUUGGACGCGACGAGGCGGGACGAGAGGGCCGGAGAGAGGAGCGUGCGCGCCGCCGACGAGCGGCGGAGCAGGGCGGCGGCGGCCAUGGAUGGGUGCGGAUUCCGAUUUGGGGGGGUCUCCUUUUUUUUUUCCCUGGAAGGUUGGGAGGCGCGUGGUGGGCUUGUGAACGGAAGGGUAUUUAUAUGUGAGGUCGUUGGUGGGUGGAUGACAUGUGGGGUCGGGGGAGGGAGCGAUCGGAAUGCCGGUGCUAGGGUUGGGGGUGGGAGGAUGACAUGUGGGGCCAUGAUGGGUUUGGUUUGGGCCCUGGUUUGUGGGUGGGAGCGUGGAGAUGUGGAGGACUCGUGGGCCGCUCGCAAGAUGACAAAACAAAGUUGCUGAGUUUGUAGUGCGGUUUUAGGUCACUUUGGUGAUGAGUCUUGAAUAUUUUCCCUCUUUUUCUUCGCUUUCUGUUUGCGUUGAUGUCAUGGUUGACAUAUAUUUUUUUUGGAAUCACUGGGGAAUUAUAUGAAAAUGGUCAUAAGAAAGUAGUUACAAUUUAAUUUACGAUGAAUGGAAAAAAUAGCUUAUUUAUUUAAUUAUGUUUCUUAUAAUGGGAGCGAAACAUAUUCACCUUAGACUUAGGGUUCGGUAGGGGUUCAGAUUCUCGUAGAAACCUUCCGGUUUUAGAUUUUGUCAAAGGUAAUCUCUUCUUGAGAUCGUUGGCUGGUAGCCUAGAUUCUGAUUCACGGGAAUUUUAUAUAUAUAUAGACAUGCUCUAAAAAUCUUAAAUCUUUUGUGAGGGAGAAAAAACUUAAAUACAACACAUUUUUAAUUUGUUGCACCAAAAAAAUUACAAACAAAUAAGAUCCAAUUGUUAGAAGAGAAGGGAGGCAAAACAAACAAAUAAGAUUCCAGUUUCCUCGCAAAAAAAAAGAUUCCUGUUCCUAGACAGAAGGAGAAGCGUUUCUGAGGUGAAACGUUUCAACAUUUGAUCAUUUGGCACAGAUUAUUGGGUUCCACAUGAGAAUCCAAAACGAUUCUCCUAUCCAAACGUACCCUAGUGUUUAGGGGUGUGUUUGGUUGACAUGUGAGCUGUGGAAAGUUGUUGUAACUGAAAGUCCUUUGGUUAUAACAUCUUUGGGACCAAGUCCGAAAAGACUGAUUAUAUGCUAAUUGACUGUAGGACACUAAUUAAUUCGGUUAUUCACAUAUAAUAAAUAUCUUAGGAAGGGAAACUUGAUUUUUUUAAUAUAUUACAUCCGUUGUAGAUGUAUGAUCCAUAUAAAUAGAUAGCUUAUCAAGGCGUUGUGGUCGACAUGUUUCGGAUUUAAAAACAAUUUUAAAAAUCAUAUAGACAAAUGAGCUUAUCAAGACGUAACUGGAAUUUAAUUGCUGAUGAAAGGAAGAAAAAUGAACCCGGUUAGUUAGGUUUGUGAUGCAUAAUACUUAACCUCUUAAUAAACACCUGUAGAAGAGAGGGAGAAACAUCAGAUCACGGGUGCCACUCGCAGGUAAAUCUUCGGAAAAAAAAAAUCAGGCUCCCACCUAGCCCAAUAAAGACCCGUGUUCUACGAGAAAGAGUCAAGGCCUACACGGCUACUCCCACCGUCCCACGGGCCACGGCCCUUUACCCCCAAGAAGCUCUGCGCUUCUUCAGGCACGCGCACCACCACCAGUCCACCUGCCUCCUCCGCAGCUGCUGAUGACCACAUUUGCCUUCGCGUUCGUGUUCAAGGCUUUGCGCAAUGUCCUCGAGCCGGUGCGCAGCUGCAUUCGUGGUCUGCAAGGUGCCAAGGUGGUGGAGUUCCAGGAUUAGGUGCACGCCUCCUUUCCCCACGUGUAUGUUGUUUCGAGGCGUUUGAUGGAAGCAGAGCACGGAAGGUGUUGGAUGAAAUGUUGGUGAGGAAUGUGGUUUAACGCGAUGAUCAAUGGCUUCGCCGGAUGGGGUGAGGUUGAGUAUGUGAGGCGUAUGUUUGAUCAAAUACCCUGCAGCAAUGUUGUCUCAUGGACCAGGAUGAUUGAUAGGUAUACUGCCUCUAAGAGGAGGCUGUUGCUCUUUUCUGCUAGAUGAUGGCUGGAGGCAUUAGCCUGAGUGAGGUAACUGGUUUACUAGAUAUUCCUGCAAAUCUAGUCUUGGAUGGAUCAUUAUGGGUGAGAUGCCGCAUGGGUAGAAGAAACCUAGUGCCAUGGACAUCGAUAGUUUCUGGUUUUGCAAUGCAUGGGCUGUCAGUUGAGGCACUUGAGUUGUUUGCAGAGAUGAGAAGAGCAGGGAUUAGGCCCAACAGAGUCACCUUCUUGAGCGUCGUCGAUGCUUGCAGUCAUGGGGGGCUGGUAAAGCAAGGGCUAGCGUUUUUUCAAAAAAGCAUGGUUUUAUAGUACAAUAUAGAUCCAGGGGUCGAACAUUUUGGGUGCAUCAUAGACAUGCUAGUUGCUAGCUAGGGCUUGGAUGGUUGUGUGAGGCCGAGCAAACAAUAGACAAGUUGCAGUCCUAUGGAGGAUAAUGUUGGGUGUUUGCAGUAAGUGUGGAGAAGUUGAGAUGGGGGAGCGGGCGAUGAAGAAGAUACUAGACUUAGAGAAUGCGAAGGUGAUUUUGCGGUGCUAUCUGAUUUGCUUAAUGAGCUUGGUAGGUUCAGUGAUGCUGAACAAGCACGGAAUUUAUUGGAUGAGAGGAAAAGGAGAUCUAUUAAGGUUCUUGGGAUUGCUUUGGUUAAUGAGAUUCAGUAGUUGCUGAUUGUCCAGUCUGAUGAGAGGAAGAAGCUCUCUCAAAUUUUAUUGCAACCUUACCACUUUAAGCUCCCUGUACUAUACCAACUUCAAUAAAUCUCCAGAUAUUUUACCAUUUUUUUUCUCCCAUGUAAAGAAACAAAAUUAAAUUUAAUUGUUUCUUGGUUGCUAAAUAGAUUGUCAUAAUUGAUAUGCCUGCAGCCCAAUAUUUGUUAACUCAGCGCUAUCAUUGUGCCAUUUCACUUUGUUUUCCUUUUGUGCCCUCAUAAUAAGCCUCAAAGGCAUGCUGCAUUUGUUCACUUGUUUCCUCCUAAAAAAUUACUGCUUUGCCCAGUACAGCUGUUUGUUAGAGCUUUUACCUAUUUUACAUUUCCUUGCAGGAAGCAGGUGAAGUGAACCUCAUGUCUAGUUCUUGCUCCUCUUUAACUAAAUUGUCUUGUAAUAUGGAAGCUGUAAAGAAGCUCCAUGCUCAUCUCAUUAUUCCUGGCCUGCACAUCUGUCAAUAUGCAGUGUCCAAGGUUAUCAGAUCUGAUGCUCUUUAGAUAUUAGAUUUGGUUUUUACUCAUAAUGUAUUUGAGCAGAUCGAAUUACCAACAACUUUUAUUUGGAAUGCUCUACUCAGCGGUUAUGGAUAGGUUGGUGAUAUUAGUAGUUCAUUUAUCAUUGCCUUCUUUGCUUUGGUCUUCACUAUUUCUUUUUUCUUUCAUGCUGAAUCCUAGCAAGGACAGUAUGUUCCUCUUACAGUAAUUCAUUGCCAUGUAGAUGUGGAGAUCAAUUAUCAUUCACGUUGUAUACAGAAAGUCAUUUACAUGACUAAAUUGUGUCCUUGCAGCUGGGGAAAAAACCAUGUAGAUUGUAGCCACUGAAUGACAUCAAUCUCGAGCUAUAUAUAGAAACCUUGCUCAUGUGCUAAAAAAUAACUAGCGCAGUACCUGACUACCUUCUGCAUAAUUGGACAGUCUAUAUAAGCUGUGCAUGUUGGGGUUGCUGGGAUAUGGUAUGUCUUCAGGCAGCAUCAAUGACAGUAACUGUCCUGGUAUUUUACCUUCCUAUGGAUGGUUAGAUUGAAGGUGCUUGUGCUCAGCAUGGACACUCCAUGUCGGCUGCUGCAAAAGUUAACAUCAACAUGUCGCUUCUUUGGUGCAUUUGCCUUUCUGUGCCAUGCCAUGUAUGUGUUUUGUAUCAUUAUGCAUAAAGAGGUGUAUGAAUUGAGUUGUAUUCUGCAUGAUCCAUAUACUUGGUGAUGCAGGGUCUAGAUGUUGAUAUUAUCUGAAGAUUGUUUUACGAUUUUGGUCGACAAUUUUCAAUAGCUUGUGAGAAUAUCCAGGUAAGUGUCCCUUUAAGCUCUAGAACUAGCUUCUUGUGCUUAUUGACUGUCAAACCUAUUUGUACUCUAAAGUUCUAGGAUGAACUGCUAAAAAAUCCUAGGAAUGAGCACAUGUAGGUGCUCAAUUAGGUUUUGGAUUUUUUUUUUUUGUGGUUUCAUAUAUAGCAUGUGUGGCUUACCCUUGCACAUGUUGCUGUUUCAUUUUUCAAAGGAUAAUUUGCUGAUGUCUAUUCUUCUAUUUAUGUAAAUAUCAGUUACAUCUGUAGUACCCUGCUCUACAAUCUGUUUAGUUUGGUGUCUUCCUUUUAGUGCAGAUAGUGUUUACAGUACACUUUAAGCCCAUUUGAUUAGAUGCAGUGCCUAUCAAUAUAGUUUCAUGGCCUAUGAUUUUCAUUUUUGCUCCUAGUCCAGUAAUUACAUUUGUAUAUAUUGCAUUGAUGCACAUAGAAAUGAGGAUAUAGACCACUAUUUCUGCAUCUAGAAAUAGGGAUCUGUACUGGCAUGUUUCUGCUUCUGGAAAGACCAAAACAUGACUUUCUUCUGGUUGGUUGUUAAAUCGAAGACUGUUGUGCUUGCAGUUUUACCACCCAUGAUGGCAUGAUCAUCACAUCCUUGACGAUCUGCACAGGCACAACGCAUGCAGCCAAGUACCACCCGCCGCAUCCAUUGAAGUGGGGGACGUUUUUUAACUCUGCUUGCCCUACCCUACCUACGGCUACGGGCCUUACCGCCAUGAAGAGACCUUGGUCCUUGCAGCUUGUCCUGCCGCCAUGGAGAUCCUGUCCUGCUGCCCAUGUAAUGGGGGGCACUGUACACGUACCCUCCUUCCCCAAGGCCCCAGCUAAGCAUGCACGCAUUUGUCCAUUGUCUACUGCCGCCGCUACUGUUCAUUGGCUGGCCCUACCUCACUCCAGUUAUUGCACGAUGCACGGUAAAGCUGGACCAAAGAGUCAAGUGUGAGAUCCUCAACAUGGACCUUGCAGAUGCACAGCAGCAGCGUUCAGUAACAACAGCAGCAGGAAGGAGCAAGACUCCGUCAGAAUUCAGUAACAACAUGUAGGAGUAUGUGAUGAAGCUUUUUACCUGCUUUUCUCUAGCUUUCCAGGUGUGAUGAAAUGCUCUUAUCAGUCGAUAUUUUUUCUGUCAGUCAGUAAUAUUUUUCUCUCACAAUAAUUCAGCCAUCACUUUUCAGACCUUCAGGAGAAUCUCAAAUGCACGGCUCAGCAGCUCUUGUCCUGUGGCUCUUGUCUGCUUGCCUUGCAGACUCCAGUGGCAGUCACUGCAUGCAGAGCCUUCCCCUGUGCACACCUAAUCCAAUCCAGUGCUCUUUUCUCACAGCAAGAAAACCCAAAAAACAGAAAGAGAAGAGGACAAGGCGACACUAAAACUAUUGCUCUUCUUUGGAUUCUGAUAUUCCCCCAAUUAUUGUUUUUGUUCUGUUUCUCAUGUAACUCUCAGAACAUUGGAUCCUAUAAUUUUGUAACUUUGUUUGUGUGUUUACUAGCUCAAAUUAUUAGCAUAAUAAUCAGCCGGGUCGGAGCUCUUAUUUGUUCACCAUGUUGUGUGGACUGAAUUAAAACCAUCUGAACUCUACUUGUCUUGCAAUCAUGUGGACUGGGGCAUCGUCUGUGAAACUUUUUUUUUUAUUUAAAAAAGAAUUAUUGUUCACCCUGCUAGCAUGCUUAUUAGCAGUAACAUAACAUAUAAUCUCAAGUUAGGGCUUGAGGCCAUAUUUGGAUCACACUUGACUAGUGAGCACGUCUACCUAAAUAUUGUUUUUGGGUACCACUAGUACUGUGUACUCCCUGCUCAUGCAAAUGACACAAGGACAGAUGGGGCAAGGCAAAACUUGCAUCAUUCCAAAGUACAAAAGGGCCAAUGGAACUAUACUUGUAAUAACAAUCAUGUAAGUGGCAAACUAUUGGAAGAGGUUUGUAAAGUAGACCAGCAUAUAUGUAUAUAGGAGUAUGUCUUAUCCAUGGAAACAGUUGGAUGGACCUCGAUUUUUUUUUCUCGGACAGGAUUGGACGACGCGACUUGUGAUUUAGUUUAACUACACUGUCAUAUGCUAGGGUCUCCCUGUCCCUAUCUUUGUAGCUCCAAGGACGCAAGUUAAACGACGAAGGGUCAAUUCGGACGCCCCAAGGCCGGAUCUUGGAUCUUUUUAGAGAGGGAGGCCCCUACAAUGAUCUAUGAUCACUACAAGCUACCCCAGCAGUGUAGGGCAGACUCCCGGUCCGGUUGAAGGGCACAAGAUAAGAUAAUGACACGGCCUGCUGAUGGCUUAUACAGUAAAAAAAUACAUGUAAAAUACAGUCAUUAGAAGAGUGUGGUUAUAGGCACUGAUACGGUAGCCAGCACAUUGCACGCAGUACUUUGGCUACUAUAUAUUCUCUCCGUCUAACAAAGAAUGAAAAUCUUGCUUUACAAGAAGUCAAACAGUCAAGUCUAACUAAAUAUAUAUAAAAAAUAAAUGAAAUAUUAAUAUUUAUAAUACAUAAUAAAUAUCACUAGAUUAACCAUAGAAUAUAUUUUUACAGUAAAAGAAUUUGAAGGUACAUAUGUUGAUACUAUAUUAAGCUUGAAAAUACUUAACUUCUCGGUAAAUGAGAUAUUCUUUUUUUCAUUUUUUUUUACAUGGAGAGAGUAGCUGCUACUGUAAUUUUUACAUCAGUAUUCAAGCUGUACCGUCUGUGUCACAUGGACGCACGGGACCAGGAUUGGACAUGUCUAAAAUGUUAAAUUCUGCUACUGAAACAGAUAUUUGCCUAGUUUAGUAAAGUUGUAUAAUAGCUAUACCGUUUUGAGAUGGUUUACUGAAGGUCAUAAAAAGUUGUUUAAGGUCAAUAUUUAAACAUGGUGCUCCAUCUUACACGCUCACUCGAAAGAAACAUCUCUAAAUUGAAUAAGAGUAUUGUGUAAACAAGAGAAACCAGCUAUUUCAAUGUUUAAGAUUGGGCUUUGCAGAUUUGUCAACGUAUCGCAAAAAAUGUCAUCUUUAUAAAAUGGGCUUCACAUAAUUGCCAUUUAGUCAAUUUUGGUGCUAGAUAGGAGUACUCGAAGAGAAACAAUUGGAAAAAAAUAAAAGAGGCAAAAUGGCAUGUUAAUCAAGGUGUGUGUGUGAUCUAAAUGGUAGUUUUGCGAAGUUAAUCUUGACAAUAACAGAUUUGCAAAAUGCACUCUUGAAAAUGGCAAAUAACUAAUUUUCUUGGGAAAUAACUAAUUUUCUUGUGCAAAUAGAAACUUUAUUAGAACUAGUUUGAUUUGGUGACUACUCUCUUCGAUCUGUAAUGAAUGCAUUCCAAAAAGUUUUAAGUUAAUUUAAGGGAAUACUCAAAUAACGUAUGUACCAACAGAUUAAACGCGCGUUGAGAUUUUUCAUCACAUAUGAUCUCUCAAUGAGAAUCAGUUCGUUUGGUUAGUAUCCAUGACAAAAUCCUAGAGUUCAAUCAUGACUAAGGGCAAAUCCACCAAUGAUGCUGAUUAGAGCAAAUCACAUGUACAGGAGCGCAGCAGCGCCAGUUACGGACGGCGGCGAUUUGAUUUGAUUGGAAUGAACAUGCAUGAUGAUGCGAUCAUUCCCCUGUUUCUCUCUUUCUUUGCUCAUGGGCUGGGUCGGCAUGGGCCGCCGAUAAAGUACCACACUGGUUUCAGCGGUAGAGUUGACCAGCGAAAGACCAUCCCACAUGAUGGCUUCAAGUUUCUCAAAAAAAAAAAAAAAAAGAGAUGGCUGCAAAAGAUGAAAUCAUAAUCACUCUACGAGUACUAAUAAUUUACACUAACGGUGAUUAGUAUAUAAAUCUAGAAGAUUAGGGAGCAGUGUAGUAUAUUUAAAGUUUUAACAUAAAAUAAUUAUAAAAAACAGGUCGCCGGACGCCAACUAGCGUUGGUCUGGUCCCCGCCGGUUGCUGUCGGUUUCCACCGGAUCCUCGUUAAAAGAAGCGAGGGGUUACUAAAAAAGAAUGGCAGAGAAGAGGAGAAGGUCCCGAGCAUGGAAUAUCUAUCCAUCCAUUUGUGCACAAGAAACAAUUUUUUGGAGGGAAAAAAAGGGAGAAAAGCAUAAUCAGCACAAAAGCAAAGAACACACUUGCUUGAAGCAAUGCUAGGAGUAGUAGGAGUGUUAACCUAAACCACCACCUUGAUUCUUGUGACAGGGGCAGGAGAUGAUAGGCUGAAACGGAAAAGGGAGCACGGGAUACCGUUGCUACUGAUUUCUUAAUCAUUCAUCAUCAUCAGGAGACUGUCAAGAAAAAAAUAUAUUAGUUCUGGUGAGGGACACGAGGCAGGAGGAAAUAAGCAACCACUAAUUACUUGUGCUGUGUCCUCUCACUCUCUAGAGAGAAAACAAAUGAUUUCCACAGAGUUUUCGGUUUUUUCUACCAGCGUCCAUGCAGAAAAAACGUACAUUGUGCCGUGUUUAAAUAUAUAGCACAUGCGAAUGGCAAGAUCGUCAUUUUCAACAUGUUUGUGUGGUUUGUACCGAUUGACUUGCUCUAGAAACAGAAGACAACCGCCACGUCAAAUGGUUCGUUAAAAAAGCACACACGGAUUGACUCACUUUAUAAACGGAAGAUAACGUACGUGGUAUCAUGUUUAAACAAGGACCACGUACAAAAAAAAAAAGAAGGAAAGACCGUCUUUCAACAGAUCCACACAGUUCGUUACAAAAGAUUGACACGAUUGACUCGCUCUGAAAUGGAAGAUAACCGCCAAGUCCGUUCGAAAAAUACAAUUCACAUCAUUAAUAUUCCUAAUAUAUAGACCGUUAUUGUCGUAUAUAUAUUUAAAAAGUUGCACACGAUCUACCACAAAUGUCCACCGAAUGAGUUGCUCUAUAAACGGAAGGUAACUACCACAUCCGUUCGAAAAAUACAAUUCACAUCGUUGAUAAUCUCCCAAGAUAGAGACCGUUACUGUCGCAUACAUAUAAAAAAGAUUUCACACGAUCUACUACAAAUAUCGACCGAAUAACUCGCCCUAUAUACGGAAUGUAACCGUCGCGUCCAUUCGGAAAAUACAAUUCACACCAUUGACAAAAUUUCAAAGACUGUCAUUGAUGUAUAUGAAAAAAACCAAGGCGUAAUCUAAUCUAAAAACCUAAUGCCUUCCCCCCAACGUUCUCAUCUGCAUUGAUUCAAAACACCAACUGCAAAAGUGCAGCCAAAAUUCGGCAAAUCUCAAAACAACCAGCCAAGAUGAAUGACUAGCAAAAAAAAAAAAGAGAAACAGUAGGAGAGAGAGAAACAAGGGGUGAGGAGUGACCAGAGAGACGAGACCACGGUCAAGCUCCCAGCGGUGGGGUCACGAGCUCCACCCCCUCCUCCCGGGCCCACCGCCCCACAGUGACACCACCCCGUCACAGUAACCCCCUCACGCCGCCCGCCUCCCACCGCCGUCGCUGACAACCGAGCCCCACCUCCGUGGCCCACCUGUCAUCCACUCCCCCACGCACCCCCGCCGCGAACCAUCGCCUCCCACCGCAACGGAACUGUACAGAACCCAAGCAGAGAAAAAGACCAAAAUACCCCCCGCCCCCGAGCGGCACGGCGCACGAGGUUUCUCCCCCGCUCCGCUCCCGCCAGGCCGAGCAAGCACCGCACCGCACGCCACCGCUUCCGUUUCCACCCCCCGGCCGGCCCAGAGAUUUACGGCACUCUGCCACUCCCCGUCUCCUCCUCCUCCUCCUACUCCUCGCUCGCUCGCCUGCCCCACCUCUUCCUCCCUCUUCCUCCUCGCGAGCGUGUCUCCCGCUAUUAAUGUAGCGGCGGCGACAGGGAGUCGAGUUCGGCGCGGCGGUGCCACGACGAGACGGCGCGUGAGGAGGAGGAGGAGUGGAGGACAAGGCGCUCCGCCGCUCCGGGCUCGGGCAUCCGUCGUUCGUCGUGGAAGGCGGUAGGAUUCUGCAGCUGCUCUAAUCCCUCCCCAUCUCUCUAUCUCUUUCCAUCUCUUAGCUCUUUCCAUCUCUUAGCGAUGUUGCUGCUUGGGUUUUUGUUCUUCAUUUUUUUUUCUCGGCUGGAUUCUCGCUCCGCGGUUCUGGAGAAAUGCUUGGCCUCGUCCCGGUCGCCGGAUUCUUCUUUUUCUUUUUCCUUUUUUUAUUAUCCCAAAAACCUUCUCUUCUCGUGCGGCGAUUCUGGAAUGCGGAGCGAAAUUCUCCCGCUUGAUUUUGGUUGUGGCGACUUUUUUUUUUAUUUACCGCUCGUGGAUGCAUUUCGCGCUUGCGUUGUUCCUCCCAGUCCCCGUACGGGUUUUUGGUGUAAAAUAAAAGUCCCGGGAUUGCUCGGAACCAAGCAAGGCGCGAGAUUCUCGUCUCUUUUCCGCUCGGUUUCCUCGGGAGGCCGUUCGCAUGGCAAUGCUGCCUGCGGGGGGAAGAUCGUAAAGGAGAUUCCUUUCUCGAGAUUUUCUUUCCCAGUUUGCAUUUCGGUGCCCCCGACCCGGCCGGUGCUCCGUCCACCGGGAGGACGGAUUGCCUGUCGCUUCGACCGUGUGUGUGUGUGUUCACCGCGCAAUGCCUGAAAUUUUCUUGUUCCGUGGUAGGCUUUUUGUUUUGUUCCAUUCCAUGACACGCUGGUGGUUUGGUUUGCGUCGCAGGGUUCGCCAGUGGAGGUAGUAGCAGUCGGCAGCAAGAUGAUGGAUGGGAGGCGGCAUUCGGUGGACAUCCCCGUCUCGAGGGCCCUGGUGGCCAUCAUGCGGUCCAGAUCCCUGAGGGACCCGGACACCAACUCGCUGGCCAAGUUCUCCGCCAAGAAGACCAUCUGGGAGGGCUGCUCCAUCGACGAGGACGAGCAGCAGGAGGGGGCGAGCAACAACAAGACCACCUACGGCAGGCACAGCUUCAGCUACAACGCGUACGAUCACCUCCAGCGGAGGAGGGAGGAGUUUGGGGACAGCCUCAGGUCCGGCCGGCUCGCCGACUCGCCCAUCAACAUCAUCAAGGCCAAUGCCAUGGCCAAGGCGGUGCUCCAUAACCAGAGCUGUUGCUCCGCCAUCUCCGGGAUGUCAUCGAGGGGCGCAAAGGACAGGAGUUUUGGUUUGGUGGGUGAUGGGGAGGAGCUUGGCCGGAGGGGGGAGGCCAGCACGUUCCAGGAGAGCUCCAGGAGUUUGCUUCAGAAGUACCGGCCCAAAUCUUUCUCCGAGCUUGUUGGGCACGGUGUUAUUGCUCAGUCUCUUUCGGGUGCUGUUCUGAAAGGGAAGCUUGCUCCUAUCUAUCUUUUCCAUGGUCCGCACGGCGUGGGCAAGACGUCCAUGGCUAGAACAUUUGCAGCUGCGCUCAAUUGCCGUUCCCCUGGUGGGAACCAGCCGUGUGGCCGCUGUGACGAGUGCGUGGCCAUAUUCUCGGGAAGCAGUAGCAGUGUGGUAGAGAUUGAUGCUUCCAAACUUGAUUGCAAAUCUAGGGUCGCGGCCUUGCUCAGGAAUGCCUGUGAAGUUCCUGCCUCUUCACACUUCAAGGUUAUGAUCGUUGAUGAUUGCCAGCACAUGGACAAGGAGGGAUGGUACUCUAUCUACAAUAGCCUUGAAGGGAUUCCUGAGAGCACGAUCUUUGUUAUGAUCACAUCUGAUAUUGAUAAGCUACCAAGCAAUUCCAUAGGGUGGUGCCAGAGCUACAGGUUUUGCAAGAUAGAUGAUGCAGAGAUUGCCCGCAGGUUGAUCAAGAUUUGUACUAAAGAAGGCAUGGAAUUCGAAGCUGAGGCACUGGACCUUCUUGCUCGCAAGGCUAACGGUUCCAUUCGAGAUGCAAUUCAAAUGCUUGACCAACUAACUCUACUUGGAAAGAGGAUCAGCAAAUCAGUUACACAUGAGCUGGUAGGUUGAUUACUCCGGUUUUCUUUCCUGAAAAGGAGUUGCGACAACCUACGAUUUUAACCGUUUUCCUUUGGAAACGGUCAAUUUGUCGGCACCUGAACUUCUUUGUUUUCCUUCCCUUUUUGUUACCACAAUCUACAGUUUUAACCCUUAUCCAUUGGAAACCGUAAAUUUGUCGGCACCUGAACUUUCUUUGUUUUUCCUUCCCUUUUCCCAGAUAGGUGAUGUCUCAGACGAGGAAUUGCUUGAUCUUCUCAAUCUGGCCAUGUCAUCAGAUGCUGCUACAAUUGUGAGGAGGGCCAGGGAGCUUUUGAGCUCAAAAGUCGACCCUCUGCAGUUAUUAGCUCAGCUUGCAAAUCUUAUCAUGGAUAUUUUAGCUGGGAAGCACCCUUCAGAUUCUUCAGAAGUUAGAAGAGUUAAUGGAAAACAUACAUGUAUGCUCUCUUUCUUCUUAAGCUUGAAAAUCAUGUACCUACAUAUUAAAUGUCCUCAGAUCUUGUCUGCUGUUGUUGAUAAGCUUUGCAGUAUCAUUUCUACUGAAUACUCUUGCAGUCUUGCUGGAGAUAAGAUUAUGUUUUUCGCUGAUGAGUUACCCGCAUAAUAUUGUGUCCUAUAAAUGCAUUCCAAAAUUUUUUAGAUAACUUAAGGGAAUACUCAAAUAUGAUGCAUGUAUCCAUGGAUUAAACCCAACUAAGGAGUUUCUUUUCAAAUUAUGGUUUUCUGUUUAGCAAACUUUGUUAAUCUGAGCAUGGGUGCCAUAUAGAAUGCCUUAUAUUUCAGUACAAAUUUUAGAGGGCGGAGGGAGUAUUUAGUAUUUACACUCACAGUGUAUACCUGUUUACUGUUUCCAUCUCUUUCUAACUUAAUAUUAAUUUCGCAGCUGCUGACGUGGAUGUACACAAACUUAGGAAUGCUUUGGAAAUACUCUCUGAAACUGAAAAGCAAUUAAAGACCACAAAAAAUCAGUCUACAUGGCUUACUGCUGCAUUGUUACAGUUUAAUAUGAGGGAACCCUACUGUCUAGAUGAUACUGCAGUUUCAAGCAUGUUUACUGAAAGUCAGACAGGUAAUUAAUAUCCUCUUAAUUUAAUUUCUCCUGAAUGUUGAAAUAUUUGAGAGUAAGAAGCACUGUGAAGUGGAACUAUGUCAAUGUCACUUUAUCAUUAUGUCACUGUCUGUUUACUGAUAAGUGAGCUGCACUUUGUGCAGAUGAUGGGACUGCAGUACUGAAAGAUGAGAGCUUAGAUACAAGUUCCCAUCUUUGUUCCCAGAACAAAGUUAGUUCUCUAGACAUGAAUUUAGGAGAUCCAGAUGUAUUGGAGACGAUAUGGAUGAAAGCUCUUGAAAACUGUUCAUCCCCUCCACUUCAAAAUUUACUGCGGAAGGAUGGGAAGUUGUCGUCUCUGUAUACAACCCAAGGUAAUUUGCUCUGUGUGUGGGACCUCUUUCUUCUUUUUUUUUGGGGAGACAGAUCUGUUUGUCACUGAAUAGCGCAUCCCUACUUCCUGUAUUUGCUGUGGUCCACCUUAAUACACCUUUCCAGACAGUUGCUCAGUGCUGCAUUUCAGAAAGGACAUGUUUGUCUGGACAUAUGCAUGAUAUAGCAAUAGGUAUGCUUGUUGAUAAGCUAGUGUUGUUGUCUCCUAAUGGGGGUGCAUCUUGCAUUACUAGGCAUCAAAUAUUGCCUGCCAAUUUGGACUGCAUACAUUCAGUUAGCAUCACUGUGUUCCUGACCAUGGAUAUUCUACACGUCAGAUUUCAUUCUUUUUUGCUCUGAAUUGUAGGUGUCGCAGUUGCUGAGCUACAGUUCUGCCAUCCUGAGGUUGUCCCAACAUCAGAGAGCUUCUGGAAGCCACUAUGUGCAUCUCUGCAGAAUUUGCUGAGGUGCAACGUCGACAUCCGAAUCAACCUUUCUCCUAUCUCUGGCAGCAGGGCUGGAUCCAAGGACUCAUCCGUCAGCCUUGUCAUGGAAUCAAGAGAAGACCGUCAGGCGCAGGACCCAGUCACCUCAAACUGCAGAACCGUCGUGUCAUCGAGAAGAGACUGCCCUUCCCCACUCGUGGGGCAAGCCAAGGAGAAGCCGCCUCACAUCCUGGGGUGUCUCCAUGGCGGCGCAGAUGGUGACACAGUGGAUACCGAGCCGAGGAUCCUGAGCUACCAGAAAAUCUCUGUCGUCCCUGCAGCAUCCACACCAGGAAACGCUCCCCUCAAAGCCACCGCUGGAGACACAUCAAAGGUUGAUGAAGGCAGAGUUCGUCGUGGCUGCUGCUCGCUCCUUCUACCCUGCAGUGUUUGUGCCCCCCUUCGGAAGUCCCGGACGCGGGAGAAACGCCGAGCCAAGCUGUUCAGCUGCUGCUUCUGCAAGAUCGGACCAGACUGCAAAACGAAGGCAGAAGCAGGGUAGUUUGCAGCAGGCCAGGAACAGAGCAGCCCUCUGCAGUUCAAGCUGGAGGCUGGGGUAUGCUGAUUGCCAUUUGGCUGAACCUGACAUUGUGGUUGUCCAUUCUUGCUAGUCUUCUAUCAUGUUUUCUGGUUUGGCUCUGGUGGUCAAAUCAGUUCAGACUUCAUCAGACUGUCAAAAGUGUGUCCAUCUCUAGACUGUAGCUUGCCUCCGAUGGGGGGAGAUACUGGUUGAAGACACAGCAGAUGUGCAUCGCUAACAUAAAGAGAUUUUAUAGUCGGAUGCUUAAACUUUCCUGGUAGCAUAACCGUGUUUGUAGUUGUGCGUUGGAUUUUGUUUUAUGUCGGUCUCUACUGUUUUCGUGAAAUCUUGAUGUGCAUCGCCGGGCUCAGGACGGCGGCCACUGCCGGCGAUGCUGCCGAGUCCCGCCCGCCUCUGCUGAUCUCCUCGCCUGCCUCCGCGAGAUGGGCAGAUGGCUCUCGCCGCCAACGCGUCGGAUGAUCGAGGCGGCGAGUGUGGCCACUGGCCACUGCGGACGCGAAGGCCAGGGCAUAUACGCUACGGCUGCAAAGGCUAGGGCAGCUGCAUUGGGCCAUGGAGUUUCUUGAUUUCUUUGGGAAAAAAAGGAUCUGUUUUACCUCAAUGAAUCAUCAACUUUAAAAAUCAGACAUCUUACUCCAUAAACUCGCAAAACCGUUAGGUUACCUGGUUUUGGAGUGGUUUAUAUUCAACUGACUGGUUUUGGAGUGGUUUUGAAGACAAUUUUGUUCUUCUUUAGUUAAAAAAAAUUCUGGUAGUAUACUUGCAAGGUUUUUAAAUCACAAAAUAUCUCUGAACUCUUAAAAAUUUCAGGGAAAAAAAUCUAGAGAUAGAUGAUAAUUCCAAAUAAAAUACUUAGAGCAAAAAGAGCUACUUUUGAAUUAAACUAGUGGUAAAGAAACAUAAGAACCAAGGAACCAGAAGAGCCAAGACAAACAAAACCUCGCCUAUUUGCUUAAACUUUUCUUGUAGUAUAACCAUAUUUAUAGAUGGAUGAUUAAACUUUCCUGAUUGCAUAACCAUAUUUAUAGUUUGUUAGAUGGUGUGCUUUUAUUUUAACCCCCACCCUAGAAGAAAUAGAAAUAAAUUCACCGUCUAAAUCAACUAAAACAUAAAAGGAAAUAAGUAACAUAGACUUAGAACAAAAGAGAUCAAGGAGGAAAUAAAAAGUCAAAUAUGAUGGUUACCUCCUCUUCUCCGGUGAUCUCUAUCUCUGCUGAACCUCCUCGAUCUCCAUCUUUGUUGACCUCCUCAACCUUUGAUGAGCUUUGAUCCAUAUUAGGGUUUUGUGGGUUAGGGUUAGGGUUAGGGUUAGGAGUUUUUCGGUUAAGGAAGGUUAUUUUGGCUGAGGUUGGAAAGGGAGGUGGUCGGAUUAGUGGUGGUGACUGAAGUGGCGAUGAGCGAGGCGGCAAGUGACAUUUAGCCAAAUCCGUGGUGGAGGUGAGGGGUCGGCUUUCCUCCUUCGAUUGGCAAUAGGGAAGGGGAGGGAUGGAGUGGCUGUGGUGGGCGGCGUGAUGGUGAGUGGCCUAGAAAUUUCUCCUUUGAUUCCGAUUAUGGGAGGGCGGAGGUGGAGCGGGGUUGGGUGAGAGAUGAAGCAGGUGCGGUGUGGUUUGCUCCUUUUAUUUAUAAUAUACUCUACUACCUUUAUGAAAUCAUUACGAAGGACAGAACCGACGCAGUGGUGAGAAGCCUUUCCACUAAGCCAAAGGUCUUAGGUUUAACACAACCUCUCUGCACAAUGUAGGGGCAAGGCUUGCCUCAGUUAUUCUUUCUCCAGACCUCACUCAUGUGGGACUUGCCAGCACUGGGCCUAACCUUUUCAUGAAAUCAUUAUCCCAAUCAAGGGAGCAAGAUGAAAUGAUUAAUUCAUCAUCUCGAUGAAAUGAAUAAUUCAUCACUCGUUGCCUGAUAAGAGCAUCUCUAACAAUAUCUUAAAAAAUGAGUCUAAAUAUUAGAGCCUUUCCAAAAAGUAUGAGGCAUGAAAAAAAUAUACUCCAACAGUUUUUUUUCUUUCUGAAAAACAUACACUGUCGUUGUCGUCGUACAUGCCAACUUCCCACAACUUAUCGCCUUGGCCAGCCAUCCCUAACACCCUACUUCAUACAGAAAACCUUAAAAACCGAAUUUUCAUCACCUACUCUACAUCCAAGUAUUCUUAGAUCUAAACAUAGUGACCUAGUUCUGACAAACCUCCUAUGCGGCGAUGGCCGUGUGCCAAGCCAUGGGUGAACAUCUCCACCAUCAUAACUCACACACACCCCAUAAACUCCCAAAUGGAAUCUCCAUUGCCUACUCAUAUCUGAAAAUAGUGGUUGGAUAUCCAAUUUCGGUGAACCUCUAGGUCGUGGCAGUAGCAAGCAGUUGAUGAUAAAAGGAAGUGCAAAGGAAAAAGAAAACAAAAAGCGCCAAGGCCACCACCACCACUGAUGGAAUAUGUACAUGCGCUAGCACGAUAGAUUGGGAGUUAGAAUACACAAGCGCAAUAGACUGGGAGUUUAAGGAUUAGAUGCACGAUAGAUUCCGAGCUAGAAUAAAGAGUUGUCGGAAUAUGUUUUCAUGCUCUAAGAGCAACUCCAACAGCUUGGUUAUUUUUAUUAUAGAUGCUAUUUUAGAAUUUGCAUAACAAAAGAUAGACUCCAACAAAUGUGCUACCUAGUUUUGUAAAAUAGAAAAUUAGCUAUUCCAUGAUUUCCUAGUUUUGUAAAAUAGAAAAUUAGCUAUUUCAUGAUUUUCGUUGGUCAUAUAUAGCCAACCACUGACACAAGCUAUAUGAUUUUGUAAAAUAGCAAGACUGUUGUGGAUCUUUUUUUUAAGAAGUUUUCUACUUUACAAAAUGGCUAAACAAUAAAAUUUGGCUACUAAUUUUAGCCAGUCUCUUGAAGUUGCUCUAACAACCCUGCUUGUUGCGCCGUUUGGAGCACGGGCAUUCUGGAAGAGUCAGAUUCAUUUUUCACAAGCUUAAUUCAAAAUUUUCCUAAAAGUCCUUCAAAAUUUUGAGCUGGAUCAAGAAAUUUAAAACCACACCAGGAUGGAGUUUUAAAAGCUCAUGAUACCGCAUCUGAAUUCCAAAUCCAUGAGCACUCGUCUCGCAUCAUAAAACAAAGAAAACAUCGGAGAUACAGUGCCAGUCCAGACAGGGAGGCCGGCGGCGCAUACUCAGCAAUCCAGGCAUUCACCAGACCACACCAUUUCCACAAGAAUAAGAGUAGCAAUCACAAUCCAACCAUCCAAUGGCACAGGAAAGCCGCUACGGCCUAUGAGGCAGCACAAAAUUGUAGCGAUCCGGAGGCGACGCUUCAUCCCACUGGCGACAUUGUCCUCCCCUGCAGAUUAUUAGAGUUGAAGGGCAGGAAAGCACCAUUGCAGCUAAAUAAGAAAGAAACAGCCAUAAUGCAGGCGGAGCAUGGCGCCAGAUCUUUUACAACAUGGUCUUUUUUUUUCUCUUCUCUGUUUUCGCUUGAUGUAAAAAGGGUCUAUGGGGAGUUAAAAUGAAAUGAAACAAGAACAGCAUGAGCAUGUCAUCAGAUGCAAGAUCUAGACACACAAGCCACCACCACCGCAACCAGGAGGGGCUCGCUCCGCUACCUAUGCGCAAGAGCAACGACAAACGAUGAAAACACAGCCAAACUGGGUUUGCUGAGCCACAUUUUACGGCCUACGCCUGCCUUCUGCUUCAGCUUCGUACUUCUCUGACCAGCUGUUCAAACUGAAGAUGCAACACCAAACCCGGGCAGGAGCCAUCCACUCUUCUUUGCGUGCUCCACAUAGGAAAUGAACUUCUCCCUGGCAUCAGGAAUGUCCAGAGCCAGGUCGUCGAGUCCAUCCCUGACCCUUGAGAACCCCUUGGUCAUCUGGUUGAUGGUUAUGAUCCCUUCACCAAAGCACUCCUGCAGCAGGCUCAGGGUCCUCUCAUUCUUCUUCUCCAUUGCCAUCACGAGCGCCUUCUUGACAACUUCAUGGUUGAAGAAAGACAUACCCAGUUCACGGAUACAGUUGCAUGCUUCUCCUAAAUCACCUCCACUCUCAUACUCUUCCAGGAGCUUUGUUAUCUUGUCCUUUGCAUCCUCCACAGCCCAUCCGGUUCCACCACCCCAGCACCUCAGAAGCCUCUCACCAGCAUGCCGGGCAGACACAAGGGAGCGUGCCAUGUUCAAUGUUUCAGCCCCGCUGCAGUUUGGUGGAAGCUUGCUGCUAAUCUCAUCCAAGUUUAGAGGUGCAAGAACAUCAUCAAUCACAGCCCUGGCUAGGAACAGUCCCAACUCAUCUGAGGCAUCCAAUAUAUCAAGUGCAGUGUCUUCUGCAGAUUCAAGGAGCAUUAUGAAUCCCUUGGCGAUGUCUUCAGACGAGAACAGCUCCAUGCUUAAUGAGGAUAGAAGAACUGAUGUCAUCUCUUUCUCCCUGUUCUUGCGGUCCAUAGCAGUUGUUAUGAGCUUCUUGAUGAAGAUUGGAUUAUAUUCUGGAUAACCGAGCUCUUUGACACUACGAAUAACCUCUGUUGUAUCAUCAGAUAGAAAGUAUUCGUGUAUUAUAGAUACAGCCUCCCUCUUGUACCUUGCCAGCUUCUCAUGUUCAUCAUCUUCAACGCUUCCGUUGACACCUGACUUCACAUAUGAAGAAUCUAGCCAUCCCUCAGAAAUGGCUUUUGAUACCAACAGCUGGAAUUCAGACUUUGCAGACGGUAUAUCAAGAAUGAGAUCAUCAAGACUCUCAGCAACCCGAUAGAAUCCUUUCAUCAUCUGACUAGAGCUUAUUAAACAUUCUUCAGAUGCCUCCUUCAGAAGUUUGGCAAUAAGUGCUUCAGCAGCUGGACUCUCCAUUCCAAGAGUAAGAGCUCGCUUCACCACCUCAUGAUGAAAAAAGGGCACUGCCAGCUCCCUAAUGCACCUACAAGCCUCAGCUGUAUCACCAUUUCUGAUGUAUUCCUUUAGAAGAUCAGCAAUCCUCUUCUUCACCUCUUCUACUGUGAUGUGAGUUGAACCACCCCAUCGUCGCUCAAUUAACUCUGCAUGGUGGGGUGCUGAAAGAUAGCUUUUCUCUGCAAUUUGUACAACCUGCAUACCCUUUGACGAUCCUGAGAGACUCACUUUUGCCUUGCUGAGGAAAGCAGGUGGCAGAAUGUCAUCAACAACUGCACGUGCAACGAAAAGUGCGAGCACAUCAACCACAUCAGGUAUGUCAACAGCCAGGUCAUCAACAGCCUCCAAUAGCAGCACGAAGCCCAGUCUGAUUUGAGUUGAACUGACCACGUUGCCAUAAAGAUAUGAUAGAAGCACUGAUGCCAUCUCUUUCUCCUUGUCAUGCCUGUCCAUUGCUGUGGAAACAAGCUUCUUGACAAAGUAACGGUGGAAAUCAUCAUAACCCAAUUCUUUAAGAUCAGAAGCAGCUAAUUUUACAUCACCAUUGCUGAAAUAUUCCUCAAUUAAUGGGAUAACAGCUUUCUUGUAGUCUUCUAGUGGGGUUGAAACAGGGGCUUCAACUAACUCAUAUGGCUCCUGAGUAGCAAAAAAAGAUCAACAUCGAUGUACAUGUAUGGUUGGAUAGUAACCACUUAGAGCUAAAUAAAAGGUGAACUACAAUAGUUUCUGAGAUUGAACAUUUGACACUUAAUUGUUUGUAGCAGAGUGAAAGAAUAAACAGGUCAAGAUCAUCAAUAGUCAUUACCUCGCCACUGUCAUAAUUUGGAUCAUUUCGGUCAAGGCAUGCCUCUGCAUCAGUAUCAAUUAGUUUGCCCCAAGUCCCUUUGCCACCAGCUCCAUCUGCAAUAGAAACCUCAGCGUUAAUUAGGAUACAGUGGAACAUAGAUAUAUUUCACAUUUUUUAUCUUGGGAAGUUUGAAACAUGGUAGUAACAAUCAGAGGCAUAACUCACAAUAGUAUUUACUAAGCUAUUGUAAUCACAUGGGGCCUAAGCCCAACUAUGUGUUGCGCUUAGAUCAUAGGUAGUUUAGUCAGCAAUCUCAUGCAUCACAACAACUAAAGAAUCGACACUCCAUAUCAUGCAACAGUAUCAGAAGACAAUUAGAUUUCCACAAUAGUAUAGUCAAAAGUACACACUGCACACUUGCAUUUGAUAUCUUUGCACAACACACAUGGCAAUCACAUGUUCUCAAAAGAUAGUCGGCCACAUGCUAUAAAUGCUACACAGGCUGCAUAACAUUUGGCCAUCCCUAAUAUGAUAAACUAGAUCUAACACGUAGAUGGAUCCUUUUCUUGUUUCUUAAGUUGCAAGGGCUGCAAUAAGAAGAAUAAAGCUAAAGGAACAUGAACCUCCAAAGUACACCUGACAACUGGUAUUUAAUAACAGUAAAUUGUGUCAAUACAUAUCCUGCUUUCACAUAAGAGAUAUAACGAUAUGCAUUAUUUCAGGGUAGAUCUGGAAGCAAACAUGCUUCUAAACAUAUCCCUAAUACACCAUGUGAAUACAAAACAAAUUAAGGAAACCAUUAGAGAAAGACAAAAAAGAUUAGAUCACAUUCUAACCAAAGUUUCUAAACAAAAAAAGGAAACUGUUGAAAGUAAGGCCAUAACAGCACCACAGACCAUGUUUUGACGUGCAUAGAUAGUUGGCAGCAUCAAGGAUGCAGCUAUUGCAAAGCAAUGCAAUACUGUGAUCAGGUGAAAACAAAGAAUUGACAAUUAAAUAAAGACAAUAGAAGCACACGUUCCCACUUUCCAACAAGCAGGUUGCACACACAUGCACAGACGAAGUCCAAAUAUUAUCAGCUAAAAUUGCCAACUGAAAGGAAUGGAACAAUUCUAACUUAAUAGGUUCAAGCAAUCAAGCUAAAGGAUGUUCUACUGAACCCCAAUCAGGAGCUCAGGACACAAUUUGCCACACAGGACGAUAAGUGAUUGAUAUAAAUAAUAAACAAAUGAAGUAGAUCUGGAACAUCAGAGCUACUUGAAGUGUUCCAAUAUGGUUCACAUCAUACCCACCAACAGGACAAUUUGGUGUUUCAAUCAACUGAACGCUGGUUAUCAGAACCAAAGGCACAAUGUGCAAUGUCAAUUUUACGUUACCAUGUUUUGAUAAGAACAGUUUGUACAGUUACACAGAUACACGACAAAAGAGUACGGUAGCGACAAAAAGAGUACGGUGGCGACAAAAAUAGCUAAAAAUCUGGCGAAUGAAGAUAGAAUGCACAUACCUAAAUGAACCGACCUUUCGACAGAAAUCACUACACAGCCAAAUAUACAAAUGUCAUGGUCCAACUAAAUCAUUCCCUUAUGGGUGGCUCAACCACCAGCGAAUCCCAUAUUGACAGCUCAGACUAGAAAUUAACCCGCACACGGAACAACCAUCAUGCACCAUGUAUUUAAACCUAACCAUCUACAUAACAAGCAUGCAGAUAUAGCACAGAAUGUUUAAAACGAACUGCUUCUAUACUUAACCAACCUACAACAACAAUUUCAGUUGGGCAGACAGAUAUAAGCAGCUAAAAAAAGCAUCCAUGUUCCUACAUAAUAAUUUGCAUCAAUGCUACAUUUCCUUUUUAAUUACCAUUUCCAAACCCAAGCUAUGCAGUCUCAACACAACAAGAGCCCAUCAUCCAUGGUGGUCCAAUUUCAUGAGCUACAGACUAGCAGGACACUAGAAAUCCAGAGCUAUGGCAACAAGAAGGAGACCCCACAAAAAAAGUAUAUCCCUAAUAAACAAGGAGAGCUAUAUGAAGCAGAGCUGCCGAACCUACAUUCGUAGGAGCAUAUGUAAGCAGAAACAUCAUGACGCCACAAUUACCAUUACACCCUAAUAAAAACGCAAGCCAGGCAGCAAAUCACUCACACAAACCAGCACCAGCCUAUCCUAUGCAAUCCUAUCCUAUUCUAAACAAACAAGCAAGGUACUAAACAUAGCAGGCGUGGAAUAGAUCGAGCAGCCAGCGCUACCUCACCUUUCUUCACCUUGAUAGUCUUCCCGGAAUGCGACCGGCGCACGUGCCUGGGCCCACCACCCCCACCCCCACAUCCUCCUCCGCCGCCCCUCCCGCCACCACCAGCAGCCGCGGCAGCCGCUGCUGCGGCGGCGGCGGCGCGCUUCUGCUCCAGCAUCUGCUGCUCGUACUGCUGCAGCAGCGCGGAGGUGGUCCCUCCCGUGGGCGAGCGCGGGGAGGCGAGCGACUGCGUCUCCGCGUUCUGCACCGCGAUCCGCAGCUUCUCCCGCUGGUCCUGCGUCAGGAACCCCCCGUCCUUCCUCGGCGACGUCAUCCCUCCCAGCCCUCCUCCUUCUCCUCCUCCAGCACCACCGUCACCUUCGUCACCACCUGCAGCAGCAGCAGCAACAACAACAACAACAACGAAGCAGCAGCGGCACCGCGCGCGCGUCAGCGAAGCCGGAAUGGAGGAGGGGGAGAGGAAGAGAAGGAGGUGAGGUGAGGGUUUCCUCCCGUCCGUACCUAGGGUUUCGGCCGCGGAUCGAGCCGGCGGCCCCCGAACCCGUGCGCGAGAUUUGUGUGCGAGCGAGUGAGUUCGGAUAAUUUUUUUUCCUCCUUUCUCUCUCCCCACUCUCCUGCUGCUGGUCUCGUUUUUUCUCCGCGAAGAGAGAGAGAGAGAAACGGGGGACGGCGACGCGAGUGUGACGGGAAGGAUAGGGAGGUGAGGCGUGGCGUGGCUUUAUACGGAGGCGGGCGGCGUGCGUGGGCCCUCCGCUCAGCGGACACGUUGCUCGUCACGGGCCCGCACGUCAUUGAGCCUGCCUUGUGGGCCCGAGCGGCCCGCUAGUCUGGUCCGGGCCAGCCGGCCGGCCGUCGCGGAUCCCUAUCCGGGGUCUCGUCCACCUGGCGGUGUCCGAGCGGCCGGCUCGGGUCAGCACGGGACGCCAACGGCUCACUGACACGUGGGUGGGUCUGGCUCUGGGCCCCGCGAGUCGGUGACGGAGGAAGGGUUUUGUUUGGGCCGCAGCUGCCUCGGGUCGUGCAGGCGUUUGGACCGGGCCGGGGCGGCGUGGGAGUUAGGGUUUUGCUGCUCGGGUGGGAGGGGUGUUGGAUCCUCUGUGGCCAACGGAACGGAACGGAACGGGUGGUGUGGUGUGUGGUGUGGACAGGCGCUGGCUGGCUGGCUGGGGGACACUUGGCGGGCUGUGAUUGGCGGUGGUGCUGUGGAUAAGGCAAAGCAGAGUGGCGGAUGACGGGAUGAGAAUGACGCGUAGGAUUUAAGUCAAGGUUCAGUCAUCAUCAUCAUCAUCAGUAUCGCUCACGCCAAAAUACUAUUGGGGGCUUUUGUUUAGUUGCCAAAAUUUUUUAAGAUUUCAUAUCAUAUCGAAUCUUACGGCAUAUACAUAAAACAUAACUAAUUGUAUAGUUUACGUAUAAUUUGUUAGACGAAUCUUUUAAACCUAAUUAGUCUAUAAUUGAAUAAUAAUUAUCAAAUAAAGCCAAAAAAAUACUACAAUAGUGAAACCUAAAUUUUUUCCGACCUAAACAAAGCCUCAUGGAUUACCUAGAGCUGACAAACCCACGUGUCAGAAACUCACGGAUUUCCUUGGGCUGAGGGUCUGUUUAGAUUGGAGAUAAAAAUUUUUUGGGUGUCACAUCGGAUGUGUCGGAAGGAUGUCGUAAGAGGUUUUUAGAAACUAAUAAAAAAACAAAUUAUAUAGCUCAUCAGGAAACUGUAAGACAAAUCUAUUAAGCAUAAUUAAUCUGUCAUUAGCAUAUGUGGGUUACUGUAGCACUUAAGGCUAAUCAUAGAGUAACUAGGCUUAAAAGAUUCGUCUCAGGAUUCUCAACUAAACUGUAUAAUUAGUUUAUUUUUUUAUCUACAUUUAAUGUUCCAUGCAUGUGUCCAAAGAUUCGAUAAGAUGGAUGAAAAAUUUUUAGGUGGGGACUAAACAGGGCCUGAGAGGAGCCCGCCCCUUUUUUUCGGGCACACAGUUUUUUGUUGCGGUAGAAAACGUUUCGUGCUUUUCAGCACACAGAAAGGAUCGAUUCUGGUGACAGUUGUCGUUUUUUUAAUAAGGAUGACGAUUGAUUUAAAAUAUCAUUUUGUAGUAGUUAAAUAGUUAUCAAUUUAACUAAAAUUUGUACAGAAGAAAUUACUACUAACAUUUGUAGUAGUAAAUAAGUGUGACUAAUUACGAAUAGUUUUUUUUUUAUUGUAGACAUACUAUUUGAUGAAGAUAUAUAAAUGCUGAAAUCUGCUAGAAAGAGAAAAAAAUAACUUAACUUUUAUUGUAAUUUUUCUUUGGCAUGGAGAGAGUAGUAGGUAGCAAGUGUUAUUCUGAAUAAAUAAAAAAACAAACAAACAAAAAAAAGGCUGCGUUAUUUUGGACUUAGGCCUUGUUUAGUUUCCAAAAAAUUUUGCAAAAUUUUUCAGAUUCCCCGUCAUAUCGAAUCUUUAGACGUAUACAUGGAGUAUUAAAUAUAAAUGAAAAUAAAAACUAAUUGCACAGUUUGGUCGGAAUUGACGAGACGAAUCUUUUGAGUCUAGUUAGUCCAUAAUUGGACAAUAUUUGUCAAAUACAAACGAAAGUGCUACUAUUUAUAUUUUGCAAAAUUUUUUGAAACUAUUAAUAUUAGAGAGUGUUGACGGUGGCUCAUUUGAGGUUUGUUUGUUACGCUUGCCUGAACUUAUCCAAAACUAGGGGGUCGCUUGUCGGCAGCUGAAAGCGCUAGCGUUUCGUUUCAUGAACAAGGCAUUUCUCGGCCGCUCUCUUUUCGAUCAGCAGUUUGCGGCCUCGACCCAAAACGUAUAUAUAUCGCUUUAUAGGCUGCUCCGUUAUGUUCUAAUAAGUAUAAUUAAGUUGGUUUAUCUCUAAUUACUUUUGAGGUGGACCUCUCGUCCACUUUAUUCGUUUGGCUGAUAAGCUACUGUUAGCUGAUUUGUUGUAAGAGAAAAGCACUGUUAAAUGAGUGUCAAGUUCGACUUAUAAGCUCAAGCGAACAAGAAACGAAAACUGUCCCAAUUCAAAAAUGUUUUGGUGCUUGAGUGACAUUACAUCUCGGCGAAUGAGCUACUACAUAGCAAGAGAGAAGAUAAAAACUUGGAAUUCUAGUGUUUGUUAAGAGCCAAAGGCAUUGGCGCAUGACGAGUCAGGUUCAUCGUGAAAUUCUCGCCAUAGGCCAUAGCUGAAAGAACGGUGCAACUUCAUCGCAUGACUGACUAUUGCAUAACAUCGGCGCUUCGCAUUCAAAUACCAAAGUAAGGCUUUGUUUAAAUUCAAAAAGUUGUUAGAUUUUGACACUGUAGUAUUUUUAUUUUUAUUUUACAAAUAUUAUCCGAUCAUGAAUUAAUUAGACUUAAAAGAUUAGUCUCGCGAUUUACGGGUAAACUAUGCAAUUAGUUAUUUUGUUUGACUGGUGAUAGUGUUAACAGUAGCUGAUCCGGCACGUGAAGGGAGAUAUAUGGUGGUGGUUUCUUUGUUAACCUUGCCUAAUCCAAAAACAGGGGCUGCUCUGCUUUCAACCUAGAUAAAGGCUACAACCAGGCCAACUUUACACAAAAUGCCAAAAAAAAAGUGAUCGGAACACACAUUCGAUUAAGAAAAAAUGGUUAGCCAAAUCGGUAGUAACCGGACUCAACCCAAUGCCUUGAAUAAAUGACUCUGUAUUUCUCCAAAAAUCUAGUAGCUAAACAAAAUCCUGAGAACAUGUGUGUGUAAUGUGCAAAAAUUCAAAAGAAAGACAAAAGCAGCAGCCCAGUCCUCGGCAUGGGCUGCACGGCUCCACUUGGUAUCGUGUGGGCAUGCUGCUCCAGUCCAGAGCACCCGCCUGAUUUUUUUAGUUUCUCCAUGAUCUUCUGCGCUUCUGUUCUCGCCCUAUUCAAGCACUGUUUUAUUUACUAUUAGAAAUAUAAGCAAGAAAAAACAUUACUCCAUAUAUGAAGCUAGUUACACCAUCUUUUGCUGAGUCCUGAUCACCAGGUCCCUGCUGAUCACUGAAAACACUCAUCAGUCAUUGUCACCAUCUCAAACAAGCAAGAAUAGCACCCAAUCUUACCGGGUUGUUUCUUUUCUCGGGUCAAAAAGGAAAAAGGAGGAGAACAUCUCAUUAGAAGAUACUAUGAAAAUCCAAAGGACAAAAAUAUAUAGUGAAAGAUGGAACCAAUAUACUGCCCAGUAGUCCAGCCUCAUUAGAACACACACCAGAAGACCACCUCACAAAAAUUAUCUAUGCUGCUGAAUGAUGAUCCUCUUUGCAAACUAAGAACUGCAUCUCAAUAUGAAAACAACAUCAUCACGGUACCUUUUUAACAUAUUAUUAGAAGACUAGAAUCAGAGAGCAGAAGUAAUGAAGGGUAAAUGGAAUCAAACCAAAAGAUAAAACUAUCACUCCUUCAAUUAUUAGCUCCUGGGAGGGCAAAUAAGUAAAGAUACCUGGAUUAAAUAGACCAUGGUCACACAAUCUUCGAACUGUCUAUAUCAUAUAAGAGUAAAAUAUCCAUAAUUAAACAUAAAGUAAAAUACGUUUUCAAGGUGCCAUAACCCAAUCAACAAUUCCAAAAGCGAACCAGAAAGGCAUGUCUUUCUUCGGCUAUAACAGGCCAGCAACCACCAGUAUGAGUUUAUAAGACUUCUGUCCAAAGGCAACCAGAACUUGUCAAUAGAAAUUGUAGAAACAUCUCGAUUCAAUGUAAUUACACAGUUUCCCUAAUAACCAUGUGACACUAAGUAAACAUUAGCUGCCUUAUAAUGACUCUGUUAGGAAAAAGAGUUGCACAGCGCCACAGCCGUGGACAAUCUGAAUAUUGGAAGUAGCAGGCCAUCGACACCAUAGUGGGCAUGCAAACCAUUGUAAGCUGCAACACAAAAUAGUAUAGAAUUGUCAGUGAAUAACAUACAAAAGGCAGAAUAUCAUAGAACUAAUGAUGUGACAGUCAAAAUAUAAGAUAGAGGAAUCAGAAUACAUCAAUUGGGUAAGAUGUAUGGUGAGCACAGCUAACAGUAACAAAAUGAAAUGUCAGAUACCUUUUUGCCUCUUAUGCCCAUACACCAGCAGCUAAAGUUAACCUAUGAAUAUGUAAACGAUAUCAUCCAUACCUGCUUCAAAUAACUGAGUAUUUUUUAGUUGGAGCAGAUUUAGGUAGAUUGGGAACCUGGUUGACACAAUCCUCAAGGACACGUUUCAACUCCGCUUUUGCCUUCUUCACACAAGACUCUGAGUGGCCCUCGAUAAACAGGUACAGUUUGCGCUCAUUAGCACCAACAAUUUUUCCUUGAGCAAUAUAUGUUCCCCUUAUAGUGAUAGCAACACCACCUUCCUGAAUAGGACCUAAUGUGUCUUUGUGAGUGAUUCUCCAGCGAGCAUGCUGUGGGAAAUCAUUAAUCUCAAGCUCAGCCUCGUAGUGGUCAGGAACCGCAUGGCGCUGUAUCCGUGCCAAAGCCUCAAGAGCAUGAAGCCUAGCUUCAUCAUUUGUGCUCGGUUCACCCACCGCCUGCACAUCAAGGUCAUCUCCUGCCUUAUGUACCUCUUCCUCGUCAAAAUCUGAAUCUGACUUUUCCUCCUCAUAUCCAUAUUCCAUUGCCUGAGCUUUCUUUGUGAACUUCCGCGCUUCAUCCUCUUCCUCAUUGAACUUGAAACCGCUUCCACCAUAACCAGUACCAUGGGUCCGCUCUGUUCCCUGCUUCACCUUUGCCAUAAACCGAUCAGCUAAGGCUUUCAGGUCAUCUGGAACAGUCUGUUCAGAGAGCUCCAGUGCCUUCACAAGAUCUGGCGCAUAUCGCUCCUCUUCCUCAGAAAUAAAAGUCACAGCAGAGCCCUUCCUACCAGCACGGCCUGUUCGCCCAACACGAUGAACAUAGUCCUCAUAGUGGUUAGGGACAUCGUAAUUGACAACCAACUCAAGUUCUUUCACAUCUAAACCCCUAGCAGCAACACUAGUAGCAAUCAGCAAGCUGCAGAUAUUACUCUUGAAAUCAGCAACUGUUGAUUCACGAUCGGCUUGAUCUUUACCACCAUGUAGAGACAAGCACUGAUAUCCAUGCUGGAACAAGUUUUUAAGCAGAGAAUCACAUUUAUCUUGAGUGUGGACAAACACAAGAAUCUUCCCCUUAUCACACCACUUCCCAAGCAACUCUAACAGCCUUAAGAACCUCUCACUUUCUGGCCGCACCUCGACUACUUGUGUGAUGUCUUUGUUCACGACACUCCUCCCACCCACCUGAAUCUCAACGGGCUUGAUCAGCACCUUGCGCGCCAGCAUCUCUACCUGCCGUGGAAAAGUGGCUGAGAAAAGCACCGUUUGUCUAUCUCGCCGGAUGUUUUGAAUUAUCCUAGUAAUCUGAGGCUCAAAACCCAUGUCGAACAUCCUAUCAGCUUCAUCCAUCACCAAGAAUGUCACUCUCCGAAGGUUAGUGAUUUUCCCAUUGCUAGUACAGAGGAUAUCGAUCAUCCUUCCUGGUGUGCAAACGACAAUUUCAGCACCUCGUUUCAGUUCACUGAUCUGCUGGGCAACCCCUGAACCUCCAUAGACAGCAACACAACUAAUGCCAAGCACCUUAGAGAACUUCUUAAUGUCCAAGUAUAUCUGCACCACAAGCUCCCUUGUAGGAGCCACAAUGAGCCCAACAGGACCAUCUCCAGGAGCAACAGGUGGCUGGUCUUUGACAUGCCUGAGCAUCGGAAGGAGAAACGCAAGUGUUUUGCCAGAUCCAGUUUUUGCAACACCAAUACAAUCACGGCCACUCAUGAUGACCGGCAACGCUUGCGCCUGUAUAGGCAUGGGUUUCUCAAAACCAAGCUUCUUGAUGGUGUCAAGGAGCUUGCUAGUCUGCCCACUCUGUAACCAUGUCUUAAUUGGCUUGGGCACAUCUUUCCCAUGCACCUUGAGCUCCAAUUCCUUCCUGUACACGGCCACUUCCUCGGAUGUCAUCUCCCUGAUGUCCUUUGCCUCGAUGUAGAAAUUCUUCUGGAACGGUUGGUAAUCAAUCUUGGAAUGGUCCACAACCCCCAGCUUCUCCAUCUUUGUCUUCUUGACACGCUUCAUGAACUCCUCGUCAUCCUCGUCCUCCAAUCCAGCACCAACAUCAUCCCCGACAUCUUCAUAAUCUGAGUCUGAGUCAUCCCCUUGCAUGAUUCUCCCAGUCCCCUUCUUCAACCCUUUCUUAGCAACUGCAUUGGAAGCUGGUACACUGUCCACUGAUGCUGCAUUCCGCUCCAGCAUUGCAACCUCCGGCAGCACCAUGGUGUUCAUGAAUGCGUCAAGUGGAUCAAUCUCUUCCUCAUCCGCAUCAGUAGGGCCACUGGUAGCAUUACCCCCAUUGUUGAAAUCAACAUCCAUGACACUGCUUCCGCCCAAAUCUGUGCCAUCCGCUUCCUCGUCAGAGUCCUCGCCCUCCAAGGUCCACUUCUUCCCCGCCACGGCACCGCCGCCCGCCUCGGGCCCGGCCCCGCUGGCACCCUGCUGCUUGCGGCGUUUCUCCUGCCAGUCCUUGACGCGGAUGCGGCGGCGCUCCAUCUCGUCGUCCAGCCGCUGCUGCUCGUCCCUCAUGCCCCCCUCUUGAUCCUUGGUAGCGGGCGCCGCCUCCGGCUCUGUGUCCCGGCGGUGGUGGUGCGAGGAUACGCGGUGGCGCUUGCGGUCGCGGCCGCUGUCGUCGUACUCCUCGUCCGCAUCCCGCCGCCUCGACCUCUCCCUAUCUCUCCUCUCCUCGCGCCGCGGCGCCCACUCCCUCUCCUGCUCGUCGCGGUCCCUAUCCUUCUCCCCCCUGUGGCGGCGAUCCCGGCCCCGGUCCCAAUCGAAGUCCCUGUCAUCGCGACGGUGGUGGGAGGAGGAGCGCUCGUGGUGCCUGUCGCGGUGGUGGCGGGAGGAGGAGCGGUCGCGGUCGCGGUCGCGGUUCCGGUCCCGGUCCCGGUCCCGGUCACGGUCGUUAUCAUCGCCGGAGACCAUGGUGUCGACGGCGGUCGGAAGUUUCGGGAAGCGAAACCCCAGGCGCCGGUCUGACGUGUUCCGGAGUUUGGAGACGGUGAUUUUUGUUUCACGAUUUAUUAGCAGAAGAUCAUUUUUUCUUCUUAUGUACUCUAAAGUUGAGCAAGCACGAUGAUUUGGCCCGGCCCGAUCUUAACUGGGCCCGGGCAGGCCCGAAGCACGUAGCGGACUGUGCUUGGGUCGACCUCUCGGCCCGCUGGCCGGCACGGCACGGCCCGCUUUUAACAGUAGGCACGGUAAUGGCCUGAUAUUAGGAAAUUUGUGAAAUUUGAAGUAUCACGUUCUAUGACUUGUGAAACUUGUGACUUUUGGCAAGUAAAAUAUGAUCUCAAAGUAUAUUGUGUUAUGUGAAUCGUGAAGUAUUAAUAACUGUGACUUGAAUGUAAUGUACUUAUGCUUUGUUAAAUUCUGUAUUAAAUUUGGUAUUUUUCAUAUAACGGGCCACGGGCCGGCCCGAAGGACUAUUGGGCCUCGUGCAUUUUUGGGCCGGCCCGGCCCGAAAUUGGCCCACGGGCCGUGCCUGGGCCGUCAGGCAGGCACGGUGGCCUGUGGAGGCACGGCCCGGUGGCCCGCGGGCCAUACGGGCCCGUGCCCUAUCGGGCCGUGCCUAGCACGGGCCCGUGCCGGGGCGGGCCGGGCCAGCCUGUUGCUCAUAUCUAAUGUACUCCCUCAUCCCAAAUUGUAAGAAUCUUAGUGAGUCAAACUUUUCUAAGUUUGACCAAAUUUAUAUGAUAAAAUAAUAAUUAUUAUGAUACUAAUUAAGUAUCAUUAGAUUCUUCCUUAAUUAUAUUUUCAUAAUAUACUCACUUUACGUUACAAAUCUUAGUAUUUUUCUAUAUAAAUUUGAUCAAACAUGAAAAUGCUUUGACUCUUCAUGAUUUUUGGAAUGACUUACAAUUUGGAAUAGAGAGAGUAGGUAUAAAGCUAUUUUUUUAAUCACACGGGUUAAAAUAGAAUAGUUUCUCAAGCUCGUUGGAACCUGCUUUCAUACCGGGGAAGCAGAGCUUAAAAAAACGAAUCCUUCGAGUAAAAAUUCUGUAGACACCUGUUGGUUGGUUUUGCCGAUAAUUCACCAGUCAUUAUUUAGGCUUCAGUUCGCAAAAAGUUUUGGAUUUCGACGCUUAAGCACUUUCGUUUCUAUUUGACAAACAUUGUCCAAUCAUAGAGUAACUAGGCUUAAAAGAUUCAUCUCGCGAUUUACAGAUGAACUGUGCAAUUAGUUUUCAUUUUCAUAUAUAUUAAAUGCACCAUACAUGUGCCGUAAGAUUCGAUGUGAUGGGGAAUUUUGAAAAUUUUUGGAAAGUAAACAAAGCCUUAGGUUAUAUGGACUUAAAUUAAUCUAUCUAUUAGUUUAUAAUGUUUAGAUUUACUAGAACUUUUUGUUAGUUAUUCUUCUAAGUGAUUUGAAUAAGCCUACAACUAGGCAUGAAAAGCAUUUGCUUAUAUCAUUGUAUUUUGAACCCAAUCAUUAAACUAGAGCAUGGCAUAGGAGAAACUUUAUAUCAUUGCCCACAUUGAAGUUUCUAGAGCAUCGGUUUUUAGUAGGGUGGAGGCUGAGGCCUUGUUUAGUUCACGAAAAUUUUUGGAUUUCGCUACUGUAGCACUUUCGUUUUAAUUUGAUAAUUAUUGUCCAAUUCUAGACUAACUAGGCUCAAAAGAUUCGUCUCACAAAUUACUAAUAAACUGUAUACAGAUAAACUGUGUAAUUAGUUAUUUUUUUAUCUAUAUUUAAUGAUUUAUACAUGUGCCGCAAGAUUCGAUGCGACUGGAAAUCUUGAAAAAUUUUGAGAACUAAACAAGACCUGAGCUCUUUUUCAUGAGUGUUUCCCCUCCCCUCUCGGCAGCAUGUGGGGUGUCGCGCUCCCCACUGUGUCCCCCCCCCCCCCCCCCCCCCCCCCACAACACACACACACCACGUCGGCUACUCCUCUAUCUCUUUGAUCUGAAUCAGUCUAUGGAAUUGAAGCGAGCUUAGCUACAGGGUGAAGUGUUCAACUUUGUGGAUUCGGUGACAACAGCAAUGGUGGCAUGCCUAGAGUGAGCUCGUGGAGAGUGGUGGACCUUGAGAAUGGGCUUGGCGGUGGGCUUAGAAACGGGCUAUCCAGUAGUGGGCCUGUGAUUUUUUUUUCUAAUUUUAAUCUAUUUUUGAGACCAGUAGUAUGCUUCUGAAAAUAAUAAUAAUGACUUUAUUAAGAGGCGCUGUUGUAAAUGAGAUUUAGCCGACUCCGAAAUUUGGUUUUGCAAGUAGUGCCUCAUGUAAACUUGAUCGACAAAAUUUAUAUUUAUGACUUUAUUAUCCGUAUUCGUUGUCUAAGGCCUUGUUUAGUUUCAACCGGUAAAUUUUAACUCCUAUCAUAUCAAAUGUUUGGACACAUGCAUAACAUAUUAAAUAUAGACUAUUUACGAAAUUUAAAACACAGUUAGAGAAUAAUUUGCGAGACAAUUUUUUAAGUAUAAUUAGUCCAUGAUUAGAUACUGAUUGCAAUAAUUACAAAUGUGCAACGGUACCUAUUAAACUUUAGUACCUCCAACCAAACACGCCCUAAGGUCAUUGCUACCUGGUUCGAUUCCAACCUUCACAAGUCACAUCACAUUGUUUAAAAAAACUGGUUACUCAACUUUUGGAUCUAAUUAUCCACAUACCAUUAUGAGGUAUAAUGUAUGCAACCCUUUAAAUUUGCAUCAAAAUUAUCACUACUACCAUUAUUUUAAAAAAAACUCAAAUUCCUCAUGAAAUCUGCAUAUAAAUUAGCAAUGUCUUCUAUUUAAAAGUAUUUAAAUAGCCAUAAUUACACAGUACAUGUUUCUACGUUAUUCGCAAACAUAUAUUAAUAUCAGUUUAUUAAAAUCUAUUUAAAGAAAAUAUAAUGUUGUACCAAAGGUCAAGUACAUAUGCAUAUGCAUAAGUGGUAAAUAAAUAAGUUAUGUUUCAGCAAUCAAGAAAAUUAUUCCUUAGCGACUCAUGUACUAAUGAUCCUAAAAAAUUAUUUAUUUUAUUAACCAUGACAUAUAAUUUAUGUAUUUUUUUUAUUUAAGAAAAAAUAUAUUUUAACUAAAACUGAUGUAUCUAUAUUGAUAGUAUAACCAAGGUUAGUGCAGACCUAUCUACCCAGUUUUUAAAAAUUCAUUCAUGUAAAAUAGUGAUUAUAUGGCUUAAUAAAUAUUAAUAUUUCUUAAGGUUACUACCUCUAUCGCAUCGUAGAUCUCAUUUGAUGUUCUACCAUAGAUCUUAAGCGACAUGGUGUAGGUUUUAAAUAACCUUAUAUUAUGCCAUUGUUGUGUUAAGAUUGCAAUGUACAACAUAAAAUCCUUAUCUUAAUAAAUAUAAAAUGAAACUUAAUUAAAGAUACAAUAAGCACUAGGGUUCCAACUUAACUUGAGGAUAAAAGUCUAUCACAGCUAUAAUAUAAAACUUGAAAAAUCAAAAUAUGGAUUCAUGGCAUCACAAGAUAUAAGCUAGCAACAACAAAAGCUACAAUUAGUUUAAGCUAAGGGUUCAAUGCAUAUUCAAUAUACAGUGAUACACAUAUGUGUCAUGCAAAGGAAAAAAACCAUAUGGAUAUAGAUGACGAAUAUAUCGAUUAGUUAUUUAUAAGUUCGUUACAACUAGAUGUAUAGAGGCUACAUAGUAUCUAUUAUGUCUAUUGUGUUAAAAAAUGAACAAAGAGAAAAAAACAUGCAAAUCAAUAAAAGUAAUUUUAUUAGCCAUAAAUAUUAAAUAGUAACAUUAAUAAUACUUAUAUAUCUCUUAAUGUUUUAGCGCGUGUCGUCGGAUCAUGGGUUGAUGAACUACUAGUUAGUUUAACUAUUAGAAAUUAAAUUCAUUUGGCCAACAAUAUGUAUAUAAUCUAAGGGCACUCCCAAGUCCCAAACCAGAAACCACAUAGUUUUUAUGUUAAUUAAUUAAGGUAUUAACUAAGUAUAAAUGAUGAUGUGGCACUACAAUUAAAGAAGAGAGAGAGAGAGAGAGAGAGAGAGAGAGGAGGAAAUGGUUUUUUAAGAGCACUCACAAUGCAAGACUCUAUCAUAGAGUCCAAGACAAUUAAUUAUAUAUUAUUUAUGGUAUUUUGUUGAUGUGGCGGCAUAUUUAUUGAAGAAAAAGGUAGAAAAAAAUAAGACUCUAAAUCUUAUUUAGACUCUAAGUCCACAUUGUUCGAGGUAAUAAAUAACUUUAGACUCUAUGAUAGAGUCUGCAUUGUGAGUGCCCUAAUAAGACACAAUGUCUACACACGAACCAAGACAUGAAAGGAUAUGAUAGGUAGAUGAGUGAGAGAGAAGACAUGUGGUUAGACAAAAGAUCAUUUUAUAGAAAUUAUCCAUUGGAAACUCUGUGGUUUUUAGUAUUGGAGUGCCAUAACUAGCCAAACUACACAGUCAAGAGAGAGCAAAGUAGUACACAUAUGGGUGAGAAUAAUGAAAAGCAGGAGGGAUAUGAUGGCGUGAGAUGCCGGCGAAGGGCGCAGAAGGGUGUGUAUAUGUUACAGAAGGUCUACGGGUGGGACAUAUAGGUGCGACAGGUUUACAUGAAUGAAGCUAGGAACUGGAUGUUUGUCAACGAUUUGGGCAAAGGAUCUGGAUAAAAGGUUGAUCAGUUGUGCUCUGAUCAAGGUCACUGCACUAUGCCAAAACAGCACAAAGGAGACACCUCAACUAGUGACUCGAAACUGAAAUGCGUCACUAAUAAGCACAUUAGUGACGCAGGUAAACAACACGCGUCGCUGCUAAGGUGUUGACCAUGCCCCAAGAACAAGACGCGUCACUAAUGGCAAGGUAUUAGUGACUCGUUCUAAGAAAACACGUCACUGAUAAUAAAAGUGACACGUUUUAACUAGGCACGUCACUGUUAUAGAUACAUAUUAGUGACUCUUCCCAACAAAACGCGUCACUAUUAAUAGUCGUGACGCAUUUUACGUAGACACGUCACUGAUAUGGAGAGAUAUUAGUGACUCGUCCCAACAAAACGCGUCACUAGUAUUAAAAGUGACAUGUAGUGUCCAGACACGUCACUCCUAUUUAUACAUAUCAGUGACUCUUCCUGUUGAGCCCGGUCACUAACUACCUGAUAACUCGUGCUCAUACAACUUAUAAUAACUUGCGUCUAAAUCAAUAUGGAGUAGGAGUCUUAAUAUAAAUAGAUUCCUCAUAUCCUAAGUAUUUAAAAAAACUCUUAAUAGUUAAAUAGAAAAGGAUAAGAAUUGCGUUUUUUAUUUUGCUCCGCUUUCUUUAUUUAGUUAGAUGUCAAUCGGAGGAAAAAAAAUCAAAGUCCUAAUCUGUAGUUCCUUCUUCUUCUUAUAUCUAUACCUAAUAAUAAAGAAGCAAAAUUUCAAGUUUUUUUUCGUCCAUCUUUUUUUGGCUCGUCUCUCUUUAGCUACCGGAUAAUGAAGAGUUUCUUCUAUCCAGACUUAUAUAUAUAUCCCAUACUUCGACAAGUUAGAAUAGCUUUUGUCUAGCAUGAUAUAGAGUUCGAUUCCAAAACAUAUUGGAUCAGGAACUGAACUCUAGAUUCGUAAUCUAUUCCUCCUUAAUAAUAGAAAGCCAAAAUUUGUGGCACCCAUUUUUUUCUUCGUGCGGCCAAUCACCAGUGUUCUGUCCGAGUUCACCAUGAUUGCCUGAGUUUAGAUUGGAUCUUUUUUUGUCUUUACUUUUUUUGCCAAUCACCAGUGUUCUGUCCGAGUUCAGCAUGAUUACCUUAGUUUGGAUUGGAUCUUUAUUUUUGUUUUCGUCUUUACAUUAUUUUUUCUCUCCGGCUCAUAGGUGUUGCGUACUUGGGUCUAAAAGAGUCGCUCCCCCUUCUCCCGUGGUGUCCGGACUUUUUUUCUUUGAAGUAACUAUAUCUUUUCUUAUAAGAAUAAAGAUAAUUUUGGUCGAGCUUUGUUUUGGAUUUUAGUUGAGUCUAACUAUUCGCUUGUUUCGGUUUAAAAUUGGUUUAAACUCGUGUUAGGCUUCCGAGUUAGAUUCAGUCCAUAACUUUCUUUUUUUCACGCUACCCUAUGAGACAAGGAGUUCUUAUGCCAUAAACAAAAAAUAAGUUAAAAAUAAUAAGAAACCAGAUCCGAAAAAGAGAAACAUAGUCCUAUAUAGUCAUAUAAAUAUAUAUUUAUACGGACACUGAUGAAAGAUCUAGUGAACAUAUAAAGAUAUGAUGGAUCAUCACAUGUUUUACUUAUGCUCCCUCCAUUACAAACUAUAAGACGUUCUGUUGUUUUUCUUGGUACAUAAAUUUUGCUAUACAUAUGCAGAUAUUUGUUGUGUCUAGCUACGUAGUAAAAUUUAUAUGUAUGUAUCUUAAAAAAAGCUAAAGUUUAAUUAAAACAUCUUGUAAUUUAGAAUGGAGAGAGUAUACAUCUGAAUGGAUGCAGGCUAGGCUAGCUAUGCACGCAACUUUUCUUCCUUCGAGACUCGACUGACAACCAUAUAUAUACAUGUUUUUGGCCAGUUCAUUCAUUCCCAGGCGACGAACAUGGUGACAGCAGAGGCUAGCACCGGAGGGGGCUGAGGACAAGAGCAGAUUCCCGAGGCCCGUAACGUAAGGCCACGGCCGUCGUCCAGUGCCGCGUGGGAGUAUUUCACCCAAUUCACAGCAGGCGAUGGUAGGAGAAAAGCGAGAUGCAAGAAGUGCAAUCGGGUGUUGGCUGCGGACACUAAAACAAACGGCACAAGAACACUGCUAAGACACGGCACGGGCACGGCAUCGGCAUGGCACGCCAAGGCACGGCACUAUGCGGCACGGCAGCACGUCGUGCCGUGCCUGUUAGUGCCACCGUGCCUAAGUGGCAGCCCAGGCACGGCACUAUGGAGUAGAAAUCGUGCCGUGUCGUGCCAGCAGGCACGGUGGCACACCAGUGCCCGUGUCGGUCCAGGCACUAAAACAUUUUUUUAUCAGCACAAGUAUACAAUAUUAUUACACCAAACAUAGCAAUUAACAUCUUAACAAUAGAUGGAAGACUGAAAAAUACAAAUGGCUAGUGUUGGCUCGGUCAUCCUCUUCAUCUCCAGAGAGGUCGCUCGUCACUGGCUCUAGCCGUAGCCUCAAACGACCGCCAAAAGCAAAACAAAAAACAACCAGAAGAAGUCAGAGGCCACAGGUAGAGGAGAUCAAAAGAAGAACAAGUCAGGCUCAAAGCUAGGGUUAGGGUUUCUUACCUCGCCGCCGACGGAUUAGUAGCAAUAGCUCCAAGCAGCAGUGGAUUAGCAGAUCUGCACAAAAUGAAACAAGAAUAAGAAAACGCCAUGGACAGAGGACGAGAAGAAGAAGAGGUGGGGAUCUUAUGUGCUUCUUCGGAGCUCCGGCGACCGCGACUAUGAGGUCGCUACCGCUGCCUCUACUGGAGCUGCUGUGGGGAUGACGGCGAGCCGCCGUCGCCGUCGCCCCUGUCCUUCCCCUUUCGCCAUGGCUGAUGGACGGAGAGUCGAAGAUGGAGAAGCAGAGAGACUGAGAGAGGAGAGACCGAGAGGGCGAGUCACGGCGGCCGAGAGCAAAUGAGCUAGGGUUCGGAUGGGAGAGGGGAGUGAAGCCGGCAUCGGCUUAUAUACACCUCGUCCCCAACUCUGAAUCCAACGGGUGGAAAUGAUCUAGGCUUUGGAUCCGACGGCUGCUGGCAAAAGAUCGUGCCUGUAGCGGGCCAAGUCCAUUUUCGUGCCGUGCCUCGUGCUGGCCCAUGGGCCGAAUAUGCAGCCCAGGCACGGCACGAGGUCGGGCCGUGCCAGGCACGGGCACGGAUGUAGCCGGGCCGUGCUGUCCUUGGGCCGUGCUUUCUCGGGCCGUGCCCGUGUCAGCCCAUCGGGCUUGGCCCAUCUGGAAAACUAUACGGUACAUAUACAUGCUAUCAGCUUCAGAUGGCGAGCGGGCCCUGCAGGGCAGCGGCAGCGGCAGCCCUAGUACCACUACCCUCUCCAUCCUGUGCUCCGUCGUCAAACCCUGACGAGCACGAGAUGAAUCAGUUGGUUAUGAAUGCCAGCUCGGUUCCUCCACCGCCAUUGUCUUUGCCCGGUGAUCACGACAUGUUCCAAAUAUAGGAAAUAAAAAAACAUUUAGGACUGCAUGCUACUCCACGCCAUGUUCUAAAAUAGGAAAUAAAAACCAUUUGGGACUGCAUGCUACUCCACGCCAUGAUCUAAAUAUAGGGAAAAAAAUAUGCUUACCAUGAAUGUUUUCUUGUAAGAAGUUGAGAUCCACCGCACCAUACUCAUCUAAUGGCAAGUUCAAGUCAAAACCUGUGCAAAAAAAAGGAAAAAAAUAAGAACCGAUGGAGGAUGAAUAAAAAAAAGCAAACAAGAAAAUACUGUCAUCUUCUUACCAAUAUUGCCAUCUUCUUGUAAGCCAACGUUUAGAUCAAAUCCCAAGUCAUUGUUCUCUAAUGGCAAGUUUAAAUCAAAUGCAGCCAUAGCAAGAAAAUAGAAGUAGAAAAGGAAAGAGUGGAUGACGUUUGGAACACUGGAAGAAAAAUAAAGAAGUCACCGCUGUUGCAUGUUAAAUAGAGCGUGCUCUGGUAGACGGACAGACACUGGCCUGCAAAUCACGCCAACAGGAAAAAAAACGCGCACGCCAUCAGCCAAAAAAAUGCGACGGAUUUACAUGAAUGAAGCUAGGAACUGGAUGUUUGUCAACGAUUUGGGCAAAGGAUCUGGAUAAAAGGUUGAUCAGUUGUGCUCUGAUCAAGGCCACUGGAAGCAAGAAAUAAGUAUCGAUCGGCCAUCGCGUACUCUUAGUAUCUGACGACGUAUUAGCUGGAGUUUUGCAAAGUGGUUGAUCUCUUACGUGAACCAUGCAUAGCCUAAUUGCAAUAAUACCCAAGCAACAUUUAACUAGCGCCGGCGAACGGCCCAAGUAUAUAUAAUAAGCUCAAUGUGCAAUGACAUGUGAAACAUGGAAAUGACCACGUACGUACUCUACGUACCACACGUUCUGACGUCCACAUCCACUCUCGGUCGUCUCUCUAUGCAGUGUUUGGCAACAUGGACGCCGGUAGCAACGCAGACAAAGAAAACAAUCCUCAUCCAUGACUGUGACCAUGUUGGCCCAAGCAGCAAAUUAAACCAACGCAAGAAAUAGUACUAGGCAUCGUGGAGAGGACCGCACGGCAGCAUUUGGGAGGUUCAAAGACGAACAUUUCAAGGUGACAUCUACGUCUAUAACCGGGUCUCACAAAAAACACAACAUGCAUGAUCCACCGGUUCCCCCUAGCCUCCAAGGGAUUGGGCCGGGGGUGACAACGACCGCUACAUCGUGCCAAGCGUGGUGGCCAUCGGCCUGUACCACACCAUGACUCGCCGCACCUGCAGAAGAUGGAGGUCAAGCACGGCCGUGGCCUACCACCUUUGCAGACUCUUGUUGGGUCAGUCCAUGGUGGAGGUCUAUGAGAGGAUCUUGUCGGUCGUAGCGUAUUAUGAUGUCAAAGACCCGUUGGUUCUCUUUGGAUAAAUUAGUUACAUGAGAUAUAAUCGAGGUUGGCAUAGUAGCAAUAAAAUCUAUAAUUUCCAGCCGCAAAAAAUUUUGCUUGGCAUCAAAAGAAAAUGCACCGAGCUUAAUAAAAUCAGGAUCCUUAUUGAGAUAAUUGAAUCCUUGUAUAGGUUCAGUGAAAUGCCAGCCGACGAAAUAUAUUUUGAUGAACCAUGGGCUCAUCAUCCUCUCUUUCUUGAGACAAAGCCAUCCUCGGCUUUGAAGCAGAGUUCUCAGAUAUAGCCCCUUUGCUGUAGUAAAGCCAUCAUUUGCUCAUGCAUGGGUCAAGUCAAUGUAGUUGGAACAUUAAUGUUUCACAUCAGGUUUCAUUGAGCUGCCGUUACCAAAAUAUUUGGAUCAGUAAAAGAAUUCUCUGACUCAAUAAUCGGAAAAGCAAUGGCCUCGCCUCCUUGCAACAAAACAGUUCUAGUUGUUUAGCUAUGGAUGCAGGCGGGUUUCCUGCAAACCUGCAAACAGGCUAAAAUUUUGCAGGUUACCCGGAAACCCACAAAAAUUCAUCCUAUUUAUGGGUUUGCGGACAAUUUGCCUUGCAUGUUGUUUACAGUCCUGUAAAUUUAUUUUCAAAAGGAGCAGUGCAUGUGUUAGGUCAACCACUAGACACGGUUGAAUACCCAUCUCUACAGAUGACUUAUGCUUAACUUGUGAACUCCACACCUAGCUAGAAAUCGAUUUUUGUCGCCGGCUAAAAAUUGAUUCAUUGCCGGCCUGCAUGCUGGGAGAGUGGUGUUUUUUAGUUGGCUAUAAUUGUUUUUUGUAAUAUCACGUUUACUUUUUCUCCUUUUUCCCUCUAAUAAAAAUUCGGCAAAACUUUUUAUCGCCUUUCGAAAAAAAGUUGAUUCAUAUUUUCUGGAUUCGUCAUAAGAGGUUGUUACACAAACAUGCAUGACUAAAAUUGCAGUUCACCCUCACGUUUACUUUUUCUCCUUUUUCCCCUCUAAUAAAAAUUCGGCAAAACUUUUUAUCGCCUUUCGAAAAAAAGUUGAUUCAUAUUUUCUGGAUUCGUCAUAAGAGGUUGUUACACAAGCAUGCAUGACUAAAAUUGCAGUUCACCCUAAUUAGGUGCUGUUUGGUUCGUUCAGGGGCAAAAGGCAAUAAUGGAAAUGUAAUCAGUAGCAGCGUGAUCUGUUCCAUGCAUGGUAAGAGAAAGCGGAAUUAUUUGUUUGGUUAGAGCUUUUAACGUCAAUCAUUUCCUUAAUUGUGUUUGACUAGCAGCAGCUAACCAGGUGAACACUGAAUAUAUCCACAAAACCCACGAACGCCCGCUUCUGUUGCCGUAGCGUCCUGGGCUUUGCGACAAAAGACAGAGAAAAGCAAGCAAACGCUCCGCCCCUCCUGAAGAAGACACAUCCGUUGGAAGUUGGAACAAGUAUUGAUUCUAAGCCUUAUUCCUUGCCCAAUCUCUGAUAUAGCAUUUGAUUCCAAGCUUCAUGCUAGGCCUUCACAUGUACUCACAUCAAACAUAGAUGGUCCCAGCCCCUAGUCCUUUUGUAUGUGGCUUGUGUUUAGAUUCAAUUUUUUUUGGAUUUUGACACUGUAACACUUUUGUUUUUAUUUGACAAACAUUGUCUAAUUAUGGAGUAACUAGGCUUAAAACAUUCGUCUCGCGAUUUACAUGCAAACUGUGUAAUUGAUUUUUAUUUUCAUUUAUAUUUAAUGCUCCAUGCAUAUGCCGCAAGAUCCGAUGUGAUGAUGGGAAAUCUUGAAAAGUUUUUGGUUUUUGGAGUGAACUAAACAAGGCCUUAAUGCAGUUUUGUUUGUUCUCCAGGUUGUUUUCCCCUAGCUUAGGUUCUGUUCGCCAAGCCGAAUCUGUCAGAUAUUCAACAAUAUUUUUCUGUCAUAAUAAAUCAACAGACAAUACUUUUAACCAUAACUUUUUAAACAAGCUUUGUGACAUCUGACUCACAGUUGAUCUGACAAUUGCCAAUCAUGAAGCUUGGAACAAUAGCCUUAAAACAAAGACUAGUCACUAGCUAGUGGGGCAUGCAUGUAGAUGACGCGUGAACAUGAAGAGCUUGGAACUAGAUGUUGGCAACGGUUUGAGCAAGGAAUCUUUCUGCAUAAAGGAUCGAUCAUGACAGCCCAAUUAAGCAUGCAUCCAUAUAUAUAUAUAUAUAUAUAUAUAUAAGCUCUACGAGCAUGCAUGACAUCGUCAUGUGAAAUUGAAAUCACCACUACCAGCUGAGCAAAUGUUUGGCGCCAUGGACACAAGCAGAACAAUCCUCAUCCGUGAAAACUCAACCCAUGAAGUAGUACUAGCCAUCGACGAGAGGACAGCUUUGGCGAACGAGAGGCUCAAGGCCGAAUUUUACAAGGUGGACACCAAGAUCCACCGGUUCCCCCGCAGCCUCCAGGGGAUUGGCGGCGACAACGACCGCUACAUCGUGCCCAGCGUGGUGGCCAUCGGCCCGUACCACCAUGGCUCGCCGCACCUGCAGAAGAUGGAGGAGGUCAAGCUCGCCGCGGCCUACCACCUUUGCAGACACUCGGGUCGCUCCUCGUCGUCCAUGGAGGUCUACGAGAAGAUCUUGUCUGUCGUAGACGACGCCCGCGGCUCCUACGACGUCAAAGACCCGUCGGUUUUUGGCCUGAGCAACCACGAGUUCGCGGCCAUGAUGUUCCUCGACGGCUGCUUCCUACUCCAGUACAUGAUCGGCGGCGGGGACGUGCCUGUGCUGCAGAACUGGAUGACACCCAGCAUCGAGAGGGACAUCUUCUUGCUCGAGAACCAGAUCCCCUGGUUGGUGCUUGAGGUGCUCAUAGAGUUCAUGCCCGUCGAUGUGCUAAGGUUUGUCCGCGGAGUGCAGGAGAAGUUUCACCCCGGAAAGGCCAAGGAGAAGAAGGUCCGGCCGUUGCCUGACGACGACGACCGCGGCGUCGGCGGCCGCGGCGACUACAAGCCGCCGCAUCUCCUUGGCCUGCUAUGGUACAUUCUUCAGAUCCAUAGCAUGCCAGAGCGCGUGCAGAACUACAGCUACAGGCCGCGGCCGUUGAAGUCCAGCAACGCCGUGGAGCUCGCGGAGAUCGGCAUCAGGUUGGCACCCAGCACGAAGCCAUGGUUCUGGGACAUGAGCUUCCGCCGGGGCCGCCUGUUCGGCGAGCUGUGUCCCUGUCGCCGGUGCUCCUGAACGACACCACCGCGUGCUGGCUCGUGAACCUCGCCGCGCUGGAGGAGGCCAACACCUCAGCUGGCUCAGGCGCGACCGGAGAGUACUAUGAUAAAUACGUCGUGAGCUCCUACCUGUUCAUGCUGGCGAUGCUCAUGGAUAGGGAGGAGGAAGUGCAGCAGAUGCGCUCAAAAUAUAUCCUCUACAGCACAUUGAGCAACAAGCAGGCGCUGAGCUUCUUCAAGGACCUCGCCGACCACCUCCGCUUCGGUGAUCCCUACUUGUUCACCUUGAUAGAAAUCUGGUCGUACCGGCGCCAACUGUUGAUCACCAUAUACAGGUUCAUAUACAAAAACUACAGGGCUAUUGCCGCUGUCCUGUCCAUUGCCGGUGUGUUGUGCAGCAUCUUGAACGCACUGUAUUCGCUCAAGAAACCCUAUAAGACUUAGCUAGCUACCUAGCCUGCCCCCUUGCUUCGCCUGUUAGUAUAUGCUUAUACUUACUUAUGCCAUAUAUAACUCAUAUUUGGGCAGCUUCUGCUUAUUUUUCUGAAAUGUACCUAUAUAUCAUGUAACUUUCUCCAGAGCAAAAUUUAUAUUUAGUCUAAACAAUAAACACAUUGGAUUAUUUUGGGUACACUCUUUGCAGUUCAAAGAACCCCCUUAAAAAAUUAAAAAACCCAUGGAGAUCGAUUACCCACCUAUAUAUUAGGCAUUAACAGCGGCUCAGUGCUGAUAAGUCCUGGUUUUCCCUCUUCAGUUACCAUGUAAUUGCCAUGACAUGGACAGAAUGACAUGCUCAAUAGUUGGUGACAAAUUCCAAAAUAAAAAACUGUAGCCGCCGAAGUCACAAACUGUAGACGAAGUUCAUCAGAACCAACUAUUUCAAGUUUAAUUUAAAGGCAUAUGAACCGUAGUAACAAACGAAGCAGUUUUCAAAUGGGAAUUAUAAGAAACAAUCACAGCUAAUGACUGGAAGUAAAUCAAUUUUUUUAUGGUCAGGGGGAGGAGGCGUUCUCCACCUGAAUUUUAUAUAUUGGUCCAAAACAACCUGUUAUAAUGUUUACAAGGCAUUUGUGUACGUCUCAUCACAAGGUCAAACUGUGGUACAACCACAAUUACACAAAAAGGGAGAAAGAUACUAUACCAAGGCAUAGAAACCCUUUGACGAUGUCUCUAGGGAGGUGAAUGACGUAUAGACAUAAUCAUUGUCUACCAAGUAGAAACUUAGCAAGUCUUUCGUCCGGUUCAUGUGAUGGCCGAGGACCCAAGUGAAUGAGGGGUCCAAGCCUAGGUAUAUGCAAAAUAAUCCCCAAAACCUAUAUAUAGUCCAAAGUCCAUUAGCAAACAUCAACCUUCCUAUGUAACUUUUCCUUCUUUAAUCCAAAUUCAUUAUAUGUAUUGUGUUUCAGACUUCUAGUACUCUGCAUUCAAAUAGUUGUGUUUUUCAUCUAAUUUAGGUGUUAGGAUUUUAGAAUGCUACCUAAGAAACAUUUGUUGGGGGCUGAGAAAAGAAAACAAAAAGAUAAGAAAAUUAAUUUGUUCGAUCACAAAAAGGUGCUAUAUAUAAGUUUUUUUCUGCUUAAGCAGUGUUGUGCAUGUACAUAGCAUUGGAUUUUUUUUGUUUUGCAAGUAAAAUUAGCUUAUAUAUAUUAUAAAUAAGAUUUUGUACAUGGUCUAGAGGGGCAAAUGUUGUAAUAUCUCCUCUCUUAGUGUAUGAUGAUUUUAGUUCCAUGACUAUUAAAUUCUUGACUUUCAUUUAUAUAAAUGGUCAAUGUAUUUUUAUCAGUUGUUAUGUUCGCUCCAACUCUGUAAGUGUGUUUUUAUGUUAUGUUUUAGUAUGAAUCUUGUUGAAUUUGCACGUAUCAACUAGUGAUUUAGAAACUGAUACGUGAUGUAUAUAGUAGACCUAAAAGAAGAGGCCUGACACAAGGACUCUCUGUCCGAGGGUGUAUAGGUCACAUGCGCACGGCAAAGAGCAAUCUUGGGUAGCUUGCAUCUUCUUCUUGCAUUGCACUGCUAUUUGGCUCUUUGCAAAGCUUCUCAAGUAGAAGCAAGGAGCAUGAGUCUGCUAGCUUGAUAGAAAAGUCAUGACUAAAAGUACCGUUCGCUGAUUUAUUGUGAGCGACAGAUAUGUCUCAUAGAAAAGCCAUUUAGAUGCAGCGCCCAUGUUAGUACCACACAUGCGUCAAGUGUAACAAGUCACACAUUGGCAAAAUGGUUGAUUGCCGGAGAAUUCCUUGACAUAUAUGAUUUCUUCUUAAAAAAAGCACUCCUCAAGGAGCUCUAUGGGACUACCAAAUACACGAAAUUUGGCCACUAGAGAUUCGUGCAAAAUAAGUUUCUACUAUAUGAAUUUAGGGCGUUUGGGAUCCUUACUCCGGGGCUGAAUUUGGUGAAGACUAUUAGUUCCAAAGAAACCGACAGUACAUAUAGAGGGGGGGGGGGGGGGGGGAGGCUAAAUUGACCCAUUAAGGUAAGAACAUGUUGGCAACCUCAUAUUUAUUAUCACUUGGCAAAUAGACAUGUACUGAUGACAUUCAUCCAUAACGCUAAUUAUUUAUUAUUCUCUCUGAUGUUAAAAUGUAACAGCUUUGUCUGCUUCCUUUUAUUUUGGAGGAUAAGUGCGAUCAUACUUCCAUUAUCUAAAAGGACUUAUUAAUUAUUGCCGGUGCUGGUGCCGGUGACGGUGCCGGCGCGGUUUCUGGUCCUCGGCAGCAAUGGGCAUGGCACUCAUUUACUUCGUUGUAGCACUGAUUUUCUCGACAGCAGAAGCACAUAUUGUCUCUACACAGGGGUCUUCUUUGGCAUUCGCAAGGUUGGAUCCUGUCGCUCUCAACUGGAUUUAUUGUGUGCUGGGCUGCACGUACGGUAGUUAGUAAUUGUUAUUGUUAGAAAUUUAGAUAUUUUAAUGUUUGAUUUAAUCCAGAAAAAUACAUAUAACAAAGUGGUGGCAUAUAUGUACACGUGUGCAGUUUUAAUUAUCGUUACUCAGAUUAGUGAUAAACAUUGCAGUUGUUGUAGACAUACUAAAAAUGAAAUAUAAUCGUUUAGGAUUAUAUCCAGAGGAGGGACCGGUGCCGAAGCAGCGGCUCCAUUCGCACUAGUCGACAUAGUGCGUUGUUUAAAGUAGCGGACCACAGUCGAUGCAGGAAGAUGUUCGCAGUGUAGUCCCACGAACGUUCACUAGGAAGAAGACGAUCCGCGAAUCCGAGCAGUCACCAGGAAGUAGUCGAUCGCGUCAUCAGGAAGAAGAUGUCCGCCAGGAAGUAGUCGAUCUCGCCAAUCCGAGGAAGCGAGCAGUCGUGGAAGACGCUCCCCAAAAACCUGAUUGCCCGCACACCCAAGCAGGUGUCUCGAUGCAAGGUGUUGAUUCCGGACGGGGAUGGAGGAGAGCAACUGAGAGGACUGAUCUGUUUGUGCGCCUAGGGAAAGGGGAUGCGGGGAUGGAAGAUACUCGACAGAGAGGCAAAGCUCAGGGAAAGGGGAUACAUGGAUGGAAGAUAUAGGCGUCCGACACACUCGCCUCGGCACGGCUCGGCGGCGGCGGCGUGCGCGUGUGGCACCCUUUUUACCUUCCUAAACGUCUCUAUAGAAGCUAUUACAAGCCGCCUAUUUAAGUUGAGUUAACACAGAGUCAAUAAUCAAUCUGGUAUUAAACCGUUUGUAUUAUAGCAUUUAUUACGGGCUCUAGAAUUAAUUAUUAUAAAAUAGUAUAUGGGCCAAAAGCUUAAAUAAUAUUUAACAGUUAUAAGAUGAAUAACGUAUCAAGCGAAGAGGGGCAGUAAAUUUUUACAAGAGGGUAGGGGUCUCUUUAUAUAUGUACUAGUAGAAAAUAUCUUUCAAAAGUCCAGAAAAUUUGUAUAGUUUAACAGAUUUUAUGAUGUGCACACUUACAUUGUGAGAGAACCACGAAACAUCCAAGGAUAAGCAUCACAACUACAGUACCCAUUCUUUCCUGCAUCGUCACAGCAAUCAUGGUAUGGUGGAGUUUCUGUGUGUCAUACAGCAAUCACAAUGUACUAUAUAUAGAUGGUGAGGAUACUCUAUAUAUUAGCAACAAUUAAUAACUCGUACUCAAAAUUUUACAGUGUAUAAUACAUCCUCAGAUAUAAUACAUUCUAGAAGAUAAAACCAAUUUUACAUUAAAUACUUUCCAUUUAUCAAUCAAUCACAUCGAUGGUAACCUCUAAUUAGGAAAUAAAUGAGGGUAUCUGUGUCUUUUAUGUUCUCUUUUAUUUUAUCUUAAAAUUCCUAGAAUGCACUAUAUUAUAGGACGAAGGGAGUAGGCUUGUGAUUAAUAAUCCUCCAAAAUUACAAAAUAGUUCGUAUUAAAUUCGAUGGAGAUAUCUCUAGUGGAAUAUAAAUGACUACAGUAGAUGCUAUGAGUUUAGUCCUGAUCAAUUUUACGGUGAUGUCCAUUUUGAUGACUACCAUAUUUUAUUUCCACUCCCAUGGCUAAUAAUUGCAUUCUAUCUAUAGCGAGUUAAUAACAGCCACAUUACCGAGUGACAAACUUAUCUUAUACUCUUAUAAAGCAAAACCUCACUACCUAUUUCUCUCAACAUGCAAGCUAUCCAACAAGUCAAUCCACUAUCACACACAAUUAAAUUUUACUAGCUCAUGCAAUCGUCCACAUCAGCAAGUCACCUAUUUCUAUGAACAUGCAAGUUGUCCGACUAGCCAAUACACAUUCUAACUUAUUUAUAUUCCUUCUUCAUACUCGCGGUAACGUGCGGGGAAUCCUCCUAGUAUACAUAAAUAAUGUCUUUGCAUACAGUGGUAACCUUUGUGUAAAAAUAAAUGCAAGCAUUAUAUACACACAAAAAAACUAGAUGCAGACCUAAGAACAUUAUUUUGUGGAAAAAAAUUGGAUGUGGAUGGUCCUCACCCAGCGCUGUGUGGAUGCCCAACCAGAGAAAGACACAUGGACAAGUAUUCAACCAACUGGCUCGGCCUCCUAGCCAAGGAUGGCAAUGGGCGGUUUCGGGUUGGAUAUCCGCGGGCCGAGUUUGAGUUUGGGGAUGAUUUCUUACCCAUAGUUUUCAGGUUCAAAGCCCAAAACCUAUCAAGUUUGGUUUUAGGUUUGGGUUUUUCCACCCAUGGAUAUCCAAAAAAAUCAUUUGAAAUUAAAACUCAUGUUUUAUAAAUGCUAAUAAUAACUAUUUUUACUUAGAUUAUCAAAUUUAUUUUAAGUUGACUCAUAAAAACAUUUAUUAUUUGUUAUCUCUUGUUUAUACAUGUGAAUAUGUGUAUAUAUAUCAUGCAUAUGUUUAUAGGAAGUCCUUGUUACUCUUACUAUGUUGCCAUACAAAGCGAGUUUCGGGUAUCCAUUCGGGUUUUGGGUAUUUGCGGGUUUGGUUUUAGGAUGGAUUCGGUGCUGUUUUGCGUUUUGGUUUUGGGUUUCAGGUUACAUGUUUGGGUGUACAAAGACUCCACCCGAUCCAAAUCGCAACGGUGCCAAUUGCCAUCCCUACUCCGGUUUCUCUAUCUGCUAGCUAAUUGGCUCGACUUGUCAUGGCUGAGCAUGUGCACACUCGGCUCCAAGCUCUCAUGCAAGCUGGGCCUUCAUCACGGUUCUUUUGGAUUGGAGAGAUUUGGGUCACGAACUUCGCCAUCACACAACAACUAGGGUAUCAUGGCGCCGCUGUCACACAUCAACGUGGGAGCACGACCGGAGGCGCCUAUCACGAAGAGGAGAUCGAGAAGCAUCAUCACACGGCAGCCUGCAGGUAGGUUUCCAACUGUGCGGCCAUCAAUUGCACUAUCAGGCACCAUGGAGGGUUAACCCUGCCCUCAAUGGUGAUGCUAUUGUCGAUGCUCCAAACAGUGACAACCCCAAAACCGAAGUGAAUUCCUCAGACACGCUGCGGCUAUGUAGGCCUCGUUUAGUUCCAAAAAUUUUUAGGAAAUGGUCACUGUAGCACUUUCGUUUGUAUGUGAUAAAUAUUGUCUAAUUAUAGACUAAUUAGGCUUAAAAGAUUCGUUUCGCAAAUUACAAAUCAACUGUAUAAUUAGUUUUUAUUUUCAUCUAUAUUUAAUGCUUCAUACAUGUGUCCAAAGAUUCGAUGUGACAAAGAAUCUUGAAAAAAUUUGGUUUUCUGAAAGGAACUAAAUAAGGCCUAAAUCUAUAAAUCUGUAUGCAUAUGAACAGUCAUAUUGCUUUGUGUCAGAUUUUUUUUUCAUUGGUACAGUUGUCAGAACGUGUAACAAGAUAUUUUUUUUUUGAGGGAAACAUCAAUGAAAUUGCCAUACCAUGUUGCCGUCCACUGUGAUUGAAUCGCCAUCCACUACAUCUGCUCUGGAGUUACCGAAACCAGUGGCCCAACAAGCAGCUGAGGUAUGGGAUGCGACUUUAUUUGAUGGGCAUUAAAAAAAAUUGCAUUAUGAAUUCAGUAUUAUAGGCAUGAAAAGAAUCACAUUAUGAAUUCAGUGUUACGUAACUUUAAUAUAUAUUGCAUUGUACAAUAGGUGGUUGAUAAAAUUGGACAAGCUUUGAUCGUUCCUGAAGUUGGUAUGGCUUUUGAUUCUUAUGCCGGUAAGAUUGGAUUCAGUAUUAGGAAGAAUCAUUCAAACCUCCAAGAAGACAAAACUAUUUAUCAGAAUUUGGAAAAAGUAGAAGGUUAUACUUGAUUAUAAUUAUUAUCUUGCAAGCCCAAAUAAAGCUGCACAAGCUGAAGCCACAACGGCGUGUCAUCAGUUGAUGCUAGUCCAAAUAAUGCUACAGAGUUUCAAAAAAAAUGCUAUAGAAAAUAAAGAUGAAAGUGCCUAUCCGAACUAAUAAUCAUAAGUCAUCAAUUUGACUCAUUAUUCUUUUUUCCUAUUUUAUUUAUGAAAGCAUCUAGGCUCCUAAUGAGUUUCGGUGAUUAAUGAUAAUGUUGAUUACUAUGACUAACGUGUGUUUUUGUAGAGGCAAAGUCAUUUAUGUUAGGUCAUGGUAAUGGUGAUCGAUGGACUAGAUCACUCAUGUCGACUUAAUGGUGGAAAUCGUUUCGGUUUUCAAAGGAUGGUUGGACAUCGUUGGGACUAGACUAGGUCUAAGUGCCAUAUGGUGAAGAAGGGCACUUAGAGUAGUAUAGGACUUUGUUUUUCCUUUGACCGUACUAUUAAGGGGGGCAUUGAGUGGGUAGCUUGACCUAGGUAAGGCUUUAGGUUUAGGUGUGGUGCACACUUGGUAAACCUAGCACUAGUUAGCUCUGAGAAAGUCCUUAAAUCGACAGGAACAAACUUCGUUUUAGAAAGAUCGCCUUUCGACGAAGUUUGGGUGCCUAAAUAGGCACCGGACGCUGCACCGGAUGCUCUGUGAGCGCGUCCGGUGGUGCUGACUUGGGUCAGCGUGCCUAGGUGCCUAGGGUUAGGCACCGGACACACGCACUGGACUCGCCGGGGUGCGUCCGGUAACUUACCUAGGGAGGUCUGCAAAUUGACUGGGCACCGGAUGCACGCACCGGACCCACUAGGGUGCGUCCGGUCCCGUACCCAGAGAGGGUUGCGGUUCACCCUCACACCGGACGCGGUCACCGGACCCACUGUCCGGUGUAUUGUCAGAAGAAGUAUAGUUAGCCAUGAAUGGGGCACCGAAUGCUCUGUGCAGCACAUCCGGUGCAACAUCAAGCGCGUUCGAUGCUCCCAUUUUCUGUGAAAUUCGGGUGGCCGGCCCUUGGACUUGAUGGGGAGUAUUUAUACUCCUCCACCUCGUCCAUGGGAGGUCUCUUGCCCAUUUGAUCAGCUGAGAAACACCUUGUGGUGCAAGAGAGAAGCAAGAGCCUAGAGAGGAUUGAGAAUUGAGUGAUUUCUUGAGUGAAUCCUUCUCUAGUUGAGUUCCAAGAGUUCAAGUGUGCAUUCACUACUCUCUAGAGCUUUGUUUGGGUCAAGUGAGAGUUCUUCGCUUGUUACUCUUGGUGAUCGCUAUCACCUAGACGGUUCGGUGGUGAUUGGAGGCACGAAGACCACCUAGAGUUCUUGUGGGUGGCUUGUGUCAAGCUUGUGAGUGUUUUUGGGCGAUUCACCGCGACGGAGUGUCAAAGAAUCAGCCCGUAGGGGAGCAAGACCCUUGCAUGGGUGCUUCAAUGAGGACUAGUGGGGAGUGGCGACUCUCCGAUACCUCGGCAAAACAUCGCCGCGUUCUUCUUGCUCUCCUCCUUUACUUUCUAGCAUUUCCUUUGAGCAUUUACAUUCCUAGAAUUGCCAUGAUAGAAUAGGAUUGGAAUUAGGUUGCAAAACUUUUAUCCGGUAGCUAUCUAGAACACACUAGGCACAAGGGGUUGAAUUGGAGCUUAUAGGUUGCUUAAAUUUUUAGAGAAGCCCAAUUCACCCCCCCUCUUGUGCAUCUUGAUCCUUUCAAUUUACUUAGAGGAAUUUUUAUGAAGAAGUAUUUAUAUAUGACACAGGUAUGUGAUGCUAGUGAUAGUGGUGGAACUAGUGCUAUGUCAAACUUUACAAAUGCUUCAACCAUGACUUUCGCACUAGAUGGAUAUGCUUCUACCACAAUGCCAAACAUUACAAAUCCUUUGAUUCAGCAAUCUUUUGUCAUAUCUGCACCUUAUAUCCAAGGAGGAUUUAUAGAUCUUUUACUUUGAGUUCAACAAGAUGCUACAAUGUCGUUGUCUGCUAGAAAGUUUUUUGAAAAAAACGAAUUAGGCAGGAGGACUGGAGGAGAGUUAUCGAUUAUAUUAAAAAGCAUGUGAAGCCCAGACUAGGCAAAACAAACAAGUACCACUCUAGCCAGUUGGAUUAGGACAUCAACAUGCACCAAACUCACACUCAAGAAAAAUAAAGAAACAACUCUAGUCGGUCAGAAUGGGACAUUGACACGAGCCACACUGCCUCCAAAUCAUCACCAGCCGGUCACCACACUGCCUCGCAAACCCCCUAGACAAUAAAGACAUCAGGACGAAAGCAUCAUCGUCGCUGCUGCACUGUCAUUGCCGACAAUGUCCCACACUGAGCAAGCCUAUUGACAUGUGGUGCUAGCGCUAUACUCCGCUACAAGCCAUAUAGACCUCCCGCAAUUGGAUCUGCUUGUGACUCCUCUUAAAGACAUUAUCCCACACUAGAGUAGCCGCCAUAGUUUGCUGCAAGCAGCCAAACCAAAAGCAUGAGCAGCCUCUGGUGCUCACCAUGUUGAACCCGUCGACUAGGAUCCAUCCAAGCACACCAUAGCUUCCAGCAGCCUAGCCGCCUUGUCAAAGGUAAAAGUGUGUCUAGCGUCCUCUAGGCUAGGAAAAAUGCCUCCUAGCAUCGGAGCGGUCGCCACUAAGCGAGACCACCUGCCACCAAACCAUGUAGGUCCCAUCUGCAUUGCAAAAUUGCCAGCCACCACCUCCCAUGUUGGCCAACUUUCCAACUUCAUGGGCGCCUCCCAUGUCGGGCUCCUCACCAACUUCAUGGGCACAACUGGCGCAUUGCACCACAAAAACCAUCACUCUCAUUUCCCAAGCAAAUGGAAAGUGCUCCAAUUGCUGCACCAACAUUGUCUUCAUAGCCACCUUCUCACGUUGUUGACACCGUUACCCAACUCCUCGACUAGGUCUCUACCUUCACACUUGUAGGACUAUGAGGUUGCUACGCUAGCCAGAAAACAAAAUUUUCAUCCUCAUAAAAUAGUAUCUACCGCUAGUUAUAGAUCACGAGAUUACCACUAGACUCGUAAGUGUAGCCGGAAGUGACUCAAUGUAGUCGUGCACAUCGCAGCAGUGUUGUGUAGUUGUGGGGUCGUCCGUCCAUACAUCCAUCUCGUGCGGUUCGUCCUUGUGCUCCAGAUGCAGCACCUCUGAGGUAUCCACACAUACAGAGAGGAAGUGUCAUGCCUCUGGACUGCUAGGUCCACGAGGAGCAACAGGCGCGGGCGUGAGUGAGCGGCGGUGGCUGCCAAAAGGCAUGGGAUUAAUUCUAGCCACACCCCAACCUCUCUUUAUAUAGGCAUCCCUAUUGUGCUUCCAAGUUGGAGGUCCAUUAGUAACCCUAAGCCCUGUCUAAUUUGGGUCCAAUUCGAAUUAGUCUUCUAGCCCCCUUAAGCAUGCGACCCUAUGGGUUCACGCACAUAUAGACAUGGCCUGAGUACUCCUACUCGACCAUUAGUUGAUAGCGGCCUCUAGCAAGGCAUGUCAACUCCUAUGCAUAUGCAAAGAUCAUAUCAGACGAACCACCACAAACCAUAUACUCAUUAUUCGCUUGCCACACAAUAUUUGGUCCCACUCAUAGGUUAACACUUAAUCUAAGCACGGUCGUGCAUUUCUUGAUCUAAUCAUUAGAGUGAUCCAGUGAUAUCUCUCUCACAUAGAGAGGGGCAAGUUCCAUCUUGAUUGUCUAUGUCUCACAGCAUAUUUCCUGAUAAACCUAAAAAGCACCUUUAUAACUACCCAAUUAUGGAGUAGCGUUUGAUAGUCCCUGAGUAGGUUGUUUCACAUCUUGAAUACAUACAACAAUCUCAGGUCUAAGGAUAUAACAUACACGAUAUGAAUAAAGAUAAUAAUAACAUCUCAUGUCAUGUCAGUCUAGCCCUAUGUUAUACAUGUGCCCACAUUAUUAGUUCGACAUCUCUAUGUCUAUGACUUGUGAAACAUAGUCAUCAACUAAUACAUGUGCUGAUCUAAUAUUCAUGUGUUUCCUCACACGAACUCCGAACAAGGACAAUUUAAGAAUAACCAUACAAGUUAAAGAGUUUCACAAAUAAUUCACAUAAUUGUCAAUCGAUACAAGUUUAUCUUUAAUGGAUAUUUAUGAACAUAUAAUAUAUGUCAUGGAUACAAUCACAAUAUCAUCAUCGCUAUGAUUACCUCUAGAGCAUAUUCCCAACAACAUCUGCCUCUACAGACUGGUAUAGCAUGAACUUCCAAAGUGAUGCCUCUUAGGAGGGGUGAGAUGUCAUCAGCACGGCCGCUGCCUAAGAAGAAAGUCACGGUUUUUACACUUAGGAAGGUUGCACCAUGCAAGGGAAGGGGGCCGAUCGAUGGACCUCCACUCAUCUCCACUCCAUACAUUGAGCAAGAGAACACUCCCUCCACUCAUACAUUGAGCUAGAGAACACUCCCUCCACUCAUCUCCUCGCUUGAUUGCUAAUCCUAGUAAGAUUGAGUGAGAUUCAAGUGCAAUGCUUUGAGAGUUGCAUCUAGUGGCACUUGAUUCUUAAGUUUGCUGCGGAUUUCUUGUUACUCUUGGGUGUUUCUCGACGCCCUAGACGGCUUGGAGCAGCGGUGGUGUUGAGCUCGUGAUUGGAGAUUGUUUCGAGCCUCACCAAGUGUUUUGUGAGGGGUUCUUGAGCCUUCCCCGCGGGAGAUCGCAAUUGACUACUCUAGUGGAUUGCUCGUGGCUUGGAGGAUCCCCAUCUUGUGAGUGGAUGUGCGGCAUCCGCUGAGGGUUUGGCUUUGGAUUGCCAAUUAGCUCGUGAUCCAUCAAGUGGGUGUAUCGCCACAACGAGGACUAACUUGCCGGGAAGCAAGUGAACCUCGGUAAAAAAUCUUGUGUCAUCUCUUGCCAAGGAUUCUCUUGUGAUUGUGAGUGAUUGGUUGGAUAUAUCUCUACUCUACAACGUUGGUAUAACAAUCACUCUCCACUCCUUACUUACUUGUAUACCUUGCUAGUUGUUUAGCUUGUUUAGUUUAGUCUUCUUGUUUAGAAGUGUAACUAGCCUUCUCUUGUUGUUGUGCUUUAGUGUUUAGCCUUGUACUAGUUUGUAUAGGUGGCUUGCAUAGCUUAGUUGAGCUAGUGCUAGAAUUGCUUCGCCAUUUGUUUUACUAACUCACUUGCUUAGUGAAGUUUGUAGAAAUUUUAAAUAGGCUAUUCACCCCCCUCUAGCCAUUCGGACCUUUCAGCUCCACGCAGAUCCACCCCCAAGAGUGCAGGAUCCGAUCGUCGGGACGCCAAAACCGCGCUGAGGCUGCUGCCUUCGACGAGCCUCGUGAUGCUCGAGCAGCCACAGCAGACUAGAGCUUGGGAAUAAGCCUCACCGCUGCAUUGCUUGGCUCCUUGCACCCACACGAGCUUCUUGCGUUGCGCUCUGGCAGCAGCAAGGUAGAGGAAGCCGGGGGGAGGUGGUGGCGGCAUGAGGCGGUGGUUCCGCCUGUGCCACCCCGAGAGGGAUGACGUGGGGAACGAGGGCUCUAUGUCUACUAGAAAGUUAUAUUUCGAUGAAAAUAUGUAAUUAUGUUGUUGAUUAAUAUUCCACUGGAUACUUGUGGUGACCCGUGGUUGACCUCCUUUUGUGAGCACAUUUAUAGGAUAACAUGAUUUUUUAGCAUUCCGAGAUGUCUCAAUAUGUGUACAUGUUAUGAUUCCAUAAAUCAUCCCAUAAAGAUAAGAACAUGUAGGCAAUCUCAUAUUUAUUAUCACUAGACAAAUGGACAUUUACUGGUUACAUUCAUCCAUAAUGCUAAUUAAUUAUUGAUUGCCCUCUCCGAUGUUGAAAUGUAACAACUUUUCGUCUGCUUCCUCCUUUUUUUGUUUUUUUGGAGGAUGCAGUCGAUCAUACUUUCCAUUAGCUAAAAGGACUUAUGAGUUAUUGCUGGUGUUGGUGCCGGUAUUGGUGCCGGUUGCCGGUGCCGGUGCUGUUGCCGUGCAGCAAUUUCUGUUACAUUGAUAGUCUGAGCUAUAGCAUUGGCUUGGGGUCGGGGCUUUAAGGCCUACACAGCAGAAGUACUUAUUGGUAAAAUAGCGGGCGUAGCGCAUGCAAUAGCACGGAGAUUCGUCUUGAUUUGUGAGUUGAGCUGCACAGUUUAGUUAAUUGUUAUAAGAUGAAUAACACAUCAAGCGUAGAGAGGGUUAUAAAUAUUUAGAAGAGCUAGCACAAGGAUCUCUUUAUAUAUAUACUAGAAAAAUAUAUCUUUCAAAAAUCAAGAAAAUUGGUAUAGUUCAACAUAUUUUAUGAUGUGCACUUACAUUGUGAGAGAACCACGAAACAUCCCAGGAUAAGCACCACAACUACAGUAGCCAUUCUUCCCUCCAUCGUCACAGCAAUCACGGUGUAUAUCUGGUGGAGCUUCUGUGUAUAGGUAUGCCUGUCCUACAAUAGCAUACAGAUCCUACACAAUGUUCUAUAUAUAGAUGGUGAAGAUAUUCUAUACAUAGAAAUAAUUAAUAACUCCUAGGCUUGUGAUUAAUAAUCCUCCAAAGUUACAACAAAAUAUAGUUCGCAUUAAUUUUGAUGCAGAUAUCUCUAGUGGAAUAUAAAUGACUACAUCUAGUAGAUGCUAUAGGUUUAGUCCUAAUCAAUAUAUAGAUGGUGAAGAUAUUCCAUAUAUUAGCAAUAAUUAAUAACUCCUAGGUUUGUGAUUAAUAAUGCACCAAAAUUACAAAAUAGUCCACAUUAAUUUUGAUAUAGAUAUUUCUAGUGGAAUAUAAAUGACUACAUCUAGUAGAUGCUACGAGUUUAGUCCUAAUCAAUUUUAUGUUGAUGGCCAUUGAUGACUUCCAUAUAUAUUUUCCAAAUUUUAUAUCCAAUAAUAAUUAUGGCAUCUACUUAUAACGAGUCAAUGACAACCACAUUACCAAGUAGUAUAAAUUUAUAUCAUAAAUAAUGUCUCUGUAUACUGCGAUAACCCGAGCUGUAGAGCUGCAGAUUUAUGUUGCGAUGGGCUAAUCCGUGGGCUAAAGAAAGAGAUAGUGCAUAGCCUGAUGAAGAAACCUCAAGCCCAUUAGGCCCACCAACUAGGGCCUUCUAUAAACAUGACAAGUUCACAAACUCUAGUGCAUGCUAGGUCACACUUUGUUAGGAUCGAGUGAUGUGGGCUGGUGAAAGGUCCUAAUAUGGCUAGAGGGGGGGGUGAAUAGCCUAUUUAAAAAUUCUACAAACUCACUAGAGCAAGAGGUUGGUAAAUAAUAAAACGAAGCUUUUUGCUCUAGCUCUAAUGGGGUGUUUGCAAGCCACCUAUCCAACAAUUCUAGUUGAUAUAAUCACUAGGCACACAAGAGCUAUGUCACUACUUACACUAGAAAGCUACCUAAAGUUUCUAUACAAGUAAGUAAGCUACUCUAGUUUGCGGGAAUGUAAAAGAGUGGAUGAGAUAAUUAUACCGCCGUGUAGGGGAUGAACCAAUCACCAAUAUAACACAAUCAAGCACCGGGAGAAUGCCAAUCAAACACAAUUGAGACACCAAUUUUUCUCCCAAGGUUCACGUGCUUGCCGGCACGCUACGUCCCCGUUGUGUCGACCAACACUUGGUGGUUCGGUGGCUAAGAGGUGUAGCAUGAACCUCAUCCUCUCUAGGACACCACAAGAACCUACCCACAAGUGAGAUAGCUCAAUGACACGAGCACUUUACUAGAGUUACCUUUUGGCUCUCCGCCGGGGAAGGUACAAGACCCCUCACAAUCACCGAGAGAUGGCCAUGAACAAUCACCAACUCGUGCCAAUCCUCCUCCGCUGCUCCAAGCCGUCUAGGUGGCGGCAACCACCAAGAGUAACAAGAAAACCACAGCCAAAUCGAUCCCCAAGCGCCACUAGAUGCAAUCACUCAAGCAAAUGCACUUGGAAUCACUCCCAAUCUCACAAAGAUGUAUAAUCUAUGAAGGAGAUGAGUGGGAGGAGUUUGCUUAGGCUCACAAGGAUGUCAAGUAUGUUAGAAUGCCAAGAGUGUAAGCCCUAAGCCGGCCAAACACGUAUUUAUAGCCCCUCAAACAAAUAGAGCCGUUGGCUCUUUCACUGGGCGAAAUACGGGGUCACCGGACGCUCUUAAAGGGGCACCGGACGCUCAACACCAGCGUCCGGUGCUCCAACGUCAGCCGCGUGUCAGAGUCUAACGGUAACCUGCAGAGCACCGGACGCUGAGCAAGUUAGCACCGGACGCGUCCGGUGCACACCGGACUCAUGCGCAGAGAGCUCCGCAAACUUGCAGGGUCACCGGACGCGAGCCACCAGACGCACCCUGAGCGUCCGGUGCUCACCGGACUCAUGCGCAGAGAGGUUUGCAAAACCUCCUCACACCGGACGCACACCACCGGACGCUCCAAGCUGCGUCCAGUGCCUAUCGUCCGGUGCCUAACCCUAACCGAGUCAGGCUGCCUGCUCACCGGACGCACAGGAACAGCGUCCGGUGCUUCUGAGUCAGCGUCCGGUGAGUGUUCCUUAGCGAGAAACACUCCCGCGACUUGUCCAACUUUCCCACCGGCGCAAUAGAAAAUAUGCACUUCAUUUUCUCGAAAAACGCCGAAUCCCGCCAAGCUUGUGAGGUGGGAGGGAGAGAGGAACCCAUCCUCUCUCUACCUUUCAAAGUCCACCUCCUUCUCAAAGUGUGCCAACACCACAAAGUGUGUACCAACAAGUGCACAUGUGUUAGCAUUUUCACAACCAUUUUCUUCGAAGGAGUUAAGUUAGCUCACUAGGUUCUAAAUGCAUGCACAAGAAUAAUGACACCUAGUGGCACUUGAUAACCGCUUAGCCAAAGAAUUCCCCUCUUUAUAGUACGGCUAUCUAUCCUAAAUGUGAUCACACCCUCUAUGGUGUCUUGAUCACCAAAACCAAAACCCUAAGCAAUACCUUUGCCUUGAUCUCCAUAGGGUUUUGUUUUUCUCUUUCUUCUUUUCCAAGUUGAGCACUUGAUCAUCUUGUGGUCAUCACCAUCAUCACCAUGAUCAUCACUUGCUCCAACACUUGGCAUGUACCAACCUCAUUAAGUCUACACAUACUUAGCAUAGAGGUUAGUACUAGGGUUUCAUCAAUUAUCCAAAACCAAACUAGGGCUUUCAGCUGGUCCAUGCACGCACGUCCCCGUGGACUAGUUCCAGCGACUGUUCUGGCGACCAGAGAUGAAGAAGACAACGUCAGCCUCUCUCUCUCUAGCCUCUUCCUUUCUUCUACUCCAUCGUUGGUGAUCACACCUUCUCUUCUGCUCCAUCAUUGGUGAUCGCGCCUUCUCUUCUUUUCCAUCUCUGAUGGCACAGAAGGGGGUUCGACGGGAGGUGGACCGGCCAAACAGUGGGGACGAUAGGACGGCAGCCUUCAGGUCCUGGAGGCGGCGCAUGCGGCCGAGCCAAGUUGGGCGGGGGCACCCAUGCAUGGCCAGACCUUGCCACAGAAGGGGGUGGGGAAGAAGGUGGCCGCCACAAGCGCUCUAGGGUUUUGACGGACCUCCACCAUGACCGUAGUGCUCUGGUGAAACCUUAGGAUGCCACGGCGGAGUGAUGGACAGCGACGGGGCAGAGGACAAGGAGGGUGACUUAGAGGCGUAGGGGCGAGAGAGGUGGAUGGCUCGGCCCGUGGCGUGGUACCUAGUGGCUGGGGACAGCAGGGAGUAGGUGAGUAUUGGUAUUUCUAACAUCACCUUAGAUACUAGGUUGUCAUCCAUGUAAUGUUAAAAACACACGAGGGUGGUAUUUAAUAAACUGAACUCUUGAAUGAUGAUAUAUACUAUAAAAGGUAAUCUGCAAGCGCAUAGAUCAAAUACCAUUGCAGCACUUCAUCGGGAGUAUUCCAUGUAUCAUAUUUAUAUUUUAGCUUAGAGAGGAGCUAACUAGUAGGCUCAGAGAUGGAUUUGUCAAAUAUGAUUACUAAUGAGGAAAUCAAUCACCCAGUCACUUGCUAAGGCAGGGGUAAGCCAAUAAUCUACAGAUAAUAAUGAUAAUGAUAAUAAUGAUAAUCCAAAGAUUAGAGAUAGACUAGUCAUCAUAUUGGUAAGCAAACAAGAGACUAGUCAGGAGAUUGAACUCCUAGGUAGCAACUAAGUUGCUAAGUCUUUUCAUCUACUCUAGCAUAUAUACAAUCAUGUAUAGCAUAAUGACUCUAAAUUCAUGCAUAAGGAACAUUAGCAAGGAAGAUCACGAAUAGAGUAAGACAAUCCUUGUAAUAUUGUUCUAUUAUCGUUAUUGACGGGGUGUGAACUAUACAAGACUCAACAGUAAUGUCACAUCCGUGAUCUACCACAAGGCCCGCCCAAUAGGAUGCAUUCAUAGGUAAAUGUCAUCUAAGCACCACGCUUAAACUUAGUCUACCACGUAAUUCCCUCACGAUGAGAACUAAACGCUUUGGGAACAGAUAAAUGCACUCAUUAUCAAUCAUGACUAUAUCAAAUAUAUAACUAGAGCAAACUAGAAACAUAAUAAAUAACAACAUAAUCAAUUAGAAUAAAGUCUUAGAGAAAGAUACAAGAUAAUACCCGACUCUUGAGACGAACGAUCCAGAAUCCUGAGUGUAGCGCCCGAACUCUUCUUAAAUCUACUUGCUAAUCCUAUAUGAAAUCAAGGAAUUAGAGUAUAUAGUCUAACUCUCUGGUGGAAGAGGCGGCUAAGGCUUCAUUCUUCUUCUCUUCUCCCCCCUCUCUCUCUCUCCAAACCCUAAGGUCUACCUCUCCUUAUAUAGGCUGGUGGGAUGAACCGCGACCCUUGGAUCAAACCGACUUAAUGGACGAAGAUCUUUGCUCCUCAAAGGCGAUUGGGACAGAAUCCACGAGGUUGCUCUUGAUUGGGCUAGCAGAGGGGGCAGGCGCCCUCAUUGGCCACCCUGACCCUAGGCUCCCUCGGCUUCUCCUUCGUUCUGGUGGAUUCCUAAUCCUUUUAGAUGCUUCUUUUUCAUACCUGGCCUCAAUAUUUCAUUUUCUCUUUAUGUAAUCAUGACAUGUGGGCCUCCUUGGAUCAAUUUAUGAUAACCCCUUGUAGAAAUAGAUAUUUACCAAAACUCAUGGAAAUUUGUGAGAUAAAAGCAUAUACUUCUAUUGAUUGUUGAUAUAAAUAUGAUGGUUAUCUGCCAUCAACAGCGAGGGGAGGGAAGAGCACUAUCAUCAACAGAGAAGAAGACAUGGUGAGUGAGCGCGCUAUGGUAAGAUAGGUUGUGCUCGAGUGUUCCCCAACCAGAUGAUCCUUGAGUCAGAUUACCAAAUGGUAAUUUCCAAGCUCCAUGCCACGGGCUGUGAUCAUUCCAUCGUGUGGCAUGUCAUCGAUGAGACAUGUGCUAUGAGUGGCUAGUUAUCCAAGCUAGAGACAAUUAAGAUCAAUAUGGAUCAGAAAAAUUUGAUGCAUGAAUUAGCGUAGUUUUCUAUUAGUUUUUUUAAGACGUUUUUUUUUCUUGUUUUUCAGAGUGGAUAUAUCUCUCUCUUGUAAGGAUAUUACUUAAUUUUUGGCAAAGCUUUUUUCACAAGGCGCACAACCCAUCGCACAAUAAUUGAUGUGGGUUUGUUCUGUCAUGUCUAUAGACUACUCUAUUUCUACUCAUCUUCACUAGCUGGCACCACCGGUUUGAAGUACCACAACAUGAAGGUGGACACAGACAACGACGAUGACGUGAAUAGGGAGGAGCUCUAGCGGUGGUUCAAUUGGCAAGUGUCCCUGUGCGGGCGUCAUGGAGGAGAUCAAGCGGUAGUGGAGGCGUGGGACAAACACAAGAACAAGUGUCGAGGAUGUACUGCUACAGGCAUUCUUGAUCAAUAUGUUUUGUUAAUUCGUGUGUGUAUCGAAUCGACUUCCUCCUUUUGUUACGCCACAGCUACCACAGGUUCUACGCUAACCUCUAGCCAUGGCAACGCCAAACGGGGGCAACCCUGUUGCCGCUAGUCAACCUCUCAGAGGCCAACUUGGUGAGGGCAUGACCCGGAUGGGGAUGGCUUGUGGUGCCGGUGGACAAGGGGGUCCUAGGUUCAAUCCUGGGUUUCAGCCGGGAUACAAUCCAGGGUAUGUCGAUAGGGAUGGAGGUUACUAUGGAUGGGAUCAUCCCUGGGGUCGCGACCAAGGUCAUCGUGGUGGUCAUGGUGGUUUUAAUGGUGGCCACGGAAGGGGCUACUAUAAUAACUAGUUCCAUGGCUAUGGCGGCUAUGGUUGUGGCAACUAUGGUAGCCAUGGCAAUUCCAGGGGCCAUGCUUUCGGUGGCCGUCACUUGGAGGCAAGGGUGUUUCACCCUGCCAACCAAGGCCAGCAAGCCCAGUCCACAACUGGGGGCUUGCCGCAAGUAGGGACUAGCGCUGUGCCUGUAGCUCCUGCUACGACAAUGGAGAUGGGCAAAUCUUUAGCGGUCAUUGCCACUGCUGCGACAGUGAAUGUAGGGGCUAUGCUGGAGGCUCCCAAACCCAGCAACUUCGGGACUUCUACCACCAUACGGUCAGCAAUGACUCCUAUUGGUGGUCCGGUGAUAGGAGGUCCAUUGGCUUUGGAGGCACACGGUCAUGUCGAAGCCCAACCCAUGCAAGGUGUGGAGUCGACUGCUGGAACUCUCUAUGGUGGCAGCUUAGAAGUGGGUGCUGCAACCCAAGAGCCUGAAACAUCUUUACAGGGUGCAAACAAAAGUAAAAACAUACCUUACUGCUAUAGAUGUCACACAAUGGGUCAUGUUUAUGCAAUGUGUACUGCUGUUAUUAGUUGUGAUAUCUGUGAAUUUGAUGCACAUGUUAGUAAGAUUUGCCCGCUUUUGAAAGGUGAUAAACCAAUGGCUAUACCAUGUGGUUAUGCUGUUGAGAACCUUGGCUUCUAUUACAUUCCGCACACGGGGGUUCGGAAAGCAAGAACUGAAAAUAAAGGGGCUUUGGUUAGGGUGCUCGAGGGAUCCAUUACCACAGCUCAGCUUGUGGUGGAACUCGAACGUCUUAUUCCAGGAUCUAAGUGGGAAAUUGAGGAGAAAGGAAAGGAUAUGUUUACCACCACAUUCCCAUCGGCUAUAGAGUUACAGAGGAUGGUGUUGUGGGGUCACAUGGAAACAAAAACUAUAAAGGGCAAGAUCGAAUUUCAAAAAAGCUACUGACAAUGAGAUUUACAAGUAUGAGAUCCCAAAAUCAUGGGUGGAGUUUAGGGGUCUCCCAAAGGAGUUGAGAAACUUUGCCAUUAUCUGGGCAAUUGGGUCCAUUUUGGGUGUUACUAAAAUGGUUGAUAUGAAGUUUACAAGAGAAUUUGACCGUUCGAGACUUAAAGUGGUCGUGCUGGACCCAGACCUUAUCCCUGACCUUGUGGAUGUGGUUUAUUGGGGAUUUUGUUUACGAGCUACAAUUUAGAGUGGAAGAUUAGGAAAAUAAUGAUGACCCCAAACCAAUUGAUAUGGAUACACCUGUAGAUCCUAAGGAUGAAAACAAAGGGGGUGAUGUGAUUAUGGAUGAUGAUCCGGCUAAUAAGAACAUAGAUAAUCAUCUAGACGAGGAUCUAGCUGUGGAUGGCUCAGGCACAAAUAAAACGAAGGCUGCAGCCCCGCAUAGCAACACUAAGUUUUAAGCACCGUUGGGUCAGAAAGGGGAAACAACAAGACCGACCAUUGCCUUAACACCUACUGGUGCAGCAGCACCUACAGUUUAGUGGCGAGCUGAUUUGAUGACAGAAGGAAAUCCCAAAGGGAGCCAGUCUGCGCCGGCAAACACUCUUGCCACUCCUUUAAGGGCUAGCAAGAGAUUGGUGGUUUCUGAUCAGGAUUCUCUGGAGAAGGCGACUUUGCUAAAGGCAAAGAAAAAUCUGGAUGGUACUCCUAACAAAGGUAACAACUUGACAACCUCUUUCUUUAUUGAUUUGGAGGAUCCAGAUUUAGCUUCUAAAGUUGUUAGCUUAGGAGUUUCUCUAGGUAUAGCUCAGGUGAACAAGUUAGUGAGGCUGUAAAAAGGCUUAAAACCAUAGAAAAGGGUAGGUUGCUUGAAAGGGUACAGUUGGAGCAGCAAAUUACUCAAGAGGAUGAGGCUAGUGCCGAUGGAGACAUCGAUUUGCAUGCUCUGAGUUCUCUUUGUAAUGAUCUCAUGGAUUGUGUUGGUGAUGGGGAGUGUGAUUUUAAUGAUCUACUGUUCCCCACAUCACCGACAAAGAAAAAGGGGUCUAGGGGUAGAAGGAAGAAAAAUAAUAAUUAAUUAAGUAAUCAAUGGAAGGAAUUUUCUAGAAUUGUAAUGGACUAGAGGACUUAAAGAAACAUCGUUUUUUGUCUGACGGCUGACCUGACAAAGGAGCAUGACCUUGAUUUUAUUGCCUUAUCCGAGACAGGGAGGGAUUCAUUUACACAAUCAUCACUCAAUAUUUUUUGCGCUCGUAAAGAUUUUUUUCUGGCAUGUAAAACCUCGGCGCUCGUAAAGAUUUUUUGUGAAUCUUUUAGUUUUUGAUAUAGGCGAGAUCGAAGGAGAUUUCUUUGUGUGUUUUAAAAUUAGGAACAAAGAGGAUGAUUUUAUUUGGAACCUAGUUUCUGUAUAUGGGGCUGCACAAGAGGAAUUCAAAGCAAAUUUUCUCACUGAGUUGACCUAGUUAUGUUCAAAAGAAACUAUACCUAUCAUGAUAGGUGGGGACUUCAACAUAAUACGGGGACCGGGGAAAAGAAUAAUAACAAUUAUAAUGAUAGAUGGCUGUUUUUAUUUAAUGCAAUCAUAGAUGCGUUUAAUUUAAGAGAAUUAGAUUCUUCAGGUAGACAUGGGGCCAAUAAUUUGCCAAAUCAAACUUUUGAGAAGUUGGAUAGAAUAUUGGUGUGCACAGAAUUAGAAGAUAAAUACCCACAUAUGUCGGUCCAACUACUCUCCAGGGAAAUCUUGGAUCAUACUCCCUUGCUUUUGGGCACUGGCCAGCGAUUUACGAACUGCCAUUACCAGUUCAAAUUUGAACUCGGUUGGUUACUUUGUGAUGGUUUUCAGGAGAUGAUUUGUGAUAUUUGGCAGAGUGUGCAACAAGGCUCCAACCCUUUAGAAACCUGGCAAAAGAAAAUAAGGCGUCUGCAACAAUUCCUCUGGGGUUGGGCCAAAAACACAAGCGGAACUUACAAGAAAGAGAAACAACAAUUAUUGGAUAAACUUGAUGUGCUAGAUAAAAAAGCAGAAAAGCAAAACCUUGAGCAAGCCGAAAUAUAUUCGAAACACGUUCUAAAUGAUCGACUAGCUGAACUGUUAAGAGAAGAAGAAUUGAAAUGGUACCAAAGAGCAAAAUUAAAACAUUUGUUAGAAGAAGAUGCCAAUACAAAAUAUUAUCAUUUAGUUGCAAAUAGAAAACAUAGAAAGACUCGUAUUUUCCAGUUAGAGCAGGAGGGGACGAUUUGUGGGGAAGUGAAACUAAAAAAAUACAUUACUAAGUAUUACAAGACUCUCUUUGGGCCAUCAGAGAGGUCGACGGUAUCUAUGGAUGAGUCCACCAUAAAUGAUAUUCCUCAGGUCUCUUUAUUAGAAAAUGAUAUGUUAACUGACAUAUUCUCUGAAACUGAGGUGAAGGAGGCAAUUUUUCAAAUGGAGCAUAAUAAGACUCCAGGUCCAGAUGGGUUUCCUCUAGAGUUUUACCAAAUAUUUUGGUUUCUUUUAAAAUAUGACUUGAUGGCUCUGUUCGAGGAUUUCAUACAGGGACCUUGCCAAUAGUCUUAAUUUUGGGAAUAUCAUCCUUCUACCAAAAACAAAUGAUGCAAAGAGAAUACAACAAUACAGGCCCAUUUGCUUACUAAAUGUUAGUUUCAAAAUUUUUACUAAGGCUCUCACAAAUAGAAUUACAAAAAUGGCCAAUACAAUUGUCGGCCCUACUCAAUCAGCUUUUAUACCAAAUAGAAAUAUAAUGGAGGGGGCAGUCAUUCUCCAUGAGACAAUCCAUGAACUGCAUACCAAAAAAACAAAAUGGUAUUAUUUUUAAAAUUGACUUUGAAAAAGCAUAUGAUAAGGUGAGAUGGUCUUUUUUACAGCAAACUCUGAGAAUGAAAGGUUUCUUUGAAAAGUGGCAACAAUAGAUUUCGAUGAUCACAAAGGGUGGAAAUGUGGGAAUAAAAAGUUAAUGAUCAACUGGAAGAUUAUUUUCAAACUAGAAAAGGGUUAAGACAAGGGGAUCCUCUAUCUCCAAUUUUAUUUAAUCUAGUUGUGGACAUGUUAGUAGUAAUGAUUACUAGAGCCAAGGAUAUUGACCAGGUUAUAGGGGUUGUACCUCAUUUAGUGGAAGACGAGUUGUAAUUUUACAAUACGCAGAUGAUACUGUCAUUUUUAUGGACCACGACUUUCAAAAGGCUACAAAUAUGAAACACUUUCAAAAGGCUACAAAUAUGAAACUUAUUCUUUGUGUCUUUGAACAAUUGUCCGGUCUUAAAAUUAAUUUCCACAAGAGUGAAUUAUUCUGUUUUGAAGUGGCUAAGCAGUGUGAACAACAAUAUGCACAGCUGUUUGGGUGCGGUAUAGGCAUGUACCCCUUUAGAUACUUGGGAAUUCCAAUGCACACAAGAAAAUUAGGGAACAAAGAUUGGCAAUAUGUAGAAGAACGUUUUGAAAAGAAACAGAGUGAUUCGAAAGGAAAAUUACUCUCAGUAGGAGGACAUCUAGUCUUAAUUAAUUUGGUGCUUUGAAGCUUACCGAUGUUCAUGAUGUCCUUCUUUGAGGUACCUAAGGGUGUAUUAUAGAGAAUUGAGUUCUUUAGAUCGAGAUUCUUCUGGCAGAAUGACCAACAAAAGAGAAAAUAUUGAUUAGUAAAGUGGACUGUGAUAUGCCAACCGAAAGAACAGGGUGGUUUGGGAGUCACCAAUUUAGAAAUAUAGAAUAAAUGCCUACUUAGUAAAUGGUUGGUUAAAUUGUGUAAUGAAGAUGGCUUAUGACAACAGUUGAUUAGAAAUAAAUACUUAAGAAACAAAAUACUUUUGGAAAGGUAUUUUAAAUGUCAAACAUCAAGUUAUGCAACUUGGAAAGUUUAAGGUACAAAGUGGAAAACAAACGAGGUUCUGGGAAGAUAUUUGGAUUGGGAAUUGGUCUCUCCAAACAAAAUUCCCAAGACUGUACAAUAUAGCACGCAGGAAAAAGGAUAUUGUGUCAAAUGUGUUGUCGUCUAUUCCACUUAAUGUUUCAUUUCAAAGAGCAUUAGUGGGAAACAACUUGAGGGACUGGAAUAGGAUUGUCCCAUCAGUAGCGAAUUUACAGCUACAUGAUGAAAGAGAUGUCUUUGUUUGGUCUCUGAACUGGAAUGAUUUGUUUACAAUAUGAUCAAUGUAUGCAUAUUUAGUCAAUAGUGGUGUACGGGUCUCACAAGAAAUUUGGCGUGCUAAGUUACCCAUGAAAAUAAAUUUUUUAUGUGGUACUUAAAAAAGGAAGUUAUCUUAACAAAGGACAACUUAGCAAAAAGAAAUUGGGAGGGUAAUAAAGGUUGUCCCUUUUGUAAUACUCCAGAAUCAAUUCAACACUUAUUUUUUUAGUUGUGUCUUUGCUAAGUUUGUGUGGACAGCAAUACAUAUGGUUUCUGAGCAUUGCUCAACCCACUGAUGUUAAUGAUCUUUUUAAUCAUUGGUCAAAAGGGGGGGAACCAAUCACAAUUUGAACUUAUUGAUGGCAGCCGCCGCAUUAUGUUGGUCACUGUGGGUAUCAAGAAAUGAAAUUGUUUUUGAUAAUCGUAGACCUAAAACUUUUUUUCGAGUACUAUUCAGAGGGACUCACUAGCUCCGUCAAUGGGUCUUGUUAUAGCGUCAUGAAGACCACCAGCAGGAGUUAGUCGACGCGUGUCGUGUUCUCGAAACUUUAUGUCUUCAGCUAUUUUCAUUCUUUGGAUGGUCAUCUGCUUUUAGAGUUUCUUUAUAUUGAUAUUUGAGAGAAUUUUUCUGCAGUUAGUCUUUGUGUCUUUGAUUUGUUCACGACUACAAUCAUGUUGAUUCAUGGCACUUGCCAUAUCUUGGUUAAAACUUUGUAAUAAUUUGAUCUGAGUUCAUCCGGUUUAGGGUGAAUAAAGCAGGAUAGACUUUCUAUCAUUUAUCUAAAAAAUAUAGUUUUUGUGUUGAGAGGAACCAUGCGUAUACUGUAGUUGGGAACUUGGGAUGAAUGAUGUGGUCUCUCAUUCUGUGUUCUUUGUCUUAGAAUUUUACUUAUUUUAUUUAUGUGAAAUUUUAUGAUGUUUGGAAGUAGUGGGAGCCCUCCGUUUUUUUUAGAUCGGAUGGUUUAAAAAUAGGAGUUGAGGAACUUAAAUUGUGGGCCGGAACUAAAAGAAAAUACGUAGACUUGGAACUAAAAAAUACGUGGACCUAGAACUAGUAUCUAAAUAAAUUUGGAGAGUAUAAUAGUAUUUUGACAUCUCCGGGCGUGCUUGGCCCUCGGCGAGGUGCUGUGGUCGGGGCAGAUAUACUUAGUGCUCCCAGCGGCCAUGCUCAACAGGCCGGUCUCGACCGCCGACAUGGCCACGUUGACCGUGCGGCCGGCGACCACGACGCUCGCGUCCAGCUAGCAACAAGCCGAGGUGCCCAUAGUGGCAGCACGAAGAUGACCGUCGUUUGUGUCAUGCCUAUGCGCGAGGAAAUGGAGGACGGCGGCGUAGUGAACGCCGUGAAGAAGGACGAGAAGCUUGCAGCCACCGUGGCGACGUCGAGGCUCAAUCGGGCGAUGAGCAAAUUCUUUUGUCCUCUCCAGAAACUUAAUCAUUCAAGAAGACGCAGGCAGUGAGCGACUCCCGUUCGUGGAUGUUUCGGCGAGUUAGGCCAGUCUGAGUGGGGGGUUUUACCAGGAUGUCAUGCACAUUUUAUUAGAGCAUCAUGUCAGUAAAAUUGCACUUUUUGCAUGAAACAAAGAGGAAAGAGAAGGAAAUAGUUUCACCAUAGUGAAACCCCGCGGACUUUGUUUCCCACGCGGUGAAACGGGAUGAAAUCCCCACUGAGGGCUAAAUCGUUUCACCAUCUUGCAUGUGAUCCAAUCAUUUUACAGUAAUUAAAUGUUUUGCCCAGCCUAGGAAACGUCAAGAUGAAACUCAUGCAUUGUGGAGGUUGUUUCAUUAUUCGUUUCAUUGAUGCCCUGUCAGCGGAUUUGUUUUGGAAACAAUGCAUUGAAACGGGCCACUGAGACUGGCCUUAGAGAUUCUAUUAAUAGGAGAGGAUAAGUACUAAACUACCCUUAAGCAUAAUUAAUUAAUUUUCAUAGUUAAAUAGCUACGGUAAAUAGUUUUCCAGCGAGGAACAGGUGGUUCCUCCCAAGCACCAUAACAAAGCUCUUUAUUUUAUGAUAGUUUAGCUUAGAUUUAGACCACGAACUGGUCAUAGAUUAGCUGGUUGGGUUCCUUAUAGUGAAACUUACUCAUCCGGGAUCAAAUUCCCGACUUCACGUGAGUGCUCAUAUUUUCCUAGAUUUAUUCCAUGAUUUAACGGUGUCUCGCAAAAAAAUAAACUUAGUUUCAGAUCAAAUUAAGUUUUAGCGACUGAUUUAGGCCUUAUUUGGCAAUAACUUCACCAAUGAUUUUAUAGGCUGUUGUAAGCUAUUUAUUUUCUGCUAAACAUCCUUCUUCAAAAGAAGAUAGGUGAAUCUCUUUUUUUUAAUGCUCCCACAAAAGAACGGAUAGAGGUGAAGUUGAGAAAAGUAGCUUUUCAUAUCUCUCUUUCUCAUUUCUCUCUCUCAGUCAUGCAUAAAGUUGUUGGUAAAGUUAUUUUUGCUAAACAUGUUUUUUUUAAAAAAAACACAGCUCAGAAUUAUUGAGAAAACAGAGAUGCACAAGGAUGCGCUGGAUAAAGCGCAAGGUGCGGUCAGCGGCGAGGGGGUGCCCAGAGAGGUGCAUUCUUGAUGGAUAUGUUUUGUCUACUCGUAUGGAGUAUAAUAUAGAUAUGAUGCUCAGCUUGAAGAGCUCCACCAAUCUAUGGAUUUGGCCACUGAAUUUGCAGGUUUCACAGGUCUAGAGAGUUUCUACUGCGUGGAUUUUGAAGCUGAAUUUGGUGGAGCUGAGACGAGUCCCAAAUAGCUCACAGAGCAGAGAAGCAUAAAUUAUUCAACCUGUUGGUGAUCCUUUAUUUUUUUAUUAUUACUAGAAUACUAGGCAAUGGACGAUUUACUGCUCAUAUCCAUCCCUAAUAUUACUAGCUAAUCGUCCUUGCACAUAACAAGAGGCCGGCGUGCCCUUCUCAUGCUCAGCAGCAAUAAUUUUUGCACCCAGUCAUUGUCUCGAAGCAUAGCGUCUUACGGUUGCCACCAUGGUACCAACAGCAGAAGCAAGUACUGAACUUGCACCACACCGUAUUGGGUAGCAGCUUGAUGCAACCGCAAUCUACCCUCCUGUCGCUCCCAACUGGAUUUGUGUGUUGACCUGCACAUUAGUUAAUUAAUUAAUUGUUAUAGUAUAUAAGAUGCUUGAAUAACGCAUAAGUGUAAGUUUUAGAAGAGCACAAGGGGUCUCCUCGCGCUCCUAUAUGUUGUACAAUACUAUUACUCACAUUGUGAGAGAACUGCGAAACAUCCAAGGGUAAGCAUAAGCAUCACAACUAUAGUAGCCAUUCUUCCCUCCAUCACAGCAAUCACAGUGUAUGUCCGACAAACAUACACAUCCCGCACAAUGUUCUAUUUAUAGAUGAUGAAAAUAGCAAAAUGGAUAUACUAAAAAAAAGUCAAAGCAAUAAUUAAUAACUUAAAUAGCAAAAUGGAUAUACUAAAAAAAGUCAAAGCAAUAAUUAAUAACUUUUAGGCUUGUGACUAAUCCUCCGAGAUUUAAGAAUAUAUAGCAUUAAUUUCAACAAAGAUGAUAUCUUUAUUUGCAAUUCCAUGGCUAAUAAUGGCAUUCUACUAGUUUGCAUGUACAAUUUAGCCGCUAUAUUUCGCUAUAGCCUAAUUUAACUCCGCUAUUAGCCAUUCUAAACAUAAACCGCUAAACACCUUACCCGCUAUUUUAAACAUAGAUUCUACUACUUUGCAUUGCAUUAUCACCAAACCAUAAUGAGAAGAUAAUGAAGCCUUUGCAAACUGGUUUGGAUCCAUGGGCCGAUCUGUGUGGGCUAAAGAAAGAGAAAGCACAUGGCCUAAUGAACCUCAGGCCCAUUAGGCCCAUCAACCAAGGACUUCUCUCGUGCAGUGCAGACUGCAGAGGCCUCUAUUUCGAUCCGUCUUCACAGGCCGGCCGCCGGCACCACCACCACCAUGGCCGCCGCCGCCGCCGCCGCCGUAGCCGUCUCGUCGUCGCGUCCGCCUCUCCUUCUCCAAUCCACCUCCAACGCCACCUUCGUUUCCUUCCCGAGGCGGACGCUCCCCGCCACCACCCUCGCCCUCUCCGCCCCCUCCCAGCUGUCGCUGGUGCCGGCGGCCAACCCCAAGUACCACAACGCGAAGGUGGACGCGGGCGACGAGGACGUGGAAGGGGAGGAGCUCCUGCGGCGGUUCAACUGGCAGGUGUCCCGCGCGGGCGUCAUGGAGGAGAUCAGGCGGCGGCGGAGGCACGAGGACGCUCGGGACAAGCGCAAGCGCAAGGCGCGAUCGGCGGCGCGGAGGUUCCGCCGGAGGUGCGUUCUUGAUCGAUAUAUUUUGUCUAUUUUUGCGAAUAGUAUAGUUGCUUGGUUAGUAGUUUCAAAAAACGUUGCUUCGAUAGUUGGGAUGAAUGAAUGAUAUAUGUUCUCUCAUUUGCUGCUAUAAUAAAUGAUAUGAUUGCUGGUUCUAUGACAGUUGAGCUUAAUUUUAGACCAAACUGCAAGUGUUAGCGACUGAUUCCGUGUGCAUGUCCUAUGUUCAAGUUGUUGUAUAUCUGACAGCAAUAGUUUGAUUGCCAAUUUCAUUAGACAAUUAGCAUGCCAAGUUGCCAACCAUUCUACUGCUGACAUUCAUGAUCCUGAAGGUUGGACAGCUAGUUUUACAGACAUUAGCAUGUUAACACAGAUCAUUUCCUGAAUGGAAAUAGCUGUGCAUGUGGAAUGGUCCAUUCAAGAUCCUGUUUUCGUCUUUAGUAUUUAUGCUGUUUUGUGUACCAGCAUCAUCAUCAUAUUUUACACCGGCGGUAUAAUUCUUGUUCACCUUUUGAAAAGUGAGGUGUUAUUCUUCAUCAUGAAUACAUGAGUGUGCAUUCCCUGCCAUUUUCAAGUGCAAGUUAAAUGCCUAAUCAAAUACCCAUUGUUUGCAACAUUCAGCAAGCUUCAUGCUGAAUUUUGCAAAAUCUAACAUCAAGGGCAUCUCCCCUUUCUGAUGACACGUUUGUUUUUUGCCAUUCCAAAGUUUCAGCAAGUUUUAUGCUGAAUUUUCCAAAAUCUACCAUCAAGGGCAUCUCCCCCUUUCUGAAGACAUGUUUGUUUUUGGCCAUUCCAAAGUUUCAGCAUGUUUUAUGUUGAAUUUUGCAAAAUCUAGCUUCAAGGGCAUCUCCAAACCUCAUUUAGUUCAUUUGAGUUGUAGUAACAAUAUAAGAAACUCCUGAUUCCUCCUAACUGAGUCCAGUCACUCUGGUACAGGCGAUUCAAGGGCCCAUACCCUUUCAGUGAUGAUCAGGGGGCGAAGGAGCAGGCUACUGAUGACGAGGAGAAUGACAACUGGGAGCUCCCUGCAGGAGAGUUGCCUUCUUACAGGUAGAGAUAGUCGAGAAGUUGAAGCAUGAUUUUAUCUGCAGAAGAGUUUCAACACCUCCAGCUUCAGUUAUUCCUGUCAGUCGGAGGAAAUUGAGUAGGUGUUGACAAAUCGAUUCUAGCGGAUUGGCGGCCAAUGCACGGUAAACUGAUGUUGUCUGCAGAAGAGUUUCAACUCCUCCAGCUUCAGUUCUUCCUGUCAGUUGGAGGAAAUUGAGUAGGUGUUGCCCAAUCGAUUCUAGCUGAUUAGCGGCCAAAGCACAGUAAACUGAUGUAAAGCAUUUUGUGGAAAUGCCAGUUAUGUCUCGACAGCAGACCCUCCUGGCUGUGCUGCAAAUACGUCAUCUGUAUUGAGUUCUUGUGGAUGGAUUUACAAUGGCUGGUGUGUUCUCACAAGAAUUCUAAUGCUAACUUUUUUCUGGUGGGAAAAAGAUGAAAUCUGAUGCAGUAGACACUUGCUUUGGUGACCUAGUACUCAGUAAAAUUGUUCUUUUGCAGCUACAAAAUUGCCAUGCUGGUCCUGGUCCAAUCAUGUUGCGAAUUUAGUUUUGGAUACGUUGCUAUGAGGAAUUAAUCAACAUGUCCCAGAAGUGACCAAAAACGAUGUGAAGAAAACGAUGAGGAUUGACGAGAUUUCAGGGGAAAAAAGGACAAGAGCGAGGAAAGCUCAUGUCACCUUUCCUUGUCCGCAUAUUAAUUUGCAUCAGCACUAUUUUUCAGUCAUAAAACAAUGUUUUUUUUUUCAUAACAAAUCAGCAUUAGCAUUAGCAUUAGCAUUAGCAUUAGCAUCAGCAUCAGCUGUAGCCAAGGAUUCCUGGGCUCCGGCUUUAUGCGUCGUGCGAUUGCCUGAUUGGGGCUUUGCUUUCCUCUGCGUUUUGUUUUUCAGAGAGAGCUCGAAAGCUAAAAAGCACAGCAACGGAAAGUGCAAGGUGUUUCCGGAAGCGACGCAGGAUCCGGCUAUCUCUGGACCAACCUGCCUACCUGAGUUUUUCUCUUUUGUUUCCUCUAUGUCAAAUUGUAAGAUACAUAUUACACACCUAAAUAUGUAUUAUAUCUAGAUAUAAAAAUAAAAGGUAUGUAUCUAAAAAAAAUAACCUGAACGACUUGCAAUACGAAAGAGUAAAUACUACUUCCUCCAUUUCAAAUCAUAAGUCGCUUUGACUUGUUUGGUUCAUCUAUUUUACUAUGUAAACAAAAUGGAUAUAUCAAAAAAAUCAAAGUGACUUAUAAUUUGGAACGUAGGAAAUACGUUUUAAUGAAAAUCUGAUAAAACUUCUCAAACUUUGAGCAUUAGUGUCUACUAGUUUUCAAAUAUUUGUUUUACAAAAGAAAUGGGUGUAGAUUUAUUUUGAAAGCUACUUGCAUAAUAUCAUGUUUAUUUGAUAUUAUAACUACAUUGAAAUAAGAAAUAAAUAAUGAUAAAAAUCAAACACCCAAAGGCAGUAAUGAUAAAACUACUUUGGAUGGAACCAAAGCCGGUGGGGGAAAAAUGGCUUUAUCGGCUUUUGGUUGUUUGAGGAAAAGAUAGAGAAAAAGAGCUAAUGUAUACAGUGCAGAAGCUGGACGAGGCAGAACUGCUGGGAGCCCUCUCAAAUGAACCGUGGCAGUGGCUAAAACUAUCAUAUGGCCGUCGAAAGUAUAACUCUAAAAAACAUGAAAUCAACAAGAUUGAGACAAAAAGUUACCACUAAUAAUAACUUGUAGAAAUUGAUCAAGUUUGAUUCAACUGCUGAUAUUUGGCUUAAAGUUAACAUGUACUCCUUCCAUCCUAAAUUAUAAGACGUUUGGCUUUUCUGACCUCAAAUUUAACCACUCGUCUUAUUCAAAAUAUUUGUACAAACGUAGUCAAAUUUAAGUCAUUCUUGAAGAACUUUUACUAAUAAACCAAGCCACGACAAUAAAAAGUGAUGUUUUGCACAAAUUUUUGAAUACGACAGUGGUCAAAUUUGGUGUCAAAAAAGUCAAACGACUAAUAAUUUGGGAUGGAUUGAUACUACGUUAAUGCUUUAUUACCUUAUCUGAUCACCCAUUUACUAAUAAUUUAUUAUGUUAAUAACAUUUGUUAACUAUCAUAUAGUAUCUGGAGACAUGGACAUAUAUGUAUGGCCAUCAAUUGGAUGAGAAGCUAGCCUAGACAGUCGUCGUCGUCGCUACGGUAGCAACACAUACACGGCUAGCUACUGGGCUGCAGCAAGCUUGGCAAUCAUGUCCUUUAAAACAGACGGGCAGCUCUUGCUCAGAUGCUCCAAGCCGUCGGUCUUGACGACCUCUCUGAGAUUUUCUGGAUCCUCGAGGAAUCUCAGGCACGCCUCCUUAAGCCCUAGGCAAUGGUGGUCGACGGCGAACGCCAGGAUGACCGCCACGGUUGUCACAUCCACAAACUCACACAGCUUCUCUUCACAAACCAGCCUCAGCCUCUCCAUCUGAUACCUAUUCGCCGCUGCGACCAGGUCCGGGAGCAUCGCCGCCGCCGCUGAUCCCUUCGACUCCGGCGGCAGCGAGUCGGUGUACACGUAAUGGAGAAACGCCUCGAAGUCCUGCGCUUCCAUGUCUUCAAUCUGUACGACGACGGCUGCGCCGCCGCUGUCGUUGGUCGUCGUCGUCGUCGGGCAGGUGGAGAGGGAGAGCUCGGCGUGGAACACCGGUGACCGGGCCAUGAGCACACACCUGUGCGCGGCGAAAGUCCUGUUGUCCACCAUGAACGUCACGUCCGCGCCGUCCCCGGUCGCGAGGAGGCCGCCGAGGUGACGGUGCAGGUCCGACGGCGGUGGCACCACCACCACCGCUGCAUCUACUAGAGGUGACGACGGGUGUGGGACGUCGACGAUGUCCAUCGCUUAGCAGCCGGGGUACGGGAACAUGGGCACGUUCCCCGUUCCGGGAACUUCGUCCCGAAACGUGGAACGGGAACAUCAUGGAACAUCGUUCCCAAAUGCGGUGGAACACGAAUCAUAUAUAAGAGCAAUCAUAGGAACGUCAGUCCCAAGCGACUAUGGAACUUCGUGGUGUGUGUGCAUACUGCGCCGUGCCCGUCCGUGAGCGGUCGGUGAAAAAUCUAGAUGGUGAUUGACUCAUUGGCCUAGACCUGCAAUGAGCCUUAAGGUUGGAGUUGGACAGCCCUAAAUGAAACAAAAAUACAAUAGUAAAUUAUAUCACGCUAGGAAUCGAACUCAUUUGGUUCAAAGCAACACGUAAAACUACCUGAGCCAACCACUACGUCACAAAACACGUUCCUUUAGAAAGUGGAACGCGUUCCGCAACUUAAAGGAACGAGACGAAGCUAUAUACCCCCUACGUUCCAUAGUUUAUGAGAAUGUCGUACCGCGUACCACGUUCCCGUACCACGUACCCUAUGUUCCGGGAACUUGGCUGCUAAGGUCCAUCGUCUGAAUCUCCCCCGUGGCGGCGACCGUCAAAUCACACCUGAUCGUGAAGCGGUCGUGCUUGAGAUGCUCGGAUUUCUCCAGCUCGUCCCUCCUGAUGAAAGUCCGGAAUCCACGGUCGUCGUCACGGAAGGUAUGCUCGGCACUGAAGGUGUAGUGUGGCACUGGCUUCUUCUCUCCAUAGUCAAGCAAGCUGAAGGUGAACCGUGCUCUGACGCCAUGGCCAUGGGCGACAUUGACAUUGUGGUCGUCGAGGUCGAGCUUGAGGAAGAUGGAUAUGAAGUCGGAGCAAGUGGAGUUGCAGCCGUUGGGGUAAUAGCAGAUGUGCCAGCGGUGGCCGCCGACGCGGAACGAUCGGGACUUGAUGUGGCUGCCGGUCGGGACAUCCUUGGUGCCGGAGUAGCCGUCGAUCUUCAGCAGGUGCUGCCCGCUCUCGGUGCUGGCGGCGACGAUGGCUGACGCGGACCGCGACGGCUCGCGCUCGCCCCUGCCGCCACCGAUGAUCGGCAUGGGUACCACGGUCUGUGGUGUGGAGAUCACGGCGUUUGCUGCUUCAGCGCUUCUCUUCUUGCACGCUGCAUUAUGUCGAGUGCUGAAUUUUACUCGCUCCAUCCCAAAUUAUAAGUCAUUCCAAGAACCUUGGAGAGUUAAAGCAUUUUUAAGUUUGAUUAAAAUUAUAGAAAAAAAUACUAAGAUUUGUAACGUAAAAUAAGUAUACUAUGCAAAUAUAAUUAAGAAAGAAUCUAAUCAUACUUAGUUAGUACCAUAAUAAUUAUUAUUUUAUAAUAUAAAUUUAGUCAAACUUAGAAAAGUUUGACUCUCCAAGAUUUUUGGAAUGACUUACAAUUUGGGAUGGAGGGAGUAGAUAGAUACGACGGAUCUCAUCUCUCUAUAUAUCCUUCGUAAUUGCUAGAAAUAGAGAUUUGAUAAUUCAAAAAAUACACUCCAAUAGCUUCUUUAUUUGUUUAUUUAAAUAUAAGUAUCUUAUAUUCUGAAUUUUCGCUGGCACAAGAUAGAAAACAUACAAGAUACAGAAAAACUAUUACAUGAAAGAAUAUAAAAAAGGGUUUUUAUGCAAAUAACUGUCUAAAUCAUUGUUUAGAGAGUAAGCUUUACAAAAAAAACUCUUAAAGAUGCUCUGCAGAGUAAAGUCCAUUCUUUUUUUGAAGAAAAAAGAGAAGAGGCCUCAUAGAGAAAGGCUCCACGUUCUUAUCUACUCUCUUUUCCUAAAAAACCACCCACCUCCGCUAUUGUUAUGUAAAAUGCAUAAAAAACCUCUUUAAAUUUGCAUCUAAUUUACCUACUCUAUGAUUAUGAAUGAUAAUUUAAAAUGAACUCAAUUUGCAUCUAAAUACCCAACUAUGCCAUUAUAAAAGAUAAUUUAAAAAUAAUUUCCAUGCAAUUUACCCUUCUACGAUUACUAAAGGUAAUGGAAGGUAACAUCGAAGUUUCUUUUAAGUUGCCUAUAUCUACUAUUAUGAAAGAUAUAUGAUAAAGUAACCCCCUUUAAUUGUAACUAAAUUGCCUAAAUCUACCACCCAAAAGAAUAAACUAAAAUAUCCCUCCAAUCUAUGUUUAAAUACCAAUAUAAGAUGAUAUGAAAACUAACUCCAUAAGCAUAAAGUUAUUUUUUUAAAAUUAAACACUUACCACCAUUGGAUUGAAAGUAAGCAUAAAUGUUAUGUAAUAGUCCCUUCUUCUAAAUUGUAAGUUGUUUUAACAUUUCAAGACACAUUGCUUCAGCAAUGUAUUUAGACAUAGGGUAUAACUAAGUACAUAGCAAAAUCUAUGUACCUAGAAAAGUCAAAACAAAUGAUAAUUUGGAAUAGAGGAAGUACUAUACAUUCAUGUUAGGAAUAGAUAUAUCAAUCUAUAAAAUUCCUUAACAAGCAAAUCACAUACCAAUGACACUAACAACUAAUUUUAAGUUAUAUUGGUACUCUGUCGAUAAAUUUUGUAAGUUGUUACUUUAGGUAAGUUUAUAUAUUUUGAUUGAAAACAUAUUCUCUUCCAAGCAGGCUUAUAAACAACUUAUUGGGCAUCGUCGGAUUGAUACUUCUUACAUGUGGCUUUGGACAUCUUCUUGUCAGAACAAAAGGAAAAAAAAAUCUGGUUAAUCUUAAGUGACAGGUUGAGCACUAGAGCUUUGAUUAAAAGAAAAGGAAUCCAUCUUGAAGAUUAUAAUUGUGUUUUCUAUUCACUCGACAUGAAGAAGAUCUUCUCCAUAUGCAUUUUCACUGUCCUUUCACGAUGGCUUGUUGGUACAGUUUGCAACUCUUUAUACCAAAUUUAGAAGAUAUUCCAAACCAUCUUGGAAAGCCUCAGGGCUCGACUAAGGGUACCUUUUUUAUGGAAGUCAUCAUCACGACGUGCUAGGCUAUUUUGAUGAUGUGGAAUGAUAUUAUUUCCAGAGACUUGGUGCAUUUAGUUCAGGGAUGCAUGGCGGUUUUCAGGAAUGAGUUUGCUCUAGUUAUUAUAAGAGCAAAGGCACGCAAUCACCCCUUCAUUGUUUAAUGGCUAGACAGCUUUGUGUAAUCUUAGCUAUUUUUUCCUUACCAUUUUGUGUCUUGAGGUUACUUGUGUAAGACUUUGCUUGUUUUUUAUUAAUAAAUUUUCAGUAGGGGUGGAGCCCCUCGUGUUUCCUCAAACACAAAAUCUAACCACUCUAUGUUAACAACAACAAUACACAUAACUUUUUGAUAUAAUAAAUUCAACAUCUUUAGUGUCAUGGAACAGGCCAAAAUACUGUUUUUUUGCUAUUGUAGUAAUUAAGAUUGUACCUUACGGCCUAAAAAUGCUUUAAAUAAAAUCUAAAAGGAAAACUUUAAAUAAAAUAUACAAUAGACACUAAAGUUUCAACUUGAUACGACGUGGAUAAAAGUGAUGCAAUAACUAAUACAAUUAAAGUUUAAAAAACCCAAAUAUAGAUUUACGAUGUCAGAAAGGAAUAUAAGAGAUUAUGUAACUUAAACUUUGGUUUCAAUUGAUUUGGUGCAUGUCGCGCGUGAUUAGAUGCAAGAUUCUCAUAGUGAUGUUAGAGUCUUUUAGCGUCCACGUUAGUCUUCUUGACAACUUCUAGGACGAUAUCUUUUAAUUUAGGACCGAGGGAGUAAUUACCAACCUUGCCAUUAUGAAUGAUAAUUGAAAAUAACAUCAAUUUGCUUUAAAUUAUCUUCCUCUAUCAGUAUAUAUGAGCAAGAGAGACCGAACGCACCUGAGUCACCGAAUUAGCUUAGAGAGGUUUGAUGAUGCAGUCAUGCAGAUCAUUUUUGUUGAAUUUGGAGAUGAUUUGGCGUGUGGUUUAUCGUGGCAAGCAUGGUUGCGAGAUAGGUAGCGACACAUCCAUAUUUAUAACCGAGUCAGGUAAAAUAAUUAAACAAGGCGUGUAAAAGAGCUACGUACGUAACAUCACCUAUGCAAGCUUCCUAAACAACAGAACCUCGGCAAUCCUUUAUUCCUGGCUUCCAUCGAUAGCCACACUACGGGUUCUCGUUAUGCCAACUUGGGAAUUCAGCAAAGACGGAUGCCUUCUUACCAGUGGUUCAAGCAAGGCAUUGUACUAAAUAGCGUUCGUAGCGACCACAAUAACAGUUACUGCUCUUGUCGCUACCAGUACGACGUAGCGGCUUGGAUAUAGCUGAUUAAAACUUAGCGUCCGCUAGCUAUUUGGCGGAGCAAGUCGCUAUAGUGGCCAUUAUUUGACAUAGCAAUCUGUUAUAGCAGUCUAAUUCUUAAUUUAAGAUAUAUUUGAUGAGAAUCACUCUUGGAAUACAAUUAAAUAUCUAUUUAUACUAUUUAAGAUAUAUGUUAUUUUUCAAAAUAUACAUGUAUUAGCAGAUAAUGUUAUUAGAACUUAAGCGUCCGCUAACCGCAAUCUGCUAACCUCUUUGGGAGGUUUGUUUUUUUUUUCAAAGGCACUUUUGUUUCCUCCCCUCUAAAAUAGCCUGGACCAUUGAUCUAGAAGGGGUAAAAACAUGUUCCCCUCCAUCGUCUUCUAUUAUCUCAUUUGCCAAGCGGGUGAAAAAAUACGGGCUCAAAGUCCGAUUGAGGAAAAAAAAAAACAAGCGGAUGAAAUCGUCAGGCGCAGUGCGCAAGGGCUUGCCGCUUGCCUGACGCCCUUCCAAUCCGGCCAAACAGUGGAUUGGCCAAAUUGUUUGCAAACGUUAGAUCUCCAAGAGAUUAGCCAAAAACAUUAGUCAAAUUUACUAAUUUAACUACUCUCUAAAAUAGAUUUGAUAAAAAAAAUAUUAGAGUGCUCCAACAUACUCUAUAAAUGAUGGCUAGUGAGGUAGGCUAUCCAAAAUUAGAGAGCGAAUAAGAGCAUCUCCAAGAGAUUAGCCAAAAAUACUAGCCAAAUUUACUGAUUUAGCUACUCUCUAAAAUAGAUUUGACAAAAAGAUAUUAGAGUAUUCCAACAGACUCUGCAAAAGGAUGGCUAGUGAGGUAGACUAUCCAAAAGUAGAGAGCAAAUAUGGUGGGAUGAAGAGCUACUAAAUUUGAAGAGUCAUUUACAGAGUCUGUUGGAGACGUUUUUCCUUCAAUAAUAGCCAAAUAUAUCUUUAGAAAAUGAUUUGGCUAGUCUCUUUGAGAUGCUCUAAGGUUAGAUAGAGAGCUUAUAAAUUUGAAGAGUCAUUUAUAGAGUCUGUUGGAAUCGUUUUUUCUUCAACAAUAACUAAAUUUACCUUUAGAAAAUGAUUUAGCUAAUCUCUUGGAGAUGCUUGGUGACGCACAAAUUUGGUGAUAGCAGUGGAUUAGCCAAAUUAUUUGGAGCUAAGCUCGCCUUGUUCGCUUGAGCUUUUCGGCUGAAUCUGCUAGUUAUUUAGCAGUUUUUUUUCUCUCGUAACAAAUCAACAAAUAGUACUUUCAGUCAUGACUUUAGUCAAGCGAACAUGCUCCUAGUGGCAAAGCUAGAACAAAUUCGAGAGGGGUGUGCUUGCCUUGUGAGUGUGUAGAUUUUAAUUAUGAGAAUGUGAAUAUGGUAAAAAUUUAGUCAUAAUCACUAUUUUACAUUUUUGUGUGGGUGCAGCCACACCCACUAAUCACAAUGUAAUCUGCCCAUAUUACUUCCUUCGUCCCGAAGUAACUGACGUGCAUAAGAUACGUGUUGAUCAAACUUUCUCAAUCUUAACUAAAUUUAGAGAAAAUACUCAAUUUUAACUAGGUUUAUAGAAAAUACUACCACUAUUUGUAUAUUAAAGUGAGUUUAUUAUAUAUUCAACAAUUCAUCUAAGAAUAGUAAUUAUGCACUGUAGAUAUUAAUAUUUUCUUAUAUAUAUUUUGAUAUAAAAUGUUUGACUUUUCGUGAGAAUUACAGUUGACAUCUAUCACAGCCCAUUUCGGUACACAAAGUGAUAUCCUAAUGGGCUUGUUCGGAAUACAUGAAUUGUUCAGAAUUUCACAUAAAUCAGUUUAAUUUCACAUGAAAAUAUUUGGAUUUAGAAGGAAAAAAAAUCUCUCGUGCUAAACCAGGCCUAAUUCUAGCUUCUCAGCCCUGUGGAACCUCAAGCCCAUACGGCCCACCAACUAGGGCCUUUUACAAACAUCCCAUCCCUCUUCGCCGGCGGGCACCAUGACCACCACCAUGGCCAUGGCCGCCGCCACCUCCGCGGCAGCAGCUGUCUCCACGUCGCAUCCGUAUCCUCUCCUCCAACCCACCUCCAAUCGCACCUUCGUUUCCUUCCCGCGGCGACAGCUUCCAGCUACCUCCCUCUCCCUUGCCCUGCCCUUGCCCUCCCAGCUGUCGUUGCGGGGCUUGCCGCUGGCGCCGGCGCCGGCGGCAAACCCGAAGUACCACAACGCGAAGGUGGACGCGGGAGACGAGGACGUGGCCGGUGAGGAGCUCCUGCGGCGGUUCAAUUGGCAGGUGUCCCGCGCGGGCGUCACGGAAGAGGUCAGGCGGCGGCGCAGGCACGAGGACGCCCGGGACAAGCGCAAGCGCAAGGCUCGGUCGGCGGCGCGGCGGUACCGCCGGAGGUGCGUCCCCCCACUGCACUAUCAAUCGCUCUCCUGAUUAGUAAACUUGAUCGACAUGUUCUUGCGCUAUGUGCGUAUAUUAGUUGCUUGGAUUGUUGCUUCGAAUUUGAGGUGCUUCAAAUGACAUGAUUGCUGAUUUAUGGCCGUUUUGCUUAAUUGUAGUUGUAGGCCAAAUUGAAAGUGUUAGCGACUGAUUUGACCACCAUGUGUGUGCGCGAGUUGUUGUACAUUAAGAUGCUAUGUGAUCAUACAUCUGACAAAAAUAGUAGUUUGAUUGCCAAAUUCAUUAGGAUGCCAACCAGUCUACUACUAAUAGUCAUGAUCCUGAAGGUGGGACAGCUAGAUUAUAUCACCACAGAUCAUUUCUGAAUGGAAGUACGUGCGCAUGUGAAAUGGUACUAUUUUUUUUUUCUUAACCAAAAACUUUUCAAGAUUCCCGUCACAUUGAAUCUUGUAGCAAUACAUGGAGCAUUAAAUAUAGAUAAAAACAAAAACUAAUUGUACAGUUUUCUGUAAAUCGCGAGAUGAAUCUUUUAAGUCUACUUACUUCAUGAUUGGACAAUGUUUGUCAAAUAAAAACGAAAGUGCUACGGUGUCAAAAUCCAAAAAAAAAAUUAGAUCAAAACAAGGCCAUAUAUAGUCGCUUUGACAGACCAUCAUCAUAAUAUUGUGGUCAUCUGUAUAAUUCUUUGAUUGCUUUUUUGAAAAGCGGGGUAUUAUCCUUGAUCAUGAAUACAUGAGUGUGCAUCCCUGGCGUGUCCAAGUGCAAGGAAAUGCCUAAUCAAAUACCCCAUUGUGGGAAAGUUCAUCAAGCUUUAUACUGAAUUACUAUUAUAUUAUUAUGAGAAAACGAUGAGGGCAUGGAUUUCAGACGAAGAAAGGAGAAGAACGGAGGAAAAGCUCCUGUCGUGUCACCCUCCGUGUCUGCAUGCCCCAUUUAAUUUGCCACGUUAUAUUCCGGGUUCCGGCGUUAUUCGGCGUAUGAUGAUUGGGGCUUGCUCGUCUCUUUUUUCUCUCUUUUUUUUUCAGAGAGACGAGCUAUACAGCACAGCAACAGAAAGCGCAAUGUGUUCCCUCUGGAAGCAACGCAGCAUCGGCUGUCUCUAGAGUCUAGAACUCUAGACCCACCGUCCCACCGAGUUGUUUUUAAAAAAUCUAGUUAAAGUUGAGAUUAAUUGAUUCCUUGUACUGCUACAUGAAGACUUAUUUCGGACGAAGGGAAUAUUAGUUUCAAAAUAAUUAUAUUUAUUUUUUUUAAAAAAACAUGUGUGGUUUUAUCUUGAAAGCUACUUGCAUAAUGUUGCAUUCUUUUUGCAAAGAAGGGGAAUUAUAUAAAAAUAUCGACAUGUACCUUUCCAAAUUACACGUGACAUAAUAAAGAUAAAAUAUUUGAUUCAGAUACUUCCAUCGACCUCUUUCUUAGUGGCUUAAUACUGAAGACAGAGUGAAAUCCUUAUGCCAGAUUCAACAAUCAGAUUGGACAUGUGACAAGAUCUAACAUUCUAGAACCAAUUCAAAACGCAUCUGAAGCAAUAAAAGAACAUCAGCAAUUAAAUGGUUGGGUACAGUAUAUCAUCACUUCCAACCCUUUGAUUUAUCUUGUUGCAUGUCUGAUUUUCUCUUUGCAACCAUCAACAAUGAGAUUGAUGACCUGGAGUUACUAUCCUCAUAAGAUUACAAGAAGCACCCUUCCCCGUAAAAUAAAUUGACCUUUUGCCGAUGAAAUUGACGUCUACAACAAUAAUGUUGCCAUACCCAUCCUUGAAGUCAUAGUAGGUAGCAAGCUCCUGACCAAAAUCAUCUGUUACAUGUAGAUUUAUUGACCAAAUCUAAGCAAACUAGAUCCAGUAAACAAGGGAUAGGUCAUAGGUGCUCUCUCUUUGUCACCAUCUGCCAGAGAGGAAGAUGAGAGGUCCUAAGGCUAGUCUCAAUGUAGUUUUAUUAGAGUUUUAUGGACAUUAAACAUACUGAUAUGGCAUCAUAUUAAUGAAGAAAGAUAUGAUAAGAGUUUCAUGGGAGUAGAGAGAAUUUCAUGGGGAUGAAACUCAUCUUCACUGUUUUUAAAAAAUAUUGGUUGAAAACUGAGUCAUGCUUCCAUUGAGAAUGGUCUAAGCGACGGCAAGAAGAGCCUAAAAGGUGGCAACGGUUGUGUCCUCAAAGGUGCGGGGGUGAGUCAGUGUCGUAUUUAUUUGAUAUUGUAACUACAUCCAAAUAUAAGUAUAAAUAAUGAUAAAGAAAAACAAAGUCUAGAGGCCAUAAGGGUACUCUCAAUGCUAGAAACUACAUAUAGUUUCUAUAUCCAUUAAAUAAAAUUUAUAGACACUUAGUCUCAAUGGAUAGUUUUUAUAGAAUAUUUUUAUAUCCAAUCACAUUCAUUGUCUCUCCAUUUCUAGCCAAUUAUAUCACUUUAUGUCUUGGAUUUUGUGUAGACAUAGUUUCUAACUUAGACCCGGUUUCUAUGAUUUUGCUCUCUCUCUCUCUUCAAUAACUCUCCUGCCAUAUUAGGGCAGUCUCAAUGGUAGAAAUUACGCACAGUUUCCAUAGUGACUAUGUCAGCAAAAAUUAAUCUAUGGAAACUAUCCCACACAAUAGAGAUGUGUUCAAAGUAAUAAAUAUUGAUCUAUUUUCUCUCUCUCUCUCCCUUAUCCUCUCCAUCCCUCCGAUGCUCAAUCCGUCCGUUCCAACCAAAAGCAGGAGACAAGCAACACAGGAACACCGGAGUUAGCACACGAGCGAACGAGCGAGCGCGGCAUCUGGCACGCAAAAUGCUGCAGCAGGGGCAAGCGAAUGCGGCUCCGGCGAGCAGACAUGGCGGGUGAGCGCGGCAACGCCGACGUGCGCACGCGCGCGGCUCCGGUGGGCGAGCGUGGUGAAGCUGGCAAGAGCGUACGCGGCUCCGGCGAGCGAGCAUGGCGACGCGAGAGAGCGGACAGCACCAGCGACAUGCAUGCCCAGUUGAGCUCACACACUGCGUCCAACGGGCCAGCGCGUUGAGCGGACAUGGUGGGCUAGCACUCGCGAUGCAGGCAAGAGCCGCGGCAGCCAGCGAGCAUGGCGGGCAAGCGCGCACGGCAGUCGGCGGGCGUAGACAGGUGCUUCUGGAGGAGCACACGCGAGGUGUCUUCCCAAUGGCGAAAAGAGCGUUUCUUGGUGACGCGAUUUCUUCUCUAACAAACGAUUUCUUCUUUUUUUACUUCUCUUUCCUCGUUAAUCUUACUGCCACAUCAGCAUUUUGUUUAGCUGGCAAGUUAUUAAAUAGAGAUAGAAACUAUUAUCAAUACGCUAUUGGGAGUGCAAAAUGAUUAGGUGGCAUAAUCAAUGUCCAAAAUGAAUACCUUGCGUGUCAACCGACUAGUAACAUUUAUGCUUUUGUCAUGGAUUGUUAGAAACUAGAUUUAGAGAAAUUGAGUUGUAAGGGCGUCCGCUAGCUAUUUGAUCUCUAGGAAUAAUAUAUGUUAUUGGUUCCCAAUGGCAAUUUGUAAAUAGCUAACUUAAGAAGUCGCUAGCUAUUAGGAAGUCACUAGCUAUUGUGGAGAGUAUUAUGAGAGAGUUAUUUUUAGAAGAUUAUGUUAGAUUAGGAGUCGCUAGCUAUUUGAUCUCUCUCCUCGAUAGCCAAUGAGAGUGCUACUUUUUUAUUAUUUUUAUACAUCAUCUCGCUAGCUAUUUGUAAAGUACUAUUGAGAGCCAAUAGAAUUUUUCCUAACUAGCUAUUUGAUAAGCAUUGUGGAUGACCUCAUCGUAAAAGCUGAGGUUGCCAAUUUUUUUCGAGUAAAUUACCACAAUGCCCUCACCCUAUGCUUUUUCCAUGCAACAAAGAGAUGGGCGUAAUAGUAUUUUAAUGUCUAGAAGCUAGGAUUCCGCAUACAAGAACACAUGUGUCACAUCUCUUUUCUUCUAAAAUAGCUAUUUAGACCAAGUUGUACAACACAGGUCAUUACUCUCUGGAUCGAACGUGUGCCUCGGGCCUCGGCACGACUUGCAUGCCAUCGGCGACUCGGCGUGCGCGUGCUGCUCGAUCAGCUGGUCCUCGGUGGUGUGCUAUGGGCCUAUGGUGUGACCCAACUAACCCACACUGACACAGAAAUGCAAUUUGCGGUAUCGUUUGGAACUUACGAUGCCAAGGUAAACUAAACUUUUUAUUUUUUUUUCUUUUCCGUAUGUAUAAAAAAGAAUUAUUUUUAGGUCUUGUUUAGUUUCCAAAAUUUUUCAAGAUUCUCUGUCAUAUCAGAUCUUGGAGCACAUGCAUGUAGUAUUAAAUAUAGAUAAAAAAUAACUAAUUGCACAGUUUAACUGUAAUUUACGAGACGAAACUUUUGAGCCUAGUUAGUCUAUAAUUGGACAAUAUUUGUCAAAUAAAAACAAAAAAUGCUACAAUAAAAAAAACCUAAAAAUUUUUGCGAACUAAACAAGCCUUUAGAAGAUUCAGGCCACGAGGUUGUCAGCGACUCGCAGGCCUCGCAGGUUGGCAGCAAUCGUCAAUCGAUGGUACAGAAGGCCUUGUUUGGCGAAAUGAAAAGUUUUCGGCCACUGUAGUAUUUUCGUUUGUUUGUGGUAAAUAUUGUCUAAAUGUGGACUAAUUAGACUCAAAUGAUUCAUUUCACGAUUUAUGUGUAAUUAGUUUUUAUUUUUGACUAUAUUUAGUGCUCCAUGUAUGUGCCGCAAGAUUCGAUGUGACUGGGAAUCUUGAAAAGUUUUUGAAUUUCGGGGUGAACUAAACAAGACCGAAAUCGAUGUCCACGGAAAAAAAUACAAAUCUAGCAUAGUAUCAUAGUUCAAAAAUUAUGAUACAAAAUAAAUAUAUUAGAUUUAUUAUGAAAUGUAUUUUUAUAAUAAAAUAAUUUGAAACCAUAAAUAUAAAUAUUUUUCAUGAGAAAUUUGAUCAAAUGUGAAUUAAUUUUGGUGGCUGGUAACUUGCAGUUAUAUAUUCUUUCUAGACAGAGUACCAAAAUGCAAAGGAUUCGGUCGACUAGUUUUGUCAGACAGAAGAAUCCACGCUGCAGAUCUGAAGUCCAUUCAGCCAGUGUAAGGACACACGGAUCUGCAGCAGUUCUGCCUGCCUGCCCUGUAUCAUGAACACAACAGGUCUGUCCAGUUGUACAAUGCCUCAUGAUGAUCCCUCCAACAUGCAGUCAUGCAGUUGCAAGAUUAAAGGGUGCAUUAUAGUGGAGGAGCAUUUUCAGAGAUCAAUGGUGGCACAGGGCAACAGACUUUUCUUCACAGUAGCUAAGCUAAUCAAGCACAGUUGAAAGAUUAAGGUUUGCAUAGUGGAGGAGCAUUUUCAGAGAUCAAUGGUGGCACAGGGCAACAGACUUUUCUUCACAGUAGCUAAGCUAAUCAAGCACAGUUGAAAGAUUAAGGUUUGCAUAGUGGAGGAGCAUUUUCAGAAGUUGUUAUAGCAUGAUGUGCCAGAGGCUGAGGGACAAAGAAAGGUGUGCCAGCCUACGAACCUGCCAGAAAUUCAGGCUACCUGUCCAACGCAAGAACCUUCCAAGCCUCCAGGCAAAAGUACCCAGGUUUCAUGGCAGCUCAUAUGUCUACCUCUACAUAUACAUGCAUUUUAUUGUAUCGUAUCAUUCACCAUUAUUUUUCAUCCAUGCAUGUGGACGUUAUUUUAUUUUCAGCCCUAGUAUAUAUAUAUAAAUACUGUUCUGACGUGGUACCAAAUUGCAGCUCAGAUUUGUAGUUUACUCUACAAGCCACGCUCACCUGUUUCGGAGCUAUCUUCAGACAGCAACCUCACGAGAAGGCACCACCAACCCGGUGCACUGCACACACUUGUGCCAGCCUUUGUAUUGUGGCCCAUACAUAGUUUUCCUUGAUUACUACAGAUAAACUAACAUUAGGAACAUGUGUGGGUCUCAGAAUAGGAUACUGCAUGCAAAGGCUGUGCCUCUUUGCUUCCCCUUGCUUUUGACUUCAGCAUGAGAAUCCUGUCCCUGAUAAACCUAGGAAUAUUUCUGUAAAAAAGGAACUGGGACCUUCAUCCAGUCCUCCAGGCAAUGCCACCCUGUCACCGGACUUUAGAUGACAAAGUAAAGAUCAAUGAUGCAGCAAAAUAGGUUUUAUCUAGCCUCAUAGCCUGUGCUUAUCUAAUAUCUAUGUGUCAGGUUUUGUGGGCUAACGGUUGAAAGCUCAGUAACCAAAGAUGGGGAAGAAAACAAUGGUUAUGAGAGUGAUCUGGAGGUUGGUCUGGUUCUUUCCUUUUCCUUGGAAACAUGCUGAUUUGAUGCAAGAGGAUGCUUUCCCAGUGCUACAAGUUUCAGAUAAAGAUGCUCAACACAUAAAGUUGCCAUUAUGUAAAAUCUAAAGUGAAAAAACAGCAAAAGCACAAUGUUCUGUGUGGUUUUUCACUGAGGGGACAAAUGUUCUUUCAGGAUCAGGACCACUACUACAGCAAGGUGCAAGGAAGGUGCACCAUCCUUUUCUUCAACACAAUCUACCAGUUAACCAAAGCUUGUGCUUACAGAAUUUAUAGUGUAUUCUUAUCCAGGCAAAAAAAAUGUACACAAUCGCAGUGUUGGUGACCAUAUCUAUCGAGGUAUGAGCAUACUGCAAUGUAAUAAAAUAUCAGAGAAGAAAGAAAGUCAAGUAGUCAUCCUAUUCAUUCCCUCUUUCAUCAAGAAAACUUACAGUGAACGCGCUACCUAUCUGUAUCUACAAAGAAUCAUUUCCCUUAGAUAUGUAAAAAAAUCGAUGGUUCUAUAAGAACUAAGAACAGGAAAAGAGACUAAAUUUACCAAAGAGCAAAUCACUCUUCUACCUAACUCUUUUUUGUGUUUCUUUCCCUGUCUGUGUAUACCCCAUCAUCUACCAUGGAAGACUUCCAGUGGCUGGAUCUGUGAACGCUUUAUGCACAAAAUCUUUAAGACCGGUAUCAAAUACUUCACAGAACCGACGCGGCCAAUCCUCUGGUUCCACCGGCUUAGUCCCCAAUCCUGGUGCCCUGUCCCUGGAUCCAACAUUCUCCUCGUCCUGCCAAUCGGCAACAUAGGUCGCGACACGGCCAGAAAACUUAUCCUUGAACACCUCCCAAACUUGAUACUUGUAAUGGUUGAUGAGCAUCACACCCUGACCAAGGUUCACAUACCUCACCCCUUCUUUCAGAUGGAAGUGGUGCACCACAUUGAUGAGUGAUGGGUUUAGUGCGUCUGGCCUGACAAUUGACUUGUGUCGCUCCGGUGCAGCGAGUCGGCAGGUGUAACCUGUUGUAACGCCUUUCUUGGGAAUUUUUGUCCGACCUGAGGGACCAAAGCUGUGGCAUGCAGUCCUGAGCUCCCCAAUCCGUGGCCUGUUUGAGUAGUUCCGGAGAAUAUCUUGUAGAGUCUUGUUGCCAGGGAAGUGCAAGAACUCGUCGAUGUCGAUGAACCCCACCCACUCACAGCUCUCUCGGGCCCUGAGAGCACAAUGUGCGAAACCAGCCUCUUGAGACUUCAUCCAUGGCCACAGAUGGCGUGUCACAUUGUACCUUGAUGGAUCCAUGGUACCGAGGGCCUGCUCAAUGUCAUCAUCACUGUUGUUGUCAUAGAUGAACCACCGCUCCACACCGAUAUGCGAGUGGUAGAUGAUCCAUUCUCGGAGGAACCUUGCCUGGUUGCGAAGCAUGGUGCAUACACACAUUGAAUGUGCCUUUUGCCGCCGAUGUCUGUUAUACCGAGGAAGUGGCUCAGGCUCAGCUAUUGAUGGCAGCGUAGAGUCCCUCUGGCCUUUCGUCCUGAUGGAGACCAACAUAGGCUUGUCAUCACUGUCUCCAUUGCCAUUGGGAUUAGUUGUCAUCCUGAGAUACCGGCGAAUGCGAACUGGUGUCACACACCGGAAAAUCUCUUGUGCAGCAGAAAUCACAGGGGAUGUGAGCACAUGCUUUGGCUUUGACAGGUCACGGCCAAAGACACACUGAUACCUCGACGCCACACCCAAACGGCCUGGCCGGAGGUUCAUCCCCUUGGCGAACACAAUGGUGGAGUUGUCCCUGCUGUCAACAAGAGCAGUGUACACAAGCCUGUCCCACUGUAGCGGCGCCACCGGAGGUGACAGGGACAGUGACAGAGAGACAUCCACACCAGAUGGUUCGGCAGGGCAAUGGACGAGGCUGGGUCCAUCCGGCAAGGAGGCGGCCAACAGGGGCUGCCGGCGCAGCUCCGAGGAGUUGGCAGGGGAGUAUAAGCACUCAAACCGCUGAGGAGCUGGCAGCGACGACCCGUCCUUGAGGAUCAGGAGAACACGGUCCGGGAAGGCAACCGCGUGCUGGAUUUGGACUGACGGCAACACGGCAUCGGCAGUGCUGCCAGCUUGCUGCGCUCUGGCAUCAGAGGAAAUGGCGUUCAGGGUCGCCGACGGCCACGCCGUCCUGAGCACCGGCCGGAACGACGCUGCAUCAGAGACAAGAACAUCAGCACCUCGUGUGGAGAAGAAACAAACCAAGCGGAUUUAGCAUGCUUGAAUUCAGAAACACCAACACACACAUUCUUCAUGUGAUGGCGUGAGCUUUUCCUGUUCUAGUAAAAAUCAGUCAAAAGCAAACGCCAUCACUAGCAUAAUGCAGUAUUCACUUGCUAACGUUCCAACCCGGAAACCCAGGUGCCACUGGUGCGUUUCCAAUGAAAUCAUUAACAAACGGACAGAAUCCAGCGAGAUAAAUUGCAAUUUUCCCGGGAGUGGUAAGACCACAUCAGAUCUACCGCAACGCCCCCACAAAAAAAAAAAAAAAAAGAAACCGACUUUUUCCUCACCUCCCCAACAACGAACACCAAACACAUACCAAAAUCGUAUCUAAAAAUGAGAACUUUCUCGCCCAAAUCAUUGUUAAUCCCACCACGCUCCAAGCACACGGUUCUCGUGACAACACAAUUCCGGCGACCCACCUAAACCCCACCUAAGAUCCAAUAAUUCACGCCAGGAGAAGGCACAGAGGCAAAUGGGGAAGGAAAGCUCACCUCCAAUGACGUGCACGCCGCCGAGGACGACUACGCCGGCGCACAGGAACGCGAAGAGCGCCGCGAAGACACGCCGCUGCGGCGCCGCCGGUGACCGGUGGCCCCUUGCGGCAGGGGAACCCCCGCCGCCGCCACCACUUCCUGCCGCUGAAGUAACCUUACAACUCCCGAGCCUGCUCAGCUUCCUCUCCUUCGCCGACAUCGCCAUCGCCGGCGCCGGUCACAACCGCCGGAAACUGUCCGGCAGCAGCACCCCAGAUCCCCAAGCGGCGGCGGCAGCGUGCCUCACAGGCCACACCAUCCGCAAACGCGCUACGGGGAGUCGUGGAGCAUCGGCGCCCCGCCAAUAUCUCCACGUGUAGUUGCCGUGGACGAGGAAGAAGGCGAAGCGAGGCGAAGCGGCGGCCGGCGAAUCCGAAGCGGUGGUUGCGUUCGCACGGCUGCUUCCUGCUGCAGCAGUGUCUGCUGGGCAACCGGCGCGUUUAUACCCGCGGCCACGCCUCUGACGGGUGGGCCAGCGCGUGCCUCCUGGGCCCACGCGUCAGUAGGGAGAGGCCGGCCGCGAAGCGCGGGGUCGUGCGGCGCGUGGCUGGGAAUGACGUGUGGGCCCGUUGGGACAGUAAGCCAGUGACAGGUGGGGUCGGUUCUAACGGCACGGGCACGUCGAGCCAAUGGAGGCGGCGGGUUCGCUGGGGUGGUUAUUUCAUGGAGACGUGCUGUAUGACAGUGGGGUCAGCAUGUGCGGGCCCAACAUGUCAGUUGCUGAGAUGGGGAGAGGUGUUGGUGUCUUGUGAUUUGGAUGGAACAGCAAUAAUUGGUGUGCACAUGGGGGAAAGGUGUUAUUCUGUAAAUUCUGCCUGUCCAUUGGGGGAAUUUAUCUACCUGAAUAUAACUAUAAUAUAUUUAUAUUUAUCAUGUAUAAUAACAGGAAGAUUUUCUUUUCAUUCCCAUUCACUUUGUUGCUUUGCUUUAAUGCUAUUAGAGUGUAGAGACAAGAAACAAUAAUGGAAUAAUUUAAAAAAGGCAGAUUUGGCAGAGCAUGGAAAGAGAAGGCCAUGAACACCAGAUUUAGCAGAGCAUGAAUAUGUAUUAUAUUAUAUAUCUCAUUUAUGCAUCUGAAUUAUUAUAUGCAGCAUGUCCUAGCUUCACAGCAUGUUUUGAACUUUAUUUAGAUACUCACAAACUUACCUGACACCUAUUUUACCAUUUAAUUUGAGAAUGUCAGGUUUAGUUUUGUAGCAGUGUCCUACUUCUGUAUCAGUUGAUGGCUAAUUCGCUUUCAUUAUAUAUUUUCGAUAUAUAUGCAUAUACAUAUGCAUGAUUUUGUCAUGUUUUAAACUUUUUAUUUGCUACUAAAUCGGAGCAGCAUCUCGACGAAGAAACUUGCUACGUGUUAGAUUUGUGGUCACAAGAAUUCUUCAUUCGAACCAUAUUAUGACCCAACUUGAUUGAGAUGUUUUGGCAUUUUUCAUAUGCACGUGAAACCUUGGUACCUUUUUUCCUCUACAUGCUAAAAGCUAUCUAAUUGUAAUUCACAUCUCAUAGCUAAGGGGUGGAGCUGGGCUAUCUGACAACAAUGGAAUUUUCACAUCCAAGAGUUCAGUAUUCUUACUCCAAGAGGGAACAAGACAAAUGAUCAUACUUAUUACAACACUAAUGGCAUCAAUGCAUUUUUAUUCUAAAUCCACACCAGCAUUGCACUCUUUAAUAUUUUAUAAUUACAAUUUAAAAUAUAAAUAUUUCUACCUGUUUUAAAGGAAUUGAAUAAGCAAAUCAUCCUACGUCCCUACUCGUACAUCAAAGACAGAAAUACAUACCCUACUUCAAAGGGAAGGGACGUCAAAUGUGGUCCGCUAAAAGGUUACAUACUGUGAUACUGAUCUCUGGCUUAAUCCCGGUUAACAACUAGUAUGAGAGAGAGUAGAAAACCUGCAUCCAACCAAUCUGGAGGACAUACAGAAAAGCUAUCAUGAUGAUAGACACUUGUCCUGGUAAGUACUUUAUUGACUGUCCUGCUGUUCCUGCCUUUGCCUUUCUGUGCAAUUUUCUUCUUCAGCUACUAUGAAGCAGCACAUAACAACUAAAAAAGGUUUCAGAGAAUCCGGUCAUUUGGUUGGCUAUUGAUGCUACGGCUACCACCAGUUCUGUAAAAGUGGUUGUCCGUAUGGACUAUUGGCAUUAACAUCUCACGAAGGAAAAAAAAUACAGAUUAGAUAGCAGCAGUUUAAGAUUUGGUUUAUGUUUACCUUCAGCAUUGACACCAUUUAAAUGGAUCAUGCCGUGUAGCUGAAAAGUUUAUCUAAGGGCCUGAGUUGCAGGAAGCAGAAUGCCUGAAAUACAAAAGGGACGGCAAGGAUAUUUCUAGUCAGAGUUUGUUAGAAAGCAUAACUGUUCUUCAAAACCCUUUUUUCUGGACAUGCACUACUCAUGAAUCAUGAUAGAGAAUAUCAGAGCAGAGCAGCACAUUAUCUUCCGGUUGAGCUGUGUGUAUAAAAGGGCAGCAGCAGCAUACGCUCGAAGCAUCUUAGCCCAAACAUUUCAUUAGAUAGCUCUGAAGGUAAGAGUUGUAGGAAACUGAACUCUGCCUGCUGUCUUCAGUCCCUUGACUGACAGUUUCAGGAGUUCAGUUUUCUCCAACAUCUUAUCUCCAGCGCCUCUAUCAGUAGCCAUUGCAAAAUUAAGUACAUGUGUGUGAUGAGUUUGCUUGUGUAGGGUGACAACUCUGAGCUGAAACUUUGGCAACUGAAUUUGAGAAUUGGAUGGAACCAAAUCUGAUUGCGGAAGCAAGACAUGACUUGGUUUCCUCCAAUAUCUCAUGUUCAGUUGAUCAAAUCAUGUGUAGGUGCACUGGUGCAGUACAGCUAGACGAGACUUGUCUGAAGAAUUUGGAAGCUGAAGGUGAGUGUUGGCGGGAACCAAAUCUCCAGCUGCAUGCACAGCACAAGAUUUGGUUUCCUCCAAUGUCUCAUCUUCAACUGUCCCAAAUGCAACUUUGGAGACGCUUUCAGGAUUAUUUAUAUAUCCUUCAUGAGUGACCAUAAUCAACAUUUCCAGUUAACCAAAUAGUCAGCUCUUUGCAUUUAUUUGGGAUCUUGGGGAAGGGAUUUCAGGUUGGACUGAAAAUCUGAACAUUUCCAAAAUCAUUACUGACAUGUUAUAUGUGUGGUUUCAGAUUGGACUGAACCCUCUGAAACUGAAACCAAUUUGAUCAGUGUCGCUCUUAUUUUCCCUAGCCUGCUAAAAUACUACACAGAAAACGUGUCCUCUACCAAAACCUACUUCUCACAGUGAAGGUUCAGUCAAGGGGCCAUCAUUUAUUUUGUAAUUUGAAACUGUGCAAUAAACUUGGUAUAAAAGUGCAAUUAUCUACAAGGAUGCUUACAGUAGAACCCAACAUCUGAAUGUGACUGCUGGGAUCAUUUCAAGAUCAUUCAUGACAUGAAUAUAGUACCAAUGAAAGAAUUCACAUGUAGCUCAAAUAGUUGUAUAUACAAAGCAUUUCGCAGAGAGCCUAGCUAUGAUCACAAUGUCUCUCUUAGUACCGAUUUUCGUGGUUCUCUCCCUCAGCUUCACCGUCGUCGCCGACAAAAAUACACAGAGAGACUAACCAGGCUACGCAGGCCCAACAACAUUAGUAAUCAAUUUGAGUCCAACCGAACCUGGAUAAUCCAUGAGACCCAACUACAUGCAUUGUCCAACCAAAUUGUGCGUCAUCCUUUUUUUUCUGUAAGUAUACGUCAAGUUGUGACCAUGUGGCCCAUAUCCCUAUUUUGUUUUCUCUUUCCUUUUUCUUCUUUUUUUUUCAUUUCUCUUAUUUUAUUUUAUUUCAUGUUUUUCUUUUAUAAGCCUCUUGCUUAUUGUUUUUCUCAGGUACAUAAUAUCCAUUUCAUUGAUAUCUAUUUCUUAUAAUUGAAUAUAAAUAAGCAUGUAAUUGAUAGCUCCAUUGACGAAAAUAUACUUUUCAUAUUUUUCAUAUCUCAUCUUCACAUUUCUUUUUAGAUUUGUGAUAUUCAAGGUUUCUUCAUAAUUGUGCCUAAAAACUAAAGUAUGCAUCCAAGUUUAGAGUAAUGCAACCACGUACAAGCUCUCUUUGGCAGAGCUUCUUAAGAAGUUUGAGCUUUGAUUUUUUCUGUUUUUUAGGUAACGUCCUACCAAAUUAAAUACUAUUACAUCCAUUUGAAAUUAUAAAAUAUUUUGGAUUUUCUAGAUAUGUAGUUUUUUCUAUACACUUAGUUUUAUGUUAUGUCUAGAUACAUAAUAAAAAAUUUAAAACAAUCUAUAUAGAAAAGUCAAAUGUCUUGUAUCUUGAAACGAAAGGAGUAGCUUAGAGCAACUCCAGCAGUAGCCCCCAAAACUAAGCUCCUAUUUUUAAUUUGGGUGCUCCCCCUACUUCUUGGGGCUCUACUUUUUUGCUUCAGCUCCAACAGUAGCACCCAAAUUUGAGCCCCCAAACCUAUUCCAGAGAGAAUGACAGAAGGGACCCACUCGUCAGUGUCUUUUUCUUCUUCCUCUUUCUUCUUCCUUUGGACAUGGACACAACUAGAGCAUCGAGCCGGUUACCGUAGGGUGUCAUGCACAUGCAAGGGUAAAGAGAGAGGGAGCAUGCGCUGGGGCUAGAACACACGAUGGAGGAUGGGGGCUGCCCUGUUGGGCCAACAGGAAUGAGGUCUGGGAGAGAAAUAUGGGUGCCCAGCCAAAUAUGGGGUCUGGAGUAGGGGCCCUGCUGGAGUAAUGUUUUUAGCAUGGGCACCCAUAUUUAGCUAUUGGGGCUUGAGUAGGGGCCCUGCUGGAGUUGCUCUUAUAAAACAGCUCUUCGAGAGAAGCUGCAAAUGGAAGAACUGUUUUUUUCAUUUUAGUAAAGUGUCUCUUGGAGAUGGCAACACUGUCGUCAGUAAGUAUUCGCCGAACAUGUGUGAUAUGUUUUGAGGACUUGUUUAGUUCACCCAAAAAAUAAAAACUUUUCAGGAUUCCCUAUCACAUCAAAUCUUGCUGUAUAUGCAUGGAGUAUUAAAUAUAGACAAAAACAGAAACUAAUUGCACAGUUUGCCUGUAAAUCAUGAGAUGAAUAUUUUGAGCCUAGUUAGUCCAUGAUUGGACAAUAUUUGUCAAAUAAAAACGAAAAUGCUACAGUACCGAAAUACAAAUAUUGUGUCCAUAGAAACGAAAACCGCUCAUAACCAGGUCAGGAUGUAAUGUGCAUGGUUUUAAAAGUUGAGACAUGUAUUCUAUCUGAUUUUAGAGUUCAGAUGAAAAAGAUCUACUCAUAUGAAGUCCAACAAAAUUAGAUUGUCCUUUUUUAUGAUUUUUAUGUGAUUUACUAUGAUUUCUCAAAAAUUCUAUCGAAAUAAAUAAAAAGAAAAGGACAAAACCGCUCAUAACUAGCUCAGGAUAUAAUGUGCAUGGUUUUAAAGUUGAGACAUGUAUUCCAUCCGAUUUUAGAGUUUUAGAUAAGCAUAUUAAUCUUUCUAAAAAAAAGAUGAGCAUAUUUAUAGGUAAAAGUUAUGGUAAUAAAACGUAUAGGCCAAUUGAAACGUACCAAUGAAAAUAUAUCACUAUUCAUUUGCAUUUUUAGGCAACACUGCAGUUUGCAAAUAUAUCACUCUUUUAUUCUUGUAUUUUUAGCUAACAUUACAGUUCUCCCAAACGAAACCCAUCAUGAUGCAAGCUCAACAUUCAGUUCAUGAUACCGAACUUCGCAUACGCAUCCAUGGUCUUGCAUCUAUUCUGCAGCCCCUGCCCCCGGUGACCCUAAAAAAAUGAUACCAAACUUCCAUAAAACAGUCUUCAAUCAGCCGCUUCAUUCCAAAUUUCUGUAUACAUCGAAGGAAAAGACAUGUACACCAGGAUUACAUAUUAUCACAAGACAUGGCUUCAAGUUACCAUUCAUCAUACAUAAAGCAUAUUACAUUUCAGCAAAAUCACCAUCAGCAAGCAAGAGCAAGUGCUACCCGACUCCCUGCUCGUCUUUCAAGUGCUCCUAACAGUCCUUGGAUCAAGACAUUGACCCACAGACUACAUGUUAAGAUGUGGCAUGCUCAUCUCAGGAAAGCAGAAAAAGACCAUUUUACCUCCUUUCCUUCUGUCCUCUGAUGAUGAAUCCGAUACUGUCAUCAGUGGAUCACACAGCAGAGAAAACCCGAGGCUCUGUUGAAGCUUCACAGCCCAUCAUGUACCCCGUAUUUACAUGUCAGCCUGUAAAAUGUUUGGUAACAAGUAACUCGAGGCAAGCAGCCAUUCAUGGGGCACCUACAUCAGCAUUUACUUGAUCCUGCCCAAAAGAGCUGCUCAUAUGUAGUCACCAAGGCUAGAUAGCUAGAGGAACUCUGCUGAUGAACUACAGCCUCAAGAAGACAUGCUACUUCACUGAGGAGACUUUGACAAGGCAAUUUCUUCUAGGCGCUUCCAUCUAGCCUCACGUUUUGACCUCACGCCAGCUUCUUGAGCUUCCUCUUCCUCAAACUUCUUGCGACACUCCUCAAACAGUGUGGGGUCAUGGUCCAUGAAUAUUUUCCGAACAUUUAGACUCAAGCUUUGAACUGCCUGAUUCCAGUGGCCUUUCGUAUUUCGUUCUAAUGCUGGAAAGAUUAUGGGCAGUAUAACCUUACUGUUCUGUUUGAUCAAACUCUCAAUAUGAUCGUUGUUCCAUAGAAACAGAGCCCUCUCUGCCACCUGUGGAACAAAAGAAGAAAUUAUAUAAUGUUAGCUUCUGUGGAAAACAGUUGGACGGAAUCACAAGACAUAUCUUGUUUUAUGACUGAUUCUGGGAAAGCACCAAAUAUGUCAUCAGGUAAAAUACCAUCGGACAUAUGGUCGUUUUCAACCGUGAGAAAACGCUCCAUGAGUUGAACAUGAUUUUCUGCGGUCAAAGAAUCAACUGUUCAUGCCUUCUGGAAACUCUUGAAACAAGGAAACUAGGCCAUGACUACUUAUUUCCUCAACUGCCUCACUGUCACUCAGGAAACAAAAGUCAUUUAUUUGGAAGACGUGAAUUGGCAUGCUCCAUAACAGCCAUGCGGUAUCAUCAACCUAACAAUUGGGUGCACUGAGAUGAUAUGGAAUGAAAUGAAGUUUGAUGUGCUGUGUUUGGAAUCCAACUUGGAAACCAUAUAAUGCUACCGAACAGUAAAAAUGAGAAGCACGUAAGCCAUCAUUUAAAAUAGGCUGAGCAAAUUGUUUGACACUAACAGGGUCUUACAGAGAUGCGAUAUAAUGGUACGAAAUUGAAUUAUGACAUAACAAUAGUAUUGGCUUUCAUAUAGCAAACUGGACUUAGUUCAGCAGGACGCAUUUUUUACAGUAUUUUCUUAUCACUAACAUUUCCCAUGCUUCUUCUAAUAACUAUAAUUCUCAAGAUACUUGAAGAGAGACUAAUUUUGUGAUUAUGGUAUGGAAUCCAAAUAAAUACAAAAGCAGUUUCAAAUACCAGUUAGAAUUAACACGCUAAGGCAACAAGGAAGAAGGAACAGAUAGAAGAAUAAAUAGGUCCAAUUAUGAGUUGGUUAGAAUUAUAUAUAAAAAAAAUUGUCCAGUUUCUGGAGUGGAAAUAAAAAAAUAAAUGAAAUGGGCACUGGACAAAGUUCCCAUACUACUAACAUUCCAUCAUGUGGAAGUAGCAGCUACUAAGAGGCUCAAGGUCAAUAUGACUAUUUAUGUAUCAACAUCAUCAAAAUAGUAUGCACUUUACACGUAUCACUUGCUACAGCUUAGUUGACUUACACUAUAAAUGAAUAGGUGAUAGAGUCAUGUCCCAAGCAAUAUGCCAGAAAUGAAUGAUAAUUUGAAGAUGAGAGCUUCCAUGAGCUAUUAACAAGUGCAUAUUCUAUGUUUAUGGUGUAUAAUUGGCAGUCUGCUAUCCCUUCUUACCUGAAAGUGAGAACUGCUUAAGCAGCGGGCGAUCUGACGAAAAAGUUGCACCAUACACCUCUGGAACUCUGCUGGCUGUGUAGCUUCCAGCACCUCCUCUAACUCACCCAAAAACAUCACCUCCUUUGAGCUAUUUGUGAUGGGCCAAUACUUGAGUAAACCCCUUAUGACGGUAUCAGCAAGCUUGCAAUCUUUCUCAACAAACUGGGUGACACAGUAUGACAGUUGCUGAUGGUACAUGGCAACACAUUUUGGUUUGUGGAGCGGAAUCAGUGCUCGGACCAAAAACAAUUUGUGCUCUUCCUUGAGCGGCAAAGCAAAGCCAUUAAUUAUACUCCCCAAGAUCUCUAACAGCUCUGCGAUACCAUUAUGCUUCUCUGUCUCAAAUAUAAACCUGUAGAAGAUAUUAUUAAUCGCCUUCCUGAUGAACGGACGGUGCACCAUGAACUUGCCAUAUAUUCUGUGAAGGAUCGUCUUCAGGUACUCCCUCUCCCUAGGAUCCUCCGAGUCAAAGAGAUCAAGAAGCCUGACAAUGAAGCCGUGGUCAAUGUAUCUCUUGGCCAGCUUCGCAUCCGUCUCAGGAGACUGGAUAAACCUCAAGAACAGCUCAUACACAAUCUGCAGGUGCGGCCACGCCGGGUCCAUGACGGGCUCUUCCUCUUCCAUAUCGAACGACUCAAGUGCCUUGUUCUCUCUCGCGGCAGGGGCCGGCACCCUGAACAGAUUCACAGACACCAUCCUGAUGACCUCCUGCACGACGUGCUCCGGGAACUUGCCUGUGGCGGAGGUGAUGUAAUCCACCAGCUCAAGCAGCGUCUGCCUCUUGACCUCUUUCUCCCGCACGUCCUUGGUCGGGUCCGCGAAGUCAAACACCACGCAGCACAUGGCCAGCUUCCUGAGGAACAGGCCGGGCUUCUCGGACGCCGGCACGUCCCUGAAGCUCGGCAGCGCCUCGUACCCUGCUGACAAGGCCGCGAACCCGUUGCUGACGCCGCCGGCACCGAGGCCGGCGCCCCUGGCCCCGUAGCUCUGGCCUGGAUUUGGCGCCGCGGAGGCGUAAUUGCUGGGAUUAACGAGCCUGCUGGACAUGGUCAAAUCGGUGGUGGUCCUUGCAUCGGACGUCGGGCUGGGCACCGACGGGCCCGCUCCGGCCAGCUCCUUCUCGCCGGACUUGGCCGACUUCUCCUUCUUGGGAAGCCGGCCGAGGAUUUGCUUAAUCAUGACGGAUUGCAAUAAGCGUCCCCGAUCAAAACCGCGCUAAAGAAAUCUCCCCAAAUCCAUAAUCCCUUCGCCACCUGAACAAAUCGAACACCGUGAGAAACCGAACCGAAAAUCUGCCCGCACACACACACACACACAAGCAAAAUUGGGGGGAAGAAAAAAAAAACCGCACCUGGGGACCAAAUCGACGCCUCCGGAGGCGAAUCCGCGAUCGCCGCCGUCGAAAACCCGCGCCUUCCGAUGAGAAAACACGAUCAGACGCAGCAAUAAAAGGGGGGCAGACCGCGGCGGAGUCAAAAAGGAAAAAGGGGGGGGGGGCGGCCGGGGGAGCGAAAGCAAAAGGGCGAAAAAGAAAAAAAAUCGCAGCUUUGGCACGAAUUUCCGCCGGAAGUGGCCCGGGGGCGCCCGCGAAUUGGGCGGAUUUGUUGGUGCGGGAAGAAGCUGUGGGGCGGAUACUCGCGGAGGCGCGCUGGUGCGGCGGGUCUCUGUUCCCGGCAGCCGCCGGUGCAGGCGCAGUGGAGGAAGGGGGAGGAGACACAGUAGGUGGUGGGCGAGAGCCAAAUCGGGCGAGGAAAUUAAAGACGACGGCGAGGUCCUUUUUGGACCAAAUCCAACAACAAAUUUUCGUGUCGUGAGAGCGGAUAGGCUCCGUCGGCCCCGGCCGUAAAUAUUCUUGGCGUACGUGUGUUUGCGAUGCGCCCCGCGCUGAAGAAUUCCGCCGCCACGUUCAUUGGUGCCACGAAAUUUAUUCUCCUGUAUCAUUGUUCGUAUCUUCUUCUUUUUUUUUGUUCUUGUUUUUAUUGUUGCAGUCUUCUUCUUAAUCAAAUCAAAGUAUCGAUACGAGGUGGCAGCAGAGUUUAUACGCCCUUUACGCCUUGUUUGGAUGUUGUCGUAUUUACUUCAAUCCAUGUGUUGGUGUGGAUUGAAGUGGAAUUUAGUUCAAGUUCCACUCCAAUCCACCUCAACACAUGUAGAUUGAUGUGAAUACGACUACAUCCAAACAAGGCCUUAAAGAUGUUUUAUUACGAGUAUUAAUCUACCGAGAUUUAUUCUGACAUAGAUGCUUAGGUCCUACCUACAGCGGGCUUAGUUAACUAUCAUAUGUGUUAAUCAGCUAACAGCGGAUUUUUAGCUUGGUGCCAGAUAAGAUAUUAACUAGCUUAUUAACUAUUAGUUGUAUAAGCUAAUUGUUAGCUCGGAGGUAGGUAAAACAUCAGCUUUAGGAUACAAAUGACAACUAAUUUUAGCAGCUAACUAUCGAUCAAAAGAUGCCUAUAAUAUUCUUUCAAAAAAAAUGCUCAUAAUACCCAGAGCAUAUCAUCGUAUUCCUGGUGUUCUAAAAAGAACAUAAUUCUCACGUUCGAGUCAAACAAUUUUAAAAUUAACUAAAAAUAUAUAAAGACUAUUGACAUUUAUUAUAUCAUUAGAUUACCAUAUAAUAUGUUUGUAUGGCAACUUUAUUUGUAGUUAUAAAUAUUAAUAUUUUUUUCUACAAAUGUAGUCAAACUUAAGAAAACAUUGAUGGUUCAUAUCUAAAACUCCACUAUUAAUUUGUGGAUAGAGGGAGUAAUGUUUUUUUACAUGAUAAGAUGGCAAGAUCUUGUUCAACAUACAUGCCUUAGGCCUUGUUUAGUUAGCAAAAUUUUUUGGUUCUGGCUACUGUAACAUUUUCGUUUGUAUUUGAUAAUUAUCGUUCAAUCAUGGACUAACUAUACUCAAAAGAUUCGUCUCACAAAUUACAGACGAAUUGUGUAAUUAUUUACUUUUUAUUUAUAUUUAAUGUUUCAUGCAUGUGCCGCAAAAUUCAAUGUGAUGGAGAAUCUUUAAAAAGUUUUAGAACUAAACCAGACCUUAAUUUGGUGAACUUUUUAGCAUGUAAAAACUUGCAUUCAAAGACAAGCUUAAUUUUACCAACAGACACUUGUAAAAUUAAACUAAACCAGUAGUCAGGGCUGGUACAUAGUCUCUUAUGAUUAAAAAAAGAGAGGGAGAGACUCAUUCAUCGAAUCAUACCUACUAUGAUCUAAAACCGAGAUGGGGUUGCAUAAAGAAAUAAUACCAUGUGUCUUUGAUUGUGGUACCCUCAGUGGCUUGUUUAGAUGCAAAAACUUUUUGGAUUUUGGCACUGUAACACUUUCGUUUUUAUUUGACAAACAUUGUCCAAUCAUGGAAUAACUAGGCUUAAAAGAUUCGUCUCGCGAUUUACAGACAAACUGUGUAAUUAGUUUUUAUUUUUAUCUAUAUUUAAUACUCCAUGCAUGUGACGCAAGAUUCGAUGUGAUGGGGAAUCUUGUAAAGUUUUGGGUUUUUUGUUGCAUCUAAACAAGGCCUAAUGGAAACGUAGAGAAUCAUAGUUGGAUUAAUAAAUUAAAAAAAAAAGAGACAAAAGAAAGAAACCAAUAGUGGUGCCCCACUGAGACCAACCGAGCCGACGCGGUCACGCGGGCGGUGGACUCGUGGCAGGUCCAACUCGCACCAGUGCAGCACGGAAUUGACCGGCAGGCGAAGGCAGUCACGCGUACUGGUCCGGUCAGUCACCCCUCACCCGUUCGUUCGUCUCAGGAUUUGUCAAAUCCUCAAAUCAAAAUCCGUGGUCUUCGCCACGAGCUCGAGACCACCAAAUGAUGAGCAACAAUUCUUACGAAAAAAAUUCGGUCACGAGAAUUCUCUCCCGGUCGGUCAAAGGAACGAACACUGUCUGUUAGUUCCUGAAGAUUUGUCAGCCAGUCAGUCAGGCAUGCUUUAUUUGACAUAAUUCAUUCAUCAUCAUCAUCAUCAGUUCAUCAAAAAAACAAGAACAGGACACAAAAGGAAAAUGUAGUGGAUAAUAAUGGACGGGUGGCGAACGGGCAGUGGUUAGCACAGCGAGACAGACAGCGAGUGCGGGAAAUUGUGAAAAAGGUGGGUGAAAGGGGUUAGCCCCAGCUGCAGGCGCGUUCCGGAAAAAAUAUGAGUCCCAAUUCAAAACAACAAAUGUAGUUCUAGCAUUUAUUAUUAAAAUUAAAUAAAUAAUAGAAUUAUCAAUAUAUUACAAAGACAAUAUAUAAAGAUUAUUUGUGAAAUUGAAAACACAGUUAGAGAGCAAUUUGCGAGACGAAUCUUUUGAGCCUAAUUAGUUCAUGAUUGGACACUAAUUGUUAAAUAAAACAAAAAUAUUACAGUGUUAAACUUUAACAACUCCAACCAAACACCCCUUACAUGAAGAAGAAUGGUUGAUCACAAAUUUUUCUAACUCACUAUCAUGGGCUAAAUGUGCGGUGCUUUUCUCCCGAAGUAGCAGGCCAUGUUUAUUGAGCCUAUGACUGAAUAUUAAUUAAAACAAGCCAAAAAUUAUUAUAUAUAUUUAGGACAUUUAGUAAAAUUUGAGGCCUAUAAAUUUUGGGGGCCCAGUUCCGUCGCACGGGCCGCACGGCCCUGAGGCCGCCCCUGCCGGCUGAGCUGAGCUGCCUUUGCUGCAUGUCUCGAGAUAACAACGGGUACUCCAAAUCCAAAACCCGAUAGGUUUUCACUCUAUUAGAUCAAAGAUAUGGAUCAAUUUUUUUACCUAUGAAUUUGUUAAUAGAAAAAAUCCCAGACCCAACGGGUUUAUGGGCGUGGGUCUAGGGAUGUAAUACCCAAACCCAUAAACUUAUGAACUCUUUUUAAAACCCGAUCCAUCGUAGUGAAGCAAUCAUAUCAGUCCAUAAUAUCAUAAAUUUUUCUACUAAACUACUAUAUUCAGAGACAUAUAUAAGAUUAUAUGUCCAUUUAAGUGAAAAAUGAGAAAAAUGAAUACAAUUUCAUGUUCUGAAACAUAAUUUUUAUAUUUUGUUUUUUUUUUCUUUCUUGCUAUGUGGAUGUGCCCAUGGGCAAUUCGAUGAGUUACUCAUGACCCGAUGGACACAGAUCUGGCGUCACGAGUCAUGAGUUUUUUUAGUGGACAAAUUUUAUGUUCAUAGAAAUAAGUUUAGACUAACAAAACCCAACAAAUUUGUACCCGUUGCCACCUAGCUGUCAUUGUUGACUUGAGAGCCCAGAAACGAUCAAGCGAGUACUCCAGGCCUCCAGCCAACCAAUUACAAAUGGGAUGGAGGAACAGACGUCGGGUUCAGCUUCAGCUCUGGGUCUUGCUCUCGCUAAAUUUUAGCCAACUAAACUUUAAUUAUUUUAGUAAUUAAACUUCUAAACAUACUGACUAAAAAGGUGCUAAAAUAAUUUAGUUUUACUAGUCACCUAAAAGUAGCUAAAAUAAUUUUAGCUGUCUAACAUUUAGCACGGUGAAUCAAACGGGGCCAUAAGGGCGCUCCCAAUACUUAUUAAUUUUUAUAGACACUAUAUAUAGAAACUAUGGUCCCAAUGAAUAGUUUCUAUAGAAUAUUUUUUUUAUCCAAUCAUAUUCAUUAUCUCUCCAUUCUUAACCAAUCAUAUCACUUCAUGUCUUGGAUUUUGUGUAGACAUGGUUUCUAACUUAGAUCCAAUUUCUAUAAUUUUUGCUCUCUCUCUUCAAUAAUUAUUUUGCCACAUCAGCAAAAUGCUUAGGUAGCACUGUAAUUAAUAUCUAUAAAAACCACGAUGGUUUCUGCGAGUGCUCUAAAAGGCUAAAGCAAAGGCGUACUAGUAGGCUGCUGUGUCCAACUGCUUGUGCAAGCAACACUUACCUAAUCCAUCUCGCUUUACUCUAUCUCUACUACUACUAGCAAAUUUCAAUCGAACUUGGUCGCUGCGAACUGAAACAAAGGUGCUGUCGAAAAUGAAACGACAGGGAAAGUUAGUGAGCACGCAUCGGAGUUCUUGCAAAGCGUGUUUGUUUUCUCUCUCUUACAAAAGUUGUUUUUUUUGUCGUAGAUGUUUGUUCAGAACUUUGUAUUUGUUUUGGCUCGAUGAGUUUCCAUGAAGGGUGUCUAUAUGUCUACCUAUGCAAAGUUUUUUUUUUUGAAAAGUCUGCACUUUAUUAUAUCUGGAGAGAAUCAUUUACAUCAUAAGACACCAGUUCUUGUACAAACUCUGGGAGGGGAUCAAUCCAAACAUGCGACCGAUCCGGGUCCCAAUUCAACCCAAUUCGAGCAAGCUCAUGUGCACACCUAUUGCUAGAGCGUGGCACAUGAACAACAUCAGCUCGAAUAAAAUUCAUAGACAUCAGAAACUUUGCUUCUCUAAACAACACGCCACAAGCUGAGAAAUCAUAAGAGCGGGAUUGUAGAGCAUCAACAAGAGUUGUCGAAUCAGUCUCCAAGAAGAUCUGGGACAAACCAUGAUCUAUUGCUACAUACAAGGCAGCAAGACAAGCCUGGGACUCAGCACUCAAUGCAUCAUGUACCACAUUGAUUCUACCUGCUCCAGCCACCACUGAAGCACCUGUGUGAUCCCUCACAAUAAAACCCCAAGCACCUUUCUUCUCAGCCUUUAAAAAGGCUCCAUCAAAAUUAAUCUUUAGAACAUCAGUUGUAGGGGGAACCUAACAAGAAAUCCCACUUUUCCUCUUAAUUGGUCUGUCCUGUGUAUGAAGAGUAUCAACAUAUUUCAUAGAAAGCACCUUGUGAACCAUCUCCUCAGUAGAUAUGGUUUUAUCCCCAGCAUUCGCCUUAUUACGAGCAUCCCACCAAAGCCAAAGAAAACCAAUCACUAACAAUGUUUUAUCCUCCUCGAGAGAAAGAAUUUUGGUGGCAACCUGUUUUGCAGAGUUAAGAUCAAUCAAAGUUAGACGAAGCUCCUCUAAGUUUAAAGCUCUCCAACAUUUCUUGACAAAUUUGCAUCUAAGAAAACAAUGUCCACCAUCCUCAUUUAGCCUCCAACAGACAGGACAACGUGUAUCAAUAUCCAUUCCCCGACGAAGAAUAUUCAUGCGAAGGGGCAAGCUAUUAUGUGUAAACCUCCAGAAAAAAAGUUUCACCUUCGGUGGACAAUGAAGCUUCCAGAUCUUGUGCCAAUUGUUGUUACAGGGAGAAAUCAAGCUAGCACUAGCUUCUCCAAUUUGCCUUCUUUUUGAUAGUUCUUUCAUAUCUGUAAGAACAUGAUAUGCAGAUUUGACUGAGAAGUCUCCCUUAGGAUCAUAAUGCCAGGCCAAAGUAUCCUCCAUUUCAUUUUUCAGCGGUAUAGAAAGAAUGUUUUUUACAUCUGCUUCCCAGAAAAUAUCAGUUACCAGAUUUCUGUCCCAUUCACCAGAAAUUGGAUCAAUUAGUUCAGAGACCUUAUUUAAAAUUGUUUGUCCCCUAGGCGUACAAGGUCUUCUAGUAACACCCUGUGGGAUCCAAGGAUCUGUCCAAAUAUUGAUUUGAGUGCCAUCACCAACCCUCCAAAUAAGUCCAUCUUUUAGUGCUUGUACCCCCCGAACAAUGCUUCUCCAUGCAUAAGAAAUUCCCGGCUUCUCCACUACUGACAAGAGAUCACCAUCUGAAAAAUAUUUAGAUCUCAGAACCCGAGCACAUAGAGAAUCAGGAUUUAGAAGAAGGCGCCACCCUUGUCUUGCGAGCAUAGCUAAAUUGAAAAGGUGCAGGUCCCUAUAACCCAAACCACCUUUUUCCUUCCUGCAACAUAGUAAUUCCCAAGAUAACCAAUGCAUUUUAUUUUCCUUAUCCUGCUGAGCCCACCAAAAUCUACUUAUCAUGUUACUGAUUUCAUCACAUAGAGACUUAUGCAAAGUUGAGAACAGACAAAAAAAAGAAGGAAACUUUGAGAACGAAAUGCUUUUUGGACGCGUUACCAGUAACCCUGGGCUUAGUCGAGUUGGGCUGAAGUAUCAUGGGCCUUUGAGAACUUGGUCUUCGUUUUUUUCUUAUGGUUUCGCUUUUUCCUGACCGAUGGGCCUUUGACCGAAACCCACUCGAAGACCUCAAAAACUUUUCAAGAUUUUCCGUCACAUUAAAUUUUAUGACACAUACAUAGAGUAUUAAAUAUAGAUAAAAAUAAAAAUUAAUUACACAGUUUGUCUGUAAUUUACGAGAUAAAUCUUUUGAGCCUAGUUAGUCUAUAGUUGUAUAAUAAUUAUUAAAUACAAACGAAAGUGCUACAGUGUCAAAAUCCAAAAACUUUUCACAACUAAUUAUCUAAUAGUUCAUUUGACUGAUAAGCCAUGACAGAAAGUACUGUUGACUAAUUUAUUGUGAGAGAAAAAAAUUGCUGAAUAGCUGGCAGAUUCGGCUGAUAAGCCUAAACGAACAAAAGUAAGUGUGAUGACCUUUCUUGGAUUUCAAGUAGCAUUCGAUCUAUUACUUGCUGGCAGUAAGUUAGGAAUCUGGAAUAACAUGUCUGUCGCUCUAUGUACGAUUUCUACUUGCAAAACCGAUAGUGUCUGACAAUGUUUAGCCAACAAUGUUUUUUCUCUCACAAUAAAUCAGCGAACAAUUUUUUCAGUCAUGGUUUUUUAGACCAGCGAACAGGAUUCCCAAGAUGACGCAUAGCCUUCAAGAGCUAGUAUUUCAUCAUUACCAUGUAGGGAAGUCAAGAAUGGAAAAUUGUUGUCAUGUUUUAUUCUGAACAUGUGUGAUUUAGUCUCUACAUAUUUAAUUGUAAACAAGUUUUUCUCCUAUGCAUCACAAGGAGAAUGGUUUGUUUUUAGCAAAACCAUUCUUUUUAACAAGCAUACAAUAAUUAGCCCAACAUAAAAAAUUCACUACAAUUGGACCAUAGGAACUGCAACUAUGAAUUAGUUAUAGAAAAACAUAGAUCUAAAGUUACAACAAAAAAUUAUACUAAAGCAUACUAUAUUAUAUGUUCACUACUCAUUGGAGUCCAACAAUUUUGAAUUUCCCAUUUUAUGAUUUUUCUAUAAUUUAAUAUAAUUUUUUAAAUAUUCAGCUGAAAUAAGUAAAAAAGAAAAGAAUAAAACUGUCUUUGAAACCCACUUAUAACUGAUCAGGGAGGUAAAACGAACGAUUUUAAAAGUUUAGAGAGGCGGUUUAUUCAGUUGUAGAGUGCAUAGAGGAAAAAUAGACUUUUGUAAAAAUGAGGGAUCUAAUAUAUAGACUUUUUUCUAAAUAUUUUUGGCUAAAAUCUUGGUUAAUCUUUCACCAUGGGCUUGAUAGAGUUGGACAAAAGUGUUAUAUGGGCCGCUGACAAAUUGGGUUCAGCCCAGACUUCCUCCAAACUACAGCAGAGCCUCAGCCGUCAGCUCCCUUUCGGCCGUCACCGUCCUGUCCUCCAUCGCAAGAAACCAUGGCGUCCUUGUGCCGCUCCGCCGCCGCCGCCGCGAGGUCAGCGGCGGUCCGGUCGAGAUCCUCGAUGGCGAGGCCGUUCCUGGCCGCGACGUCUCCUGUCUCUCCGCCACGCAUCCGCAGGUCGCGCACAACGCCCCCCUGAAUCCCCUGUCUGUUCUCGCAUUUAGCUGUGUCUUCGCUCCAAGCGAAGCGACCCUGGAAGCCUGAAAAUGUGAGCUUUUGUUCAUCCUUCCUGUCUCAGGCCCCUUAUAGCAGCGGCGCUGGCGAGUCUAGAGUCGCUCAUGCCGCUGCACAGCGCGGUGGCCGCCGCGCGGCUGCGGUCCUGCAUCGCCGUCGACUCCGCGUGCUGGAGCUGCCUCUCACAAGGUGAACCACUGAACCCUUUAACGUCCUUCUUUCUCUGUAUUUUUGCAAUUGGAUGGGAAAAUCUUCGUUAGUUAGUGGUAUUUCUGUUGCUGGUUCUAUGAUUAACGAUGCUGAUGUAGUCCGACUUUGUUCGCAUGAGAAUUGAAAUGUGGUGCAUCUGUUGUCUGACAUGUUCAUGAGAUGGGGUAUUGCAUUUCUGAACGGAUUUUGUAAAUUGAAUUUAUUCCAUGUAUCUAGGGAUGUAUAAUUUAGGCAUCACAUUCCUCUGGUCUCAGAGGCGUGUAUACGAAAUCACUGGAUUUAGUGAAUCGUCUAAUUUACUUUGUUAGCCUUGAAGAGCAUCAUGUUGUUUGUUGGCUAGUAAUAAAUUAAAAGUUUAAAAGAACCUAUGCUCAUCUAUGUGUGAUUGUACACCUAGCUUACUCAAAGAAACAACAGCAACUUGUGUUUAUCUACUAGUAGGGAGUUGAAGAAUGAAAUAUAUAGUACUGAUGCCUAUAGCAAUUACCUUAUUGUAUUAAUUGUUUUUCUCUUUAUAAGACAUUGUUUCGUUUAAAACUCUGUGCAUAUUCUAAAAAUUCUUACGGCUGUACUGCUUCAAUUGUACUUUAGGUAGUGCGUUCCUGCAUCGAUAGACUAUAUUUAGGUUGGACAAUUGAUGUAGGGGGACUGCUGUGGAAAAAAUGUUGUAUCACAUACAGAGUAGUUGGUAUCUUGUAUUGUCAACAAACCAACAACAUUCUAAUUACUGUUUUGCUAUCACCCUGGUAGGUUUGACCAAGCGCAUCUGAGCAUGGUAGGGACAAAAUUCUAAAGAGAAUGGCUCAUGUGCUACUGCAUCAUGAUUUAGUCUUUCAAUACCUUCAUGUUAUCCUGUAAGGAUUAGCUGACAGCAUUUAAAUAUGGGUCCAUCAUUCGAUGGGGUAACAGAGAUGUGUUUCAGAUCCUUAAAACUUUUUCUGGUUAUGUAUUGGUUAUCUUUGUUGCAAUCUUAUGUCAUUGAUUUUUUUAUCUGGGAUUGUUCUUAACUGUGCUAUUGGUACCAAAUCUAUUGUCAAAUAAAUAUGACAAACUGCAUUUUAGAUGAACUGAUGCACAUGUAUACUUUAUGUCAGAUAUUGUCAUUUGCUGUUGAGUUUUUUUUUCGUCUAUAACCUAAAUUCCUGUAUUUCUUCCCAUCAUGCCAAUGCUUAUUACGUUCUGCCCUGCUGUAUUCUUAAGUUGAGGCAUUUAACAAACAGUGACUGCCUUUUGCGCUUCAUUUUUGCCCGCUGUACCAAUGUGCUUAUAGUUUCAGAUAUUUGAAACUAAAGUAUCCUUUGCCAAUAUCUGAUUAUGACCAAGGCGCCACAUCUUGCACAUUUUCUGAUCGAGCUUUCUUCUUUUGUUUGCAAACAAUACAAUAGAUUUUGCUCUACCUCGGUAAUGAAGGCUGAAGAAGGCGACCUGUUCAAAUAGCACCGCAAAGUUCUAAUUCAUCCCUAAUUUGAUGCGCCAAAGUUCUACUUGGCUGUCAGCAGUUCUAAAUGACGUUGUAUUUCUGGUGCGAUGAUGGUUCUACGCAUGGUUCUUGUAGAUUUAAAUAUUUUGACCUUGGUACUUAUCACAAGCCUUCUAGAUACCUUUACAAACUAUUGGGAUAGAUGAUCCUGCUGAUUUUCACCAUUUUAAUGAACAAUCAAAUGCAUUAUCAGACUAGGAACAAUCAGUUGCAAUUGUAGUGCUGAUCCUUGAAUCUGUUGGAGCUGUUAGGGUGCUAGAGUUGGGGUACCUAUUUGGCAGAGCUCUGGCAGACUAGGAACAAUCAGUUAGAACUAGUUUCUCCUUAUUUCCUUUUUGCACACGAUCACUUCAUCUAAGUGGUUUACCCUAGAGAAUCACUUUUAGCUACACAAUGGCUUACAAAGAAUCGAACAUGGAGGAGCUCUCACUUGAGGAACGGGAUGUGUCUUGUGUAGGACAUCAUCCAUUCAGACAAAAAGCAGAGUUCAAGUGUUCAAUACUGAUGCAAUUCCUGCAUACCUAGGAGCUCUCUCAUGCAAUUGGUAAAUCUCCUCCUCAACUCACAGAUAUGCACUUGCACUCCGUGCUUGCUAUCUGUCCAAGCACUCCUGCCCGGUUAUCGAAUUUUAGGAAGCUAUACAGGGAACUAUUGGAGAAAGACAAAAUUAGAGCUCCCAUUUGAUUUUAUCAACUUGGUAUUACCAUUAUUGGUUUACUAAGUGUUUUUAAGGAGCUUUUGGAGACCAAGGCCCUGUUUGGUUGGGACUGACUUUUUUGUUAUCACACAUUACAUCGAAUCUUUGGACACAUGCAUAGAGUACUAAAUAUAUAGAUUAUUGGGAAAUACGGCUGUUCAGCGCGUUGAUUACACCCGAUCCUGGGCAGUAAUCGCUUACACACUGCAUCUACUUCAAAACAGACUUGCUUGUUGGUGCCCUCAUUCCCACCAGUUGGUGCUCUCAUUCCCACCGUGUACCUGUUCCUUUUACGUUGGCGUUGCCAUUAUCGAAACAAACAGCACCUAACUUCAAGCUUUACCGCCACGCGAUCCUAAGUGCCAUGGUGCAAGCGUAAACAUUUGUUAUGUUUUCAUAUAUUAGCUAAAACGGUAAUGCUCCUUCUAGGACGUCUGGACGGACCUGCAUAACUUGCCGCACCCCUGGCUCUUUAUCUGUUCCCAUCUUGUCCUGUGACCCCGCGCCCACUCUUUCUCUCGCUCCGCUCGUCCACUCCCCCACUUGUCUUAUCCUCUUCUACUUCUCCUUUUCCAUCUUCGUUCUCUCCACUCGUUCGCUCUCGCACUUGCUGCCCCGCCGCUCUUGCUGCCAGCGCCCACAUGUCUGCCCUUCUAUCGUGUCGCCGGCGAGCUGCCCCUCACUCCCUCCCUCCCUCCCUCCCCCGCGACGUCCAUGACCACUGGAGUGGGGCGAUGGCGGGCAGCUUCCGGUGAGCCCACGCGCCUCCCCUCCCUCCCUGCUCUCUCAUCCUCGCGCGCUCUGACCUCCAUGCAUAUGGAGACGAGGACGACGGUGUGGCUCUGACGAGGUUGGUGGGGAGGGAUCUAGAUCUAAGGACUCUCUCCCCUCCUUCCUCCCACUGGAUCUUAGAUCUGCUCCCACCUCGUGCACCACCUCCUCCUCCUCCUCCUCCUCCUCUUCCCCUUCUGGAUCUAAGGGUUUGGUGGUAGCUAAGGUUCCGGCGAGUCAGAUCUCGUCGUUGUUUUGCAACGAUUUAUUUUCAAUGUUGCAACAGAUGAUGUGGAAUGUUGCAACGGUACCUUUUUUUGGUGUUGCAACAGACGUUUCUCUGAUGUCACAGAGCAGUUCUUGAGACGUUUCAAAUAUUUUUUCGUUGUUGCAACAAUUUUCUCGUGACGUUGCAGUAGAAUAUUUUUUGGACAUCAAAAUGUUCUCAAAUAAAAAAUUGUCAAUUGCAAAGAUGUAGAUCAUGUUGAGCUAUAUAAUUUUGAUAUGAUUUCAUACAAAAAUGUUGUGAAUUUUUUAUAGAUCCUGCUGUCACACAUCAAAAGUUCAAAACCAUGUCAGAAACCACCUUUAUGGUGCAGUUGGAAAGUUGGAGGACGUAUGAUUUCAGAUAUUUGGAUCUAAGGGUUUUUUCUAGACUAAGUGAUAAAUUUAGGGUUUAAUUAAAUAGUCUUUAGUCAUAGUAUUCGGUACCGAAAUAUUCAACAUGCCAGCCAAACUAAACUCCUAAUUCUAUAACCUAAAACUCUCACCCAUGACCAAAAAAAAAGAAAUGAAGCCCGAGUAGUGUUUCACUACUGCUCAAAGAUGGUAAGACAGACCCUGACCUGAUGGGCCAGCAUAGGCCUACCCUUAAAAAGCACGACAUGUGCCUAAAAUUCACUAAGCCUCUAGUGCCUAUGCUUGGAUGGCAUAGUCGUAGUGUCAUGCUUGGCCACGUUCUCUGCCCACAGUCCGACGACUAAAUGGGUUGGCACUAUGCUGGCCUCCUCCCUCCUCAACCCUAAGUAUAAAGCAAAAAUCAACAAUUUCUUGGAGUUCAAUGAAUCCUGCAGCCAUUUCCUUUCGAUACCUCUUUCCAUGGUUGGACACACUCCUCCGGACACCCCUUCCUUAAGUCUACUCUAAAUCCAACGCUCCUCCCACUCGGUCCACCUUGCUCUAGUCUUAGACUACUGCAGUCCUACCUCAUCUGCCCUUCCCCUCCAUCCUAGCCAACCCACCACCACUUUCUCUGCUCGAGUGCCCUCUCCGCUCCUUAGGUCGAUGGUCGCCACUCUCGGCCUCUUGCAGUGGGGGUGGCGUUGUGGGAGUGACGAGCGAUGGUGGUAUGGCGUGACCACAUGACGCAAGCACGCGUGGCACUAUGACGAUGACGACACGAGCAACAACAACCAUGGCGACUCCUAUAGUGCUUGGGCUGCCAUGCUCAUCGUGCCAUCAUGACACGAGGGCCUGUUUAGUUAUUGGUUUGCUCUCUAUCGGAGCUGUCUGGCUUAGAAAGUGCUCUAAGACAUCUAGGGUCACGAUUGGAUGCAUGACAAGCAUCUCUGCUGUGCAGUGACAUGACACAACAUGUAUGGUUAGAGCAUCGUGUCUAAUAGCGCCAAAUCGUGUUAGGACCGGACCACCCGUUUGACCAUUCUAUACAACCACCUACUGUUCAGCAGCAGAGCCGCCAGCUGCAUGCUUCUCCUUAAUUAACAAGAAAGGGUCAGAUGGCCAGCAAAGACAUAGACACGUAUGCUUCAAACAACAGAGAAACUAACUGAACUACCGGCAGUGAGUUGAGGGGAAGGUGAUCAUGCAUGCACGAUUACCGGCGGAAUUGACUGCCAGUGCCACACCUACUAGCCGUUUGGCGGCAAUGCAUGCAAGCGCUGACUUCUGAUGCAGACAUUAGUUUUUCGAUGAUGAGUCAUAGGUUGAAUGGCCAGAUCAGAGAUGCGCCUCAUCAACAACCACGGUCAGAAGUUCAGGUGGCUUGACAAUGUUUAUGUUGCUAUAUAUCAUCGAAAAAAGCAUGGCGACUCCUAUAGUGCUCGGUUACUUGCCGGAGUGACAACAGCCGCUGUGUUAGCGCUACCAAUAACGCUCCCGGGUACCUCUGCAAGUGCAAGGAUGGUUUCGAUGGUAACCCAUACAUAGCCGAUGGAUGCCAAGGUAACUACAUGUACAUGCAUGAGCCACAAAAUAAUUGCAGUCUAAUAUAAUUCAUCAUAUUUAUAAAAAACAUAGCAGAUUUGAUCACAUAAAAUUUGUCGACAAUGCAAGUAACCGGACACUCCUUAUAAUAAUUCAAUUUCUGAGACAGUACAAAGUACAAACCCCAUUGUAUGUAAUGUACUCCCUUCCUCCCAAAAUAAAUGCAUGUCUCACUUUACAAGGAGUCAAACUUUAUUAAGUUUGACUAAAAAUAUAGAAAACAUUAUUAACAUUUGUAUCUCUAAAUAAGUAUAUUAUGAAAGUAUAUUCUAUCUAUAAUUUAAUGAUACUUAGUAUACAUUAUAAAUAUUAGUGUAUUUUUGUAUAAAUUUAGUCAAACUUUAAGAAGUUUGACUUCUGAGUUCGAAAGUACUGCAAAUAUACACAUGACAUAUUUCCCCGUAGUUGUCCAUCGUGCAUCAUGAGAAAAUAGGAUCUCAACUAAUUUGUAAGAUAUGUAUUCCCUACUUGGUUUACUGCUUGUUUGGUAGAGCUUCGCUAGUAGCUUUUUCAAAACAGAUUUCAUAUCAAAAGGCUAAAACAUAAUUAUUGGAUUCUAGUGGAGAGCUGAAAAAGAUUACUUCUCCAUUUAUGCUAGCAUGGAGAAAAACACACUCUGCAUUCAAUCUCUAUCAUAAUCUCUUCUCAACUAUUCUCUAUCUUGCUCCCUUACCAGAUUCAUCAAGAAUCAAGGAGUAGAACUGCUCUUAGGAUUUUUGAAACCAUUUUCAGUGAGACAUUUGGACUUGCAGUUUUUUAAUAGUAAAUUAUUUUAAUAAACCCAUAAAAUUAUGUAAUAUGAAAAAGUAUUUCCAUGAUAUACUAUAUGACAUCAACCAUAUGCAUCAUCUAUCUAUCUAUUUAACUUUUUCAUAUAUUGCUUGAUCAAGUUUAACAAGUUUUACUGACUAGCUUUAUUACUCACCCACGUCCAUAACAACUACUAGUAUACUGAUGAAUGAUUUAAGAGUGUACGCGAUUCAGUUGGAAUCCGCAUUUCAUAUCAUUAACUAAUUAAACUACUUACAGAUAUUGAUGAGUGUUUGCUUCGAGAUAAACAUCCCGAGCUACGAGAUUUGUAUCCUUGCCACGGGAUAUGCAAGAACAAGAUAUAGGAGGUUAUGAUUGUCCCUGCAAAUUUGGAACCAAAGGUGAUGGCAAAAAUGAAGCAUGCACGACAGUGUUUCCUCUUGUAGCUGUUGCAACACUUGGUAAGGAGCUUCAACCUUUAUGUUUCGGUCAAGUCUAUUGAAUUUUAAUUUAACUUAAUGACACAACAACAUUUAAACGUGACGUCAUUAGCUAAUUCAUAAGCUUGCUUACACUACACUUUUGCUCAUGCACAUGAUUUCUGUCACUAUAAAGCUCUUCGAGCAUGAGGCAAAUGUUUUUGGGCGCUACUGAGAUAGUAAACUAUAUUGAAAAUAUCAGUGCUAAAAACUUCAAAAAUCACGUUUGUAGCUAGCAUUGAGUUCCAACUCUUUCCUCGUCUGCUAUGUGAGGAUGUCUAGCCCCUUUUUCGGUUUAUAAUACUCUCAUUUUUCGCUCUACUAACACCUAGCCAAUUGUCUUAUAGUUAGUAACACAUACGAACAUGCUAAUAAGGGUAGUUUGUGCCAUUAAUUAGUGUGGAGCCUUAGUAAUAUCCAACCUUUCACUACACCCUCAUUUUGCGGCCAAAGCUCCAAAAUUUAGCUGUUGAUUCUGAUAUCAAUUGAAGGGACCAUGAUGCUCUACGAGGGUUGCAUUAGGAGUUUCUGCAAACUAAGUCUCAACUUGCACAUACAAAAACUUACACAUAAUCUAUCUAAAUAUGUACUUGUUUUUUUCUAUGUUUUUGCUACUUUCUAUCUCACAAAAGGAUUUUGCACCCUAUGUACAAACCUAAAAACUGAGUAAAUAAAUUCUAGGAAAGGUGAGUUGAGGAGAGUUAAGAUAUACAAAAAUGCAAACUCUUAGUGUGGAAUCAUUUACCGACAUCGAAAAGUUCAAGUUUUCCACCAUUGCUUGUUGAAGUCCUUUAAUUUGGAAGGGUCAAGCUCCUAAUAAUUGGAUAACUCUUUGAAUAGCCUUACCACUUUACACACAAAUGAGUCUCUGAUUCAGCCUCUCCUAGAUACCUUUUUUCGUGCGUUGUCUCCACUUGUUAAUAAGCUUCAUUCAAAUCUUAAAACGGCAUCAUAUUACCACAUAUUAUUUUAAACUAACUUGUACAACACAUGCACCACAUAUUAUUUUAACUGUUGUGAAUGAUAUGUCAAAAUUUUUAACAUGUAUUACAUUUUGACAAUUGUUUAUGUAGGUGUAAUUGGUACAACGUUCAUAGUGAUCAUUGUAGUGUUGUUUAUGCUUCUCUCGCAUCAGAAAAGGAAGACAAAAGAAUUUUUCGUAAAGAAUGGUGGUCCCAUACUUGAAAAGGUUAACAACAUUAAAUUAUUCAAAAAAGAGGAGCUCAAGCCAAUUAUACAACACAUGUCCAAUGUUAUUGGAAAAGGAGGAUUCGGGGAGGUUUACAAAGGAAUUCUUGAUAACCAGGUUGUUGCAAUUAAGAAAUCUAUCAAUGUGGACAAGACACAAGAGAAGCAGUUUGCAAAUGAGAUCAUCAUCCAAUCACGAGUCAUCCACAAAAAUAUCACCAGGCUUAUUGGCUGUUGUCUCGAGGUGGAUGUCCCAAUGUUAGUCUAUGAGUUUGUUCCAUGUGGAAGCCUCCAUGAUAUUCUACAUGGCAACAAUAGGUGAGCCUAAGCUUAGAAAAACGUCUAAACAUUGCUGCAGGAGCAGCAGAAGGAUUGGCUUAUAUGCAUUCAAAAACAUCAACAACUAUAUUGCAUGGUGAUAUUAAACCCAGCAAUAUACUUCUGGAUGACAACUUUAAUCCGAAAAUCUCAGAUUUUGGCAUCUCGAGGUUGAUUGCAAUAGAGAAAACACACACAAACUUUGUGGUAGGGGACAUGUGCUAUAUGGACCCAAUAUAUCUCCAAUCUGGCUUGUUAACUAAGCAGAGCGAUGUGUACAGUUUUGGACUUACGCUCUUGGAACUCCUAACUAGACAAAAACAAAAGGAUGAUUUUGGUGGACAUGGCAGAUUGGCUAAAGCUUUUCUUGACGCCUAUACAGAGAAGGGAGGAAUUGAGCUAUUUGAGAGUGAAGUUUUAGUGGAAAAUUAAUAUUGAAGUAGUUCAUAAACUUGCCAGGCUAAUUGUAGAGUGUCUAAAGCUUGAAGUGGAAAGAAGGCCAGAGAUGACAAAUGUAGCAGAAAUACUUGAAACCAUGAGGAGAUCGCACAAGGACAAAUCUGACGCAUGUGCCAGUACCAAUACAUAGCCAUCAAUAUUUGGGCCUUGUUUAGUUUCGAAAAGUGAAAAGUUUUCGGUACUGUAGCACUUUCGUUUGUUUGUGACAAAUAUUAUCCAAUUAUGGACUAACUAGGAUCAAAAGAUUCGUCUUGUGAUUUACAGCUAAACUGUGUAAUUAGUUUUUGUUUUCGUCUAUAUUUAAUGUUUCAUGCAUGUGCCACAAGAUUCGAUGUGACGGGAAAUCUUGAAAACUUUUUGGUUUUCAGGGUGAACUAAACAAGGCCUUGAUUGAGAAUUGUAGUUCUAACACUACCAAAAUGGUGGAGUUCUCCUAGUGUUUUUAGUUAGUAAUAAAACACUACAACUAGUCAAAACACUAGGGAAUCCUAACUAGGAGGCAUUUACUAGGGAAAGUUCAUACUAAAUUUUGAAUGCUAAAACACUAGGAGAACCCCACAUCACUAGGAGAAAUUGUAAAAUCUGGUUGUGUAAGCUUGCACGCAGAUCGAGGUGGACCUGUUUGUGAUCUCUAUUUAUAUUCCAGAAUCAUGACCCAGUCUUGUUGGACAAGAAACUUUCAAUGAAAAUAUGUAAUGUUUUUUUAACCUGAAAAUAUAUAAUGUGGAAACCACUUUCCAGUUGCUUGUGUGGUGCAAUGAUAGUUUCUAGUUUAAAAUCUUGUUGAUGGUGAAAUGAUGACAUUAUGGGAUUCUAUAUUUAUUUUGCCUUAGCAAAUCACAAGCGCUUAACUAUUGGACUAGAAAAUAAUUUAUACAUUUGUUCGUGUGUGUAGAAGAAUCAAAGGCGCUUAGGACAUUUUGGCUAGGCAUGACCUAGUGACGUGAUGGCAAGUGUUGGUGCAAAUCCAUUCACUGGUUAUGUUGAGGUACCAUUCUCGGUUUAGUCGCAUUUGAUGGCAUAGGCAGAAGCAAUCUCAUACUGUCACUGUCGUUUGUGGCAACGUCAAUUGUGGCAUUACCCAAGUUGAAUAAUGGUGCAGAUAACGUGUUAAGUAACAGUACAUGCCAUCAAACAUUGGAUCCUUUUUGUGACGAAUUAGACGUUUGCGUAGGUACCUGCAAUCUUAAUAUCUAUAGUCCCUGAGCCGCGCUGCUCACUCAGGUUAGGUGCUAGUGUCUUCAGUUGUGGCAUGCGUAUCUCCCUCCUUAUCCGUGCCUACCAACUCAUCUGCUGCUAUGGCUUCUUGAAGCUCCCAUCGCACAGAAGGCUGACUCCCCUACUGCUUCCUUUGAUGGAACUCAUGUGUGCCAGCCGUCGUCCUCGACAUUACUACUCUGCCCAAGAGGCCAAGACCAUCCAUUACUACUCUCUAGAUGCAUGGUCAACAUUCACUCAUGUGUGCCGGCCGUCGUCCUGCUCGACGUUACCAAGCUGAACCACGCACAGUGGCGUUGCUUCUUGAACUAAGUGAUCAGCAAGUUCGGACUCGACUCCCACCUCGCCUCUUUGCCAAUGUCUGCUCAGUGCCAUGACCCAUACUAGUCCAUGAUCAUAUCAUCAGUCGGUUCUACAGCUCUGUCUCCCUAGAAAGUCCUUGAAAUUGUGUGCGCUCCUAAUGCCACUACUCAUACAAUCUCGACCAGCACUGAAACCCACUUCUCCAGAGGGUGAAGUCUUUUGCCUGACGCUCAUGCGAGAAGAUGUGGAGGUUUCACGACAACCUUCAGCUAUGACUACUUCGACUACAUCAGCUACAACAAUUAUGGAAAUUCGUGAAGAGAAGGUGUGUCUCCAAGUGAAGCCUCAAACGAGAAGAUCCCGGAGGUGAAGAUCUACACAUCAAGUAGGUUCUGGAGAUGAAGAUCUACGUAAUGAGAAGGUCCUGGAGGCAAAGAUCUAUACACUGAGAAGGUCCAGAGGCAAAGACUUGCACGUCGAGCAAAAUGUGCAUGCUCUUUUCUCCAUGCCCUUUUCUUCCUACAACGUUUUUAAGAUAGAGUUUUUAGUGAGACACAAACACAUAGGUUGUGAGGGAUGAUCCUCAUGACCAGGCCUGAGUUCAAUUUGGGCCUUAUCUACUAUGAGCAUCUUUUAGUUAUGUUGUAUCGUCCAUAUCCCAAUAUUGGGCUAUUAUCACUACUAUAAAAAAUCUUUACCGCGACCUUUUCAAAAGCCCCUCCGUGGUGGGCAAGAAUGUGAACCGCCUCGUUUGCCUGGUAUUAACCGAGGCGGGCACUUUUUCUUAACCGAGGCGGUUAUAAAAAACCGUCUUAGAAAAUUCAUUAACCGAGGUGGGCAUUAUAACGUAACCGCCUCGGUAAAUAUAUAUUAACCAAGGCAGUUAUCCUAACUCAACCGUCUCGGUAUAUAAUUAAUCGAGACGAUUAUUUUAUAAGGCCUGCCUCCUAUAAUCUAGUCUAGCCCGCUAACAUUUUCAAGCCCAUACCAGCCCACUACCACUUCAGCAUAUAAAAUCGAACACAAACCCUAAGUCACUCCACUCUCUCCCUCACCCCCGCAGCCACCAGAAGCGUCGGCCUCACCCCAGCAACUCCGUUACCCCCACGACUCCCUCUCCUCGCGUCGACCUCCUCCUCUCCCUCCCUCACUCAUCUCUAGCAGUGCCGGCAUCCUUCCCUCCCUCCAUGGCUCCACCCCUUCGUCCUCUCCGGCGGUUGGAUCUCCUUCGAGCGGCCGUGGAAUCUCCUAGAGGUGGCGGCGCACCCCCUCCUCUUUCUCCCUCCAACGGCUGGAUCUUCUUCAGGCAGAUGCGGCUUCUCUAGGAGGUGGCAGCGCGUCCCCUCCCUCCCCGCCCCGUGCCAGAUCCGAGUUGGUCCUAGCGCGCGGCACGGGAUCUGGGUGCGCGUCCGGAGCUCGGUGGCGAGGUGCCGUGGGCAGCAGCCGAAGCCAUCGCGGGAGAGGUCUAGCCAGGGCAGUGAUCGACGCGGGUGAGGGCCCUCCGCGAUGGUGUCCUCCUUCACCUCUAGAUCCAGCUCGGAGGCCUCCUCUUCCUCCUCCGAUGUUGCUGCAACGCGGCUCAACCACCUCCACCACUACCUCCGACGAUGAGCAGCGGGCUGAUCCGGCAAACAACGGUGCGGAUCCAGUGAGCAGCAGCGGCCUACGGAUGAGCUUGGUGGGCCUAUGGAUGGGCUCACGAGCUCAUCCAUAUUUUUUAUUCAAUUAACUGAGGUGGGCAUCAAAACGCCUCCAAAAAUACCUCCACUGUGACCUUCGGUCGGAGGCGUUUCCGAUGCCCGUCUCCUUUAAUAAUUUUUGCCUGUCUCGGAUGUUAUUUUUUGUAGUAGUGUAUUAGGAGAGCCCAUGAGGUAUAUGGGCCAAGUCUUUCCCUAGAAGGGCCCAACAAGUAGCUAGAGUAGUGUAAAGAUGGUAACGGGUACAAAAUACCCACGUGCCCACGGGUAAGAGACCCGAUGGGCAAGGAUACAGGUGCAUGAGCCUACCCAUGGGCAUGGAUGUGGGUAUGUCCUCAAACUCGGCGGAUAUUAAUAGAUGGGCAAGAAAAUGUUCUACCUACACCCGCAAACCCGCCAUGCCCAUUAUCCCCAACGCACUAGCAACUAAUAGCCCACAUUUUCUUGGCCCAUCAAAGCCUAGCUCAAAAGUCACAUACAAAAGCAACUAAACCUAACUACUCAAGAUAUCUCCACUCCCCACUCGCCCUUCUUGCCGCUGCCACCGCUUGCUUAGCGAGUCGCGGGCUGCGCAUCACACUUCUACGGUCCCAUAGCAUGCCCACGGUCCCUCUUGCUUGCAAGUUCCAGAUCGAGACUCGAGAGCUGCACUCCCUCCUCUUGUCAAGCUCACUCAUACAACAUGCAUUAUAGAUCGAGAGCCUCACUCCCUCCCUCUUGUGGGUACGCAUGUAGCAUGUGUACAUCCUUGAACACUCGUCUAUGAUUGGCUAAAGGAGGAGGAAAGAAGCGUAGAACUGCUGGUUCUUCAACUCUCUGUCCGUGAUUGGCUAAAGGACGAUGAUUGAAGCCUUGGAGGAAAUAAGCACAUCACUGCUGACCGCCUUCCAAUUUCUUUUUCUGAUUUUGAUUUUUUGAGAUAGGAAUUACAAUUGUUUCUUGGCAAUCUGUACCUAGGAAAUUCUACUUCUCGAUUGAAAACUUGUUGUUGUCAUCCUCGAUACAAUACAAUUGUCCUCCCAGUCACAGCCCUCCCGUGGAUAGCGGGUGCGGGCAUAGGAUGGUGCCCUAGCGGGCGAUGGGCACGAGCACGGGCACAGGAUACCAGUAUUCGUGGGCAUUUUGCCUGUUACCAUCUUUAGAGUAGUGUCCUGUGAAAUUCAAUCCCACCUAGGGGCGACUUGUAAAUAACCAUUGUCUAUAUAAGUGCCCAGGGGCAUGAGGACAAAGAACCUUAUCUCCUACUCAUUUCCACCUGUUCAACCCUAGUGUGUCCCUCUCCACCUCUCCUCCCCUCUCUCUCUCCUAUUUGGAACCUAGUUCAACAUAUUAUUUAAUAUUGUUGCAAUCAACACUCAAUAUUCCAGCCCAUAGGGUGCCCAUUCUAAUAGGAUUAUAUCACAGACUAGGAAUUUGAUCGCUUGAGCUUAUCUAUCAAAUCUGUCAGUCAUUCAAUAGUAUUUUUCUCUCAUAAUAAAUCAAUGAACAAUAUUUUCAGCUAUCACUACAAUAAAUGUGUUGGUUUAUGACAUUUAUCACAUGACAUUCGAUAAAAAAGGUCACUAAAUCUACUUGUUUAUGAAGUUUGCUAUGGAAGCAUUUCAAUUUAGUGAUAGAACUAGAAAAACAUCACAAAAAAUGUCUUAAAGGUAGUCAAAUGACAUCAUGUGACAAUAUUUGUCUUGUCAUAAACACCAAUUGUAGUAGUCACAAAUUAUAGUGUACCAAAAAAAAUAUAUAUGACAAGGAUAGUGUCAUAAUUUUUUUAUCUUUUAAACAUUAUUGUCGAUGACGGCUUAUGGGCCCAACUGCCCUUAUUCAAGUGGGUCAUAUGUUUUUUUCAUUUUGUUGUCUGGUAUUUAACCUACUUCAUGGCAUUCAUGGACAUAGACAUAUGACCAAAGCUAUAGCCAUGAUGUGAUUUUGAAGUGACUAUGGUAAUCUGAAGCAUAUGUUCAUAUUGUACAAGAAGAAGAAGAACGUCAACAAGAAGAAGAACAACAACAAGAAGAUGAAGGUAUAAGCCUUAUCAUGGAAUUUGAGCUGCAUGUUCAUAUUGUAGAGAUCUUAAAAUGUCAAUUGAAAGAUUUCAUCCUAAUGUUCAAUCAGAUGUUAGAAGGACUUAUUUAUUGAGAGGUCCGACACAACCCACUGGACAUAAUUUUCCUCGCAAGCAUGUUGGUAAUGAUUGGAGACAAUUUCUCUCAAAAUGGUUUAAGAAACAUGAUUGGUUAGAGUAUAGCGUGUCCAAGGAUGAAGCAUCUUGUUUCUAUUGUUAUCUUUUUAGGCAAGAAGCUGACCAUGAGAAAUUUGUCACGUGGUUUUCACAAAAACAGAGUUUAAUGAUUUUAAACAUGCAUAUAGAGGAUUUCUAGGUCAUGUUGGAGGAGUUUUAAUUGCCACAAUAAAGAUAGAUUAUGCACCAAAGAUUUUAAGAAUCAAAGAGCAAGUAUUACCCAUAGAUUGAUGCUAAUACCAAAAUAGUAGAACUGCUCUAUAAAUUCACUUGACUGCUGCUUUGGGUGUUGCAAGCUUUCUCAUUGCACAGGGUCAUGCUUUUCGUUGCAAUAACGAAUCUAACACCUAUGUAAACAAGGGCAAUUUCCUAGAAAUGAUUGAUUGGUACAAAAAUAGGAAUAAGGAUGUGAGGGUUGCAUUUGAAGAGUUAUUUCUCAGUUGUAAUUGUUAAAUCCUGUGAUAUCUCAAUAGCAGAACAAAUGGCUGUGCUUGUGAGGUUAGUAAUUUUUUUGAAGUGCUAUAUGUUUCUUGGUCUAUUCUACUAUAUUGGAUAUGACUUUGCUUUAUUUGCUUAUAUUCUCAAUUAUAAUGUUCUUAGUUUACUUUGACUAUAUGCUUGGUAUAGAGGAUUAGAAUUAUAUUCAAGUUUAGGAUCGUAUAGUGCUUGCUCAUUGUUACCAUGGGUGAGUGUGUGAAUAUUGUAGAGGCGUGAUGCCUAAAUCGUAUUUUCAUGCGAUUGCACCCUAUAUUCCGGAUCGUGAGGUAGAUCACGGGAGUGACAGUCCUGUUAAGUUCUUUGUAGUCCUCCUCCUGAGUAUAGGACCGGUAGAACACAACUAUUACAGAGAAGUGAUUUCUAUGUUCUUCAUCUUCCUUCGUAAUAUCCCUAUGCAUAGAUAUAACCUUGUCUUGCCAUGAUUGCCAAGUGUACUUGCACUAAUCAUUGUAUGCUUUGACUUAUAGUUACAAUAACUUAGGAUUUAUCCUCAUAGAUCGUCCUAAUGCCAUGCUAGUGUUAUAGACUUAGAGUACUCUAUUGAGAUGUUUAUCAUUUAUUAUGCGGCUAUGUGCUUAUCAUUUAUUAUUUAUUAUUUGUCAUAUAUCUUAUCUUGUGACACUUGCUCAUUGCUCAUUAUCCUUAGCGCUCCUUUCCCAUGUGUAAAAAUAUAAAUAACGAUAUAUACUUGUGUUAGUAAUUAUUUUUAAAUGCAUUAUGCAGGUUUGUGAAUAAAAAGGGAAUGGUCGUGAAAAGAUUUUUUGGGUCUGCAGCAUGUCGAAGAUACAACAUCAAGUUCCCUAAACAGAUCCAUGUUGAGAACCCUUAUGCUUUCUAUGUCCAUUGCUUUGCUCAUCAGUUACAGUUGGUUAUUGUUUCCAUUGCAAGUUGUUGCUCCUCUUUUGAUGAUUUCUUCAACUAUGUGGGUUUAAUAUCACCAGUACUAGUGCAUCUUGUAAGAGGAAGGAUAAAUUACAAGCACAACAUUGCGAAACCAUUAUAACAAAGUUAGAGAGUGGUGAGAUUCUAAGAGGGAGGGGAAGGCAUCAAAUGACAAACUUGCAUAGACUAGGAGAUACAAGAUGGGGUUCUCAUUCAUAACAUUACUUCGUAUUGAGUCAAUGGGGGAUUCUAUAGUCAAGGUGUUAGCCAUGAUCCAUGAAGAUGAAUGUAAUCCUAGCCAAGCCGGUGGUUUGGUGCGCAAAAUACAUGGAAAGCUUUUCCUUUGUUUUAAAUAUGAAGUUGAUGUUGAAAGUGUUCCAUAUUACAAAUGAGCUGUCUCUUCUUUUUCAAAGAAAAGACCAAAACAUUGUUGAGUCUAUGUCAUUGCUUGUUGAUGUGAAAGCACACCAGUUUAAGAAAUUAAUGAAGGCUGGGAGCAAUUAUUGAAAGAGGUCAAAUCAUUUUGUGUUGCAAAAGAAAUUCCAAUACCAAAUAUGAAAGAGGCAAUACCAAGAUGGGGCAGAUCAAGACUUGAUGGCAACUUAUCACUCAAGAGCAUACCAUGUUGCUACUUUCCUUGCUGCACUUGAUACUAUAAUCAUGGAGAUGGAUCAUCGCUUCAAUGAGGCACGUACCAUCUGAGUUGCUUGUUUCAUUUGCUUGUCUUGAUCCAAGACAAGCAAAUAUUAAAGCGACGACACAUGCACAAUAUAUAAUGUCAUAGGGACGACACAUGCAGACGUGUUUGGAUAUUAAUUAAAUGCCAGAUUUCUGCUUGAGUUGGGCAAUGUAAGCAACCAGAAAUAUUAAGAUAUAGGUCCCGAAAAGCUUGGCUAUGUUCCAGGCAAGCGUCGCGAAGAAGCUCCUGAGCCUCCAGCUGUUCCAGUGGAGAUGAGAGCUCGUGGACGGGCAGAGUCCCCAAGCACGCGAGAAGCCAAACCUUCGAUACAUCACCAGCAUGAACCUGAGGUCGUGGGCGAGCGCUUCGUUCCCGUAGAGCACCAAGGCCGAGGUGGCGACGGCGACGAUGACGACGGUGACCACAGAGACGUCCCACAUCACCACGCCGACUCCCAGCGCGAAGGCGAUGAUGACGCUCUUGAGGGCGACGUGGAAGAAGCGCACGGCGCGCUGCGCGUAGACGCGGCGGACGAGCGGGUCCACGUCGCCCCGGUUGCCGUACUCGGCGAGGCUGAACGUGGCCGCCACGGAGCAGUAGAAGGCCAGGAUGUCGGCGAUGACGAAGACCUUGAAGCCGUAGCGGCUGGCCAGCGCCGGCGUGCCUGCCCGGUGGCCUUCCGUCUUGUACGACCCCGGCAUGGUGAACGCCGCGGCGAAGGUCACCGUCGCAAUCAGCGCCGACGCAACCAGGACGCUUUCGUCCAGCUCUGCUGCUUGCUUCUUUUUCUUCUUCUUUUGCGUUCUUGUUUCAGUCGACGGAGCUGUGUGAUCUGCUCGUUGGUCCUUUUGCGUUAUUGUUCCAUAUUUCAUGUCACGUCUGUGGGCGCCGAAAUAAGCUCCAGAGUGAGCCAAUACUCUGACCAUCCAUUCCGUUGGGUUCUGCAUCCAUGCAUCCCAAGUGUCAGGGCCUCUGCUGUCGACUGACUAUCAUCUUCUGGCAACCGCAUGCAUGCAUACACAGGCAUACAGCUGCUAGUUCAUAUUGUUAAUUUUUGCUGAGUAGAGUAAAGACACACAGUUGGGUUCUCAAAGUUGUUGGGUUGUAUCAUCCUGAUUUUUAAACUCGCAAAUCACUCAUUUCGAUUAUCAAUCUUAUUUGCCACUGUCAUCCUGGUACAUAAACAUGCAAAUUGCCGAUUUAGGUCUACAAACUUUUUCAACUAUGCUAUUAUUCAUCAUGUCCCUAAAUUUGCAAAUCGUCAGUUUAGACCCCCAAUCUAUGUUUAGGUCGAUCACAACUAUUCCAAACAGGUUUCUAAACCUGGCCGGGCCCAUAUGCUAAUGUGGUAUAUGCAUGCUGACAUCUCCCUACUCCCUCCUCUCUCUCUCUAUCUCUCUCUCUCUCUCUCUCUCCUUUCUCCUCUUCUCUCACGAGGUCACGGCUCGAUGGUGGCACGGCUUGUGACGCAUAGCUACAGGCUAGGACCGACAUGGUCGUGGUCUGUGCAACCAGCCUCUCAAUGCAUGGUGGUGCUUGGGAACAGGUUUAAGGAUCUAAACUGAUGAUUUCCGAGUUUAUGGACCAAAAUAACACAACCAAACAAAAUUUGAUGAGCUAACUAAGCAGGUGACUUACGAAUUUAGGGAUCAGAUAACACAACAAAACAAAUUUUAGAAUCACCAAUAAACUUUACUCUUAAUAAUAUUUUAACACGAGAAGUUAAACUUGUUGGAUAUGCAUGCAUGUAUAUACCUUGGGAGAGGCGAAACUGUUUUCUAUCUUUAUCUUGCUCGCAAGGUCGAGUGGUGUGUAGCCAUCCUUGUUGACAUGGUUGAGAUCCACAUACCUGUUCCCAACGAGAUGGCUGAAACUAGACUCGUCCCUGUUCUGCACGGCCAGGUGCAAUGCAGUAUUUCCGUCCUUGUCCUUCAUAUUAAGAAUGUUCCUGAACGCUGGGCGCGAUUUUCUACAUACCAACUUGACUACGUCUGUCUUCUUGUUCUCAACGGCGAUAUGAAGAAACGUCCUACCCAUACGAUUCUCACGCAGGGCCGCAUGUGUGUCUUCUUCACCGACCAAAGCGUGUACUGCGUCCAUUGCUCCAACAGAAGCAGCUAUGUGUAUGGGGCACAUCCCAUUGCUGUCUACCGCCUUCUUCCUCAUGCCAGUUGUGUCACCAUCGACCAGAAGGCUUGUUACGCCCUUCACUCCAACUGAUGCUGCAAAGUGAAGAGGUGUACUUCCAGAGGCAUCAGCUACAUUCCUCAGAUCCUCCCAACUGACUUCAUUACUACUCAGAAGAACUUUUUGCGCCUCUAGAAUCUUUUGGGUAACAUCUGCCAUCAAGUGUUUCUUAAUUAUCAGAGUCUCUUGAAAAUGUGUCCUCUCUCUUUCCCAGUUUAUAAAGCACGAACGAGUAUCAAUAUUCAAAAUUUAUAACAUGUCCUAUUUUAGUUCACCAAUAAUUAAUUGGCACCGGAAUAUUCCUAAUCAGAAGUACUUUCCUAUGGCCCUUGUCUUGACAUAAACAACAUAAUCUUGUGAAAAAAUAACACAAACUAACAUUCUAAAUCUGCUUCUAAAUGACAUAAACAAAGUUUAACAGAAUGGGUAGAGAUUACAAAGUAGAUAUUGUUAUUGCAUUAGAGAGAGGGAAAGAGUGAAUAGAUAAGUAAGUUUGAUUAGUCAUAUGGACAAUGCACGAACUUGAUACUGUCUCCUAAUUAAGAAGAUUUUAGCCUAUGCAGGAACAACAAACCAAUACUCUCCCUUGUAUCUCACAUAAAAUAAGGAGGAUUAAAGAGAGAAAGAUUUCGGUCAUUCAAUACAUCACAAUCCAUGAUGGCUUACAUCCCCAUUGAUUGGUGAAUUUUACUAGAAUGAGAUUGGGUGUUGAGGCUACAUUGAUGAAGGAUAGGAAGUUAAUGAGAAAAAAAAUUAAAUCAUAUAAUAACAUGUACUGUGAGUGAUUAUAAUUGAUCGAUUGAUCAAAGUGUGCUUAUAAGACCGAGUUAAUCAAGGGAGAAGUCCAUUUUAACCAUCAAAUUACACUAGUUUGAUUUUAUCCAUGGAAUUCAAAAAAACUAGAAAUCUUCAUUCAUCCAGCUAUAGAAAAUGUUCUCAUUUAGCCAUCUAGCUAUUUUGUGGGUGGCUUUGGUCAUGUGGAAGACACAUGACAGUGAGGCCUACAUGACAACUUCAGCUAACCAAAUUUCUCUUCUCACUCAUCUCUCUCUCUCUCUCUCCAUCUCCCUUUCCCUUGGAGCCCACUCCGCCUCCCCAUGAUAUUGAUGUUGCACACCAGCUUCUCCCACUACUACAAUAAACUUAACUGAGGUGGGCAAAAAUGAUAUUCCGAGGCGGGCAGCCAAAACACCUCGCAUCAAAGGUCACAGUAAAUGACAUUUUUCGAGACGGUUUGAUGCCCGUCUUGGCUAAAAAAAUAAAUAUAGAUAAAAAAAUAAAAAGCCCACAGCCCAAAACCAGUUUGGAUCUGGGCCUAGAUCCUCCGCCGCUCGUUGGGGCUACGCCACCGCCGCUCGUUGCAUGGUGGUCUGACUACGCUCAUGUUCGUCGGAUCCGCCGCUGGCAGGCUCGUGCUCACUGGAUUUGCCACUAACGGUCAUGGAAUUGAUGGCCACGGUAGCCGGAUGAUACGGGGAAGGAGGGUGCACCGCCGUCAGGGGAGGAGCGCACCGUCGCCGGAGAAGAAACCAACGCAGAAAGUGGAGGGGCUCGAGGAGGAGGACGCCGCCAGUGGAGAAGCGUGGGGGAGGUCGCUGCACCGCCAGGCCACAGGAUCCACCAGAUCCAUGAGCUCCUCAAUCCACCAGGUCGCCUGUGCCACCCGCUGCCAGGACAUCGUGCCACCUGGCUGCCUAGUCACCACGCCCAUGAGCUCCUCCACGAGGUACAGUCAUACAGGAGAGUGGAAGAAAGGAUAUGGGAGGGGAGGGGGCACCGGCUGGUAGGAGAGGGCAGGGGCGUUCGGGUGCGGAGGGGGCUCCGGUGGGAGGGAGAAGGGAGGGAGCGCUCGGGUGCGGCGCUCGAUUUGGUGAAGUGAGGGAAGUGAUUUCUAUCUCUGAAUAAAUGAACCCAAUAGUUGAUUGGAUUUGGGCUUUGGGCCCGGUAUAUUAACGGAGGUGGGCCUUAUAAGUGGCCCGCCUAAAAAAAUGGAGGCAUUUUUUUGGAGCCAGGCCACUUAUAAGGCCCGCCUCUGUUAAUAGAUUUUAGGCCUCCGCAAAUCAAUUUUACAAGGUGGUUGAUUGUAACCGUCUCGGUUAAUGAAAAGCGACCGCCUUAGUUAAUCUCAGACAUUAACCACAACGGUUGAAAUUCUUGUGCGCCUCAGAGGGUGUUUUUAAAAGGUCACGGUAAAUCUUUUUGGUAGUAGUGUCCUCUCCUCCCAUAACUCGUCUUGCUCCCCCUCCAUCCCUAUCUAGCCCUACUCUGCCAACCAAAGUCCACCUAAAGGCAAUGAUGGAGCCAAGCAAGAUCUUCCUGCAAAAUGUCCUCACUAUGACCAUCAUCGUUUUGAGCCAUUGGCUUCCUCGUCUAUGGUUGUUGUGACUACCUCUGCUUGGUGCUCCCGUUCAUGUCCAUGCACACACUCAUCAUCAACAACCUUUUGCGUCGAUGCCAUUUGUGGUGUCAUGUAGCUCGAAGUACCAGUCUACCUCUUCUAGAUAGACCUCCCUGAUGCCAAGUGUCGCCUUGCUAUUUUUCAUGGAUCCUCCCUCCGUUGUGGAGCAUGAUUCGGCAAGGAAGUUGGCAAUAGAGCUUGCAGAGAUUGAUUUGGCCACAAAGUCUAACAAUAGAAGGAAGAGGUGGUGGCAUGUAGUGGCUGUGACAUGUGAGGAGCUUGGCUAAUACUUGAGCUCUACAUGCAGCUUGGAAUGCAAAGUUUAGAUAGUGUGUAGGAUAGAGAAAGAGAGAAUAGAGAACUGAGAAGAGGAAUAGAGAAAAUGAAAGAGGAAGAGGAGAGACAAAACAAAUAGCUGAUAUGUGGGCCCCACUUUCAAUGCGUCGUCAGCAAAACCACGUACCACUAUCGGAAUGCUUCUCUUUGCCGACUGCCAGAGGUAGCCGACAAAGGCACGAAAGUAGUCGGCAAAGGCAUUGCCGACUGCUUUCCACGAGGCAGUCGGCAAAGAAGACGUCGCAAAGAAUUCGUCGGCAAAGAAACCUUUGCCGCCUACCACGUGGAAAGCAGUCGGCAAAGGCUUUACCCUGUCGACGUGGCAUUCGGCAAAGGAAAGUACGUCGUCGUGAGAUGACGUUGCGCGUUUCGUUUGCCGACUGCCAAAGGUGGCAGUCGGCAAAGCGUUUUUUUUAUUUUUUAGUACAGAAAUUCUUUGCCGACUGCCCUAGGUGGCAGUCGGCAAAGCUGCCAGCGUUUUUAUUUUUUUACUGCAGAAAUUAUUUUACAGUUCAGAUCAAAGAUUUCUCGUUUUUCAGAUCACAUGGCCAAAAUCAAAUUGUGACAAUAGUUGAUGCCUAAAAAUUAAGACAAAUAACACUAUAUAAUAACUAAGACAUAAAAGAGUGGUUUAAAGGAAUGAAGCAAUUAUUUCUACUAUGUGGGGCCGACCAGCGGCUCUCAUGUAUCUUACAUUCUUACCUCUACUUCGAAGAGCUGCGACGUGUAGCACAUUUUGUCCAUUUGGUCCAUCAUAUGACAGAUCCCUACCAAAGGUUCUAAUCAGCAGUUCAGCCAUGUCGCCGUAUCCCAAGAAGAUAGCUAGAUAUAGCGGAGUCAUGCCGUUGAUGUCCGGGCUUUUUGCAAAUCUACGCAAAAUUUCAAACUCUGCAGGAUUGUCAUUACGUUUCCUCACUGCUACGUGCAGGAGCGUCUCCAGGUCCUCUUCUCCUGCAUUCUGAAUUUCCGUUUCGACCCCUGCUUGGCCUCUGCGAAGCGACAGCUCAGUUAGCAAAAUUUUUGGUUUUCGACGCUAUAACACUUUCGUUUUUAUUUAAUAAAUAUAGUUCAAUCAUGGAGUAAUUAGGCUUAAAAGAUUUGUCUCGUGAUUUACAGAUGAACUGUAUAAUUAGUUAUCUUUUUUAUCUAUAUUUAAUGUUCCAUGCAUGUACCGCAAGAUUCGAUGUAAUAGAGAAUCUUGUAAAGUUUUAGGUUUUUAGGUGCAUCUAAACAGGACCAAAUCUGCUUGCCUAUGCCCAUUUAAAUCUGAAUAAGAGCCGAACUAACUUUGGGAACCUAAAGUUAUAUUUUAAGACUUUGAGACCUACAUGACAUCAGAUUUUUCAAUCAUUUUUUAUUUAAUAUUUAAUAAUAGUCGCUUUAAAACUUUUUUUAUAGAUCUGACUUUUUGGGUCGCGUAAGUAGGGCUAGCAUAGCUAAAUAAUGCUAUCGCACCAAUCCACGUGGCUUGACAAAAUGUAUCAUGUUGAUGCGAUAAUACUGUCUUGUCGCACUAUCGGAAGUAACAUGACAAGACUAAACUUUUAAAAAAUCAUAACUCCUCGAUACGACGUCGGAAAAGGAUGAUUUUUAUAUAAAAAUUAUAGAUCUCAAUAAGAUUUAUAAUUUUAUAGUUUUGAGGUUUUUUACUUAAGGAACUAUUAAGAUGCUCAAAAAUAUAAUAUAAAAGCCUAGCACCGUAAUAAUCGCGUACUAGUGCUCGUCACAUUAGAAAAAUAAUAUCUUUCUGUAUGGAGUCAAAUACAUUUAUUUUUUAUAUUACUUUUGAGUUUUUACAUUUGAAGUUGUUAAAAUACUCGGAAAAAUAAUAAGGUUUUUAUAUUGGUCGGAUAGUUGAUUCUAUAGGCCCUGUUUAGAUCGCUGAUAAAAAUUUUCUGGGUGUCACAUCGAAUGUGUCGGAAGGAUGUCGGGAGGAGGUUUUAGAAACUAAUAAAAAAACAAAUUACAUAGCUCGUCAGGAAACUGCAAGACAAAUCUAUUAAGCAUAAUUAAUCUAUCAUUAGCACAUGUGGGUUACUGUAGCACUUAAAGCUAAUCAUGGAGUAACUAGGCUUAAAAGAUUCGUCUCGCGAUUUUCAACCAAACUGUGUAAUUAGUUUAUUUUUUUAUAUAUAUUUAAUGUUUCAUGCAUGUGUCUAAAGAUUCGAUGGGAUAGAUGAAAAAAUUUUAGGUGGGAAACUUCUUCCUGUCUUUCUACCUCCGUUUCUCUUUGGUCGUCCCACAUCCCAACUGUGUGUGUGACGGAUCCUACAGGCUUCCCCAAGCACGUACUGGCUUCCUCCCAUGCAUCCCAUCCCAUCCCAUCUCAUCUCAUCCUCGAUAUCAAUGUAGAGGCGGAGCUCCCCAUAUGGCACAGUGGGGCGGCUGCCCCAGCUACUUCUGGUGCGAAGCCCCUAGUACCCUUUCUUCUUCCUCAGGUACGGUAUGGUCAUGAUAAGCAGAGCUGCAUAGGGCGGCGUUCGGCCUCUGACGGCGCAGCUGAAACUUAUUUUUAGGAAAGAGCUGUGCAAGCGAACGCUAAAGGCCCAAUAGUAUAGAGCCCAUCAGCCCAAUAAUUCUCCACCACAUCAGGGAAUCACUAGCUGGUUUAAUCCCUAAUCCCCUAACUUUCCGAGCUCCAAUGACAAUUGGCGAUGGUGUUCCCAUCAGGAACUCAGGCCAUCACCGCGCGCCCCUAGCGUGUCAUCAUCGCCGCCGACCUAGCUGCAGCCUGCAGUACGCCGAAGCUUCUUGUCGUCGCCCGCUGGUGAACCAUGGCGCCGCUCCCUGCCAGCCACCGACGCCUCUUGGUGUUAACUGCACUGCACAGUGUCGCCGUCUCCUCACUGACGCCCUAUGCCUAUAUAUUCUACCUGCUGGAGCUUGUGCUAGACCACACGAGUCCUGGAAUCAUCAACCGCCUUAAGAAGAACCAAAUAGUUUCGAUGCUUAGAUUUUUUGGCGAGCUCCGCCACUGGACAUCAUCAUCCCCGCCCCACCUCCAUGACCAUCAAGCUAAGCAGUCCAUUUACGAGCUCCACCGCCGCCAACCGGCCAUCUCAUCCGGCCGCUGGCUGCAUGCGGUCGUCGGCGACGCCCCCAUGCCCGCCCCACCCCGGCCACCUCUCGCUGAUCAAUGCACGCCUGCCGUGUGAGGCCACCUUCUCCGAUCCUCUCCCCGUCCACCGACGACCUUCCAAAGCACUAUACCCUUUAAUUAAUUAAGGACCUGCCUGAGGUACUGGCAGGUCUCAUCAUCAGCAACUCUAACCCCAGAAACAAACAGAACGGAGAGCGCCGGCGGCCGGCGGAAGUCGAUCAUAUGCUCACCGGCUCACCGCGUUAUUAAGCUUUCAACUUAAUUAGAAUCUGAGCUAGGCGUCUCGAUUUUAGGACGUAUACGUGUGCAAGAAGAAUAUAUAUACUAUAUAAAUAGAAACUUAAAACUUGCCUGGGAAUCAAAACGUCACCGCCAGGGGCUUGCCGUAGUCCUGCUUCGACGUCGUCUCCAGGCUGCUCCUCGACCUGCAGCUGCUGCUGGCCUUGGUCCGCCGCGCCAUUGCAUGGGCGCUCAGCUGGUGGUGGUGCUGCGGCGGCGGCGGAACCCGGCAUGACGAUGGAGUCUUCCAUUUUGUUGAAUUUUCGUGAUGAUCGGGAGCUAGCUACUUUAUCUUAGCUUGUGUUCGUUCUGUAUAUAUAUCGUGCGACGACCAUCUGCCAGGCCCAUCCAACUUAAUUCGAUUUUGGACGCGCUUUGGGUCAGGAUCGCUUGCCUGCUGACUAGACUUUGUUCCAAACAGCCCGUUGAACACGUACUCAACAACUUGCCAACAUGCUGGUUGUGUGUUUAGCCGUCGAUCAGGUGUGGCAUAUUUGCCUGGUCAAGCUUCAGCUGCAGGACGUCAUCUUCGUGGCUGAAGAAAACACAAUGCAGUGGUGGCUUAGGAGCAGGAAGCUGGUCCAAAGGUACUUCGAUAGUUCGACGUGGCUUUGACUCGUUCUUCUUCCUGGUUCGAUGGUCACUCUCAGGGCCGUCUUAGGGGUAUGGAUGGCCACAGGCCCAUACCAAGAGGGGGCCUAUAAGUUGAUGUAUGUAUAUAAUAUUUAUAUAGUAAUAUAUUUGGCCAACAAAAUGAAAUUUUAAAGAUCCAUAUACUAAUCAUAAGUAUUUAAUCAAAAAUUAGCUUGCAUCACUUUCUAUUCUAAUAUUCAGCUACUCCCAAUCACUUCCAAUACAUGCUGUAAGUUAAUUUUUUAUUACUAGUACUGUAUACUUUAAUUAUCAUAUUAAGGUUUUAUUUGAAAUGACACAUCUUUCGGAGCACUUGGGUAGAACUGUAGAAGCCACAAAUUAUAGCAUGUCAUUUAGUUUCAAAAACGGCUUUAGCUCCUCUAGUGUUAACCAGAAAACAAAUCAGCCUCCUAAAGUGAUCGGUAAGGAUCCUAUGGUUCAGAGUUGAUGCCGCAGUCGAAGCCAUGCCAAUUACUCUCUCCAUCCUAAAUUAUAAGUCAUUCUAAGAAUCUUGGAGAGUCAAACUAUCCUAAGUUUGACCAAAUUUAUAUCAUAAAAUAAUAAUUAUUAUGAUAACAAUUAAGUAUCAUUAUAUUCUUGCUUAUUUAUAUUUUCAUUAUGUUAUAAAUCUUAGUAUUUUUCUCUAUAAUUUUGGACAAACUUGAAAAAAAUACUUUGACUGGAAUGACUUAUAAUUUAGAAUGGAGGAAGUUGAUUGUAAAAGGUUAGUUUGCUAGACCCUUGCUGCUCGCUUGCCCAAGGGCCCUAGGAAUUCUUGAGACGGCCUGGAUCGCUCUGGAAAGAGCGCAACGCCCGCACCUUCGAUCGAAGAACUGAGUCUGCGUCAGAUCUUGCUACGUAGCGCCUUGCUGCUCUGCUUGCUCGGGUCUGAGCUAACCUGUGACUAGGAAGCAAAAUUUGUUCACUAUGUAAUCUUCUCUUCAGCUUUUAGCUGCCUGUUUUGUUCUGCUUUGUGCCUUGGUAACCUAUUUUUUACCGGUUGUUAACCCUCUUUCUACUUAAUGAAAAACACGCCUAGACGUGGUCUCUAAAAAAACAACCUGCCAACAUGCAUAAAGGUCACAGCUGCGCUAGCUAGCUAGUGGCACAAAGAAAAUAUAUGUAUUACUAGCUUGUUGGUACCCAGCAUGCUAUGCUAAACCAAGUCUUCCCUCCAAGCUUAAUAACGCGGUCAGAUUUGAUUUUCGAACAGACAUAUCCACGUUUUUUAUUAAUAAAAUCUUUACUGUAGGGGCCAUGGCCCCUCCAGAUUCCUUGAAAAAAUCCGGCCAACUGGAUCUUGAGUCUAGCCGUGCAUAGUUUUUUUUUGGCCCGUCUCUGUAUUAAUAUGAAAUACUUGGUAAGCACGUUCUCGAAAAAAGAAAUCUUAACCGACGAAAACCUCGCCGCGUAAGCUACAACGACAUCUCCAACUGGUUCGAUUACGUACGGAUAGCUGAUCUGUAUCUCACGCAACCUAAUUCCGCAUGCAUGUAUCAAGAACCUAUUCUACUCCCUCCAUUCCAUAAUAAAAGUACGCACAAUAAUUGCUAAGAAUUCUCUGACUCGGCAUAUGUGUACCGUGUACGUCAUCCCUCGAUUUCUUGAUGACCUAUGUGUAUUGCCCUGACUCUAGCGCAUGUGCAUUACCAAAUCGGCACGUCAGACCAUGGACGAACGUGACGUGGAUGGAAACAGCUGAUGAACAAGAGAGGGAUCGCGCGCAUGCAUGUUUUUAACUGCUAGUAUUAUUGAUAUGUGUCUUUAUUUGGAUGCACGAAGGGCCGUAUUUUUUGUGUCAGCUAGCAGUGUUUUUCUCUCACAAUAAAUCAGCCGUUUCAGACCAACAAAUAUGCCGAUAAAAUUAAAUUUUGAGAUUGAUCUGAGUACAAUUAGUGACAGCAAUGCAUGCAUGGAGUAUAUGCGGCGACGACUUCCUUUGUCAACUGGACGCCUUCAGAAGCUACACUACGUAUACUUUCAUGCAAGUUGCUGAUCGAUCCAACGCAAUUAGUGACUAAAGCAAUAUAAACUAAAAAUAUUAUAUUAUUCCUUAGGUCUUGUUUAGAUCCAAUUUUUUUUUUUGGAUUUUGACACUAGUAUUUUCGCUUUUAUUUGACAAACAUUGUCCAAUCAUAGAGUAACUAGGUUUAAAAGAUUCGUCUCGCGAUUUACAGGCAAACUGUGUAAUUAGUUUUUAUUUUCAUCUAUAUUUAAUGCUUCAUAUAUGUGCCGCAAGAUUCGAUAUGACGAGGAAUCUUGAAAAGUUUUUAUUUUUUGGGGUGAACUAAACAAGGCCUGAUCAUUCAUGGCGCGGCAUGACCUGUACAAGUGGCCACAUGGAUGCAUGCAACUUGGGAAGAAGAAAAUAAACCAAAAUUUGCUGACUUGUACUAGUUAAAAAAAAAGCUCUUGUACUGAACAUUUUAAAAAAGUUAUUACAAAAGUCCUUAGUUAUCAACCGAGCAUUUCUUAUAAUAAACCCUUUAAACAAACUCUGUUUGAGUAUAAUUUGAUAAAAUUUUGUUUAUAAUAGUAUUAAUUUCCUGAUGAAUAUAUUUUAAUCAUUCAAGACAAUAUAUAUCUAGGUAUAAAAAAUGUUCUGCCUUAGGCUUUGUUUAGUUCACUCCAAAAUCCAAAAACUUUUUAAGAUUCCACGUACAUCGAAUCUUGCAGCAUAUAUAUAGAGCAUUAAAUAUAGAUAAAAUAAAUAACUAAUUAUAUAGUUUACCUAUAAUUUGCGAGACGAAUCUUUUAAACCUAGCUAGUCUUACAUUGGACAAUAAUUACCACAUAGAAACGAAAGUGCUAUAGUAGACCAAAAAUUUACCUUUGUAUCUUGAUGAGCCGUAACCCUUUUUGGCACAAUCCUUCUAUUUCUAGGCCUUGGCCCGCACGCCCGUUAGUUUUCGUCUUGGGCUUUGCCCAGUUCUCAAGUUGGGCCGGACCUUUAGCUCGCUCGCAGCAGCCCAACUCGUUUUCCCGUCUGCCGCCGUGCAUCUCCCGCCGUGUAGGCAAGAAUUCUUGCAUUUUUGCUUUUUUCCAUAGCUCGUGUGAAACAAGAAGAUCACUGCCUUCACGGGCAUCCUAAUUUUCGAAACCACUACAAUGCGACAUCACUGAGACACCCAAGCAAAAUUAUGCCAUGGCUACGUGCUUCAAGAGACCCUAUUUUAUUAUUAGUCCGUUGACACACUGUUAAAUGUUACUCGGUGACUAGUCAUGUCUAUUUAACUGUCAAUUUAUUGAUCGUGUAUCCUGUUUAAGUGGUUGUGUAAAUCAAAUAAACACUAAAUGACAGGUGCCUGACCUUUUACCAUAUAGCAUUUUGGUGAACGUUGCCAAGAGGUGGACCCUGGAUUUGCUAAUCCUUUGACACCUAUCCGUGUGCUACUCCCACUACCUAGCCUUUGCUCCCUCCACAGGUCCAUCCGCUCAUAAAGAUGGCAAUGGAGAAUUCGUCGUCGGGUGUCAGGCCACCACCCCCGUCCCCAUGGGGAAGGAAUUUCCACAUCCCCGUUCCCGUUCCCAUGAAUGUUGUCGGAGGAAACUUCUUCAUCAUCCUCGUCCCCGUGCGGGAAAAAAAAUUCCCCAUGGGGAUCCUCAUCCUCGUAUAAAUGUAUUAGAGAUAUCAACAAGGAUCGAGGAAUAAUCAAGCAAGAUUUCACAUUGCAUGUCGAUUUCUAAGAGACAUCAAUUUCGCAUCACAAAAAUUCCAAUGAAAUUACAAAGCAGAAAUAAAGAAGAGAUCCAAAAGGGCAUAAGGCCAUGAAUGUUCAGAACCUAGGCUUCUAGAUUCCAUCUUCAGAUCAAUCUUCCGUGAGUCCAUGAACCACUAACGAGGCUUGAAUGCUUUGUGUUGAGUCUGGUGCUUCGGUCUUGCAGCAAGAGGAAGGGAAGAGUAGUGAGAGGGGUGGUAGAUGGGGAUCUCAUCCGCAUGUUUAUGCUAGGCUGCUGGCGCAUGAGCAGCGCAGAUGCCUAGUGACCAGCCGAUGAGUCGACGGAUCAAUCACGUUGGUGGAACUAGUGGGGGCGUGGUGCACUAGUGUUGUUGUGCUAGAGGCGGCGGGCGACAACAAGGGGUAGAACUGAAUGUCGAAGCCGCCUGAACUGGAAGAAGAGGAACAAAUAGAGUCGCCCGGUUAGGUCUAUGGAAUUAGGGUUAGUGAUGCAGGGCUCGAUUAUAUACUACUAAUGCUGCUGGGCCUUUAGAUGGGCCUAAGCGCCUAGCUAGUUGUCUCCCCGCACGUGUGCCUGAAUGCACAGCGGUGCGGGUAGCGGGGAACAUGGUCGGAGAUCACGUAACCAUCCCCGUCCCCGCCAUCGCUGACGGGGAUAGAAAUUGUACUAAACUAAUCCCCGUGAGGUAUAAUUUACUCCCAUCCUCGUCCCAUAAUAAUAUCCGCUCAGCACACAUCUACUCCAUAGCUCCAUUUGAAUAAGCCUUUGUUCAUGUAAUGCAUGAUUGCAAGUAUAGGGCCAAACAUGGUCAUUUAUUUACUUCCUUGGUAAACCCCCCCCCCCCCUCUCCUAAACGACUAUUAUUGUAGGAGUAAGUUCGUCGAAUUGGUUUGUUGAGCAUACGAAUUGGGCCAAAUUGGCUGAUUGGACUGCUGAAUGCAUGUUCUCCCAGGCAUUGAACUCCCAAAUAAUAUCGUCUUGCACAUUUGGGGUGAGGUGUGAUUUUUCCCACAAAUUAAUCAAUAAAAUGAGGUUUAAGCCCAUAAUCCAGCAGUCUUCUAGGAUAUAUAGGAUAGCUUCCUGUACUAACGAGAUCAGUGAAAAGUGAUCACCGUCGUCCACAUACGCCAACAACAGUUCCCCAUGCUAGCUGCCAUGCCCAUGCAUGGUUCCAUCCAGCACCCAUGCUUUGGUAUAGGACAAGCACAAGCGUCUGUGCGUUCUCCAUUCUGUGUCUCCCCGUAUGAUCAUCUAUGAUGCAUGUGUAGAUUCAUGGCACCGGACGCUCGGUGCACGUAUCUCGAGUGAUCUGCCGGACGGGAAGGCACAACAGCUUGUGUGACACAGUGAGUCAGUGAGCAGCCAAGGGGGCCCUGCACCGAGAAUAUAAUGUUACCGUGCAAAUUGCUCCGCCGUUGCAGCAAUGCCAUGCUGACACGUGACAUGGUGCAAGUGAUUCACUGGUGUUUUACUGAAGCUGCGGCUUAAUCUGAUGGGAUUGCACGUGCAUGUGGCGUCAGACGCCUGCAAAUUAGCCGUCAGCACCGUCAUUCUUAUUCUAUAAUCUGCAGCAAAACACCGACCAUUCCUGAUUUUGCUCCUGCAGACCUGGACGGAGAUGAGAUCGAUCGUAAUAGCAUUAGUUAACUCACACCGAGGGUACUUGUUGUCCCAUCAAGAUUAAGACUUGGAGACAAACAUAACAGCAGAAUUAAUACUAGUACCCGCACUGAUCCUGAUCCGUACUCAAUCAUCCAUGCCCUUUAUCACUCCAUUCCAAGUUAUGUCUUUUUUAUACAUAUAGUUUGCUAUUCCUUCUGUUCAUAAAAUAAUGCAAUUUUCGUAUUUCAAAAGUCAAACGGUUUGAAUUUUGAUGAAACUAUUAUAUAACAUUCAUGAUACAAAAUAAAUUUCAUUAGAUUAGUUAUAGGAUAUAUUUUUUUAUCAUAGAUUUAUUUGAAGACAUAAAUACUAAUAUUAUUUAUUAUAAUUUUGAUCAAAUUUGAACUAGUUGACUAAUAUGAAUCCCAUAACUGUAUUCUUUAGUGGGCACAGGGUGUAUGCAUCUAGACAUACAAUAUGUCUAGAUACAUAUAAAAUUAUGUCUAAAAGAAAGUCAUAAUUUGGAACCAAGGGAAUAGCAAACAUAUGUGUAACGAAACACAAUAUAUCUUGAAAUCAAAUACUAGAUCAUCACUAGAAGCAAGUUGUUCUAAUUUAUAUAAGCACUGUAUGGAUCAUGAAUAUGGAAAUAUGGACGGUGCAAGAGCAGAUUGCGGACCUGAGAAAAUUUUCACUCUAACUUCACUAUUUAAUAUUAGAUAUAGAUAGAUAUAGAUAUAGAUAUAGAUACAAAUACAGAUAUAAAUAUAAAUAUAAAUAUAAAUACAGAUACAAAUGAUAUAGAUAUAUAAAUAUAUAGAUAUAGAUAGAUAAAAAAAGAUUUUGCCAUUUAUCUGUUGAUAGAUUUUUCAUAUUUCUAUAUAUUUUAUUGUGCUUUAAGAUUUGUGCUGUCUACUAGGUUACAUUUAUUAAAAAAAUCUGAUAGAUUUGAUCACAUAAAAUAUAUCAACAAACACUACCAUAAAAAAUAGAUUGUUAAGGCUGCGUCGUAAUAAUUCAAAAAAAAAAAAGAGGCCCUGCGUGUCGUCGUGCUAUAAAAAGGCGUCUUCCACUCCAGUCUUGUCUCGGAGCCCAUCAUCCAAGUCCGGUAACCAACUCCACAUCUCCAGUCAUCGAGACACCCAGCGAUCGAGCUAGGAGGGGAUCCAUCGUCACACCUCGAUCGAUCGUCCAUGGUGCAGCGGCCCAUCGUCGUCAACUCCGCCGCUCCGGGCGAACGGCGGCAGGCCAUGGCGGAGACGAGCAAGGUCAAGAGGAGGCCCGACGCGAUGACGGCGAUCAAGUCGCGGAUGCUGCGGUGCAGCGGCGCCAAGGCCGACCAUGGCCGGUUCAAGCGCGGCUACCUCGCCACGGCCGGCUGCGGCGGCGCCGCCGUCGACUCCACCGUCUUCUUCUACCUCGCUUGCAUCGUCUGCACCCCGCGGCCGUCGGUCUCGAUCGGCGUCCAGGAACUGAAGUAAUUCAUGAGUUGGCAAUGCAAGCCGCCCCAAGGCAUCUACGUACGAGAGUAGUGCCUUUGUGUGCUGUGUACUGCUGUAGUCAGCAAUGUAGUAACCGUUUGGUUUUUUUUUUUCUUUUUUGAAAGGUUAAAUUAGUGAUCAUCAUGCUGCUCCUCAUUUGUCGUUUCUGUUCAAUUCCCUCGGAUGCUGAUGCUGUUUCUGCAAGCUCCAGCCCGAUCCCUGCGACCCUGCUGCGUCAGGGGCUGAUCAGGCAUGGUUAAAAAAUUGUCUGAUUAAUUGCUAGCUAUUUAUUACUAGUGAUAUAUCACCUACAAGCAAUCAAGUAUCUCACUAGUGAGACCAUUAGAAGUUAGCACACCCUAUUCUGUGACGAAUUUUUUUGGAGUCUAUGCCUGGGGGCUUGUUUAUGGCCUUGUUUACUUUCAAAGUUUUUUGCAAAAUAGAAAUAGUAACACUUUUAUUUAUAUUUGACAAAUAUUGUCUAAUCAUAGACUAACUAAACUCAAAAGAUUCGUCUCUCAAAAGAUCUUCUCCCUCCUCAAUCUUUCAGCAUAAAUCUGAAGUAUAUAUGUAGACCCUCCAAUGCAUCUGCUGUUUGACGUACGACAACUGAAGACCGACCGGGACCAUAUAUAACAUGUACUGCUGCGGUGGGAUCACUUAUACUGCACGUUCUACGUACACGUACUUCAUAACUUCGUGUCGCGUGAGUUUUAAGUCCAGUGAUCAGCAAGAGGAAUGAAUCCGACAUCCUUUUUGAACCGGCCUCCGCGAUUAGCCAACAUUCUUUUAAAUUUGAGUUCCUUCAUAUGCUAUAUAUAACCAUGAUUUUUUAAUGGGAAUCUCCAUUUGCUAGCCGGUAUUAACUGUUGUUGGCCAUGUUAUUUUCACAAUGCUGGUUCUAUUAAAACCGACGGUGAUAAUUUGAUAAUACGGUGACCUGUCCAUACGUGGUCUUUGAAAAGAAAAGAUAUAUUUGCAUUAAGAUAAUAUUCGCAUAUAAAUGUUGAAAGAAUUGUCCAAGUUUUUGUAUAAAUAUUAUAUUAUUCUAGACCUAGAGCAUAAAAACAAUGUAAAAAAGCUAUGAACCAAAAAUGACGAAGUAAAUAUACAAAUUGACCAGAGUUCAUGUGCACCAAGUAAGUUAGGCAAAAAAUCAGUCUAAAUCGCUAGAAAAAAUAAAAAAAAAAUUAAAACAUCAUGCAUGUCUCUCUAAGUCUUGAGAACAAAAAAAAUAGUGAAUCAAAUGUAUAGGUAAAAUUUGAAAAGAGUUUAAGGAUGUCUCACAAACUCACAUCUCAAUCUCAACUCCUUCAAAGGUUCAAAGGGGCAAACCUCCCCCUCCCUCUAUUGUUGCUAUUUCUCACCAACAAGUGAGCCAAAAAAUGUCAUGAAGAGCCAGCCGACCAUACAAUCGUGAGGAGGAAGAAGGUAUUUGUAGGGUGUUAUUUUUAGGGCCAGUUAACUAAGAGAAGCAUGUUUGUAAAUAUAUAAUAGACAUGGUUUUGUUAACUCAAUUGUCUUGGUAAUUGGGUUCUUCUAGAGCCGAUUCGGUAAGACGUCCAUCCCUAAAAAUCCCAUUUAAGGGAUAGUUCUCUUAACGAAACCGCAUCUAGAAAUGGUGGGGAAAUUUAUUAAUGGAAGCGCCCCUGAAAAUUGAUUUCUAGCAACAUCUUUAUAGCUACAGUGCAUGCCGCAAUGGUUAGAGAUAGUUUCCUAAGUGGACCGCCUCUAUUAGAAAGGGUGUCGUCUGUAAAAAAAUAUACUAGUGUGGUGCUCCCAAGAUGCAGCUCGAACCAUAUGUUCAUAUAUCUUCCAGGUCGGCCAUUGGCUCAUGCUUUUUGCAUUGCUUUUCCCCUUGUUUUCCAUGAGUGUCAGGAGUAAACUCAUAUGAACAUUUUUUUAUGUGCACGGCAUCAAUGCUAUAGAGAACUACUAAGUGUAUCUAGUAAGGUACUUUCCAUUGAAUUCCCUUUUUCUUUCACCUAUUCUUAUCAGCACCUUCUUUAUCGUCCUUUCACACUAUACCACACAUCAAAAGUAGCAUCAGACAAUAAUCACCUUCUUUAUUGCAUGAUUUUUUUUCCAAGGGAAGUGUUUUCUUCCCAUGUCUAACAUCAACAUCAUUUACCUGGUCAUAGACACAUAUCACCCUGUGAAAUGUCUCGGAGUGGAGCUAUCACCUUCAUGCCAUCAAACUGAUUGCAUGUGCUGGUACAGAUGAGAUUGGAGAAGGAAACAAUGAUGCCUUAUGUACAUCCUCUUCUUGGUUAUUCAACCAAAGAUUCUCGAUGUCAUCUAAGCACCGGAAGCAAUCUUUGUCUCCAUUAAACUGCCGCAAGCAAAAAAAUGUCCCAAAAUAUAAGUGACAGUGCUUACCGCAAUGGCACGUAGAAUGAAUGACUCUCACUAGAACCUACUAUUUAUCUUAACACCGUAUAAUCAGAGUAUCUUCAGAUCAUCCAUAGGAGCAUCCUCAUACAUGUCAAUGUCAUUCCCUAGAUGCAGAACUGAGAUCAAAACUUAUUUUAUCUUGUUACAAAAAUAUGUUGGAAGGUUGUAGAUAGACGACAACACAAGCCAGAUGCUAUGUGAGUGGGUCCAUACCAUCCAUGUAAUUGCAAAAACGAAUAUUCCUUGGCUCAUAAAAAAAUGCAUGCUUGAAAUCAAUGGCACACCACUGAACAACAUCAAAUGGAUGCUAUAUAGAUAAAUACCAAUCUUGUGUGCUUCCUUGUGCCAAUUAAAAAUAGUUUUGCAUAUUUUGUGAUUGCUUUCUCUUUUCAUCACCCCUUGGGAGCUCUAGCAAAAUACCGUGCCUCCUAUAGGGGAGGUCCAUUCCUCCUCUUCUCACCACCCCAUCAUUUUUUUGUUUGUAUCAUCAAAAAACAGACAAGACACAGUCAGUCCAACAAGCAUGGAUUUUCUCAACCAUCAAUCCCAUAGGGCAAACAAUUUGCCUGGCAGAAUAUAUGGUCUUUGGUAUCACAUUCCUCUUUAUAAGCAUGUAUCUCAGAAAGUGUAGCAAUUUAUGGAACCUCUAAUAUUUUCAAUGAUGUGUUUUCUUCAACUGGAGUAGCUUGAGAGAAGCAAACAAUACUUCUCCUUGCAGCUCAAAUAGAGUGGGUCCUCACAUUGAAAACCAACCUAUUCAACUCCCUAAACUGAGAUUAGUGUACUCAUCAAAUUAAACCCUAUGGCAUCAUGCACCAUGUUCUCUAGAUUUCUUGGCCAUAUGGACAUAGAUAGUUGGCACCAAUAUUAGCAAGGUCAUCAUCACUAAGAUUUUGAUUGUCAAAUGAUAUGAUCUUUCCUUGCCAUCCUAACUUGCAAAAUUCCCAUAGAAUCCUUCCUCAUCCUAAAUGAUAUGACUACCCAGAGAAUCCAUGAUCCAAGCAACCAGCAUGCAAGUCCUGAACAACACCUUAUCCUCUAUGUUUUUUUCUAAGAUCACCCAUGAAUCAUCGGAUGAUCAUUGCAAUCAACUUGAGUAUUGCUUUUCAUUCUCAUAAUCAUAGCAUGGACAAAACAUAGAUAUCUUGAGUAGAAAAUGUUUUAUUACACAGGUGGCCAGUAGGAUGCAACUGCUAGUACAAAUGCCCCUAUUAGCAUAACUGCAAUGCAUCAUUUCUAUUGGCCUUCCACAUUAAUUAACGGAUGAAACUACAUAUUGCCACUAAAGAUUAAUUUCUACUGUUAGUAAAAAUUCAUCUAUGUACUAGUGGGUCCAACCUCAUAGAUUUAAUUUAUGUUGUUGCCCAUGUUUGUCGUCAUAUGAUUACUAUGUUUCCAUUAUAUGUAUUUUUCUAGUAGAAAUAGAAUUUUAUUGGUCACAUAGAGUGACCAACUUCUCCAUCUAAUGGAGAACCUACACUUACCACAUUGUCGACUGUCUAGUGUGUUUUCAAAUCUGUACAAGCUAAUGGAGAAAUUAUAUCUGACAUCUCUCUCCAACAUGAAAGACAAUUUUCAACAAACUUCAAAAUAGUUUCAUACUCCCUAAACCAAAAAACAUAACAUUGAUCUUUGUUCCUCAUCACUGUGUAUAUGUUUCCUUCUAUAGUAUUCAUGGAUAUAGGGAUUCCCAUUUGCCCUACUAGAAUGAUGUUCUUGGCUAAUUAGUUUGUAAAGAAAUAGAAGUGUCAUUUAAUGAGUUACUUAUUUUGGGGAUGAAAGUGGAAAUGGAUGAUAUUAUUUAAUGAGCUCAUUUAUGCGGUUUUAUUGAAUUUUGUAAAAAAAGGAAAUAUUAAUGGAAUAGUAGAAAUAUUUGCCAUUUCUAUGUGUUUAAGGAGUUCACCAUUUUUUGGCAAAAGUUAGCCAAUAAACUUUGCACCCCAUCCCAAUUCUCCACUACUUUACUCCAUAGACAACAAUCGUGACUUGUGACGCACGUCAUCUCGCCACACUCUUCUAAAUGUCACUCUCGCACAUGCCCUCCACCAUGUUGAACCUAUGUGUGCUUUAAAUUAUGUCAACAUUGACUUGUUCUAUUUUGACCUUAAACCUAUCACCUAUGUAUAGGUUUGCAUGAAUUACUUUUUGAGUUGUGCUCAUUCCUAUGUAUGAUGACAUGGUGCUUUGUAACCAUCUUCUAGCUACAAUUUGUCUACUACUUACCAAUACUGACCAUAUUCAAUAUUCCUACAAUACUUGUGUCAUAUUCAUUUUUGUAAUGUUAUUUUCAAUUUGUUUCCAUAAAAAACAUAAACAAUAAAUGGUUUAGGUGUUUUCCUACUAUUUUCAUUUAUACAUUUGUUUUCUUAGCUACUUUUUGUUUCAAACAAGUGAAGUAAGGUUCAACUUGUGAACUAGGGUGACCUUUUUAAUGGGUACAAUAGAAGCAUGAUAGCACAAUCAAUGCUUUCUUUUCUAGAACUCCUAUUGAAUGUACAUGCAUCAUAUCACAAUGACCAUGUUCCUUUUUGAGAAUGCUUCUAUGUGGACUCCAUCGCAUAAUCUAUCAUACUCUUCUCUCGCUAUCUCUCUCUCCCCCUUGUUCCCUACCACUAUGUUGUCCUACCACUAACCUUUUGCCACCUGCUAGGCUUGUACUCCCUUUGUCCUAAAAUAUUUGUCGUCCAACUACUAUUCUAAGCACAAGAUCCAUGGCAUAUACACCUGAGCGGCAACUAUUAUGUUGUCCAACUACUAACCUUAGCUUCUGCCUUCCCUAUCCUCCCUCGUGUAUCUUGUGGUCCACCACAACAUAUGCUAGCUGUAAUUUUGUUGUUGAGGUCAUAUCAUCACAGACUUUGAAGCCUUAGUCUUUGGCCCACUCCCCCUUCGUUCUUCAUGAAUUUGUGAAAAUUUUGACUAUUUUUUGGUACAUUUGAUUAAGUGAAUAACUAAUUGAAGUUAUAGGUGUUGGUGUAUUUUUUUCUUAAAUUGAUUAAAAAGUUUAACAAUUUUGACUUUAGACAAAAGUGGAAAUUCCCAAACAAGCAAACACAAACCAAAACUUUAUCAAAUGCAUCUUAGGUGUCCAAAAGCAACAACAAUAUAUAUAUCAGGGAUUUGGAACACAUAAAACAUCCAACUUAAACUCCAUGUCAUCUGGGUAUUAUUGUACUAGUACUAGAAAAAAAACUCAAACUCAUCAACUUGUUUGAAGCAGCCCCAAUUAAUGCGAAACUUAAGUUGGUCAUGCAAGGGUAGAUUAGUAGUAUGGAGACACUGCAGGUACUGAAUGGACUAGAGUCCAUUCGAUACACCCCAUACAUACAUACAUACAUAAUGUGCAUGCAAACUAAUGAAAUCUUGACUGAAAGAAUGUGUAAUCUGAAUGAUAGUUUCCAGAUGCCCUUGGCAUCACUGCCUUCGACAUGAUUGAUGCACCUUGCUUCAGUGCCCUCAGCCUCUUAUUCAGAAGUUCAGCAUGGUUGAUUUUAGAUUUAGAGGAAACAUUUGGUCUUGAUUUGAACCUUAGUUGUCGUCGAAGUUGAAACCACUUCUCUCCCUGUAAAUAGGAAAAUUUGAUAGUUAUAGCCUGAGUAUGAGGAGGAACUCAAACAACUUCCACAACAAUUAACAUAAAUAAGGAACACACAUUUAGUUCUUUUAAACGAGAAAUAGAAAUAAAAAUAUACAUAAUUCUAUCUAGUAGUACUCAAAUGUUAGUUGGACCACUACCUCUUCUUUGUAACCAAGCAGACCGACAAUCGGACAAAUUAUAGGAUCAUGCCCAACAGCCUUAUCCGUAGAGCAAGUUUGUGGAACCAAUUUUCCUAGGGAGUGGUAUGUCAGGAAUGAAGCUUGGCAGCUCCCUGCAGCUGCUGGUAUCUGACAAAUAGGGUACCAAGCAACAGAGAACCUAAAAAUGGAGCAUUUGGUUAGCGCAUAAACAGAAAAGGAACCUUGUUAUAAAUUGGAAAGGUCAAGGCAGAUGAGAUACAACCAAUAUCAGAGUAGACAUAUACCAGGAAGCUGGAUGAAGAUCAGAUAGCUUGACACUUUCAAGUUGCUUAGGAUCCCCAAAUAUUGGAUUACCAGAAAGGUUUACGCCGUCGCGAAGCUGUUUGAUCCUAUAUUACAUGAAAACAAAAUCAAGUAGGGAUCAAAAAGGCUCAGAAACACUGUUUCUGGAUCCUAGCCUCUAUGUAUAUAAUAAGUUAUAAAAAAUGUAUUAGAAAAAGCAAAGUGUAAUUAAAUAAUAAUAUAGGCUCAACAUACUUGGUGAAAAUUGGAGGCCGUGAAAAGGGAUUCUCCAUUUCUAAGUACUCGAAGAUGAGUCCGCCAUGAUUUGGUGACUUCCCUGACUGACCAAACAACUGAACCGCAGAUAGAAGAGGUCGAAAAUAUGUAGAAAAUUCUGGCCAAAUAGAGUUUAUCUUUCCCUCCUUCUGUACCUCAAUCCCAUAGCACUCGGGUUGUUCAUACCAGCGCCAGACGCUCCACAAACGCUGGUCUUGCAAGCUGAUUUUACUUUUUGUGCAAGAUAUCUGUCCAAUGACUGGGGUGGCCGCAUGUAAAAAGGUUUCAAUAUCGGCAUGGAUACCACUGAUCAUGUACACAUCAGAUGCUGCUUGAAUUUCAUAUACAUAAUUAGCAGCCUUAAUAAUCUUAUCCAACUGAGAUGAUGCAUGAGUACUAAAUGCUAUUCUGUUCUCUUGUUUCUUCUGUUCUUCGCUAUCAGCACAUGAAGAAAUAGCAAGAUGACAUAGUGACAAAGUUAUAUCAGAAGGUACUGCUCUAGAAUCUGUGUUUUUGGAGUCCCCACCAACUGGAGACAUAGCUUUUUUCUGUUCUUUCCUAUCAACACAUGAAGACUUAACCAGAUGACACAGUGAUGAAGUUUUAUCAGAAGUUGGUGCUCUGGAAUCUCUGUCUUUGGUGCCACCACCACCACCAACUAGAGCCAUAGCUUUUUUCUUCUGCUCUUCCCUAUCAGCACAAGAAGAACUAACCAGAUGACCCAGCAGUGAUGAAGUUUUAUCAGAAGUUGGCGCUCUGGAAUUUAUAUCUUGGGUGGCACCACCUACUAGAGCCGUAGCUUUUUUCUUCUGUUCUUCCCUAUCAACACAUGAAAAAUUAACUAGAUGACCCAGUGACGAAGUUUUAUGAGAAGUUGGUGCUCUGGAAUCUAUGUCUUCAGUGCCACCAUCAACUAGAGCCACAGCUUUUUUCUGUUGUUUCCUGUCAACACAUGAAGAAAUAUCCAGAUGACCUUUUGAUGAAGUUUUAUCAGAAGAUGGUGCUAUUGUGUCUCCGGAGUCACCGCCAUCUAGAGCCACAUCUUUUUUCUGUCCCCCCUUAUUAUUAGCACAUGAAGAAUUAGCCAGACUACCCAGUGAACAAGAUUUAUCAGAAGAUGGUGCCUUGGAAUCUGUGCCUUUGAUGCCAUCACCAACUGGCGGAGCCAUAGCUUUCAACUCUCCUUCCUUGGGACGACAUCUUGGAGAAUUAGUUUCCUCGAUAGCCUCUAGGGUGACAUGAUGACUACUCCUGGGUUUUGCUUGGUGCACUGUCGUUAUAACAAGCAUUGUGUCGUUGCUACCAGAAACAUCUCCAUCAGUAUAACCAGUCUUUGACAGGUUACUCAAACUGCGGGCCUUCUGGUAUUUACCCUUUCUCUGAUUUGGUUUUCUGCCAUAGAAGGUAACAUCAUUUAUGUAAUGUCCUAUUGUAAUAACCUCACGGAAUGGAGCUCUUGGGACAAGUUCACGAGCUAUAGUAGGUCCUGAUGAAGCAGCCAUGGUAGAACUAGGAGCAGAACUUUCCAGUCGUUGCAUCUUUUUCAUUUUCUGUGCUGAUUUCCUGGAGACUACUUUCUGAAAAUCACCAUCAUUACUGGCAUAAUCGCUGCAAAGCAAGGCUUCUUGACUACAACCACGACUGACUGCUAAACUGAAGCUUUGGUCAACAUUUGGUUUGUUUCCUUCACCACUUGUCUUCUUAAAACCUCGUGAAUCUGUGGAAUCUGAUGCAGACAAUGACCGCUCACUUCUCGCAUCUGACAAGCUGCCAGCAUAAUCAUUCACAGAUGAACUAGCAGCUGUGGCAUAUGAAGUCGUGCUUUUAAAACUUUUGAAGUCAUCAGUACUGCUAGAAACUGAUGGUUCCUUCUCAUUACCAGAAGAUGGACUGUUGACAGCCGGAGUAUUGAUAAGUUUUGCUGUCACCCGAGAGCUGGAGGAUGAAGAACUGUAUCCCAACUGUGGUACAUGAACGGCAACACGGCUGGACGAGGAUGCCAAGGUUUCGCCACCGGUCGCAGCAGCGCAUGUGGAACAAGGUUGGGUGGGUGGCUCACUCUGCAUUUCUGUAGCAUAUGACUCCUUUCUGCCCUUACCUUUGCCCUUGCCCUUUUUCUUCUUCGGUUUUUUGCUGCUCUUCUUAUUUCUUGUAAUGGUAGCUUUCUGCUUAUCCAAAUUUAUCUUGUAAAAAGUACCUUCCAAGAAAUCUGUAUCAUCAGGUGGCUUAUUUGCUGAAUCUUUUAGAAGUUGUCCUUCACCCUGCUGAGUGCUAUCUUUAAGUAACAGUGGUGUUGAUGUGACAUGAAUAUCAUCGAUAACAUUCCAUGCUAUGCUUUCUCCAUCUUGCACAUGAUCGUCUGACAAAGUUUCGGAAUAAGGAUAACAUACUGUGAAACUCAAUGAUCCCAUGAAAGCAGCAGUCCUGAAGAGGAAGUAAACAAAAGUCAUCAAGUAAUGACGAACUGAAACACAUAAUAAAAGCAACUAAAACACCGAAUAUGAAUUUGUUUAUUCUAUAAAACUAAUAUUAGCGCACAAUUACACACUGUUCAAACAAACAAAUGUUUUAUCUCUAUUUCAAAAGAUUAAAUAUUGCACAUUAUCAUGACCCAAAUCAUUGUGCUUUGAAAACCACCAUUUAAAUUUACUGGUCGACUCCAUCCUCAAAUAUAAUUAAGCAGUAAAAAAACUAAAUAAAAUAUUUGAUGAGUAAUAUAAAUAAAAUAUCCAUACUUCUUCUGUGAGAGUGACAUUAUGUGCUUUUCAUCAUAUCGAAAUGUUGUGCAAUUACAAUAUAUAUCUGCCAUUUUUGGCAUAGUGCUGCCGCGCAUAUGCUAUCCAUGGUGGUCAACUAUCAGAGAGUGAUACAUACUCUCCCGCGCCCUUUCCCCUAGCGAUUUGCGGCCUUCCUAGAAUACUAGAAAAAGAUAUAGAUCAUCAUGGCUUUUGUUCACUUAUUAGUAUUGCCCCAACAAAGUUUGCAACUCUGUAUUAUGGAGAGAGUUAGCAUGACCAGACCUCUAAGUAAUUUAUAUUUGCAUUAUGCUUAGGCAGCGUGCGUGGUCCAGGGUGGUUUUAUGAAAUUCAGGAGCUCUUAGGUGUGGAGAUCGAAAGUUUGGACCAAUAGGGUUAGGUGACAUGGGGCAUUUGGUAUGCUUAGAUGACAACUAAAAAAACUAUGGGGUUGCGAGAUAUCCUGCAAUUCCACAAAUUAGUGCUUCCUCUAGUCGUAAACAAAGAUCCAUCCUGAUUUAUCCUAAUAAGUCAUUUUUUAAUAAGAUGAUAUGUUAGGUUUCAUACAGAUUAACUGCACAUUUUUAACAAAAGUAUAUCUUUGUAUAGUCAUAGGGAAACAUAGAGAUGAAGUAAUAUUUGUCAUCCAAGGAGUCAGUAUUCUAAUAUGUCGAAAUGUGCCUUACUUUGCAAUAUAAUGGGAAAUGCCAAAUCUUCCAGCCAUAAUGGAUUGGGGGAGAAGUCCCCCUUCUAUUGCCCAUUAUAGUAAUUUGUCUCCCAGUGGACCUGCUUGCUUGUAACCUAUUGAGGUUAAACUAGUGACUACACAAUCAUCAGCUAGGGAUGGUGAGGGAAUGGGGAUUAUUGCCUCUGGUACCGUACCCUGUGUUAUUUUCACAUAUUGCCUCGAUCUGGUGAGUGGAUGGUGACUUGAACUUUGUUAUAUUUUCACAUUUAAUUGAAUGACGGAUUCCUUCCCGUUUCUAUUUUUCAAAAAUCAUUUCAUUUCUAAAUCACUACUUAUAUAUAUACUACUGGUCUACGGUUUGUAUAAAAUGUUGCCUUUCUGUCCCAAACAGUACCAGGAUAGAUGUAGCUUGUCCUGAAAUCACUUAUGUUAGUUUGCUUCAUACUGGACAUUGUUGAUGUUUUGUGGAUGUGUUAUUUUUCUGUAACUCAUUGCCCUGUGUCAUGCCAAGUAGAAGUUAACGCGUUUUGAAUAUAUUUAGGACGAAGUAGAACUGCAUGGGAAUUUUAAUAAAUAUAAUAAAUUUCAGUGCAUAACUCUCUGGCCUCAACUAUAAAAACAUUCUAGAGAAUAACAUAAAACAGGUGCGUCAUUUUGUUUUGAAAUAAUAACUAUUAGAACCCAGAAAAGGGACCAUGUGCAUUGCUUUUGACAGAAGGAAACAAUUGCUUGCUAUUCGACAUCAUGACACAAUCUCUAUAUCUACUCCAUGAUCCAUCAUUGGCCGAAUGAAAUCACAAAACACAUUACACAUCGCUGAAUUGUUAAUAACAUUAAACUGAUCGACCGUGAUGACAAAUGACAGUCAUCAACCAUGCACGAGUAUAUUCCCAAACAAGUGCUCAGGCUGAGCUUGGGACUUUAUGGGAUUAGCGCAGCCUGCAUUGUGCAAGGGCUGAGAUUUUCUGUUAGAUAAGAGAUGGGUGUUUUAUUUUGUUAAUCGAACGUGGAUAACUCUAAACAAACAAAGUUUAAACAAGGUCAAUCAUGUAUUAGGGUUUGCAUCUUACUUCGAUCCAAACAAACUUUUAUGGAUAUGCAUCAGGACAUAAUUCUACAUUUAGUGGGGCUGCAAUAAUAAACAUGCCAGUCCAAUGCUAGUAAUUGAUAAAAUUUAUAUAUAUGUUAGUCAACUUAAUUUCAUCAUGAAAAGGACUAGUAAAUAAAUAUAGAAAAGAAUAUAUGUCCUUACAUCUGUUUCUGUUCCUCUUCCUGCCUAGCCUGGAUUUCAGCUACUCGACGUUCCUGCAACAUCCCAAUAAACAGAAACAAAUAAAUUAUACAAGUUUAUGUGUUAUAAUAUGACAACAUAAACCAAAUCCCAAGACUGCACAUACAAACUUCAAGUUUUCAGGGCUGAUCUUCUCUGGACAACGCCUGCUGACGAAUAUAGGGCGGCGUCUCCUUGGUACAUCCCCAUCAGCGAUGUUUCCAGGAGUACUCCUUCCUUGAUCUCCUGGUGGCAUACUGGCAGGCCCCUGCAGGGACAGUAUUACCAGGAAUCACAGAGAGGACACACGUUUGUAUAUACAAAAAAAAUAAAAAGAAGCCAUGGCUGAACCAGAUUUGCUAGUAAAUAACACGCAACGCAAGGGCCACGGAACGAAGCUAGGAAAAUGCCAGCUGAUUAGAACGAAGAGAAACAGCACUACUUCUUUAAUCAUCCACAAGAUCUAUGGACCCUCGCUGUGACGACUUAAUGGCUAGUACUAAGCCACCAGAUUUGCCCAAAAUACUGUGAAAGUGAACAUCAAUCAAAUACCUUCAGCUCCUAUAUAUCUCGUAUGUCGUGCAAACUUAACCUGCAAUAAUCGGAUUCCUACAUAGUCGUCCCUGACAUGCUCAAAAUUUACAAAGGUCGCAGCACAAGUAGCACAAAUCCGGUCCCCAGCGAUCCGGUCACAACCAUCACUGAAUCAAACCCUCCCUUGUUUCCUUCCUCACGCACCCCUUCCCAGAAAACAACUCAUUCCAACCAAAAAAAUAUCAAAGUAGACUGAAGAAACCAUAGAUGCACACAGAGCUCAAAGACCAACGAAAUUCCUAAAAAUUCCAGACGGAAACGAGCAAAGAAAAUACUCAGUUUAAGACACCAGGCUGGCGAGAUUAGCGGAAGCACAUACUGUCGGAAAAAUCUGAUGUUGUCUUCCUUGAAAGAGAGGGAGAAGUAGGCCGGGGAGGGUGCGAGAGAGGCUGGAGACAGGAGAGGGCCAGAGAGAGCACACUGGUUUGUUAAAGGAGAAAGGGGACCACUAUAAGGAGACUUAUAUUAUGUAAUACAUAUAUAGCCAAAGAGAGAAGUGAGUGAGACUACAAAACAUGUGAUGUGGAGCCGUGUUGGAAUCACUAUAGCUCAAAUUUGUAUUUUUCCUACCAUUUUCAACUUUCGGUUGAGCAUAGUAACGUAUAUAGACAUGAAUAUUGUAGAUAUAUAUGUUACUUCUUUAUUACAAGGGAUAGUUGUACCAAACUAUAGUAUAUAGUGAGAUUAAAAAUGAAUAUUUUGUAUAUCUCCACAUAUACUACAGCAAUUAAAUAUGGUGGCAAUAAAUGUACAUGGACCAUCUUUUUCUGGAUGCCACAAAUAUGCGUAUAUGGUAUGAUAUAAUGAAAUAUGGUGGUUCUACACAACUCAACACGGUUCUAAGCUACUAUAAAUAUUUGCUAUUUCUCUAAGAUUUAUUUGAUUUGCAUAUUAAUAGCAACGAAAUAUAUAUAUAUAUACUUUUUGUAGAUAUGAUACUCAUAUAAUUAAUUUAGUGCAAACAAUAUUCUAAACAACUUAUCUUUGGGAUGAUAUAUCUGAUCUUCUCUCUCUACACCUCUUUAAUAAAAAAAGAAAACGGCAAGCAGUGAGAAGAUUAGACCAAGGCAUCUCUAAGAUAGACCAUGCACCUUCUUCAAAGCAUAUUUGUUCUAAUAUUUUAUAGCAAGUCCUAUAUUGCAAAAUGCAUAGACAUCCCUAAGAUUGACCAUUUCUUAAAGCAUAUUUUCAAGCUAAUUUUUUCUAAUAGCUAGUCCAACAUUGUAAGUGGUUGGGUACCAUUUUCUUUGCAAAGUGUCGUCAGCAAAAUGAGCAUAUACCAAAACAGUUUUGGUUGAUAUGCACCCCUUUUUACUGCAUAUGCAGUCGAAAAUGCAUUAAGUCAGGACCUAUGUGCAUUGACUGUAUUUAGAUAGACCUUUUUAGAAACGGUUGUAGAUGCUCUAAAGAGGUGACUAGGACAACUGCCUCUACUCUCUUGUGUUGAUAGAAAUAAGCUAUUUCUAGAAAUGGCUACCCAGCCGCUCCUACAAAUGUGAUCUGUGUAGAGGAAGCUGACAACAAUCAAAACUUAUUAUAUAAUGGUUUCUAUAAUGGGUUGUAAACCUACUCGCUUCUACAAAUUAUUUUCCAUAAUCUUCAAAAAUCAUAAGUCACAUUCAAAACUGAGACCUGUAGCCUUACGCAUAGCUCCUCAAACCAGUCCACUCCAAAGUCACUUCUUUAUAGGGCAAACUCAUUUCCCUCAUAUUUUGCCUAAUUUUAAAAUAAGUAUUUGAGACCUUAAAUGAAUUCAAAUAAAAAAAUUAUCAACCAUAACGUCGUAGAUAUAGUCAACUACUAUGAUUUUGGUUUUCUUUCACCAUUCGAGAGGUCGUUUAAAAAUUUUAAAUUUCAAAUAUGAUAAAUUUAAAUAUAAUCUUAUAUGGUUAAAUAAUUUCAAAUGAAAAUCAAGAACAAAGUUGUAUAACUCUACGAGAUCUACGACUUUGGUUUUUUUUUGUCAUUUCUCUAUCCGAGGUCUUUUGAAAAAAUUGAAUUUUAAUACGUGAGGACUUCAAACCAAAUUUUUGAACCAUAUAUUAUUUUAAAUGAAAAUGUUCUUAACCGUAAUAUUUUUAGGUAUCUUUCUGAGAUCUAUAACUUCGGUUUUAGUUGUUUCUCCAUUGGAAAUCUUUAGGAAAUAUCAGAUUUUGAAUUUCAAAUUUUCAAAAUUUUAAACUGAAUUUGCUAGAUCCAAAUGAAUUCAAAUAAAAAAAAGUUCAACUACAAAGUUGUUGACUUCAUUUAAUAAAGUUAUAAAUUUUACUAUGCUAUACAUAUGUUUUUGAGAAGUGUACGAAAUUUCUAAAAAUUCCUAAAGGAAGCAAGCAAAAAAGAACUCAGGCUGUAACACCAGUCUGGUAAAAUUGCGAAUGCACAUACUGCCAAAAAAAUUCUGAUGUUGUUUGCCUUGGGAAAAGGAGAAGGGAAGUUGUGAGAGAGACUAGAGACAGAAGAGGGCAAGGGAGAGCACACUAGUUAGGUAAGGAGAAAAGGGACCACCGUUUCAUGACUUAUUAUAUAAUACUUAGCUAGAGAAAAUAAGUGACACUGCCAUACAAGUAAGCAUCUAUAUGUAGAGCCUCACAACAGUUCAACUUGUAUUUUUCCUACUACUUUAGAUCAACUUUCUAUUGAGUACAGUAAUGUCGAUAUAUAUUACUCACAGCUCUACAAAACUAGAGUACAGUGUAAUAAAAAAUGAAUUUUGCAUGUCCAUAUAUCUACAGCAAUUAAAUAUGGUGGAAAUAAAUGUACAUGGACCAUCUUUUUCUCUAUACCAAAAAUAUAUGUAUGCUAUGUUAAUGAACUGUGGUGGUUCUACACAACUCAUCAUGAUUAUAAGAAAUUCAUAAAUAUUAGCUACUUCUUUAGAUUUACGUGUUCUCUAUAUUAAUAGCAAUGAAAUAAAUAGCUUUUUUUGCAGAUGUUGUACUCAGAUAUUAAUUUUGUUUCGCACAUACUCUAAACAACAUAUCUGUGGGACGACAUAUCUCUUUUAAAAAAAAAAUGAAAAUAGCUGCGAGAAGAUUAGACCAUGGCAUCUCUAAGAUAGACCAUGCACCUUCUCCAAGCAUAUUUUGAUGCUAACUUCUAUAACAAGUCCUAUAUUACAAAAUAUCUGGGUAUCCCUAAGAUAGAGCAUGCACCCUCUUUAAAGCAUACUUUCAUGCUAAAAUUUUCUAAUAGCUAGUCCAUUUCUGUAGAACUAACACUACUACAGAAUUGAUCGAUGCUAGUUUUUUGAACUGGUACAACCAAAGUAGCAGUGAUGAGGUUUCCAAAAAACCCAAAAAAUCAUAUUGGAAACUAAAACAGGAAAAAAAAUUCAAAUACUAGGAGGGGCGCAUUGAGCAGCCACACGAGCGCGCCUUUCAUGGCCACCAGCGCCCGAACCCAUGGCCUUAGGCUUCACGCAUUUGUUCCCUAACCACUCCACUUAUAAAGAUACUUAUGUCCAAAUGAGAUAUUUGUCCACCUUAUUCUAUCAUUAUCUGGUUUUGAAAUGAGUAUCUGAGACCUUAAAUGAAUUCAAAUAAAAAAGUUGUUAACUAUAAAGUUUCAUAACUUUUUAAGAUCUACAAUACAACUUUGAUCUUUGUUCUUUCUCUGUCUAACGUCAUUUAAAAAUUUUAAAUUUCAAAUGUGAGAAAAUUUAGCCAUAAUUUUUAUUAGAUAGAUAAUUUCAAAUGAAAAAGUUAUCAACUAUAAAGUUACAUAACUUUUCAGGAUCUACAAGUUUUGUUUUGGUUGUUUCUCCAUCCGAGGUUGUUUAAAAAAAUCAAAUUUUAAAUGUAGUUUUUAUUGGAUAGAUGAUUUCAAACAAAAAUGGUUGUCAACUAUAAUAUUUCAUAACUUUUUGAGAUCUAGAAAUUUUAUUUUGGUUGAUUCUCCAUCCAAGAUCCUUAACUACAACUACAUACUCACUUAUAACUAUAGAACAUAUGGAUUAUUCCUUUGGUAUUAACUUCUAUAAAAUCUUGUGAAACAAAUAUUUCAUCAUCGAAGUGACUUUGAGUCAAAAAGUUGUGAAAUACAAAAUUGCAGAAGUUUUUGAGAUCUAUAACUUUUAUUCUGAUUGUUUCUCCACCUGAGAUCCUUUUCUACCACUACACACUCCAUACGUACUCCUUUUGUUUUAACUCUAUAAAAUAUUAUAAUACAUAUUUGGAUAUCCAAAAUGACCUCAUAUAAAAAAUUCUUGAACUACAAAGUCAUAGAUCUUGAAAACUACUACAACUUUAGUAUGAAGAUCGUCUUCACCGGACAUCAUAUGAGAAAGUUAUGAAUCAUUACUGGUUCAAGCCACAAAUUGGCAGUGAUAUUAUCACUAACAGUUUUAGCAAAAAAUCGGUAGUCAUGAUCCAGUAUCACUCUUAUUUUAUAGCUAAAACCAACAAUGAUAUGAACUGGCGGUGAUGACUUGAAUAUCACUGCCGGUUGGUCCUACUACUGCUAGUAGUUUGCUGUCAGCCACUAUGCUACCGAUCUGUAAGAAACUGACAGUUCUAUAGUAUUGUAAUGCGUGAUGAACCGGCAGUAAAAGUCAAUUCUAUAGUAGUGUAAUGCGUGUAUAUGCAAGCCAGGAUAGGGACACCGACAUAGUGCAUGUAUAGGUACGUAGCUAUGGUCAAUCAUUCCAUGAGGAAGAUCAUAUUUGAUAGAUGAAGGAUUAGAAUGCAUGACGUUGAAUAAAGAGAGUGGUUGGCUUGCUCACCGCACAUCACUACACCAUAGCUGUGGCUUGCCAUAAAAACCAAAAGCACCUUCUUGGUUGGUGAUGCAACAAAGGCUUCCACAGAAAAUUGUAGUAUGAAAGUUGGCAUGGAGUGUGGCGCUAAAAUUUGACUCCACAAAUGUGGCGUGCCGCCAUACCAUUGGCGUAGCCAAUAGUGGAUGGUAACCAAACAGGCCCAAAAUCUCCAAGAUACAAGUCAAAUCCAAACAAAUAUGCAACAAGAUAUAUACAUCCCAUUGCAUGAAAAGUUAUGUUUGUAUAGUUUGAAGUUGAACUCACUUAAUUAAAUAUGCUUUUGGUGCAUCUGCUAUAAAGUUUUUAGGUUUAUGAAAAUGUCAUAUAAUUAAUUGGAUCCUAACUCCAUGCUAUAAUGAAAAUCUAGGUGCCUACAUGUAACAAGAAUCGUUUCCUCAAAAAACAUGUAACAAGAAUCUAUGUCCUUUCCUAAGAAAGGUGAAUUAUUUGAGCAUAUCAAAUUUGUCAGGAAUGAUUUUUGCUUUUAUUAUUCCUAUUCUUCAACUAUUAAGAGACGAGGACUAAUUUAUUUUUAUUUGUUUGGGGUUCAAGAAAACGAGGAAUGUUUGUUUUCACCACUUGUGCUUUGGGUGCAUAGGUGGCAUGAGCACCCUUUAAGCUUUAUGUGGUUGUGCAAGAGAAGGUAGUUGGUGUUGUUUUGGCUCAAAAUACCUAAGAAAAGGAAUAUAUUAUCAAAUAUAUCAAUGGAUGACUUUUGAACAGAGACAAUAUAUACCUUUAGUGAGAAAUUAUGCUUAUUGCUAUAUAUCCUUCUACUAAGUUGAGGCAUUAUCUAUUAUCUAGUUCUGGCAUAGUAGCAUGUGUCAAGCCAAUGUUUUUUAUGAAACAUGUGUCGAGCCAAUGUUAUUGGUCCUAUUUUCAGUGCUAAGAAUGAAGAAGAAGCCAUAUGCACUUAUUGAAUAUGAUUAUGGUUUUUGAUGAUUGUAAUGACAAAUUAAUCAAUAGGACUGACAUGUAUACUAAUAUGUGUUAGAAAUGUUUAUAUACAGUUACUAUGAAAAAAUAACAAACAAGAUCCAAGGAGAAAUAGAGUCAAAACAAUAAAUUAUUUUGUGAAGCAAAUUCAAAUUGGCAAGAAAAGUUAUCAAUUCUUUAAAAUCUUUGUUUUCAACAAAGCACUAUACCAGGUAGUAAAAAUGCAAUAACACAUUGGAGUACACCCAUUGCUUCCAUAAAUAAUGUUCACAUAAAUGCUAAAUAGUCAGCCACACAUUGUUUUGUCAACUAAGGCUAAAUGGUUGUACAGGAAAGACAAAGACUGUACAAUAUGUACUAUUUAAACAGUAUUUUUUCUGAAUUGUUUAAGCGCUGAAUGGAGUAGAUAGGCAUAACUCAACCUUUUAAUUUCAAUCCUUCAUGCAUUUUUUUUGGCUUAUUUUGGGUCCUUUUUGUUGAGCUCCUCAACUUACUCCUGCUUUAUUUUCUAGAGGAGCUGUGGGCAAAAGAACCACCUCCUCCAUAGGUGGAGCAUGAGCAAAACACUUUACAAUUUGUACUAGAAUGGAGGAACAGCAAAAAAAAAACCCUGCUCUGCACGCCACUUCUUCGGCCCCUUAUUAUCAAACUUCUAAACCAUCCUACUCUGAUUUACUACUAAUUAAACAUAAUCUAGAUUAUCAAUAACUAUUCAGGAUUUGAGAUAUUAUAUAUUAAGAUGGUAAGUUCCAUCCUGAAGUGAUUUUUUGAGUGAUUAGCAUGUUAUCAAUAACCAGAGUACACCUGUUAUUUAUUCAGAUCAGAUUAACCUUAGUUGUAGAUUGUGCACUUCGUUACAUCAGCUCUAAAAGGAUGUUGUCCACAAAAAUACAAAUUGCAAAAAACUGCACCUCUAAUUAAACACUAGGUUUUUUCUUCUAACCCUAGUGGUUGGCUUGAGAAUCUUGUUACGUCAUGUCCAAAUGCAUGUUUUCCAUAAACAUAUAUACACUAUCACAAAUAAAUCUUUCAGGUACUAUCUUCGUACAAUUACCAAGCCAUGUAAACAUAACCUCAACUUUUGCAUGCUAUUUGUGGACCAACAUCUUUGGCUAAAAUUGCCGAACAAAACAUCUCUGGCUAAAAGGAUGAGAGCAGAAAAGGAAGAAUAACCAUAUAACUAUUGAUAAACAUCCAGCUUCAUCUACACAGGACAGAAUCAUACCACUUAUUACAAACUACUUGAACCCAAGGUCCAAGCUACUUCCACACUUAAUUUAAAAGAUCACCAAAGUUUAACUAAUGAAGACCAAUCCGACAAUUAGAUAACCAUCCAAACGACACAAAGAAACUCAAGGCAGCCUUCUCUAGUAGAUGGCAAGCUUGUAGGAGCACCUCUUGCCUGUCCUCAUGGCGCUGUAACUAUGCCCAUUUGCCGGAGCCAAUGCGUUCCUCCGAAUAAUAUCUGCAAGAAAGUUUUUGGUCUACAUCUGUCAAACACCACUUCGUUUCUUGUAACCCAAAUGGUCCAGCACAAUGCUUCUGCCACAGUUAGUAAAAGUAUAUUAUGCUUCACCUCUAAUUGAAAAUUUGUUUGUUCCCUCCUAAUUUACACCAAAGAUUACAUAAAUCAUAUAUGAUAAUUGGUCUUGGAAUACCAAACAAAUGAACAGCUCUCCACAAGAAAUUAGCAUAUGCACAAUCAAAAAACAGGUGUUCAAUAGAUUGAAGUGUGUGGCAGAACGAACAAUUUUUUACCAUUCUAAUUCCAUUGAAAAUAGGUGUGAAAAAACUACACCUCUUUUCAAAUACCACAUAAAGAUCUUGAUCUUAGUUGGCAUCUUUGCACACCAAAUUUCUUGUGAAAGUAACUAUAGAAAGCAUACAUGGAUUUAACUGAGAAUCGUCCAGCUGAAUGUAGAGAGCAACUAAAAACAUCAAGGCUAUCCUGAAGAUUUAAGUCCAUUAAAGAAGACACAAUUCUGUUGCAAUCCCUCAAGUUUUGCCCCACCAAACCUCCCUAAACAAGAUAUUGAGAGGCAUUGUCUAAAGAAUAUUAGCUACAGUGUCUUGCUUCCAACGAACUAUAUGAUUGGUAUCUUGAUCACCUUUUGCCACGCAAGUACAAGAACAUAAAGCUUUGAUGCACUAUUUCUGUACAUUUUCCAUAUGGUUAUUACUAGCUACAACUAUGCAGCCUCAAGUUAUGUAGAUUGUGUCCAUAUUUGGAUAACCUUUCAUUUUUCCACUAAAGUGUUGAAGGACCAAAAACGGUGACCAAAAGGGGGUUGAAUGGGAGCCUCAAAUUUCUUUCGAAAUAUUUAGCCGCGGUCCCAAAAUCACCGCCAAACACAAGCACGUUCCAAAAACUAAAAUACUCAAGCCAACUAGUGACGAGAGUAUCUAGAUAAAUUCUUUGAAACUGUAGGAAGCUAACGUAACAGACAAAACAAGAAUUGGGGCUCAAACGACCAAACUACGAGCGAAACAAGAAAUCAGACUGAGAAAAAAUAGACAAAAAAUCCCCUGAAAAAUUGUUCAUCAUAGAAGAACCAAAAAUGCAUGACACCCAAACCAAAUCUUUGCUAGGCUUCCGUUCCACGAACAGCCCACCAAGGGCGAGCACUGCUGUGCUUGUUUGCUCGAUGCUGGCCCUGCAGAAACGGCAACCUGCAGACAGAAAACGAAUACAGAUGCACAGAAUCGGUUACCUGCUUGGGGACUCGGUGAGCAGAGAAGCUGGAGCUCCUGAACGUGACUGCUGGGGAUAGGCAGGGUCUGCACUGCCUGCGACAAAAUAAAGAUCUAACAUACUCUGGAUCAUACAGCCUCAACUGAUGUAUAUCAUUUAUUUAGACAACCAAUAGCAAUAAGGCAGAGUAACUAUGUUAGUAGUUGUCGGUAUUUUGAUCCCAUUCUGUAGGCUUGAUUUGCAUGCCUGUACCCCUAAUUCAAUAUUAAAGAUCCUUUCAAAUUUAAGUAGCAGAAAUAUAUAUAUAGGUGCAUUGUUUUUUUCAAGGUGUGAGUAGUUCUACUGCUUACGUCAACACCAAAAGCAUGUUUCGCCAUGCAUACGCACUAUCACAAAAUGGACCUCAAACAUACAAUUUUCAUAUGAUUCCCAAACUACGCAGCUAGCAUCAACUUAUGCAAGCUAUUUGCAAAUGGACAUCUCCAGCUAAAAGGAUGAGAUCAGAUAAGGAAGAAACACCAUAUUUUCAAUUAAUUUAUUAGCUACAUUCAAUAUGAUAGGUUGUUAGACCACCCUCUCCCAACAAAAUGUGACAAACACUAUUUCUUUAUGAGCCUCAACUUAUACACAAUUUAUGAAAGUGGCCAUCAAAUGAGCUAAUUCAGGGGGAUAGACAUGGUCAUAGUUAGCAGCUGGGCUAAGGGACUGAAGGACAGUGAGGACCACAUCAGACCCAUCACAAGCUCGAAUCAUUUAACGGUACGGUAUCAUACUUGGAGCUAGGGCCCUGCAUUUUUUUUCUACUGGACAAUCCAACAGGAAGGCACUACAUAAAUUGGUAAGGCUUCGUCUCUACAGUUUUCUCAUGGGCUUCUACUGAAAACUCGAUCGGCGCAAAGAAAGUUCCAUGCUAAACUAAUGAGGACAGCAGUACCAAUCUAAUCUUGACAAACAAAUGAUCUAGAAAAUUAAACGGUUCAACAAUUGAGAAGACGACAACAUAAAACCUACAAACAUGAUCACACGCUGUCAAGGAACUUCCUUACAUGCACUGACACCAUCACCGUUCAUGGUCAAUCUAACCAGAACUGAUUGACACAUGUAUGGAGCUCCAUGACGCAUUCAUCAUGGAAACAUCUCUCUGACCUGGGAUUUAUGUGCUCCUAACACAUUUUCUAACUAGAGUCAUUGGAUCCACAGAAUCACAAACAUCAAGCUGCUGCACGGUGCACACCACCAGAACAGAAACACUCACCCAUAUCUAGACAAGCCAUGAUUCAGAAUUUAAAAUGGUUCAUCAAAUAUUCCAAGACGACAGUAUAAUAAUUAUAGCUAGAUUAAGAUUUAUGACACGACGCGACGCUCUGAAGGAUCGUCGACACACCAAUGCAUGGUACUAAAUCAGUUCGACCAGACCAGACCCAUGCAGCACUUACAGUUCUCAAACCUUCAAAAUGAAAAAUGUGAAUUAAGUAAACAACUUCAUUUGUUCUGAUCGAUCGCUCCAGUCCAGAGGCUACAAGGUGAGCAGAUAAAUGUAUGGGCUUGGCGCUGCUUGAGACACCCUUUGUGGCCUUGACGGUGCAUCUGGCCUAGUUGGUGUUGAGCAAUAGCAGGAUCUCCGACGUAGCCAGCUUGUACACUUCCUCUGAUGAAGGAUUCCCUCCACCCAUUCUAGUGACCUGUUUUGUAAAAAGAUGUGAAUGUUAGUGAGAUGGUGUAACUUCAUGCAAAUAAAGAUGUUCUCUGCAUGAGAUAUAUAUAUCUAAAAGCAUGAGUAUACUUUGUCAGGUAAUGUAUCGUUGUUAGGUUCAACAAAGAUGUAUAUUAAAGUAGAUAUUGGUGCCUGAAUUUUGAUAUAUGGAGUGUAGUAAAAUGUCUAGCCAUUCAUGUUGUAUUACUGCUAGGGUGAAAAAUAUCAUGCUCAGAAUGCAAAUUCGUCUUUGGUGGAACAUGGAACUGAGAGAUGGUAUAAAUACAAACGUCAUUCAAGUAACAAGUAGCCUUGACUACCAAGUGAUUAUUCAAAUAGUGAUUUUUUGUUUGUUAUGGUUACCAAAUCAUGCAGUACGUCUUAGCUUCUACAGUUCUUUUGCAAACUAACAUCUCUAGUUAAAAAGCAUGAAAUAAGUCGAAUAAGGAAGAGUAACCAUAUUUGCCGAUUAGUUUAGCUAGAUUCAGUAUGAUUGUUAUUUGGAUCUCCUUUACCAUUAAAAUGCUACAAAAAAAUCCUAGCAUACUAUUUCUUUGUGAUUACUACAAGUAUGGAGCCUUAACUUAUGUCAAUCUUGUCGGUAUUUGGAUCAAUGUUUCCAGGUCAGUAUUUUGAUCUUUCUUAUAUGGCUUCUAGAUAUAUUCACCCGCGCAAACUCCCAAUUAAUUCAACUAUAGAACAUACUUUCAAUUCCAAGUAGAGAAAAAUUGAGGCCGGGGAUCCUUUUUCUAUUCCAGGUCAUACAAGUAAAUAAAUCCCACUGGCAAGUAAAAAAUACCAAUGGGUUUAGUCACACAGGUACAGAUUAGAUCCAAUUCCUUCAUGUCAACUCCUAUGUAUGCAAACAAGCCCCACCCUGCUUCAAAAAGGUUUUAGAACACAAACCAACAUAACAAACAAUUUCACAUGUCACUUUUGUAAAUGGUCAGGCAGGCUUCUCGUUAACAGCGAUAGCCACCUGCUAAAAUCAGGGCUUUCCCUAAUCCUCUAAUAGGGGGUGUUUGGUUUGAGGAACGAGCUGGUCCAUCAUCUUCUCACUUCAUGCUUUUUUGUUUGGUUUGUGAAAUGAAAUAGUUUGAUCUAUCAUCACCUUAUUCGUCACAAGCUAAUCAAACAGUUCAAUACUAAUAUGAGGUAAAUUUAUUUAAGCAAUGGACUUGUGAUGCACCACCUCAUCCAAAAUGGUUUGAUUUCUCAAACCAAACACUCUAUAAGAAAUUAAGAAUACUAAGCAGUUCCCCGACAUCAAUCAGUCAUGGUUACUAAUCAUGAAGCUAGAGUUCACAUUCCUGUACACAAACAAGCUACUAUAAUACAACAACCCAACCAUGAAAGCAGAGGAUAUGAUGCUCCAUCGACUAGAAGCUACUUAAUUACUUUCGCAAAAAGAGAGAGAGAGAGAGAGAGAGAGAGAGAGAGAGAGAGAGAGAGAGAUGAGAAGCUACUUACACGGGUGUAGAAGUUGAGCACGGAGCGGGCAGCGUCGGCAUCAACCUGUGUGGUGACCACGUCGAUCCCGUGGUUGUUCAGCACGGACAGCACCAUCACCAUGUUCUGCAUGCCGAGGUGGCGCGGAACGCACACGUUGAUGUACGCGUUGUUGUUCGACACGUUGAGCACAAGGUUCGGCCAUGACCACGUCUGGAAUCCACCUUGCCCCGCGGCCGCCACGGGGAGCGGCUGCGGUGGUGGCACCGCUGCAGCAACAGCAAGUGGCUGCUGCACCAGCGGCUGCGGCUGCGGGACGUCGUCCGCAGCCGCAGACACUGGCACGGCGGCAGCAAGUGGCUGCAGCAGCGGCGCCACCGGUGCCGGCGCCAUCUUUCCCCGGGCGGUCUGUGGUGGCGCCGACGAGGAGGAGGCCGCCACCUGCCGCGCGAGCGCCAGCUGCUGCUUGCGCUUCUCCAGCAUGGCCUUAGUCCUCUCUAGGGACUGGAUGUAGGCGAUCGUCUGUUCCACUAAGUCCCCCUUGUCAUUGAUCUGUAUGUCGUGAGAACAACAACAAAAAAAAUCAGAUCACAGAUUCACAGUAUCACCAGUAAUUCACCAGUGAGUGAGUGAGUGAGUGAGUGACUGCAUCUUCCAAAGCCCUAGCUAGCUAGCUAUAUAUCGCAUCAGAGAAUUGCAAUUCGCAUCGAUGGAUCGCGUCAUCUGAAUAUCGAUCUGAUCGAGAGGCUUACCUUCUCAUUCUCAGUGACGUUGGGCACGAGCGACUCUAGCUCGCUGAAGUGAUUCCUCAGCCGACUACGGCGCUUCCUCUCCGCGAUCCUCCGCAUCCGAUUCCGGCGUGACUUGCGGGGUUCUUUGUUGUCAGCAGCGUUGCCGGCGGAGACGACGACGGCGUUGGUGUUCUCCUCCAGGGCCGGGAUGGUAGUCGAAGAAGCCAUGGCAGGAAGGGUGGAGGAGGAUUUUGGAGGAGGGGAGCGAGGUGAAUGGAAUUUUGGAUGCCGCUCUUGAGCCUUUAUUUGUAAAAAGGAUGGCAAGAUUACCACAUUUUUUUUAUGAAUUACGCUCUCUCACUGGUCAAAGAUGCAAAGAUGUGUAACGUCUACGGUCUACCGGCCAGCGAUUAGCCGUUUCUUGUGAAUUUGGCUGUGUCCUGCACUCAGUAAUAUAAUAAUUGAUAGUAAUUGAGAAUGAUAAGUUCCUCCAAAAAUAUUCAUAGAUAUUUUCAAUUACUACUAUACUUCCUUUCAAACAAGGAGGGUAAACUCUACUCAAUAAUUACUUGCCAGAGUUAUCUGCGGCUGCCAGCUUGUAGCAUUAAUUCACUACAGUAAAUCAUAGCACUAUUUCUGGCUGCAGCCAACACAAUAAACUGCAGCCGAAUAACUUGCAGCCACCUCUAAAUUUGUCUACUUGGCACUUAUAAGAAAUUAUAUAAACUGUGUGACCUAUAAAAAAAAUAGAGACUAUAGUCUUAUAUGCAGGUUAUUUCUAAGGCAACAUACUGGACCCAUUUAUGCGCAAAAAAAAAACAUAUUGGACCAUUUUUUUUAGAUAAACAGAUCAAGGGGCAGGCCUCUAGGAAUUUAUAUAACUAAACAAAACAAAGUUUUGUUACAGACAAAAGUAGCAAGGGGAGAAAAGGAGUUCAAGACACAAAAAAAUAUAUCUAUAUCUAUAUCUUUUUUUUUGCGAUUCAUUUAUAUCUAUAUAUAUAUAUCUACAUUUAUAUUUAUAUCUAUAUCUACAUCUAUAUCUAAUAUCUAUAUCUAUAUCUAUAUCUAUAUCUAUAUCUAUAUCUAUAUCUAUAUCUAUAUCUAUAUCUAUAUCUAUAUCUAUAUCUCCUCAGUAGCCAUUUUAUCUCACAUGCAAAGCAGCACUAUCACAUGCAUUUAAGUGACAUCAUUAGUAUACCACACCAUUUCACUACUAUUAAUUUAUAAUAUUUUAUAUCUUUAUAUAAGUAAUUUAAUUUAAUUUCAUUCUAGUCCAUCUACAAUUCCCGCAACAAAACAUGUAUCGUAUGUUUAGUUAUGGAGGAGAAAACAGGAGAUGGACAAACGACUUCCUGCAAGCCCCGUGACAAUUGAGGAAACUAUGUAUGCACUUCCUAUAAGAAAAAAAGACAGCUAAGAAAAAAGAACUGAAGCCUGCACGAGCCCAACAAUAAAAUAGACAUAGAAGAAAGAGGAUUGGUGACAACCCAAAAACAACUAAAAGAAGUCACACAAUAUAUAGAAGUUCUAGACAUCUCGUAAAGAGUACUGAGUUUGAUUUGCUGAAAAAGUCUAUAUAAUCCACCAAAUGCAAUACUUCAUCCCCAAACUAUAAAACCAGAUAUCUUACCCCCUGAACUUUCAAAAUCUGUCAAAGAUGGUGGUUUUGUCUUUUUAUUUUUUAUUUAUUUCCGCUAAAUCUUUGAAAAAUUAUAAUAAAUCACAGAAAAAUCAUAAAAUAAAAAAAUUUAAUUUUAUUGGACUCCUGAUAAGUAGAUCUACACAAUGAAUAUAUAAUAUGGUAUACUUUAGUACAAAGUUUUUGUUGUAGCUUUAAAUCUAUGUUUUUCUAUAAUUAAUAAGAAUAAUUCAUAUAUGUAAUUUGUAUGGUUCAGUUGUGGUAAAAUUUUUAUGGUGGGCUCAUUAUUGUAUGCUUGAACUAUAGUAAAAGUUUCGUACCCAUUGGAUCACUUAUAACUAAGUUACACGUGAUCCAAUGAGUAUGUUUUACCAUGGUUCAAGCAUAUAAUAAUGAGGCCACCAUAAAAUUUUACUAUAAUUGGACCAUAGGAACUACAUAUAUGAAUUAUUCAAAAUAAUUAGAGAAAAAAUAGAUUUAAAGCUACAACAAAAUAUUUGUACUAAAGUAUACCAUAUUAUAUAUUCACCGUGUAGAUCUACUCAUCAAGGGUCCAACAAAAUUAAUUUUUUUAUUUUAUGAUUUAUUAUGAUUUUUCAAAAAUUCAGCGGAAAUAAAUAAAAAUAAAAAAGACAAAACCACUCUAGGGAGUUAUUUGACCAGUUUUGAAAGUUCAGGGGGUAGAAUAUCCGGUUUUAAAGUUUGGGGAUGAAGUAUUUUCAUCCUAGAUAGUUUUAGGGGUUAUGUAGACUUUUUUCUCAAAUCUUUUAUCAAAAAGGCCACCUCCUCGGUAAAGUUGCAAACGGCCCAGCUGCAGGUAACCCAUCCCGUGUCCGCACAUGCCGCUUGCAUGGUAAGAACAAAGCUAAUAAUACAGCCGAUCAUUGGUUGUAAAGUUUCUUUUUGCAAUCUUUUUGUAGAGCUCACUCAUAUAGUGGUUAGAUUAUCACUAUUAAUACAUGGUUUCAUUUAUCUCUCUAAUAAGUUUUCUUAGUUCUUAGCUGAGCCGGCUAUAAACUUACAAUCUACUUUUACUCUCUCUUUCUUGAUACACAGCCCGUUUUGUGCCACAUUGUGUCUGUGGCUUGCGUGGCGGCCACAGUCCUGCUAGCAAAGUUGGACAACACCGUGCCGCUGGUGCCACAUCCAAGGAAGCUGCCGCCGCCAUCUUCCAUUGCUGAACCGCUGUUAUGCUAGAAGAAGCAAGCAAGCAAGCAAAAGAAAACCUAGCUAGCUGCUGUAAGCUAGCGAAAGCCUAUCCAAACUCCACCAGGCAGCCAUUGUAGGUGGUCUAGAGCACGCCACCCGUGGACGGCGUGUCAUUGCAGCCAGCCGUGCGCGUGGUGGCCAUGGCCAGCCAUCUCCCUCGCGACGGCGUCCACGGCCAGCCAUCCACCCCCGCAGUUCCAUCGUGGUCACACCGGUGUUCGCAUCCAUUUGGCUGUCGACACGUGUGCUUCCCUGUGGUCGCAGUGGUGUCUGUGGCCCUAGACACACACUUCUCUCAUGAUCGCGGCGGCGUCCGUGGCCCAAGGUGUGUGCUUCCCUCGCGGCGGUGGAUGAAAGUGCUAUCUGUUGGGCACUUUGGUUAACACGUACGAAAUGGUGUUAUGUUUGAUAAAAUCACAACACCGUCUUAUUUACAUAUUAUCUUGACAUAUUCGACCAGGUAUGGGACCUUACUUCAGAAAGGUGGAGGAUCUCCAGUUUAUGAAGGCGGGUUGUAGGACUGUUGAGACGGCCACGAUGGAGGUGUUUGCAACACACGGCUGGAGAUUUAGCAACAGGAUUGCUCUUUAGUUUUUGUAUUUGAAAAUGUUUCUGUCUUGAUGGCUCAAAACUUCAUUUUUGAGGUUCCUUAGAAACUGUUUUGCUUGUUUGUAAUAAUAAACAAUCAUAAGCAUUAGUUUAAGAUAUUAAUAUAUUUUCUUUUCUAAAUUGGGGAGAUGUGCCUAACCCAUUUGUGGUCAUGUAAGGGCAAGAAUCUUGUUUCUUCUUUUUUUUUUGUAUGGAAAUGGUGCAAUGCUCUCUGUUAGUCCUCCUUGUAGCCAACUUGAUGUCCAAAACUCAGUCAUGUCACCUUUGCUAUUUGUCACCACCGUUAACGUUAAUGCAUGAAAAGGAUCCCUAUAUAUUGGUUGUAUCACACGGUAUCUCUCCAUCCUUGUCCAAGCUCUUUGUUUAUUCUUCCAUCUGAACUACAUCCAUCAUUCCCCCUAUUAGCCAUAGCAAAUUUUUUCAAGAUCUGAAAUACAUAGGCCACCAUAUAUAUUUUUUGGCAAACAAGUGACUAGCCACUUGACAUCGCAAUGAUGAGCAACCUUUUCUAGUUCUUCCCCCUUCCAUAUAGGAAAUUGCGUCUUAUUAAUCUAAAACUAUUUCUCCUUCUAAGUCUCAACUUAUUAAAAUUAGGUGUAAGUGGCCGCCAAAUGAGUCGAUCAAAGGCACAACCAGGGUCAUAGUUUGCAGGUGGGCCACCGGACCGAGGGACGGACAAGGAGGAUCAUAUCAGCCCAUCAUAAACUCAAAUUAUUUUUAACAGUCUUGCACUUGGAGUUGGAGCCAGGACCCUGCAUUUCUUUUCUUUUUCUUUUUUGAAAUUUCGUUUCCAUUACUUAUAGGCGCAUUACAGAAACUGGGAUUACGGAAACCCAUUUGAAAAGUUGUAACACAUGUUUAUUAACAUUACAACUCGGCAUGUGGGCCAAGCCUCACAUUAGAAAAAAAAAACAAGUGGCUGGGAUAGUCGAUAGUCGUGCCUUCUUAGCAAGAGAAUCGGACACCUUGUAGGAGUCUCUUCUAAUUUUUGCACACCUAUAGUCUUUUGCUAGAGUGAUUGCCCGCAGUUCACAGAUGAGCGGCCGCAACGACCAAUGCCCAGGAUGUGUGCGUGCAGAUCCACACGCAUGGCAUCAACAAGAAUUUGAUUAUCAAUAAACAGCGUCGCCUCCUGAAUUGAGUGCGACUGCAUUUCUUUGUGCUAGACAAUUCAACGGGAAGGCACUACUUAAAUUGGCAGGGCUUGGCCCGUCUGCACUAUCCCCAUGGACUUCAACUGAAAAUACAGUAGUGCAAAGGAAAACUCCACCACCCUAAGGCCUAAGCCCAGAGAAACAUCGAUUGACCUGCAUCUCCAUACCAUUAUAGGAAAGCACUACCAAUAUCUAAUCUAGACGAGUAAUAAACAAUCCAAAAGUUCAAACGGUUCAGCAAUUCAGAAUAUGAUGGUAGGAUACUUAAUUAUGACAUGCAGGCACAACCGAACAUUGUCAUGUCAAGGAACCUCCACACGCGCACACAGAGACACAUCCACAGCUCAAGAUCAACUUGACCAGACCUGGAAUUUAUGUGCUCCUAAGUCCUAACACGUUACAUGGGAGAACUGGAUCGACGGAAUAAUCCACUGAGCUGCUGUACAGUGCCCACCACCAGAACAGCAACACCCAUCUAAGCAAGCCAUCAUGCCGAAUUUAAAAUGGUUCAAUAUAUAUAUAGCAAUUCACAAGACCACAGUAAAAUAUAGUUAAAUUUCGGUUUAGGAGACAACAUCAACACACAGACUCAGGGAACUCAAUUCGUCCAGACUUGACUCAGACAACACAUACACAGUUAUCAAACCUUCAAAUGACAAAUGCAAAUUAAGUAAUAAAUAAACAAGUUUUGUUCCAGUUGAUAGCUCCAGUCCAGAGGCUGCAAGAAGGUGAGCAAAUCAACAACAUAGGGGCAGUGGCUCUGUUUGAGACGCCCUUGAUGCCUUGAAGGCAGCUCUGGCCUAGCUGGUGGUGAGCCAUACCAGGAUCUCCGACACAGCCAGCUGGUACACUUCUAGUGCCGAAGGAUUCCCUCCACCCAUUGCAGUCACCUAUUUUUGUAGAAAGACGUGAAUGUUAGUCAGAUUGGGUAAAGUUUUACCUCACACAGACAAGUUCACCCCUCAUGAGAUAUCUCAAAGUAUGCAUAUACUUUGUUAGGUAAUACCUUAGCUUGCUUAGCUUUUAGGUUCUACAAAGAUAUUAAAGUACAUAUCAGUGCCUGAAUUCUGAUAUGUAGAGUGUGCACGAUGUCUACAGUAGGAAUUCUGAUUGGGUGAAAAAUACCAUGUGCAGAAUGCAAACUCAUCUUUUUUUUGAGGAAAAUGCAAACUCAUCUUUGGUGUGGAACAUAUGAAACUGUGAGAUGGUAUACACAUCAUUCAAGUAUAUAGCAAGUAGUCUUGACUACUGAGUGAUUAUUCAAAUUGUGUACUGCUACACUAAUCAAAUCAGUAAUGGAAAAUCAAAACUCUUGACAAAAUACUAGCUAGACUCCAUUAAUAGAUAUACCAACUAGUAGCAGUUCAGUAUAAUAACAAGAAUUUAAUCAUAGAGCUAGCCACAUAAUGAUCCCUAUAGAGUUGUACAAAUCCACAGGAGCACUCAAGAGAUGUGAAUGAUAUGGAAACUUGGAUCGUAUUUCUAUUUCUAACAUUAGUGGUAGGCUUGAGUUGUUUGUUAUGUCAACUCCAAAAGUAUGUUUUCUAUAAACAAAUACAUAAUGCAAUGAAUAGACUGCUAAUAACAUACGAUUUUCUUACGGUUACCAAACCACGCAGCCCUAACUUCUGUAAGCCGUUUGCCAACCGACAUGUCCGCUUAAAAGAAUGAGACCGAAUAAGGACAAGUAACCAUAUUUGUCGAUAGUUUAGCUAGAUUUAGUAUGGUCGUUGUUUGAGAAUCACCUUUUUCCUAUAAAAGCGCGACAAAAUGAGGUUCUAACGUAAUAUUCCUUGCGGUUACUAGAACAAUGCAACCUCGUCUUAAAUAAAUUUCCUAACUAUAUUUGGAUCACCUUUUCUCAUUAAAGUUUGACAAAAUAAAGCUCUAACAUACUAUGGUACUCAAGUUACCAUAUAUGUCAAAUAGUUUAGGUAGAUUCAAGUUUGUCGUCAUUAUUUAUAGAUUCUCUUUUGUAGGCUUCUAGAUUCGCUCGUGGCGGGUAACCCUAAUUUAACGGUAUCUAGAUUUGUUUUAACAUUCAAAUACUAGAAAAACAGACAUGUAUACCCCUCUUCUAGAUCAACCUAGCAUGUAAGUCCUACCAACAAGUGCUGAUCAGAUCAAUCAGAUCCCCUUCAUGUUAUGGUCUUGUUUGCUGAAGCAUUAAAAAACCAUGGUCUGAAAAAUUUUCAAUUUUAGAACCUGUGUAGAUGCAUAAAACCAUGGUAUGAAAAACUAGAAUUUUAGAACCCGUACGCAGAUGCAAUGAUGCAUAAACCCAUGGUCUAAAAAACGAUUACUGGAGUGGAGUUUGUGAAGAUACUAAUCGAUCGAGCAAGCUCCCAUUCAAAUAAUUAAGCUGCUGCAACGACCCAGCCAUCCAUGAAACCAAAGAGGAAGAUCCAUCGCCGAGAGAGCAGGCUGCUACUUACACGGGCAUAGAUGUUGAACACCGAGCGGACGGCGUCGGAAUCCACCUGCGCCGUGACCACGUCGAUCCCGUACUUGUUCAGCACGGACAGCACCAUCACCUUGGUCCACAUACCACGGUGGCGCGGCGCGGACACGCUGAUGUGCGCAGUGUCGUUCGACACGCUGAGCACAAGGUCCGGCCAUGACCACGUCUGGAAUCCGACUGGCGUCGCUGUAAUGAUGCGGGCCUGCGGUGGCGCUGGCUGCAGCGGCUGCGGCUGCGGGACGACGUCCGAAGACAUGGUCGCCGGGAGCAGCUGUGGCGCCGGCACUGGAACGGCUGGCUGCGGCGGCGGCGGCGGCGGCACAUAGGAGCAGGCACCAGCUGGGACGUCCGACGGCAUGGCCGCCACCGCCAUGCCAUGGGAGGUCUGUGGUGGUGGUGGUGGUGGUGGUGGUGGCGCCGACGAGGAGGAUGCCGCGGCCACAACGCCCACUUGCCGCGCCAGCGCCAGCUCCUGCUUGCGCUUCUCCAGCAUGGCCUUCAUCUUCUCCAGGUACUUGAUGUAGUCGAUCGCAUGUUCCACAAUGGUCGCCUUGUCACUCUGUCGUCGUCGUCAAAACAAUAACAAAAUCAGAUUGUUUUCAAGCCCUAGCUUAUUACUGUGAGAGCUUUAUUACCUUCUCAGGGAUCUGGGGUAUGUAGGCCUUCAGCUCGCCGAAGUAGUCUCUCAGCCGAUUCCGGCGACUUCGUUCUGAGACGAUGUGUGGCUUGAGUUCUUCGUUGUCAGCAGCCACGACGUUCUUGCCCUUGGAGACGUCGUCGUCGUUGCUGGCGGCGACGGUGGCGGCCACCUCCGGUGCUGAGCUGAGAUUUGGCACGGCGACAUCCUUGUUCUCCUCCGGGAUGCCAGAAGAACCAUCCUUGGCGUUCGGUGGUGCAGCAGAGCUGUGGUGGUUCUCCAUGGCAGGAAGGGUGGUGGAGGAUUUGGCUACCAAGAGGGGAGGUGUGUAAAGGGAUUUUGGAUGCCCCUCUUCAGCCUUUAUUUGUUAGGAAGGAUGGCAAAUUUACCACUUGUUUUUUCUCUGAAACUUUUUAAUAUCUUUCACUGGUCAGAGAUGCAUGAAGAGAAAAAAGAAAAACUGGACUCGAAAGGAUGUGUAACGUCUCCGGACUCCCGGAGAUUAGCUGAUUCACGUUAAUUUGAUGUCUUUUUUCUUUCAGAAAGACACUCAAAGAGUGCCUAAUAUAUGAUAUAUAUCAAGGAAAAAAGUUAGUACAAAAAAUGGUGGAUAACUUGACACAAAAUGAUCUAUAAAAAAUAGAAUUAUAUCAAAGAUCAAAAUAGUCGCCUUCUUCCUUCGAUAUAGUUACAUCAAGGACCAAAACAGUCGUCUUCGUCCUUCGAUCGCCUGAACUCCAAAUGCUCACUCAGUGAAAGAUAAUUAGCAAUGAUUGAUACUGCCUCACGUGAUGACGAUGAUGAGUAGAGGUGUAAAUGUACUAUUUCUUUUCAAACAAGAGUACAUUUACACCUCUACUCAUUAAAUAUUUGCCAGAGUUGCAUAUACUAAACUUUUUGUCUACUUGGCUUACUUAAAAUUAUUAUGUGACCUUGCUUUGAGUGAAAAAUAAUACUACUCUUAUUUGUAUAUUAUUUGCCAGAGUUGUGUACUAAAAAAAUAUUGUAGGAUUACACAGAAUAUUAGCAAAAUGCCCCUUUUUAAAGUGGGCUUUAUUGGGAAAUUGCACACUAGAGUUCAUGUCCAGAAGAGAUCUUCGUCGAAGCAUGGUUGUCGUCUUUUAAGAGGUUCAGCGUUUAAAUGGUUGCACCUUUGUUUGGUUUUUCUCUUCGAUAGCUCUUCUUAAGAACGAACAACCUAAUCAACAUGUUUUAGUUGCGCGCAAUACUCUGACAGAAAUAAGAAUAAUAUUUCUCUUUUUUACGAAAAAGUUAUAUGCUAAACAAUACAUGCGCUUAUAGCAGUGCUUUGGCUUAGUACGGAACCAUUUCUGUGAACUUCUAAUCACUCCUCUCAGAGGUGGAUUCAAAUUUUCAUUUUCCUUGGCGUGUAAGCAUUUUCUUCAGUUAGACAGUUACCCACUUAAUUAAUUGCCGUGUAUAUCUGCAAUACUUUAAAAAAAUGGUGUCCUACUUUAAUAACUGAUAGAUCACUGCCAAAACUCGGUGCAUAAAUCCAAGCGAGAAACCAAGUCAUCAUUAUUCACCACAGAAGCUACAUGUGCAUCUUGCUUUCCCUGCUGCAAGAGGAUACAAAUUCAGUUAGUUCUCACUUCACGGUUAGUGAGCAAGCAAAGGUUUCACGCAUAGCAUAUCGCCGGGCAGUUUCUUGUCGCCAGUGGUCGUCACCUUUGCCUAUCUCACCAAACACCUGGCAAACGACGACAGUUAUCUUUCAUGGCUGCCGCGAAGGUAGCAGGAAGCUUCGUUCUGUAUCUGCAUGCCGGAGUUUGCGUCUCUGUUUCGACUCUGAUCGAUUUCCUGGAAGAAAAUAAUAAUAAUAUAUAUAUAAUUAUAUUCAAUCAAGCUUACAGCCUAAGCAAGGGUGUGAGACAAAAGCUUGGAGAUCAUAUAUAGCGACUGUUUUUUAUCACACUUUUUGCUGCAUUUCUUGGCCCUGAUAGAUUAUGCAUGUAGCUGUUUUUUUUAUCAGACUUGCUGCUGUAUUCACCGUGGCAUUCGAGAAUGGUGAUAUGCUUUUUUUUAAAAAAAAAUGAAAUUCAUUUUUGUUUCUUGAGAGCCUGACUACAGGCUGCUUUGAGGUUCCUGUGAGCCAGCUAGAAAGCCGUCCAAGCUAUCAAACAUGCUCUCCUGCAGCUCACAGGCCUGGUUAGGCCUUCGUGCAAGCAAACGAACAGGCCCAUAGAGAACGAAUUUAGCCCACAAAGAAUCAGAAAACAGACAAUGGAGGCGUUUGUUUCCCAAAAAUCAUCUCCCUGCCAAAAGCAAAUGGUUCUACUAUGGCAUAAACCAAUAAGGCCUUGUUUAGGCACUAUUUGGUUCUUAUUGUUAAACUUUAAUUUUUAUCGUAUCGAAUGUUUGAACAUAUAUAGAAAAUAUUAAAUAGAGACUAUUUAUGAAAUUAAAAACACAGUUCGAGAAUAAUUUGUGAGACGAAUCUAUUAAGCCUAAUUAGUCCAUAAUUAAAUACUAAUUGUCAAAUAAAACAAAAAUGCUACAAUACCUGCUAAACUUUAACACCCCUAACCAAAUACCAUCUUAGUUGAGGAGGUGAAAAGUUUUUGGGUACUAUAGCACUUUCGUUUUUAUUUGGCAAUUAUUGUCCAACCAUAAACUAACCAGGCUCAAAAGAUUCGUCUCGUAAAUUACAAACAAACUGUGCAAUUAGUUAUUUUUUAUCUAUAUUUAAUGUUUUAUGUGCCACAAGAUUCAAUGUGAUAAGGAAUCUUAAAAAGUUUUUGAGUUUGGGGUGAACUAAACAAGGUCUAAGUACAUUGUAUGUCCCCUCAAACAUAUUCUAUGUUUUGCUCAAAAACAAUAAGUAUAUACUACAUGCUAUAUGAAAAAAUUGUGAUGUAUUUAAUACUAUCUCAAAUCAUGUAUCUCGAAACCUGCAUAUCAAUGAAAAGUUGAGCCUGUCAGCUUAUCCACGAAUACACUUCUGUAUAUAGUUAGUACAAAAUUAAUACCAUCCAUAGAUUGAAUCUUUUCUAAAUGAGCAGCAAUGCCAUACUACCAAAGUAGUUCUUCUGGUGUCCAAACUCUAUAAGUUCUCGCCGCCGGCACAGGCCAGUAGCAGCAAGCAACAAGGCAUUGCAGCCGGCGGCGGCGGUAGCAAGCACGACAGGGGUUCCAUGGCGAGGACGGGCGACCUCGUCCGCUGCGGCGUGUGCGGCGGCGACGCCGGCACCGCGAGCUGCGGCGAGGCCACCUUCGUGGCGGAGUGCUCCCACGUCUUCCACUUCCGCUGCGUGGCCGCCGCUUCCGCGGGCACUUGUCCGGUCUGCGCCGCGCGGUGGCGCCAGGCGCUUGCCGUGACCCUCCGUCCCGCGCCGGCGGUCCAGCUCGUCGAGGUCAACGGCGACCACCGCCCGAACACACUGCCGCAGGAGUCGACGCCACCGGGCCAGUAGCUUGCGGCGGCGCCCGCGACGACCGAAGCAACGAGGCUGCCGAGUCCGCCACCUUGUUCUACCUAAGCCCGGCUACGCAUCUCUUAAUAUAUAUGGUGUUAUUAGCUAGUCUAUCGACAUAGUUAUUAGCUACGAUAUAUGUGGUGUCAUAAGUCAUUGUCGCAACAAUUUGUUUCGAGUUUGCAAAAAAAAAAAAAAAAAAAAAGGAACACUCGAUGUUUUUGAGAUAAAAACACUCCUGUUGAUCUUGUUAUCGUACAGCUUAUAACUCUCAUCCCAAAUCCAACCACUAUUCCCUCCUCUCGAUGCGCCACCGACACCUACCGCCCCUGCCACGGUGCGGUAGAGUGUCACCGGAGCUCCGUCGUGUCACCUACCUAUUUCCUUUGAGCCACUUCUAACACCCCCAAAGUUAGGAAGAAGAAGAGAGGUAGAAAAACACUCGAAUGUUGUUUAUCAUUAUUCAAACAAAAACGUUUAGCAAUUGUAAACAAUAAACUUUCUUGCUUUUUUUAGAAACAACUUUCUUGCUCCUAAGUUUUUUUUAGAUAACACAGUACAACGCAGACAUUGAACACGUACGCACACUCACCCCCUAUGAACACACGUACGCAAACCCUAUCUCUAUGAGCACCUUAAAGUGCCGCACCUAGAAUUUAAACCCUCGGUGGGAGUCCUCCAACCAAUGGCCUUUGCUAUUGCGCCGUGAACCCCUUGGCCUUUCUUGCUCCUAAGUUGUGACUUGUGAGUUGUCACUGCAAAGUACAAACCGGGGAAUACCCAAAAAUACGCAAGGAGUCGGCCCAGAAUCCCCUGACGUGGAUGCCCUGCACUGCACAACGACCUCGCAGGUUCUUCCGUUCCCUAGCUAGCUUUACGCGCAAGCUGAAAGAUUGGUAUCCUCCUCUGCACGGCAACUACUCCAGCAGAUUGACUCAUUUUCACCAAGUAAUCCCGAGAGAGAGAGAAAAAAAAAGCAUAUAUAUUCCAUCAAAUGAAAGGGCUUGCAGAUUCGUUCGUUGCUCUCCUCCAUGGCGGGAACGACGACGGGAAUGGCGACCACGAGGAUAGGAAUGGGCAUGACCAAGGUCGGCAGCCGGUGCCCCGCCGUCUGCUUCGGAGGCAUGGGCCACGACCACGCGCCGUCGUCGGAGGCGCCGUCCGCCGCCAUCGAACCCAUGUACGGCGACGACGACCCGGUGGAACCGACGCCGGCGCACGCCCCGCUCGGCGGCACAGGCCGCAGCGCCGCCGGGCUGCUGGUCCUCAAGACGCACUGCGAGUACCCGGCGCUCGCCAAGGCCACGGCGCGCGACGGGUUCGGGGUUCUCGUGCACGCCAAGGCGCCCUCCUCGGUGGCCGCGCCGGAGUCGUCGGCAGCAGCGGCGGCGUCGCGCGCGCCGCUGGAUCUUGUCACGGUGCUCGACGUCAGCGGCAGCAUGGCGGGCAAGAAGAUGGAGCGGGUGAAGCGCGCCAUGGGUUUCCUCAUCGACAACCUCGGCUCAGACGACCGCCUCAGCGUCGUCGCCUUCUCGACGGACGCGCGCCGCAUCAUCCGGCUCACGCGCAUGUCCGACGACGGGAAGGCCGCGGCCAAGCGCGCGGUGGAGUCUCUCGCUGCAUCCGGCAGCACCAACAUCCGCGGCGGCCUCGACGUCGCCGCUAUGGUGCUCGACGGCCGCCGGCACAAGAACGCCGUCGCCAGCGUCAUCCUUCUCUCCGACGGUCAAGACAACCAAAGCAUGCAUCAUGAAUAUCUGCCCACCAGCUGGGUACCGAAACAUUCACCUGCAUUCAGCAAGGGCGGCUACGACGUCCUCGUGCCACCGUCAUUCCAGCGCACCGCCGGCGGCGACCACCGGUGCGUGACGGUGCACACGUUCGGGUUCGGCAUCGACCACGACGCGGCGGCCAUGCACUACAUCUCGGAGGUCACGGGCAGCACCUUCUCCUUCAUCGAGAACCACGCCGUCAUCCAGGACGCGUUCGCGCGGUGCAUCGGCGGGCUCCUCUCGGUGGCCGUGCAGAAGGCGCGCAUCUCGCUGGAGUGCGGUGCGUCCACCCCGGCGUGCGCGUCCUGGCGAUCAAGUCCGGCAGCUACGAGAGCCGCAUCGGUUGGGGCGGCCGCGCCGUCACGGUGGACGUCGGCGAGCUCUACGCGGACGAGGAGAGGCGCUUCCUGCUCUUCGUGGCCGUGCCAAGAGCCCAUUCCAUGGACGAGCUGGCCACGCGCCUGUUCAAAGUCAGGUGCACCUACCUCGACACGCCGACGGGGCAGUCGGUGGACGUGGCCGGCGAGGACGCUAGGCCUGAUCUAGCAUUUGCCGUAGGUGUGGUGAGCAGGUACAUAGAGGCAUCUGGGAAGGAGCACUGGGCUGCUGUGGAACAUAUUCUGAGGUAUCUCCAAGGUUGUUGACACCGUUUUUGGCACGUGUGGGAUGGCAGGAUAAGGUGGCAGUACGAUGUUUACAAAGUGGGUUGCCGAUGAGGGAGAGGUUGAACGUGACUAAGUCCACAGGCAGUAAUAUGGUGCCGAUGGCUAGAUAAGAAAGUCUGCCGAUGACUAUGGCAAAGGGUCUGCCGAUGAUGCAAAGAGGGAGUCCGGAAGCUGCCGGUCGUUAUGUGGAGGAGUUUCGGUUUGUCACGAGGGAUAGUUUUGUUAUUUCCUUAAUUAUUUGCAUCGUUUUGUAUACGGAUUUCGUGUAAUUUGGAAUUCGAAUUCUAAUCGUGUCUGGUUGUAGCUCUUUGAGCAGGGUAUAAAUGUAGACCCUAGGGCCUUGUAAUAGAUCAUCAAUCAAGAAAUCAAUCAAACACAUGUUUUUACUCAUAUUCCAGUAUCUACUUUUCGACGACUUCGUCAUACUUUUUCCUUUUAUUACGAGUUCUUAGGAAUUCGUCGACUUAAGCUCGGCGUGUUCUCGAGUUCCGCGUGAGUACCUCUUAGCCGUGACAUCCGGGCGCAUCGCUGUUGUUAGGACUAAAGUAUUCGAGUUAUCACCUUUGCCGAUAGCAAGGUCAAAUCGGCUGGCACGCCUUAACGUUUGAAUCGGGUAUUAGCCCUUUGUGUUUGCAGAUCAGUUUUGCAUCAACACAUCUUUUGGCACGCCCGGUGGGACAAGAUUCAAGAUCAAGAUCAACAUGUCGAUCUCUGACCUCGAUCAAGAGAACGUCAUCCCCGUGACGGAGGCCAACCUCAAGGAUGAGCAGAAGCAAGCUAUUGCCCAAGCCAUGGAAGAGUUCAAGCAGCAAUGCCUGAGGUCUUUCAGCAUAAACAGGAGCGGCGAAGUGGUCCAGAAAGAUGCACUGCCGGCACCACGGCAGGUCACCUUUGACGCCAAUCCUAGCAAGCUUCAAGAUAUGAUUGACAAUGCCAUCAAUCGAGCGUUGAUUAACCAAGCUGGUGUACUGUCUAAUACGGUUUUCAAUGCCGUGGCAAGAACUUUCAAGGAAGGACAAAUCCCACCAGAUUAUGUGGGCCCCUCCCAUCAUCAGCCAACGGCACCAGAGGUCACGGCUCCAUCGGCUGCCUUGACGAAUGCAAGUGCACAAUCUGCCGUCCCUCCAAGUACAUCGGGGACUACUGGUGCACUAUCUAUGCCGAUGGCAACCAACCCACAAAUUUCAGUUGGGCAGCAUAAACUGACAACAGAUAUGUUGGCAUCGGCAAUGUCAGGGUUGACUCUUCCUCCCAACUGGUGGGGUUACGGUAUGCCUCCAGAGUUGACGCCGGGAACAUCACAAAUAACUGACAUGAGGGGCAAAACUCCUAUGACAUCGGCACCUCCCAAUGCGCCGGUGAACCAGAGUCCUCGGUAUACCACAACUACUACUGCAAGGCCUCACACUGGAAAUCCUCAAGAUUCAAUGUUCCAGAUGCCCAACGCAUCGGCAGAGUCAAUGCUGAUGCAACAGAGGCCUAUGGCCCAGUCGGGGUAUGUCAAUUCAACGACGGUACCCAAUUACCAAUCAUCGGCAGCACCUAUGCCGAUGAACGCUAAUAAUGGAUGGCUUGGACAGCAAGCCUUUCCACAAUCGCCCCAGCAGAGUUACCAGACUACAGGGUUCCAGCAAGGGCAGGUCUAUCCCGGGUUCCAAGGUCAGGGGAUUCCCAACCAGCCAAUGAAUUUUGGACAGCAACUCGGAGGACAGCCAAUCGGUGGACAGCAGUUUGGUGGUCCGCAGAUUGGAGGACAGGUGAUCAAUACAAUGUUCCACGCAGAUCACGUCCCCAACAGACACAUGGAGGUUCGCCACCAAGUACCAGAUCCGCAGCCGCCUCAUCGGCAAGAUGCCGAUGCAUAUUGGGCCGAUAAGAUUGCUGAAGUAAUGAGGGAACAAUUUGGGAUAAAACCCAAAGUCAACACUUACUCUUAUCGGACACCGUAUCCUCCCGCGUAUGAUUUGAUCCCGCUUCCACAUCGGUACAAGGUACCGGAUUUUACAAAGUUUUCCGGACAGGACGACACGUCAACCAUGGAGCAUGUCAACAGGUUCAUUAUUCAAUGUGGAGAGGCUGGUAACAGGGACGAAUUGAGGGUUCGUCUAUUUUCAUCAUCAUUGUCUGGAUCGGCCUUUACUUGGUUCAUAUCGUUACCUCCCAACUCAGUAAUUACUUGGGCCGAUCUAGAGAAGCAAUUCCACAAAUACUUCUUCUCGGGGGUUCAUGAGAAGAAGAUCACCGACUUGGUCAAGUUGAGACAACGUAAUGAUGAGUCGGUUGAGGGAUUUGUGCAGAGGAUACGAGAGGUCAAGAAUAAAUGCUAUAGCCUGGUUCUGGAUGAUCGGCAGCUAGCCGAUUUGGCUUUCCAGGGUUUGUUGCCACAUAUCAGGGAUAAGUAUGCCUCUCAGGAGUUCGAAAGUUUAAGUCAUUUGGUGCAGAGGAUUUCUGAUCAAGACAUCAAGCCUUUUGAGCCUAAGAGAGCAUGGAAUAAGAAAGUGUCAUUUGUCGAUGAAGCAACAAGCUCAGAUUCUGAUGAAGAACCAGUAAUCGGUUUGGCAGAGUGGGUAAAAAACAAGAAGCCGAUGUCUUGUCCUUUUGGGCAGAAGGAACCAGAGAAGUUUGCUUUUGACACCGCUAAGGCUGAUAGGAUAUUUGACUUUCUACUUCAGGAAGGUCAGAUCAAACUGUCACCUAACCAUGUGAUCCCAUCGGCAGAAGAGUUGAAGAGGAUGAGAUAUUGCAAGUGGCAUAAUGCAACUUCCCAUGACACCAACGAGUGCAAAGUAUUCAGACAGCAGCUGCAAUCGGCUAUAGAGUCAGGGAGAAUCAAGUUUGACAGUUCCAAAGCCCAGAAGCCGAUGAAGAUAGACCAACAUCCUUUCCCGACAAACAUGUUGGAUGCUAAGGGGAAGGCUAAGGUCUUAACAUCGGAGACAGCUGAGAAGAGUGCAUCGGUAGAUCCUCAGCAUCAAGUUACUACUGCCGAUGCAAGAAGUAAGGGCUUGGUCCAGGAAGGAACUAGCUCAGGAAGGCUUCCUCGAUCUGGUAUCGUCAUAACUCAUAGAAGGCCUCGAGAAAAAUGGCAACAACGGGAAGAUCGGUAUCGGCGCCAGCAGGAAGAUUAUCGACGGGAAGAAGAAAGACGCCGACAGGAGUGGAAUCGGCACAGGGAUCAUUGGAAUUGUCCAUUCUUCAUCCAUUGUUGGGAGGAGAAUAUCAAGCUUCCUACUGUCAGAGACUGCCCUGAGUGCAACGGUUAUGAUCGGUACGAUAGGAUCGAUCGGUAUUAUCAUAAUGAUGAACGGCGAUUUAAUGGGCCGAUCAGAGGAAGGGUGUCAGUUCAUGACCGGCUGGGGGGCAGAUAUAGCGGGCAUGACAGACUUAGUGACCAUGUCCAGUAUUUUUCCAGGAACCAAGAAGAGCUCGAGGGAAUGGCUGAUGCGCGGGUUCCCGAUGAAUUCAUAUUUUGCAGGGAUGCUAACACACAUCGUAUGGAGUCAAGGGAGAACCGACGCCCGACGGCAAGGCAAAGGCCACUUCCUCCAUGGUGCCCUGGAGGAUUAACCAAGACACAGAAAAGGAGAUUGCAACGUGAAAGGCAAGAAGAGCUAAACAAGGGAGAGAACUCUGGAAGUCGGCAGCCGUCAGACACUAAGAGGGAAGGUCCAUCGGCAGGCGUCAACAUGGUCUUCAUGUUGCCGAUGGAGUUUCUUGCACCAGCCAGUGAUGAUGAGUUGGAAUUUUCUGAUCAGAUAGCUCAGUUGGCUCUGGAUCCGAUGACGGCUAUCUUUGAGAAACCUGCCGAUGACGAGAGGCAGCAUCUUAAAGCUCUGUUCCUCAAAGGAAGGGUUGAUGGGCAGCCAAUGACCAAGAUCCUAGUUGAUGGUGGAGCUGCUAUUAAUAUUAUGCCGUAUGCAGUAUAUCGAAAGCUUGGGAAAGGGGAUCAAGAUUUGACCAAGACCGAUAUGAUGCUCAAAGACUUUGAAGGAAACGUGUCUCCAGUCAAGGGGGCGAUAUGUGCAGAGUUGACCAUCGGCAGCAAAACCUUGCCGACAACUUUUUUCGUGAUCAGCGGAAAAGGUGCUUACAACUUAUUGUUGGGAAGAGAUUGGAUUCAUGCCAAUUGUUGUAUCCCAUCUACAAUGCAUCAAUGCUUGGUUCAGUGGGUAGGUGACAAGAUUGAGAUUGUCCCAGGAGAUUCUUCUUAUGUUAUCGCGUCGGCAGAAGCAGAUACUUACGAAAGGACCAGGUGCAUUUCAGGAGAAGUUUGGGAGAAAGAUUUUCUCAAAGUUGUCGAUUAUGAGAUUCCACCGAUCCAAGCAGUCGGUUCUGACGACGGUUUUUAAUGGAUAGAUUCGCCGAUGAUGGAAAAUUAGGCCAGGGAUUCACAUCGGCCGAUGAUUUGGUAGAAGUAGAUAUAGGUAGUGGUGAUAAGCCUAGGCCUACUUUUAUUAGUGCUAAAUUAGAUCCUGAGAGUAAGCAACAAUUGACUAGUUUGUUAAAGGAAUAUAAAGAUUGCUUUGCUUGGGAUUAUACUGAGAUGCCUGGUUUAGACCGAUCAAUUGUUGAACAUCGGUUACCCAUCAAGUCUGGAUUUCGGCCACAUCAGCAACCAGCCCGCCGAUGUAAUCCUAACAUUCUACCUGAUAUUAAGGCCGAAAUCACCAAACUUAUUGAAGCUAAGUUUAUUCGGCAGUGUCGGUAUGCCGAGUGGAUUUCCAAUGUUGUUCCGGUUUACAAGAAGAACGGGAAGCUUCGGGUGUGCAUUGAUUUCAGGAAUCUCAAUAAAGCUACGCCGAUGGAUGGAUACCCAAUGCCUAUCGCCGAUCUACUGGUUGAUGCUGCGGCUGGUCAUCAGGUCAUCAGCUUCAUGGAUGGUAAUGCAGGUUACAAUCAAAUAUUCAUGGCGGAGGAGGAUAUUCCAAAAACCGCAUUCAGGUGUCCUGGUCAUGUUGGGCUAUUUGAGUGGAUAGUCAUGACUUUUGGGUUGAAGAAUGCUGGUGCUACUUAUCAAAGGGCUAUGAAUUUUAUAUUUCAUGAGUUCAUCGGCAAGCUCGUGGAGAUUUAUAUUGAUGAUGUGGUGGUUAAGUCUGAAGAUUUCUCAAAGCAUCUUGCCGAUUUACAAAAAGUGUUAGAGUGCACAAGGAAGCAUGGAUUGAAGAUGAAUCCCAACAAGUGUGCAUUUGGUGUAUCGGCAGGGCAGUUUCUUGGUUUCAUGGUACAUCAGAGGGGUAUUGAAAUUAGUCGAAGAUCUAUUGAUGCCAUCAAUAAAAUAGUGGCCCCUACCAACAAAACCGAGCUCCAAUCCUUGAUCGGCAAGGUAAAUUUUAUCAGGAGAUUUAUAUCGAAUUUAUCUGGUAGGAUUCGUGCUUUCAGUCCUCUUCUUAAAUUGAAAGCCGAUCAAGAGUUUAUUUGGGGAGAAGAACAGCAGUUGGCUCUGGAUGAAAUCAAGAAGUAUCUAGUGAAUCCUCCAGUUCUAGUUCCACCUCAACAAGGGAAGCCCUUCAGAUUGUAUUUAUCUACCGAUGGAUCGGUUAUCGGUUCAGCUUUAGUUCAAGAAUUUGAAGGGAAAGAAAGGGUAAUUUAUUAUUUGAGUAGGAGGUUGAUUGAUGCUGAAACCAGGUAUUCGGCCAUUGAGAAACUAUGCUUAUGCUUAUAUUUUUCAUGUAUCAAGCUGAGACAUUACCUGUUAUCGGCCGAAUGCACUGUUGUUUGCAAAGAUGACGUGGUCCGAUACAUGCUAUCUAUGCCGAUUAUGAGUGGUAGGAUCGGUAAAUGGAUUUUAGCGUUGUCGGAGUUCGAUUUGCGUUACGAAUCGGCUAAGGCAGUCAAAGGGCAGAUUAUGGACGAUUUUGUGACUCAGCAUUGCGGUCUAGUGGAAACCUUGGAAAUUGUACCCUGGACGCUCUUCUUUGAUGGAUCUACCUGUGACCGGGGGGCAGGAAUCGGCAUUGUAUUAGUUUCCCCUAAGGGGAGGAAGUAUGAGUUUUCCUUGCCGAUUGUUGCCACAUCAACAAAUAAUCAGGCUGAGUAUGAGGCUCUGAUCAAGGGAUUGGAGUUGUUAAGAGAAGUUCGUGCUGAUGCUGUUGAAAUAUUCGGGGAUUCUAUGUUGGUUAUAAAUCAAUUGGCCGGAAGCUAUGAAUGCCGAAGUGAAGUUCUCAUAACUUAUUUCGAGAGAAGUAUGCAACUGUUAAAGGAAUUCAAGGAUUUCCGAUUGGAGCAUGUUCCCCGAUUGCAUAAUGAAGACGCUAAUCGGUUAGCUCAGCAUGCCUCGGGAUAUCAGCCAAUGAUUAAUGCGACAUCGGCAGUCGGUGCCAGUGAUUGGAGGAAAGAAAUUAUUGAUUAUCUAAAAGAUCCAUCCAAAAAAGUUGAAAGACGGGUUCGAUUUCAAGCAACCAAGUAUGUGUUCCUUGAAAAUGAAUUAUAUUAUCGAACUAUCGACGGAAUUCUUCUCCGAUGCUUGGGCGAUGAUGAGGCUAGAAGUUUGAUGGGGGAAAUCCAUGAAGGAGUGUGUGGAGCGCAUCAGUCAGCUUUUAAGAUGAAGUGGAUGAUUCGAAGGAAUGGAUAUUUUUGGCCAACCAUACUUGAAGAUUGUUUUAAAUAUUUCAAGGGAUGUCAAGGUUGUCAAAAGUUUGGUAAUAUCCAGAGAGCACCCGCAUCGGCUAUGAAUCCUAUAAUAAAGCCUUGGCCGUUCCGGGGAUGGGCCAUCGAUCUGAUCGGCCAGAUUUAUCCACCAUCUAGCAAAGGGCAUAAGUUCAUUCUAGUUGCCACUGACUAUUUCACUAAGUGGGUUGAAGCUAUUCCUUUGAAGAAAGUCACAUCGGCCAAUAUGAUUGAUUUUGUGAAGGAGCAUAUUAUUUACCGAUUCGGGAUUCCCCAAACGAUUACUACCGAUCAGGGCACCAUGUUCACAUCGGGGGAGUUCGAUGAAUUCGCAAUCGGUAUGGGAAUUAAAGUGUUGAAUUCUUCUCCUUAUUAUGCUCAAGCCAAUGGGCAGGCCGAAGCGUCUAACAAAGGAAUUAUCAAGCUUAUUAAACGAAAGAUUGAAGAAAAUCCUAAGCGGUGGCACACAUUAUUGAGUGAAGCAUUGUGGUCUUAUCGGAUGGCUUGUCAUGGAUCGACCAAAGUAUCACCCUAUCAAUUGGUGUAUGGACAUGAUGCAGUGUUGCCUUGGGAGAUUAAGACUGGAUCUAGGCGAUUAACUUUUCAAGAUCAAUUAACUUCCGAUGGUUAUGCCACUUUGAUGACCGAUGAAUUGGACGAUCUAGCAGGGCAUCGGUUAAAAACUUUAAUGAGUAUAGAAGAAAAUAAGAAGAGAGUUGCUAGAUGGUAUGAUAAGAAAGUGAAGGCUAAAGAGUUUGCCGAUGGGGAUUUGGUAUGGAAAUUAAUUUUACCAAUUGGGACCAAAAGUUCGAAGUUUGGAAAGUGGUCUCCUAAUUGGGAGGGUCCUUAUCGGAUAAGUCGAUCGGCUCCUGGUAAUGCCUACAUUCUAGAAACCCUCGAAGGAAUUGAAUUUCCCAGAGCAUUAAACGGCAAAUAUUUAAAGAAGUACUACCCCAGUAUAUGGGUCGAUGCAUAGAAGUUUAGGUGCCGAUAACACUCCUAUCGGCUGGAUCCAAAUGCUUGGGGACAAGACUUGGUGUUUCAAAAGCUUAGGUGCCGAUAACAGUCCUAUCGGCUAGACUAAAAGCUGAGGAAGAAGGAAAGCGCAGAUAUAAUGCCGAUGGAAACUCUAUGUGUUAAGCAGCGUCUGGAUUGCCGAUAUAGCGCGUAGCCGAAUUUGGUUGGCUGCUUCCAUCUCCUUGAUGUCGUCAUCGGCAGAACCUUCUAUCGGCUUCAGCUUCUUCUUCAGUUGAAGUGUCUUGCGACCAUGAACAUUUCGCUCGUGCUCAAGAAGCCUGAUGGUCUCUGGCAAUUGGCUCUCUUCCUGUUGGGCUUGGGACAGAGCGUUCUCUACUUCCUUGAGUUCCGCCAACAGGGAUUCUUUUCUUGCCGAUAGAUCGGAUAUCUUCUGCUUCAGCGCGUCUCCAGAAGAUCUCAGGAUACCGAUGUCCUUGUGCUUCUCAUCGGUCAAAAGCUUCUCUUUCCUCAUUUCAUCGGAGAGUUGAGUCUGAGCGGCUCUAUCGGCAAGACGCCGAGAAGCUCUCUGGUACUGCAGCUGGCGACUCUCCAGAUGAGCGGCUUGGAACAGGAUUUCUUCAACAUCGGCUGGGAUUUGGCCUCUGAGAGUUCUGAACAGGGUCUUGGUAGGGUCAGAAUCAUCAACCAAUUGCGCUGUGUCUUGGUGAAGGAGAGCUGACAAUUCUUCCAACCUGACCCUGAUCUCUGCCGAUCUGAUGCCGACCGUCUGAGAAGAGCUUGCUUCUUCACCUUCUUCUUCAGAGAGAUCGAUGGCAAAGGAGAACAGGCUAUCGGGAGAAUCUUGUUCCUGGGAGGGAAGGCAAAAUUAGCUCAUACUCAGAGAAUCGGCAAAUAAUGCUAACGGUAAACGGUGACUUACUUGCUUCAAGGCGAUCUCUUGUCUUUGACUGAGAAGUACUAACGGAGCUACAGGCUGAUCGGCCAAAGAUGCCGAUGGAGCUACAGGUUGAUCGGCUGAGAUUGCCGAUGGAACAAUAUCAACUGAAAGAAGACAAAAGGAGUUAUGAGACUAAAUAAGAAUAAGUUCAUCGGUAGCGAUAUUGUUAAAGUAUGUUACCUGGAGGAGGGACAACGGUUGUCUGAACCGGGAGAACUGCCGAUGGUAUAACUGGACUCACCGGGCCAGUUGUUUGUUCACCCAUGUCAACUGAUGUAUCUUCUGUUUGAGAUCCUUCCUGUUGGGGUUCUUCUAUCUGUGGUGCUUCCUGCAUAGGUGGGGGAGAUGGUGCUUGCUGUGGCUGGGCUUCUGGAGAAGAAGGAGAAGAUUCCACCGGAAUUGGAGAUACCGGAGGAGGAGGGGGGAUUGCUACCUUCUGGCGCUUUGUUCCAGUCUUAGCACCCGUGGUGCCCUUUCUCUUGGGUUGGCUAGACUGGGGGGCAUCGGUACUCUCACGCCUGGCUUUCGCCGAUGGGCCGGUUUGCUGCAAUAAUGAACAAGAGUUUAUAAGCAUAAAUAUAGCCGAUAUAAAGAUAGUCAGCAUAAAGGAAAAGAUUUGACAAAUUGCCUUGAAAGCCCGCGCGAGAGUGGGAGCAGCUACCGUUGGUGAUGUCUGGGUUCUUCUGGUGGUGACUUUCCUGAGGCGUACACCCCAAUGCACGAUGGAAGCUAGAGUGGGAGCAUUGUGGCCGAUUGAGGAAAUCGGGCCUGAUGGAAACAAGUCGAUCGGCCUGCCACUCCUGCUAACCAACGGAGGAAUAUUAUCAACCUGCAAAAGGAAUACAAGGGAACUUCGUAUUCAGAGUCAAUCAUGCCGCGGAAUGAAAGUGCCGAUCUACAGAACAGAUGCUCUUUCCAUUCUGCCCACCAUAACUUGUAUGCCUGAGUGAUAAAAGCAGCCGGGACCCAUUCUGACAGAUCUACAUCUAUAUCGGCGUUUGGUGGUAGUUGGGCUGCUCGAGUCCACUCAAGAAGGUUGUUGAUAGUUUCUCUGGGUUUUAUCACAUCGGCAUAAGGAAGUGCAAUCGGCAACUGGCCGAAAGCUAGCUGGCGAGCUAAUGCCGAUGGAUUGUAAAAUUCGUAAGUUUGAGGGGAGGUUUUUGUGCUACCAAAGAAAUUCACUGGAAUGAUUCUGGGAGUCACAAUUGCCAUCAUCACCUCAUUGUCCCUGUCGAGAGCUUCAUCAAAUGGAUUGAAGGUCAGAGGGAGCAUGCUAUCUGGGUCAUCAUAAGCCAACCAUGGUCGUUCGUCUCUGGUCAAACCCUCAUACAGAGUCUGGAAGAAUCGGCCGAUCUGAUCUGGAUUACCCCCUGAACCAGGCAGAACUAUGACAGCUUCGCCAAAGUUCAAGGGGGCACGUGUUGCCGUUUCCUCUUCACCCAAUACAUGGUUUUCAGCUAUAUCUCUUGGGAAACGCUGUGUGAACAGGUUGAAGUUGAGACGCUUGUGCAGAUGCAGAUUGAGCCACAUGUUGACAAACCACCAGGGGCCUCCCAAGUUGCCAGUGGAUUGGCCGAGCAGAAGUUUCUGGGCUACUUGAUGGAGAAGGUGGUAAGCAGCGCCAAGCAAGUAUCGGCCGAGAGGGAAUCGGCCACCGUUAGCCAGUCUUUCUGCUGCCGAUAGGUAGACAGAAGUCGGUCCUGCCGAUCGACCACAGAAUACAAACUUGUCCAGCCACAUGUUCAGAAAGGUGGUUUGUUCCUUUAUGGUGACAGAUCCUUUCCCACGGUACUUCUGAAUGUACCCCGACCAACCGCCGAUAGCGCGAGUCUCCACUUUGGCACUAGGGGCAGUAUCAAAAAAGUGGGUGCUAUCGGCAGAAGAUAUAUCUAGACCAGUAAGCAUGGCUACAUCGGCAAGAGUAGGAGAAGCAGGGCCGUGGCCAAAGGCAAAAGCAUUGAGGGUGUCUGACCAAAAGUAGGAUGCAGCUAUCAGCAGUGACUCGUUUCUAUGCAUAUCGGCAAUGAACAAUCUGAUGCAUUGGGCUAGAUUCCUUUCACCCCACUGAACUUCAUUAGAGUUGCUGACCCUCAAGAACCAGUCUUUCCACCCUACAGUUGGGCUGGGCCAAGAGCGGAAGGUGUCCUUCCACAGAUCUAAGGAAAAAUUUUCGGCUCUGAAGGGGAUCCUGUUGGUUUCUGCGUUGAUAAGGUCAGUUGGAUCUGGGUCCCCUAGAGGGCCGAGGCAUUGAAGGUGUGGUUGAUCGGUGGGGAUGACAAUUUUGUUGGACAAUUCCUAGUGAUUUUGGGCGUAAAAAGAAAUACAAAGAGGAAACAAAAGGAAGAUGUUCAGUAAAAUGGAUUGCGAGUGAACAGGGAUAUGAAGAAAAAUACAGAAGACGGGGUGGAGAUUUGACCUCAGGGACGACAAACCCGACGGCCAUCUUGCUGCGAAGGAAGCGUUUGAAGGCGCCGGAGUUGGUGAAGAGGGGUACUUGUCAGAGACCUUGGGAGUUUUUGGUGGCGCCGCCGCUGGAAAAGUAAAGUUGGGUAGUAGAAUGGUGUGAUGGGGAAGGAGUACCCGAGAAGGAACUAUUUAUAGGACAAAAUGGGCAAGGGCAAAUCCGACUUAUCUCUUUGCCGCAUCCGAGAAAUCCGAGGGUACUCAGGUGGAUAUGGUAACUAUUCGCACGGUAAUCCAGGGAUUGUGCAGGUGAUUUGACAGGAAGCGGUCAUUAUCUGAAGAUAUUUUACUGUGCGAGAUCUCCUGGUCGGUCCAUCGGCAAUAUUCUACAACGGUCAUAUUGCCGAUGGGCGGAUAGAGGGGAAGUAACCGUUUGUGCGAAUAUCCUGGUCAGAACAUCGACAGAUCUUUGUAACGGUAUUGUUGCCGAUGUACGGCUGAGAAAAAAUGCCCGUUUAGAAAGUUGGGGAUUUCGAGAAAUCUGCGGAGGAAUAGGAUCAGAGUUGUUCAGAUUGAGGUUGUCGGUUACCAGAUUAGGAGCAUUAAUUGCGGGAAAAGGCAUCAUUACUGCAGAGAAUUUCGGAGCAUUAAUAGUUUUAUACUCCGAAACUGGGGGGCAUGUGUUGACACCGUUUUUGGGCACGUGUCUGGGAUGGCAGGAUAAGGUGGCAGUACGAUGUUUACAAAGUGGGUUGCCGAUGAGGACGGUUGCCGAUGAGGGAGAGGUUGAACGUGAUUAAGUCCACAGGCAGUAAUAUGGUGCCGAUGGCUAGAUAAGAAAGUCUGCCGAUGACUAUGGCAAAGGGUCUGCCGAUGAUGCAAAGAGGGAGUCCGAAAGCUGCCGGUCGUUAUGUGGAGGAGUUUCGGUUUGUCACGAGGGAUAGUUUUGUUAUUUCCUUAAUUAUUUGCAUCGUUUUGUAUACGGAUUCCGUGUAAUUUGGAAUUCGAAUUCUAAUCGUGUCUGGUUGUAGCUCUUUGAGCAGGGUAUAAAUGUAGACCCUAGGGCCUUGUAAUAGAUCAUCAAUCAAGAAAUCAAUCAAACACACGUUUUUACUCAUAUUCCAGUAUCUACUUUUCGACGACUUCGUCAUACUUUUUCCUUUUAUUACGAGUUCUUAGGAAUUCGUCGACUUAAGCUCGGCGUGUUCUCAAGUUCCGCGUGAGUACCUCUUAGCCGUGACAUCCGGGCGCAUCGCUGUUGUCACGACUAAAGUAUUCGAGUUAUCACCUUUGCCGAUAGCAAGGUCAAAUCGGCUGGCACGCCUUAACGUUUGAAUCGGGUAUUAGCCCUUUGUGUUUGCAGAUCAGUUUUGCAUCAACAAAGGUACUGUCAGAUAUGGCUGCAAGUAUGAGAGAGGUGGUGAACUGAAACCAAUUCUAGUUGGUUACAGUGAUAGCGACUUCGCUGGUGACAUUGAAGACAGGAAGAGCACGUCAGGAGUUGGUUAUUUCCUUGGAAGUAGCCUUGUCACCUGGGGAUCGCAGAAGCAAAGAAUAGUUGCCUUGUCUUCGUGUGAAGCCGAGUAUGUAGCAGCCGCUGCAGCAGCAUGCCAGGGCAUAUGGCUGAACCGACUGAUUGCAGAUAUGUUGGGGACUAAGGAGACGACAGUAAAGCUGCUGAUGGACAAUCAAUCCGCGAUAGCACUCGCAAAGAAUCCCGUACACCAUGAUCGUAGUAAACAUAUUGAUACAAGAUAUCAUUUUCUGCAUCAGUAUAUAGAAGAAGGCAAGAUUGAAGUUGAUCAUGUUGGCACUGAAGAACAGUUGGCCGAUCUUUUCACUAAGGCCCUAGGAAGAGUCAAGUUCGUGGAGCAACGUAGUGCUUUAGGUGUCGUUGAAGUGCAUCAAGUUUAGGGGGUGUUUUGUUAGAUAAAUUGAUGCUGGUCAUUAUGUAAUCUUAGUCCACAAGAGUCUGUAAGGGUCAGGUGAGGAUGGGCAUGAUCGCAGGCGUGCGGGAUCAUGACUUAUCUUAUUAGAGUCUGUUAGACGCAUGUCAUGUCGGUCUAGAGCGCGCGUAGUGCACGCCGCGGUGAAACGGUGUUGCGAUCUCUUGACGACGUGGCGUGGGGGGUUUGGAGUCUGUAAACCUCGAGCAUGUCUAUAAAUAUAAGGAACACAAGGCCGAAUAAGCUGCGGUUGGUUGCAGCAUCGUAUCCUUGCACGAUCUCGAGCAUUUGUAUCUUUAGGGUUUAAGUCGGCGUGAUCACCAUCGAUCUGGGUGGCACUCCCGUGUGCUAUCAUCGUGAUCGGCUCCAACAGACGCCAGGAGGGACUCGGUGAGCCGGUCGGCGCCGGCGCUCUCCGACGACACGCUGUGCGCGGCGGUGGCGGCCGAGCUGCACGAGCUGAGCCGGCGCGUGUCGGACGAGCGCGAGUACAAGAAGACGGGCCGUGCGUGCAUUCUCGCCAGCAUGAGCUCGCACUCGCUGCAGCGCGGCUCGUCGUCGUCGGUUCGGUUUGGGUGCGUGGGGUCGCCGUCGGUGUUCGCGACGCCAGCGAUGCGGAAGAUGGAGAAGCUGUCGGUGAUGUUGCGUAGUAAGCAGCAGGAGGCGCUGCCGCGGCAGCCAUUGCCGGAGAAUGGAGGCAAGACCGGCGUUCCUCUUGGCUCGCGCCGCCUAGAGGCAAGGUUGGCAUCGGCUGUCCCUCGUCUCAGAAUGUUGAACAGAUACCGCCGUAUUCUACUCAAGCGCUAAGCAAAAUGCAAUGGCAUACAACUUGCAGGCAGCAUAACAGCAUAUUUUACCAGACAAAGAACCUAAAGUUACGACCAAACAUUACUCAUAUAAUAAAGUCAUAAUGCAUCUUUUUUUAGUCUGUCUAGGUAGCAAUCAAGUGUUUCAGAGUCUGUGAACACUCGAUUCCUCGCGACCGUUGAAUGAAGAUCGAACACUCAUUCUCUUUUCUUCUAGCUCUGGUUCAUGGCCAUUCAGGCGUCUCCGUGAAAUGCCGCCAACCACCGCCCUGCCACGAUGCGGUAGGCUCUCGCCAUAGUUUUGCUGCGGAGCUCUAGCGAGACCAACUGCACCCACGGCAGCCUCCUUCUCCCCUCUCCCUCCCUUGCCGCCGCCACGGCCAUGGCUGCUGCCGCCCCGAUCUAGCCCGACCACUUUCUCCGUUAGCAGAACCCUAAUGCCGCCGUCCCACCAUCCCUACCACUUGGUCGGCUUAGCUCCCCCCCCCCCGAGCCCCUUCUAAGGCUAUCAAAGUUGGGGAAUGGGAAAGAAGAUGAGGAAAAACCAAAUAUAGACAAAAAUAAAAGGGAGAAGAAUCGAGUGUCAUUUAGCACUACUCUUUUCUAGUAAAGAUGGCAAUGGGGCGGGUUCGGGGCGGAUAUCCACGGGUUUCGAUUUUGGUGCCUGUUUUUUGCCCACGGUUUUGCGGGUUCGGAUACCCGAAAUACCGCGGUUUUGGGGCGGAUACUAAUUUUUACCCAUGGUGCUCCAUCGGCCCCCAGAAAAUGCAGCCCACUAAAAGCCCAGCAACCAACCCUAAGUAUAUAAGCCUGAUUGCCUCACUCCCUCAGCCUCAACUUGUCUUCUCCUCCCGCAGCCGCACAGGCAGGGGAGGCACGGGCGCACGGCCGCACGGGCAGGCCGCAGGCAAGGCCUCAACUUCUGCUAAUCUACUCCCAUCCAUCGCCCUCUCCCAUCCCCACAGGCACGGCGGCUGGCGAUCGCACAGUGGACGGGGCAUGCCCUCUCCCAUCCAACGCCCCGACGGGAGACCAGAGACCUCGCCGACUCGACGGUUCACCGGCCUUGGCGCCUGGCUAGUCUGCUGUCUGCGUCUCCGCGACCUUCGACUGUAAUAUGUGAUGUGUAGUGAACUUGGUUGCUUACUUGUUUCUCAGUACUUUAGUCGGUACAUGGCAUUCCCAGACUUGCAUGUUUGAUGUUUCUGGACAAGCUAUUUUGCUAAUAUAUCAUGUAUUGCAUUGUCGUCUUUGCUGAUUUAUUAUAAUAUUUUCGGGUUUUGGUUAAUCCGUUGGGUUUUGUGGAUCCGCGGAUUUUAGUUUUGGAGAUGGAUUUUCACCUGAAUUAGGGUUCGGGGCGGGUUCGGGUUUUAAUUUUGGGUUUCGGUUUUUGGUGCCCAUAGACUCCACCCGAUCCGAAUCCGCCCGUUGCCAUCCUUAUUUUCUAGUCUAGUCUAGGAUCAUAAUGCAUCCAAUGGUAGCAAUAUGAAAAUAUUCAUGGAUAUCCAGCAAGAGCAAAGCCAAAUACGGCCUCGUUUUGUCCGCUACAUUAACGAUCAUGGUCUGAGCCUAAGCCCAUGGGUCAACCUGACAUGGGAAGACUCUGGCCCACAAGGAAACUUGUUUAUUUUAGCGCCAUGUGGAUGCGCUUUUAUCUCUCGGGCUUACUUUGUUGACAAAAUGAAACCUAUAGAUGGUACUUUCCUAGGGAUUCUCACGGAAUUCCGAUUCUCACCUGUGUAUAUGUUUUCAGAGCUGGUCCAGUUUUUGGCCCUACACCGGUAUUUUGGGCUGCUAUUAUUAGCAAUUUUCUUACCACCACAAGAUGGGCUGCAAUCUGUGUUGGGCCUACUUUACUUCUCCAGGUAGAUCGAUUAAUUUUGUUAGCUAACACUAACUAGAGCAGGAAUCAGGCAAUUGUGCUAUUCUCGUAAAGAAAAUCGUUUUGGACAAUGUUUGAGUUAAGCAUUAGAAAUAUAAAUCAUAAAUAAUUUUUAAGUUAUUAAGUUUAAAUAUUUAAAAACUAUACCAUAUUUUAAUAAUUUUUUUUAUUAAAAACAGGGAGUACCUAUACCAACCUUGCAAAGGUUGGAACGACGACAAACCUAAAACAUUAUAUUAUACUUUGUUUUUUGAAUAUAUGUACGUCAUGAAUGAAAUAAAUAAAAAAAAAUAAUACAGCAGGUCAAAUAGCAUGCACCACCACCUUCCACAGUCCUGGCUCGUGACUUGUUACGCAGGGUCCACGUCCACCCCCACUUGCCAACAACAUCCUCGCAACCGGUUUUUUCUUAAAAAAAUUUUUCUGGUUUUUGUUUUGAUUUGGCCGUGAUUCUCUCGUUUCCUCCCUUCGCAAUCACGGGGAUUGGAUUUUAAUUUUUCGACCACGCCGACUGAAAUUCCCUUUUCCUUGGCUGGCUAUAUCCACGCAUGUACGAUCGCGAACGGAGGCACCGACAACUCUAUCUACAGUCUACUUCACAAAGGCCUUGGUCUCGUUUAGUUCACCCAAAAACCUAAAAUUUUUAAAGAUUUUCCGUCAUAUCGAUUUUUACGGUUGCGGCACAUGCGUGGAGUAUUAAAUAUAGAUGAAAAUAAAAAUUAAUUGUACAGUUUGUCUAUAAAUCGCGAGACGAAUCUUUUAAGCCUAGUUACUCUAUUAUUGGACAAUGUUUGUCAAAUAAAAACAAAAGUGCUACAAUGUCGUUUUCCCAAAAAUUUUUGGAACUAAACAAGGCCCUUGUUAAGUUCCUGAGAAAUUUUUUGUUUUCGGUACCUAGCAUUUUUGUUUUUAUUUGAUAAAUAUUGUCUAAUCAUAUAUUAACUAGAUUUAAAAGAUUCAUCUCGCGUUUUACAGAUAAACUGUGUAAUUAGUUUUUAUUUUCAUUUAUAUUUAGUAUUUCAUGCAUGUGCCACAAAAUUCGAUGUGACGAUAAAUCUUGAAAAAAAUUUAGUUUUUGAGAUGAACUAAACCAGGCCAAAGUUGAGCUGGAUAGACACCCGGCGCCUCUUUGGCUGCUUGAUCGGUGAUACGAUGGUGAACAUUAGACCAGUCUCAGUGCUAAUUUCAUAUCCCAGUUUCUAAUACUUGCAUGUUUUGAAAAUAGAGCUAAAGAGUUUUAUCUUCAUAAAAUCUUUUCUAUUCUUAUAAAAUUCUUAGAGAACUCGUAGUGCAUAAAUCAUCAUAGUUUUUAUGGAUAUUAAUUAUAUUAUCAUAUAAGCAUUUUGCUGAUAUGAUAAGUUAGUUAUUAAAAAGAGAACAAAAAUCAUAAAAAGUGAGUCUAAGUUAGAAACUAUGUCUACAUGAGAAUUAAUACUAGAAGAGAUGUGAUUGGUAGAAAAUAAAGAAAGAUUGUAUGUGACUGGAUAAAAAAUUGUUAUAUAGAAACUACAUGUAUUUUUUAUUAUUAUUGGAACACUGCUCUUAUGCUUUCGUCUUCACAAAUAUAGUGUUAUAUCAGCAUAUUAAAUAUUUAUAAAAUUCUAUAAAGCUUUCAUAACAAUUAAGUGGGCAAGAAAUUGUAUGUAGAAAUCAUCUCACACAAUGGUUGAAACUAUGCACGGUUUCCAUAACAAUUAAGUGGGCAAGAAAUUGUAUGUAGAAAUCAUCUCACACAAUGGAAGUUUCUUUCCCUAAUAAAUAUUCUUUUUUUAUUGUUUUCUCUCUCAGCAAGUGCAUCGUCUUCCUCCUAGAGCUGCAUGCACAUUUGUUUUUUGCAGGAGCCACGGACGACCUUGCCAUGGAGGGCCACAUACUUGCUCGCGGUGUCAUUGUCGUGGACCUGUGAACAACAUCGCCAUGGAGGACCGCGUGCUCGUGGGCGUCAGAGAGCUCGCCAUGGAGGUCCACGUGCUCGCAGGCGUCACCGUCGUGGACCUACGAAUGACCUCGCCAUGGUCCCAUGGAGGGUCGUAUGCUCGAUCGCGGCCAAGAGCUUGCUCGGACGACCUUGCCAUGGAGGGCUGCGUGCCUGCCGCCGUCCGCUUCAUCGACAUGGAGAGCCUGCACGAGCUAGCAACCUCGCUAGAGAGCAACGUCGAGCGCGGCAAAGCCAGAUGCCGGACGGCGAGCCACCCAGGCGAGCGAUUUGUAGCGGCCUGAGCGAGUGGCCUAGGCGAGCGAUCUACGGUGGCCUGGGCAAGUCGACCUGUGGCAACGACGGCUUGCUUCCUGCUGCACAACUUGCGAAUGAAAUGCCGUGGAGACGAUGGAAACUAGUGGUUUCUCCCCAAUGCGUUUUUACUCGUUUCUUCACGCAUCGAUCUGAGUGAGGACGCGAUUUCUUGAGGAAGAAACGAUUUCUACGUUUUGUACUCUCUUUCCUUAAUAACUCUUUUGCCACAUCAGCAAAUUGCUGAGCUGUCAGUAUAAUUAAGAGGGAUAGAAACUACCAUCAAUGAUCCAUUGGGACUGCCCUUAGGUUAGUCUCAAUGCAUGUUUUAUGAGAGUGUCAUACACAUUAAAUAGGGUGCCACAUAAGCAAAAUUGCUGACUUGACAAAGUCAUUAAAUGAAGGAGUUUCAUCAGAUGAGAGAGAAGUUUCAUCCCUAUAAAACUUAUGUGACUCGAUUACCUAGUUUAUAGUCUUGAUAACUGUGUCAUAAAACUAUGCAUUGAGACUGACCUACACUACUUCGCUACAGGAGAGUCUGAGAAGCCGAUUGAGCAUUAUUCAUGCAUUCUGUAAUUGUUGCAUUCUGUAAUUAUUGGUGAUCCACCACGCGAGAGCCCGAGAAGCCGAUUGGUCAAAGUUUUCUAUUUUCAAUGCGAACCUCUUACUUUAAAUGAAACAACCAUCGUUGGAAGAGCAUUCUUACCUGUGCCGCCUUAACUAAAAAUUAAGGCUCGUGAAAAAAAAAAAAACACACGUCCAUGACGCUGGUUGACAGACACAGACGUACAGCAACGUGGAAAACAAAGUCGAAGCUUCCAUAUUUCAUCCAACAAAAAAAAAGAUAGAUAGAAAGUCGAAGCUGCUUUAAGAAAGGUGUAGGAUUCCUGAUUUGCUGUGAUCUCGUCGUUCGGUCCUGCGAUGCGAGUCUUGUUUAGUUAAAAAAUAUACAAAUUUUUUAAUUCUCCGUCACAUCGAAUCUUAUGGUAUAUAUAUGGAACACUAAAUAUAGAUAAAAAAUAACUAAUUAUACAAUUUAUUUAUAAUUUACGAGACAAAUCUUUUAAAUCUAGAUAGUUCGUAAUUAGAUAAUAUUUGUUAAAUAUAAAUAAAAGUGCUAUAAUAUUAUUUUUUAAAAGAGAUGGAACUAAAAGGCGUAGAACAAGGCGAGCAGUAACGAGACAGGAUCGAGAACCACUCGGGUGUUUUGUUGGGAUAAUUAGUGUUCAGCCAUAAAUUAAUUAGAUUUAAAAGAUUCGUCUAACAAAUUACUCUCUAGUUUUUAGUGUUGUUUUAGUAUUUUAUGUAUCUAUUCAAAUAUUUGAUGUAACGGACGAUAAACUUGAACUCGUGAAACCAAAUAGGACCUAAUACGCUUCGUGGUGGUUGAUUUGGCAGGCACAGGGAUUUAAUUUCCAGAUGCCCGUGCAUGCACAAGUUUGACAAACUGGGCCUUGUUUAGUUCCAAAAACUGAAAAGUUUUCAGAACUGUAGCACUUUCGUUUUUAUUUGACAAACAUUAUUCAAUUAUGGAGUAAUUAGGUUUAAAAGAUUCAUCUCGUGAUUUACAGGUAAACUAUGUAAUUAAUUUUCAUCUAUAUUUAAUACUCCAUACAUAUGGCGUAAGAUUCGAUGUGAUGGGGAAUCUUGAAAAGAUUUUGGUUUUUGGAGUGACCUAAACAAGGCCCUGGUAUACAGGAGAGACAAAAAAAAAAAACAAGACCAGAGUGCACACCGAGCCGAGGUGGCGGCGGGCUGGCUCGACGAGGAAGACCAUGAAUUGAAAGCAUGAACGCAGGUAUGUUCGUUUAGCUAAUAAAUUAUAAUUAAAAAUAUGUUAAUUUAUUAUUAGAAAAAUAUACAUAUAGAUGCUGAAAAACCAUCGGCGCUGGCAGUGGCACGAUUUGCCUGGAAAUCCGCGGUCGGGCGUCCCCUGAAUCUGACGAACCACGACGACGGCGCGGACGUUUUAGGAAGGGGGGCUGGUGGUCGCCGGUCGUGGGCUCUCGGCCGGGCCGUGCGCGACGACGGCAGCCGGCAGCCGGCUGCUGCGUGGUGGUCGGUCUUGCCAGUCGGGGGCGGGCAUAUUCGCCGAGAAUGUGUGGAGCAUAGCAUAUUCCAUUCCCCAUGGGGCAGCUAGGCCUUGUUUAGUUCUGAAAAGAUUUCGGAUUUCAGUACUGUAGCAUUUUCGUUUGUUUGUGACAAAUAUUAUCUAAUUAUGGACUAACUAGGAUCAAAAGAUUCGUCUCGCGAUUUCCAGCUAAACUGUGUAAUUAGUUUUUGCUUUCGUCUAUAUUUAAUGCUUCAUGCAUGUGCCGCAAGAUUCGAUGUGACAGGGAAUCUUGAAAACUUUUUGCUUUUUGGGUGAACUAAACAAGGCCCUAGUCUCGGGGUCAUCGGGAUCUGCAUCUGCCAUCUGCAUGUCGCACAUGCCCACGCUCCUCCCCGCCGCGGCCACUGUUGGGGUUUCAGCGGUACCGUAGCACUUUCGUUUGUUUGUAAUAAAUAUUAUUCAAUCAUAAACUAACUAGAGUCAAAAGAUUCGUCUCGUGAUUUAUAGCUAAACUGUGUAAUUAGUUUUUGUUUUCGUCUAUAUUUAAUGUUUCAUAUAUGUGUCAUAAGAUUCGAUAUGACAAGGCCUGAACCUGAACAAGAAGAAGAAGAUGCCCUUGGGCCUUGGCAGGCAACUAUGGGCAAGGGAAGAACACGUGUCCUCUCGCUCUCUCUACCACGUGGAUGGAUGGAUACAUAUGAUACGAUCGUUGGCUGAUUGGCUCGUCCACACAAACACGAGUGACGACGGGGCCACGCUGAGUAAGCCAGCAAUGCCAAUGCAACCUCGAGUGUGCCAAUUCAUCCACCACGUCGAUUCGGUGCCAUGACACAGGGACCUCAGCUCGCCGUCACCUGGCCAACACUCGCCGUGCGCCGCUGGAACACCCUGCCCCAGCCACUUUCGGCCCGUCCGCGCGCGCGCAUCCAUGUGCCGAGCCACAAUUUUUCAACAUAAAAAGAGAGACCAAUAUCAAUUCUAACCACACAUGAUGAAAUAUAAGUGCACGAGUACGAUGUUAGCUUGGCAAGGGUGUAGAUAAUAGCAUAAUCAACAUUAUUUGUUUUUUCGACACAAGAGAAAAUUGAAAGUCUAAAAGAACAGUGACAAUUAUAGUGAAACGGAGAAAAGGUUAUUCAUCUGUAAGUCUUUAAUCUCUGUCCUAGUAAUUUAAUUUAUAGACAAAAAAGAAAUCAUUGUAUAUUGAUUGAUAGGGAUAAAGAGUAGAUGCCGGAAGACAAGAAGAUAAAAAUGAUAAUCUUAAAGCAUAUUUAUAACGGGUGCUUUGAAGAAGAGACAUUUUUCACUCUUGAAAACUCAUAUUAUUUGUAUAGAUAGGAUAUGUAAAUAUAGAUGUAGAUAUAAUAUAUAUAAAUAUUAGAUAUGAUAUGAUAUGAGAUAUAUUAUGGCAUUAUACCGCUGCAAGAAUAAGCCGCGAUAAGGCUAUAGUUUUAUAGAUAUAGAUAUGGGAUACAAUUUUAUUUUUUAGUUGUAUUUUUCUUUAUUUUUAUUAUUAUCCUUUGUUUGCAAAGAAAGAAAUGGAGAAGGAAAUAUGACUUUCUUCUUCUUCUUGCGCCACAAUCCACGCGCGGAACAACGGAACGCACCUACCCCCGAGACGAACUUCUCCCUCCAUGACACGUGGGCCGCGGUACUGUCCGGGCCUACACGUCAUCCGGACACCUGUCCCGGCCUACGCCUUCUGGAGAAAGGCGCAUUGGACAGGUCAUCGCCGCACCUCAUUCCACAAUUAUUUGCUCCCAUUGUUUAUUUUGUCCUCCCUGUAGUCGCAUUUCGCUUUCUCCUUUAAUAAUUAAUUCAUUAAUUAAUUAACAAAAGAUUUUUUUUUUCUCUCCUCAUUGCCUUCUCUGGGCUUUAUAAAAGGGCAACCGCUAAACCCCCCAUCUCAUCCCAUAUCAGCUUCUAGACGCUUCACUUAUCUCGAGCAUCUCCCGUCCCCGUCCUCGCUCCUGACUCGCCAUGGGUAAAUUCUUCGCUCCCGCCUGGGAUUUGUCCGUUUGAUUGCUGAUCCUUCUUGCUUCGUACUCAGAUCUGACCAAUUGGUUUUUCUGGCUGGAUCUCUGGAUGCAGGCAAGAUUAAGAUCGGAAUCAACGGUGAGUUUGUACCCCCCCUAAGCUAUGCUAUUGCUAUUUCUCCUGCUCGAGCUCGUUUGGUCUUGUUUGGUUGUGGUUUGGGCUGAUCUGAGAGCGCUCUCUCUGCAUCUGCGUUUGCUCAGGUUUCGGAAGGAUCGGCAGGCUCGUGGCCAGGGUCGCCCUCCAGAGCGAGGAUGUCGAGCUCGUCGCCGUCAACGACCCCUUCAUCACCACGGAUUACAUGGUAAUGCUUCUCGAUCUGUUGCUUUUGUUCCGUACACCUGGAAGUUUUAUGUUAUUUUAGGGUGGGUCAGCAUGCAUGCUCGAUUUGGUUAAUCAUAGCUUCCAGAGUUGUUUUACUUAGGCCUUGUUUAGUUCAAAAUUUUUUUUUGGAAAUCGACACUGUAGCAUUUUCGUUUGUAUUUGAUAAAUAUUGCCCGAUCAUGGACUACCUAGGCUUAAAAGAUUCGUCUCGUCAAUUCCGACCAAACUGUGCAAUUAGUUUUUAUUUUCGUCUAUAUUUAAUACUCUAUGCUUGUGGCUAAAGAUUCGAUGUGACGGGGAAUCUGAAAAAUUUUGCAAAAUUUGUUGGGAACUAAACAAGGCCUUAAGUUAUUUACUGGCUUUAUCAGUAUCUGUUGGUAUGAACAGCUUGAGGUGUCAGAUUUGGUGCUUACUUCAGUUUCUGAAUCCUGAAAUCUGUGUGCUGUGCUCAUGGUUUAUGUGCUCCCCUCUCAUCUUGCGUAGACCUACAUGUUCAAGUAUGACACCGUGCACGGCCACUGGAAGCACAGUGAAAUCACCCUCAAGGACUCCAAGACCCUUCUCUUCGGUGAGAAGCCAGUCACCGUCUUUGGCAUCAGGUACUCCCCUCGCCUGCUUCUUUCAGACAUGGAUUGAGUUUAUGUGCUCAAGUUGUUAGCUGAUGCUUGAACUGCUGCAAUUCUACAGGAACCCUGAGGAGAUCCCGUGGGGUGAGGCUGGUGCUGACUAUGUCGUGGAGUCCACUGGUGUCUUCACUGACAAGGACAAGGCUGCUGCACAUCUGAAGGUAUAAUUUCUGCUUCACGAGCCUUUACUUGUUUCAGAAUGUAUAUGCUGUUUCACUUGUUUGGGUAUCAUGUUCUCCCAGAUCGCAAAUAUGGAUUGUACAUGUGUGGUGCAUAAAUUUAGAGAUCCCACCAAGUAGUUGGGCUUAAUGUAUACAAGUUUGCACUAGUAGAUUCUUAUUAGUACUGCUGCAUGGAAGCUCAAGAGCUGCAAUCAGGCAGUGCUGUUUUUAGUAUAGCUGGUUACUUCCAGUUGAGUUGGUUGAUUGCUUCUGACAUGCUGUGAUAACCUGAGGUUUUGGAAUGUACUUCAGUUUCAUUGCUAUAAAAGUACUGUUAGUCUGUUACUGGACUUAGAUUGAAAUUAUUAGACUCGUAGUGCAGUGUCAUGACUAGGAUAACCCUUGUACCCUCUUUACUCUUAUCACUUUACUCUUGCUGUGUCAAACUACUGAGCUUGUAUUUUCCUCUGUUAAAUUGGAUGUUUCUAAUAGCUUUACUUUCCUUUUGAACAACAGGGUGGUGCCAAGAAGGUUGUUAUCUCUGCCCCAAGCAAAGAUGCACCCAUGUUUGUUGUUGGUGUCAAUGAGGACAAGUACACCUCGGACAUUAACAUUGUUUCCAAUGCUAGCUGCACCACGAACUGCCUUGCUCCCCUUGCUAAGGUGUGUUGUCCUUCUCUUAAGCUUUUUUAGUUGUUUCUGCUGUUCCAAUGUAGAAUCAUUUAUUAAUGAUGUCUAAUGUCAUAAACCAGGUCAUUCAUGACAACUUUGGUAUUAUUGAGGGCUUGAUGACAACUGUUCAUGCCAUCACUGGUGAGCUCUCUUUGGCUGUUGAGCAAUCUUCAUACUCCCUAGUCCUAGGAUUGGUACUUGUGGUUGGCUGUAAAAUGACAACAUGAUGCUUAUCUUUCAGCCACCCAGAAGACUGUUGAUGGACCCUCAGCCAAGGACUGGAGAGGUGGCAGGGCCGCCAGCUUCAACAUCAUUCCCAGCAGCACUGGUGCUGCCAAGGUAUAGGAUAAAACUCACAAUGUUGUAUGCAGUGAAAUCUGUAUCGGUUGUUUGCACAAACUAGUAAUCAGUUAUUUGUGCUCUAUUUUGUGUUCGCUUAGCUUUGUGAAUAACACAGUGCAGUCCCAUCUACGCAAUCAUUCAGUGUAAAUUCAUCUUUGAUGUUGAGAUUAAAAAAAAUACAAGUGUCACUGUCAGCACAUGUUGAACUGUUGCAACUGUUCUCAAACAUGACAACAUGAUAUUUUAGCUAUGCCCACACCUGGAGAUGCCAAAUCUACAAUAUUUCACCUCAUUUUGCUGCUUAUUGUAGUUCUUACAAAAUUGGUAGCUGUUCCGUUCUGAUGAUGAAUAUACUUGGAAUGCUUAUUUUCAAUGUCGAUGAAUUGCAGGCUGUUGGUAAGGUUCUUCCUGAUUUGAAUGGCAAGCUCACUGGUAUGUCCUUCCGGGUUCCCACAGUGGAUGUGUCAGUUGUUGACCUCACUGUCAGAAUCGAGAAGGGUGCCUCCUAUGAGGAUAUCAAGAAAGCUAUCAAGUAAGUGAUUAGUCCAUUUGUUUUUGUUUAGGGGAGUCCAUUUAUUUAUUUCUUAAUAUUCAGUCAGUGUGAGUGUAUCUGUUCUUUUUAGACUAAUGCCUAUGAAUGUCGCAACACUCCUUGUUGGAUUUAUUGCUACUAUCACAUUUGAUGCUCAAUGUUUAUGUUUCCUGCAUCUAUCUUGAUCUUGUUGUUUCUCCGUCCAUUUUGGUAAGGAUCGACAGCAACAUUGACUUAAUUUCUAUUGCUUUACAGGGCUGCUUCUGAGGGCCCACUCAAGGGUAUCAUGGGCUACGUGGAGGAGGAUUUGGUUUCCACCGACUUCGUUGGUGACAGCAGGUAUGCCUUUGCUUUGUAUCAUUUAGGAGCCAACAUAACAGGUUACUACGGUACACUGUUAUGUAGAAUUCUGAUGGUGUUCUCUGAUUCAUCUGUCGUUUGUGUAAUCUCCGUAUUCAUUUGUCAUUUUGCUGUUUCCACUUAGGUCGAGCAUCUUUGAUGCCAAGGCCGGGAUUGCCCUGAACGACAACUUCAUCAAGCUCGUCUCGUGGUACGACAACGAGUGGGGCUACAGCAACCGCGUCGUCGACCUGAUCCGCCACAUGUUCAAGACCCAGUAGAGAUUUUUCUGCUCCCCAUCGAUGGUCUUGGUCGCUGUCCAUCCUGCUGCUUGUCUAUGCUGAGAAUAAAUGUGAAUGGUGCCUUGUCUGGACGCUGGAUUCAUGCUGAGUUUGGGCAUGUUUUGUCUUCUGUUUCCUUUUCUGCUACCAUCCUGUAACGAAUUCGCUAAUAUGGGACCUGAGUUUAGUUUUUGCUUUGUGAAGAAUAUAAACAGUGGGGUUGCAGUUUUGCUGUGUUUAGCUGGUUUGGUUGCAUAGAUGAGCUGGUCCUUCGGAAAUAAUAGUUUUCGUUCUGUGUUGAGAAAUCUGGUCUUAUAUUUCCUAACUUGUUUUUUGGUACUUUUGGUGCUUCCUUUUGUGUGAUAAGCGAGCAUAUGUUGUAGUGGACCAGUGGUGCUCAUUUUGUUGCAGAUUCAGGCACUCAGCAAACGCUCCGAUUACACAGGCAAGUGUAGUGCUGUGGGCCGCUAGAGUCCGAAGGGCUACGGCCACGAGAGGGUAGCCAAAAGGAGAGGAGCCAAUGAAAGCUAUGGUGGCAAACGAUGCCGGGCACACAAUGGUCUUCUGGUGGUAGUUGGAAGAACGACGAUUGUGUUUGCAUUGUGGUUCUGAAUUCUGAAUCCCAUGCCCAGCCUGUGACCGGUUGGUUGCAGCAGGCCAGUGGUGCUCACUUUGUUGCAGAUUCAGGCACUCAGCCAACUCGUCGAUUAGAGCAAGGUUAAUAAUAUAGCUAGUUAUUGGCUAUAAAGUUUUUUUAAAAUCUUUUGCAGAUCACUCAUAUAGUGGUUAGCUUAUCACUAUUAAUACAUGACCUACUUAUCUCUCGCGUAAACUUUCUUGAUUUUUGUGUCUAAAUCGCCUGUAAACUUAACUUAUAGUCUGCUUUUACUCUCUCUUCUCUUCACUCUCCUCCAUCUUAGUAUUUAACUGACUUACACUCUUACACAAGUUUAGUGUUGUGGUCCUAGAUCGCCGAGUCCCACUCCCACGAGAGGGUAGGUAAAAGGAGAGGAGCCAAUGAAGCUAUGGUAGAUGAAUUCGCAUGGUUGAAGUGAAGGGUUGGCCGAUUAGGUUCACCGCUUGAUCCGCCGACCGCGCCAGUGUGUCACUGUCAGUCUCGGGGACCAGGUUGAACGCAAACGAGGCCACCAGCUAAGGCCGGCUAAGAUUUGUUUAGUUCCACCUAAAAACCAAAAACUUUUCAAAAUUCUCUAUCACAUCGAAUCUUGCGGCACAUAUAUGGAGCAUUAAAUAUAAAUAAAAACAAUAACUAUCUGCACAGUUUGUCUAUAAUUUACGAGAUGAAUUUUUUGAGCCUACUUAAUCCAUAAUUGGACAAUAAUUACCAAAUACAAAUGAAAGUGCUAUAGUAUCCAAAAUGUUUUUGCAAUUAGUUUGUCUUUGAGAUAGGAUCUCCCAAAAAGUCUGUAUUAUGGUUUUAAUGCUAAUAUAUUUGAGUACUUUUCAAACCAAAAAAAGUCCGAUGUGUUGGCGCAGAAUUGCAGAGCAAGCUGCUUCGUACAAUUCUACUUUUUUUUUUAUGCCACCAGCCACCGUGCAUUACAAUUCUACUUAUUCUCAUUGCAGACUGUAGAGGCAAGCCGGCUUUGUGCUUCUUCAUCAUGGGCUGACGGGCCAUGGCCCGUGCAAGAGGCCGUGGACCGAACCAGAGAUGACCCAGCAGCCAUGUGUAUGGAGUCAUGUAGCAAGCAUGGUACGGAAGCCUGGAAGCCCUAACUGAGGCCUUGUUUAAUUCGUGGAAACAAAAGCUUUUGAGUAACUAUAAUAUUUAGUGUCUAAUCAUAAAAUAAUUGCAUUUAAAAAGAUUUUUCUAGUAAAAUAUAUAAAAACUAUGUAAUUAGUUAUUUUUAAUUUAUAUUUAAUAUUUCAUGUAUAUGUCCAAAUGUUCAAUAUAAUAAGGUGAAAAUUUUUUAGGUGAAGAACUCAACAGUGCCUGACCUCCGAUCCAUUCGCGUCAUCGUCGAGACUCAAGAGCCAUAAAUUCGCAGUUGCAAGCAAGCUUGCAGCAACAAUUGUGUUCUUUUGUUCUAUACUUCCUCCAUAUCUACGAAGACAGUCGUUUUGGAUAAGGUUUAAGUUAAACAUUGAGAAUAUAAAAUCAUGAAUAACUUUUGAGUUUGAAAUUGUCAAAACUAUAUGAAUAGAUUUAUUUUAAAAAUACUUUUAUAAAAAUAUAUAUAUACCACAUUUUAAUAAAAAUUGUGUUCUUUAACUUCGUACCUAUUAAAAAGUCGUUUAGGACGGUGACAUGUCUUCAAAACCUAACUUUAACUCCUUGUUUUAUAUAGAAAUAUUUAUUAAAAUGAUGCGGAAUGCAUGCAUGCCUGCAUUGAUGCUACAAGAGUUUCCAGGAAACGGGAAGCGGCCGCGUUGACAGGGAGGUCGAUCGGGACUGUGUGGGGCCAUGCAUGCAUGCCUGCAUGGCCGGCCGUCGAGAUCGCGAUGACGACGGCGACUCGUGCCGUGCACUCCGGGGUCAACGAGUCAACGCAACGCCCGACGACCGGACCGGGAGGGGUCCAGGAUAGCUGCAAAGCCUGUACUACUAGUUUUGUGUGUACCUGUGUCGCCGUACGUCCAGGUUUCUUGACAUGAGGACAUAUACAGGUGUAGUAGCAGCUCCGCGGCCGCUGUGAUGCUGAUAUUGAUUUAUUAUAAGACAAGAACACUAUUCUGUCCUGAUGGUGAUCGGAUAAUUCCAUACUACGUACAGUAGACUUGCCAAGUCUUGGCUGGAAUCACUGAUGACAGCCGACGACAGGAGUAUGCUGUCCUCUUUGACUUCAAAUCAGAGGAGCCUCAUCGAUCGGUUCUUCAUUCUUGCCCACCACCACCAGACGCGAGGCGCGCGGACGUACAGGGCAGGCACGCCGAAAAUCAGAUAGAGGACCUCUCUCUCUCUAUUAUAUCCGUUGGGCGAACGAGAACGAUGGCUCUCCGGUGAUCCAUGUACUGGUGCCCACAGUAUAUACAGUACUAUCAUGACGAUAGAGUGAACAGUGACGGGGACAUGCAUGCAUGCCAUUAAUUCCACUGUGACGAGGACAUAGGCGUUGUUUAGUUCUCAAAAAAUUUCAAAAUUUCCCGUCACAUCGAAUCUUGUGGCACAUGCAUGAAGUAUUAAAUAUAGACAAAAAUAAAUACUGAUUACACAGUUUACCUGUAAUUCGCGAGCUGAAUCUUUUGAGUAUAGUUAGUUCAUGAUUGGACAAUAUUUGUCACAAACAAACAAAAAUGCUACAGUAGCCAAAACCAAAAAUUUCUCUCAACCGAACAAGGCCAUAAUAUAUACAUGCCGCGUGAGCGCCGUCCCAGUACCGUGCAAAGAAUGGAAAGCUCUUUCAGACCUGUUGACUUGAGAAUGAGACGCACCAGCAGCAGCAGCGCGAUCAGGAGCCUGUUUACUAGCAAUGUUUUUCUCUCACAACAAUUCAACGAACGUUACUUUCAAUCAUAACUUUUUAGCCAAAGGAACGGGUUAGUAUUAGCCUGCAGUUUCUGUGUUCCUAGCUACCUGCAGGAGCCACUCCGUGUCUGAAGAUCGGUGAUGACGACUGAUGAGGCAGAGUUUGAGCAGCAGGAUAUAUAUAUUACACUAUUUGAUUUUUCGGUCUGAACGAACUCUCUUGGCAAUUAGCAAGCGCAUCACGCAUUCUGAUCCUCCCUGCUUGGCGUUAAUGUGCCCUUCUCUGCUUCCAUGGAAUCGUCCUCUCAUCCUACAGGAUUCUUCCGAAAAAACUCCUAGGCAGGCGCAUAAAUGUUCUAGAUCGUAUAUAUGCUUUUUGGAAGAUGUUUUCUAGAAGAUCUUGCACCAUCCUCGUGGAUCACGGAUCUUACUAUUUACUAAUUAUAGGCCAAAUCAGAAGCACCAUGUUAAUUCUUACUAGACUUGCUAGAAAAAAAAAGUAAAUCAUAGAAAUUAAUUCAAUUCUUACAAUACUCAGAAACAUCUAGCCUUUAAUUUGAUAGACUCGAAUGAUCAUCGCCGAUAAUAGAUAUUGGAUCUAUUGUAAUCUAAAAAAAUAAAAAUACCAACUGAUGUGUUUGGCAACAAUGACGUGUAGUGAGCUCCAUCAUUAUGGGUUUAAGAGUUUAAUGGGAUUUGUCUCAAUCAAAGUGCAGAAGUUAGGAUGUAGCCUAGGUCACUUCCACGCCUUGCACAAAGUGCAGGAAUGAAAUCUCAUACCAUUCUACGUUUUUGUUGAAAUUUGAGCACCAUAAAUUCAAGAAAAAAUGAUUUCCUUUAACCGAAGUUUGGGACCAGAAUUGCUGAAAUCCGUAAAUUUUAGUAAUUUCGGUCGUGACCGGUAAAAAUAAUCGGAAUUUAAAGCUUUGGUUGAGCAUUCCCAAGAGUUUCUAAUAAAAUCUCUCAAUCUGGAAUUUUCGGUAAGAAUAGAAAAACCCAUCUCCAAGAGUACCUAAUCUCACAUCUCAAUCUUUUGACACUUGGAAAACAUCACCAAAAGUGCGGAUCUUAUUUAUUUCAUGGUUUAGAAAUGAAUUAUUUUAGAAAUAAAUUAUUAGAAACUGUUGGAGAUAAUCUUAUUUAUUUCUCUCAAUAUUUUCCUCUAUUUUCCUUUAAUAAACCGUGUGAUUACAAUUUUCAGAUCCAGUUUCGUCGUUUUGGUCAUUUUUUUAUUUGUAACAUACAAUGAAUUGUAGGAAUUAUUUGUCCUUUUCGAUUGUUGCUUGAAAAAUACCUAGCAUGCUUUUACACAAAUUAUUACCUUUUUUUUCUUUUGCGUUUUCUACCCCAUCCAAUCCACCAGCCGGGAAGUUGGUUGCAGCUGAAAAUCAAACUGGAAUACAAAAGGAGAUCUAAUCUUAUAAAAGUUCUGCGGAUUCGUUGACGUGUGCAGUGUCUUAUUUCGAUAUCGGAUAUGGAUCAACGUAAGUGAUCAUCCUCGAUCAGAGAGAGUCAGAGUCCGCGUUGGCGACAUCACCACUUGCCUUUACUAGUUCCUCCAAUCCAAAAACAAAGAUCACCCCUCUGUCUAAUUUACUUUCUCGGACCUACAACACAGUGCAUUGCUAAGAUAAAAUAAGAGAGAGGACAAUAGAUGCAUGUACUCGUUACUUAACUUUCUAAUCUAUUAAAAUCUAAUCCUAUUCGUAUGAUUAAAGGGUGCAAUAAUCUAAGUUCUUUUAUAGAAAAAUAUGGUAAGCACUGAGUUAUUUUUCUCUUCCGUAUCUUUAUUUAAGUAAAUAUUAUCUUCUUGUUCGUCGAAUGUACUUAUAUUUGGGGACACAUCUCAAAUGCUAGAAUGUACUCUAUUCUAUAACGGAGGGAGUAUAUUUUAGUAUCUAAUAAUCUCUUAUUUAAGCCCUGAAUAUCACUAGUCAACAGCACGCGAGGCAAGAUGCGCCUGCUUCAUGGCACUCCCGAUUAUUGGCCCAAAUCGUCAACUCUGGGUUGUCAGCACUCAUCAGCGACACCUAAUACUACAUUAAUACUUAAUACUCCAUAACAAGCUAAGGGAUGCCUUGUAUCCUCUGCAACUUGUGCAUUGCUCCAUGAUGCGUAAACAAACUCUGCAAGGAGUUGACCAGCAGAGUAAUUAACUGAUCUCAUAUAUAUAGCCUGCCUACUCAAUUGAGAACACGUGUGCAUAUUCCAAUUAUCAAAACUAAGGAGCAGCCGCUAGCUGCUGCCGUCACAAAACUAAUUGCCCUGAUUGAUGCUUGCUGGUGUGUGCGGCCUUCCAUUGCGGCUAAAGUUACGUACGGAUGACUAACUGAAUUGACAAUUGAUGACAGGGAGGUUUAAAGCAAGCAAUGCAAACAGCAACGACGACGACCGACAGUGUGAAGCGAAAUUAGGUCAAAGGACGGGGUGGGCGCGGUUAGCUGUUGUCUUGGCUAGAUGGCCCAGUUUCGUCUCGUGUGAUGCUGCUGUGCUGAGAAUUUAAUAUCACCGGUUAAUUAGAUCCUUUGUACACGACUCUUGGUUGUUGGUUUCUGAAACUUGAGCAUGUUUAUCUGUCGAUGCAGCAAAGCAGAUACAGCUGGAUGGAUGGAUAACCGACCUCUCAAUGCAACUAUAUAUACUAGUAUAUAUCUUUUGUGUCUUGUGCGAAUGCAAAUGCUUGUGUGCAACGACAGCGACGACACAUGAUGCUGCAAAGCAGGGAAAGGAUGCACAGCCUGCACUGCAUGGAUAUCUCAAAUCAUCAAAUUCAUAGUAACUCCUGAGCUACCUCCAGCAUCAAGCUGCCGACUGCAAAUACAAUUGCAUGCGACGAACUGCAGCCGUUUUAAUUUGGUCAAACGCUGAAAGCACUAGUCGGAAAUUCGCUACAUGCAUGUACGGCCGGUGGCCGGACAGCGAAACAAAUGCACGCAUUAUGCUGUGCUUCAUGAUGCACACACAUCAACUUGCAUUAUGAAACCAGUGGCGGAGCAAGGGGGCUGGCAGGGGCCAUGCCCCCCCCCCCUAACAUGUGUCAACAAACAUUUUUAUUAGUAUAAAUUUAUGAUUUUUAUUUAUAUUAAGAGAAAAAUAUAAUAAUUUUUGUUAUAUGUACUUAUAAGUAUCCUCUAGAUAGUAAAAUCGAACUCCCUCCAUUCUAAAUUAUAAGUCAUUCUAUAAAUUUUAGAGAGUCCAAACAUCCUAAAUUUGACCAAAUUUAUAUAAUAAGAUAGUAAUAUUUAUGAUAUCAACUAAGUAUCACUAGAUUCUUCGUUAACUAUAUUUUCGCAGUAUACAUAUUUGAUGACAUAAAUCUUUGUGAUUCUUUCUAUUUUGAUUCUCCAAAAUUCUUAGAAUGAUUUAUAAUUUGGGAUGGAGGGAAUACAAAACAUAAAGAAGCACCUUAGAAAAAUAGAGACGCGUCCAUCAAGCUGGUUUACAAAAUCAUCUCAAACAUCUUUCUGUUAAAGAUGUGUCGUUUAACACCGGAAGAAUAAACACAUUUGAUCCUGAAAUACAUAUAGAAAAUACGAGCACCUACGUCAAGUCGAUAAAUCAAGCUAGGCAGUCGUCGGUUAUGCUUAGUUUUGACAAGUUGGAUUUUUUUUUUUGCCCCCCCUAUAUGUAAUUCCUGGCUCCAUCACUGGAUGAAACGAAUAUCUUCUCUCUUUUUCGUUUCAUGCAAAAAGUACAUACCCUUUUUUUUGACCUUGUGAUUAUAAGGGAUUAAUCUGAUGCAACUUUAACAACAAGAAGUUGCUUUGGACGUAUGUAUGCGCAGAAUCUGCUAAUGAUCUACCAUGCAUACAUGCUAGGAGCACUACGUAGGCCAGUCUCAAUGGGAGUUUCAUGUGAGUUUCAUUUGCAUUAAAUAGAUUGCCACAUAGGCUGUUUUUAUGACAUGGCAGUAUAUUUAAUAAGAGAGAGAAGAAAUGGGUUUCAUCUAGAUGAAACUCUUUGGCACGAUUACCAACUCUCUAUGAGUCUUGGAAUUAAAUGUUUAUGAAACUAUGAGAUGAAACUCUCUAUUGAGAGUGAGUGUUUCAUUCAAGUUUCAUAUGACAUGGCAGUCUUGGAAAACAAUGUCAUAAAACUCUCCACUGAGACUCGCCGAAAACGCUCGAAAACGGAAUUACAAUAUAGAAAACGAAUGCGGUCGGUACGGAAUAUUUCUACAUUUUAGCAAUUAAAGGGUACAAAAAAUGAUUAAAAUAGUUGUGAAACCAACCAAAACUGACAAAUUUUUAUGUUUGACAAAAUUCGAAAAUGAUAUCAUAAUAUAGAAAACGAAAGCUGUCAGUGGUAAUAUUUCCGUUCCGUUUUCAUCUAGUGAUGCACAAGUACGAGGGAAUCCGCGUGCGGAAUUGGUCAGAGCCUAGAGCCAGGUUGCAUGCAAUGCAUCAAGACUUGGAGAGGUCAGCGAUUGUGUGCCACGCGCCGCGCGAUUCCGGCUACAUAUUUGGGACCAUUCAGAGUCAGUCAAGUUGCUGCCGGUGAAUGAAAGCGACCAAUUAUAAUCGUUUCCACUGGGCUUGACUACUAGUACAGUACUUGAGCACAAGUUGUUCUUUUUCAAUGAUGAUGAAAAAAAAUCGUGUUGGGCUGAAAAUACAGCGAAAUUUGUGAAACAGUGACGUGCUUGUGCAUCACUAUACGUAGUGCUCCUAGCACAUGGUACAUCAUUAGCAGAUUCUGCGCAUACAUCCGCGUACAAGCAACUUCUUGUUGUUAAAGUUGCAUCAGAUUAAUCCCUUAUAAUCACAAGGUCAAAAAAAGGUCUAUAUACCUAGGCCUUGUUCAGUUCCCAGAAAAUUUUGCAAAAUUUUUCACAUUCUCCGUCACAUCGAAUCUUUAGACGCAUGCAUGAAGUAUUAAAUAUAGACGAAAAUAAAAACUAAUUGCACAGUUUGGUCGGAAUUGACGAGACGAAUCUUUUGAGCCUAGUUAGUCCAUAAUUGGACAAUAUUUGUCAAAUACAAACGAAAAUGCUACAGUGUCCAUUUCCCAAAAUUUUUCGGAACUAAACAAGGCCCUACUGCAAUGAGGCAUCAGUAGAAUCGUCUGCAUGACUUUGGGUGUUCCAGCCGGAUUUGCUUUUGCUAAUUGUCGCCUUAUGAGCAACCAAAUCAAUGGACUGAGUGUGCGAAUGUAUACGAGUGUCUACAUCUGUCAGGUUUUUUGGAGAAGAAGUAUUUCAACAAGAAAUUGUGUAUUUUGCAUCAGUCGUCAUGAGGUGUACGAGCUAAUUAUUAGUUGCCUGGAGGCUGCAGCAUGAUUGAACGAUAGGGCCAAAUGACACGGGUUGACGUUAAUUUUGACAAGAAUGCCAAGAGGUUCACGGCGCAAUGGCAAAGACCAUUGGUUGGGGAGCUUCCACCCAGGGUUCAAAUCCUAGGUGCGGCACUUUAUUCUGGAUUUAUUUAUUCCAGGAUUUUCCGGCGCUAUGCAUUAAGUGGUAGGCGACGUGCCCGUCGACAGCGAAGCGCCUGUGGUGACUUCGAGAACUUCAAGAUUUGCUGGCUCAGUCCUUCGAAAGUGCUCAUAGGGGUAGGGUGAGUGUGCGUGCGUGUUGAGUGUCUGCGGACAAGAAUAGUCGUAAACGAUAGAAGAAAGCUGCCAGCUCAUUCGAUCAGAAGAUUUUGGCAUAGCUUUCUGCACGAAAUUUCCAAUGAAAUACAAUUGUACAUAUACAAUUGUUCAUGAAAUUUCCAAUGAAAUAUCACCUUUCUUUCUAUGAUCGACACAUGCCAUAUCCCAACAACUGCCCCUAUUUUUUUUUAGAUAUUCUCCCCUGAGCAUCUCCAAAGGUUUUGUAUUUAGACUUUGCAUUCUUGUAAUUUGCUAAAAAUCGUAAAAAGAGGUAACCAAUGGUUUUGCAUUUGGAGUUUGUAUUUUGGCCAACUCGGCAAAUGAGAGAACAAACUUGGCAUAUGUGCCAAGCCGCGCACGGCCUGGCAAAAGACCGAUCGUGCGCGUCUCCCAGUCCCCGCGCGACCCGGACUUUCUUCGCGCCAUAUAUGGUCCAUCGAUCGUGAAAGAAACCCCCCGCUGUCCACUGCCGAUCGCGAGCAAUACCAUCGCCAUCGUCCGCUGUAGAACCCUUAGAGAUAGCUUAUUUUUAGACUUUGCAUUUUGUUUUGGGAGUUUAUAAACAACAAUAAAUGCCAACUUAAUUAUACAAAACCCUUGGAAUGCCAAUAAUGCUCCUAAUAAUAUACUACCACUGGUCUAUACUAGUACGUUAGGACACAUGAAAAGUCGUCCAGAAAAUAAGUACUUUUAAGGAACCACACUUUUUUAAAAAGGAUGAUCGUCCUACUUAUAUGGAUGUGAUCCUGUUUGUAAGCAUCUACGUUUGAAAUUGAGUCUCGUAAAAAAUUAGACAGACGGCAUUCUUAAUUUGUUAUACGGAGUAUCAUUUAUAUAUAUGCACUAUCAAGCAGCUGGUAUAUGCAUGUAUCCAUUCAUUCGGUGAUCUGAGUUGUGAUCGGAAGUGGUCCAAAGUCUAGUCAUUAAAAAACAAUCAAUCUCUUUCUGGUUGUAGGAUAGGUUGAUCAUUGAUGCCAAAAUGUAACUUGACCUGGUCAGAAAUUCAAAUCACAAAUCUUAAAGCCAAUGCAACAAAGUAAUUGAUUAAGAAUUUAAUUCAUUAUUAUGUAUUUUCAUCUUGGAUCUUCUUUUUGAGGGAACUGGAGGGGUUUACACCCCUACAGAGAAACUUAAAAUUAAUUAAAAAAGGUCUUAUACAAGGUUAAAGAGAGAAAGAAGCAGAACAUAAAGGGGUCAAUUAAAAGCCCAAAAGGAAAUAAAAAAGAGAAGUAACAAUACUACACAGAGGAGAGCUAACAAAGAUUUGCUAUCCAUAAAUCUAAAUUUGGAGAAUAGCUGUUCUUCACCCGAAGAAGUAACAAACGGGCUUCAUCUAGAAAGUUUUACUUUGCCAGUGGAAGGGACGGGGCCACCUGAUGAAAGAUUAAGUCGUCCCUUGCUUUCCAAAUCGUCCAACACAUAAUGAUAAUAAUUUUCAUGGAGAAUGGAACCUGCAACUGAGUUCUGAAACUCUCAAACGGGUCCAGAGAAUGAUCCACCUGAAUGUUGAUAAGUGACCAACAUUGAUCAGCAAAUGGGCACCUUGUAUGGGCGUAGCCCUACACAUGCCCUCGCGAACGUAAUUUAGUAUAUCUAGUAGUGUAUAAAAUAAUCACAAGACUAAUCAAAUUUACAUUUCAAAAUGUUGUACCUAGACUUGAAAUAUUCCACAAGGAAACAAUGAUUUAGCCUAGUUUUGUAGACCAGCCACAAAUUAAAAAAACACGUAUUAAUAUUCUUGAGUUGAGGAAGUAGUACUAUACACUGAUGAUUAACACGUUGCUAUAGAAUCCUAGCUAGCUGGUGUCAGCAGAUGAAACUUAAUAAAAAAAAAUCCCCUGUUCUGUCAUCAGCAUUAGUAUAUUACCAAUGUGAAGGAAAAUGGGAAAUAAUUUCCAACAAGUUUCAUCAUCGACGUGCUGAACAUGUAGCCAUGUUAGUAAAUAUACCAUGAUUAGCCCCAUGUUUCAGUGACAUCACCUUUAGCGAAUAAUGCCAAGCAGUGCGCCAAAAAACCCAAAAAGGAUUCUCAGUCAAAAAAAAAAAAGAGAGGAGGGUUCCAAAUAUUCCUUUUACACGGGAUGCGGGACGCCAAAGAGAUUCUCCUACUCACCUUUUGCAGUUCAGCUCUGGUAGUUGAUUGUCAUGGAUCAAUGGAUGGAAUCAGACGAGCCAGCAAGGGCUCCACCAUCAGAGGAAUCUCGGCCUAUUAUAGCCUGGCCCUGGCCUCUUUUCUUUUCUGCAUGAGCAUGGAAAUAUGGAAUGGAUGCAGACAGGCACAAUGGCCAAAAGCUACACCAUCAUCUACUAAACAUUCAACCCAAUAAAAAGAUAGACAGAUGACCGGCAUGAUGCAUUCCCAUGGCCUUGGAGGUUCUGUUUGCCACUACUGAUCAAAUAGAUCAGGUGAUCAUCUCAAUCAAGCAACUCCAAGUCUCCAACGACUCACCAAAAAGCAGAGAAUGACCAAAACACCAGGGUUCGAUCUGAGGUUCACACUGAACAUAAUAUAUAGUAAGGUUUAAAGACUGUUUGGCUCUCCAAGAUGCAUGCAUGCACCAGUCAGAGUUUGUAAAAAUAAGCUAAAAAUAGUUUAAACAUGCAUGUUUGCUUAUAAAACAAUCAACAAAUAAAAUUUUGCAUCCAAUAUAUAAAGUUGUUGGAGCUCAAGCAAGCUGUGCUAAGUGCCAAGCUGGCCUAGGGUAUUCUGUUAACAAAGGUCCCUCCGACACUUGCAACUGCUAUAAUAUCGUUGCCGCUCGUGAUAAAAUUCAUGGGUUCCAAACAGGAUCAUAAUUGAAGUUCACUGUAGGAAGAUUCCUCCCAUCGUAUGUUGAACUAGCUAUCCAUUUGGAAAUGGAAGCUGUAUUACAGAGUUAUUGUAGUAGAGGAUUAAGUGAACAUGCCACCCCUGUUGUCUACAGUCUACUAAUGAUAGUGCAUCUUUUGGCAUUUCAGUGAUAGCAUGCUGGCAAAAGGACACAUAUAUAUAGACUAUAGUGUUGAAAUGGUAAUGGGACUAUAUAGCUAUCAGAUAAGGAUGUGGUUUGCAUUGUUCUUUCAUUAUGUUCACAUCUAAUACUAGUGCUAUACAGAGAUGAUGAGGCAGAGCACUGUGGCAGCUAUGCCCAAUAAGUAAAUAAAUAUAUACUAUAUGGAGACAGAGUUGCUCACAUUUUUUUACAAUAAGUAAAUAUAUACCCAGUAUGUAGAAAAUAUAUACCCAGUAUGUAGUUGCUUGGAACCUUCAAUAAGGACAACUACUACCUUGUUUUUUUUUCUUUUGAAGGAAAGACAAUGACUGAUUUCACUAUUAAUUAGUACUCCUACGUGUUACGUACUUACCUUUCACAAUGCACGUCAGAACUUAGCAAAUAUUAAUCCACAAAAAAAAUGAGUAUAGUUGAAUUUGCGCGAGAACUAAAAAAAAGAUGAAGUAAUAAUAGCUAUGAAAGACUCGGUCGUGUAAUUUCGCCGUAAUUGAUGAUUAAGAAAAGGCAGGAAGAUUCCGUCGUACAAUCUCACCGCUAAUUCCCCAUCAAUUAACAUCAGAGCCAAUUCUUUACACAUUUGGGUGUCGUCAGGCACGGAUUAAUCAUGUUACAUUUGCCAUCCCAUCAGCGACAGAUCGUAUCCAUGUUUGUACCCACGCCACGACUGACCUGAGCACAAAUCUAUCUGUCUAAUAUGUUGUUCUGUUUAUAACUCAAGAAAUGCUUAAAGUCCUUCAUGGCGGGGCUUCUCGAGGGUCCUUAAGAGUAUCUCCAUCAUUUUUAAAAAAAAAUCAGCAUCUCUAUUCGAUUGAGCAAAUGCAAAACAUAAGCUCCCUAGAUCUCUUUUGUAAAUUAUCUCAACAUCAUCCCUUCGCUUGGAGUUUCCUUAGAGUUUCAUGCAUAUUAAAUAUAUUGAUGUGGUGCCGUAUUAACGAAGAGGGAGAUGAUAAGAGUUUUAUUGGAAUAGAGAGAGUUUCAUCUCUAUAAAACUCCUAUGUACUAUUUCUAAAAUAUGGAUGCGUUGGAAACUGUCUCAUGAAACUCCUAUUGAGGAUAAUCUUAUACCACAUUGAAUGUGAGUAGGCAUACCCUUGGUUUCGAUUCUAGGUUUGUCACUGCUUGUGGGUGCGGGUGUGAUUAUACCAUCUCUAACGGCCUGUUUGGUUCCACGAUAACCCAUCGCGCGAUUGUGGCUCGAACGUUGCCUUCGCGAUUUCCAAGCGUGCAGUUCAUUUUCCCGUAUUUUGAUGUCGUGCUACGACGGUCGUCCAACACGGGGCCAACACAAACCGUUCGGCGAGUUUUGUUUCUCGUCCUCUACUGGGCAUUUUGCCGAGUGUUUGCCUGUGUGGUUAUCUAUACUACAAAGCGUUGUACAUGUUUUGUUUUAAGAUCUGAAUCUACAUGUUUUGUUUUAAGAUCUGAAUCUAUUCACAGCUUAGGUAUAAUUUAGAUGAUUUUUUGAAUAUUUGUUUAAUUCAGCGUACCUGUAAGGUAUUCAUGUAUCCAGCUAUUAUCUAAUAUAAUUUUUCUUUCAAGAAAAACAUCGCCGACGUGGAACCAACAGGCCCAUUGACUUUUUUUUAGCCUUUUGGGUGUAGCUGGUUAAGAAAAAUACCACUGUCAGACAGAUCUAAGAAAACCCAAGAAGCUACGGAUGAUCCAACAGCCUCCGAAUGUACGCACCCUAAAUUCUCCAUAAAUAAACUUCAGCACCAAUUCCUCACAGCUUUUGCUGCAGUAUUUGGUGUCGUCAGGCCCGGACUAAUAUAAUUCUGCCCGCCUUUUUUUAUCUGAUGAAAUCGACUAAAUCCUGUCCUUAGUUAUAUGCAUGACUGUCCGGGCAGCUGGCCUGGGGACAAAUCCAUCUGUCCAAUGCGCGCUUUGUUUAUACAGCACUACAUUUUUUUUAGAACAAGACCACAACGUAUUUCACGCAUAUACAGUACUACUUACAAACAAAGAAAAACAAAAACAAAUCAGCACUACUUCAACAAUACUUUUCAAUGAACGAAUAUUGUUUUACUCUCAUAAUAAAUCGACAUAAACUGCAGUAAAAGGAACAGACUGUCGUCCAUGCCUCAGUUCUCUCCAUCGAAGUGGCCGGCUAGGCAUCAGUGGAGGACUGAGCCCUCCACGCGACAAGCUUGGCGCUGGCGGGUGUAGAGGGGUACGUCGCUCUCGGAGCUCUCUGGAUUCUACUUCGAUCCGUGGAGAAAAACAACGGAUGCAUGAAGAUAGUGUAACAGGUUGUUGUUAUUGUUGUUGUUUUUGCAGCUCUAGCUAGCUCUUAUUCGAGUACUAGCUUGCUAGAGCUGUUCUUUUUUUUAGAGCUGCGAUGUUUUCAGUGCUACAACUCAUGCAUGAGUGCAUGGCUCUCUAUAAUUGCGUGAUGCUUUUAAAUUUUUAUGGAGGGUCGUCAGUACAAAUCGUCGUAACGUCCGGUCACAUAUAAAGAACGUUCUUUUUUAGGAAAAACAUGGCACACGUACGUCGUUUCUGACAAAACAUAACGGAUAAAAGAUCAUAUGGGUUACUACUGAUGCUUCUUGUCUUAAAAAAACACAAUUUUAGAACAAUGUUUACUGUUUAGCCAAUCUUUUAUAGAUUUAGAUCAAAUUUAAGGGGUGUUUAGUUGGAGGUGUUAAAGUUUAACAGACACUGUAAUAUUUUGUUUUAUUUGACAAUUAAUAUCUAAUUAUAGACUAAUUAGGAUUAACAGAUUCGUCUCAAAAAUUCUUCUCUAAUUGUGUUUUUAUUUUUGUAAAUAGUCUAUAUUUAGUACUCCAUGCAUCUGUCUAAAUAUUCGAUGUGAUAGAUGUUAAAAAAAUUAGGACCAACCAGACAGGGUCUUAUAUAAAAGUAUACUAAUAUUCAACAUUUUAACAUUUACCAUUAAAUUAAUUAUAAUUGUUGAUAUUACCAUCUUUAUAAAUUUAACUAAAAUUGAGACAGUUUAGUUUUGGAUCAAACUUAAAAUUAUACUUUUUGUGAGACGGAGGAACUAUAAAUGACCAUGUAGCCUGAAACACGACAGCAAAACACAGAGCCCGUUUUUUAGCCCGACACGAGCAUGACCUGACACGGUGAUGGCGGGCCCAGGUUAGCCCACCCCACAACUGCAGAUCAUGCCUAGACCGCACCCCAGGCCUGUGGGCGGGCACAACACGGCUCGGCCUUUUAGGGUGGCCCGACAGCGGCUCGGCGUAUCCUCCUCCCCCAUUAGGCCACCACAGCGACACAACCCAACGGCUAGCUAGCCCAGCCCAACCGCUACCUCUCCACUCUGUACUGGUUGUGAACUUUUGAGCAAUAUUUUACAAUUAUAAAUGUUGUUCUGCACUUUUCUCUCUCUCUAGGAUUUCUAACAAGAGUGAGUUUUACUUAGAAAGGGUUUUAAUGAGACAGUAUUGCACAUAACUCAUUUAUCUUAAUUCUGUGUCUUUCAUCUGUUGUUUUGGUUGAUGUUGAUAACGUGAUGGAUUUGAUGAUUAGGUUGACCUUAUAUUUCGAUAAUUUGGUUAAUGAAUAAAUAUGAUGCAUGAAAGUAUGAAAGUGUCAUAUAGUUAUAGUGUCAUAUGUCUUCUACUUGUCUAUGAAACUGCUAUUUUUGACAAGUGUUGCUUGAGAUGAACAUUUUGAGCUGUUUUCUUAUGGACAAGCUGCGGGCUGGCACGACACGUAGUUUUGACUGUGUUUAGUGGGUCGGCACAUCACGUAUUUAGGCCCAUAGGCCUAUACUUGGGCGGAAGGCUAGGCACGAAGCACAAUGUGCCACGGUCCGAGAGACAUGGUGUGUCGUGCUGUCCUAACACCUUGCGGAGCGUACCUAGUCCGUGCUCAUGCUGUGCCGAAUCGGGCCAACCUGAUGGCCAAAUAUAGGAGGAACCGAGGAAGUAUUAGGGAAGAGAAUUGAGCUGACAUGAAACAUCACAUAUGUUUUUCCGUGGCCAUAGUGCCAUGUACCCAACGCCAUGCGCUUUGAGAUAGCCCGUUCGUUUGUCUUAUAAGCGGUACUUUUUCCGUCAGCCAACAAUAUUUUUCUUUCACAAUAAAUCAGCGAAUAAUAUUUUUCGUCAUGGUUUAUCAGACAAGCGAUCUAUAUUUUAAAUCUAUAUAAGUGCUUUUGUCGACGAAAGCUAGUCGGCAGUCUACCUUGGGGUAUACCCACGGUAGUAGUUUAUCGGUAGACGGUGCGCAAACUACGAACUCGAUGGUGACGCAAGACACGGACAAGCUUUUUAUCCAGGUUCGGCCGCCGAGUUGGCGUAAUACCUACGUCCUGCGUCUGGUCGUAUUGAUUUGUGUUGAGAGAAUAUGAUAUGAUGUGUCCUCUAGGGGACCCCUGCCCCUCCUUAUAUAUCCUGAAGGGACAGAGUUACAAGCAAAGUAUCCUAUUUGGUACAAAAUCUUGUAGCCUUGCGGUGCACGCCGACCAGUCGUGCGCCGCACGUCUUCAUCUUGUGGGCCGAGCCACCUCUGAUGGUGCGGCCCAUAUAGGCCCAUGAGGGUAUAGGGGUUUAUACCCCCACAGCUAGUCCCCGAGCACCAUGUAUUAUGAUGUAACACGCCGUCUUGAGCUUCUUCGAUCAGUGAGGCUUGACGUCUUCAAUAAGCAGGAAAGUCGCCCAAACAGUUGCAACGGUAUUUUGACCAACUCAAAAGACAGUUGAUCAACAUUGACAUCGAAGAAGCAGGUUGUUCGAAGAAUGCAUGGUGCUCUAAAAAAGAUUUUUUCCUGGUGAAGUGUGCCCACUUUACUUUUCUAAAAAGUAUAGACCUCAAAAAAGCAAGCAUAUUCACCGCAAGGUGAAGUGUGCCCACUUAGUCCCCGAGCCUGGUAGUAGGUGACGUAGGCACGUGGUGCCAGGGUCAAAAGAAAAGUCCUCAAAGAAAUUCUGAAACUGAGAUGCAUCGCCAGAUGCAUCGUACCGAUGUAGUCCCCGAGCUUGCUGGAAGGCGAAGUAUGAGCCUUGUAGCAAGGUCUAAAAAAUUGAAUUUACCAGUCCCCGAGCAUAUCAUGCUCGUCUGCAAUUGAAUAGACUAAUCGACCAGUCUCCGAGCAUAUAACGCUCGGUGGUCGGUACAGUCCCCGAAUUCUCAAAUUGGUGGGCUGGUCGACCAGUCCCCGAGCGUAUAGUGCUCGGUGGUCGGUGCAGUCCCCAAGUUCUUAAAUUGGUGAGCUGGUCAUUAGUCCCCGAGCGUAUAGUGCUCGGUGGUCGGCACAGUCCCCGAGCACGGCGUAGGGACCGGUGGACAAGUCCCCGAGCGUGGUUGGGAACGUAAACGUGCUCGGUGGUCGGCACAGUCUUCGAGCACAGCAUAGAGAGUAGUCGACAAGUCCCCGAGCGUGGUUGGGAACGUAAACGUGCUCGGUGGUCGGAGCAGUCCCCGGGCACAGCGUAGGGAAUAGUCGACGAGUCCCCGAGCGUAGCUUGUCGACUGGGCCAAACCCCUGAAAAAUAAAUAUAAAGAAUAGGUAGUACAUGAUGUAUAAAUAAACUUUAGAUAAAAAUCAGUACUGAGAUAAGUUUUAGAUUUUUUGUUAUAAAAUUAGCACAAGUAGUUAAUUCAUCCUAGAGCUUGUACCAGCUCUGGUCUAGCCAACAAUCAGCAUGAGGUGCGGAACCUAGACACGCGUGGGAUUGCCAGCCUCGCCAGGGAGCUACUGCCGACCACCCGGAACGCAGAGGGCGGAUCUCGUGCACGUGUAGGGAGGAGUCGGAGACAGUACCGGCUCUGGAAAGCUCGUGUAGGAGAAAAAACUAGUGUGGCUAAACAAAAAGUUGUUUUUGAAGGAUAAUAAAAAAUAUUAUGCCAAAAAUAAAUAAGAUAUUAGAAGUGUACUUAUCUUUGGAUGAAAGUCUAGUCGGUGACGACAAAAUUGUCCGGCCCUCGAGCUUUUCGACUUGUCAUGACGGUGGUCGCUGUUGUCGGAGCGUCGUUCUUCGCGGCGAUUAUUAUUGCGACUGGUGGUCAGAGCAAGUAGGCUAAACAAUUUGGUCGAUGGCCCGAGCAGGUCGGUGUUGUCGAUCUGCCUCUCUUUGUAGCAGGGAAGCGGGUGACGCGUUGUCGGCGUGGUCGAAGACGUUGCUGGAGUAGUCGGAGUCGUAGCCAGCGUGGUUGAAGCCGCCGCCGACGUCGAUGAAGAAGUGGUUGGCGCAGAUCGGAUCUACACCUCCUCUGUGGUCAUGGCGGUGAAGUUGUUGAAGCUGACGGUGAAAGUGAAGUCGCCCGCCAUGGCCGCGAAGUCGGGGAUGAUGGCCAUCUUGUUCGUCGGGAGAGCUGUACGCACACCCCCUACCUGGCGCGCCACUGUCGACGAAAGCUAGUCGGCAGUCUACCUUGGGGUAUACCCACGGUAGUAGUUUAUCGGUAGACGGUGCGCAAACUACGAACUCGAUGGUGACGCAAGACACGGACAAGCUUUUUAUCCAGGUUCGGCCGCCGAGUUGGCGUAAUACCUACGUCCUGCGUCUGGUCGUAUUGAUUUGUGUUGAGAGAAUAUGAUAUGAUGUGUCCUCUAGGGGACCCCUGCCCCUCCUUAUAUAUCCUGAAGGGACAGAGUUACAAGCAAAGUAUCUUAUUUGGUACAAAAUCUUGUAGCCUUGCGGUGCACGCCGACCAGUCGUGCGCCGCACGUCUUCAUCUUGUGGGCCGAGCCACCUCUGAUGGUGCGGUCCAUAUAGACCCAUGAGGGUAUAGGGGUUUAUACCCGCACAGCUUUCAAGUUUCAAAUGAUGUGAAUAGGAAUUUGCUUCACAUUCAAGCGGCUUUGCCUCCCUGGCUCGCUGCCGACUAGGCCUCGUUCGCUUUCUUUAUAAUAGGCUAUUCCAGGUCGAAAUUAUUCUUUGUACAGGGACCUGCCGUCUAAAUUUGAGAUGUUUUCUUUUUCUUUUUAGCCUUUAAGGCCUUGUUUAGUUCCGAAAAAAUUUCGGAUUUCGGCACUGUAGCAUUUUCGUUUUUAUUUAACAAAUAUUAUCCAAUCGUAUACUAACUAGACUCAAAAGAUUUAUCUCGUGAUUUACAGGCAAACUGUGUAAUUAGUUUUUAUUUUUAUCUAUAUCUAGUGCUUCAUGCAUAUGUUCCAAGAUUUGAUGUGACAGAAAAUCUUGAAAAGUUUUUAGUUUUCGGGGUGAACUAAACAAAGGCCUAAAUAGUUCAGGGUCUGAGUCGGAGGUCUGCUCGAGUUCAACUGACAAAGUCAAACCGGAUGGACAAGCAGCAAUGUUGGUGUGAAUAUAUGCAAGCUAGGGAUUGGAUUAGCCCAAAUAGUUUAGUUUUCCAUCCAUGAAUUUCGGCGCUCAUUUCUCUACAAAAAUAUUCUCCACAGUAUCAUCAUAUAUAUUCAUAUAGAAGCAUGCCCCGUUUCUCCGUCUGGUGAGCUGGCCACACUAACUCCUUCCCAAUCGGUUGACUCGCCGAACUGAGGCCCAUCUACACCAUCCAUUCCUGAUCGGACGGUCAUCACUGCAGAACAUAGCCCCCAAUCCCCCCACACCCCCCCUCUUGCUGCAUGCGCUGGAGUCAAUGGUCAACGCGCCGGGCACUCGAGCGAGCUCGCUCCUGCUCCUGCGCCUCCUCUAUAAAGCGGCCGGCGCGCCGGCCGGCCUCUUCGUCUCCCUCUCCCUUCCCCUGCCUGUCUGCACCUCCUCUCCUCUGCUUUCCCACCAGCCAAACCCUCUCUGUCUGUCAUCCUCCAUUGUCGACGCCGCCGAGGAAGCACCACCCCUGACGGACGGCCAUGGGGACGCAAGCGCCGGAGAAUUACCCCCCUGAAAAGGUACCGUCGUCUUCCUCCCUGGCUCCCUCUGUCUCUCUCAACCACGCAAACAUGUCGUCCGUGUUCUAAGUGCUCUCCCAUCCAUGAUCCAUCUUGGGUCUUGCUUCGCCGGCCAUGGCCAUGGCGAGCAUCUGCUCAGCCAUCUACCUACUCGCCGACCGGCUUGGUUUAGCAACACCGGCCUGGCGUUCUUGGAAGCCUCUGCAGUUGCAUCCACACGCCAUUUUUUUCUGAAAAAGCAGAGAACCCCAACAAAAAAAGAUUCAAACUUUUAGAGUCCUGGGGUUUGUCUUAGUUUCGAAAAGCCAAGAAAAAAAAAAGAAUCAUCCUGAGCUGUCGAGUUCUGAAGGAGCAUGGCGGAGUUGCGGGUCCGGCCGGGACACUGGUGAGAUUAGAUUCAGAUUCAGAUACCUUCGCGGCAGAGCAACUUCACGGGAGGAGGAGGAGGGGGGGCAAAAAGCGAUUUUUUGGACGCCUUUCGCGUGGCGGAUUCCUCCGGCUCGCCGGCAUCGGCAAAAAGUGAAGGCCACCCACUCAUCUCCUAGCUAGCUAGUGCGUAGCAUCGUCUGCCCAUGCCGGCCGGCCCUGUUCGGCUGUUCAUCUGAUACAUGUGAAAAUGGCCUCCCCUGUUCAUCCUCUUUUUGUUUCCUUUUUAUUUUAUUAGUGUUUUCUAGAAAGGGGUUAGGAUGGAGUAUAUACUCUGUAUUAAAUACCUGAUUCUCAGGAUCGGCGUGAAUUCUGAUGCUUUGCCUUAAUUGCAGAAUUUCAUAGUAGCUGUUACCUGUAUUCUUGAUGACCUGUAUUAUUAUCAAUUAAUUCCCUUGGUAUUCAUCCUUUUGCUAUAACCUGCGGUGUAUUUUUUUUAUUUCCGAGCUAUAGUAUUUACUCAUUUUUUUCUAGUUUGUUGUAGGAGUACUUUCUUAACUUUUCGCCAAAAAAAUCAUUUUUAACUUAUAUACAAAUUAAACAAUAGAGUUUGAGUCUGUCCUUGGGCUGUCCUUACCACAGGCUCCACACGCUUGCCUCCAUCGCUUGACAAUGAAGUCCCCCUGCCUCUAUGCAACUUCCAUAGACUUAUAUAGCCCCCCCCCCCCCCCCCCCCUCUGUACAUUUCACUGUCACGUCCAAGCUGGGCAAAUAUCGCUGUCACUUUGAAAUUCACAGCCGAACCUCUUGUCCUCUCUAGCUUGUUUGUAGGGUUGAUGCUCCUUAGUACCUUGUCACACAUGGAGUCCCUUUCUCUUGACGUCCCUUUGGGAUGUAGGAUUUUUUUUUUGAGAAACCGCGUUCAAUAGGAUAGUACGGGACGAUGUUUCCGUACCAUUCUUCUAAAGCCCUAAGGCCAUCCUUAAUGGCAGUUUCAUAACCUAAGUUUCCAACGCAUUCAUAUUUUAAAAACAACGUAGAAAAGUUUUAUCCUCAUAAAACUCUCUCUACUCUCAUAAAAUUCUUAUCGUCUUUCUCUUCAUUAAUAUAUCAGUAAUAUAUUGCUACAUGAGCAUAUAUAAUAUCUAUGAAACUCUGAUAACACCACUGAAAGUGGCCUAACGGGCCAAUGGUGGAACAAUAGGAGGAACGAAUCGUUAAGCUUUUGGUUUCAUUGGAAUCAUCGCCGGUUUCGCCAGCUGCCGCCACGAAAGAUGAUUGCGAUUAGCGAGGGGGUCAGGCAUGAUUAAUUAUUCAUCUGAUGACCCUAACACAGUGUGUCAUGUACGUAAUCCCAAUUAGAUUACAUGAUCAUCACAGGCUCCAAGAACAAGAGGUUGAAUAUUGGGUUAGGAGUAGGUUUAGGUCACAACUUGUUAAUCUUGUCAGCCUGGCUUUGCGUCUUCUUUAGCAGAGAUUUGCCAGAUUUUUUUUAAUAUGUGAAACUACUACCUAACAUGCUUGCCAUGAAAAAAAGAAAGAAUAAAAAAUCUUGUCUUGAGGUGGCCUUGAUAAGGAUCAUGCACUUGACUUUGGCAACUGGGCCAUGUGACUAGUCAACUGCUGAGCAGAAAACAAAUCGGCAGUAUAGUAGGUGAUCUCACUGAACACUCAAAUUUCAAAAGAGUGCACUUUAAUUGAGUUGAAAACUUCCGCUGUUGAUCUGUCGCUUAGUCGGCCGUUGUGGACUUAUGGGGCACAUUCGACAUGUCAUUCGCCUACAACUUCAUCUUUAAAGAAGUACUGGUAUUUAUCACUGUUCUGCAAAAUGUCGUAAAUCAUUUAAAUAUGUCCAGCUCAUGCUCAUUCAUAUAUCAUAUCAAGAAAAAAUAAAAAAAUAUCUCUAUUUUUUUGAAGGUCUAAUAUCUCUCUAUUUGCAAUACCAUACUACCAUCUAGUACUUCUUUAUCACCUGCUUGUGUGUGAGCAACCAAGAUCUGCAGAUUGUGUGACCUUCAAUGGCCGUGCCAGCUAACAGCAACAAUGACAAAAACUUGCAGGAUGCAAGGACUGCACGGGAGAAGGCCAUCGACGAUUGGCUCCCAAUUACCUCUUCGAGGAAUGCCAAGUGGUGGUACUCUGCUUUCCACAAUGUCACUGCCAUGGUUGGUGCUGGCGUGCUCAGCCUUCCCUACGCCAUGUCUGAGCUCGGCUGGUACGUAUUGUGCCCCAUCUUGCAGCCACAUGGCGAUUACAGUCAAUUACAUGCCGAUCAGUUAUUCAGCUUACUUUAGCUCAUCUUGUGUACUACUGCUGCAUUUUAUCAAAAAAAAAUGACUUCUUUGAAUACUCAAUUUGUCAAUUUGCAGGGGUCCUGGCAUUGCAGUGCUGAUUGUGUCAUGGAUCAUCACGCUCUAUACGCUGUGGCAGAUGGUUGAGAUGCACGAGAUGGUACCAGGCAAGCGGUUCGACAGGUACCACGAGCUUGGUCAGCAUGCCUUUGGCGAGAAGCUGGGCCUGUGGAUCGUCGUGCCUCAGCAGCUUGUUGUCGAGGUCGGCGUCAACAUCGUCUACAUGGUCACCGGCGGCAAGUCUCUGAAGAAGUUCCACGACGUCCUGGUCUGUGAUGACUCGGGGUGCGACAGCAAGCACAACAUCAAGACCACCUACUUCAUCAUGAUCUUUGCCUCUGUCCACUUUGUGCUCUCUCAGCUUCCAAACUUCAACUCCAUCUCUGGUGUUUCCCUUGCCGCCGCCGUCAUGUCACUUAGGUACUACUUGACUCCAUAUAUAUCUCCUUGCCUUAGGCCCUUAGCAAUAACAUUGCACUGUAGUUCAGGGGAAAAGAUUGAUCACUAACAUGGACAAACAUUGCAGUUACUCCACAAUCGCUUGGGGCGCAUCAGUGGACAAGGGUAAGCUUCCGGAUGUGGACUACCACCUGCGUGCGACAACAACGCCGGGGAAGGUUUUCGGUUUCUUUGGUGCAUUGGGCGAUGUGGCCUUCGCGUAUGCAGGGCACAAUGUGGUUCUUGAGAUCCAGGCCACUAUCCCAUCGACUCCAGAGCAGCCAUCCAAGAAGCCCAUGUGGAAGGGUGUCAUUGUUGCUUACAUUGUGGUUGCACUAUGCUACUUCCCUGUUGCGCUCAUCGGCUACUGGGCUUUUGGCAAAGCAGUCGAUGACAACAUCCUCAUCACCCUCAGCAAACCUAAGUGGCUUAUCGCCCUGGCUAACAUGAUGGUUGUAAUCCAUGUCAUUGGCAGCUACCAGGUACAUAUACCACUCUCCCACUUUCUGCAAUGAAAUGUUUGCAAACCUUGACCAGCUGAACAUCACACAAGUUUUCAUUAAAAUGGCCGUGUACUAUUACAAUUUCUGUAAGUUGUCAUGAUCAGAAAAAUGAAUGUUUUGAUGCAGAUCUAUGCCAUGCCAGUGUUUGACAUGAUAGAGACUGUGCUGGUGAAGAAGCUGCACUUCCCUCCUGGUCUGACACUGCGUUUGAUUGCUCGGACCGUCUAUGUUGGUAAUGCCCCAUGCCCAUCAGUCUGAACUGAACUUUUGCCACCAAAUUGGUGACUCACUCUGAAAAAAUGGGGACUAAUUUGACACAACAUGUGCAGCGUUCACAAUGUUCAUAGCCAUCACCUUCCCCUUCUUCGGUGGAUUGCUUGGUUUCUUUGGUGGUUUCGCUUUUGCACCGACGACUUAUUUCGUAAGCUCUCAUUCACCCAUCUAUUGCAAUGCCGUCAUAACCUGCAGUUACAUUGUGUUUACAUUUGGUAAUAUAACUUGAGAGCUAAUUUUUUUUCUUGAUUUCUACCAGCUGCCCUGCAUCAUGUGGCUUGCAAUCUACAAGCCCAAAAGGUUCAGCCUCUCUUGGUUGACCAACUGGGUAAGAAUUACUAUCCAUCUAGCAUAUCUUAAUUCAUUCUGCCAUAGAAUUCCUCUCUGCUUAUUAACCUUUCCUCCUAUAAUAAACUAACCUCUGUGUUCUCUGUGUUCAUCAGAUCUGCAUUAUUCUUGGGGUGCUUCUGAUGAUUCUAUCGCCAAUUGGAGGACUUCGGCAAAUAAUAUUGGAUGCGAAAACAUACAAAUUCUACCAGUAAACUACUACCAGCCAUGACUAGUAGGCAUGAUUGGAAAUUUGAAAUAUGUCAAAGCCUCAACUGAGUUUUUUUGUCGUGCCGAACACAGAGGGGAAGGUCAUAGUACAAUAUAUUGUUUCAGAUGUUGGGUUAGUUAUAUAUAUACAUACAUACGUAUUGUUUCUUAAUAUUCCAAGGUGACCGUGGCUUGUGUGUGUAUGUGCAUAAGUGAGAAUUAAUGAUGGUGGUUGUCCCAGAUAUUGGUGGUUUAAAUAUAUUCACUUGCUUUGUACGCGCACUAAAGCCACACCCAAUCAAGUUUGCCUCCAAAUCUCCAAUAGUACGCUUGCAAAAUGCAAAUUGAUCACUGCAAGGAAUCUUGGGUGUGUUAAUCAUGGGUACAAAUCACUAUGCAUGUGAUUGGUAGUGAUCCAGAUUUUUUUAGAAACAUUUUGGAUCUAGAUUUUCUCUAAAAAAACGUUUGAGUUGAUAAAUUAGAAUUAUUUCAUGGAACCAUUUGACAAGCUAGUUAGAUUCUUAAAACUUCAACUAGAAUGUGGAGAAAUCAAGUUUUGAGUGUUUUUUUUGAAUUAGAACAAAAUGAGAAUUGGUUCGAAGUGAUUCUCCUUGAAACGUUUCUCUUUUGUAGUGUUUGGCAGGAAUUCUAGUGAUUCUGUUGGGAAUAUGAAAUGUUUGUCUCCGCCAAACGCAUCCUAUAUACUCAUCACGUUCAAGGAUAUCCGAAAAUAGUGCAAAUGAGGAGGACUUUAGUACUCCCUCUAUUCUUUUUUAUAUGUCGUAUUAGUUUUCUCCUAAGUCAAAUUUUUUUUUACUUUGACCAUCAAUUUCAAAAAACAUAUUCACAUUAACAACAUAAAAUUUAUGUUUUGGAUUCGUAUAACAAGUACUUCAUAAUAUAUAAUUUACAUGUUGUGAGACUACAUGGACUUGGUGAAAGAGGAAAAAUGUUUAAUUUAGGAUAAACCUAUCAUAACUGUAAAAGAAGAAUACAUUGUGCACAAGUUCUUUUCAAGUGCUUCAAAUGGGGAUCAUGUUCAACUUUGACGACUGUGACAACUUUAUUUUCGGCGACAUGAUCUCCUUCGAUAGCUUGGACUUCAUCAAGGAUCAGAUUAGGAACUUCAUCGCGUGUGGCUGCCUAGUGGGGCCUCUCUGGACUAAUUUCUUUUAUUUUUGCCUGAUUUAUGAUUUUUGGAUGAUUUCGAGGAAAUAAUUUGUAGAGGCGGAUGUGAUUUAUAACCGCAUCUAGAAAUCAAUUUCUAGGGGCGGCCGUUGUUGCCGGACACUUCUUUAAGUCCCAUUUCUAUAGCCACCUCUACAGAUCGCUUAUUUCUAGCAACAUAAGCUUAGAGGCCGGCUGAGCCGCUUCUACACAACAUUUACAACCAUCUUACCAAUGCUGGUUGUAGUAGUGUCAGCGCCGCCUUAAACCACCAAGCAUACAAGAUAAAAGAUCUAUUCUCCACUAGAUGUACGGUACCCUGUAUUUGAAUGAGUAUACAUCUGUACCCCGUGUGCCACCCCUCUAAUUCACUGCUCACAAAACAUUGAUCCACAUUGUUAAGAGAAAAAACUAUGACCAUUGCACGACACCCUCACUUGUGAUUGUACGUAGGACACUAUCUUUUAAUUUGUUUCAACGUUCUGUAUUUUUAUAUUAAUAUUUUAGCCUCUACAUGAUUCCAAAUAAAAAAUAUUUCGACUACAAAGUUUAGGUAUUACUGAGCUCUACAAUUCUUUUAAAUAGUGUGUGUCAUAGUUUGAAAAUUCAAAAAUUUUGAAUAUCAAAAUUUGAGAACUUUGAAUCAGAUAUCUCGGGCUUUAAUGUUAUCAACUGCAAAGUUGUAGAUUGCAUUGAGAAGUAAAACUUUGGAAUAGAUCACGUCGAUGUCUAAUGUUUUUUCAAAAAUCUAAAUUUUAAAUUUCAAAAUAUUAGAAUAACAAAUAUUUAGUAAUCUAAAUAAAUAUAUUCAAAUAAAAACUUUUAUAAAGUGUAAAUUGCAUUGAGAACUAUAAUUUUAGUUUAGAUCAUGUUAACAUACAAGUAUGUUCAAAAACUUUAAUUUCAAAUUUUAAAAUCAAAGAGCUUGGACCAUAUUUUUCUAGGACUAUAAACAAUUCCAAGUAAAAAAAUUAUCAACUACAAAGUUGUAAAUCAAGUCGACUAGUUCUACAACUUUGGUAUAAAGUUUUUAUUUAUUCAAAUUCCUAUGAAAAAUUAAUGAUUUUUACAUACUUUUUUAGAGGCUAAUCUUAGAAUAAUCGUCUCUAUUACUAAUUGAUUUCUAAAGCCGACCACUUAGAAUGUGUGCAUUUGAUUAUAGCCAUUUUCAAAAGCAAUCUUGUUAAGAAGCCUGCAUCUAUUAGUUGAUUAACAGAGGCGAGAACCUUGGACAACUGCUCUGUUAAUCAGUCAUUUUUAGGGGCAGACAUCUUAAUUUAGAUGUCAUUUGCUUGGAGGUUGAUUAACCAUUUACAGAGGUGGCCACUAACUAGAUGUAUCCGGCUCUGUUAGGCCCUGUUUGAUUCCCUUUGCUAAAUUUUAGCCAAUAAAAUUAUUUUAGCUACUCUUGGGUGACUAGUGAGACUAAACUAUUUAACUCCUUUUUAGUCAAUAUGUUUGGAAUUUUAGCUGCUAAAGUGAUUAAAGUUUAGCUGACUAAAAUUUAGCAAGGGGAACCAAACAGGCCCUUAAUCUGAGAGACUUUCAAAUGAAAUCUUUUUGUAGUGUGGAACUGACGCACUUUUUAAUACCCAUCCAUCCUAAAUUGUAAAACGUUUUGUUUUUCUAGCAUAGCUUUUGCAAAUGCACUAAGAUACACGUUGUAUUUCCAGAUAAUAUAUAUAUAUAUAUAUAUAUAUAUAUAUAUAUAUAUAUACUAGCAUGUAGGAAAGCUAAUCAAAUGUUUUCCAAUUACUUUCUCUAUUUCAAAUUGGAAGUUAUUCUGACUUUUUGAGAUAUGUGGCUUCUGCUAUGUACCUAGAUGAAUAUUAUGUCUAUAUACAUAGUGAAAGUUAUGUAUCUAAAAAAGCCAAAAUAGCUUACAGUUUGGAAUGUGGAACACUCAUUAGACGUACUCCUUCUAUUCCAAAUUAGAAGACAUUUUGGCUUUUUUCUAGAUACAUUGCUUUUAUUAUGUAUCUAGAUAUAUCUAAAUGAAUAACUAUAUAUUAAAAAAAAUCUGAAACAUCUUAUAAUUUAGAAUAGAGGGAUUACUAAACACUAUAGCAUAUAAAUAUUGCUCCUUAAGGUUCUUUCACUUUUCUUUAAAGAAAAACACUAGCAAUAGUUUGUCUUUUAGGUGCUUGUAUUUAGGAAUUGAUUUAUUUUUUUGGAACGGGUACUGUUAUGAUGUGGUUGGUGUGCAUGGACUUGGUAUGUGUGCCACAGGCCAUCGUUAUAAAGUCGAUGGUGAAUCAUAGUUGAGAGAGCUGAAUGCUGCCUGUAUAUGCACCAACGAGUGUCUAUAUAUCUGUUGCACGAGUACGCGCUAUAGCUCAUACAUUAACUGCUACACAAAUGAAACGAGCAGCUAGCCAAAAAACCAGGGAGGAGAGUCAAGUCGGACAUUCAUGCAUGCAAACCUAAAACACGUCCAAGUUCAUGCACGCCUAGAACACGUACAGGUCCAAAUGCACGCCGAGAGGCACCCCCUAGCUAGCUGCAGGGUUCACCCGCCGGCCAUAACCAUUGCUGCGCUGGAGUCAACGACGGUCAACUACCCCCCGCGUUGACAGGUGCAGAGAGACGACGCUCGAUCCCUUCCAUUUCAGAUAUCUGCAGUAAGUAGUAGGAGUAUAUAAAGGAAAGGAGACGAGCCGGCGGCGGCAUCUCCUCUCCAUCGCCGAUCUCCCUCUUUCUUCCCCGGCGGCAGUCGUCGUCGUCGCAACUCCCUGCCGGCCUCGCCGCGCGAGCUAGUAGUCUCCCGUCGACGACGAUCGACUCAUCAGCCCCUUAUUUGUUUCUCCAUUGCCGCCGGCCGCAGACCGCCGCCGGACGACGACUGCCAUGGGGACUCAAGCACCCGAGAACCAUUCUCCUACCAAGGUACGUCCCAUCUCACUGCUAUCUCUCUCUCGUCACACGUACGGAUCUUGUUUUUUUUUUGCCGGCCAUGGCCAUGCAUGGCUGCAUUUUCUUGUUCAUCUCCGUCGAGGCUUUGUUUAAGGCAUCAUCCACGAUAAUGGAAUGUGGAAGCAUUAUGAGCAAUGCAUGCAUCCUUGUUACAAAGAUUCGUCUGAAUAAAAACAACGGAAACUUUUUAGGGUUCUUUCUUGCACACAUGUUUUCUCGAUCAGAUACAUGUGAAAUUAAAUGACCUUUUUCUCUUGAGCUCUUUUACGGUGGUUGAGGGUAUUCUUGGUUCCUAUAGGUUCCUAAGUAAAUUAUUAGCGCUAAUUAAUUUUAUGAGUGGAAGGUUAGGAUUGUAAUUGUGGCUCCCCCGCACCCCUCGCUGCGCACAGACACACAUGAAAGACCACACAUGAAAGACGCAUCGCCGCGGCCUUGCCUCGCCCUCUGCAUCGCGCAUCGUGCACGCAUCGCAACUGCCUCGCCAUCGUGUAUCACUGCCGCCUCGCCCUCAUCCUCGCACGGCACCAUCGUCGCCCUACCCCUAGCCUUGUGCGGAGUGUCGCUACCAGCCUGCCUCGGCAGAUCGCCGUCGCCGGCCUGCCCUCGGCUUGCCUCCCGACCACCGUCGCCGCCGCGCGCACGAGCGUCCUGUCCCGCCGCUGGCGCGGCCUGUGGAACUGCGUCCUGGCGCUCUCUUUCCACGUGGAGCCGAAAGGCGCCGCCGAGUGCUUUUUCCUCGACGUUGACGCCGUCGACGUCGCCCUUGACGCCUACUCUGCCCGCCGCACUGAACCGCCUUGCCCUCGACGUGGAUCCAUCAACGCCCGUGCCACGCCGGCGAGCUCCGCCUCUCCCUCUUGGGCGCCAACGCAGGCGCACGAGGGAUCUCGACGGAGCACAACAUUCAUAGGCGGCAGAAGACGUGGCGGUCUACAAUAGGGUGACGCGCAUCGAGCUCGCCAGGAUCAACUUCCAGCUCCGACUCCCAAGUCCCAAGUGUCGGCGUGUUCACGUAGCUGCGCGCCCUCAGGAUCCAACGGGGGCAAGUUUGUGCUCGGCGACGUCGGCCACCUUGUGUCUAUGCAGUGCCCGCGCCUGCGGGAGCUCGAGGUGAGCAACGUGGGCAUUGUCAUCGCCGCCGGCCACAUCUCCAUCAGCUCAACGUCGCUACAACGGCUUGUGUUCGGACACAUCAACGACAUUGUGAAUUGCACCUCUACUGAUUUAGAUGAACUACACACCAUCCAGUAACAGUUACCCUUUCAUUGUGAAUUGCGUCCUUGCAGCGCGAUUCAAAAAUAAAUAAAGACAAUGUUAUAAACGUGGCUGCUAAAGCCAUUUUAAAGGACAAUGUGCUACCUAUUCACCGCAUAUAAUCGCUAUCAGAUCGCGUGCCCUGGAUGCCACAGCCCUGCCCUUGCGCUCGCCCUUGCCCUGGCAGCCGUCGCCGCCGCAGCACGGACUCACAGUUCACAGUGAGAACGGAGAAGAGAGAUGAGAGAGUGGCUAGACCGAGGAGGUAGAGAAAACAUGCGACAUAUAUUACUUCAAUUCAAUCAAUCAUCCCUAUACUAGUUUCUAUCAUAAUGUUUACCAUUCUACCCUUAAUUAUAUAAAUAAAUCUCAAAAAUAGAAUUAUCCUAAUGGGUUUCUUCCACUAAUUUUAGUAUGCACUUAGUGCAUAUGGCCCCACUGUUUAGUAUGCACUUGGUGCCUCUUCGAUUGGUUCCUCUUGGUUCCUUUGUCUUUUUAGCCGUCGGAUCGGCUCUCGUGGACCGUCCAUUUUUCGACAACCAUUGUAAAAAUUCUCUUUUCUCUUAUCUCUCUCUGUGUGCGCGCGCCCGUUUGUGUGUGUUCUCUUUGGAAAGGAAAAAUGGGAGAGCUUAUUCACCGCUGGGUUUAUUGAUUUGAACGGAUUUAUUUUGAUAUUUUGCCUUAAUUGCGAGAUUUUUCCCUUUAUUUUUGUGAUGUACUAGCUAGCUGUUACCACCCUGUUCUUGCUUGACCCUUCAGGUGUUUAUUGAUAUUAACUCCCUUGCUGUUACGUGUUGCCUGCCGCAUCCUUUUACAGCGACUUAAUUACCAUUUCCACACUGCUUUUGAUCCCGAGAAGAAAAUCAAAUUGACACUUUGACACGGGUUCAUCUCACUUAAAUAUUCAAAAAUCAAAAAUCAAAGAUGCACUUGAAUCCUACUACUCAUAUAUCUGACGCUUGUUCUGUUCUGCCCAAGAGUAAUGUAAAUGCACGUCAAAUUUUACUGAGAUCCACUGCUAUUUAUUAUCACUGAAACAUCAAAAUUCAGUAUUCCCUUCAUGCUUUGCUUGUGAUCAGUCAAAAGCUUGUCUAGCAUGGCCAUGCCAUUACCAGUUAACAAAAAACAAACUGGCAUUGUCAAAAACUUAUUACAGGAUGAGAGGAGUGCUGGGGAUAAGGCGAUCGAUGACUGGCUCCCGAUCACCUCGUCCAGGAAUGCCAAGUGGUGGUACUCUGCCUUCCACAACGUCACCGCCAUGGUCGGCGCCGGCGUGCUCAGCCUUCCCUACGCCAUGUCCAAGCUCGGCUGGUACAUGUCACUGCCAUCUUCCUGUGCCCCGGCAACCUCCAUUGUAAUCGUGCACUGCAUAUAUGUAUGCCAUGCACAUUCUUCACAAAGACGGAUAUACAUAUUAUUUUCUGUGAUUUUUCCUGUUUCCACAAUCUGCAGGGGACCUGGCAUUGUGGUGUUGAUACUGUCGUGGAUCAUCACAUUGUACACGAUGUGGCAGAUGGUUGAGAUGCACGAGAUGGUCCCCGGGAAGCGGUUCGAUCGGUACCAUGAGCUCGGGCAGCACGCGUUUGGGCAGAAGCUGGGCCUGUGGAUCGUCGUGCCGCAGCAGCUCAUCGUCGAGGUGGGCGGGGACAUCGUGUUCAUGGUCACCGGAGGCAAGUCACUGAAGAAGUUCCACGACGUGAUCUGCGACGGCAAGUGCAAGGACAUCAAGCUCACCUACUUCAUCAUGAUCUUCGCCUCCUGCCACUUCGUCCUCUCCCAGCUCCCCAACUUCAACUCCAUCUCCGGCGUCUCCCUCGCAGCUGCUGUCAUGUCACUCAGGUAAUAACAUUUCAGUUACACUACAUUACACCCACUUCAACAAUUUACUGUAGCAGAUCCGGCAAAUUUCAUUUUCUGAAGACAGACAGUAUGCAUAUAGCUGCAGUAAUUGUCACUGACAUGCAUGAGUUCUCAUGACAGUUACUCAACAAUAGCUUGGGGAGUGUCGCUGCAUAAGGGGAAGUUGCCGGACGUGGACUACCACGUUCUGGCGGCGACGACAUCAGAGAAGGCGUUCAACUACUUUGGGGCAUUGGGGGAUGUGGCGUUUGCAUACGCGGGGCACAAUGUGGUGCUUGAGAUCCAGGCCACCAUCCCAUCGACGCCGGAGAAUCCAUCCAAGAAGCCCAUGUGGAAGGGUGUCGUCGUCGCCUACAUCAUGGUUGCCGUCUGCUACUUCCCUGUCUCAUUCUUUGGAUACUGGGCCUUUGGCAACCAAGUUGAUGAUAACAUCCUCAUCACACUCAACAAACCCAAGUGGCUCAUCGCCCUCGCCAACAUGAUGGUCGUUAUCCAUGUCAUUGGCAGCUACCAGGUAGGAUCAGGGACAUCCAUAUGGGCUUCAAAAUAUCCUCUGCUGCUUGUUGUUAGUGGACAAGCUUUCAGUUCCAAAUGUCACUAAUAUAUGCUCUUCCAUGUAACACUAGUAUUGGAGCUAAACUUUGUACCAUCUCUUAUCCAAAUGUUUUUUUUGGUUGCAGAUUUUCGCCAUGCCGGUGUUUGACAUGAUAGAGACGGUCCUGGUGAAGAAACUGCAUUUCCCUCCCGGCCUUGCACUCCGUUUGAUUGCCCGGAGCACCUAUGUUGGUAAUGUUGCUUUCUGAAGUUUCAACAGAACUUCUCAGUCUAAAUAACUACUGUAAAGCUCUGCUAAGCAAAUGGAUAUGUCGCACUGAUCAAACUGGGCGUGUCAACUUCUGCAGCGUUAACAACGUUUGUAGCCAUCACUAUCCCCUUCUUCGGUGGAUUGCUCGGUUUCUUCGGUGGAUUCGCCUUUGCACCGACAACUUAUUUUGUAAGCUCGCAUUGAUCCAUGGUUUCCUUGUCGUUUUCAGAAUGUCACAGAACGUGCAACUGCUUGUAUAUUUCAGAUAUAAAUACGGAACCAUGUAUAAUCCUAGUACAACCCAUCAAGUCAUAGGAAUAUACGUAGCAAUUUUUUUUUUUUUAGAAAGGACGGCAAAAGCUUUGCCGCGGAUUUUAUUAGACGAUAAAAAGAAAAACAAAAACCUGUACAGAGAAAAAACAGCCUGAAGAAUUAUCAGGCGAAAAAAAAAACUCCCCCCCCCCCCCCAACUACAAAGUAACCAGCAGUACACACUCGCUGCUAGGACUCGUAAUCCUAUUUAGACCUCCGGUGAAUCUAAUUGAGUCCUCUGGUCUUGUGAUACCAUCGCUAAGCCAUAUUGUGUGAUAUCAUCCUUACAUAAGGAAGCCACUUGUAUUGGUUGCAGACUGUGCUGUUGGAAGAUCCUUCUAUUGCAUUCUUUCCAUAUGUUCCACCAAAAGUAGACAAUUUGAGAUCUGACAGAACUUCUCUUGUUUCUGCCAGCUUCCCUGCAUCAUGUGGCUUGCAAUCUACAAGCCCAAAAGGUUCAGCCUCUCAUGGUUCACCAACUGGGUAAGAGAUUAUGAACUGAACACAAAUCCCUUCCUUUCUUUCUGCAACAGGAUUUCCCUGGUUGGGAAUUACUUAAUCAUCCAUUUCUCCAUGUGUUUCUGCAGGUCUGCAUUCUUCUUGGAGUGGUCCUGAUGAUCCUGGCACCGAUCGGAGCACUCCGGCAGAUCAUCUUGUCUGCCAAGACAUACCGAUUCUACUCCUAAACUUCCAUGUUCCAAAUUGUGAACAUGCAAGGGCUCAAUCACAUAGCCUUCUGCAAGUCCUUUGGUGUCCCAAAUAGAAGAGGAGGCUCCAAGAACCAAAACUUGUUCCAAAUGAUGAUACUUGUCAGAGGCAUGUUGUGAGUCUUCAGUUACAGAUGAAGUCCUGUGGCGGGUUCAUCAUAACCCAUGUAUUUUUUUUUGGCAAUGUUCUACGGUAGUUAUGUACUUAUGUGCGCAUAAGGAAGAAUGAACGUUGGUGGAUUCUAUUGCUUAUACAAAGCUAGAAUCUGCUUGGCCGUUGGUGUGCGUUCUGUCACUAGUAAAAAAAAUAAAUUGUUUGAGCUGCUAUUAGAGCAUCUCCAGUAGCCCCCCAUUCUCUAUGGACUGAGGAGAAAGGAGGCUUGGCAGGAAGAGGAUUGUAGCAUAAGAAGCACAGAGGUCAAUCCAUUUCAAAAUAUGGAACAUGGGUUAUGACAAUGCAACAGAGUUGGGUCCUCAUAACUUGCUGCAGACCACCUAGCGCGCUUGAUGCGCGUCGUUUGUAUGACAAAUAGUUUUCCUUCUUAAAUGCAAUGAUACGCAAAUCUUUUGCGUUUCGAGAAAAAAAAUCCUUCAACUCUUCAAAGUUGAGGAGGAAAUCUUGCCCCCAAUACAUGAGAUUUGGCGGGAGGUCCAACUGCCAUCGUUGAGAAAGAUGGCCACCUACUGCCGUGAUGAUAGGCGUCAGAGCCACCAAGGAAAGCCGAUGCGUGACAUGGGUCAGAUCCAGCCCAAGAUCGCUGUUGAUCGAUUGGUCAGGCCCCUUUGUAUUCGUAUUGGGCAAGCCGAAAUAUGUUAAGCUUUACAGUUAAAAUCGGUUCAAGGGGGUGUUUAGUUCCCCAUAGAAUCCAAAAUGCAAAAUGUCAACUACUUUGGAGUGAUGAAAUGCAAAAUAUCAAAAUUUUCAGAGUCAUGUUUAGUUCCAUCCAAAAUACAGAAUCUAUUGUCCUCAUGAAGCCUCUUAAAGCUCAUUUUGGGUUUUUUUUUACCUCUUGAGGCCAAAAUCCAAAAUGGAGAAUAACUACAUUUUUGCUAAAAAUUUUGCAUGAUGUUUAGUUCUAUUUUGCAAAAUGAUGAACCAAAAUCCAAAAUAUUUGAAAAAAAAUGGGAACUAAACACCCCCAAAUUGAUACAAUACUAUCAAAAAUUGGAUUCCCUUUUCCAAAAUCGAAUCACCCUGUUUUCUCGAAGAAGAAUCUUAUGAAGGAUAUAACUUUCUCAUCUAGACUCCAAAUUUAUUAAGCAUUCCACCUACAUAUUCAUGUCAAUCGUUUUGACGAGGACGAAAUUCAUUCUAACCAUGUAGGUCUUCUUCAUUCAAAGCCGAAUGAUUCGAUUUCCUACCAAUUUGGAUCACGAACAACCGUCAUAUUUGACCGGUCACUGCUGACGUGUGCACUAAGGUUCGUCACUAUUUAGCUAUAUGUUCUUACAUAGUGAUUAGUACAUCUUGUUUGCGUGUGUUCGGUCUCAGUAUCAAUUUAUCGUCACGUUUUGUCAGCAACUUGGUUGGCCAGUUUCACGGGUGGUCGAAUUCUUUUUUGGAAGCACGGUAGCAAUUCCCGGUGAAGAAAAGUCCGAAGCAUAUAUACAGCUGUAUAUAUUGAUAUAAGAAACUUAUAGUGUUCACAGAAAUGUAACAAAAAAAAGUCAAUGAAAAAUCGAAUGCAAUCAUCAUACCAGAUGGAACCUGGACUUGAAACCUCGAGAUUUUUCAAGAUCCGUGUGCCCGACGCAAAAAUACGGGGUUGAAGAGAAACACACGCUAAUAAUACGCUAUAUAUUUAUCAGUUGGCUAUAUAUAUAUACAUACUCCCUCCAUACUCGAUUUUGUUGACGUUUUAGACAGAAAUGCGCUAACCAAGGAAUGAUUAAGCAGGGGUUAGUUUUCCUAUUUCGCCCCUAUUAAAUAGCGUUGCGAUUGCUUCUUUGACAGUAAUCUGCCAUAGCUCGAGUGGCGUGAGCUCCGCAGACCGAGGCCGGAGGUCGUUGGUUCGAGUCUUGGGGCCACCCUUUUUCUUUUGCAUGGCUUGCGGUAAGGCGAUUCGCCCCGCUGUGGCGCGCAUGCGCCACGAGUCUCUCUAUGCAAGAGCAGAGAACGGGUCACUUUUUUAUUGUUUGCACCAGAGCCGAGGAGACGGCACCUAGCCACUAAUGAGCAGGCGGCUGAAGCCAUUCCUCAUUUCAGUCUGGGAGCCGAGCGGACGGCAGCAAGGGUAUACUCGUCCGUACACGCAGCUGCAAACCCACCACGACAAGUUUCGCGAUUUCUUCACGAGUACUCAGAACGUCAACUAUUUUGAGUAUGGAGGGAGUACAUAUCGUGGUCGGCCGUGUAAGCCCAAGUCGCAGAGAACGGCAAGACCAGGACACUUAAGUCGACGAUCCAUGUGUACCAACCAAUGUUUUAAAUAGCGAGCUAAUUAAAGUGUUUAGCGGUAUAUCUCUAAAAUAACUAAUAGCAGAGUUGAAUUAGACUAUAGCGGGAUAUAGCACGUGAACAUAAAUAGCAAUAUCUUGCCUCAAAAGACUAUAACAAAUUAUAGCGGCAGCUAUAGUGGAAGAUUAAAAACUAUGGUAGCAACCUAGGCAGCAGGGCAGAGACUUGUCUACAAUACAAUUUCCGUCGACACGUUUCGUCCAGCCGGAAACCUGCAAACAGUAAAACGAAGUCGGUCGCUUUCAGCAUCAGCGACACUUCAACUGUUCCACAGGAUUUGUGGUGGUGUAAGUUUUUCAACGAGGAAACUUUGAUCGUCACACGGCGCACGGCCGCACACUCCUUGACUUUGAUUAAUCAAUUUGCAUCGUUCUCUCUACUAGAGUCUAGAUCGAUGACACAUGCACGCAUACAUAUAUAUUAUUGUAUUAGCGCGUAUUUUUGUGUUGAAGCUGGAGAAUUAGACGACGAUCGAUCGACGCAUGGAAGUCCAUCACGUUAUCAGAGAGUGCAACGUGAGGGUUUGACCAGUCGAGAGUGCACACACACUGACAGUGACAAAUCAAAAGCGAGGAAGCGAAUUUCUUCUCCUGCAUGCUUUCAGACGAUGGACAGAUCAGAUAGAUCAUCGGAUGGCCUGGUUCGAUGAGACACAACUCCAGCUACCUGCUGGAAGAAAAAAAAAGCCAUGGGUUGUGUUAAGUUGUAGUAGCUUCGCUUCAAUUCCUGUCCUGUCUUCCCAUAUAUAGUCCUCCCUGUUGUUCCUCCCUCUCCAAACUCCAUUGCUCUCUCUGAUCUUUUGGCAUUGGCAGCAUCCAUUAUCCAAUCGUGCGUGUGCGUUAGGUGAUGGCGGCAGUCCAGCCGUCCAUGGAGACGACGCAGCAAGGGCCGCCGCCGGCGGCCAACUAUUCUCCGGCCAGGGUACGCCGUCCCCGUCGCCGAUUCACCAUGCAUGAACCUAGCUAGCUCUAGCUCUAGCUCUAGCUCUCUGCUGUGAAGACGACUCGAGCUUUGCUUGUGUGUGUGUGUGACCUGUAUAUGUAGUGCGAUGAAUUAAUCAGAUCGACUCCGUAUGCAGGAUGGCGGCAGGAGCGCCGAGGAGAAGGCGGCGGAGAUCGACAACUGGCUCCCCAUCAACGCGUCGAGGAACGCCAAGUGGUGGUACUCUGCGUUCCAUAACGUCACCGCCAUGGUCGGCGCCGGCGUGCUCGGCCUUCCCUACGCCAUGUCCGAGCUCGGCUGGUAUGCAUAUGUAUAUUUGUCAAUUACAGUAUCUAUCUAGCUAGCUAGUAUAUUUCCCCACUCAAUUUUUAUUUUUGCAAUUUUCGCUCAUCAGUGAUUCAAGCAAUUAGAAGUUUGACUGAGUUUAUAUGAAAUAAUAAUAGCAUUAUGAUAUACAAAAUAAGUAUCAUUAAUUUAAUUGUAAACUUAGUUGGGAACAUAAAUAUUAAUACUGUUUAAUAUAAACUUAAGUUAAGCUAGUUUGAUUUUAUUCUUGACAGACAAAGUACGGUGUUGCAUAAUUAAUGUUUGUCAUGGCUCCUAUCGAAAUAUAUGACUUUUGGUUCCACACUGGGAUCCCCUAUGUGUUGACUAGUCAAAAGAUUCUAGAUUUUAUUAAGAAAUUCGACUGAAAUUUUAUAUUCGAGAGGUAAAAGGAGGAAACUAUGGCUCAUUUGGCGUGGUUCCCUCAAAAUUUUUUACUUUAUGAAUAGCUCUAUCGAAAUAGAGCUUGAGCCAUUUUAGAAAACCGUUUGGCAAUAUAGCUCCAUAUAUUUCUGGCCUCACCGAAAUGACGGACAAAAUUCGCCCACUAGAACAAAGUGAAGCUGAGUGAAUCCACUAUUUUUGAUUCCAUACCAUCACAAACCUUUGUGAGAGCAUGAUUUAAGAGGCUUCCUGAGUAAACUUGUUUUAUUUUAUCCUGUUUGGUAUAAAAAUAGCUCGUGAAAUCGGUAGAGAAGCUGUUCUAAACGGACCGAUUAGGAUUAAUUUCCCCUUCUAUGCACAAGAGAAAGGGACGAUUUGUGGACAUUUGGGCUUUGGCUGGUUAGAUUGAAAUUCCAAAUUGGGCUGAGUUUUUUUUUUUUUUUUUGCUAUGCAUGAAGUCAUUUUUGGCCUCACCGAAAUGACGGACAAAAUUCGCUGACUUUCGGCCCAUUCUGUUCGAAUCCCACGACCUAUAUACUCGCUGAAGCUGAACAUAUCAGUCAUCCGUGUGACACUUGUCAUGGAUGAACAUUAACCAACCCUACAUACAUAUAAUUUUGUUAUAUAUUCCUGUCAAUUGCAGGGGCGCUGGCGUCACGAUUAUGAUCUUGUCAUGGAUCAUCACGCUGUACACGCUGUGGCAGAUGGUGGAGAUGCACGAGAUGGUCCCUGGCAAGCGCUUCGACCGGUACCACGAGCUCGGGCAGCACGCGUUCGGCGAGCGGCUGGGCCUGUGGAUCGUCGUGCCGCAGCAGCUCGUCGUCGAGGUCGGCGUCAACAUCGUCUACAUGGUCACCGGCGGCACGUCGCUGAAGAAGUUCCACGACACCGUCUGCGAGAGCUGCAAGCAACUCAAGCUCACCUACUUCAUCAUGAUCUUCGCCUCCGUCCACUUCGUCCUCUCCCAGCUCCCCAACUUCAACUCCAUCUCCGGCGUGUCCCUCGCCGCCGCCGUCAUGUCGCUCAGCUACUCCACCAUCGCGUGGGGCGCGUCGGUGGACAAGGGGAAAGCGGCGAACGUCGACUACGGGAUGCGCGCGACGACGACGCCUGGGAAGGUGUUCGGUUUCUUGGGAGCGCUAGGCACCGUGGCGUUCGCCUACGCCGGGCACAACGUGGUGCUGGAGAUCCAGGCCACCAUCCCGUCGACGCCGGAGAAGCCGUCCAAGAAGCCCAUGUGGAAGGGCGUCGUCGUCGCCUACAUCGUCGUCGCGCUGUGCUACUUCCCUGUGUCAUUCGUCGGUUACUGGGCCUUUGGCAAUACUGUUGACAGCGACAUCCUCAUCACGCUCUCCAGGCCUAAGUGGCUCAUUGCCCUCGCCAACAUGAUGGUCGUCAUCCAUGUCAUUGGCAGCUACCAGGUAGUACAUAUUAUUGUACAUAUAUACAUAUAUGUCUUCCAACUUCUUCCAAGUCAAGCAUGUAUAGAUGUAUACAUACAUGGAAGAUGCUGAACUGAAUGAUGGAUAUAUGGCUGCACAGAUUUAUGCGAUGCCGGUGUUCGACAUGAUGGAGACGGUGCUGGUGAAGAAGCUGCGGUUCCCUCCUGGCCUGAUGCUCCGUCUGAUUGCCCGUACUGUUUAUGUUGGUAAUGCCUUUGUCUGAACACAACCUUUUCAGUCUAAACUCUUAAAGCCAGCUGUGCUAACCAGAUGAGCUUCUCACAGUCUCAUCCUCAAGAAAUAAGACUGACAAGAUGUCACAUGUGUGCAGCGUUCACAAUGUUCAUAGCCAUCACCUUCCCCUUUUUUGAUGGAUUGCUAAGUUUCUUUGGUGGAUUCGCGUUCGCACCGACAACUUAUUUCGUAAGUUCCAGUCGAUGACUAUCCAAUUGUUUUGGGUUUCAGAAUGUAACAUGACAAUAUGACAGCUGACCAAUCUUUUUUUUUUCUGCCAGCUUCCCUGCAUCAUGUGGCUCGCAAUCUACAAGCCCAAAAGGUUCAGCCUCUCAUGGUUCACCAACUGGGUAAGAACCAACUAAUUCACAGUCCAGCCUAUCUUAUCAGGCUUAAUUAAUCUGCUGUCGUCUAACUUACCUGUGCUCUCCCUAUUAUUCAGAUCUGCAUUAUUCUUGGAGUGCUUCUGAUGGUACUGGCGCCGAUUGGAGGACUCCGGAACAUCAUUAUUAGUGCCAAGACAUACCAUUUCUACCAGUAAACAUGCAUGAUUGUCCAACACAGUGCAAACCCCUUGUUUAACCAACUACAACAGAGACCCUGACAAGUCUCAGGCCACAUCAUCAGGUGAACAGGUUUUGGAUUUUGUACCACGGGAUUCUGAACUACUUGUUUGGAAUGACAAAAAGCUUGCAUCAGAUGCGCUAAUCGGCAAUCGAUUAUAAUGUCUAUUGUGAGUUCUUUGUCGUGCCAAAAAGGGAAUACCAUCAUGGCCUAAAACGUGUUCCAGUUGAUGAAUGUUCCUGACAUGUCAAGCUUCCCUUAGUCAUGGCCUAACCUAGGAGUUUGCUUGGAGUGGAUUAUAUACAUGUGUAUGUAGUUUUUCUUCAUACUUCUUUAUAUUCAGGGAAUGUUAGCUUUUUUGUAUGUAUAAACGCGAAAAUGGAAGCGUGGUGCUUUGUAUUUUUUUUAGAGAAUGGAAAUGGUGCUUUGUAUCUGUUGGUUUUUUUGAGUAAUUUAGGGAGAGUUUCCCCGCAUUUUCAGUCAAUUAAUAAAAAAAUACAAUGAUGAUCAUCAGUUGUACUUCAGGCUCACCUUAGGCCAGCUCAAAACCUCUUCCUCUUUCGCCCCUAAGACCCCCAAAUAAUCAGCACACACCCUAUGCACCGAGUUCCCAGUUAUCAAGCCGACCCAUACCAUCCUCACUCCUAUCCUCUAUUCUCCACCUAAAUUGCUACCUUCAUUGAUCCAUGACUAUUGAUCACCUCUUGAUCACCGGGUGAGCAUCAAUACCUUCACUACAUGAAAACACAUAUUAGUGAUAAGGGCAAAGGUGAUGCGCCCCUAAGGCACAUCACUAAUGACUCUUUAGUGAUGGAGGGAAACAAGGUAUAUCACUUUUAUGAACUUUGGGUUAAGCUAAAGAAAAGGGUGUCACUUUUAUGUUUAAAAGUGACACACUAUAAUAACACUCGUUACUACACAAACAAGUGAUAAGUCUUCGUGGGAUACCCAAAAGUAACAAGACAUGAUUUACUCAUCACUUUUUACUAGAUGGAAGGUGAUAGAUUUGGUCUAGGCCUAUCACUUUUCACAAUGUAUCUCCUCUCACCCGUUUCAUUUUUGGAUGGCUGCAUCAUGAACACCUAGUGCCGCAACGUGGUUUCUAGUCUUGCACAUGCCGUCACCAUUAGAUCUCACUUUCAUGCAAGCCUCCUUCACCACACAUGGGAAUCCUCUUCCUCCACUUGUGGGGAUCCUCCUCAUCCACGUGCUAGCCUCCUCUUCAAUGACUUCUUGCUUAGCAAGAUCUAGAUAGACCUCAAACUUCUCCCUAUGAUGCCCAUCUCAUUGGUAGCUUCCUCCUUCCUAGUGUUAUCCAAAUCCAUACAAAGCCUCUAGCUCUCUGGGAACCCCCUCAUCCAUGAUGGCUUCCUUUCACUGGCCUCCUUCUCCCUAAUCCCACGCACAUUGGAAAUCUUAACCCCAUACUCACCCUCCCUUCCCUUCUACAAACAUGCACAUAUAUUACUUGAUGGAUCUUGAUAAAUAUGGAUGCAUUAUUAUAGUUUAGAUGUAUGGUUGACGAAAUAUAUUAUGAUCUAAAUGAAUUAAGGGAUGUAAUAGAGACUAGAUGAAUUAGGGGUUGGAUGGAUGAAUUUCUUCAUGUGGGCCCUUUUUGAGCUCUCAGAUUCUAUUUUGAUAUUUUUAGUGGUGCAUAUUUUUCUCAUUUUGAAAAGAGGGGGCAGUGAGUCUUAUUUCUAUAUGAAUGGCCUUGGGCAUUAGAGCAUUGUGCAAGAAGGGUGUGAGGUUCAUGGCAUAUAGCCUUGGGUGGGCUAUGUAAGGACGGAAUGGCCUAAGAGGCAAAGGUUGAAUUGGGCUCUAAAAAAUAUAAAGCAACAAUCUUAGCCUAUGCAAUUCCUAAACCGUCAAAGCACCUUUACACCUAAGCUUUCUAUGAAAGCAUACUAUAAAGUCUUUAUAGGACCACCAACCUGCACAAUUUUUGCAAAAUAACUAAGGAGCAUGCUAAUUAAGUCUAUCAUGAGCUGCAUAGAUUUUUUGAGACAAUCUAUGAGAUAUACUACUAAGAGGCUGCUUGGAUCCUUUUAUUUAGAGUAAUUGGAAUCUACUUAAUGUACUAGGCUAUUUGGUGUGAAACUUAACAUUCCACAACCUUUUAAAGUAUAGGUAUAAGCAUAUAUUAAAUUCAUAGGGUGGGAGAUGGAAAUUCUAUAGAUCACCAUGCUAUGCUUCUACUCUACAACUUAUAGCAUACUCUUUGGCCCCUCCCAUCCUUGGACGGUCGAAGUUAUUGGUGGAGGUAUUCCCACCGCUAGUGCUCCCUCAUGGGGCAUGGGUGUCGGAGCGACCCCCAUCAAAGGUUGGUGUUGGCUAGGAUGGCCUUGAGGCGGCGUUGUGACGGUGGGAUGCUAAGCUGUCCACUUGCUACUUGAGGGUGAUAUGGAAGAAGCGCUGAGCCUCCUAAAGCUUUUCGUUGAUCCUUGGGUCCGGCGUGUUGGAGAUGUCACCAAGAUGGCUGGCGAUAGCCACCAUGUUGUAAGCUGCCUAGAAGAAGCACAACAUGUUGGGAGCCCCCGUGCGGCUAUCAUUGUCACGCUAGGCGUCCUACAGUCGCUCGAUCUCCUCCCUUCUUCUCUCGAGCUCGGCACAAUUCACGUCAAGUUUGGCUUGUCGAGCCUCGAGGCACUCAGACUUCUCCUAGAAGUAGGUAGCGUGGCUGGUCGGGCUCAGAUCUAGAGGCGUGAGCUCAAAGGCUGCAUCAGUGGCAUGUCCCCCCCGGAUGUAGAAGCACUCACGUGCCUGGGAGUGGUUGUUGGCCUCAUCGAAGUUGUACUAUAGUUCGAGCCCCGAGAGUGACUCUAGAAAGUUCUGAAGUGAGGGAACGCCAACCCUCGUCAUGCCUGAGAGGAAGACAUUGUACGACAUCUCCUAGCUCACGAGACGCUCCAACUUGAGCUGGAAUGAUGCCGCGAUGUUGUAAAUCCCAUAUGUCAGGUCUGGGAGGACAUACAAGAAGUGAUGCCACGGUGGUAGUUCAUCUCCAGCGAUGAUCUGGUGAUGAACAACGUGUAGAACAUCCGACAACACUUCACUACGGUGGGAUUUAGGCCCAGACUAAGUCGGAUCUGCUAGGCCAGGAGCUUCAGGUCUGCUCCUAGGAUGACUUUGAGGAAACUUCAUUGGAGGACAGCGAGUCCUUGACUUCUUUAGAGUGUACGUGCUAGUGUACCCAAUGGAUAUAGUCCCCGAGUGAUUUGUAGAAUCUAUCAGGGUUCUGUUGAUCUGUUAUCUUAUUCUCAGGGACUUAAUUAACAUAAUCUUAUGUUAGACUCUUGUCACCUACUCUCUCGAUCUCUAGUGCACGAUCGUAGACGCUCGAGAUGGAGAAGCUAUGACAACAGUAGCGAGAAGAGGCAAAACCCCUAGUUCGAUUAGAUGCGUUUUGGUGUUGCCCAAUAAUCUGUUUAUAUUGGCAUGUCCAACAUGAUCUCAUGUCGUGAUCACGGUCUAAAUUGUUUAGGACUCCUAUCUGUAAACUUAAAGACCAAGUAACCAAAAACUAAUCUGCAAAAAAGAGGCCAUGCCCUACAAGGUUAGGUGUCGGAUUUCGAUGGACCAUUCAUGCAGGUGCCGAGCGCUCGCGCUCUUUGCCUGGCAGACAAAACCCCUAGCUCAACUAAAUGUGUUUUGGCACGGGUCGAUAGGCUGUUUACAUUUGCCUGCACAAACUUAAGGCAAAAAGUAACUAAAAACUAAAUCUGCAAAAAGAUGUCGCACCCCAUAGGACCAAAGGCAUUCACAUAGGUAUUGAGAGUUGGCACCCUUUGCUUGGCCCGAGUCAGUUACCGAGCGAGUACCUCAUACUAGAUUUGAGGCAGUGAAGAGGACUUGUAUAUUUAAGCACCGCUACCUUCACUUACAAAAGCAAGCUGGGACUAAAAGUCUCCUACUUCUACUCUUUACUCACAUGAAUGGGCUUUUGAAAUUUCUUCAUGGGAAUUUCAGAAUUUCUAUUAGGCCAAGCCCAUUUAUUCCAACAGAUUAGCCAUAUAUAUAGACCAGAUGCAUGAUUGGCCAUUUGAAUUUUCUUGGUUUGUCUCUAAAAAAUGAGUGUAUGUGUUGCAUGCAUUUUGUUAAGAAAAGACGAGGUCAAUAACAAGAACACUGCAAACAUGCAUAGAGAGAAAACUAGGGAACACCAAAAACAGAGGUGGGUAGAGGCGCUACCAACAGAGAUGGAACGAUUUAAUUAGUCUAUGGUUUAGAGCAAGUCAAAGUCGCCAUCAGCAUCGAACCCUGUCUGCAGUGGAAGUCUCCUCCCAUGCAACCCGACAUGGUAUCUGGUAAACAGAGUACUGUAUCUGUAUCUGUCACUAGUUCUUUCAUUUGUUGCUUGAUUUAUCAUGCAUCCAUAGACGAUUGAAGAGGUAAAUUGGGGCAAUUUGCAAUAAAAGACAGGUCGAUUUGAGCAACUAGUAUGCAUGAUUAUUGGUCGUUAGUACGCAAUAAUUCAUGAAUAAGGCAUGUCUGACUUCAGUUUUCAUGCUUGGUAGUACAAUAUACUCCCGGCCGUCUUACCAGAUCCCUGAGGCGCAGACAAAUUUUUUGUCAUAUUUAUAUAUAAUUCCUAGUUACAUGCAUGUAAGUAAGCGAUCGAUGAGCUGUACAGAAUCAGACUACGACCUAGAUUGAAACAAAUGAGAAAGUGAGCACAUGAUAGCCAUGCUCUCUCUGACCCUAGCCAUCGGGUGGUGAUCGGACGCCGAGCAUGGAGCCACGCGCGACGUCACCUGAGCUGGAGUCCUCCACAAGCGUUUCAGCUGAGCUGGAGUUAUUGCCUGCUGUCACCUCGCCUUCACUAGUCACUUGCACUUCUAUCCAGGCCUUGUUUAGAUGUAAAACUUUUUUGGAUUUUAUUACUAUAUCACUUUUGUUUGUUUGUGGUAAAUAUUGUCUAAUCAUAGAAUAACUGGAUCAAAAGAUUCGUCUCGUGAUUUACAGGUAAACUGUGUAACUAGUUUUUGUUUUCGUCUAUUUAAUGCUUGAUGCCUAUGUAGCAAGAUUCGAUAUAACGAGGAAUCUUGAAAACUUUUUGGUUUUUGGAGUGAAUUAAACAAGGCCUUAGUAGUAUAAACAAAGAAGACUUCAAGUCGUCUUCUCCGCUGGCUCCUUCUUCUCCGAUCUCUCCCCAUUGCUAUAGCUGAAGGCUCGGUGGCGUCCACGUCCAUCGUCGCCGCCGAGAUGAGGCACGACAGUCCGCCGGGCAUGGAGAUGCAACGACCGCCGCCGGCAAUGGUGCCUCCACCAGCUUAUUAUAUGUCUAGUUCUAUAUAUAAAUAUAUAUGCAUGUCUAGUUCUUUUUUUCCUUAUAUAUAAGAAAACGCCCUCAAUUCGCCAAAAUAUCUACUGUAGAUUGAUGGAAGGCAUGCCAAACUCUGGUCAUCACUGUUAUAUAUAAAUAUCCUUAUUAACACAGAAAUUUGUGGAACAAGAGAAGAUAAAACGAACUAGCAGAGGUACGCUGUCUUGUCUGCUAUGAAUAAGAUUAACCAAACACUCAGCAGAGCUUGCAAAUUAACAUUUUGUUACACUCCAAUGGGCGCCCGGAGUUGCGCAGGAAGACCGAAGGAGCCCGCCGGGACAGCAGAGCUUGCAAAUUAACAUUUUGCUCAGGUAUGCAGUUCAUCUGCAUGAGUGUCCCCUUCGUUCUUCUUUGCGUCAGGAUCACGUACUGAUAUGUCUGAAACUGACUAUGAACACUCAUGUUAGCUACUCGAUGAUCGCGUGGGUGGCGUCGGCGCACAAGGGGAAGUCACCGGAGGUGGACUACGGCUUGCGCGCGACGACGACGCCGGGAAAGGUGUUGGGCUUCUUCGGCGCACUCGGCGAUGUGGCGUUCGCCUACGCCGGGCACAACGUGGUGCUGGAGAUCCACCAUGUUAGAAAUAUUCAGCAUUUGACUAGUAUUAGUGGUAGUCCUCUUCAUACGUGAUCAUGCAUAUGCAUUUGACUAGUAUUAGUGGUAGGCCUCUUCAUACGUGAUCAUGCAUAUGCAUUUGACUAGUAUUAGUGGUAGGCCUCUUCAUACGUGAUCAUGCAUAUGUGUUGUACUAAACAUAGAGCAUUAGUCAUAGACUAGAUCCUUGUCUUUGGGCUUUGUACGGUUGUAACAACUCAUCUCCUGUAAGCCACGGUGGGGGCUUUUCCCACCUUUACUUAACACGCAACCGUGAGCCUCAACAGGCAUCACGUUACCACCAUUCAUUCAUUCUAACACACCAUCCCGUCGACGCCGGAGAAGCCGUCCAAGAAGCCCAUGUGGAAGGGCGCCGUCGUCGCCUACGUCGUCGUCGCCGCAUGCUACUUGCCGGUCUCGCUCGUAGUGGUGGGCACAAUUGUGUUCAUUGGUAUUCAGUUGAAUACCCAAAAUUUUUGGCAAAAAAAUUUAUAUAUAUAGUAUUUAUACAUAUGUGUAUUAGUGUAUACAAGAAAAACAAAAAAUAUUGCCUCCUGUCACACUCGUGCAAAGGUGAAUUACGUAAAAAUAUUCCCUAGCAUGAACUAUAUACAGUAUCUAUCAUAUAUGGCACUAUACAUAUCGAAUACGAGUCAUUUGGUUGUCAAAAAAAAUUUAAAGCCAUUUAGUUGUCAAGUGUUUUUUUUUAAUACCCAGCCCUCAAAUCCUGUACCCGCCACUGCUCGCUCGUCGGAUAUUGGGCGUUUGGCAACCAAGUUGAUGAUAACGUCCUCAUCAGCCUCAGGAAACCCAAGUGGCUCAUCGCCCUCGCCAACAUGAUGGUCGUCGUUCAUGUCGUUGGCAGCUACCAGGUAUAUAUAUAUAUAUAUAUAUAUAUAUAUAUAUAUAUAUAUCGGAUAAUGAAAAAAAGAAUGACCGGGCAAAACUUCUCUACAUCAUAGGUCUCCGAAAUUGUGAGUGUAUUAUAAGAGAGAAAAAAACGAUUGUUUUUUUGGAGUUCUACAUCCAAAUUAAAGGUGUUGUACAGAUAGUCAGAUAUGUACCCUCCGACUCAAAAAAACUUAAGUUUUGAUUUUUGAUAAAUCAAACUAUCUUAAAUUCAACCAAAUCCAUAGAGAAGUUCGCUACCAUUUAUAUAUAUGACACCAAAUAUAUUUACUAUAAAAAUAUGUUGCAUGACGAAUCUAAUGAUACUUUCAUACUUAAGAUCUAUUUGGUACAAGAAUUAAUUGGUACCUAGCUAUAGUAUUCAAACAGUGGAGCUUAUAGAUGAACUAAUUUUUAUCCAAACUUUCAACUAGUUGUUUGCCAACCUUAGUUAAUUUAAGCUAAUUUUUAGCUCAACUAGUACAUAGGCCUAACUCACCAAACAUGCCCUUAUUUUGUAAUAUAAACAUUAGUACAUAUUCUAGUGUAUAAUUUAAGGUAACAAAAGAAACAAAAAUUCAGGUAGGGAGGAAAGAAACAAAAUAUAGCAGAAACCUAAUAAAACUACUCUUAAGGUAUCCCAAAAAUCUUAGAGAGUCAAAAUAUUUUAAAUUUUAUUAAAUUUAUAUGAUGAGAUAAUAAUAUUUAUGAUGUUAACUAAGUAUUAUUAGAUUCUUUAUUAACUAUAAUUUCAUAGUAUAUCUAUUUGAUAUUGCAAAUCUUUAUAAUAUUUAUAAUUUUCAGUCAAACUGAAGAUAAAUUUAGAACACACGAUAACACGAUAGAAAAUUUUGGGCCAGUGUCGUGAACAGAUGCUUAAUGAUAGUUAAAUGAAAUAAGUCCACUUUAGGUCCCUCAACUUUUACGAAAAUCUGAUUUUUAUUAUUCCUAAACUCUAAAACCGGACAAAAUAUAUCUCUCAAAUUUUAAAAUCAUGCACAUUAUAUCCUUGACCGGGUUUUAAAAGCGGUUUUGUCUUUUUUUAUCUCGGCUGAAUUUUUUGAAAAAUCACUGUAAAUCACAUAAAAAUCAUAAAAUAGAAAACUCAACUUUGUUGGACUUUAGAUGAGUAGAUCUACAUAUUGGAUAUAUAAUAUAGUAUGUUUUAGUAUAAUUUUUUUAUGUAGCUUUAGAUCUAUGUUUUUCUGUAAUUAAUUAGACUAAUUAUAGCUACAGUUUCUAUAGUCCAAUUGUGAUGAAAAUUAUAUAGUGGGAUAAUUAUUCUAUGCUUGAGUUAUAGUAAAAAUUUUAUACUCAUUGGAUCAUGUAUUACUUAGUUAUAGAUUUAUUUAAGUUUAUGCUUGUUAAAUUUAUAACUAAGUUAUACAUGAUCUAAUGAAUAUGUAAUUUUUACCACAGUUUAAACAUAUAGUAAUUAGCCCAACAUAAAAAAUUCACAAUUGGACCAUACAACCUAUAGCUAUGAAUUAUUCUAAUUAAUUAUAGAAAAACAUAGAUCUAAAGCUACAACAAAACUUUGUACUAAAGCAUACCAUAUUAUAUGUUCACUAUGUAGAUAUACUCAUCUGGAGUCCUAGAAAAUUAGAUUUGUUAUUUUAUAAAUUUUAUGUGAUUUACUAUAAUUUUACAAAUAUUCAGCCGAAAUAAAUAAAUAAAAGACAAAACUGUCUUCAAAACCGCUCAUAACCAUGUUAGGGACUUAAUAUGCACGAUUUCAAAAGUUAAGAGAUGUAUUUUACCUGAUUUUAAAGCUCAAUGAUAAAAAAUAAACUUUCAUGAAAAUUGAGGGGUUAAAGUGGACUUUUUCCUAGUUAAAUUGUCCGGCCAAUUGUUUGCAUGCAUUCUGUGUUGGACUCCUAUUUGAUGUGGGAUUUAAUAUUUUUCUUUUUCUAUUGUUAUUUAUGUAAUACAGCCUGGCCCAUAGAGGCCCAGCGGUACCCAUAGGCCACUAAGAUAAGUGGAAAAAAAAAAGCGUAACCACAAUGAACUAUAACCACAAUUCACAAGUUACUUCACAACUGCCCAACAUUAGAAAAUUGGGUGGGGUUCUCAAAAAAUGAAAAUUAGCUAGGUGGGGACUAUACCCAUGAGACAACCAUAGGUAGUAUAUAUCUAUCAUAAUUAUGCAAUUGGAAAGAAAAAUCACAGCUCUCUCAUCCAUUGAAUGAUUUAGAGCACGGACACAUGGCAUGAAUCCACGAUGGGCACCCACCGUUACGUCAUGGGCAUAGUCCUCACAUAAUUUUUUUUCCUCCAACAUACACAUGACCUUUCAAGCAAUAAAUCUAUAUUACUAUGAUCUAACAGCUUAGAUUAGACCAAACAUUCUAUGUCUAAUACAAUUAAUAAAUAGUAAGUUCAAAAUAAAAAAUCAAAAAUCAAAUAGCAUAUUCAAAGAAUAAAUUAAGAGAAAAUAAAACGUUGUUUUUUGACACGAAUUGAAACCAGGUAUAUAUAGCCACCACACUAGAUAGAAUGGACAGUGGAAGAAAAACUAGGAGAUACACCAGGUAUAUGUAGGUGACGAGUCCAUCAAGCACUGAGUUGAUUAGGAUCAAUCUGCUCUGGUGUUUAAGUAAGGCGGCCUACCACCCUGAUAAUCUUUUGUCAACUUUGGCAAUCAGAGGUGCAAAGGCUGAGAGGUUGAGCUUUGUGUUGGACAGUGGUAGACCGAGAUACACUUGAGGGAAAGAGCCUUGUUGACACUGCAGAAGUCAUAAAAUACGGUCUAGAGUUCCUUGUUGUAUGUGCAUGGGCACAAGGGUGCUCUUGCUGUAAUUGAUUUUUAGUCCCGUGGCCGCAGAGAAGUCAGCAAGAACCUUUUUUAGUUUCCGAAUAUCGACCACAUCUGCCCUGACCAAUAAUAGUGUGUCGUCCGCGUAUUGGAGCACCGGGCACGGUCCAUCAUGGAUGGGGUGUCUGAUAGAGCCUUCAGUCUUGAUCAUUCUUUGAAGCACGUCAGCAACGAGCAGGAAAAGAUACGGAGAUAGGGCAUCACCUUGUCUCAGUCCCCGCCUGGAGCGAAUCCAAUUUCCAGGGCAGCCAUUCACCUUAACCGCUGAGUGGGAAGAAAUAAACAGCUGCUGCAUCCAAAUUAACCAUUUAUCUAGGAAGCCUCUAGCAUAUAGUAUUUUGAGAGUACUGUCCCAGCAGACAGAGUCAAAGGCUUUGGCGAAGUCCAGUUUUAGCACCACAGUUGGAAUUUUCCUUUUGUGACAUAGCUGCACUAAUUCGGUGGCAUAGACAAAGUUUUCAGAAAUUGACCUGCCCUUGAUGAAGCCAGUUUGAUCAAUGUCAAUCAGAUCACCGAUGUGUCGUUGCAGCCUCGUAGUUAGGAUCUUGGUGAUGAUCUUGACCGGGCAGUUCUGUAGCGAGAUAGCCCUGAAAUCCUUCGGAGUAGCAGGAGCUGGACAUUUGGGAAGCAGGAUGAUAUGAGCUUUGUUGACUCUGUCGAGAUCCGCACAGUUGUUGCAGAAACUUAGAAGGAAGGCCAUGACGGAGUCCCUGACAGAAGUCCAAGUUGCACGGUACCAUCAGGACCAAAGCCGUCGGAGUCGGGGGUGCUGUUGAUGUUCAUGCUUUUGAUUGCGAGGAUGGCUUCAGCUUCUGUAAAAGGGGCGGUGAGAUCAUCGAGCAAAUGUCCAUAGAGAAAGUCACUGGGCGCUGUUUUAUAAUGGCAUGAAGAUAACAAGGAAGAUAUAUUAUUGGGGUGCGCCAUCUUUUUUCGGUUAUUUGAAUUGUCGCGUCAUUACUAUAUAUUAAGAUAUAUAUUUUUUGAUCGGUGUACGGUUCUCCACGCUUGAAAACCAACACCGAAGCAAUUGCACCGAAACAAACAACCAAAAAAUAGAUAAUUCGGCUAGAUUUGGUACGGUUCUCGGUUCUUGGUUCAAAAUAACCUAGCCCUACCAUACCAAUGUCCUUGUUUAGUUCUUUUUUUAAAAAAAAAAUAAAUAAUGUAGCACUUUUAUUUGUAUUUGAUAAAUAUUGUUCAAUUAUGAACUAACUAGACUUCUAAGAUUCGUCUCACAAAUUACAGACAAAUUUUACAAUUAGUUAUUUUUUAUUUAUAUUUAAUGCUCUAUGCAUAUGCCAUAAGAUUCGAUGUGAAGGAAAAAUCUAAAAAAAUUUGCAAUUUUUUUAAGAACUAAACAAGGCCCAAGCAGGUUCUUAAAAAUUUCCAAAGAUCCCGAAAGGUACACCAUAAAGCGGUCCACUGGUCCUGAAAAUGUACUCCUACUAUAGGAUGUUCCUGAAGGUACACAACGUACAAGUUGAUCACCUUUGAUUUCUCGAUGUAAUAUAUAAGUGGUUUAAUUCUUGGUCAUAAGGGUUGAAUCCCGAUGCUUAUUAUUUCUUUAUGUCAAAAAAUUCUGCAGAGCAAGUCAAAGUCGCCAUGGAUGAAGACUUGCCUGCAGCCGGAAGUCUCCUGGCAAAUUCGCAUGCAAACCAGUACGGUAUAAUAAACAAACAAAGUACAGUGUGGCAUUCACAAUUUCGUUCACCCAGCUAUAUAUAUAUAUAUAUAUACUCCCUCCGUUAUUUUUUAAUUGUCGCUUGCAUUUUUCAAAAAACAACUAUCGGCAAUUAUAUAUUAAAAAUAUUAAUAUUUAUAAUAUAUAAUUAGUAUUAUUAGAAAGAUUUUUGAAUCUAUCUUUUUAACAAAUUUAUUUAUAGAUACAAAUAUUGCAUGUAUUUUCUACAAAUCGAGUCAAACUUGUGACACGUAUACAAACAGGCGACAAUUAAAAAUGGAUAGAGAGAGCAUGUAGUACGUUCUUCUACAGUGUUUUGCAAAAUGUUUUGGAACUAAACAAGGCCAAGCUUGAGGAAGUAAACUGAGGUAGUAGAGUAACUAGCAAGACAGGUGGCUUUAAGCAUGAUUGACGUUAGCAAAGUCAUGAACAAUUAACAAGACGUGUUUUGACUUGAAUCUCCGGGGCCGGGGGUAGUACAAUGCAACAUGAAAACGGGACGUCUGACCAGAUCGUGGCGCCUCAGCCGCACAAAUUUAAUUUCCUCUCGAUCUCCUAUUUGAAUUAUCUACAAAUAAUUCUGCUCCUAUUUGUGACGUUACAUCAUGUAUGUAAGCUCUACGAAAUUUGCCAGGGUACCUCUUGAAAACUGAGCUAACUACUCCUAGAUUGACCACGUGAUAGGCAUGUCCGCUCUCCCCCGGACCAUCCGAUCGAUGUACACUAGCUGGCUGGGCUCCCCGGGUCGUCCUCGGCAAGUGCAUCAGCUAUUCAGCUCUGAGCUGGAGUCGCCUGACAUCUCGUUUUCACUUGUACGGUUGCACUUCUAUAAGCGAAUUAAGCAACGAAGACUUCAACUCUCUGCUACCUCCUGCUGCUCCGAUCUCUCUCCAGUCUCCAUUGCUAGCUAGCUGAAGGCUCCGUGGCGGUCAUAUCGCCGUCGAGCUGAGGGGCGGCGCCGACCGGCGACCGGCCAGCCAUGGAGAUGCAGCCACAGCUCGCCGACUGUUCUCCGGAUAAGGUGCGUUGGUCCAGCACUACAUACUCAAUUCGCGCCAAGAUAUAGAAUUUCCUUGGUGAUGACUGAUGACUGAUGGAACUCUGUGCAGCUUGCCAGCGUCGCUCUGACACCCAGAGGGCGCCUGGACUCGCAGGAAGGCCGGUGGCCGGCGCAGGAGAAGGACAUCGACGAUUGGCUCCCCAUCAACGCGAGGAGGAACGCCAAGUGGUGGUACUCCGCCUUCCACAAUGUCACCGCCAUGGUCGGCGCCGGCGUGCUUGGCCUUCCCUACGCCAUGUCCGAGCUUGGCUGGUACUAUACCUACGAACGAGUGCCAUACUGCCAUGAACAUGUCAUCGCAGCAUCGCUGUUAUCUAUAUACUUUUCCAUGGACAUGGAUCGGAGAUCGUGUUCUGAACUCUGAAUUCAUUCGCAGGGAGGUUGGCAUCACGGUGCUGCUCCUGUCAUGGAUCAUCACGCUGUACACGCUGUGGCAGAUGGUGGAGAUGCACGAGAUGGUGCCCGGCAAGAGGUUCGACAGGUACCACGAGCUCGGGCAGCACGCGUUCGGCGAGAAGCUUGGCCUGUGGAUCGUCGUGCCGCAGCAGCUGGUGGUGGAGGUCGGCCUCAACAUCGUCUACAUGGUCACCGGCGGCCAGUCCCUGCAAAAGUUCCACGACGUGGUCUGCGGCGACAAGCAGUGCAAGGACAUCAAGCUCACCUACUUCAUCAUGAUCUUCGCCUCCUGCCACUUCGUCCUCUCCCAGCUCCCCAACUUCCACUCCAUCUCCGGCGUCUCCCUCGCCGCCGCCGUCAUGUCGCUUUGGUAGGCAGGCACACUUCAUCUCUUCCACUGCUUUGUUAUUAUUUCGUUCUUCUCUGCCAUGGAUCAAGGUCACUGAUGAUAUAUAUAUGCUGGCCAUGGCGGCAGCUACUCGACGAUCGCAUGGAUCGCGUCGGUGCAGAAGGGGAAGUCGCCGGAGGUGCACUACGGCCUGCGCGCGACGACGACGCCGGGGAAGGUGUUCGGCUUCUUCGGCGCGCUCGGGGACGUGGCGUUCGCCUACGCCGGGCACAACGUGGUGCUGGAGAUCCAGGCCACCAUCCCGUCGACGCCGGAGAAGCCGUCCAAGAAGCCCAUGUGGAAGGGCGUCGUCGUCGCCUACAUCGUCGUCGCCGUGUGCUACUUCCCUGCCUCACUCGUCGGCUACUGGGCCUUCGGCAACAGCGUCAACGAGAACAUCCUUGUCACACUCAACAAGCCCAAGUGGCUCAUUGCCCUCGCCAACAUGAUGGUUGUCGUUCAUCUCAUUGGCAGCUACCAGGUAUAUAUUUAUAUCUAUGCAAAUAUUUCUUCUCUAGAUGAUUUACCAUAUAUAUAUAUAUAUAUAUAUAUAUAUAUAUAUAUAUAUAGUUAAAGAUAUCCUAGCCCUCUAAUUCAAAACAUGCAAACAUAUAAAAAAAUUACAUCAUGUAUGUUUUCCACAAGUCUUGGUGGUAUGGAACUAUAUAUCUAUAUGGACGACAGUGAUUGUGGUUGUUGGCGCAGGUAUAUGCGAUGCCAGUGUUUGACAUGAUAGAGACGGUGCUGGUCAGGAAGUUUGGGUUCCGUCCAAGCUUGAUGCUCCGUCUCAUUGCCCGGAGUGUCUAUGUCGGUAAAUGGCUCUACCAUCUGAACUCUGAAUAAAAGUCUUCAGUCUGAACUCAGAAGGUCUGAAAACUAGACUGAUGUGAUGCAACUGUAUGUACGUACGUGCAGGGUUCACAAUGUUCGUAGCCAUCACCUUCCCGUUCUUCACUGCAUUGCUCAGCUUCUUUGGCGGAUUUGCCUUCGCACCGACAACGUAUUUUGUAAGCUCCCAUUGAUCCAUUUACCCCCUUCUCUUGCUGCUACAAUAGUUAAUGUCUUAAUCGUCAAGAUUUACAUUCUUCCUAUUCCUAUUCGACUGGUAACAAAUCAUAUAUAUGAUGAACAGUUAAUUAAGAGGUGUAAUCAAGUGUACAACUGUAACAUGAGAGUUGAUUGAUUCAUGCUUGUUUCUGACAGCUUCCUUGCAUCAUGUGGCUCACAAUAUACAAACCCAAAACUUUCAGUAUCUCGUGGUUUACCAACUGGGUAAGAACCAAGUUGACAAUCCAAGAGUAUUUUUCUCACUUCUGUAGAAUGGACGUAUCUUCUUAUUAUAACCACUCUCUUUGUUGUCCAUGUUCUUCAGAUCUGCAUUGUCCUAGGUGUUUUGCUGAUGGUACUGUCACCAAUCGGUGGACUUCGGGAGAUCAUCUUGAAAGCCAAGACAUACCACUUCUACCAGUAAACAUGAUUAAUUCAACACAAAAACCAAGGUUGGUGUUGUAGUUAACAAAUGUUCGACAUGUCCCAAGUUUUGAGUGGGACACAACAUUUAUCUUCAUCUUGGCAAAAGAAAUUUUCAAUUUGGGUUACGUCUUACCAAGUUUUUGUCAUGGAACAAGAUGGGAUGUGUCAUGAAAGCUUUGUUGCUGCUCAUGACAAUCUGUGACAUGUCGUGGUUGUUAACCUAGGAGUUUGUUUUGUGAUACCAUAUACAUGUGUAUAUCUUGUUUGUAUAUAUUCUAGGAAAGAGUUAGCUUAUUUGUGCAUUAUUAGGGAGAAUGAGUGAUGGUGGUUUGUAUUUCUUUCAUCCAUAGUUCAUUGAUGGUUCCUAAUUAAUAUCACAUUACAAUUCAAACAACCUUUAUGUAUAUUAGUCCAUCAAUCCAUGCUUCUCAAUGGGACAAUAAUUUCAAGAAACAAUUGUAAGAAGUUCAUGGGUAAAUUUAAGGACCAUGCUUAAUCAAAACAAAUUACAUUGUUAUAUUGUUCAUAUACCUUGUAAUCUUUAUUUGGUUGUGAUAGGAUUUAGUUACCAAUUGUUAUGUAUGUUUUCCUUUCAAUUCAUAGUUUUCCUCAUUAAUUAUCGUACCUCCAUGCAUGUAAAUGUGUUUUUCAUAAAAAAAUAUAUAUAUAUAUAUAUAUUACAAUACAGAUGUCUACACUACAAGCACACGCCCUCAUGGACAUACAAACACAUCCUACCCCCAAUAUAUGCCUCCGAGGUACCAACCACUUAAACCUUGAGAUUGGCAAAGUGGUGGAACCCAUUAUGCACAAUACCUACAUAUUUGAAUUUCAUACUAAUAUUGUUGAUUAUAUUUCAUAACCCCAACAUAUUUCACUCUAGAUUUGGUUUUGGCUUAUGGUGUAUGUAUUUGGGAAAAAACUGGCUAUUUUAGAUAGAAGAAGAUGUGGUGCCCUUGAAGUGGAUUGAGCUCGUGAAGGAUAAGCCUAGCCAUGCUCAAUUGAGUCAUAGGUGAUUGGCUACAAAUUAUGUGGGUCAACUAGAACCCAACUUGGUCUUCACAUACCCAAAUCAACCAUCAUCGGCUUAGAAUGCUUAGGCAUGAACCAAGUGAGGUUUUGAUAGUUUUAUUCUAAAGAUAGGUAGAGAUUUUUUUAGAAAAGGAAAAGGCAAGAUAUGUAUUAUCUUUAUGGGGUAUAUUUGGAAGGUUUUGAGGAAUGAGCCCACUUGUAAGUGGCUCUAAAGGCUCCAAAAGAACUCUAGAAUCAAUAUAGAAUUUAUUUGUGUUGAAGGAUGCAAGAGAAGACAAAUGGAAGUUGAGCUCAUCAACUCCACCCAUUGAACCGAUUGACUCAUCAUCCCCUCCCAUGACACACUUUGUGGCAUCUACAAGAACUCACAUAAAUCUAUGCACACUCAUGGUAUCCCUACAAACACAUGCAUGCACACUCUACCACUAUGGAUACCUCUCUCGGAUGAGAUUGAGAAUUCAUCACGUGCACCUCACAAUCAUUGGUACAUAGGGACAAACUGUUGUUGGGCCUUAUGGGAUAUGGUCCAAGCCUGCCCAAGGUGGCCCAAGUGACAAGCUUGCCCAGACGGCCGAGUCAUCAGAGUACAAAGGCACAAGCAAUCGAGCGAAGAGGGCAUCAAACAAAUUAUCAGAAAGCAUAUUAUCUUCUCUAGUUUAUUGCAAGUACUUUACUCUUCUUCUUCCCAACUCUCUUGUACCCAGAUUCCUACCUCCUUCUAGAGCCUUCUAGAUACUGUCGUUGUGAGAUUCAAUUGUCCAGGAUUGGGGUUGCUAACAAUUACCUAACAAAGAGCAGUUAUCAGAGAAAUAUGAUCGUUGUGGACAAGUCUAGCCACAAGAAACCUAAGCUAACAAGCUAUGGUCCUAAUCAAACUAUAACUUUUAUAGAACAAACAUAGUGGAAAUAAACUCAAUCCACUGAUCAAGGGCUCAAGGCCCAUGUGCUCAAUAAAGAACAACAAAGAUUAUAUGAGCAAUAAAUUUGCUGUAGAUUGCUCUUCCUUUUAUCUACAAAGCUAUUCACAUACACGUGUGCAAACUCAUCCUUUCAAAUGCUCAAGUGUAUACUCUAUCCUAAUAGCUCGCACACCAUUUUGUCGUAUAAACACAUACGAGAGAUUUUUUAUAAAGGAACUUUGAUUUAUAUGAGUCAGUUACAUCAAGAAGAUGCAAUAGCACUAUGAUCUAUCAUUACCGGCCUCUACACACCUAGGGUGCACAAAGCAUAAGAUAAUAGUCUUUAUUCUAUCCACUAACAUGACAAACUUGGAUCACGACGAAGACUCCUGGAAAGCAAUGUCUCUAAGUGAGACGCCAAUAAAGGUCAGACCAUAGUUUUCAUCCUGGAGAGGCUCGUAUUUCACAAUGCCUUCAACAAGGCCAACCGAUAGUAGUCCUAGGAAUUCUCCCCCAAAGUCAAACAAUAGUUGCCGAUGGAGUACCACCAAAUCAGAGAUCUCCAAUGGUGCCUCCACCCUCUUUCCAAGCCACACAGUCUUAGCUAAUAACCAAUGACCACUUACUUUACAGUAGAUAAAUGAUCUUUAGGUGUUCCACUCUAUGAUACAUAGUCACAAGGUAGCCAAUAGGCUAAUGACUAGAAUCAGCAAGAUCCAUUUAAAAAUGGGAUGUGUUGCUCAUGUAGGCGAUUACAUGAUUACAUGCCAAAAUGACAUUAGUCCUAGAUCUUGUAUGAAUGAUAGAAGCAAGGGAUGAAAUGUCAAGGCAAGUAGUAGUUGCACUGACAAGAACAUCAACCUUAGUUACCUACAAGACUAUCCUACACUAAAACUGAUGAUAGUCGUGGCAUCGCAUACAAGAGACAAGUGAGGAGAAUUUGAGCAUGGUGAAGCGAAGAAGCAUCUAGUCCAACAGAGGAGGUAUAGCAGUGGCACAAACAAGAAAUUGGCAAUCAUACAAUAGACUAGCAUAUGUUGAAAUUGACAAACUUCCCAUAAAAGUGUGCAGUCCGUGAAUUUGAACCUAGGUACGAGUAGGUCCCAUCACCGGCGACCUAACAUCAGUAACAAACCGACCCAGUUGGGAUCUGCAGAUAGAUCGGUCAUUUGAACUAUUCGAUCAUCAAUCAGAACAGUGAGUCAAGUCGACGAUCCAUGGCAAGACUUGUCAGCAUCCGGAAAUCUCCAGGAAAAAUCGCAUGCCAUCGCGCGCUCGAGAUAAUCCGAUGGUUUCACUGUUUCAUUAUAUAUUCAGUUGAACUCCUUUUACCAUUCAGCUAAGCUAAUUAACUGAUAAGAGGGCUUGAGGUAAAACGAGGAAAACAAAGCUUGACUUGUCGCUUUGGUCAGCAAGAAUGGCAGGAGCUGGAUGCUAGACGAGGAAGCCUGAAAAGGCCACGUAGCAAACGCAAGACCUUUCUCUUCUUUUUUUUUAUCUCUUUCUCUCUCUAGCAUGACCAAUAUAUAUACGUAUAUAUUUGCGUGUAUUUCAUCAUGAAGAAAGAAGACAACAUGUAUGAUUGUUGACUGACUAUUGGUGUUAACGUGACAUCGAUCUGACCCGACUGGCGCGAACUGAACCACGUAAUUAAAUCCUAACCCUAUUUCCAAAACAAAAAAAUUGGCCAGUCAUGUUAUUGUCUUCGAUUCAACUCAAGCGGACCCAAGCGGUCUCUUCUAAAAUAUUAACGUGUGCAGACCAAUUACGUGUUGAAAAAAGAAGAACAGUCGUAUUUGUGUAACAUCGAAACUUAAAUCUGUUUGUUAUUAGAAGCGCGUGCGUUUGUAUGAUUCAGAUCUUCUAUAUUAACUACAAAACAAUAUGCAGAUCUUUUGUGUAUUUAAAAAAAAGAAGCCAACUUAUUUUAAAUUUAAUUAGAUUUAUAAAAUAUAUAUAGUACCAAUAUUUUUUAAUAUAUAUAUAUAUGACAUGAUUAAUUUAAUAGCAUUUAUUCUUAUUAUCAAAAUAAUAUUUUUAUAUAUACUUUGAUUAUAUUUGAGAUUAAUUGAUUUCUCGAAAUAAGAUGAACAGAGGAAGUGAGCUAUGAAAUUUCUAAAGGCAAGAGACUGUCCGGAAGCAAAACAAAUGAGAAAUCUGGCACCUGAUUUCCAUGGCGGGUCUCACCCGGAACGUCCGAUGGGGAUCGGACGCCGGGCUUGACUCCCGAUCCCGGGUCGUCGGAGCUUCCCUUUCCUUUCCUUUCACCGGUGCUCCAUAUAAAGAAGAGACGAGCUUGUCCCGGACGCCGCCUCCGCUAGCUACCUCCCUCUCCGUUAUUGCUCAUGACUCUGCUGGCCUCCUCUGGCUCUCUCCCUGCCAUGGCAUCCACCGGUGAGGCACUCUCGCCGCCGGCCAUGGAGAUGCGACCAUUGGACACCUAUUCUCCGGCCAAGGCACGCCCACCACCUACACACCAUGACCAUCUUCACUCCAGUUUCUUCAAUCUUCAUCAUGUUUGCCGCCCGGCUUUAUCAGCUGCUGCUGCUGCUGCUUCUUCUUCUUCUCUUCGCUAUAAUCAGCAUAUCUCAUUAUUUAUUGUUAUUUUAUUACUACUUUCGUCCAUUUUUUUUCAUUUUGACAAGAUAUAAAGCUUUCGAAACCGUUUCAAACAUGAAAUUAUUAAAAUUUCAAAUCCUUAAAAGAAAAGGUUUAUAUAAAAGCUAAGAGAAUACUUAUUAGUGUCGUUUUACAACGGAACGAUUGGGUUUUACUGUCAGAUUUGUGCAAAUAUUUCUGAUUUGGACGUACUGAAUACGAGAGGUAAGAAAAAUUCAAGCGUUUUAUAGCCUCGUAAAACCUGAAGUUUUGUUUAUGCCUUUGUUACAUUUAGUUUGUACUGAAACUUCAGAUACUUUACAUAUGAGUUACAGUCGCAUACCGGGCAUAAUUUUUUGGCAACGAAGAGGGGUAACAUCAUUUUGGGAGUACAAAGUUAAAUCAGUUUCUUCAAAAUAGUACAAAGUUAAAUCAAACCCAUUUUUGCAAAAACAACAAAAGCUUAGAACCCAAUCUGAAGAUGUCUGAAAAAUCAAGUCUUGGGAGCUUCUUGGACAUAGAUGUUGUUUGUAUAGACGGGAACAGAGGAAGAUAAGCUCCAGAUUUGCUUGUUCUCUUUGGCUCUCGUCUGAUUCAGCAAACUACAAACUCUGCAGCUUGCCACUGUUGCUGUUCCACCCAAAGGGAGGCGUAGGGCGUCAGACGCGCCGCCGGAAGGGGUGGGCCGCUGGAGCGCGCAGGAGAAGCCGACGACGGACGACGACUGGCUUCCCGUCAACGCGAGGAGGAACGCCAAGUGGUGGUACGCCGCCUUCCACAAUGUCACCGCCAUGGUCGGCGCCGGCGUUCUUACCCUCCCCUACGCCAUGUCCGAGCUCGGCUGGUCCGUGUCGUCAUCUAUCCUCCAUCCAUGCAUAUAGGCUGUGUCAUGUCAUGAUUACAGGCAGUUUUGAUGGCUCGUCGUCGUCUUCCUCCCUUCCGGCCGAUAUCAUGAUUCGCAGGGGCGUCGGCGUCACGGUGCUGAUCUUGUCGUGGAUCAUCACGGUGUACACGCUCUGGCAGAUGGUGGAGAUGCACGAGUGCGUCCCCGGGAAGCGGUUCGACCGGUACCACGAGCUGGGGCAGCACGCGUUCGGCGAGAAGCUGGGCCUCUGGAUCGUGGUGCCGCAGCAGCUGGUGGUGGAGGUGGGGCUCAACAUCGUGUACAUGAUCACCGGCGGCCAGUCCCUGCACAAGUUCCACGACGUGGUCUGCCAUGGCCGGUGCAAGGACAUCAAGCUCCGCUACUUCAUCAUGAUCUUCGCCUCCGUCCACUUCGUGCUCUCCCAGCUCCCCGACUUCCACUCCAUCUCCAGCGUCUCGCUCGCCGCCGCCGUCAUGUCGGUCAGCUACUCGGCGAUCGCGUGGAUCGCGUCGGCGGCGCACGGAGUGUCGGCCGACACGGACGCCGUCGCCGACUACCGCCUGCGCGCGACGACCACGCCGGGGAAGGUGUUCGGCUUCCUGGGUGCGCUGGGGGACGUGGCGUUCACGUACGCCGGGCACAACGUGGUGCUGGAGAUCCAGGCGACCAUCCCGUCGGCGCCGGGGAAGCCGUCCAAGAAGCCCAUGUGGAAGGGCGUCGUCGUCGCCUACGUCAUCAUCGCCGCGUGCUACUUGCCCGUCGCGCUCGUCGGCUACUGGGCCUUCGGCAACGACGUCGACGAGAACAUCCUCAUCACCCUCAACCGGCCGCGCUGGCUCAUCGCCGCCGCCAACAUGAUGGUCGUCGUCCACGUCGUCGGCAGCUACCAGGUGUACGCCAUGCCGGUGUUCGACAUGAUCGAGACCGUGCUGGUGAGGAAGUACUGGUUCAGGCCGGGACUCAGGCUCCGUCUCAUUUCCCGGACUGUCUAUGUUGGUAAAUGCAAUGCCUCUGCCUGAAACUAUGAACUGAAAAAUCACACUGCACACUGACACACGAGACUGACAUGAGAUGCAAUGCAAUGCAACAACCUUUGCAGCGCUCACAAUGUUCGUGGCCAUCACCUUCCCCUUCUUCAGUGAACUGCUCAGUUUCUUCGGCGGAUUCGCAUACGCACCGACAAGCUAUUUCGUAAGAUCUGAAUGAUCCUUUUACCCAGCAUGUUUUUCUGUUACAGUAGUUUCAUUUCAUCAGGAUGUACAAUCAGUCAGGUACAGAGUGGAGUUUUUUUUUCAUUAGAGCAGAGCUGACCAAUUCUCUCUUGUUAAUUUCUGCCAGCUUCCCUGCAUCAUGUGGCUCAUCAUCUACAAGCCCAGAAGGUUCAGCCUCUCAUGGUUCACCAACUGGGUAAGAAUAACAUGGAUGCAAUGCAACUGACUAUCCAGACUCCUCUCUCUCUCUCUCUCCAGCAGAAUGUCUGCUUGACCUCUAAUUUCUUUCCCCUGUUUUCUACAUGUUCUUCAGAUAUGCAUUGUUAUUGGGGUGCUGCUGAUGGUGCUGUCACCGAUUGGAGGACUCAGGCAGAUAAUUCUGAAAAUCAAGACCUACAAAUUCUACCAAGACUACCCUAGUUUAAGCCAGGCGCCAUCAUCAGCUAAAACUAGUUUCUGAAUCUGAUCGAUGCCAUGAAAUUCCUCCUUUUUUUUCAGGGUAAGAUACAUGUACAGUCAUGAGUCAUGAUGAUCCGUGACCUGCUGUGGUUCUGUUAAUUCUGUCUCGAACCACGAGAUGGUUUGGGAUUAAACAUUUCUAGGGGAAUUGUUUGUUUGUGUAAUUGUGUUCAGUUUGGACUUGGACCUUGAGAAAGAUGUCUGGGCCUUAUCACUUACACCACGAGUAAAAGUUCCAUUCUUUCUCGAUAACACUAUGUAUUCAGUAUUCUGAAUUUCUGAUGUUCUUCAAAUGAUUCUUCUUAACAUAUUACUCCCUCCAUCCAAAAUCAAAUUUCUAUAACUUUGGUCAAGUUUUUUAAAAAAAACAAAUAAACACAGCAUAUAACUUUUUCAAAUACAGCUCACCCUUAAUUUGGAAGAGGGAGUAGAACUUAAAAAUUAGUUCAUCUUUCACACAAAUUCACAUGUACUAGGAGAACGAUUUUAUCCACAAGCAAAUGUAAUAUCAAAUUCUAGGCGAACAAACAGAUUCAAGGCUACAUGUGGAAUUAAGUCAACUACCCUCCUUAUCUACGCGCCUUAUCCCUACAGCCUUACAUAAUUCUAAACUAAUGCCAGCAGAUAAAAUGGCGUCAAGACCCAUGCUUGUGACCUACGAUAAUACUACUAUAAACAGGUUGGUAAACAUAACGACUGAAAGAUCGUGUAAAUACAUGACAAGCUACAUAUCAAAACUUCUGUCUCAAAGUAACAAGCAACAGGAUCCCAAAGCACAAUAUGAAAGAACAGCAUCUCAUGAAAACUAGUACUCCGGAAAAAGUGAACUGAUCGGUGAAGAACAGGCACUGCAUAAAUUAAAGGCAAUGUUUUCCAUCUAUCAGGCUAACUUUUGUACAGUUUCCGAUAUUACAUUCACAACACGGAAAUGGCUCUAAAACUACCCCUCAAAAACGGCUCGCACCUGCUCAAGAGCCAAGAACCAUCACCAUCCCCUCAACCCUCUCUCCUUCUCAUCCCCUUUUAUGGCCUCAUCAUAUAUGCAAUAAACUCGCCAUUCCAUUUUAUGGAUAUGGAAAGUCCAGAGAUUCUCAAUCCAAACGAUAGGCACACUCCAUGCACUCCUCGCAUGCAGCACGACGAACCUCCAACACGUUUGGGCUCGCUACAUCAUGUGCCAACUUGGCUCCAAAACUUGGGCAGUUACAAAAACGAAUACCAGACCUUCAGGUUCGAUGCGACACGAUCUUUCGUCAGGUCACUUUGUAUACCAAAGAAAAGCUAUCAGAUCAGUCAUGCCAACAGGUCUCCUGUAACGUAUCAAAAAUGGUCCAGAAACACAGUUAAUCUAUUUCUCCCUCUUCAACAUCAACCACUGGUUCAUCUGUGAAAUCAGCAUCCUCAUCAUCUUCAUCAUUUUUCAUGUACAACCCGAGCUUUUCUAGGGUGUUGCUUCCCAUUUCAAACCCAGGACUUGUUUCACCAACCAAGUUGGGUAUCUGUUCACCUGUGACACUUCCAAGCAUUUCAAGAUCUUUCAAAAAAUGGCUCCCUUCAUUGAUGUCAACAGUUUUCUCCAUCUGCAAGCCAACAUUGCUUACACUUCCAAGUAUGGUAACAGCAGAGCAAAUGAUGUUGCAUGUGGAGAGCAUACUGUAGAUAUUACCUCUUGCAAAGCUUUGCGAGCUGCUUCUCUCUCAAGUUCUCUUUGUCGUUUAGCUUCUGCAGCAGCCUCAGCAGCAGCUGCUGCUUCAGCCCUCUUGCGAACAUCCUCUGCGGCUUUAGCCUCAGCUUGCAAUCGAGCUCUCUCUGUAACAGAAGUUCUGUCACACAAUUGUUGUCAGGUAAAAAAGAUUCUAUCGCAUCUCACCUUCUCUUUGUACCCUCUCAAGUUCCUCCCUUUCGCGUCGAAGCUUCUCAGGAUCCUUUUUUGUAGUCUGAUAUUAUUACCAAUCAGGUGAGCUUACAGUGAAUAACACAAAACGCCCAGACAAUAAUGCUCUCAAGGAAUCAUUUUCACAUACACACCUGAUCAAGGGCCUUUUCACGAGCCUUAAGAAUCGUAUCGGCAAAGCGGCUUCUCAGAAGGGCAGCUCGGAUUUGCUUGUCAGGGUUGUCAGGGGAGACCUGCUUCUCAGAUACAUUUCCCCCUAAAAUUUUCAUACAUAGACCUGUAAGGGAACCCAUUUUCUCUACCACAGAAGAUUGGGUAUUCACCGGCCAUCAUGAAAAUUCAUGCUUACCCUCACCAUCAGCAGAAACAGAUAUAGGGUUUGUACUUUGCUCUGGUAAAUUUAAUGUGUUCAGUGAAUCUGCAAAUUAAAUCGAGAGUGUGUAAGAUAUAAGUGGUUAUAUAUUCUUGGGUUGCAAAAGCCCAGGAAAUGUUAUCUGCAAACAUUUAGAGGUGUAGUGUCAAUUGUCCUUUCUUUUCAAUAAAACAGGUUAUGUAUAGAAAUUGUAUCGAAAGAAAAGGUCCAGUUCAAAGGUUCAAAGGCAAUAAGGGAAUCCUACUCAAAAGACAUGCCCAAUUGUCGACCUCAAUAUCACACCCAAUAACUGACCCAUGAAAACGAACUCUGGACCUGCCACUUCUAAUAGACUGCUAUUCAUCAUUAGAUUAAAACAAAUAAAUUUUGGAUGGGGAGUUCAACCAAUUGGUUCAGUAAAUCUCAGGCCAAGUGUAACCUGAAUCACUGUCUAGGAUAUAAAACUCAAAUCCAUCAGUUCACACAACACAAGACAGUAAUUGCACAUGUGCUAAUUAUCUCAUCUAGAAAAAAAGAGUGCUAAAUACGUUUUCAAAAUAAAAAGUAUGGGCUUUGGACAUGUAUGUAUAAUGGCAUCAUUAUUCCCAUUGAGCUUUGUGUUGGGUUCCAUAAGGAUGUUAGUGUCUUAGUAGGCGGAAGAAAGGAUGGGUUUGGUUGAGAUUCCACAUAUUGAUACACCUAUGAAGCAAAACUUACCCUUUUCUUUAUCCAAGCCAUCCACAGGUAGAAUUUUUUCCUGCAUGUAGACAAGACAGAGAGAGAGAGAGAGAGAGAGAGAGAGAGAGAGAGAGAGAGAGACAACAACCAUUGAGAUAGUGUCUUAAAAAAUCCUUCGCAUCAACAGAGAGAUAAAUUUGAUUGAAACUUAUGCUACUCUGAAAAGGAUUCAGAUUAAAAAGAGAUAUAUAAGAACCUUUGGCCCGCUGUUUUGUUGAGGAGCUUUGGCAUCUGUAUCACUUCCAGAAGAGCUACUUGAAUCUGAGUCUUCGGAGGUAAAAACAGAAAUAUCAUCAGUGCAUUUGGCAUGACAACUCAGGCAAGUUAAGGGCACAACAAAGAGAAACAGUAUGCAGCAUGUUGUCUCCAUUCUUGUUCUAUAACCCUUAAAAUUGAGCAAGACUAAAAGGAAGUAUAUAACCACGAAUAUAUAUUAUUUGCAUUUUGAUUUUUUUUAUGGCUUGGCUCUGAGACAGACCAAAAAAAAGGAAAGCAGCAAUUGGUUGGCUCCAUAGAAUCCUAUUUUUAGAUUUGUACUUCAAACUAAAUCAUCAAAUUAUAAUACACCCCAUCAAGAUAAUGCCACAGAUAAAAUGCCACUUUUCAAAUAUGAACAUUAAGGGUCCUGAUAAUUAUUUGAAUGGAUCCAAAGAGCACCUUCUAAAAGAAUACUGGUUUUUUCCAACAGUGGUAUAAUUCACUCCGAACUAAAGACAAAUGUUUCAUAUUUCUGAACCAUAACCAAAGAAUUCCCACAACUGUUGUAGUAGAAUGCACAGAACAGUCCAUAAAUACAGAAGGAUAAUCAAAUGCGUUGAUUUAUCAACUGACCUUGCUAAUAAACAAAUGAUUCAUGAACACAUAUCAAUAGCAGAAGCUAGAUCCUAUUAUUCAGUGAAAUACUUGGGAAAAAACGUUUCUUUAUGGACUUCAUAACAGUGGGCAGCAUUAAUAGUUAAAGUUUCUGUAACUGGUUAAAACAAUUAUCUAUUAAAAUAGAGCUACUGUGCAAGGAUAAAGAUAUGCAGGUGAGAAGGAAGGUAGGCCAUCACAAAGAAGCAUUCUAGUUUCUAUUCACUUAUUAUAAUUCAUCGAUUUAUGAAAUUGUUUUAACCCCAAUGUAGCCAGGAAUCUCAAUAAGUAAUAUCAUGAGGCGGCAUAACUAAAUGUUGCACUGUCCCAUAUACUGUUGUGCCAUCAUGAUCUGGUGUUGCCUGCUACGAAAAGUGCACAAUAUAAAAAGGUGCAGGCCAAAGAAUAAACCAAAACAUGGUCCUGUCAGCCUAUUGUUUCCAUUGAACUGGGUGUAAAUUUCUUAUGGAACAGUACAAUAUGUCCUACCCUCAGCUCAACUUCUAGCAGCACAAACACACAACUACACAAGCAUCUUGGCCCCUUUCAUAAGCACAUCAAUGAAGUCCAGAAUCUAACACGGGAUUACUUCCAAUAACAUGUAGCAUUUAUUGGAUAACUAUUUUAUGGAACUAGAAAAGAAUAGUCAGCUGAGAUAAACUGAAAGAGGAGUAAUACUGCCAGUCUCAAUUCAAUAUGUCAAAAGUAAAUCUAUGAAUUUCUCAACUAUGACUGCUUAAUUAACCAGCCUUGUGAAUGACAUAGUCAAUAAGAUUGAUAAUUGCAUCAUGCAGCUGAAAGCUAGCAGCAUAUUGUGCCCAAAGUACUUUGAUGGGUCCAGUGUCAUAGUGGUGCCAGUAGGAAAUUUGGAGUGAAACUGAAAUUACAUACCACUAGAGGAUGAUUCUGAGCCACUACUAGAACUGCUAGAUGUACUAUGCUUGCUGCUUCUGUCUGCUGUUUCAUCUUCAAGUACCACAGGAGGAAGAGUCGAAACUGGAGGGUCGUUCUCCCCAAUAUCAACAUCCUCGUCAAUGAGCUCAUUGCCUGAAAACAUGCAUAUAAUAUUUUAGCUUACAUGAAAAAUCAUUAUCAUAAAUGAGCAAUGGAUGAGAAAUAGACCUUCAUCGUUACACACUGAUGGAUUGAUAAGUUCAUUGUUACACACUGAUGGAUUCAUGAGUUCAUAUUGACUCUGAGACUGUUGAGCAGAGCAUAAAACAGUUAUUUAUGAAAUGAAUUAAUGAAACAAUGAAAUAGCAGUCUCUAAUACAGCAGCACCCACCUCAACCUCAUGAGGCUCCUCUUCUGUAAGGUUUCUUGACGGAUUAACCCUGUCAUAGUCAUCAAGUAGCUUCUGUAAUUCAAAAAGUGUAUCAUCUCCAAGAGCAUCCAUAUCGAGCUCUAAUUCCUCUUCGUCGGCAUCGCAAUUGUCAGCGUGACUCCUUAUGAACUCAACUACAUGAUCUGGAAUGAAUGCACCAUAUGAUUGUAAUCUUGCACUUAAAUCAUAUUUUUGCUCAUUCGUCAUCAUUCUCUUUCUAGUUGGAACAAUAUCUUCUACCAAAGGAGCAUCUUGUACCAAAGGAGAGGUUUUCCUCUUCUUAGGUUGCAAAACUGGAUUGUCCGCUGAAUCUUCUUCCCGAAAGAUGUCUUGCUUAGGUACAUUUUUCUUUGAUGGUUUUUUCUUGCUGGGGUCUUCUUUCUCAAUGGCAACUCUCUUAGUUGAAUUCUUUUUUGUGGGCUCCCUCACAGGAGGCUUCUCAACUGGCUGAGGAGGCCUCUCGUCUGGUUGAGGAGGCCUCUCGUCUCGUGGAGGCUUCUCAUCUGGUUUAGGGAGCUUCUUCUCAAUAAGCCUCCAUCGAGUCUCAAAGUUCUUGCUCAAAGUUUUGGCCAUUAGAUGAACAUCAUUAUUGACCGGGUUAUAAUUCAUAGCGUUGCUGAAAGUGAGCCUCACAUCCGCAGCGAAUUCCCGAGGUGUGGAGUACAUUCCUGCCUUCAUCUUUUUCUGGAUCGUGCCCAAAUCCAUGGGCUGCUUGACUAUUGUAAAAUAGUCAGGGAUGUUCAACUUCACAAUGUCAACCGGCACAAGAAACGGGCCAGCCCAUCCAUGGCCCAUAAGGGACUUGAGAAGGUUGGCACAUUGUUUAAACGAUGAUGUGUAGUUAAAAGAGCUGGCAACAGGUGGGGCAACAGCCACAGCCACCGGUGGCGGCGCUCCCCGGUCCGUCUGCAUCGACUCGCUCCGCUUGAGCUUCUCAACCUUUUUCUUGGGGUGCACAUCGCCUGCGGGAGGCGCUGGCAUGACUGCCGCACCAUUCAUGCUCACCGCAGGCCCUCUCGAAAACAGCCUACUCUGGAGGUCCCUCACCUGCGCGAGCUCAUGGCGGAGCCUCAUCUCCAGGUCCUUCUUGUCCACAGCCGUCAUCCUGGGCAGCGAGAACACCUCCCGGGGCACGCUGAACCCUGAGGCGCCUUCCCCCUCCUCGGAAUUCACGCUGGCCACGCACUUCCUCUUGGGCGGAAGAGCGGCGCAGGAGCUCCCCGAGUCGAUCCUCGCGGGGCUAGCCCCGAGCCCCUUGGACUCCCCGACUGUCUCCACCACCCCGUGCCGGUAGUCGGGCACGAAGCCGAGCGGGUGGCCCUUGGAGAACCUGUGCGUCUUCCCCAUCAUUGCUGGCAGCCGGGGGGGGGGGGGGGGGCGGAGACGCGGUAGCAAUGUGCCGCCUUGGCCGCGGAAUUCCGCCCGCAAUUCCGGGGAAAAAAAGACCUAACCCUAACCCCCCCACCCCGAGGCAAGAGAGGGGGGUGGGCUAGCUUAUUCCGCGGGCGCCGGGGGGGGGAGCAGGAGGAGGUGACCGACCCCCCCUACCAGAACCCUCGAUUCGAGGGGCGGGGCAGCUCGGGUGGACGCUCCCGCGGCGAGGGGGAUCGAGCGGACUCACCGAGCACCACAAGCACCGCCCGCCGCCCGCCCGCCGCUGGACCCCGAAACACCAGCCGGCGGCGCCGCCGCGAGAUCUCGUAGCCCUCCGCAGGCGAAGGCGCCGGCGCCGCCGUCCGCGGGCGCGAACCCCUUAGGGCUUUCCUUCCUCGCCCCUCUCGGCGAGGCGGAGGCGGCGAGAGGGAAGGGAAGGCGAGGCGGCUGGAGCCUGGAGACUAGGGGUUUCUCUCUCCUCCGCCUCCCUCUCUCUCUCUCUCUCUUCUCUCUCUCUCUCCUCGCUGGUGUGCCGCCCGCUCGCUCGCGAGCCUUUGGGACUUUGUCAGGGCCGGAGUCGCGGGGCCCAGCUGUAAGCGUCGCGGGGGGACGGGGGGAGCCGCGCCCGUGACUGGUCGGUGGGGCCGCUCGUGCCGCGGGGCCCAGGAGCAGGGACGGAGACGAGACGCGGCGGGCGUGACCGGGCGGGACUCGGGAGACGGGAGGGAGCAUCGGGGCCGUUGGGUUUUUGGAACGGACGGCGAUGGAGGCGGUUGCGUGUCCGCGCGCCUCCGCUUGGGGCUGGGAGGGGCCCUUUGUGUGUUAGAAGAAGCACGUGCGGAUUCGAACACACCAGCUGCUGCCUGCUGCGCUCUGCGUCCCAAAAUGUCGUCAUGUAAGAUCUGCAUACGUAUAUAUACACGGAGUAUGGUGUAGGAGUAACGUUUUAUGGCAAAUCGGAUGUCUAUAUAUCUAACGCAAAUGCCAAAAGACCGUGUGAUUUUAUUGAUGAUGAAAGAGAAAGAGAGGAAGGGACAUUUACUAUGUUAGGCCUUGUUUAGUUCACCCUAACAUCCAAAAUUUUUUCAAGAUUUCAUGUCACAUUGAAUUUUACAGCAUAUGCAUAGAGCAUUAAAUAUAGGUAAAAUAAAUAACUAAUUGCAUAAUUUGUAUGUAAUUUGCAAGACGAAUCUUUUGAUUCUAAUUAGUCCAUGGUUAGACAACAAUUACCAAAUACAAAUAAAAUUGCUAUAGUACUUAAAACCAAAAAAUUAUACCAACUAAACAAGGCAUUGUUGCUGCUCUAACCAAGUGCGGUGAUGAGCAUCAUUAUAAAUGUGGGUAUACAAGAUGAGACAAAAAAGAGCAAAUGAGUCAUGUUGAUAGAUUAGUAUCAUUGUAGGUUGAAAAAUGCCAUAGUAAAAACGUCAGCGCAAUGACAUCUACUAUGGGGGGGGGCCUUGCUAUAGCGGAAAGCACUAUGGUUAAAGAUCUUUUUUGUGAAUUUAUGGUUAAAGAUUUUGUCUAACCUUGUCUACUACACAACAUUCAUGCAAGAUUUCCAAGUGCUUUUAUAAUUUUAAAUUACAUAGUGCACACCUUGCCUAGGUGAACAUAUCUAAGAGACUUUUUUAAUUAUACAGUACAAAUAUGUGCACAUUCACACUCUAACACAACAAGACUAGUAGAUCUCCAUGCAAAAGAGGCACAUCGUCUAUACACUAAAAAAUGAAGAUGAAUAAAAUCAUUAAAUGCUAAAAAGUACAUUAAAAAUAUGUCACCUACCAUUGAAAAGCAAAGAAUAACAUCGUUAAAUCCUAAGAUACAUAAAGAAAGCACAUAUCGUCUACCACUGGAAAAGCAAUGUCAUUAAAUUAAAGCCUAUGAAAUAAUAAAUCUAGAAAACUAUGAGUAUCAACGUAAAGUCAAGGACUUAACUUGGAUGAAUAGAUGCACCACAAGAAAACUAAUACACUUUGUUACAAGAUCUUGAGUUUGUUCGGAUAAAAUAAAAUGGUACAGACAUAUGUGUUUAAUUCAAAACAACAACAAAAGCUCUCAUGUUCUAUCUUCAAUAUAUCAAUAGUUUAAGGGUUGUUGGUCAGCUUUAAAACUUUAGCAGAUAAUGGAGCCAAAAUAUCUCAAGCAUAACUAGGUCGAAUCCUAGGCGUGUGCCAAAGGGGCAUCAAUUAUAGGCCAUCGAAAGGAAGGAGUUAUUCCAAGCAUGUAACAUGUAGUAGCGGCACUGUAUAUAUCAAGCCCAAAAACUCAAGAAGACAAUAGUCCACCAUCAAUAAUUGAUGUCACGUAAGUUAUGACUCCAGCUUACUGAGACUUCAACAAUGUUGUGACUUGUUGAGUCGCUGGUCAUGUCGAUUCGUUGGUAGCCAUCAUCGUAAGACGUGACUCAAUACAAGCGAGCGACUCAACGACAACAUUGUGUCGAUCUACACAAAGACUAAAGUAAAGAUUGUAUGUUCCAUUCUUACUUUAAUUUCCAAAUUCAUAAUUGAGAAUCCACCUGUUAGGUAACAUAUCGGAUACUACAUAGCUAUACAUGAGCCGAUCUAGUUGUAAUUAUGUCAAUUGUCUAAUAGAUCGUUUUAUUGGCCUAAACAUUAUUCCUUGGUCUUCUAUUCCGCACUUAGUCUCACCGGUCAAGACAUGUUGCGAUUGAUACUAGUGUUUAUUAUAUAUACCAAGGGCUUGCUGCUGAUUUUAUUUUGGUUCUAGCCUCAGAAAAACUCAGUACCAGAGCUAAGCAUAACCGUAAGUUUCAACUUUACAGAGAUAAGUGUUCUUUUGUACUGUAAACUACUCCUUAUGCUAUUAUUUUUUAAGAAAACUACUCCCUAUGAUUUUUUUAUAAACUUAUUACCACCAACUUUAAGGAAGGGUUUAAGACAUGUCUUCUUGAACUUAUUAAUUGAAUUCCUGUUUUUUAUAUAUAUGGGUAUAUCCAAGGCUAAAUCCUGCCAAAUGAGCAUCCACGAGAGCUUUCUCUAAAACCAAAAACAAACUAACAACAGUGGUUGAAUCUCUACAACUAAAAAGCAUCAAAUGUUAUCGUCUCCGCUACCUAUCGGCCUGCCUCCGACUCCUGUGGUCAACCUGCGAAAAACAGUUCCUCCCACAGCUCCUCCCCUCUCCACAAGGAACCGCAGCCUGCUCGGCUACCCCACGACGCCUCCCCUCGCGAGUCCCACCCUUCCGAUUGCGCCACUGCCACCUCUUCCUCCUUCCCUCUCGCCCGCAAACCCGGUCGCGCGGUGUGAAGGGUCGAGAUGGCGGACUAGAGGGGGGGGUGAAUAGUCUUUUCUAAAAUUUAUUACGCCGGCUAACCGAAACAAAUGCGGAAUUAAAACUAUCGGUCUAGCCAAGACUACACCCCUCUAUCUAAAUUCUCUAGCACCUUGAAAAGAUCCUAAACAAGCAAGCAAGGUGCUACCUUAGCAAGAGCUCACCUAACCAAUUCUAGAAGCAAGGUCACACAAACCUAUGCCACUAGUACUUUGCAAACCGGGGAGCUUCUACACAGCUAGUAAGCAAAAGCACAAAGCUCCUAAGCUCACUAGCAAUGCUCAAUAACAAGGCAACCAAUGCCAAAUUAGAGAGCGCAAAAUACUUAGCUACACAAACUAAGCAAUGUGACUAACAAGGUUACACAAACCAAAUUAGUCACGCAAGGGAACUACUUCUAGCUACACAAGCAAGAAGGUAACUAUCAAGCUACACAAGCUAACUAAUUACAAGAGCAACUACACAAGCACAAGUAAAUGAAUGUAAAUACAAGCUUGUGUUAGGGACUUGCAAACCAACGGGAAGAACAAAGUUGAUACGAUGAUUUUCUCCCGAGGUUCACUUGGUUGCCACCAAGCUACGUCCCCAUUGAGACAAGCUUCAAGGUUGCCGCCGGUCCUCUUGCUAGUGGUGACCCGCAAGUCACACUCUCCCACGUGGAGUGCUUACCACAAGCUCUAGCACUUGACCCGGCCGGACCACUUGUCGCUCUUCACGUCUCGCUCAACUAGAGUUGCUCUUCGCGAUCCCCGCGGGGUGAGCACCGUACCCCUCACAAUCUCUUCUCCGGAGCACCGCACAAUCUCCUUGCGUGCUUCGACGGAGUCACAAGCCACCAAGUCGUCUAGGAGGUGGCAACCUCCAAGAGUAACAAGCACCACCGGCUUGCAACACGAACACCUAGUGCCACUCGAUGCAAUCUCUCAAUGCAACGCACUAGAAUCGCUCACUCACACAAUCGGAUGAACACUAUCAAGCAUAUGUGAGUUAGAGCCUUCACUAGCACUCCCCAAGCAUGGACACUACGUCCCAAGGGUGCUCAGCACCAGCCACAGGCUGGCCACCACUUCUAUUUAUAGCCCCAAGGGCUAAACUAGCCGUUGCCCCUUCACUGGGCACAACACGUGGGCACCGGACGCUCACAGGAAGCCACCGGACGCUCAACCCCCAGCGUCCGGUGCUCAGGCGUCAGCCACGUGUCACUAGCCGUUUGAACUCGACCGUUGUCACCAACGGCUACUGCGCACGCGCGCCUGCACAGCACCACCGGACGCUCUACUGCGUCACACCGGACGCGUCCGGUGCUCACCGGACUCGUGCGCAGAGAGCUCCGCAAACUCGCACGGUCACUGGACGCAAGCCACCGGACGCACCCUGAGCGUCCGGUGCUCACCGGACUCAAGCGCAGAGAGGGUCGCCAAGCCGCCCGCACACCGGACGCUGAGCACCGGACUCUCUCCGGUGCGUCCGGUGCACUCUGCUGCACCCGACAACACACCGAACGCUAAAGGCCAGCGUCCGGUGCCUCCACGCAGAGCGUCCGGUGAGUGUUUUCUUAGGGAGAAACACUCCCGCGACUUCUCCAAAAUUCCCACCGGCGCAAUAGAAAAUAUGCACUUAAUUUUCUCAAAAGCGCUGAAUCCCGCCAAGCUUAGAAACCCACACCUCUCUCAACCCUAGGAACACCACCUCCUUUAUAAAGUGUGCCAACACCAACAAGUGUACACCACCAUGUGCAUGUGUGUUAGCAUUUUCACAAACAAUUUUCCAAAGGAGUUAGCCUCUCAACUUGCCACGCCACUCGAUCCUAACACGUAUGCAAAGUUAGAUCGCUCAAGUGGCACUAGAUGACCGAUAUGCAAACAAGUUUGCCCCUCUUAAUGGUACAGCCAUCUAUCAUAAAUCCGGUCAUAAACUUCUCUACACACCUAUGACCGGUGAAAUAGAAAAGCCCAUGGUUAUACCUUUGCCUUGUGCUUUCCAUUCCAUCUCCUCCAAUGUUGAUGCAACACAUGCACCAACCAAUCACCAAAUGAUAUGAUCCACUUCAUAUCAUCACGUGACCGUAUUGGUUCAUCGAUCUUGACCUCACUUGCUCUUCACCGUUGCCUCGGUCCAUCGGCGCCAAGUCUUGCUCAAGCUUCACCGUCACACGCGGUCCCUCGCUUCAAAGCCUCCAACUUGUCCUUCACUCUUGCAACCGGUCCAUCGAGCCAAGCCUCAUCUUGAUUUUCUCCACCUUGGUCACAUGACUCCAUGUCAUGUCUCAUAUGCAAUGAGCUCCUCCAUUAUCACAUCAUCAACUGUGGACUAAUCUCCUGUGUAUCUCACAUAAACACUAUUAGUCCACCUAAGUUGUCACUCAAUUACCAAAAUCAAACAAGGACCUUUCACGGUGCUCAGAUCGACUCUAGGACGAAGCAACCCGGCCAUGCCGCUACCGGCGCCAGGACGAACCAACCCGGCAGUGCUGCCGCGUCAACCCAGAAGGGCCGCCGCCGGUGAUGGCCCACCAUCAGAUGUGCGCUGGAUGGACCACCACCUCAGCACCGAACGCGCAACAUCUCCAUGCCGCUUUUGUCAACCUAGACGGACCGCCGUCGGACGAUGCUGCCACCAGCGACGAACACCCAACAAGUGUAAACUUCGCCCCCUUUCAAAGAUUAUCGGUAGUACAUGUGCACACCAAAUGUCCUUUGUUGCAUCCGUGCCUGCAGUUCUUUGUGCUUUCAUCGGAUCCAAUUUCAAGUGCAUUGUGCCUACUAACUUUGUUCCCUUUAAUGACUGUGGUUCUGUUUGUUUGAAUCUGUGAAUGGAGUGCUGAUGAUCUUCAACCUUUUCUGAAUUGCAUCGCUCUCCCCUACUGAAGCUAAUGGUCCCAUUAAAAUCCAAGUUAUGUUUCGUACGUCGUUUAGCAAGAAUGGGCCUGAUCCUUAGUUUUUGGAGAAGAAAGGACAAUGAUGAACAGCUGUCGAUUUACCUAAAAAUAUUGCUUGAUUUAUUAGCGAAUCUUAAUUUUCCAUGGCCCUUAGUACACAUGGUAGUCAAGUUAACAAGCACGUGCAACCACUAUUAGAUUUUUGGUUUUAUCUCCAUGAUUAAUCUUAUGUAAUUUCACUACACUUCCAUACACUGCUUAAAUGCUAAACUUAAUUGAAUGUUUUGGGAGAUUUUGAAUUCUGAAUUUGUGCUGUGCAGUGUAAAUCAAAUCGGUUUUCAGAGAUAUAAAGGCAGAAGAUGGAUAUAUAGUGUGCUAUAUCGCUUUAGAUGUUUCCAAUAAAUCAAUACGAAUUUUAGGGUAGUUGGAAACCGCAUGGUUACCUCGUGUCUCAGAUUAAAAAUAAUUAAAUUCUAUGGUGAGUAUCAAAGUUGUGCCAAGGUGAGAAUUUUUUCUUCGCCUUGUUUUUUGCACACCAAAAUUUCAGUCAUGCAGGAGUAUCAAAUUUUUUUUCUCUGCAUUGGUAUGUUCAUGCAUCUUCACGAUUCGUGGUGCAUUUUAUGUUUUGUAACAUACUGACAAAGGAAAUUGAGGAUUCAGUACCAGUUAUGAUUCUUUGUUGAUUGAUUUAGGAGUAAUGAAUUUAGCUUUUAUUCUGCACUCAAAGAAUAUUUGUUAAGAAGAAGCUGACAAAACAACUUAACUAUUCCACAGAUGCAACCAUACACUUUGAUGUUGAGCUGCUUUUAUUUACAAUGAUUGAUGCAAGAAGUAUUCCUCUAGCUUUGAUUCUCUUACUGCAAGAAGCAGCUAUUGAUACACAAAGACAUGCCUCUGUUGUUGCAGAACGGAUGUUGGAGAAAAAACAGUUCAAUGUGCUACGGUGCUCCACUCAGCUCUGCAGACCAACAAGUUUUCUAUUGCUUAGAAUUUUGUUCGGUUAAUUUUCAUUUGCUUUGAUUCCUUUUGCUUACAGUUGUUGUAAUGUUGAGCUAAUAACUAGAUGCUUGAAAUUGUCGAUGUCAUGUUCUUAUGUAUUGGUUGAUCGCAUUAGAAUAGUUAUUUGCAUUGACACAUGUGUCUUUUCUUCAGGUAAGACACUUGUUGACUUACCAUAAAGGUUUUAAUUGUGCUUUAUUUUGAUAAUCCCCAUUGCCGUCGAAUGUUUUCCCGUGUUUUGCGUGUGAUCAUUUGUACAUAGGUGAGGUUAUGGGAUGUUAAAAGAAGAUGAUGUAUACACUUGCAAUGGCCAUCUGGGAGCUAUCGGUUUGUUGCCUUCUCAAAGAAAAAUAACUUUUUUUGUUAGUAGCGGCAGGUUUGCUCUUCAGUUUCUCUGAUGUUUGUUUGCUUAAAGUGAGACUUAAAUUGGUGUUCUAAAAUAAGAAUACUAUUUUUAGAGAUCAAACCAUCAAGGAUGAUACACUUGAUGACGCUGAGAAUGAAGUCCCUCUGAGAGCAAAGCUCUUCCAGCUGCACAUGAUGAAGAUAUUAAUUGUCUGGUAAUUUCACCAAUCUCAGCAAUAUUGCAAGUUUUGUAGAGAAUGAGGUCAUUCAACUUUGUAGAGCAUGAUGUUGUCCAGCAACUACCCAAUGAUCGGCGCCUAUGCAGAGUUGCUGGCUGCUACAUUGUUGCCUGCAACUUAUCCACAGGAAAUGUCAAUAGUAGCAGAUUGACCAAUGCAAGGCUGUGUUGAUCUUCUGACGGAGCCCACCGAGACGCUGAGCAUGUGCUCUCUGGAGCUUGAAGAUCCUUCCUUUGCAAACAUCCAUAGGAAGAGGCAAUUCUUGGAGAUGUGUUUCUACUGCUCUAAUUGUUCAUGCUUUGUGAAAACUCAUGUAAUAUUGAUGACUAGCUAGCUACAAACAAAAUAUUACAAAAAUCACUUGAAGUAUCAUUUUUUGGGGGUAAAAGUAUAACAUACGUUCAACUUGAAUUGUUGUGGUAUUAUAUUUUUUUCUAUUGCAACACAUGCUAGAGACACGGUGGGUGGAAUUGUCCCUAAAAACACGGUUACCCAAGACAUCCCUUAAAAGGUGAGGUGCAUGGUCAUCCCUCGCAGUAUCACUUUGUUGUCUUUCAUUCCUCUUUGCGUGGGUGAGGGCUUCGGCAGGGGUAGUUCAACGUGAGUAUAAUGGUAAUGGCGAUCUUGGCACAGGUCAUCUCAGCUUAGCUUUGAUGAGCUUAGUCAUAGUAUUAUUAUGUUCCCGUAGCAACGCACGGGCAUGAUCCUAGUGAAGUCAUAAUUUGGAACCGAGUGAUGAUGAGUUUAGCAAAGAAACAUAGUAUUUGCAUCUUGUGUUGUUGACUUGACGGGCUCCGAGGUCGGAUCAGGGAGGGAAUUCAGGGGUUCUUGGGGGUAUCCAUAGCAGUUCACACGGUCGUGACCCCACCCCGCCUUCCGUGCGCCCGCAGCCACGAAACCGAAGCCCACCCGACCAGCAAAGAGGACGGGGCAGUUGGAGUUGGGAGCCGACGCGGUCGGUGUGAUCCAGUCCUCCCCCGCCUUCCCCGGCGAGCGCAACCGCCCCUGCCGAGCCUUCCCCUUCCCGGGAGGAAGCUUCCACUCCCGCGCGAGCGAGCGAGCGAGCCAUGGCGGAACCCAUCGUCUCCGGCGCCACCGCCGUCCCGCCGCCGCCGGGCGCGCCCUCGUUCUCCUACCUGGCCGUGUUCUACAACUGCCCGCUCGUCGCCGCCGUGCUCGCCUUCGCCAUAGCGCAGUCCAUCAAGGUCCUCACCACCUGGUACGCCCUGCUCUCCCCCUCCUUCCCACGCGGCCUCGGUCGACGCCUCCCCGGAUCUGAGCUCUCUCUCCCUCUCCCUGACGGGAUCUGCAUCUGCCGCGCGUGUGCCGUGCAGGUACAAGGAGAACCGGUGGGACGCGAAGCAGCUAGUGGGUUCCGGCGGGAUGCCGUCCUCGCACUCGGCCACCGUCACCGCGCUUGCCGUCGCCGUCGGCCUGCAGGAGGGCUUCGCGAGUUCGCUCUUCGCCACCGCUGCCGUCUUCGCCUCCGUGGUUGGUUCCCUCUCUCUCUCUCUCUCGUUCGACACACAAACGCGUUGACCAUCUUCGGUGAGCGCUGGAUCUGACAGGGAACCUUAUGGUUUUUGGGACGCGUUGCGGUGAACUGGUGAUCAGGGGGAGUAAUAAAUGAGUGUCCUUUGCACUUCAAAACUUCUGCUUGAAUUGCUACUGGGGCUCAGUUGUGGAAGGUACAUUUUGUGGUGUAGUAGAUUGUGGGCAGAAGUACAAGUACAGAACAUACGAGGAAAAGACUGUAGGAAAUUGAUGGGAAUUUGUAAGUACACUAAAGAUGGGGAAGAGACUGUAGGACAAUAGUGGAGAUUUGUUGCUGAAGUUUCAGACUUUCAGUUGGUAUCUACAGAAUGAUAAAUUCGGUUGGGGUUAUGGUGGAAAUCUGACAGCUAAGAUGUACUGUCAGAUCAAUAGUCUGAGAUGCUGUACUUUGUUUCGUGUGCUUAGUUCAUACCUUCAAAGCUUACCUCUAGUAACUCAUGACUUUGUUUGGAAAUUCAAUGAAACCUGCAGAAUAAAGGAUAACAGCUAACCUGUGGAAAAUUUUCCAUAAUUGUACAUAUAUGUGUGUCCAAAACCAGCCAUGCAAAAAUGCAAAAUGAUGGCAUACUGUACCAUAACACCUACUCCUAGGCAUGUGUCAUGUGCCUUAGCUCUCACAAUCUGUCCCCACUUGUCCCAUCUUUUCAUUUUGGCAUCUCCAAAUACUGAUUAGUUCUUGUGGCUUUUUUCAUCACCUUUUUCAGAAAAUGCAACAUCCUGCACUCUGAUUUUACUAUAUGCAUCUUCUCAUUUUACUGUCUUGGCUAAUUCUUUCAAUACUUUGCAGGUGAUGUAUGAUGCUUUUGGUGUUAGGCUACAUGCAGGGAAGCAAGCAGAGGUAUUACCACCUUUCUAUGUUAUAUAGCCACUGACAAGAAAAAUAAUUUUAUGAAGGCAAAAAAGUUGUGAACCUGUGAAAAAGGAGUUCCCUUUUGAAAUCAUGUGAGCAACUUUCUAAGUGGCAAACAGUGACCAACCACUAAAACUGGUUCUCUUAUUUAGGCAGAAUGGUUAACAUCUAGCUUGGACGAGUAGUGUCGCUCAAUCAUUAUAUGAAACCUCAUUGAUUGUGUGAACGAAAAUAAAAAAAUCUAGACCUGAGAAGUAAAAUACUAAAAUGGUCUUUCGAUUGAGAAGCAUUAUGUUGCUCACCUGCUGCAGUUCAGAUCUAACUAUUAUAAAAUGCCAGGUCUUGAAUCAAAUUGUGUAUGAGCUUCCAUCAGAACAUCCACUGGCUGAAACAAGACCACUGCGAGAGCUGCUAGGGCACACACCUCAACAGGUUUGGUCUUUUGCUCCUAGAUUGUGCUGUUGAGAACAAGAACAAGGAAUGCCUUGUUCAUAUGAUGCACAGUUGCACACACACUCAUAUUAAACCUCUUACCUCUGUUGAAGUAAAUUUUGUUAACCAACCGAUUGCUCCUUGAAUCAUAUUUGCGUUAUGCUAACAUCAAGUGCACAUACACUAUCCAAAUCAUUUCACUGGAAAAUCUGUCAUGUGUGUGGAUGUUUGGCAUUCUUACUCUUUACAUGCCAUACAGAUUAUUAAUUCCAAGUUUUAUCACCAGGUAUUUGCUGGCGGAGUGCUUGGAUUUGCAGUAGCCACAUUUACAGCAAUGAUAGCUGGGCUUGGGAGUUGACUCCACAUUUAAAGGAAUGAUCCACAUUUGCAUUGAUGUUCUGGAAUCCAAAUUGGACACAUGUUUCCAGCCAGCUUAUGGUAGAUAAUGCAUUGUGUCUCACCUGCGUGUUCAGAGAGAGAGAGAGAGAGAGAAAGAUAAUGCGUUGUGUAUAGGUGUAUUUAAUAUGCAAAAUCACUGUCAAUUUAUUGGAGAAAAACUCGCGCCAUUCUUUUGUAGCUAAUCAAUGAGUGAACUAUAUGUUGUAUUCGUUUUUUGUCCAAAGUAUUUGGAGUGAUUGAAGUGUGUCGUGUUAAAGCAUCUCAGGAGGUUUCCGCUCAAAUCUCUUGUGAUUGAUUUCAAUUUAGUAGACAACAACGAGAAUCCUUUUUGUAACUAUGUUCUUCAGCCAAAACCGACUGAGAAGUAUCGAUGUGCUACUUGAUCAUGUUUUUGGUUGAUUGUGAUGAAAUUUCGUAUUUGAAUUGCCAAACCUUAUAUUCUACUAGUACAAGAGCAUCACCAGCUGCCAAUUACUAUGAACGUGCCUAGCCCUUAGCAGCCAAGUUCUCGAAACAUAGGUACGUGGUACGGGAACGUGGUACGACAUUCUCAUGAAGUGUGAAAUGUAUGGGGUAUAUAGCUUUCUCUCGUUCCUUUUAAGUUGUGGAACGUGUUUCACUUUUCAAAGAAACGUGUUUGAACCAGAUGAGUUUGAUUUCUAGUGUGGUAUAGUUUACUAUUGUAUUUUUUGUUUCUUUUGGACCGUCCAACUCAAACCUUCAGGCUCACGGACGAGCACAGCGCGGUACACACACAUCAUACGAAGUUCCAUAGUCGCUUGGGACUAAUGUUCCUCUAGUUACUCGUGCAUACGAUUCGCGUUUCACUGCAUUUGGGAACGACGUCUCGUGAUAUUCAGGUUUCGUGUUUCGGAACGAAGUUCGUUUCGUGUUUGGGAACGAAGUUCUCGGAACGAGAACGUGCCUUCCUGUACCUGGCUGCUAAGGCCCAGCCAGGCAGCCACCGCCUCCCCUCCUACACGCGUGGGCCGCCGUCUCCACUCCUACCUGUCCAGGCCUACGACCUGCUCUGCCCACCAUCUGUCUAGUUCGUUUUUGAAUUUGGCUACUAUAGUAUUUUUGUUUUAUUUAAUAAUUAAUAUCUAAUUGUAAACUAAUUAGGCUUAAAAUAUUUAUCUCGUAGAUUAUAUACAAACUGUACAAUUAAUUAUUCUUUUAUCUAUAUUUAAUGUAAUUUUUUUAGAACUAAACAGGGCCUCAGUCAAAAGAUUGAGCUCACUCUGUGUCUCUGUCGCCUACAACCAAUCAACCAUGCCAAGGUGAGCAACGCAAGUACGCAACUGAAGCUCAAUGCUAUCACAAAUAUGCAUAUAGCCUAUUCGAUUAAAUGUGAUAUGGAGAGUUCUCUUUCAGUCACAACAUCUUCUUUGAUUGGGUUCAAAAUCUAGCAUUGCUGGAGUUAAUAUACCUAAUUUGGUUCAACUGCAAAAUCGGCAACAAAUGUAAUGUCAAUUUCGUUCCUGACUUCUCACAACUAUUAUUCGUAAGAGUUCACUGUGUAGUUUAAUUGGGCUGAGAGUCCUUAAUAUAUUUGUUACUAGGAGAAUACCCCGCGCGUUGCUGCGGGAAUACGGUGGAUUACGUGACAUGAUGAUGUGGAUAAACAAAAUAUUUAUAUGUCUUGUUAGCAUGGACAUUAUAAUUGUAUGGCUAGUGAAUUUUAGCUAUGUGUGAUAGUGCAUUGCUUAGAUGGACAAUUUACAUGUUGAGAGAAAUAUAGUGAAAAAAGAAAUAUAGUGACUUACUGGCGUGGACACUACAAUUACAUGGGCUAGUGGAUUUUUAAUUAUGUGUGAUAGUGGUUUGCUUAGUUGAACAACGUGCAUGUUAAGAGAAAUAGGUAGUGGAGUUUAGCUUCGUAGGAGUAUAAAAUUGCCUCUUGGACAGGAGGUUGGUCAUAGUGAAAGAGAGUGAGGUAAACUCUGCAUUCCUUGAAGCCAAAUGUCAAUGGGUGAUCCACUUCUAUUUGUUUUUUUUUUCAUCUCUGUGCUGGGUUUGCAGAUACAAAUUCGUAGGCAUGCCUAGAAUACACUGUGAACCUGUGAUGAACUAUGUUGGAAGAUAAAUCAAGCUGGAGAAUCAUUUUCUCUAAAAUAAAUUUGCGGAUCGUUGUGUUUACUUUAUCCCAUCAUUGAGGUUCUUCUUAUUCUAUCACUUCCAUUUCCCCUGCCGUGGAGUUGGACAGUGGGAGGACAAUGAAGUUAUCCUAUCUGAAGAUACAGAGAAACACAGUUGUGGUUAGUGCAGUUCACACUUCACAGCAUACUCAUCCACCAUGUCCACACUUUAGCCUUAUUGGAAAUCAUUAGUCUACCUUCACAGAAUACUAUGCAGUGGGAAGAGGGAGGUGUGUGUGUGUGGGUCGAUCACUCGAUCUUACAUUUGCUUUACAAUAAUACAUAUUGAGCUCAUGAAUUGUUUGACUGGCACCUGAAACUUGGUUCAGAUGUGGCUUUAUUCAGGACCUCUAUCUGGGUUUCACUAUUUGGAAGGGCAUGGUAUGUCGGUGGCUCAAAAUAGUAUAGUGUUAUGCUCCACUACUUUGUAAUGUCUACAAAUAUUUAAAUUUGUUGGUCAUCAUCUUGUAUCAUGUGUGUAGAUCUCCUGAUAAGAACAAUGGCAGUUGCACAAUGUCUAUUGGUUUGGUUUGAAUAAACUGCCUACAUAUCUUUUUACUGCGCACAUGUUUUUUGAUUGAUGUAUUUUUCAUCCUCCCUCUAUAGUCAGCAUAUUAAAAUGCUGACAAUUUUCACAGAUAGAGCCCUGGUCAUUAAUUAGUUGGUAUUAUAUAUUUUGUCACCUCUUUCAUCAUACAAAAACUUAGCCUUCUUUUUAUUUUUACAUUCUAAUUUAUCGUGCUGACUUAGCCGAUCCCUUUAUUGUUCUGUUACAUUUCUCCUGAUGCAGAUGGUCACUGACUUCUGGAAGAAAAGAAAAGGUAAGUCUAAUUUAUAGGCCAUCAUCUCAUGAUUUUAUUGACUUAGAGUUUGCUUAUUUUAGUGACAUAAUAAUUUGCUUGAUAUAAAAGUACUUUGUCCAUACUAGAAACAAAAACAGAAAAUGGACACAUGGAGGCAAAAAUUGACACACGAUGCUUAAUGAUUUAUUGAGGCCCUUCCAUAGUUUUGAUUUCAUCAGAAAAAAAUAUUGUACCCACUUGCUAUGUGUGUGCUACGUAACACUCUUACCCUACACUUCAAAUGACUAAUGUGAUAUUUGUUGUCUAGAUGCCAUUGUUUUCUCUAAUAAUAGAUGCCAUUGUUUUCUCUAAUAAUGUGGGCCACCCAUGUCCAUACUCCUGCCAAUAGACCAAUUUCAUUUUCAUGGAUUAUAACCCGGCCAAGGAGAGAAACUGCAUCUAUCCAAAAGCCAUCCAAGCAGCAACGAAUUUCAAAUACCUGUUCAGCUACACAAGAUUCCAGAGUAUGGCCUAGAUUUCCUCAUACAAUUACCGUAACCAAAAACCUACAACCUUAUCCUAUCAAAAGGAUUAAUAAAUGGCCCAAACUUCACCCUUAGACUCUUUCCGUAGACUAUGUACCAAGUAGAAAUUCAAGUCUUUGGUAUCCCAGGCCAUUUAGCGGCAAUACCACUGUUACAUCACUGUCCGCUUUUUUUUUUUUCGAAAGCGUGCCUUAGCACGUGUUGCUUUAAGGGAAAAAGGAGUCUGAGUACAAGCACGUCAAAACCCGCGGCGAGAUGCCAUAGGCUGACGGCCAAACACACUAACACAGAGCACCGGCUUUAACGGUGGAGCUAGACCGAUGUACUUAGAAAAGAACUAACCCGCUAAAAGAGAGGGGGGACACUCUAAGAGACUGGGUGAACGAAUGACGAUAGCAGCCGGUAGCCUGCGGCCACCCACGACUCCAUCUCUUCCCGGAUGCGCGUUAGAAGCAAGGAGCAGGGGCGUGAGGCGCCGUCGAACGUCCGCCUGUUGCGCUCCUUCCAAAUCUCCCAGGUGACCAAGAGGACGAUGGAGUCGAAUGGCUUGCGCAUGUCGGCACGAAUGACGUUCCUUGUCCCUAGCCACCAGUCCACGAGAGUGUCGUCCAAGCCCGGGGCAUGCUGCUGAAGGUUUGUGAAGCUCAGCAGGCGGAACCAGACCUCCCUACUGAAGACGCACGAGAGGAGUAGGUGGUCGGAAGUCUCCUGCUGCCCACAUAGAGAACAGGACGCCGUCUGCUGGAGUCCAUGACGUGCCCGCCUAGCUGCCGUCCAAAGUCGUCCGUGAAGAGCCAGCCAGAAGAAGAACUUGACCUUAGGCGGCGCCUUGGUCUUCCACAACUCCUUGGCCCCAAGAAGUGUGGUGGACCCCGCAAAGAAGGCGCGGUACGCGGAAGAGCUGGAGUACUGUCCAUCGGAGGUCCAUUUCCAAGUGAACUUGUCAGCAAUACCCGGCGAGAGGGUCACCGCGCGUAGCUUCUCAUCCACCUGAACAAUUUCCAGCAUGAUAUGCUGUGUCCUGGAGCCAGUGAUGUCUCGCACCCAUCGAUCAGCUUCCAACGCUGCGCGUACAGUGCGCCUCCGGCAGCGCGCGCUGACCCUGUCGAAAAGGCGUGGCGCAGUUAUCGCGAGCGGCCCGUCCGGGAGCCAGGAGUCUGUCCAAAACAAGGCUCGCUCGCCGUCGCCGAUCUGCACAGCGACUGAGGCAUUGAACAUUGCCUCCACGCACUUCUCAGCACGGCAUGGGAGAAGAGCCCACGGAGCAUCCACGUCAGAGCGACGGAGCCACUCCCACCUCAGCCUCAACGCAAAUCCCAAGAACCUGAGAUCAGGAAGUCUGAGGCCGCCCACAUCGCGCGGGGAGCAAACCACCGGCCAAGCAACACGGCAACGUCCACCCGACACCUUGUCCGUGCCCGCCCACACGAAUGCACGACGCCGUCUGUCAAUCUCGGAAAUUGCCCACGGAGAAAGAGUGCAGGAGAUGGAGACGUGCACGGGGAUCGCAGACAGAGUGGUUUGAGCGAGAACGCUCCGGCCGACCGAGGUGAGGAGCUGGCCCUUCCAACCUGGGAUCCUGGCGGCAACGGAGUCGACAAGUGCUUGCUCAGUAUCCCUCGGCAGCCUCGAGACCGAGAGCGGCGCCCCAGAUACUUUAGGGGGAAGGUCUGCAGGCGGCAAGGGAAGACAUGGAGCACUUCCUGGAUUUGCUCGUCCGAGCAGCGGAUGGGCGUGAUGGAGCACUUGUCAAAAUUUGUGGAGAGUCCAGACGCCCCCGCGAAAAGCUGAAGAAUCUGCCGGACGCAAGAGAAAUCCAGGGGGCGCGGGCGACGAAGAUGACAAGGUCGUCCGCAUAGACAGAGGUCCGGAACUUAAUCACAUUGCCUGGCAAAGGGUGAAGCUGACCCUGCCUAUCCACCUCAAUGAGAAGGGCGUUGAGCACUUCUAUGACGAUGAUGAAAAGGUAUGGAGACAGCGGGUCCCCCUGUCGCAGCCCCCUCGCGUGGUAGAUGCGAUGUCCCGGCCGACCAUUGAUCAGCACCUUGGUUGAGGCAGUGGAGAGCAUGUAUGAAAUCCAGUUGCGCCAACGCCCUGGGAAGCCCAUGUGUUCCAAGACCUCCAACAAGAACGGUCAGCACAUCGUAUCGAACGCUUUUGCCAAGUCCACUUUUAGCAGAAUCAUAGGAAUUUUGCGGCCAUGCAGCCAACGGCAAGCAAGCUGGACCGUUCGGAAGUUUUCGUGGAUGCGUCUGCCCUUGAUGAAGGCUGUUUGGUUCAAGUUGAUGAGGUCACAUAUGAAGGGCUGAAGGCGCAAGGCGAGAGUCUUAGCGAAGAGCUUGCCAAUUGUGUGGAUUAGACUGAUCGGUCGGUAAUAGCGGAGCGUCACCGGAUUCUGGGUUUUAUGCAGCAACACCAUGAGCGCCUCAUUAAGGCAGUUGAAAUUACGGAAGUCCAUGCUCCAGAGCGCCGAGAAGGCACGCAUGAUAUCCGCGGCCAUCACGGCCCACACCGCCUUGACGAAGCCCACGCCGAACCCAUCCGGGCCGGGGGCUCUGUCGGACGGGGACUCCAUGACCGCACGCGCCACCUCCUCCAACGUGAACGGUUCAGCUAGCGUGGAGAGGUCCAGCCGCGGCAAAGAGAGCUGGGCGAGGUUGAUCCUGUGAGUGCGUGCAAACGGCAUGCCGAGGAUGCUGUUAUAGUAGCUGUACACGGCACCAGCCUUGGCUUCAUCCUCGGAGAACGUCUGGCACUCGUGCUGAACUGCUAACAAGUAAUUCUUCCGUCGACGGUGACAUACUUGCAAAUGGAAAUAUUUGGUACAUGCGUCGCCCUCACGGAGGUGCCUGGUGCGGGCGCGCUGACGUGCCAUGGUCCUUGCCAGGGAGGCGAGGCCAAGAACGUGCGCCUUGAGGUCCCGGUGGAGAUCCUGCUCCCCUGCAGACAGGCGCCUAGACUCUUGGGCGACGUCGAACGCAUGGAUGAUAGCCCGUGCAUAGGCUAGCUGGGCCGUGACAUUGCCGACCCUGGAGGCGGACCAGCUACGGAGGGAGCGGGCGAGACCCCGCAGCUUGGUGUCAAGAUUUUUGCAGGCGUCGACAUCUGGGUUUGGCUGCCCCCAGCCCGUCUGCACCGUGUCGAGGAAACCGGGGACCCGCGUCCAGAAGCGCUCGAAGCGAAACCGUGGAACCGCCCAUGGGUUGGAGUUCAACACGAGUAACAGCGGAGAGUGGUCCGAGCAGUCAGACGAGAGGCUUCGUAGGUGGUGAAAGGGAAAGAGCUGUAACCACUCAACGGAGGCGAAGGCCCGAUCGAUGCGCUCAAGGGUGGGGUUGUCUCUCCCGUUUGACCAAGUGUAUAAGCAACCGGAUAGGUGGAGCUCCUGGAGCUGCAACACGUCUAUCGUGUCCCUGAAGGCGCGCAUGAGCCCACGGUGAAACCUACCGUGGUUCUUGUCAGCCGCCUGAUAAAUCAGAUUGAAGUCGCCACACACGAGCCACGGCCCAGCACAGGCCGCACGUAUGUCCUUGAGCUCCUGCAGGAAGGCAGUCUUUUCGGAAGACGAAUUUGAGCUCGGACCAUAGACGUUAGACAGCCACCACAGCUGCUGAGACGCAAGAGAACGGAUCGCAAUGAUAAUAGAGAAACGGCGUCGAUCUGAGGUGGAAACCUCCCACAGGUCCCCCGCCAGGAGAUGGACGCACCACCAGCCACACCGGACGCCGGCAGGAAGGCGUAGUCGUAGCAAGAUCCCGAGAGUUCCGUGUUAAAGGUAGCUGUCCGUGUCCGUUUGGAACCUUCGGAUUAGGUGUUGGUACCCCGUGUUCGAUGAUGUUACUGUCCGCUAUGAAAUGAGAGAAGAGUGAGCAAGGUUUUUGUUCCCAUCUACUGAUCUCAAAUUGCUCUGUUAUCGUGCUUGAACUCGUUAAUAACUCCGUAUCUAUGGCGCUAUACAAAUAUCUACUAUCUGCCGAUACAAAUAUCUAUUGUCUACUUAAUAUCAGCCGACUACUCUCGAGAACGCUACAAAUACAGGGAUAACAGAUCUGAAGAAUUCGCUUUCAUACAAAUAUACGUAUAACACGGAUCCAAAAAGGUACGCUUCGAUACGCCAUACAGGCUCCUAAGAUACACAAGUGUUUUAUAAACACACUUCAAAGUUAUGUAAAUCAAAACAAUCUUAUUUGCUUGAGCAUCUGCCGGAUAUGUUUUUUUGACAAGCAACGGGGGGAGGCGUUCCCCACCUGAAUUUAUUUUAUUGGCCCCAAAAACGGCCCGUGGAGUAAUACAUGUUUUCAGAUUACAGAUCACCUAGAUGGUGAUAGGGGGGUGGUGUUUGUGGAAACCACAGCACUACAAAAAAUAAACAAUCUAUCUAACCUUGACCUGAACUAGCCAUUUCGAAAUAGCUGCACCAAGACUGGGGUAUGUGUCUUUUCUUGGCUGAGAAUCUGUGGCUCCAUAGCUGGGCAGAGGAUUUGCAACGGUUGAGAAGUUAGACUGCUGAGAUACUUUCUUGCCUGAAGACCUUGCGCACUUUCCAAAUUUCCCAGCACGCGAGCGCUAGGAAGGCCGGAAAUUCGUCAACGGGAAACCCAGGAGGUGGAGUAACCGACUGAAGGUUUUGAAGCUGGAUUCCUAUCAUAGAGUUGAGGUUCAGGCGAGCCCAGAAACUUACAGCGAUUGCACAGCCACCAAUGAUAUGCUCCGGGGUUUCUUCGCUCGCAUUGCACACCUGACAGGUUGGGUCUUGCACAAUAUGUUUUUUUGCGGAGUAGAGACCUGCUUUGAAUCCUUUCCUGGACUAGGAGCCACAUGAACAAUUGCACACGCGGUGGAGCAGAGUUUUUUUCAGACAAAAUUGGCCCCAAGAUCAUUGCGUUGCCCCCUGGAUUUGAGGAGUCUGUACAGGGCGCCGGUGUCAAGGCCAACCUCCCCCUUGCUGAAGACCGAGAGUCUCUUGUCUGUCGAGUCGUCCAGGUGUACACCUCCCAGAAGCUGCUGUACAAAAAUCUGUCGGAUAUGUUAGCCAUUAAACAGUGUUUUUGUCCAGUUUUCUCGGAACAUGAGAAAAAUUGGCACCAAACAAUUGUAUCUUUGAGAGGGCAUGCCAAAUUAGCAUAGCACCGACGCGCUAACAAACUUUGCACAACAACUUGGCACCGACGCUACAAAUAUCAUCAGUCCAGGACGUAGAUCCGAGAAGCGACGUCCUGGACCAGCCAGUCGAAGCCCUCGAGAAGCCCCUCUCCUGUGUAAGCGCUGCAGCCCACAAUCUUCCAGUGCCUGCUGCUGUUCAUCACUUCCAGAUUCAGAACCUGAAAGGGAGGAAGGCGAGUCAAGUCUGCCGUGGAAAAAAACACAACGAAUUCAGAUGGGGAACUGCACUUUCUGCAUUCGCAGCACAAACAGAAUGGAGUAUGAAAACCAAAUGCUAUCACUAUCAACUACGAUGGAAAUCACAGGCCCUGUUACCCUUUGGCUACGCGCAAGCAAUUUGUUUUUACAGAUUGUUAUCACAGCAAGAAUGUAAGGUCUGAGAUUACGGAAAGUAGCUGAACCCUAUCACUGGAAACAACAGCCUGAGCAGAUAAAAUAACUAAUCUUGGAAUUUAACCACAUACAGAAGGAAGCUGUAAAAUACAAUGAUGCUCAACUGUGGUGCACGGAGAGUCCUCUCCAUGGCAUUUGAGGUUUUGUUAAGUGAGUUAGGUUGGAUGAAACUAAAAGGCAAAUUUGUUGAUCUAAGUUGUUAGUCACAGACUAAAACUAACCUUAAUUACUCCCUAUCGAUGAUAAAAACACGAUAAGGCCCUAACUGACUUGGCUGCUUGAUGCAACAAUGCUAAGUUUCUCCACGACUCCAUGUCAACGUCAACAAAAAGCAGAGCAAAUCAAUUACUGCUUAUAGCUUAGAGCUGGGGCAACAUAGUGCCAAUAAUAGCACGGGCUUAUUUCUAGAGAGCAAAGAUGUAUUCAUCCAAUUAUGCCCAAUUACAAAUCCUAAUUCUUGUAACAAUACAGUUGCUUUUUUUACACCAAUUUACAGCAGAAUCUGGUUUUUCAUAUGAGUGUUUCAAUUCUGUCCGAGGACCAAAUGACAAUUUCCAUCUAAUCAGUGGAAAUGAUGGGGGUGACUCUGUUCCAGAAGAGAACACGCUGGCAACCAAAUCUAAUUUAGGAGCAAACAAAAUGCAAAAUAUCCACAAAGUACAAAUAAGUAGCAUCUAAUCAGUGGAAAUGAUGGGGGGGAGGGGGUGUUGACUCUGUUCCAGAAGAGAACUCACACUGCAAACCAAAUAUAAUUUAUAAGAAAACAAAAUGCAGAAUAUACAUAGUACAAGUGCAUGCAGCUAUCCCAGUACACACUGAAAUUGGAUGCUUCAGAACUGUGCAAUUAUUGUUUAUUUUCGUCUAUAUUUAAUACUUUAUGCAUGUGCCGCAAGAUUCAAUAUGACAGAAAAUCUUGAGUUUUUUUAGUUUUUGGGUGAACUAAACAAAGGCCGAAUCGUCCUGGAAGAGGCGUCCAGAACAUGGCGUAGGGCGCCCCCUUCCUGCUCAGACUACUUCGCUGUUGCUGUUUCGUAUGACGUUUGCCCUAGCCCUCGUCACUCGUCUCCUUUCGGCAAGAAGCAGCAGAGUUGAUCUUCAGAGUUCCUUCCAAUGGACACUGCAACUAGCCCUCGUCAAAGAGAUUAUAGUUACGGAUCACAGUUGACCAUUCAUUCAUUGAUCAAGGUAAAAACAAAGCACAAGCACAUUGCAGUUAAACAUGUUGCCUAAGCAUGUCCAAGAUCUAAUAAAACAAAUUCAUACACAACACUGCUGUUGAAAUAUUCACGUGAAAUGUUUCUCAUCAGCCAUCUGCGUUUGCUACUGAAACCGUAACUGGUCACAUAAGAUCCUGCACUAAGAACUCUCUGCCUCAAAACUGACAGAUGCUGGUGGAAGUAUGCUACAAAAUCUGUGGAUUCUCGGCUAUCCCUUGACGCACAAGGCACCGCCGCCAGUCCGCAAGUCGGUGUCCAACUGAAACUCCAGGCAUGUCCUAACAUCUCACAGUCGUCUAAGCCAGGCAAUAAUUGCUCACGGUGUGUGUUUAUCGGUAGUAUGAAGCUGUGAUGUACAGAAGAACAGAGGCAGCCGCAGUAACAAUCAGCUCCUGGGGCAAAGCAUCGACCAGUUAGUUACCCUCCUCACAGCAAGAAUAACAAGGGUUUGUUACAUCAAAAGCAUAUAGUAAGUACUGAAAUAAAUAUGAUAUAUACCAUGUAACAAAAGGACCAAAGGAGAGCUCAUUCCAUGAACUAUAUCCCUACAACCGACACAUACCAUGACUUACUGCUAUGUACCCUAUGCAUUCUAUUGUUUAGGCUGUGUAGUUUACACAUCAAAAUGGGCACAAAUAUAAUUUAACAAACUCUAUUUCUUCCUAAUGCAAUCACACACAGUUCUGUCUAUUUGAGUGAAAAAAAAUAUGUGCUCAUUAUUUUCCAAGGACUUGUACCCUAUAUACAUUAUACUAAAGCUCUCAAUAAUCACAUUAAUGUUAACAGAUAGAUCUGCAGGCACUCUGACUUUAAAGGGGGAAUCGGGCUAGCAGUCAUCAUACCUGGUAGUAAUAAACAACACGGGGAGUAUACUGCAUUGAAAGCUCAAUCAAGUUAACAGCUGCUGUGUAACCCUGAAAAUAUUAGGAGAGAACAAUUAAACCAAAAUUCAAUCAAACAUACCACAACCAGAGACAUAAAACUGGAGGACAUGGACUGAGAAAAUUUUAGCAGAGUUGCAUCAGAUAAGAAUCCACAUACCAGGGAUGCAGUGAACACACAUCCAAAUAUCAAACCCAAAGCACGGACUACUCUUUUUGCCAUUCUUAUCCCUCUUCCUUCAACCUCACCAUAUUCCUGUUACAAACACCAGAUGCGACUAUCUUACUAAUCAUUUAAAAAAAAUGGUAGCCCCAGGUCCCAUCAUCAAUAAGAACCAUCCUAUGUAAUUUUGCAUAAGCUUUUAGUAGGGCACAUAAUUAGUUACCAGGAAAAAAUAAUGAACUGAGUUCAGAUUAACUUUAUAUUUGGAUGCCCAUCAUCAAAGAGAUAAGACAUAAGAAAAUGAAAUGCAGGCCAGAGGCCACACAGCGCCAUGCUAUGUGAAUACAUAUUAUUUCUGCGUCAAUAGAAUCACCAUAACAAGGAGAGAAAUCUUGGAUAAGCCAAAAAGUGAUUGAUAGCAACAUCAUCAGAUGAUAACCAUAAAAAAUGUACAAACUGUAAGCUCGUUAGAUGACAAACAUGGAGCAUCAGAAACAGUCUCACAUUGUAUAUUGGAGUUAUUGCUGGUUCAGUAGCUCUUAGCUUCUGUAGUAUUCUGUAGAAGAAAGCAAAACAUAGGAACUGCAAAGGCUUCCAGUCUGCAUUGCCCAUAAUAGCUAUCCAAACAACCUGUAUGUAAAGUGUAGAUAAAUAUAUUUUCGAGGAAUACAACAUAUCGACAGUGAUAAGGAUAUGCGCAAAGCCUUAUUCGAGAUAGAACAAAAAGGUUAAAAACUACUACAUCCAGUCCAUCAUACAUAUUAUUCAAGGUACGAGCGUAUGAGUAUAUUGCAUACACAGUUCCAAAAGAUAAAUGCCUUUCGUAUUUUAACAUGUUUGCCCUCUUAAAAUGAACUAUGGAAAAUAUACGAUGUGGUGAAAACAGUGCUGCAGUCACUUGGCCCAAAUCCAUUACGCAAAAUUGAUAUUUGUUUUGGACUCGAGUUAGUAGUUUUUUUAACAACUUUACAGAUUAAAUAUGAGUAAUAAAGCAUGAAAUCCAAACUUAAAUGCUCGGAAUUUAUGAUUUAAGCUUCCAAACAUGUUUCAAGCUUUCAUUUUUUUUAACAAAAAAGUUUCAAGCUGAUAUCUUAGAUGGUAGCUUUUCUGACAAGAAUAAUCAUGCGAAAGCACAGUGGAUAGCCAAGAUACUAGACAUAGAAGUGAAUAACCAUAAAACAAUGAGCAUGUCAGGAAUAGCUGGGAUAUUUUUUAUGAAUUAAGAGAAUAGUACAUACAAAUGCUGCUGAUAUUGCCAUAUUUAUGCGCAUAUCCUUCACUGUGGAUCUGGAGAAUCUGCAAGAUAAGUUGACCACCCAUUAACAGCUUCACACUGUGUUUCUGUUUAGUUGUCUUAAUCUUAACUCAUAAUAAGCACUCAGAUGUAGAUUUCUGUAAAGAAAUGUUUCUGAUAGACCAUAUAAACAUAGAAUAAGAACACCGGUUCAUAAAUCAUAACCAUCAGCAGAAAAAUAGGGAAGGCAAAUACUCCAACAAAACAGUCAGUAGGUUGCCUACCAGAAAUGCUAACCCCAUUCCAUCAUGUUUCUAUAUGACAAAAAGGUUAACUCAUACUGAUUAUUAGUGCCCACAGGCCACAUUCGCAAAGAAAGUCACCAGUUCCUAAAACAUGCUUCACACAAUCAUACCCACUAAAAUUCUGGGUUGACUUAUGAAAUGAAGGCUAAGUUAGCUUGAGUAAAAAAGUACCUUGGUCCCCAAGGCACCAUUGGUUGAUUAUCAGCAUACUUGAUAUCCUUAGACACCUGAUAAUGGGAACAAGAUUAGAUAAUAAAUGAAUAGAAUCACCAUAAGGAGGCAACUGAAUGAAUUAGAUAGUUUCACCAAUCACCAGUGCAUUUUAGAAAAAGCAACCAUAGAUGGUUGAAUCACAUAAGCUCACUGUAGUAGGUAAGUAGAGCCAAUAACAAGUAUGACCCUUCUUGAUGAUCUAUGCAAUAGAUAUUUUAAGGCAAAGCUUAUCUAAUAUUCACAACUAUGACCUAUAGUACCAUUUAUAACAUUGCUUAGCUAGCAACCCCAAUUUAAUGUGUAAGGCUCAAUCAAUGAACACAAAUUUAUGUUGCAUAACUCAGUACGGCUCAUUAUUAAUACAAUUCCAUAGCGUAAUAAUUUUAACUUUGAAUAGAUGAUGAAGGAGCAUAUAACAAACAUAAUGUACUUCUUGCAAUUACACAACAGUGUUUUGAAUCAAGGAGAAUCAUGCCCAUCCAAGCAUGGAAUGGCAACUGACCUCAACAGACCCGUAUGUGACUCCCUUCUUCCGAUACUGCAGCUGCUGCAUCAUGACAGUGUCGUAGGCCCUGUCCAACUAUCAUCAUAACCCCAAUAACUCAACCAUUAGUACAGUUUGCAAAAGCUAAUGCCAUAUGCUAGCCCAGAGAGCUCAGACAAGAAUACUCUUCCCUACCUUGGCAAGGAACUCGUCGUCUCCAGUCUCCUCGGCGUCCUUGCGCUUCUUCUUGUAGGCCAUCUUCAUGUGGUCGAAGCUAUCAAGCGGCCUGAUGCCCAGAAGCUAACACCCAAAGAGCACAUAAUCACAACACGAAUCGAAAAAGAGAGAAUCUCUGCCUCCCAUUUCACUCAGAUUCUACCUCAUACGGGUUCUCCUCGUCGCCAAACUCCGCGCUCCCAGCCGCCGCCGCCGCGUCCGCUGCCACCACGACCGCGCCGCGGCGCCGCCUCACGGCUGACGCGACGAGCCUUCACUUCCCGCGAAAAACAAGAGGAAUUCAAAAAAUUUAUCCACCCAAAACGUCCUCAAAAACCUCCUCGACAAGAAAAACAUAGGCGGCUGGCGCAGGAGUUACCGUAGCGACUGGGGCACGGGCCGGCCGGCGCGACGAGGGAGCGGGAGGAAGCCGCGGCGAGAGAGAGACGAUGCGAGAGCGAAUGCGGGCGCCGCCGCAGCAGCGCCGGUCGCCGUCGCCGUCGCCGUCGCGGACGCCAUUGCGGGGUCUCAAAGCCUAGGGUUUUAGCGCAGUCUCACGCGACGGCGAGGAGGAAGAAGGCGGAAGCCAUGGGAGCCAAGGGCGAGGUCUAUCUGGGUGGAUCGCCGUGGAAGGUGGGUAAGGUGCCUUGGGCCACAAAUGGGCCAAUAAUGGGCCUUCUAAUUAUCUACGGGAGCCACUGGGCCUGUAAGCCCAUGGAACAGAGGCGGUAUCGGUAUCGGGCUGGGCUCGGGCUCGGGCUCUAAAAGAAAACCCAGAAAUGGCGGCUCGCCGUCAACGUCAUCACGUACAAAGCGCAAUUCGUUUCGUUCUUAUCUUCCUCGUCUCGUUAGUUCGCCGCCGUUCGCCGUCGAACCGCAGCGCCGCCGUCGAGUCGAGCCGGCGAGGCGAAGGGAAGGAGAGCGGGGGGGAAGAGGAGAGGACGCCAUGGCGACCGCUUCAGGUGAGUAGAGCAUCACGUAACCCUAACCCUAAGUUUCCGUGGGUUCGAUUCUCCCAAAACCGCGUGAACCGAUCCGUUGCCCUGGGUGGUUAUCUUAUCUCCCUAUCCGUGUUGUUUAUCCUCGAUUCGAUGUGGAUUAGGGUUUGUUCGGGGGCGGUGUACCUGGUGUUCUGCCUAAUUUGGGGAUCGGCGCUUCUGUGGGUGCUUGUGCCCCGCGAAUUUUUGGGGAUUUUUACUGCGGUGUUUUGAAUUAGCGACUUAUGUCUUGUGUCGUUUGUGGCAGUGACUUUCAAGUCACGGGAGGAUCACCGGAAGCAGCUCGAACUCGAGGAGGCGCGCAAGGCGGGGCUCGCCCCUGCGGAGGUCGACGAGGAUGGAAACGAGAUCAAUCCCCAUAUCCCCCAGUAUAUGUCCUCAGCUCCAUGGUAUCUUAAUGCCGAGAAGCCGGUAAGUCAUUGCUUGCACUAUUUAGCGUGUUGAUGCCCAAAGCUGUGAAUGAGGAUCUGGCUGAUUGGAGGGCUGACUCUUGUUGGUUUUAUGAAUUCAGAGUUUGAAGCAUCAACGGAAGUGGAAGUCAGAUCCGAACUACACCAAGUCGUGGUAUGAUAGGGGUGCAAAGCUUUUCCAGGCCAACAAGUACAGGAAAGGCGCUUGCGAAAAGUAAGUGGUGUUUGUUUCACCACAUUUCUUUUGAGGCCUUGCUCAACAUGUACUUAUUGCUUGUUAUUAGUAUGGCAUCAUCUUGUUGGUUCUAGAGUUGGGUUCUAAGUUCUAGAGUUUGCAGUCCAUUUAUUUAGUAUAAUAUAUGCAUAAUAAAUAAACUGUCUGAAGAUUUGCCAACAAACGGUUUUCCUUGAUGUUUUAGCUGUGGAGCCAUGACUCAUGACAAGAAGUCUUGCAUGGAACGGCCUCGAAAUGUGGGAGCUAAAUGGACAAAUGUCAACAUAGCUCCUGAUGAGAAAGUUGAAUCAUUUGAGCUGGACUAUGAUGGAAAGCGUGAUCGUUGGAAUGGUUAUGACCCAUCGACCUACACUCGUGUUAUCGCUGACUAUGAAGCUAGAGAAGAGGCUAGGAAAAAGUAUCUGAAAGAGCAGCAGCUCAAGAAACUUGAGGAGAAGGAUACUGAGAAGGAUGAUGAGAACGUGGGUAGUGAAGAUGAUGAAGAAGAUGGCCUGAGGAUAGAUGAGGCCAAAGUUGAUGAGAGUGCCCAGAUGGACUUUGCUAAGGUAGAGAAGCGUGUGCGCACAACUGGUGGUGGAAGCACCGGUACUGUUAGGUAUAUACUGCACUACUACUCAGAAAAUAGAUCAUGUUCCUUCUAGUACUAGGGUUCCUACGUCAAGGAUUAUCAGAAACCAAUUUAAAUGCUGAUGGUAUUUUUUUUUGUCUCCACAGGAACUUGCGUAUCAGAGAAGACACGGCAAAAUAUCUUUUGAAUCUUGAUGUCAACUCUGCAUAUUAUGAUCCAAAAACCCGUUCCAUGAGGGAAGACCCCUUGCCAGAUGCUGAUCCAAAUGAUAAGUUCUAUGUGGUAAGUAACUGACGACAUAUAGCUUUAAUGCUUUACACAAUUUUAAAUGCGAAAACCCUCUGUUCUGUAGGCUCUUGGGUUCUGUUAUCUGAUGUGAUAUUAUGGUGCAGGGUGACAACCAAAAUCGUCUUAGUGGUCAAGCUCUGGAGUUUAAGCAACUCAAUAUCCAUGCAUGGGAAGCUUUUGAAAAGGGUCAAGAUAUCCAUAUGCAAGCAGCCCCAUCUCAAGCAGAACUACUGUACAAGAGCUUCAAGGUCAAGAAAGAAAUGUUGAAGUCUGAACAUAAGGAUAAAAUUAUGGAGAAGUAUGGGAAUGCUGCAUCAGAAGAUACAAUUCCUCGGGAGCUACUUCUUGGGCAAAGUGAGAGAGAGAUUGAGUAUGACCGUACUGGUCGAAUAAUCAAAGGACAGGUUGGUAAAAAUAAUGAGUGUUAUUAAUUAUGCCUGUCUACUUUCUGGUCUCUUGUUGUUCUUAUAACUGUUCCUGCUUCUUCUUGCUGUCGCAUUCUAUAUAUUUUUGUGUCUGGUAGGGCUUUCUGGCUAAAUGGCUAAUUGUGUCUGCAUGUUACAACAUCAGAGAUGAUGAUAAGCUUUGCCUCUUUAGAAGAAGGAAUCAUAUUAACAGAGGCAUUGUGCCAUAUACGACGAGAAGAAUCUGAAAUCUUAUAUCCAAUCUUAAUAAUGUGAAUUAAUAAAAGUAGGACCUACUCUAGCCUCCACAAAUGCAUGUGCAUUUUGUGGAGUUCUUGCAAUUGACCUUGGAACUAGGAUUGUGCUAUAUGGGCUAGUCAUAAUAUUGGUUGAUUUUUUUUAUUUUUAUUUUUUUUAUUUUUUAUUUUUUUUUUUGCCUUGUUUCAAGUAUGUUGGAAUAUGCUAGAGAUCAAACACAGCAAGGGCCAUAAAGAUAGAUCAUAUGGAAGUAAAAGGUUAUUAAUAGUACCAACAGGUAAAAGGAGAACGAUAUCCUAGAUCAUGGUUCAGCACAUGUAUUCCUAGUUACCACACACUAGGAGUGCAUGCAAAGAUUGCGAGUUAACUUUAUGUUUGCAUGCAACUAAAAAAUACUAAGAACUGUAUCCUCUUUCACUUUGAAUGAAUGGUUAGUCUGUGGCUUUAGACUGGAUGCCAACAAUCCAAUCUAAUUAUUGGACUGUUGGGAUUUCCAUGUUUGGUUUGGUCAUGAGUGCUAAAUGAUGUUGAGUAACCUUAAUUUAAAUCUACAGGAUGUAUCUCUUCCCAAGAGCAAAUAUGAAGAGGAUGUAUUCAUUAAUAAUCACACAACUGUGUGGGGUUCAUGGUGGAAAGAUCAUCAAUGGGGCUACAAGUGCUGCAAGCAGACUAUCAAGAAUAGUUACUGCACAGGCUUGGCUGGAAUAGAAGCUGCUGAGGCAUCAGCAGAUCUAAUGAAGGCCAAUAUGGCCCGCAAGGAGGCCGCAGAAGGUAUUUUGUCAAGAAAAUACUUCUAUUAUUUAUUUAUAUCUGGACAACUUGCAUUGUGUGUAGGAUAAUUGGUGCCAUUGAGUAAACCUUUACCUGUUCAAAAAUUCGCACCUGCUAUUCAUAAAAUCAUAAUUUGUGCCUGUUUUUUUUUUCUCAAGCAUGACCUCACAGCUAAGUGCCAGUUUUUUGUUUGUUGCCAUCAGUUAACUAUUCUCCUAAUUAUAUGAACCCUGUAUUGUUAAAGUUAGUGUGGUAUCAGGUCUUGUUAGUUUCAUACUCCCAUGCUGUCUUAUGUCAAGAUAACUUGAGACAGACAAUGGGAUGCAAAUAUAGCUAGGCGCAAUUUGUUUUUGUUUACGAAUAAAUUUGUUUGAAUGAGAUGGCACGCCACUCGAUUUAAUUACCCAUGCGCGGCGACCAUUAUGCAUUGGAUUAACUUAAAAAUUGUUCAAUGCAGAUGAACCUGUACAACAUGAAGAAAAGCGAUUAGCCACUUGGGGAACUGAUGUGCCUCAGGAUCUUGUUCUUGAUCCGAAGAAGCUCGCGGAAUCUCUAAAGAAGGUUAGUGUCUUGUAUUUGACCUUUGGUAUUUUUCUGUUCAAUAAUUUCCCCCCUAUUGUAAAACGCUGAAGCUUGGUUUUAAUCCUGUAGGAGAAAGGAAGGAGGAAUGAGGAGAGGGAUGAGAAGAAGAGGAAGUAUAACGUGCACUUUGACGAUCAGGUUACUGUAGAAGACAUGGAGGCCUACCGUAUGACGAAGAUUCACCACGAUGAUCCUAUGAGAGCUUUUCUCAAGUGAAGUGUGGUAAAUAAAUGUUUGCGCUGCUGUAUCACAUUGGUAGCACCCUGCCUUGCAGGGAUGUUGUGUAAUUGUAAGAUGGCUAUGCCUGUCCUAACCCAGGGUGGUGCUGUGAUGUAGUAGAAUGUAAAACCUGGCUACACUUUUUUACAAGCUGCGUGUUGAAAAUGUGUAAUGCCACAAUUUCUGAUAAUCAGAAUCCUUUGCUUCCUGGUAUUUAUUAUGACGAUUGAUGCGCCAAAGGAAUUACGUUCCUAUUUGUGAACUGCCGAAAUUGGAGUGCGUGUGGUUUCUUAUUUCUUCUCUUUUUUGGGUGAGCUGUAUGCUUUGUUGUUUUGUUGGUCACCAGUUCGCUUGAAUCUUGGAUAGAACUGGUGAGCCAACCAUGGUUCGCCUGAUAAGUUAGCAGCAUGUAAUAUCCAUGACAUGCCUUCAAUUACAUUUGGCAUCCAAAGCCAGAACAAUUCUAACGCAGUUCAGCUGUAAUCAGAUCAACCUGUGGUGGACAUGGAUAUACAUAUAUAUUUACAUCUUUUGUUUUUUUUUUCUUCUCCUAGUGAUGAACAUCAAUCAAACAAAUAUGUACACUUAUCGUUACAUUACAAGCAACACCACCAAUGAAUAUAAUAGAACAACAAUCCUGUAUGUACAUCUACUACACGAAGAAAACCAACCUCUCAACCAAAGCCACAACUAACAGAGUUUAUAUUAGGCUAUUAGCACACCGUGAUUGAUCAUCUAUCUACUCCAGUAAUCUAGGCCCUAAAUCUUCUUCAUUUUUACCAAACCACAAAUCCAUGCAAACUACUAGCUUAAACCUUUAACCAAUCCCCUAUGCUAUGUGUUAUGCUAUGCUAGUAGAUAUCAAUUAUUAAGAAAGAUGUCGUCAUGUGUUGAUGUCAUAGGCCUCUUGCGAGCAUGGCCUGAAACUCCUCCGCGGAGCGCUGGCUCUGCAGCCGCAUGUCCUCCCUGAACUUGCGGAUGAAGAGCUCCGCCCUGAGGUCCACCUCCCCCAUCCCCUUCACCACCCCGAGCACGCCUCCGCCUCUGCCGGGGCUCCGCAGCAGCACGUUCCUCAUCGCGCCCACGCCCGCCGCCAUGGCACGCGCCUGCUGCUGCUGCUGCUGCUUGCCGCUCCCGCCGCCGGCGGCGGUGUCACGCGCGGGUGCAGUGGCGGGUGCUGCAGCCGCCGUUGUCGCCAGCUGCUUGUUGUCGCGGGCGCUGGUGCUCGGCUCUUGCUGCACGACGCCGCGGAGGGCCUUGGCUGCUGGCUGCUGCUGCUGCAGGUGGUGGUGGUGGCUGUAGAGGUCGUCGACGUAGACCGGCGCGAAGCUCCGUUGGUGGUGGUGGUGGCACCAGCCGUUCUGCGAGUAGUGCACGGAGGUCGACGACGUGCGCCGACGGCGGCGGACGUCGACACCCCCGAUGACGGACCUCCGGAGCCUGUACCCGACGGCCGCCGCGAUGCCGACGCACUUGGCACGCCACCACCGCCACGGCCUCCUUCCGCCGCCGCCGCCUGGGCCCGCCGGCCGCCCCGACGACGACGAGGACGCGUAAUAGUAGGUGUCCGUCGUCGUCGGCAUGGUGGUCACGCCGAAGCAAGACAUGGAUCCGCGACCGGGAGAGCGAGAGCGUGCGUGCGUGUGUGCAGGUGCAGGAGAGUGAUUGCUUGCUUAGGUUUGUCAGUUGGAGGAGCCUUGCAUGGUGGAGGAACUAGCAGAGGUGAUGAGUGAGUAAAGUUAUAGGUGGGGUUGGCGUGAGAAGAACGAAGUCGGGAGCACUUUCGGUGGUUGCCGCGGGUAAGACUCACGCUACCUGCUUUGCUGCUUCUUCUUCUGGUUGGCAUGCAGUUGACCGCGCUUGCAUUUCCCACACUGGUUGGCAGUUGCCAUUGGGUACGGUAAAGUUUUUUUUUUUUCUGCCCACAUGCUCACACACUCCUAUCUAUUAAACUUGUAUGGAAAAAAUAUGCAAACACAUAUUAAAGUGAAACUGCAUUGAGAUAUGUAUUUGUAUAUUUUUUGAUGCGAAUUCAGCGGGUGAGAAAAUGGAGCAUGUGGCGUUUCAUUGGGUACCGGCCGGCAUCCACAGCUGGAAAUCUGGAAUGGAUGCCGGCAUGCCGCCGGGACCGGGCACCAGCAUCUUCUUCCUUCCCAUCGCUGCCCUUUCUUUUUUUUUUUCCCCUUGCGGUUGUGUUGCUUUGCUUGCCUGCGUUUUAACUUGCAGCUGGAUGCUUCUUUUCUUACAUCAGUGGGUUGUGAUGAGUGAUGACAUCAAUGUGGGCACGAUCUAGCUAGCUUUUCUUUCUUGUUUUUUUUUUCUUUCUUGUUCUUCUGUGAGUGUGGGCCGGGGUGGGGUGAUGAAUACUCUGAAACCUUAACUUAAGACCAUUCAAAAGCUGACUUGAUCCGAUUAACAAAUCUCCUGUCUUGAUACAGUUUAGCGGUCACAAAUACCUAGGCCCUAAGCCCCUAAUGUUAGGGGAGUCAGAAAUCUUCUGUCUUGCUAUAGUUUGGCAAUGGCAGGGCAUAUAGUUAUGCAACACGUACAAGUUAAUACUAUCUCUGUUUCUGAAAACUUCAAUUUCUAGAAUUAGUGUUGGUCAAACUUUUAAAAUUUUGAUCAACUUUAUAGAAAAGAGUAUUAAUAUCUAUGACAUAAAAUGAAUAUCUUAUAAAAAUAUAUUCUAUGAUAAAUCUAAUGGUACUAUAAAUCUUAGCAUUUUUUCUUAGAAAUUUGGUAAAGUUUGACCAAAGACAACUCUAUAAAUCGAAGCAUUUAUUUACAUGCCCAUUUCCACCUAGCUAGCAUCUACACAUUUGUAUAAACAAUCGGAGAUGACUUAUUGGAUGUCAGGUUGUAUCUAUACUUUCAUAUCAAUCUCACAUGUUAGGCAAGUUGCAUUCGCUCCUAUAGGUAACCAAACAAUAUUUUGGUUUUUCUUCUCUUUUGCUAAUGCAACCUACCAAACAGAUAUUCAGAAUACGAUUUCACUCAGUAUGCGUCAUGAUAUAUACGAUGCAAUCUCUAUCCGGCAAACAAACACACUCAAAGUGGACUCAUGGACUACACAAUACAAUUUUUAGUCCCAACAUGGGAGUAUAGGAAAAAUGACACACAUCUCGAUAUAAGAAAUCAACGCAGAAAAAUUAUGGUUCCCCAAAGUUACCGUCAGGAUACUAUUUUUUCUCGUACGGUCCAUCCAUAACAAAUUAUUGUUCAUUGUUCUGAAAAGUCAUGGCUAAAAGUAACGUUCGUUGAUUUAUUGUGAGAGAAUAACACUGUUGAAUUCGAGACUAUCAGGUGGCUCGUGCCAUUAGGGUCAUGUUUGCUCGUAGAUCAUGAGGAGGCAGCUUAACACUUAGAGCAAAACCAGCCGAGCUGCCCAAGCACUGACCUCCUUGUGCCAUGUACGUACGUGUAUAUAAUAGUCCUACUUCAUCUCUCCAUGCACAUGCACAGAACAAUAUAAUCACCCUCUUGAUAAUUUCUCUCCGAGUAUAUAAGUCUCUGCUACUUUCAGAUCAGAGCGAUUGAGAGCUUCAUGUUGUUGAGUCAAACGGCGAACCUUCAGAUUCUGGUGUAAUCGCCAGGAAACUUGCACUCAUUUUCCUCACCACAGGGGCGGCUGGCCUGGCGUGUAGCUUGGAAGUUCGCAACUUGCAAGCCGGCCGGCCGGCCGGAGGAGCCGACCAUGCAUUUCUUAUCCUUGCAUUGUGAACGAAUGAGCUCCCCAACUUGCAGCAAAAAGAGGGGAAUCGUCGAUGAUGUUUAUAUAUCGCUUAAAGGCUAAGAGACUGAAAUGAGGAAGAUAUAUCCGAUUCUCUUGGUUCUUCGAAAAGGAUAUUGACACUAACAUGAACCAAGAGGAUUCCUCGCACGUUGCCGUGGAUACAAAGACGAAAGAAUACAAAUAUGUUAGAAUAUGUAUUGUCUAAUUGGACAGCUUGUAUGUUCGUAGAAAUAGAUGAUUUGCUAAGGUAAAUAUUAUAAUUGUUUGAGCUAGUGAAUUUUAAUUAUGUGUGAUAAUGGAUUGUCUAGUUAGAUAGUUUGCAGUUGAGAGAAAUAGUUAGCAGAUAAAAUGGUAUUCUUUUUUGUACCCAUCCUCGUGUCUAUGGGCCAAGUAAUUAGAAGGGACCCUGCGCGGCCCGUUAACCCGUCCGGGAGCUGAGAGAAGAAUCACACGCCGUUGUCUGAUUAUCUAUCCAAUUCCACCGAUUACUAGUGAUAUCGAGUUCCUCAUUCAGUUCGGUAACAGCGUCUUAAUUACCUUCGGAUCAAUCGGCAGAGAGCUUUGCGGCUCCAUGUCCUGGAAUCGCCACCUUCUGGAGCUGUGAAAUGAAUCCCCUCCUGACGGCGGCCAAUGGCCUGGUCACGCCUGGUAAAAUUUAUUUUGCCGUUAUGGGGGCAUGUGUCCUGACUCUCCUAUUUAUUAAAUUCAUGAGAUGUGUGUUUGCACACUUCUCAAAGCAAAUUCAAUAGCUGAAAGAGUGAGGGCAUGUGCAUAAAAAAAUAGCUCCCCAAUUGAAUUGGAAUAUUCUCAAUAGGCAAGCCUGAUAAGUCUAAUACUGUAAGGUACUAAAGUGACUAAAGUUAAUACUAGCUAAAAUUUAGCAAGGGGAAGCAAACAGAGCCCUAGUAUACAAACUCUCAACGUGGAUCCAAUCAGCAAAAAUAUGCGGAUUUUGUCCAUCCAACGAGUAAAAAGGAAAAGGAAAAUCGCACGUGACGGAGGGGCGAGCGGGCUGCGGGCUGCCCACGUAAGCGGUUCAGAGAGCGUGGGCCCAUGAUGUUGGCCCGGGGCAGGCAGGAGAAUAAAUGGGCCCCAACGGCCCACGAGCAUCCCCGCAGACGUUCCUGCUCUUUCUCGCCAAGCACGGAUGCUCCAGUAAUAAAUCUCUAUGUUUUAAGUGUACUUAUUUCAACAAAGAUCGAUCCUUAAUUAACCAGGACAUAAGAUUCACUACGAAGCUAGCUGAUCAGAAAUAUAUUUAAGCAAUCAGCCUACCCAUCCAAAUUACUGUAUUUACAAGAGACCUCUUCAUCGCAAACGCAAAGACAAGGUAAAUAUAUAUAAGCUAGUAACUUGCUAGACUACGUUGGCAAAUUAAAGAACAAAAACCUACAUCCGGAUCUUAUAAGAACUUUUGUUUGAGACUAGCUAGAUCGACUACGUUGGACAUUUUAAUGAUUUCGGCCAACAGCUGGGACGAUCUAACUUGCUACAUAUGCCAAGCUAAUUAACUUGCAAACGUAUGUUUGGGAGUAGCUAUAGCUAUCUAGACUACGUACGUCUACGAUUGAAGGAUGAGAAAUUUAAACCCUGUUUGGUGACCUUCGUUUGGCUCUUGUUUGUCUUUUAUACACCAUAGUAAGAAGCUGUUUUUAAUCUCUACUCUUGAAAUAAAUUACUCCUUCUAUUCCUGAAAGCUUCAACUUCUAGAGUUUUCCUAAAUCAAACUUUUAAAACUUUGACUGAAUUUCUAAAAAAAUACACUAAGAUUUAUAGUACCAAAUUAAUAUUAUUAGAUUUAUCAUAGAAUAUAUUUUUAUAAGAUACUCAUUUUAUGUCAUAAAUAUUGAAGUUUUUUUCCUAUAAAGUUAGUCAAACUUUAAAAAGGAUUUGAAUGACACGAAUUCUAAAACUCGAAGCUUUCAGGAAUAGGGGGAGUAGAAACUAGUGGAACUAUAUAUUUUUUCACCAGAGUCAGAGCCGUUUGAAGCCAUGCCAAAUGAGCCUUUAAUAACAUAUGAAUUCUAGGCAUGCAAUUCUAUGUACUAAUCUACACAAAUGCUUGUCCAGAUUCAUCAUACCUAGAAUUACAUUUGUUUUGGGACAAAGUGUAUAUUCUAGCAAGAGGCCUGUCUCUAUCUAUCAUCACUUUGGCGUAGGACUUGACUAGGAUAAUUAAAUCAACGGAGUGCGUGCUACUUGGGAUGAUUGAUGGACAACAUCUUGAUGAGUCGAUUGAGAUGGACGGGCGAAAGCAACAUGGCACUGUCUGUUUGUGAGACGACGAUGACUCAACUGUGGCCACUACUAAUUAAUUAACCAUAUGCAUGAUUCUGUGCAAACACGUCCCGCUGGAAUUUAGAUCCUCUAGUAAUAUCAUACAAAUAUCUUAAUAUUUGUGUCUUAAUCAAUGGUUUUCAAAUUCAAAUAAAUUUAUAGCAAAAGACCGCUAACUUUUAUAAACGUCAAACUAACACUAGAUGUUCCAUGAAAUAUAUAAAAUUUAUUGUUAAAUUUAUUUUAGAAUAACUCUAGAAUUUAAUUUAUCUUGAGAUAGAGGCACAUAGUAGCGCUGAUACUUAUGUUUGUAUUCAUAUUGACAAAGAUUAAGGCCAUGUUAGGCCUUGUUUAGAUCCGAUUUUUUUUGGAUUUUGACACUGUAGCACUUUUAUUUUUAUUUGACAAAUAUUAUCCAAUCAUGGAGUAACUAGGCUUAAAAGAUUCGUCUCGCGAUUUACAAACAAACUGUGCAAUUAGAUUUUGUUUUCAUUUAUAUUUAAUACUUCAUGUAUGUGCCGCAAGAUUCGAUGUGACGAAGAAUCUUGAAAAGUUUUUGGUUUUUAGUGUGAACUAAACAAUGCCUUACUUGAGAUCCCGAUGGCUCUCUUAAAAAUAGUCAAUAUUUUCUGAAUUAUAUAGUAUGAACGUGCAGGCAUUAUAUUUAGUGUGCCAGAAGGUACAACCUUCUUAUUUUAAAAUUCGUCAUUACACCUAGCUAGCUAGGAGUUUCUUUUAAAAUGGCUGUGAUAGUAUGAUGCAUGCUUGCCCUUGGUUCACGUUCGAGGCUUACGUCACUAGAUGACGAUUUAUACAUAUGUAAUGGCCUGCCUAAUGUAUCCCUCUGUGGCUUGACUUUCUAGAAUCCAGGUAAGCAUGUAUUAUUGGUGAACAUCGAAACCAGAAUUUUUUUUCAACAAAAAUGUGAAUGAGCACGUAUUUUUUAAUUGUAAUUGUGGAGCAAGGCGCCCGAAGGCGGCUCCGUAGCUUAGUCCCAAAGUUUUGCGGUUGACGUCCUUGGUUUCCUUCAGGCUCGUCUCUCCUUUUCUUUUCUAAUUAACGAACGUUAGGUUGGACAUGCUUGACCUUUUUAAAAACCCAUCUUUCGCUAGGACACUGCUCUGCUAUUGAUAUGAAAACCAUUGUUUUAUAGGUGUGCUAUAAUUUAGGGAUGAAAUAGAUGCAAAACUAUACAACUCACUACUACUACACAUUUCAUUUUGUGUAGUGUUUCACAUAAGGGCUCCGAGGCGGGCGUUAGUUUUGCCCGCCACGGUUAUUCAGAGCUGGCCGAAGCCGGACAACCCACACUACAACCGCCACGGUUAAGAAUUAACUAUGACGAGCAAUUUAAAGUAACCGUCACGAUUAAUAUCUAUUAACUGUGGCGGGCAUUGUAGGAUAACCGACACGGUUAAUAAUUAACCGUGGCGAUUGCUUAUAAUGCCCGUCACGGUUAAUAGCUUAUUAACCGUGGCGGUUACGUUACAUUGCCCGCCUCGGUUAAUAGUUACAACAAAAAAUAAUUUAUAACUUUUUCAUAUGAAUUCGGAUGAAGACAAACUUUAUAUCAAAAUUGUAGCCCUCGACGAGAUUACAACUUUGUAGUUGAAAAGUUUAUGAAUUGAAACUGUUUAGGGUCCAAAAAAUAUCAUUUUAAGUGUGCAGAUUUUGAAAUUUAAAAUUAUCAAUCAAUCUCAGAUGUUGACAUGGUCUAUACAAAAGUUAUAGUUCUUGAUAGAAUCUACAACUUUGUAGUUGAACUGUUUUAAAUUUGAAUAUGUUUAGAGUCUCAAACAUGCGUUUGAAGGUUAUAGAUUUUGAAAUUUAAAAUUUUGAAUUCCUCAAUGAACUCCAAUGUUCACAUCGUUAAUACCAAAGUUCUAGUGGUCCACCUGAUCUACAUGUUUGAUAUUGACAAGUUUUUGAUUUAAAGUCACCUAGAUCAACGUUGGUUCCCCUCCCUCUCCCUUCGAUGAUAAUCACCGGAGGCCAAAGGGCGUGGGGAUCUAUCGUUUUAAUAAUUUUUUUCCACUAGGUCGAGUCUUUAGGGUUAGGGUCUCUCUAUGCAAGUUUUUAUUUGUUUUGGGAUUUAUUUUCUCCUCUUCUUCGGCGACUAUGAGAUGGUAGGGUGGAAUUGUGUUCUCUAUGGCGGCUCCGUUGAAGAUGCGGGAAACAACUACAACGUCGGCAUCCUCAUCGAUUUGAUGCAUGGAGACUUUUAUUUUCAAACGGUGACAUCAAGAUGGAGAUGAUGUCACGGGCAUGGAAUAAUUUUGUCUGGUCUCUUCUCCGUUUUAUCAUGGUUAGAUCUGGCCACGAUGAAAAACUAGGUAGAACAAGUUUUAGAUCAAUCUUUCUCAUUCUUCGGUGGUAGAAAGAAGAAGAAGAAAGACACCAGUGUCGGCGUCUAGACUCGUGGUCUAGACACAAACGAGUAUGAGUAUGCGUGACUACCUAAGCCUGGAUGGUGAUGCAAGUGGAACACAGAGAAUUUAUACUGGUUCGGGCCAAGGAUGCCCUACGUCCAGUGAGAUCAGAGGUCUGUAUUGCCUUGCACCCAAAGGUGCUUGUAGUAGGGGGUACAAGCGGGUUGCGAGAGAGGGCUAAGUCCCAAGUCUCGGCUUUAUGGUGGACAGAGUGCUGGUUGCUACCCUGCGGGUGAGUGUGGUGGUCGUGUGUAUGGAUCAACCUGUCUUGGUUGUGAGCCCCGGCUCCCCUUUUAUAGUCUCAAGGGGGCGCAGGUUUUUACAUGUGCGAUGGGUGAUUUUCCUCCGAUGAGUGGUGAAACUACAGCCCCGACCCUAUAGAAGCUUGCCCAUGCCGUCCUUGAGGUAUGGUUGACUGUAUAGGAGUAGUUACUCCUGUGGAGGGUCGCCGAGCCCUAUUGAAGUCGUGGGGGUCGGAUCGGUGAUACUGCAGCUUGUCCUGUAACAGUGGGAGAAGACAGCCAAUAGUGAUGCUGGUUAAUCUCCCCCAUUUCUCUUUCACUGUGAGGCGGUACUCUACACUGAAAGAGGUAAGGUUGUAUAGUAAAAGAGGUAAGGCUACAGUGACCAGGGUGGUUGGAAUAGUCGCCACCAUGCCCUGCUGCGAUAUGGGAGUCACUGCGCCUGUCACGUCGUGGGUACGGGCGCCGUGCGUCGGAAGUCUUGCCCUGAUAUGAUGGGGCGGCGUUUGGCGCCCGAGCCCUGGAGGGGUCGGGCGAGACGGAACUUACGCCCGAGGCUGAGGGGAUCGGGCGAGGCGGUGUCUGUGUCCGAGCCCCUGGGUCUGACGAGACGGAACUUGCGUCCGAGGCCCUGAGGGGUCGGGCGAGGCGGAGCUUGCGUCCGAGCCCCUGGGUCGGACGAGACGGAACUUGCGUCCGAGGCCCUGAGGGGUCGGGCGAGGCGGAGCUUGCGUCCAAGGCCCAGAGGGUCGGGCGAGUUGUGGUUUGGACCCGAGGCCCAGGGGGUCGGGCGAGUGGUGGUUUGGACCCGAGGCCCAGGAGUCAGAUGAGCUGGGGCCCGUGCCCUGGUGAUUGUGGUUAACUUGCUUUGUUCUUUGCGUUUUUUAUUGCUCUGAUUUGGGUAUCCCUUUUUAUGGUACCCAACAACCAGAAAAGAAGAAGUUUCUCAACUCCGCCUACAUGAAUGUUGGCCGUCGUUCAUUGGACAUCUGUUCUUAGGCCUUUCGCCGAGUGUUUACUAUGCAGUCAUCCAUAAUACAAAGUGUCACACAGGUUUGGUUUUGAGAUCUGGAGCUAUUCACAGCUUGGAUAUAAUUUAGAUGAUUUUUUUUGAAUAUUUGUGUAAUCUAGAGUGCUUGUAACGUAUUCAUUUACCUCGCUAUUAUCUAAUUAAUUCUUCUUUCAUUGUAAAAAAAUAUGCAAAUAUACUCAUUUUUAUCAUAACAAGUAUCUACUCUUAUAUUCAAAAGCAGUAUGUAGAUAUACUCAUUUUUCUAUAAAAAAAAGUAUCCACUCAUACUUUCAAAGCAGUAUAUAUUCAUACCUACUACCAAUAAACAACACUUCAUAUAUAUAAUCAUAAAUGAAUUUUAAAAAAGUAUGCAGUCCGUAAUGCCUACACGUGCAUACCAAAAAGAACAGUAUGUGUUUGCCAAAAAUAAUAAAAUAGUAUAUACGCAUACUCUCUUAUAUAUACUCAAUAAUCUUAGAAGUACGUACACGUACUAGUAUACAUGUACACGUUUUUUUUUACAAGCAUGUACACGUUCAAAUAUGUCUAUAUAUGUGUGCUCCGUUACGCUUCUCAGAUGAUUAAUAAAUAAUACUCACGUAUAUACCAAAAGUACCUAUAUAUACGUGCAUGUGGAAUACUUGUGCUUGCAAACGACAGAAAUAAUUGGGUUCUACCCAGACCCGUUAGGGGAGACGGGCCGCACCCCAACGUCUCGGUUUCCUAUCCGACUCGCGCUCAGCGGCGCUCAGGGCAGAACUUCUGCUCCCUUCCCCACUCGCGCUCAGCGGCGCUCAGGCUCGGCUCGGCGGCGGCGUCGGCGGCUCCCCCUUCCGCCUCUCGCCAGUCGCCUCCGUCCUCUGCGCACCGGCCGGCGACCCUGGGUACGCACCUCCCUCUCCCCUCCCGCCUCUGCUGUACCGUGGGAGCCCGGCCAGCUGCCCAGGGUGGCCGGGCCUGUGAUUUGGCGAUGCUUUUGAGCUACGGUGAACUGUUCUUUGUAUUUUCAGAUUUGGAACCAAAGAAUUAGAUUUUUCUUCUCAUGAUGUUUGAUUCUUUUAAUUCUUAUUAUUAUAUGGCAUAGGUUUUCCCAUCUUUUCUUCCAUUUUUACUGCUCAAAUUAUGCCUUUGCCCACUGGUCUGCUGGUUAAUUACUCUAUUUAUUAAAUUUCUGUAGAUACAGGUAGCCAAGAAGACAUCACAUGGGGGCGUUCUUGAGCUCCGCCGCCACCAAGGAGGACCAGCAGUGGGUGCACGGCGAGGCUCCGAGACCAGAUUCCUCCAAGAAGAUGCGGCUUUCGACCCCUCUCUGCAGCCACGGCCACCCGAGGCUGAUCCCGGGGCUCCCGGAUGAGAUCUCUAUGCAAAUCCUCGCGAGGAUGCCGCGGAUGGAGUACCUCAAGGCCAAGAUGGUCUCGUGGAGCUGGAAGGCGGCGGUAACUGGCGCAGAGCUGUACCGGCUGAGGAAGGAGCUCGGCGUGGCCGAAGAGUGGCUGUACAUACUGAUGAAGAUGGCAGAUGAUCAGAAGCUGGUUUGGCAUGCUUUCGAUCCGGUUAGCAACCAGUGGCAGAGGCUGCCACUUAUGCCUGGGAUCAGUCAUAGCAGAGUCUAUGGGUUGGGCUUGGGGGAUCUGGUGAGCGCUGGCAUAAGUAUCUUUGACAUUAUCAGAGGCUGGCUUGGUCAGAAGGAAUUGCUAGGCAGUAUACCAUUCUGUGGCUGUGCCGUCGGCGCGGUUGAUGGUUGCCUCUAUGUUUUGGGUGGGUUCUCUAGAGCUUCCACGGUGAAAUGCGUGUGGAGGUAUGAUCCCGCUGUCAAUUCAUGGCAGGAGGUGAGCCCGAUGAGCACCGGGCGUGCCUUUUGCAAGACUAGCCUGUUGAACAACAAGCUGUAUGUUGUUGGCGGUGUCAGCAAAGGCAAGAAUGGGUUAGCUCCGCUAAAAUCCGCUGAAGUGUUUGACCCAGCAACUGGGGUUUGGGCUGAGGUGCCAGAUAUGUUAUUCUCCAAAUCGCAAGCUCUACCGAUGGCCUUAGCUGAUCUACUGAAGCCUAUUGCUACUGGAGUGACCUCGUACCGAGGGAAGCUAUAUGUUCCUCAGAGCCUUUAUUCCUGGCCCUUUGCUGUUGAUGUUGGUGGAGAGAUCUUUGAUCCGGAGAGAAAUUCAUGGGAACAAAUGCCUACAGGCAUGGGUGAAGGUUGGCCUGCAAGGCAGGCUGGAACGAAAUUGAGCGUUGUUAUAGAUGGCAAUCUGUAUGCCUUGGAGCCAGCAACUUCUUCUGGCAGUGCAAAGAUAAAGAUGUACGAUGCUCAAGAGGAUACUUGGAAGGUUGCUGUAAGCCAGGUACCCGUUGGUGCCUUUGCCGAGUCAGAUAGUCCUUAUUUGCUUGUUGGAUUUCUUGGAAAGCUCCAUUUGAUCAUCAAGGAUGUGGGUAGCAAAAUCAAUGUCAUGCAAACGGACUCUCUGGAGCCAUUGGAUUCGCCAGCCCUUUCGGCUGGCACAACAUGUCAAGUCCCAGAUGUCUCCUUGGAGCAGGCAGAUGUUUGGAAAGCCAUCGCGUCGAAGAGUAUCACAGCUGCUGAACUUGUCAGCUGUCAGGUUCUCAGCAUUUGAGUUUUUAAGGUUGAGUUUCUCUGGAUCUUUGUAUAAGUUUGUGCGGUAGAUAUAUUUCUGCCGCCAUCGAAUUUGUCAGGUAACUUCUUGUGGUUUCAACCUGAAGAACAGAUAAUCUCCAUCUUCUGCUACAAAUGUGAUCAGUGUCUGCUGCAGUUCUGCUACAAAUGUGAUCAGUGAACUGCAGAAAUUCUGUCAGCAAUGUACAUAUGUGUGUGCAAUCUGGGUAGUUCAGUUUUGUAAUUGUUUUCUUCUACUCUUAUCUAUGUAUAUGUCAUUACAUAAAACUGAAUAAGGUUGUUGCAGCUUUGUCCAGUUCCAAAGGCAACAGUGCUGAGUCAAUGAACAGAGUAGUCUGAACCCUGUCCAUUGUUCAAACUGCUGUAAAUUCCAUUUUUCAUACCUUUUAGCUUGUUUGGUUUCUCCAUGGAAAGUGUGUGCAAUGAUCAACAAUGAUCCCCUUGAAGAGACAUGUGUUUCCCCCAUCCAGUGAUGCAUUCCAGAACCUGUUGAUCUUUACUCGCAAAAAAAAAAAAAUCCUUUUGGUUAGUCAACUUGAAAUAAAGUAUGCUCCGUUCCUGAGUUGUGCUCAGUCUUGGAUCUGUACAUAUGUAAUAUGUUCUUUGCUCGCUUUUCUUUCUUUGGUGCGACAUGGCACCACAUAAGAGUUUCACAUCAGAACAUUCUAAUGCAAGAAAAUCAGGUAUGAUCUCUGGAUAAUAUUAUAUGUUAUGGCAUCUUAGGAGCAAGCAGUACCAGUAUGAAUCGGAUCCAUGUUAUCAUGAUGCCUUACCAGAAGUUCUCUUUUUUCUUUGGUUGCCGGCUUUCUUGGAACUGUUGCUGGUCAAAAAAAUUGUGAGGCUCUUCAGUACAGCCAUUUGUGAUCCAGACUUGGCGUGUCGUUUUCUGUCUCUCUGUCGAUUGUCAACAAUAACGGCAAACAAGAAAAAAUGUGCAAAGCAAAAAUUGUGGAAAGUGUCUCAUGAUUACGAUGUUAGCAAGUAGCACUAUCACGUCUGCAAGGACUUUGGUUAUUAUGUCGAGGUGCUAGAAGUACUCUGGUUACUUUGACGUAAUGCGAUUGAGUCAAACUUCCUUUGUGAGGAAAAUGAUUUUAAAUUUACUUGUAUUUUUCAAAUUCAACGGGCUAGUUAUGUAUAUUUCAUUUCAUCAUCGUUUCACUGUUUAGGUGAUUUGGAUUGUGACUACUGGCUAGGGCUGAUUACUGGAACUUGAAUGCACGUGCGUCGGGAAUAGUCUUUUGCGGAACAUUUUCAAUAUGAUUACCCAAUUGAGGUACUUAUUGAUUCUGUUUAGAACCUUGUUCACUUCAGUUUAUAUAAUUUACAUUUAAAUUAAGCCUGGUUAUAUAAAGCUGCAAUAUAUAAUGGGUUGUUUCAGAUGCUGGCUCUCCUCAAAUUUGAUGCGUGCUUUUCUGAUUGCUGUGUUUUCGUACACAUUCUUUUGCACUAUGUACAUGGAGACUUUUUAAUCAAUCUGAAGAAGUAGCUUGCCAUGCUACGAAAACAUUGGUGUUGUGUUCUGCAGAUUGGAGUUCAAACCAUCUAUUUCAACAUUUUAAAGGCAUUAUUCUUAUUUUUUACAUUAAAGCAUUGAAGUACAUUUUGGAAAGUGUUUAAUAAAAUUUGAAGAAAUGUUGAGACCCCAUUUAGAAUACAGGUUUUUUUUCUACUUCCUACGUUUCUCUAAAAAGUAUAAACUAAUUCCUUUUUUUUUGCGGAUAAGUAUAAACUAAUUCCUGUGAUAAUCCGGUAUGUUUCAUAUCAAUUCAUGAUUCCAAAGUGCCCUAAAUUUAGUAUUUUGAAAUGUUGACUAGUAGUUCCAAAUUUUACAUUUUACUUUAUCAUUUCAAAAUCUCCACGUGAAUGUUUGCAAACUGUAAUCAGGUUCUGAGAAUUGUUAAAUCAAUCACACCAAAGUUGGCUCGUACUAUCUCGCGGACACGUGGGUCCCUUUUUCGCACGUGCGCGCCGAAACCGGACGCCGUCACGCCGGUGCCGUCGCCGCCAAAAUCCGCCGCGGUUUCGCCUUGGCGCGGCCGCCCACCAUUUCUGCGCGGCCACCCCACAGAAAAGCUUCGCCCAUGCCGUCGCUGCCGACGCCGACGCCGACGCGUCGUCCUCUUCUUCUCUCUCCACCUCAUUCGAACCCGCCAUGGCCGGCUCCAAGCCCCUUCCGCUCCGCCUCGCGGCGCCGCUGGCCCUCGCCCUCCUCCUCGCGCUCGCCCUCGUCGCCAACUUCCUCUGGGCCGCCUCCUCUCGUCGAGUCUCCCCGCUCUCGGCCUCCUCUUCCAGAACGGUAACCACGCCGCCGCGCGCCGCAUUGCUCUCCACGAUCUCACCAGCGACAUGCUCUAUUGCUCUGAACGAAUUUCUCGUUGCUCUAUCUACUCUAACCAUUGCUCCUCUCUCAGGUGAUGCGGAAGCGCGCAAAGGCGGUGGGGCACCUGAACGCGACGUACGCAGACCUGCCGGCGCCGCACUGGGACUGGGAGGAGAUGCCCGCAGCGCCCGUGCCACGCCUCGACGGGGCGUCGGUUCAGAUUGGGAAUCUCCUCUACGUCUUCGCCGGAUACGGGGACAUCGACCAUGUGAGGCACCUUUGUUAGUUUACUAUUGCGUUAUUAUUCCUCUGGACGAUUUCCUUUUAGCAAUGUUUUCACGCAUCACUUAACAAGAUUGAGCGGCUAGUGUAAGUGUUCGGUUGUGCUGGUAAAUAACUAAAAUAAGUCACCAAUCGAAUUAUGAGCUAAUUCCAUGACAUCGAAGCAACCUGUGCAGUAUCUAGCUGUAAGGUUUCAACUUCUCCAGGAAUUUUUUUCAUAACGUUUGGGAUUUAAAAUAGGAGGAUCUGUAGUAAAUGGGCAAGACCAAGCAUUUCUUAACAUGUUGAAUGAUUACUAUUGCAAAAUCUUGGCAGUAUCCUUCCUUUCUGAUAUAUUGCUUUGUUCCUUGCUUUUCAGGUCCAUUCUCAUGUUGAUGUUUAUAAUUUCACUUCUAACACAUGGGCCGAAAGGUUUGAUAUGCCCAAGGAGAUGGCACAUUCUCAUUUAGGAAUGGCCUCAGAUGGUAGAUACAUUUAUGCAGUUUCAGGACAGUAUGGACCACAGUGCCGCGCCUCGAUCAAUCGCAACUUUGUUUUUGACACAGAGACUAGAGAGUGGCAUGAGUUGCCCCCUUUACCACUUCCUAGGUAUGUAUGGUAGAGUGCACUUAGUUUAUUAGCCACAACCCGUUCAUGAAGUUAUGCUUAUGUCUUUUCUGUGUUAUUCAUUUUCAGCUUCUAUCAUUUAUUAUCAUGGACACGCUUGUUCAAAUUUGGUCUAGUCCAUUGGCUUUACCAACUCAUGGUACUGUCCAAAAAAAAUGUUAAACACAUAAUGCCAUCUAUCUGCUUGUGUUAUACUCUUUUUCUUCUAAUUUUGCAUUUUCUAAUGUCUGAGCAGCUGAUUAACAAUCAAAUUGUUGUAUUUUGUAUAGAGAAUAAUCUUUUAGUAUGUCACUUGAUCAGCCUAAUUCUACAAAAGGACACUAACCUUUUAGCAAUACAUGGAAUUAUUUAUUUUAUGGCCCUCUAUAUACUGCCAAUAUUUAUUUUCAAAAUCUGCUGAAAUGGUUCAUUGCUUGCAUUGUGUAUUGCUCUAUUUGAUGCUGCUUAGCUGGUACAUAGGACCUGAAAAAAAAACUUAUUUUGUGAAAAAUUCAGGUAUGCACCAGCUACUCAGCUUUGGCGUGGGCGGCUCCAUGUGAUGGGUGGAGGCAAAGAGGACCGCCAUGAACCUGGAUUGGAGCAUUGGAGCCUUGCUGUCAAGGACGGCAAGGCACUGGAGAACGAGUGGCAAGCUGAAGUACCCAUACCACGAGGUGGACCUCAUAGGUACGUCGGUGUGAACUUGUGUCAUUUGCAUGCAGUCGCCAUGAGGUCAUGCCUGUUCUGAGGGAUGAUUGUUGGUAUCUAGUGCUUAGGCACUCAUACUGUUUAUCCUUUGUAGUGGUACAGAAGUUCUGUUGGUUGUACACAUUUCUAAAUGAACAACACUUUGUAAUUUCUGACUUCUACUUUGCAGGGCAUGUGUUGUAGCUAAUGACAAACUAUUUGUGAUUGGUGGACAAGAGGGAGACUUUAUGCCUAAACCAGGAUCACCUAUUUUUAAAUGUGCACGGAGGCAUGAGGUGUGUAUGUGGUUCCUGAUGACGCUUAUCAUGCACUUGUGGUUUAUUUACUUGUCAUCAAGACCUGCAUUGGACCCAUGUUGAGUUGUACUCAUGAAAACAUGGUAUCUUUAACACUUUUUUUGGUGUUCACAAUUUUCUUUAAACAAAUAAGUUCCUGCAGUUGGGAUAUUACUUCCUAAUGAUCGCUUCAACUUGAACAUCAAACAAAAAUAUAUACUUUCAAUAUCAGCCCUGAUGUCCAAAUUCCUCUUUUGUGUGAAUUCGCAAUGAUCGCUUCAACUUGAACCUCAAAUAAAAACCUAUACUUUCAAUAUCAGCCCUGAUGUCCAAAUUCCUCUUUUGUGUGAACAUGUUGCUGCAGCUUAAUUCUUAUAUGUUCAGAAUUGCACUCUUGCAGGUUGUGUAUGGCGAUGUGUAUAUGCUAGAUGAUGGUUCCAAGUGGAAGCAACUGUCUCCAAUGCCAAAGCCAGAUUCCCACAUUGAAUUUGCAUGGGUUGUCGUUAACAACUCCAUAGUAAUUGUUGGAGGAACUACAGAGAAGCAUCCUAUCACCAAAAAGAUGAUUCUUGUUGGUGAAGUCUUCUGUUUUGAUUUGGAAUCGUUGGUAAGUUAUGUCGAAGCCAUUUUCUUUUUAUGGCUGUUUUUCGUUUUAUUGAGUCCAUGGUGGUUAUCCUCCGAAUUUUGAGGGUCCAACUAAAUGAAUUAAAUCUCUAUGCCAUUCUUGCAGACCUGGUCAGUCAUUGGGCGCAUGCCUUUCCGAAUCAAGACAGCCUUAGCUGGGUACUGGGAGGGGUGGCUCUAUUUUACUUCUGGGCAGCGAGAUCGUGGGCCUGAUAAUCCAGCUCCAAAGAAAGUUGUUGGAAGUAUGUGGAGAACGAGGCUACACUUGUGAUGGUAGAAGUUGUGGCAGUUUUUCUGAAAAUUUGUAGAUUUGCGUCUGAUUUCUAGUGUAACAGCUAGGUCCCUCUCAGAGAAUUUGCUUGUAUUUAUUUUGUUGUCUUCGAAUGCAUAUUAUCUAUUUUGACUAGAUUUUUUAAAUUUAACAUUUUGUCUACUUGCUUGUAAAUUGCCUGAGUACUGGCAGUAAAACCUUGUAAAUACCGCCUUUUCCAACAGAGGUGUUUGCCUAAACAAAGCAAAGGUUUCUGGCUUGAGGUAAAUCUGCAUGACUGGAUCUGUUUCCAUUUUCUGACAGCCAGGGGGCCCCAGGUGUGCAUCCCAUUUUUUGUAUCCUAAAACAUGUCAACCUGAUUUCUUGUUAAUAUUGUUUACUUGUUUUGAUUCCCACAUCCGGAAUCUGAAGUUCAGAGAUGUCUCCAAACAACCAGAACCAGAAGAGAUGUCCUAAAACAAUCUUUGCCCUCUAAUGGACGCUAAUCUAAGAGAUGUCUACAGAAAUCAGGGAUGUCUGGCUUGAUGUUUCUGUUUUUUUUCCCCUUCAUCAUUCAGGCCGAAGUACUGUUGCAGCCCAGGGUCAUCGUGUGGAUCCCUGCCGGCCGGCUCGAUGAGUUUCCGGCGGUUCCUGUACGUGGUGUGGGACGUCGAGGCAAUCGACGACGGCAGCUGCUCCCUUCGCCGCAUCGACACGUCGCGCCUCUUCUUCAAUGCAUCGACGCCGACGGCGGAGCAGGGGGCACCAGUGCCGCUCGACAGCGGCGGCGGCGGCGGAGGAGCUACUGAUCCGUCGGCGGCACAUGACGGCGGUCGCCUGCCUGACCCCACAAUAAAGGCAUAAAGCUGUGCCCUCCUAUCUUGCCGCGCAUGGUCGGUGGAGUUGGGGUCCUGCUCUUCAAGAACAAGGCCGCCAUGGGUGGGCGCGGGCACGAGCUCGAGUACGACAAGGUGGUCGCCGUCGACCGCACGGGCCACAGCUUCAUGUGCGACCCUGAAGAUGAGCCCUUCACCGUCCGCCCCCUGCCCAGCCUGACCGCUCCCAAGUUCUCACCCUUCUCCGUUCUCCCUCACCGUCGGCGAGAGUCUCUACGUCAUGGACACACUGUACGUCAUUUUUUGUCUUUUUCUUGUUAUUUAUCCUCUGUUGUGAUAUAGAUGGCAUAUUGACAACAUGUAAUUUCUAAAAUCAAAUAUUUGUAAUUUAAGGAAACUUUGCGGAUAAUUAACCUGUUUUAAAUGCAUACCGAGGCAUAAGGUGGUGUGUACUGCACCUGUGCUUUAUUUGCUGGUUAUCAAGACCUGCACUGCAUUGGACCAUGUUAAGUUUACUCACAACAUGAAAACAUGCUAUCUUUAACACUAUUGUUUCUUUUUUUUUUUGUACAUUUUCACUGAACAAAUAAGCUCAUGCACAUGGUUGGUAUUGUAAUUCCCAUAUGCCACGGAUCUGUAGUAUCUCAUACUCAACUACUACACUGUGUUUGUUUGGCUUCAAACUCAUAGUAUCUAUUUUAGUUAGAUAGAUUAACUUUAACAUUUAGGUUAUUUGCUUAACUUAAACAUUUAGGUUAUUUGCUUCUUAUAAAUUACCUAAGUACUGACAGUAAAACCUAGCUGUUGUAGUUACCUCUUUUCAACAGAGAUAUAUAUAUAUUUUUUUUGCUUAUGAAAGCAAAGGGCUUUUUACGUUAUAAGGUAGAUCUUCAUCGGUCUCCAUUCUCUUGCAGCCAGGGCCCAGUUAUUGAGCCCACUUUUUUUUGCAGCCAGGGCCAGGGCCCUGAUUUCUUGUUCAUGCUGUCUACUUGUUUUGAUUCCCACACACGUCUGGAAUCUGAAGUUCCUAAUAAAGAAAUCUUGCCCUCCAAUAGACUUAAGCACCUAUCGUCGACCUGUUCUGAAAAAGAUUAUUCUAUUUGAAAUGUUCCAUGCAAAGCAAUGGAAUAAAGGAGAGCCACCAUAUAUGCUCAUGUAUAUUCCUUUCCCUAGCUGUUGCAAAGAGGAUGGAAUUGUUUCAGUCUUUUGAUUUUUCCCCUUGUCUUUUUUUUUCUAUUUAAUUAUCCUCCGUUACAGCUGGGUUCGUUAGACAUUCCGUUUGUACAGUCUUGUUGUGUCAUCACUGACCAUACAUGACAAAAAGAAAAUGUCCAUUUUUCUGAAUUCAUGCAUUAUGGGCAGAAAUGUUCUCCCCUUAUAUAAUUGCAUUGAAGUAGUGUCAAUUAUUGCAUCCUUUUCCUCUUGUCAAAUAUACUUCUUUUGCGUGCAAAAAAAGAGAGAACUGAUUUUCCAAGAUGAAGAAUUAGCUUGUCCUGCUAGAAUAAUCGUCAGAUCCGCAAUAACUGCGAUAAUUAUUUAUAUAAAUUUUUUCCCUUCUCAUGAUGCCGAUCCAGCCCAGCUUUAGCUGUUGGGGGGGGGUUGGGGGGGAGAGGACACACACGGCAUGAUGUUUUCUUUUUUAGAAAAGGGAAUAUAUACAGCUUACAACUGAGCUGUUGUGAGCUGUUUUUUUUGCCAAACACUUAUUUCCAAAACAGCUUCAUGGGUGAAGCUAUUUUUCCCCUCCUCUCACAAAGACAUAAGUUGAAUGAAGCUGGAAAAAAGUAGCUUAUUGCAGCUUCUCUCUCAUUUCUCUCUCUCAACUAUGCAUGAAGUAGUUGGUGAAGCUAUUUUGCCAAACACUUUUUCCAAAACAGCUCAGCUUCAUCUAGAAAGUCACUCAUAAAGCUAUUUUCUGAAAAAACAGCUUCAUGAAGCUGAGCUGUGCCAAACAAGCCUACGAUAUGAUGGUGACUCACAUAUAACUAAUUAACCUUUGCCGGCGUUUACAGGGGGCUGUCACGGUUAAAUUAAAACUGACUAAUCACGUGAGCCUGUGAAUCUGAAAGAGCUUUCUUUCGGUCGGCACCACUGUCAUCAGUUGUUGAACAGGCGGUGGCGGACGGACGACCGGCAGGCUGGCCGGCGAUGAGCCGUCGCUGUUGCGGCCAGGCAAGCUCUGCACGUACGGUCACCAACUCCCACCGCGCAAAUCCAUGCUGUGCACGGGUAUCUGGUAAAUCUGACAGUGCCAUAUAUUUAGGGUUUGUUUGGCACAGCUCAACUUCACUAGUAAAGCUGUUUUUUUAGAAAAUAGCUUUAUGAGUGACUUUCUAGAUGAAGCUGAGCUGUUUUGGAAAAAGUGUUUAGCAAAAUAGCUUCACCAACUACUUCAUACAUAGUUGAGAGAGAGAAAUGAGAGAGAAGCUGCAAUAAGCUACUUUUUUUCAGCUUCAUCCAACUUAUGUAUUUGUGAGAGAAGGAGAAAAACAGUUUCACCCAUGAAGUUGUUUUAGAAAUAAGUGUUUGGCAAAAAAAACAGCUCACAACAGCUCAUGAAGCUGUUGUGAGCUGUACCAAACAGGCCCUUAUUUAGCUCAUUUUCGUUCCUUUUGUUUGUUUUUUUUUUAAAAAAAGAAAAUUCUCGUACACGCAUGUGUGCAUUUCUUUGAUGUUGCUGAAUAUCCCUGCAUCUAUAGGUGAGGCGUGUGCCUGACAAAACGGAACCACUACAAGCAACGUUGUAAUCAUGCGGUAUCAUGCAAGCACCGGCAACCCUAAAGUCUAAUGGAUGAUUUCCCUGAACUGCAGGCUACCACUUUUGUUCGCCAUCGCUCAUCGGCGUCGAGCAACGCCGGCCGCAUCUUUUGCCGGCGCUGGCGGGUCUUUUCUGCUUUUUUUUUUUUCUUUUGACAACGGUGAGGCAAUAUAUUUUUAGAUGAGUACGGUGCUGCCCCUUUUUUGUGCAGAUAUUAUUAUACUUAUAUGCAAUUUUUUUUCCUAACGCUAAACGGUAAACAGUCGGUCACCCACCGUUUGGCUAUUAUUUAGACUAAACAGUCAUUAAACGAGCUAAAUGGUCGAUUAAACAGGCUAAACGGAUGAUUAAACGAAAACGACGUACCAAUGUGUAGUAUUUAUACGGUGAUUACAUGGUCUAAAUGACCGUUUAGACGAACAGUGCUUAUAUGACGUGCAAUGCAACGACGACCGAUUAGGUAGCGCGUUUAGGAAGGAACCCGAUCUGACAAACGCAAUUAGCGCUAUGGAUGUUGACGUGCUAAUUCUGUACGGUUGUGUGUUUCAUCGGCUUUGUGCCUUUGACUGUGGCACCCGGCCAUACGCAAGAAAUUAAAUGAACCUGGGUGCAGACAAAGUUGUUAUAGAAAUGAACCAUGACUAAGGCCUUGUUUAGUUUCAGAUUUUUUUUCAAAACGGACACCGUAGCAUUUUCGUUUGUAUUUGACAAAUAUUGUCCAAUCAUAGAUUAACUAGGCUUAAAAGAUUCGUCUUGCAAAUUACAGAUAAACUAUGUAAUUAGUUAAAUUUUUUAUCUAUAUUUAAUGCUUCAUGCAUAUGCCGCAAGAUUCGAUGUGACGAAGAAUCUGAAAAAUUUUGUAAAAUUUUUUGGGAACUAAACAAGGCGAUUGCUAUAUACAAAUAUACUAAGGCCCUGUUUAGAUUUCCACCCAAAAAAUUUUCAUCCAUCCAUCAAAUCUUUGGACACAUGUAUGGAACAUUAAAUGUAGAUAAAAAAAAUAAACUAAUUACACAGUUUGGUUGAAAAUCGCGAGACGAAUCUUUUAAGCCUAGUUAGUCCAUGAUUAGCCUUAAGUGCUACAGUAGCCCAGAUGUGCUAAUGACAGAUUAAUUAUGCUUAAUAGAUUUGUCUUGCAGUUUCCUGACGAGCUAUGUAAUUUGUUUUUUUAUUAGUUUCUAAAAAUCCCUCCCGACAUCCUUCCGACAUAUCCGAUGUGACACCUAAAAAUUUUUCAUCCCCAAUCUAAACAGGCACGAUAAAAGAAAUAAAUGCCAUUAGAUUAGUUGUAGAAUAUAUUUUAAUAAUAAAUUUAGUUGGAGACAUAAAUAUUAAGACUAUCUCCUAUAAAUUGGGCCAGACUUGAGUUAGUUUAACCGGCAUGAAUCCUAUAAUUACACUCUUUUGUAGAUAAAAGGGAGUAUUAGCUUUUAUCUACUGCUAUUGAAAGAGAAAUUAUUACUGGAUCUUUUUAUCCUUUUCUGUUGGGAUAUUUGGAUGGUAAGAAAUUUUGUCAUCUUUAGAAACAAGAACCCAACAAUGAAAGUUUGCAAAAAGAUUUUUAGUUUCAGAGACCUUGUUACUGCUGCACAGAGCAAAAGCGAGUUUAGUUUCGCAUUUAGAAUCAUGGUUAAACUCCUUUGUAAUUCUCUGGAUCUUUUUUCUCUCCUUCUCUAUUCCCUGAUUCUCCCUUCUAGCUGUAGCUUUUCCUUUUACUAGCUUUUGCUCUGUUUUUUUAUUUGUACUCUGUUUUGUUUAAUAAAAUUACAGUAGAAGCUGCUAGCUCCAUCUGAUUCCUAAAAAAAAAUAGCUUUCAUCGACUAGCAUAUAGUUAUUAGCACCAGUGGAUCAAAUAAGACCUAUAUUUAGGCCUCGUUUGUUUAGUUGAGGAUGUGAAAAAAAAUUUAGAUACUAUAGCACUUUAAUUUUUAUUUGACAAUUACUGUCCAACCCUGAUCUAACUAGCUUAAAAGAUUCGUCUCGCAAAUUACAGGCAAACUGUGCAAUUAGUUAUUUUUCUAUCUAUAUUUAAUGUUUUAUGCAUGUGCCGUAAAUAGGUUUUAGAUGUAACUAAACAAGAUCUUAGUAAAUAUUUAUAAACGUGAGGCAGCAUGCUGACGCUGAUCCAAAGGCGGUGAAAAGAGUCAAAGACAAGCACAUACGUGUUCGUCCGCUCUUUAAAAUGAGUACUCUUUUUUUUAGAAACUAGAGGGUAUACUGCACGGGUAGGGGUGAGUAUUAAAAUGAGUACUCUUUUUUUUAGCAUUAGUUUUUUUUUCUAAAAUAAGGGCCUGUUUAGAUUGGGAUAAAAAUUUUUUGGGUGUCACAUCGACUGUGUCGGAAGGAUGUCGGGAGGGGUUUUUAGAAACUAAUAAAAAAACAAAUUACAUACCUCGUCAGGAAACUGCAAGACAAAUUUAUUAAGCAUAAUUAAUCUGUCAUUAGCAUAUGCAGGUUACUGUAGCACUUAAGGCUAAUCAUGGAGUAACUAGGCUUAAAAGAUUCGUCUCGCGAUUCUCAACUAAACUGUGUAAUUACUUUAUUUUUUUAUCUACAUUUAAUGUUUCAUGCAUGUGUUCAAAGAUUCGAUGAGAUGGAUGAAAAAUUUUUGGGUGGAGAACUAAACAGGGCCUAAGUGUCGUGAUAGGUAAACAUGUAGCACUUUCUACUCCAACCCAUAAGAAACACAAUAUAGGCUAACUUUACUGGAGGUAUUUGGUCAUUUACCGAACAGGAACUGAUUUUUUCAGUUCCGGUUAUUUCAGUUUUAAUUCCAUUAUUUCGAUCGGUUCGAUUUUUGGUAUUCUGUGCCCAGAGUAAAUUACCGGUUCCAUUGGUAUCUUUGUGAGAUGGAGUAUAUGCAGGGACGAAUAUAAAAGUGGUGUGGGUGGGGCUGCAGCCUUUGCCCCUACCGCUUCCGUGACAAUGAAACUCUUUCUAAUUUUAAUUUGCAAGCCCCUACCGCGUGUUGCCAUGCUUCAAUUGUGGUGUGCCAUGAGUUGAAAAGCCGUUGUUUGGUUCAAGAUGCAGGUGCAGCAGCCAUAGCUUUUCCUUGUGCAAAACACACGCGGCGGCAAAAAUAAACGAAGCUAGAUAAGCUACCAUUUUUGGGCUCCAACGGCUUCCGGAGCAUGAAGGAAGUGCCACCGGAGCCGCUGGAGCCCCCCUUAGCAAAACCCUUACUAGUGCCGACGGACGACGGUAGCACUGAGAGUGACCACGUCUUCUCGUAUUAGGUUAAAUUGCUUCAGAGGGUGCAAUCAGCAGUGUAACCAUCACGGGAUAAUCCUCUCCAUUGGCUUGGCUUUGCAAUUGCACCUGCCCUCGGGCAGCUGCGGACACCUCAGCCAGCCACGUGGGAUCCUUCUGGCAUCAUCCCUCUCCCUCUCGCCACGUGUCUUUCCCCUCCCCCACCCCGCACGAGACGAGACCUCCCCCGAGGCCCAAGCAAAGCACAAAUCCCUCCCUCGACUCGAACCCCACCUGCCACUCCCACUGCCUCGUGGGACCAGGUCUCCGUGGGCACCUCCCCCCGAGAUUGCGAGCCUUUUUAAAAAGGCCCACUUCCUCCUCGUUCCGACCGGACCACUCGACCUCUCUCAACCGUCGGCAUUUUACAGCUCUGACCUCACCCUCUCCGGCGAGGCCACUUCCUUUCCCGCCCGCGGCCGGCCCGCAUGGCCUCCACAGGCGACGGCCUCGCCGGUCCGCCCCCGCCUCGCCCGCCUCCGUCUCCGUCGCGGCCACCUGCCGAGACCCCGACCCCGACCCCGACCCACGCGGCGGCGAUCUCGUCGCCGCUGCUGGAGCCUGCCGCGCCGGGCGCGGACGCGCCGCCGCUCUCGCGGUGGCUGCGGCGGCUCGAGGCGUUCCUGUCGGCGGCGGGUCUGGCGGCGUCGACGCCGCUGGGCGUGGCCGCGGCGGCCUCCGCGCUCGCCGUCGUGGGCCUGGCGCUUCCCGCCGCGGCCGUCACGCUCUCCCCGUGCCGCGCACGCAGCCGCCGCCGCCGCCGCGGCCGAGGCGGGUGCGACGACUUCGAGGUCGAGGUGUUCGAGGUCUGCGUCCUGCUCUCGCAGGCCGCCGCGGCCGCCGUCGCGCUCGCCUGCGUCUCCCGGAAGAUGGCCAUGUAUGGGCUCCGCAAGUUCCUCUUCGUCGACCCGGACCUCGGCAUGAGGAUCCGAUUCCAGAAGGAGUACGUCGCCAAGAUCAAGGUGAGGUGCCCGCGCGAUCUCGUCGGGAUUAUUCCUCGCUAUCCUGUCCUUGCUCGGAUUUUAUUUGAAUUUGUAUCAAUACGGCAAGCAGUUACAGUCGAAUGCUAGGAGUAGUGUCCAAAUCCGAUAGUGAGAGCAGUUGCUAUAAAUGGUCACUACUCGUGUUACGUCUGAUACUUCUACUUACUGCUGCUCCACUAGUGGAUAAUUUGGUGCAAAUUUGUCCCAUUUCGACCAAAUUUGGUGCAACUUUAUGCAUCUCAAGGAGGAAUUGUGGAAUUCAGGUGCCAUUUGAUUGUUUCUAGGAAACUUGGAGAAUAUUAAGGCUAUGGUUGUCAUUUCCUGCUUAUAGUAUUUAAUGGGAAGAUUGCGUGUUGCAACCUCUAGCAGCUUCUACUGAAACCUCAUGUCUAGACUAGAUCGUUGAUUGGCACUUCUGAAUUUUCUGUUCCAUGUUUCAUUGACAUGUGGAGCCAGGGGGAGCAUACAUGUCUGUGAGAUGAUAUAUGUCUUCUCAUGUUACCAUAACGAUUGGAGCUACAAAUCCUAAAAUCUCUUGUUUAAUCUGUGCCGCCCUGGAUCAUUGGCUUUGUCCUUUACUGAAGUGGCUUGUUCUUUCAGUUACCUAUGUGAUCUACAUGUGCCUCCUUCAUGUUACCAUGUGAGUGGAGCUCAUGUGCGUGUGGUACUCAGUUUAUGUUUGUGCCGACAUGUCUCUGUGUCUUUGUUUACUGUUUAUACACGGAAACGCAUGUUAGGGGCUGGUCAAGGAUUUGGGAUCUGGAACAGGAACACCUAGUAUUUCCUUGGCUUUGUUAUUACCAUUGUGAUUUUUUUUUGUUAUAGAAUGAAGCACACAUUUCCAUUUCCUAAUGAACGCCUCUUGCCCUUCCUAGAUUUACCUUGUGAUUCUAGUGGAAAUUAAUUUAAAUUGGAUUUUUUUUGAACUGAAACUGUUGAGCAUUGCUCCCCAGCAUAUUACUACCCGCAAAGAAAGUACUCCCUCCAUCUCAAAUUGUAAGUCGUUUGACUUUUUUUACCCAAAGUUUGACCACUCGUCUUAUUCAAAAAAAUUGUGCAAAUAUAGUCAAAUUUAAGUCAUUCUUGAAGAACUUUUAUUAAUAAAUCAAUACAUAACAAAAAAAAAGUGAUAUUUUGUACAAAACUUUGAAUAAAAUGAGUGGUCAAACUUGAUAUUAAAAAAGUCAAACGACUUACAAUUUGGGAUGGAUUGAGUACAAGACAACUUAGCAAAGUGUUAACCAAGGGUAGAGAUUACUUACAAAGCCACUAGGGAGGAAAAAGAAGGGGAAACUGACUUUACAAAUUUGCAACCAAUUCAUAACUAAGGGGUGAAGAGAGGGGUGGAAGCAACACAACUGAAGUUUAACUUCUUGUGUGAAAAGAGCCUUCCAAGCAACUAAGGAAAAAGAUGUAGGCAUUAUGCUCCUUCCAAAUGCACCAAACGGCUGUCAUGAGGACCUCCAUGAAGAAGGAAAUCUCAUGUUUAAUACAGCAUCUAUCGUAACAUCCUUUAAAUCAUGCAUCAUGCUAAGAGCUUUGGUAUAUUCAAUUUUCUGUUGACAAGUGUUGCAAACCCUGCCACAGGACUUCUUCCGCACUCUUACAUGGUGGAUAGUGCCGUGCUUUGUUGUGAAGGUCACCCGGGAAUUCUUCCGCUUCUCCCACAUCUUGCAGGAAUCAAUUUGGAGAGCCUGCGUUGUAUUUUUCGCUUCCAUCAUGUCAUGGAUGUACUUGACGACGAUCAUAUUGUCGUCCUGCAUGCUCUUCAACUUGGUCUGCAAUCUGCAAGUUAUCCACUUUGAUGACUAUGGCAAGCUUCUGGAGCAAGACGCGGAUCCUAUGGUCUAUUUGAAAGAGCACCUGCAGCUCCGCCACAAUCUCUCCAAAAUCAGUCACAGGUUCCGCAUGUUCCUCUUGCUGCUCUUCCUUUCUGUUACAGCAAGCCAGUUUGCCAUUCUUUUCAAGACGACAGCUUACAGCGGGCCAAUCAAUUUCACCAAUGGAGGUGACAUUGCUGUGAGUACCUCAUGCUUUUACAUUUUUCUUUUCCUUCGGCAUAAUGUAGUGCGACAAUCGAGUCACGAGCACAUUUCCUCUUAUACUGCAGGUGUCUUCAGUCGUUCAAGUUGUCGGUCUCGUCCUCUGUUUGCAUGCUGCUGCUAAGAUCUCCCACAGAGCUCAAAACAUCGCUUCAUUGGCUAGUCGAUGGCAUGCGUUAGCAACAUGCUCUACUGAUUCUACUUAUGUGAACACCCCAAACAGUUCUGGGAACCUUGUGCCCUUUCCUGCGCAUCUGUUUCUGAGAGAUUUAUCGGAAAGUGAUCUGGAGUCCCUGGACAGUGCGUCGCUUCAUGGCAGUUCUCAUGGCACUGCUCAGUUGGCUUCCUACAUGUCUUCAUACCACAAGAGGGAAUCACUUGGUAUGUAAUACAAAGCUUCCUUUGAUUCUCCAGCGCUUAAUCUCCAACCAUCCAAUGUGAUACUUCAAAGAGCAUGCUCCACAAUAUCCAUAUCAUUUCAGUGCUUAUGCUCUGCUUCUCGUCUGCAUGAUUUUCAGUGCUGUACCUGCUGGCCAACCCAGGCGGCAUCACGAUAUUUGGCUGGAUCGUCGACCGAGCAUUCCUAAACACCAUCCUGAUGCUCGAGUUAACUCUUGUGCUCUUCGUGCUUAGCAAGACGGUCGUGAUCCCAGCCAAGACACUGGUACACAGCUACAUCGGGUUCCCGUGAUUACUACACCGUUGCGAAUCUGCGUUGUACAGAUUGAAGCAUUCAGGUUCAAGUUCAGUUAGGAGAUGGGAUUUGAUGACAGGUUACCGAGGUUUGCACGUCAGAGUGAGAGAAACCAGUAAGAAUGGUGGCAGAUUUGGUCUUGCUCCAGAAAGCGCAAAUCAUAUGCGCUCCCAAUCCAGGCAUUCUAGACUUUCAAAAAAAAAUCCAGGCAUUCAGCGUGCUGCAGGCUGAAUGAAGGCUGGAUGAAGGUUAGGGUCGUGACGUGUACAGUUUUGGGCGGGUAAGUGAUCCGGGGGCUUCCAUUCUUUUUGCCGUGUAUAUUAUAAUAUAAUACGCAAUGUAUACGUACUAAUAUACUAUAAACCAAUAUGAUAUAAGAAGUAUAUUUUCUACCAUUUUUUUAAGCCAUGGAACGGUCAUUUAAAUGUAUAUAUACAACCCUGACGAAAUGUGCCAUGCGAUCAUUUGUCCCUCUUUAGGAUACCCUUUCUCUGUGCAUUCACUAAACGAAUGAUUGACGAGAUCACGAGAUGAAUUGUUGAAAGUAGGGGUACCAUAUUAUUUAGUUGAAAUAAGGUGCUCUGCUGCUGUUCAAGAUCAUCCACGACAGAUUUCUUUAUUCCACGCACUGUAUUGUUGAACAGAGUCCUAAAUUUAGCCUGACUUCUUAUUAAUAAGAGUUCCGUAAAUCUGUCUGAACAAGCUAAUGUAAAAGAAUAACCAAUAUUUUUCCUCUAAACUGUCCAAGGUUGUGGCUACAAUCAAGCACCUCGAACAGGAACCAAGCUGUUGGCUAUACACAACAUGCGACGCAGAACACAGAACAAACAACUGGUACAAACAGAGCUACAAAUCUAGUCAGGGUGGCCCGAUAAUGGUUGGAACGGACCAAAAAAGAAUCAAAAUUGGCUAUAUUCUAUCGAAAAGAAACCUAAAUGAGCUCCUAACAGAGGAUGGGUUGUGAGGAAAAUUUCAGUACAUUCCUUUGAAAACUGGGCUUGUUCUGCAGAUGCUGGCUCCAUGUUCCUCGUAUUCCUCCUUUGUGUGGCAAAACUGCAUGAGAAAAAGGGAAAUCACUUAGAUUUCAUUCACAUAAAAUGAAUUCAUGAGGAAUAAUUGUUUUAUUUUUUUCAGGUCACGAGAAAUAAUUAUUUUUUUAGGGUCACGAGGAAUAAUUGUAUUCAUAACUCAGUUAUAACACUGCUAUAAAGCAUUGCAAUUCACCACAUUUUACUGGCAUUAUAAGUUUAAGAUAAGAUAAGAUAGCAGAAAUACAGUGAUUACUGAAGAUUGCCAAUUUAUUGAGGCCCCUAGAAUGUCAAGUGGCAGGUACCUCAAAGAAUUCAGGGUUAGACGCAGCUACUGACCCCCCGAACCAAACUGCAUAACUCUGUAUUGGAUGGGCAACCACGUUGACUUCAAUAGGCUGACAACAGGGGGAAAAAGUCAAAUUAAAUGACAGUACCAAGUACAUAAAAUUACUAACAUGUACAAUAUUGACAACAAGAGUACAUUAAAUGGGGAUCGAGAAUCAAUCAGCUGUACUUACUCUCACUUCCACACGAUGACGGGCAUUAGUCGCGGCAACACGCUCAUCCACUAUCUUCUUUAUAUCAUUUUGGAGUCUCUUGUGGAAGUCUUUAAACAUAGUAGAUCCACCAGAUAAUACUAUAUUCUGCAAAAAAAUAGAAUUCUGAUAAAUGCCACAGCAUUCGCAUAUAUCACUUCCCAUCUUACAUAUCCAUGCAGGGUUUGAAGAAAGCACCUUGUACAGAGCUCUCCUUGUGUCAAUUGGUGCAGACUGAACACAGUUAUCAAUCAACUCGGGUAAAGGAGUGGAGAAAUCGGCAGAGUAAAUCUCAGGAUUGAAGAAGAUCUGCAUUUGUUAGUAGAUGGUUAGAGAUGCACACCUAAUUCUGACUUUUUAGAAAAAUCAUAACCAACUGUAUAAAGUUAAAAGUUUAUUCUAACAAAAAGGUUAAAUACCAACAAAAUUAAGCUCAAGGCAAAACAAACUUAUAAUUUCUAGCACCUAAUAACCUUUUCAAGAUAUAUUUGAUAACACCCAUUUUUUAGUGCCAAUUUCAUACCCAUGAUGUACGGGCUGAACUACUACAAAAGCUUAUCGAUAUCACUUGACAGUGUAAAAAUGAAGCACACGGUAGUAUUCGAUUGGAAGUAGAGACCAAUGUUUAUAUAGUAACUACAAGAAGGUAAUGAACCAAGAUAGUGCCAAACAAAGGUUAAGACAGUUCCAGAGAAUAAUAGCAAUUGGCAAGUACUCGCUAGGGCAACUAUCUUGUCCAGAAGAAAAGAAAUACCAAAGUUUCAAAAUUUACAAUCUAUUUCAUUUUGCGGAUGAACCAAGGAAACCAUGAUCUCAGUUCCUAAAUAGUAGCAAAUCUAUAUGCCAAAAGAUGCUUCUAUAAGUAUGCAAGACUGUCAUUGGCAACUCUACAUCUACAAAUCCAUUCAUUGAUGUGACCUCAUUCUUCAAGUUGGUCAUAAAUGUUACAUUAUAAUAUGAAGCUUUAGUUCAGUAUGACAAUGUAAAUGAGUACAACUCGUAGAAACUCAUGAACAAAUAGUGCUGCAAUCAUGUGAACCGCAGAUUGGCAAUCCUUGACCCUUGUUCCCAUGAACUCCAUUGAUAUUGCCACAGGACAAGAAUAAGUACAGUGUGAAAUGGCCAUCCAGUGAAGUCUGUACAUUCACAUUGUUAACCAGUUCCUUUACUACGCAAUUAACAGAAACAAAUGCUCACAAGAAACCGGGAUGUCUUGUAUGAAGUUUAUCUCUUAAUUUACAGCAACAACAAGCUAAAUUUCUGUCUUACUCAGAGUAAUGUAAGAUCAAAAGCUAUAAUAAAUUCAUCACUGCAACACAGUGUAAUUGACACUCAAAAGAUGAUCGUUGGCCAUAAUAUUAUACCAUUUUGGAUCAAUAGUUUGGGAACAAAAAAACUAUUGCAGUUUUGAUGACAGACUAUUGCAGUUUUGAUGACAGAAAUAGGAAUAAACCUCUGGCCCAAGAAAGCGUUCAUAUCCGAUGUCAAUUGUAUAUGGGACCCCAGUCUUUGGUUUAACAGCUGUCCAAUGUUUGAUGUACUUAUCAGGCUUCUUGUCAUGUUUCUUGAACUCCUGAAAUUGUAAUGGAGAUGCAUAAGAAUCUAAAUCUUUUUGUUUGUUUAACAUAGAUGCCUACUGUAUGGCCUCUUGCUAGAAGUACUACUUAUAUCAAACUUGCCACAUAUAUAUUUAUAAAAGAAAACAGUGCAUAAAAUUAGUCUACAUGUUGAGAAGCUGAAGACCAAAAGGUAUCUACAGUCAUUGUUAAGCAACAGAAGCAAACAUAAAAUAACAUUAAACAGAUUCUACAACCAGGUCAAAAGUAGUGUUUACACAGGGAACAAGUUUUACUAGCACGCUUAACUUCAUUAGGGGACUUCAACUCCCAUUAAACAAUUUUGCUAGUUCUGAAGAGUUGAAGACCAAUGGAAAAUAAAAUGUCAAUACCUUGACAAUGUCUGAACAAGUAUAGCAAUACAUUUCUUUCACUUUACGAGAUAUAUCUAAAGAAUCCUCAGGUGGCAAAAGCUCACCUCUUUCCUGCAAAACCACCAGAUGACACUAGUCAAUAACAGCAUUUAUAAUGUAAUACACCAUCAGCAGGACAGCAUCCAUGCGCCCGAGAAAAUUCAUCCAGCUUUUACAGGGGACCACAAGAGAAUGCCUCAAAAGUAGAAGUAAAUAUUGAGAGCAUAAAGGACUAAUACCGAUCAGUACAACUCUAAUUGCGAAUAUGGUUUAUGUUCACAGUGGCUCUGCAGUAAGAUGCAAUUUCUCACCAGGUGACUAAUCAUGGUAAUAUGAGAAUUCCCCAUUUUCAAGUAAAUAUUUUUCCCAAUCACACAAUAAUAGUCAAGGAUAGGAUGGCAUUCAAAUACUAUAUACUCCUUCCAUUCCAAAUUAUAUGUUGUUUUGUUUUUUCUAAGUACAUAGCUUUUGCUAUUAUCAAGACAUAGUGUUCUAUGUGCAUAGCAAAGACUAUAUAUUUGGAAAAGCCAAAAUGACUUAUGAUUUAGAACAGAGGGAAUAGGAAUUAAUGAAUAACGUACCAUUCAAUUUAUUCUAGAAGAAUGGCCAAAAUAACAAGUAUCCCGGUUUUAUGUGUUACUGAUUGAAUUUCUAGUGAUAAUGUAUGAUCUGCACGCUAACACUUUGGAGGGUCAAAACUUGAUUUCUUGAGACAAUGCUGGCUAACAUUUUUAAGGUAUUGUCAUUAACAAUCUGAAUGGAUCUAACAUAACUCAGUACGAGCUAUGCUAAUUUAUCCACACAUCAUCUAUGCACAUAAAACAAGAUAAACACUAGCAUUAAGAAUAACAAGCAAUCCGGCAAAAAAUAUCUAGGGUCGACCCAAUCUACGUUUCACUUGCGGACUUGCCACAUGAGCAGAUCCAGGAUAGAGAAUCAUAGAUGUCAGUAGUAAGCAUUGGUCUUGUUUUUUUGGAUCGACAACAUUUUAGCCUGGGAUAUCAAAAUAUCCAUUGCUGCCCAUUCACAGCAGUAAAAUAGCCUGGUUUUGCCCUUGUUUCCAUGCAGCAGGCAGCAUUCCCACCGACAUUGACCAGUCUGCAGUCUUAUCUAAUAAUCAAUCUUAUUGAUCAAUCCAGAUCAAUAUUCUUGCUUUUACAAUACUUGAUGUUGGCAUCCAUAAAAUUCAAUAAUUACAUUUUUCCUAUGCAAAGCAACCCUAUUUAAACAAUAUGUAUAUAUGUCUGCUUGGUAAAAAAAAGAAACUGAACACCAAGUUUAUUAUAACGCUAAAAUAAACUUUGAUUUAAGAGCACAGAACCAGAGAUCGAUACAGCCCUAUUUAUGAGCAAUACGAGUAAUUUUGCAUCUGAAAGUAAUCACAACAAAAAAUGGAGAGCAUGAUGUACCUGUAAAAGCUGCGAAACAAACUGGGUUACAUCACUUCCAGAAAAAGGAAAAGACUUUAUGCUACUCCCAAUUACAUAGCCAUUUACAACUGGCACGAUUUGUGGAGCUCCGUCCCCAAUAUCAACUACUACUCCUGUCAUAUCAGACUGACAAAGUAUAUUGGCCAAAGUUAAUGAGAAGCAAUGUGCUCUACCAAAGAAUUUAUAGGCAUUAAAUGAAAAAGGGUCAAGAGACUGGAACAAUAAACAGUGAUUUGCUAUACAAAUGACUGCCCUCAAUCAUGAGUUCUAGAAUUUGACAAGCAACAGAUUAUAUAUUAAUUAUGAUGCUGACCUUUUUAAUACACAUCAUGAUUCAAAGAGACAUAUAUAAGUAAAGGGGUGGCUGAUCUUUGUGAGGGCAUGCAAUCACAAUAAUAACUUUACAUUUCCAUUUUUUUUAAAAAAAAGAAUUCAAUAAAAGCAAUGAAUGCCAAUCAAGAAGAUGUGGUUUAUGCAGUAACAAAUACUUGGUAAACAAGCACGAAAGGAGGUAUUCUCAGAACCUACCACGGUAUCUGAAUCGUCAUCAGAAAUACUUUUCAGAUAGGCAUAUCCAGCAGAAAGGCUGAGGACAGAUUGAACAGAAAUAUAUAGUCCAGGGACAUUGAAGGUCUCGAACAUUAUUUCUCCUGUACAUUCACGACUUUCAGGUGUACUGACAGGACUAUCCGUAAGAAGGAAAUAGUGCUCUUCAGGAUUACAACGUAGAUAAUUGAAAAUGCAUUGCUGCCAAAAUCUCUCCAUUGUGUCCCAGUCAUGAACCUGCAAAACAGGAAAGAGGAUAAGGCAUACGGAGGUAGAACACAAACAAAGGACAGGAUCAGUAAAAGGAAAUGUAUAUACAUACCUGACCAUGACGGAUUGGACUUCUUAGUGUGUACAGCCCACUAGACCUAAACCGCGAUAGAGCCUCAUCACCAAUAAAAAAGUCAAGAUCAGCCAUGAUGCCUGCAUUAUACUGUGCUAUCCAGUUUGCACUACUCAACAGCUCUGUCUGGUCUAGAAAAGAUUCGUUCGCAGCUACGACAGUAGGGAGGGUGAAAGACGGCUCCGAGUUCCCAGAAAAUCCAAGUUUGCUAUACCUAAAAAAAUAAGAGUAUAAAAAUCUUGUAAGAAUAAAAAAUGGUGAUAGUCAAGUCAUAAACUCAUAGUAGAAAAAAGGGUGCAAGUGGUACUGAGACAAAGAAAAGAAGAAGAAGCAGAAGUGACAUAAUUUAGCAAAUAGUUUAACAAUUGCAUAGAAAUUGAAGCAACCCAGAAUCAAUUAGAACUGUUUAUAUCCUGGGAAAGUUCAUUUUGUGAGCGUUAUUACUUUAGGAUCUGUUCUCGUGACUUUGUUAGUUGCUCAUAAAAAGAUAUGGAAUCUUAAUGUGACAACGAUGCAAUGCCUUACAACCUAAACUUGCUGCAAGCUGAGAGUACAAGAGGAAAAGUCAUCGUGGAAUCUGCCUUGAGUUGAGGAUAGUGGAUACCAUAUGUACCAUAAAGUACAGCACAAGCAGGACAGAGGCAAUAUUUCACAUUCUACUUCAAGAGAAACUGAGGAGCAGUAUCAAAUAAAGGCUACCACUCUAAAACAGUUUCCUCCCCAACUCUUCCCCCCUUACCCUGCACAGAUUUAUCCUGACUGCACAACAGACAGCACAACCAGAUGGAGUCCGUUGUCCUCACCAAACCGGUGCCUCCAAAGUGUACACCGAGAAUGUGAGCCCACGACAAACCAAACCACAACGGGCCCCAUCAAUACCUGGUAUCCUGACACCCAUCCCCUCUGGCACGGGCACAACCCAUUUCAGGGGGGCGAGCCGCGGGAUCAUGGCUGAAAGCUCGGCGAGAACCAGCCGACCACACGGGGGAAUCGCGCGCUGAUAGAGCAGUAUACUGGCACCAGCGACUUGGAGGGAGGUCGUCAGGUCGGGUCGGAGACAGGACAGCGAGCUGGUGAGGAAGAGAGAGAGAGAGAGAGAGGGUGGAGGGAUCGGUCGGGUCGGGAGUUACCCUGUGCCGUUGUCGAUGACGAUGGCCGGGCGCGCGGUGGCGUCCAUGGCUGACAGCUCCGGCGAGUCCCCGCCGGCUCAUGCCUCCGCCGCCGCCGGAGUGACCGGGAGGCGGGGCAUCGGGGUCCGCCGCGAUGGAGGCCUCGCUCGCUCCCCCCCGGGGGCCGCCUGAUCGAGCCGAGGUGGGCGGGCGUUGGCCGGCGGCGGGCGGGGCUAGGGUCGGGCCGAUCGAUUUCAGGGGAUCGGAUGGCGCGCGGGCUCGAGAGAUUCGAGGAGGCGGGCGGUGCGCGGCGCGUGGCGUGGCGUGGCGAUGGGGACGAGACCUCACGAGUUGGUUUGGUUUGGUUGACGAGGGAAGCGGGAAGGCAGGCAGGCGAAGUCGUCGAAGAAAGUGGGUGGCUUGUGGAGUUGUGACUUGUGAUUGUGCGUGCCUGCGCGCCGCGUUGGUGGGUGGGUGGCCUCUGGGCUCUGUCCGUGUCUGUGAAGUGCGUUAGGGUGGGGUGGGGUGGGGUGGGGUGGGGCCGCACUCACUCGCUCCUAUCCCAGGCCCACCUGGCAGCAGCGGACUUCUGGCCAUGUGUCCCUUCUCUGUAAGGCCCCACUUUGGCCGGUCAUUUCCCCGUGGAGGGAGCCCACGAGGAUGGUUUCCACGCGCCGCUACUCGGACUGGUUUGGAAGCACGCGACACAGGGCUCUCCGCCGCGAAGGAGCAGGGUUUUGACGGGGAAACCUGUCCGACCUCGUCACGUCGGGCGGCAUUCCCCGCCGACUCGACUCACCUCGACGACUCCUCCGUCGCCGCCCCUCCGCACUCGCCUCGACUCUCCGCCGUGGCCCCUCCGCCUUCGCCUUGACUCUCAUCUUGCCAUCCCCGUCACCUCCCAGCCACCAUCCCCCUUCUGAACCAUCGUCGUCCUCGCCUCCACAUCGGCUUCGUCCCCACACACUGGAGAGAUGUGACCACUGCAGCUACUGAGAGGACGGCUCCAAGAUCCACUUCAGUUCUUCUCAGAUUUGUCUUCCCUCUGAACAAAGUAAGAUGGUCUCGAUUUGGUAUGCACCCGCUUGAUUCGUCCCCCUUCUCUAUGUUUUGUUGUAUAGUGUCGAAUUCAAGUGAGCAUCUGCCUAGAUUGUUUUCAUCAUCUGUGACGUGCUUGUUUCAUGGUUGAUCCACUUUGCUUGCCCCAACCCGAUUGACUAGGGUUUACUAAAUUGUUGAUUCACAGGUGCCCAAAUAUAGCCGAUCUAGGGUUUCAGUAGAUUAUUGGUUCUUAGGUUUACUGGUUCUAGUAGUGUGUUCUUGAAUUUCUUGUUUCUAGCACUAGCUGGUUUUGGUAGAUCCAGUUUACUGGUUCGUGAAUGCACUUGUUGAUACAAAUUGGGAGCAUGAACUGGUUUUGGUAGAUCCAGUUUGACUCCCACAGUUGAUAUGAAUUGGUGAGAUUCUUACUGAUACACUAGAUUUUGAUAAAAGGAUACAUUUUAAUUGCUAUAUGCUUUGCUUCGGCCGUUUGGAGCAACUUCAUCUCCCAUGUUCUAUAAUCCAUCCUAGCAUGCUAGAAGUUUUUCUGCACAAUUGCACACGGAAGCAUUAGCCAUAGGUUGAUAGUUUUCUGACAGGUCAAGUCUGCUGUGUCAGGUUCCAUUUUUUUUUUUUUUGCAGCAACUAGUAGGACUAGAACCAUGGUAUUCCUUUAUUUUUGAAGCAACUACUGCUAUCUUAGCUAAUAUUACGAUCAUACGGAUUUGUGUUUUCAUUUCAAGGUGAUCAACCUUUUGUUUCGAAUAAAGAGUUGUAGUUCAGUGUUCGACCUUUAGAAAAUUCAGUUCACUGAGCUGUUGUUUUUUCUUCAGAAAUGAUUAAGCUUCUUUCCUCUAAACUGUACUGCUUGCUGCCAUCUUGCAAUUAGCUGCAUGGGUUGUAGGUCCUUUUCUUCUUCAUGUUUGCAAACAGAACCGAUCUUGCUAUUAAGCUUGUCACAUUUGCAGUUUAGUUACAAUUCUUGCUGAGAAUAUAGAUUCUGAAAUGACCUACAUGACCUGGGCACUUUAGAUUCUGAAAUGGCUGCAUCCAAGGCAUAAGUAUGGUUAAGACAGUUUGUUUUUUUUUCCACAUUAUAUGGGGCUGUUUGUAAUCUGCCUUAACCAUUGUUACUCUUGAAACUUGUAAGUAGGUCAAUCUGCUAUUUAGAGUUCACGCCAGAUCUUUUAUCCUGUUCUUUCAGUCUCUUAGUAAUGGUAACUCUGGUAGUCCUUGUUAUGUUGCUAUGUUUCUUUCUUGUGCUAUCAUACAGCUGAUCUCAGUGUAGAAUAGUGAUUAGUCUCAUACGGUUGUCCUUUGCUCAGUAUUCAGGUAGUAGUAAUUUUUUCCCUUUUUCUUUUUAAGUUUUCAUUCAGUUUUUCACAAUAGUGUUUCAGGUUUUUAUAACUUGGUGGCCAUCAGGGUUGCUAGUAAAGCACCAUCUAACUUAUGUUUGUGCGGUGCUAGUUGUGUAUUUCAUUUAUCUUAGUCUGAAUUGAUAGAUAGUCUUGGACAUCAUGAGAACAGUCUUCUCCUACUUAUGUUAUAUGAAUUUGAUUUCUUGAGUUUAGGGGGGGGGGGGGGGGGGGGUUGAUUGUGCACUACUCGUAUCGGAGUGAUUCAUCUAGCUAGCUUUACCAAUGGACAACCAUGUUCUAAGUGCAAGGAACCGUAGAUGGAAACAUGUUUAUUUCAUUUAUACAAUACAAGUAUCUAACGUGUUUCCCUGGUGUUACUUGUAGAGCUCUUGGUGGAAGCAAUACAUGAUUUGAGGAGCCCUUGAGCUAUAUAAUCUCUCUACUUGGGUACUGAACAUGCGGUGGCAAUGCCUAUGUCAUAUGUGACAAGCUUCUGGAAAGGGUUUUAAGUCAUAGAUUUAUUUUUAUUUUUUUUUUGCAAAACUUAAAGUCAUAGUUUUUUAGUGUUCAAGUUUUUAGUGAAGAGACUCAUUCCAUUUUUUUAUAUAUAUCUGUCAACAAUUUGUGGAUGGAGAUGAAUUCGUGAUGCAUGUGUUAGCUUGUUUUGAUUUGGAUAUUAUUAGGUUCCUGAAUCAAACUUUGCACAUGAAUGUGCAUCUUGGGGAUUUUUUUCGAAACAACUGUAGGCACAGGGCAAAGAUUCGCAGGCACAGGGCAAAGGCCGAGCUGGUUGAACUGACUAGCCUGGUCGACGUACGUGUAUGUCCUUACCUGCCAGAAACUUUGUUCGUGCUAGAGCUCCACUGCACGCAUCUUAUCAUCCAUGGGAAAAAUGUUUCCAAACAGCAGCAGAGAAAUAACUCUGUCCGUGAAAUCUCCCCCUCGGGUGGGCAGGGGAUUAGCAUGUCUAAAAAAAAUCCCUCCCCCUCUUUCUUCCCUGGGUUUGUUACCCUGAGUUGCCAAAGUAGGCCUGAGCGUUAAUGGGCCUCCGGGUGAGGAGGGAAGUAGAAAACAUGCUGGAGCCUGGAGGAUAGGUAUAUAUACGUUUUGAUUUUAUUAUUUCUCUUUUUUCCAUCCAAGAGUUAAAAUAUAUACCACCGGCACUAAAUUUUGUAGAUGUAUGUAUAUCAUUUAUUAGGUUCACGAACUUUAGAAAAUGUGUUCCUGAGUCACGGGCAAGUCUUAUAUAGGCGUCCCAGACCGGACAUCCGGUGGCCAUUAUCAGAGCUCCGGAAAAUAGAUGUGCAGAAUUAAGCGUGGCAUAUUUCAAAACCGGUAAAAUCGCGAACCUAAGAACAAAACAAACCCUGAGCUUUACUACACCUGUAAAACAGAUAGUACCCUUUAUGAUGAUGCCAUUGCCAUGAUACAAAUUUACCAUCCAUCACUAGUAAAUAAAUAAAAGCAGCAGGGCAUCCGCUAUCUUAUCGUCAGCGUUGUCAGCGAUUAGAAUGUAUCCCUUCUGAAUCUUCUUCACCAGAUGCGUUCCUUCCAAGUCGGCUUACAAAUACAGGCUCGUUCAGUUUUCUGGUGCUAAUUGUCGUCCUCGUCCAUGGAUUCUUCCUCCUCGGGAUGUAUAUACUGUUUCAUGUAUUCUUCCUCGAUCGUCUCCUUCAGCAAAGUUAACCUCUGGAUGAUCACCGGGUCGCUCAUCUUUCUCGCAUCCAUAAAAUCCGUCUCCUCCUUGUUGAGAUGGUAUGAAUCGAGCAGCAUUUUGAUCCAUUUGUGGAGUUCGUUGGGAGUUCUGCAUGCAAAGACCCGAUUAUGCCAAUGCAUAGAAAGCAUCUUUACUAUCUUAUCACAACCUUACCUCAAAUAAUAUAUAUACAAAAAAAAAGAUCUGCUCAAAAAUAAAAUGGCACCCAUUUUAUUGGGCACCCAACUGACUUGCUUUCUAACAAGAAAAAUGGAGUCUAUUCUGGCCUUCAAAUUUCAGCCUCCGUUUGAAGUACGAACAUUUGUUCCACAAUGAAAAUCCAAUGCAUAAACAUAAAAAGAAAAUGUUCCCAUAACCAUUUAGCAUGCAUAGUUUACAUGGACACACAAGAAACUGAAAAUAAUAGUUAAGCACCAAGGCAGUCCCAAACAUUAACUAGUUGAGCUAAACAAACUUAGAUAAGGGCAGCAACAAUUGUGAAUUAUUAUUAUUUUCUUAGGUAAAAUAUUAUAAUUUCCUCAUUAAAAAUUACUUUCUGGGUUCCCAGGAUAUUACUCUGAUGACAAACCUUUUUUUGGUAACACAUAAGGAACUUGAUAAGUUAUAAUGUUAGCAAAGCAUUUAGAUAACAGAAUACAGAUCCAUGCAGCCAAUUUUAUAUUAUACAUGCUCAUUAAGAAUUGACUAUCUCAUGAGAGUUCCUUUUGAACAGAUGACAUAAUGAUUGGAGAAGCCAGCUUAACACUUGAUAACAUUAACUGACAGUUAAGUGGAGCAUGUGACCAGAAAAAAACAUAAUUUUGAGGAUAAUAAACUAAUCAAAUUCCCCAUGGAUCAAUCCAAUCAACUCAAAUAGUAGCAAAGGAAAGGAAUUAGUCUACAUAACCUUGUGCUGUUUGUCUACUUAACCCCCUUAACUAUGAGCCAGGUCGAGCAUCCCAAAAUAUUUGAACCAUCAAAAUAACCAGUAGGUGGUUUUGCUCAUGUGGCACAUCACAUUGACACUGAUGUGCAUGUGCUAGUGACUUAGUGAAUGAGAUGUUGAUCGUCCUCAUCAGACAGAGAGAUGUUGUCAUUGUCUUGGCUGCACAGAAAGGGGGCUGUGGUUUGGUGAAGCUUUGACAUUUCUCAGUCUACGUUGACAUGGUGUCAUUAGUGAUAGGGAGAGGUGAAGGGACUAGAGGGAUGGAGAGAGUAAGACACUGAAGUGUGGGUCUAGAGUGAUGUGGCAUGUGGUGUAAGUACAUUUUUUCUAUGCCAGCAUGCCACAUCAGUAAAACCGCCCUCCAAAAGGAAGUUAUUAUGAUGGUUUUUGAAAAAGUUAGAGGGACUCAAUACCUGGUUUUAUAGUUUGGACGUCUAAGUUGUGAAACAUCAAUACUUGAGGGGAUUAUGUAGACUUAUUCCUAAAGGAAAAUGAGGGAACAAGAACAGCUACAUGUCCCCAACAAAACUGAUAUGCCACAUCAUGAAGACUUUUGCAAUAAUGAAAUCAAUAGAGACAACAAACAAAUAUCUUUGUCGAAAAACUCUUACGUGUAAAGAGCAUCUUCAUCCUUGGUUUCACACUCAUCCCCGGGAGAGAAAGCAGUUGCAAGAGCACCAAAUCUCUCUUCAGGGUCUUCAAUAUUCAGCAGAUACUUCAGAAGCUUCAUCUCCGGAGGUGAGAUGUUCUUGAGGCUUUCUUUUGUAGUUGUAUAAAUAUGAUACAUUAUGUCCUUGACCUAUGCCAUGGAUAUGAAUCAGAAAAUACUAUCUACAAGGUUUAAUCACUAAUUUUAUAAUAGUGUCAUUUACCAAUUCAAAAUCUUAACCAAUGUUACUUACUUUAUCAUACAAUUAGUAAGUGCCAAAAAGGUUUGUCGUUUUAUAUAACAUGUUGGUGAUUCAGAUUUCAAAUAUGAUUUUGAAAUAGAAUCCACUUAGGUCUUGUUUGGCAGAAAUCUAGCUCCAAGAAUUCUUAGAGCUGAAUACUCCUAGCUUCAGAAAUCUGUGGAGUUGGAGUUGGGUUUUCCUAGCUCCAGACUCCACGAAUGUGGGUAAAGUUUUCUUUGCCCUUGAGGGCAUGUGCUCUCACUCUCCUACUCAUUGGAUUCGCUUUGAGAAGUGUGCAAACACACAUCUCAAUGCGAAUCUGCUUUGAGAUGUGUGUUUGCACACUUCUCAAUGCGAAUCCAAUGGGUGGGAGAGUGAGGGCAUAUGCCCUUAAGGGCAAAAAAACCGCGUUGAUGGGUACAGGAUACACCUGAAUUGUUUGAUUAAACUGCUUUCUACUCUAGACAAAAAAAAUUGUCUCAAAGUUCUUGAUUGUAGAAUACACAGACUAAACAGAUCUGAGCUCAAACCUGGAGCUGUGCCAAACAACUCAUUUGGUAUCACGUAAGCUAUGAUUACAUUUCAGCACUUGUAAAAGGCAAAGGCACAUUAUUACUAUAUUACAAUGAUGCAUGGAAAAACAUUGUAGAAGUACCAGAAAAACAAUACUGGUACUGAAGACAACAAUUUUUAUUUAGUUAAAAAGAUGUGGAAGAUUAGUAGACUCAUCUAGAUUAACUGUACCAUGAUAUUUGCUACACUUAGUCAUGUGUACAUUUUUACAAAGGCUAAAUGAAUCCUAAUAAGUAUUAUGACGAAUUAUAUGUUGUCAACUUUCAUAACAGACUUUUUUUUAAUGAAAAAAAACUUUCAUAACACACAAUAGAAAUCAUUAAACAUUUGCCUAUUCAAGGUUUACAUAAAACUAAAAGUUCAAAAAUAAUAUGUCAAAGAGAAUAUAAAGGAAACUGAAUCUUUGUGCAAAUUUACCGAACAAUGAAGCUGUGUGAUAUUACAUCCACUCUCAGGAGACCAAAAUGCUAUGUUGCAUUUAUUAUACAUAUAUACCAAAUUUUCAUCACUUCAUGCCUCACUUCUGCUGAAGCACAGAUUGACAAGAUGGCUAUAUUUCUAGCCUCGAUGGUCUAUAUUGUUUGAUAGUACCACAGUGGGCCAAUCAGCACAAUAUCUUAAUGGGUUGAGUGUACCACUGUACCAACAGCCCAGGUGGCCAAAAAUGUAGCAAUAAAUCAUGCUUAAACACAGGAAAACUUAUACAAUUUUGUUUAUAUUUCAUUAAGACUAACCUUAUCAUUCAUAGUUGUAGAUUCUUUUGCAGCAGCCCAAGCUCUGUUAAUGAGAAGAAUUAGAGAUGAAUCAAGUUCUUUAGCCUUGGCUAAGCUUUUUAUCUCGUCACAAGCACCAUCUAGUGAAGAGGAAUUCAGUAUAUCAUCAAACUUCAACUGAGCAGAUUCGAUGUCUAACUGUUCUAGUGUGCAGUCAUAUGCAUGAAUUGCAGAUAGGCAUUUGGCCCCGAGCCUGACUACUCCUGCAUAAUAUUAAGAACUAAUCAGCCCAUAAUAUAAAGUACACCAUUCAGAACAAUAACUACAAGUAAAGUAGAUACAUUUGCCUGCCAAUUCACACGACAAGAAUUUGGUACUAACCAGUAACCACAUGCUCAUUAGAAUAUGUUGACCUUGUCAACCAACCCAGAGCAACAAACAAGACUAAAAAUAAAGACAAUCUAGUGAUAACUUCUAUGUUCUGCUUGCAACGCUUUUUUUUUCUUCUGCAAUUUUGGUUAACCAAGAAUCAUGAUCCAUGUGCUCAGGAAACAAAGAAUCAAAUUCUCAAAUUUGAUCUGUUUCAAUAACCAUAUUAUGGUGUGAUUAUAUGUUAGCGGUUCACCUUGGUAUGAAUCAAGUAAUAAAGUGUGAUAUGUGAGUAAAAAUUGAUAGAAGGUAGGUAGUUACCGUCUCGCUCGUCAAGGCCAUUAUAAGCAUUCACAAGGAAAUUAAGAUGGCGGAAGAACUCCCCAGUGAAAUCCUUUCGUCGUCUUGCAACAAUAGCAUUAAUAUCAGCAGGGUUCUCACUGAGCUCAGUGAACAGUUCCAUGUGCUUCUCUAUUUCAUCAUCUAUCUGAAUCAAAAACAUGGAGAAUAUCCACAUAGUUAUGAGAGCAUCUAGAUAUUAUUUUGGUUUGAUUAUAUUGCACCUAAUCUGAUAAUAAUAUCAUGUAAUCUUAAUACAUGGAGUUCUUAAGGUUGAUGUGACAAAAAUUAUACUGGGAACUAUGAAAGCUCGCUUAAAAGGGUGAAUGUACGUAAGAGCAUCUCCAAGAGAUUAGACUAUCUCCAACAAUGGUCACCUAAAAAUCUAAAAUACAAGACCCAUUUGUCCUUUGGGUAGCGCUACAGGUAAAAAGUUCCAUAUCUAUUUUUAGUCUUCUCCAACAACAAGACCUAAAAGACAACACUCUCUGCAAAUAGGUCUCGAGGAGAAAGGAUACCCAAAUUUGGGUUAUGCCUCUCCUGAUACCCAAAAUGGGUCUUCUGUAUGGGUACUCUGUUGGAGGCUAUAGGUAUUGUAUUGGAGACCCAUUUUAGGUUUGGGUUCCCAAAUGAGUCUCCUGUUGGAGACAGCCUUAGCCAAAUCAUUUUCUAAAGGUAUAUUUUGUUAUUGUUGAAGGAAAAACGUCUCCAAUAGACUCUGUAAAUGACACUUCAAAUUUAGAAACUCUCCAUCCUACCUUAUUCGCUCUCUACUUUUGGAUAGUCUAUCUCACUAGUCAUCCUUUAUAGACUCUGUUGGAGUACUCUAAUAUCUUUUUGUCAAGUCUAUUUUAGAGAGUAGCUAAAUUAGUAAAUUUGGCUAGUCUUUUUAGCUAAUCUUUUGGAGAUGCUCUAAGGAGAAUAGAUAAUGACUUACCUUCUUAACUUUUCUAGCAAGUACAACCAACUUUUGUUUCACUGAAGGAUCAGUUUCCAUAUCUAUGCGCACUUGGCAACGCUUGUAGAAGUGCUCUCUAUACCUUCGCCACUCCUCUCUAAACACCAAUAAUUUUCUCCAGUCCUUUGUUUCUGGUUUCUUAUACAUGAAGAACUCAAUGAAUUUGUCGCAGAUUUCAGUCAUCGUGUACCCCAUUGCAACUUCAGCCUCAGUUUGGUCUUUCACAUUAGCAAUGGUUGGACUAGCUACACAACCUGUAAUUAAAUGUAGUUCAUGAUGUAGGGCAUAUUUUUCAAAGUUAUUACGCAAUGUUAGCAUGAGUGUUUGGAGCAUACAAACAGAGAGAAAGGGGUAUAUGCACCUAGUAGAUCAAAUGUGUCAUUUGAGAAGUACGCUUCUACUAUUUGCAAAACUGGGGGGAAAUGAUAAUCUAACUCAAUAAAUGUCCCCUUAACAAGCAUAAAUUAGUCAUAAGAAGAAAAUUACCAAUUGAGUCGCAAUAAGAUCAGUCCCUAAACGAUUUUGUCAAUAAAGCAUAUAUAUACUCCGAUUAUUUUGAACUUAGUUCUAGUUUGAAUCACUUAUCCCCAAUUCAAAAUUUCGUAAAAAAGAGACCCGAACCUCCCAUAAGAUUACCUUAGUGGAUUUGUUAAUGAACUUCUUUCCCUAUAUUUACUGCUACCAGAUUUGGGCCCUAGUUCUAAAAUUUGCAAGGAUCAGAUAUUCAGAUUCCAUAUCUUGUAUAAUAAACCGAAGCAGACCCUCAAAUACUUGGAAUUCUCGCUAAAAGAACAUCGCAAUUGGCCUAAGAAUAGUUGCGCCUCUUAGCGAAAUCCCGUCGGUGCUCAGCAUUCAGCAACAUCCAACAUGCCAUUAUGGGAAUUCAUCGAAUACGUGUAAAGGCAACACAAAGUCGCCACAACCUACCUACACGAACUGUCCGAGCUAGGAAAAGAACCCGAGUCUUACAGAAUAGUCACUCCACAGUUCGUCGCCGCAGGUUGCUUCUAUUCUAUGUCCCCGCAAAAGCCAAGCGCAACCGAUUUGAUUCACCGCUGACACUAAGCACCUCGCGACGCGAGCAAGCGAACCAGCACACGACGAAUUGACAGGAGAGAGAAAGAGAAGGAAAAGAAACAGAGAAAGGAGAAAUGGAUUUGUGCCUUACGUGGUGGUGGUGGGGCUGCGGCGGCGAGGCGGAUGCAGCGGGUAGCAUGCGGAAUGGGUACGGAGGCAGAGGAAGACUGCGUGGGGGCGGCGGCCAUUGGCGCAGGCGAGGGGCGGGGAGCGCGGCAGAGAACGCCCGGGGCCGGGUUCGUCGCCAUCGGUGGCAGCACGGCGAGGCGAAGCGAUUGGAGGACUGUGGAUGGAUAAAGAAGCAUAGUGACGGGACGGGAAUAGUAGUAACUAUGACGUGGCUUGACGGGUGAAUACGGAGACGUCGUACCUGGCAGGGAUGGAUCUUAUAUAUAUAUAUAUAUAUAUAUAUAUAUAUAUAUAUAUAAAUAAAAUGUAGUAUGCGUAUUCAACGUCAAUAUAAAUAUCCGUAUUCCACAUCUGUAUUUAUGGUAAUAUAGAUGCUAAGUGAAUAUAUAGCGACUUCUCUUCAUCCGAUUCCACGUCCGCAUUUGAAAUUAUCCAUAUUAACGAAUAACAAAGUGUCCGGUAAAACCAUCUAAAACUUACAUCUAUAACUAAUUAGUAAUUUAUAUAAAUGAUACAAGUUUUAACAAAAAAAGAUAUUUAUCAUUUAAUCUACUCAAACUUACCUAUAUGGCUAAUGAAGUUAAAUUAAUUUUAUUGUUAUUAAUGGCAUAAAAAGAUUAAUUUUAAUUUAUUUUAAUAUGUAUGAUCAUACUAAUUUUAAGUACUUUAGUUAUUCAUAUAGUGAUGAAUUUUUUAUAUAUAUCUAAACUUAUUUAUUGAUAGAUAUUUAUCUAUAGUUUUAUUUAUUUUUAUAUUUUUUUUUCUUCUAUCGUUGUUAUAUUUUAAACUCCUAUGUCGAUAUGAAUAAUAAUUUGGUUCUACUUGAACUAUCGAUAUAAGCAAAUACAUAUGUGUCAUCUCAGAUUUUCAAGGUGUGAAAUGCCUUCUACACCAACCUGACAUUCAAUUUCCCUCCACCUCUGAGUCUUAUGAUCAUUUUUUGUUUCUUUAUCACGUAAAAGGUUUGUAUGUUUUAAUAUUAAAAAAGAUAUUUAAUACAACACGCCUUCGCGGUAGAAGAAUAGUACAUAUGGCGAUGCGAAAUUUUUUUGAUUUCGCUAUUGUAGCACUUUCGUUUGUUUGUGGUAAAUAUUAUCUAAUUAUGGACUAACUAGGAUCAAAAGAUUCGUCUCGCGAUUUACAGGCAAACUCCUUCAUGGCAUCUCCAUGGUCCAUGGAUGACACAUGGUGCAGAGGUUGAGUGAGGAGGGCGACGCCUAGUGGUACUGCUCAAUCAAGGCCUUGUUUACUUCUAAAAAUUUUUGCAAAAUAAGAAUAGUAGCAUUUUCAUUUGUAUUUGACAAAUAUUGUCUAAUUAUGGACUAACUAGGCUCAAAAGAUUCGUCUCGUCAAUUUCGAUCAAACUGUGCAAUUAGUUUUUAUUUUCAUCUAUAUUUAAUACUUCAUGCAUACCUCUAAAGAUUCGAUAUGACGGGAAAUCUGAAAAAUUUUACAAAAUUUUUGGGGAACUAAACAAGGCCCAAAGGGUUUUUUAUUUUCCCCAUAACUCAAAUCCCACAGCUGCUUUUUUAAAAAUCACGACUCAUAACUAUUUUAAAAAAAAAACCACAGCUCAAAUAAAUAGAUAUAUUGUUACUACAUUAGAUACUGAUCAAAUCGAUUUGUUUUUUCUCAAUCACGCAAAAGGUUUGCGCGUAUUUUCAUUAAGAAGGAGAGUUUGAGUACAAGCGAGGCGGUUUACAUAUGCAGGAUCGCUCUUCCUCGCAGCUCAGUCUAGUCUAGUCUAUUCUCUGAACUAGACGCCCGAGGUUCUUGGCUCCUGCAGAGAUCCAGAGCUCGGCCUGUCCUCUGAUCGUGUCCUUAACCGCGCUGAGCUGUGUGUUUGCUCUACGGAAGCAUCUAGCGUUCUGUUCCUUCCAUAACUCCCAGGCGAUCAGGGCGAGAAGGGAAUCUGCUCCUCUGGUAUACUCCGAUGGCCAUAAGCCUCGCCAAACCUCCCACCAUUCGACGAUGGCCCCGGCAGGCUGCUCCUGAAUAUGGCACCCUAGUGCUGCCGCAACGUCAACCCAAAGCUGCCGAGCAAACGGGCACUCGACGAUGAUGUGGUCGAUUGUUUCGCCCUGCUGGUCGCAUAGAUAGCGGGCGCUGCGGGCUUCCAACCCGUGGCGCCGUCGUCGGUCCGCCGUCCAAUGUCGUCGCCUAAUUGCCAGCCAGAGGAAGAGCCUCACUCGCGUUGGCGCCCAAACUUCCCAGACACGAACACAGCCCAGUAUGGGGUGAGAACCAAGGUGCAGCGCCUGGUAGGCUGACUGGACGGAGAAGCCGCCGUCUGAAGUCCAGCGCCAAAUCAUCCGGUCCUGGUUUCCAUUGAGAGUGAUUCCGUUGAUUGCGUGCCACAAACGCAGGUACUCGGCUGCCGCUGGUGCAGUGACGCCGCCGCCGAUGGUGCGUACCCAGUGCCGAUCCGGUAGCGCCUCGGCGACUGUCAGUCAAUUGGCGACCCGCCUGGGGACGAACUUCAGGAGUGUUGGCGCCAACGUCCUGAUCGACACACCGUCAAUCCAGCUGUCAAGCCAGAACAGCGUCCCUCUUCCGUUCCCGACGAUGGUUUGUGUUGAUGCUCUGAAGAAAUCCCGUGCCUCGGCGGAUUGCUUGAGCGGCAGCUCUGACCAUGCCCGCGAUGCGUCCGAGCUCUGGAGCCAGAGCCACUUGACCUCAAAUGCCGUGUUGACCAGUUUGAAGUCUGGGAUGCCCAGCCCUCCGAGUUCCUUUGGCCGAGUGCAUGUCUUCCAGGCGACCAUCCAUUUGCCUCUCACAUCUCCAUCUUUCCCACACCAGAGGAAUCGCCGGCAGACCGCAUCGAUCUCCGCUCGCGCCCAGGGCGGUAGACCGUCCGCCAUCAUGCAGUAAGUGGGUAUGGCUGCGAGGACCGAUUUUACCCAGAUCAAGCGCCCGCUCUUGGCCAUGAGAGGUCCCUGGCAGGCGGGCAGCCGGCGAGCGACGGCGUCGACCGUGCGUCGCACUUCGGCUUUGGGAAGCUUUGUUGUGCUUAAGGGCAAUCCCAGGUAGCGGAUAGGGAACGGCGCGACCUAGCAUCCAAGGAUCAACUGCAGGUCGGUGAUAGCCUCGUCUGCUCCAUAAAUGUUCGUGAUCGAACACUUCGCCAGGUUGGUUUUGAGGCUCGAGACCUCCUCGAAUAUUCCCAGCAAUCCCUUGAUGGCUGUGGCUUCGUCAGCGUCCGGAUACGCGAAAAGGAUGACGUCGUCUGCGUACAUGCUGCACUGGAAUUUGAUUCCAUCAUUGUCUAGGCUCCUGAGCACGCCUUCUUCUCUAGCUGCUGCGAAUAGGUGGCCAAGUACUUCCAUGGCGCAAAUGAACAGCAGGGGGGAGAGGGAGUCUCCCUGGCGCACACCUCGCUGGUGUCGAAUUCGCUUGCCUGGCUGUCCGUUCAUUAGGAUGCUGGAGGACGCUGUGGUGAGGAGUGUGGCAAUCCAUCGCCUCCAGCGCACCCCGAAACCCAUGGCCUGCAGUACGUCCAAUAAGAAUGGCCACAAGACAAUGUCGAAUGCUUUGGCUACAUCGAGCUUCAACAGUAUCUUGGGUCUCUUCUUCUUCCGCAGCAUGACGGCAGCCCUCUGAAUGUACUUGAAGUUGUCAAGAAUCGACCUGCCACGGAUGAAGGCGUUUUGUUCGGGUGAUAUAAGUGUAUGCAUUUUUGGAGCAAGCCGAAGUGCCAAGAUCUUCGAAAUGAGUUUGGCAAAGCUGUGGAUCAUGGUUAUGGGCCUGUAAUGGGCAGGUUCGCAGGCUUCCGCUGAUUUGGGCAGUAGCACUAUUAGUGCUCCGUUCAACCUGCCGAAUGAUCUGCAGUCCCCAAACAGCACGGCGUUGAUACCCCAGGAGUGCUUGUAGAAGGCACCAGUAUAACCGUCCGGCCCCGGCGCUCUGUCCGGCGGCAGCUCCUUGAUUGCAUUCCAAACCUCCUCCUCUGACAGCGGCUGCUCCAGCGCCUCCAAGUCCUGGGCCUCGAUUCCGAUUGCCUGGAAGUCGAUUGUCACAUCACUCUGACCUGCCGUGCCGAAAACUCCCAUGAAAUGGUCGUGGAUGGCUUGUUCCAUCUCCUUCUGAUCAGCGGUGAACGCUCGUUGCACCCGGAGCCGGGUGAUCAUGUUCCUCCGUCUUCGCCCUCUGGCCAUCAUGUGAAAGAACUUAGUGUUGGCGUCUCCAUCUGCCAGGAAGCGCACUCUGGACCUUUGCCUUGCAAUCGUGCGGUCCAAGGAUGAGAGCCCCAAACAUUUGUAUUUCAGGUCCGAGCGCAGCGCACGCUCUGAGUCGAUGUGCUGGCGCGUGUCACCAAUCUGAUCAAGUUUGAGGAUUAUUGUCCGAGCCAUCAGCAGCUGUUCUCGGAUUAUUCCAAUCCGCCGUGCCGCCCAGCUCCUGAGUUCUCUUGCUAGCUUCCUAAGCAAGAAGUCCAGGCGCACGAUCGGGUCCAGGAUAACCUCGUCACAUGUCCAUGCCUGCUGUAGCACCUCUUGGUAAUCCGCGAACUUCGGCCAGAAGGCCUCAAAGUGGAAUCGUGGCUUGGGAUGGAUCGCCAAGUUCGUUUGCAGGAGUAGAGGGCAGUGGUCUGAAGCGUCAGACGCCAGGGCUUGAAGGUGGCACGCUGGGAACAUCCCCUCCCAAUCCAGCGACACCAGCACGCGGUCCAGGCGCACGAGGGUCGGGUUUUCGCGUUCAUUGCUCCAAGUAUAUCUCCUGCCAUGUAGGUGUAUAUCAAGUAGCUGCAGGUUUGCCACCGUGUGCCUGAAGGCCCGCAUCAUGCGGCGGUUGAUGCGGGCGUUGUUCUUGUCUUCUUCGUCCAGGACUAGAUUGAAGUCCCCUGUUAUUGCCCAUGGCCCGGGGCAGUGGUGCCUCCAGUUCUUCCAGGAAUAGGCUCUUAUCGCCGUCCUCCUGAGGACCGUAUACGACUGAAAGCCACCAUGGAUCCCCACGGUUGGGACGAUCUUGACGGUGCACGAAUAGCAACCAAUGGUCGGUUCCUUCAGCUCGACCUCUGGGAAUCGCGCCGCAAUCAGAAUCCCUCCCCUCGUGCUCGCAGCGGGGACAUAGGCAAAGUCUCUGUAGUUAUUGCCCAACAUAGAGGCUAUGAGCCAGUGGUUUACAGUGCUUAACUUAGUUUCAACUAAACAUACAAUGUGCGCACGAACAUCAGCCGUUAAGGUUCGGACGUUGUCGCGACGGGCUGUGGCGUUCAGUCCGCGGACGUUCCAGCAUAUGACAGUUGUGUUGGCCAUAAACGUGGACUACUGGAUGUGGGCGGCGGCCGGUCAUGGUCUGGACCGUGGCGCCCGACGGCGCCUCCGGCUAUGCCCAUCGAGACAGCCGACAGGGAACAGCUCCCAUAGAGCUUCUUCAUCCUCGGGGUUGCCGCUGAACAGUGCUUCGAACUUUCCUGGUGCUGACUCCUCGUUGAGCGCUGAGGCAUGGCCGAGCCGCUUGAGUACUAGAUAUUCACCACGCUUGGCCGUGGGGAUUCUGGACAGACUUUGCGCUGCGAUCCGGCGGCUUCGCUUGAUGUGAGGCCUGGGCGUUGUCGAUUCCAUUGGGGGUGGCUUGCUGAGUAGCGGUGAGGUCUUGGCUUUCUUGACCCUACGCGCGAAGACCUUGAACCUCUUCUGUGCCGACGGUGUGCUCUUUGGCGUUGCUGCUGGCUUUGCUCCUAGAGCAUUGCGCCCAGGUGUGUUCUAGUCUGCGCCCUGUUCCGAAUCCAGCACCAGGCUCUGCUCUCGGUCCUCCUCCGCCAGUUGGCCGAUGGCCUGUUCGUGGUGGCCCCCGUCGCUACGGGCCGCCUCCGUAGGCUCCAGCUCUGGUAGGCCCAUAGCGGGUUCGGUCUGCUUGUCUUGGGCUUCCAGGAAUGGAAGAUGGGUUGUGCUGCUGAGCCCAAUCUUCUCUGGGGGGCUGUGCACGCGACAGAAGGCGCCUGGGUGCAGCAUCGUGGCGCUGCCCCCAGCGCGGCCACCUGUGUGUCCCUGGGUAAGAGCUCCCCCGGUGCUCCUUCCCUGGUCCCUGUGCCCUCCCUGAGCACGUCAUCGUGCUCACUGGCGAUUGGCUGUACCUCAGAGGUGUCAUCGUGUUGGUGGGCCUUGCACUCCAUCUGCAAGUGAACAGUGGUCAUCUGCUCUUGCUUGUCUUGCUCUGGCAUUGGAGUGGCCACGAUGGACGUGCUGCUCUCUCCCUUCUGAUAGGUGGCAGCGGCGUUAGGGGCAGGUGAAGCGGCAGCAAUCGAAUUGGUCGUCGUGCCGCUGCUUUGCUGCCCUGCGUCCGGUCGCGUCUGGGUCUUUGGCUGCCAGGCCGGUCGCAGCGGCUGCUUCUUUACCUCCUGCCACUUCUGCUUUCUCUACUUUGGACCACGCUGAGUUUGUUGUUCGAAACAGAUCCUUUCCUUCGCCGGUACUCUUGGUUGGGUGUUGGGACCCACCCUGUAGAUAGCUGGCACCCGUUGGCGUGGUCCACGUGUACCGAGCCUAUCGUGGACCGCCACCCUCGGUACCGCAUUCGGGCCCACCCUCUCGGUGGCUGGCACUCUACGUCGCGGCUUCAAUCCAGCUGAGUGCUGCCUGCCAUGGUCGGCAAUGGCGUUGCUCGUCGGCGGCGUGCCGUCCGGCGUCCCGCGAUGGCAGGGGAAUGGGUGGAGGCGCACCCCAGCACCCCUGGCGUCGCGGUGCCGCUUGCGGUUCCGUCCUUCCUCUGCCGGGUCGUCGGAAGUGGAACUGUCGUCGCUGCUGGUCGGUGGGUCGAAGUCGCGAACGCUUCGGAGGUGGACGAUAACCUUGUAGCGCAGCAUGUCUUUCUUGUUGAGGAAUGGCGUCGUACCUCGGAACCGAAACCCUUCACCCUGGAUGGCGUCGGCCGGCGGCUCGGCGACGCUGAGCCAGAUGAUCUUGGGCAGAUUGCUCGGGUUUGCAGUCCACGCCGUGAGCUUGUAUGCAGACAGGUCGUUGGCCACCGCAGUGACCGCUUCCACCUCCUGGAUCCAGCAGUACGGUGCUAGGAUUUUGGCCACCGUCUCUUCGCGCCAUACGUGAGGUGGCACUCCCUCAAGCUCGAUGGUUAGUUUGUAGUACAGCGUGGUCAGAUCGGCGUUCGCCACCCGCGACCAAGGGAGCAGGAUCAGAGUGGAGACUCCGAACGGCGCCGGCGAGGUCGCCAAGACACGAUCUUUAAUGGCCUCCGAGGCGCACAGCACUAUGAAUCGCUGUGGGAAAAACUUCUUGACUCGUAUGUCCUCCGCUCGAACCCCGGCGGCUGCCACCAGGGCGAGCAGCACCUCUGAUGUGGUGUGAUGUCCCGGGUCGCCGCUGGGUUGCGCCACGAGCGCCAGUUGCAUACAAGCUUCGGCACUGUUGAUGGCGUCGUCCCUCUGGAUGUAACACUCGGCCUCCCACGGCUGGAACGCCGGGUGGUCGGGUGGUACUCCGUCGGCGAACUCAGAGCAGGGGUCCUCGCAGGAGUCGUCGAGGAUCCGCGGGCGCGGGCGGUCUGGCGGAGUGACCGCCCUCUCGGCGGCCGAUCCCUGGGGUGUGGAGGAACCGCCCCGCCGGGCGCGGACGAAACGGCUGUCCGGCGCACCUCCGGCGGCAGCUAGCACGGGCGGGCGCUUGCAGUCCUUGGCGAGGUGCCGUGGGCUGCGACAGCGUGCACACAGACGGGGGCGGUUGCAAGUUGCGAUCUUGUGGUUGAACGACAGACAAUUGAGAAAGCGGCCGUCAUACUCCGGCGGGAUUCCACGCGGCGGGGGCGUGCGCUCCUUUCUCUUCCGUGGCGGUGGGCGAUCCUCGUCGCGGUGCAGCACCAACUGCCAACCGUCGCGGUCCGGCGUCGUGGCCCUGCGCUGCUUGCCCAGCCGACGGUGCGUGGUGGCUCUCUGCGCCGCCUGCGAGCCCACACGCUGGGUGGCCGGGAUCCGCUGGCCUGGCGCGGCCGCCCCUGCCAACUUCGCCGUCUGCGAGGCCGUGCGCCCCUCCGCCUCGCCCUUGAGUCGGGCGAUUGUCCUCGCGCGCCGCUUCCGUCGAGCCUGGGUCUUGGAGAGGGCGCCGUGACUCGCCUCGGCCACGGUCUCGCCCGGGCCUUGGCUGUCAGCUGGCGCACCCCCAGGCAAGUCCGCCGGCGAUGGCGCCUGCCUCGGUGCGCCCUUGGUCGCGGCCUCGAGGUACGACGGCAUCUCCGGCGAGGUGUAGUCGAAGUCGCUGUCGCAGUCGGAGUCGGCGGAGUCUGCCCCCCACCGCUGCGACUUGCCCCGUCCGACGGACUUUUCCUUGGGGAAAUAGGGCUUGGCGUCCGGCGAGAGGGGGGAGGGCGAGCGGGGGUAGGGCGAAGAGGGGGGGGGAGGGCGGCGGAACCCUUACCUGGUGCCGGCGGUGAGGAGGUGGCUGGCGGCGCCUGGGUGGCUUCCGCCAGGCUGGUGGUGAGAGCCAUAUCAAUUUGUGAAGCCGGCUAGCAGGCCUUUAUGCGCUGGCUGCCGAGCGGCGACGGCACUGCUUGCGUGGAUCCACGUCGCCGUCCAGAGGCAGAGUACGGUCAAGAAUGGCCAGGAAUCUCAUGGACCCUCGUCUAAACUGCACUUAUGGGAGCUUUGGGGCCUCCAAACACGUUUAAGGCUUAGAAAUCCACCACUCUGAACAAUGAAGCUUCCGGACCAGAAUCCAUCACGUUGCUCAAAUAGCUUCAGAUACUCCAACGAAGGUAAGAUUUGCAAGGCAGAUAAAUCCUCGCUGUUCUGACGGGUUGCGAAGAGCUUCAACUUGUUGACAUUAUCAAGCUGGCUUAGGCCUUGUUCAGUUCUAAAAAAAAUUUGCAGGCAAACUUUCUAGUUCCCCCGUAGUUUGACUGAUGUGAUUACACACGGAGCCUCUAAAAUACUUAGAAACUCCUGACAGACGGUGUAUUGACACAGUCUGAAUAGGAUUACAACUCAUUUACGACAAUUUUACAUAAGUGUUGACACACUGCAGCAAUCAAAUCAUGUGUACGUGGACUACGGAGAAUAGCAAAAGAGCGGAGCUAGUGGUUAAAUAAACUAGGAGGAUUCCCCACGCGUUGUUGUGGGUAUGAAGAAGAAAUAUAAAUAGGUUAUAAUGUUAAUCAAUAAGAAUCGGGAGAUGUAUAUCUAUGAUGUUGGUAAUAUAGUAAUAUAUGUUCAUAAAUGAUGUAGUUUGCUAAUGUGAAUAGUUUGAAUAAAAAUAUAAUAUCAUGUUGUAGUUAGAUGUAUUAGUGGAUGUGAUGUGGACACUUUGCAUGGUGAGAUAGUUGAAUGUGUUAUGUGUUAGUGGAAUGUUCUAGCUAGUGGAUGCUGAUGUGGACACUUUGUAUGGCAAGAGAAAUAGUUAGUGGGGUUUAUCUUUAUAAGAGAUAUAUAGAUAGAUAACCUACAAUGGAUAUGCUUAUUUUCUUUUGUCAAAAACCAUAUCAUUUCAGCAUAUCCUUUAAGGACCAAUAGGCACCUGCCUAAUAGGAAUAAUAGUUUCGAGUCCUUAUUAGUUCUAGAAGUUGAGUUAACACCUAUUGGGUUACGUUGUUAUGGUAAGUUGAUGACACACCACUCAAAAGGACUAAUAAACAUGUGUAGAGCAAUUUGUAGCAAAAUGUGGCUAUAAGUCACACUCAAUGCGGUUGGGAUGACCCUGUCAAAAUUUCCUUCUUUAGUCAUUGUCGAUCUUAGUACGAUAUUUGCGCCAGAAUGAGUGCAAUGAACCCGUCACAUUGAUGGAGUUCAGGUCUUCAGGAUACUUAAGCCCAACGCCCCAACCACUGUUUUAUUAGUUCUGAUACUUGCUUUGUGAAAGGACAGUCCUUGCAAAGAUGAGUUGGAGUCUCCGGUUUUACCCCACAUAAUUUGCAGAUUGGAUCGUGUUGCCAAUUUCGUUUGUUUAAGUUGUUGGCGGUGAGGAAUUUUUAUGUAGUAGUGUAAAGCGGUAUUUGGGCUCAGCUUUGGCUUUCCGUUUUGGCGCGAUUUUUUUUUUUUUUGGCUGAAUGUAGGCGCUCUGAGCUGUGUAUUCUUCGUGUUCCGUCCAUCGCCACGUGAUUUUGUCUUCAGUGUUGGGAGUUAAACUGAUCUCGCUAAUAAUAGCCUCCCAAAGCCUGACGUACUCAACCACCUCUUGUUGUGAUUUUUUCGAGAACAUGCAUUGGCACGUGUUUCAUUAAGCAAAAAGUUCAGAGCUGACAAAAGGUAAUCCCCAUAUUACCAGACACACACUCACACAAGGAAAGAGACAGCGAAGAAGACAAAACCAAAUAGGAGAAAAAAACCAAAGCACUACAAAAGCACCACACAGAUCAACCAGAGCGCCGAGCGUCGAGAACCCCCAGCGGUCUGUACCCUGCCGCGAUGCAGAGAGCAGCCUCCUCCAAGAUGAGUUGGGCAAGUUGCAGCGGUUGCCGGUUGGUUGUAUCGAAUAUCCGUCUGUUCCUCUCCUUCCACAAAUUCCAGCCAACCAGAAAGAAUAAGGAGUCAAAACCGCGCCUCAGCUCCUUUGGAAGAAGCUUACGCGACGUUGUCCACCAAACCAUAAUCCGUUCCUCCUGCGCCGGGACUAGCCUAAGCAGGUGGAACGCCCUGAGACAGACAGUCCAAACCUCCCUGCUGAAGACACAUCCCAAGAUAAUGUGAUCUAGAGUUUCGGCUCACUGAUCGCAUAUGAUGCAUGAAUUUUGAUCCUGCAGCCCAUGUCGCCACCGCCUGUCUGCGGUCCAGCAUUUACCGUGAAGGGCAAGCCAGAAGAAGAACUUAACGCGAGGUGGCGCCGAAGUUUUCCAGAUCAACGCCGCCCCCAACGGCUUAGAGCAGCCAAAAAACAUCGCACCGUAGGCGGACGCCGUCGUGUAGCGCUGGCUGGACGUCAGGUUCCAGGAAAAGGUGUCUGGCGUCUCGGGCGUCAAAUAAACCUGUUCAACUGCCCUGCAUAGCUGUACAAAUUCAGCAACCAAUCUCAACGAGCGUGGCCCAGUGAUAUGGCGCACCCAAGCAAAGUCCUGAAGCGCCUCAGCCACCGUCGUCCCCCAGUGGCGUUUAGGAACCGCCGCGAACACUGUAGGCGCAAGUUGACACACCCCGGAGCCUUGCAGCCAGCAAUUGACCCAAAAGAAGGUGGAUUCGCCACUUGCAACGGUCGAUGUCGUCAUGACUUUAAACAGGUCCAGCACUGCCUUCUCCCCCUGUUCUGGCAACGGUGCCCAGGAACGUGCUUGGCCCACCCUGCGCAGCCAGGGCCAGCGCACUCUUAGGGCAGUCCUUGCUCUCCUCAGGUCAGCCACUCCAAGGCCGCCCAACUCUCGCGGCCGACAGCAAACAAGGCAAGCCACUUUGCAUUUUCCACCUGAAACUGACGCAGCCCCAACCCAAAUGAAGCCUCAGCGAAGCUUAUCAAUACAAUCAAUCGCCCAGGGAGAAAGACAGAGAGCGAUGGACAUGUGCACGGGGAUUGCAAACAGGGUGUUCUGAACCAAAGUCGUCCUACCGGCUUCAUUUAGCAAAUUUACUUUCCAAAGUGGCAGUCUGGCAACCAACGCGUCAAUGAGUGGCUGCUGUCUCAGCUUGAAAAUAGAGAGAGGGAUGCCCAAGUAGCGACUGGGAAGUCCUCAACCCUGCAGUCUAGAAUCUGACGUACCAAAGCAAUGUUUGCUUCAGAGCAGUGCAGGGGCGUCGCGACACUCUUGUCCAGGUUGGCAAAAAGACCCGAGGCAGCACCAAAGAUCCGGAGACAGGACUUCAAGGCGUGCAGGUCCUGGUCCAAGGGUGCUAAGAACAUGACCAAAUCAUCAGCAUACAAGUUGACUCGCUGUACCUGACCAGCCAGCCCAAGCUUCGCCAACAUGCCAACAGAAUCCAGCCAAGACAGUACAUGAUUGAAGACCUCCAUAGCGAGCACGAAGAGCAUUGGAGAAAGUGGAUCCCCCUGUCGUAACCCCCUAGCAUGGCAGAUUCUUCUACCUGGCACACCAUUAGUGAUCACCUUCGUGCUUGCUAUGCAAAGGAUAGCCGAAAUCCAGUUUCGCCACCGUCUACCGCACCCCAUAUGUUCCAGAACCUUAAGCAAGAAAGUCCAGGAAACGAAGUUGAAGGCUUUAGCAAUGUCAAUUUUCGCACAAUGCUAGGGAUUUUCCUCGCGUGCAGAACCUUGCAGGAAAGGCGUACCGUCCUAAAAUUAUCUUGUAUGCAGCUACCCUUAAUAAAGGUGUCAGGCCAUUUGUUCCCAUCCGAUGUUUUGAGCAACGUGAUGGAUUCUGCUCGGAGCCGCCCCUUGUACCCACCUAAUUUUUUUUAGCCACUUGGAAAACUUAUUGAUUUAUCAAUUAAUUACUUUUUGAGCUGAGGCUCUAAGCAUACAUAUCUUGACCAAACACACACACGACGACAGUGAAGGCUGUUGUGCUCUCCACAUCCAAUUGAAAGUUGAAAGCGAUACAGUACCAUAUAUAUUAUUUCUCUCUUGUGGAAUGUGACUUGCAAAUAGUUUGGCAUGCAAGAUGCAAUGGACAGAGCCGAUUGAGACGCGCGGUGGACCCUGUUUGGUAGAAAAUCCAUGUGCUAGCUGCUGGCGCUCACCAGAGAUUCAGAGGAACGUGUCAAACUGGCCGGCCGGCCUUGAAUUAUUGGGGAGAGCACAGCACAGCCACAGGAGCGGAUCAACGACUGCGCAAGCUAGGAAGAGUCAACUCAACUGAUCAGCCACACGGGCCUUCGUGUUUGUGUAUAUACUGGGGCCGGGUUCCUCUUCCUUCUAAUCGGCUUAUUAUCGCCCAUGGAGGUGAUGAGGUGAUGUACGUAAUGGCGACCACCGCUUCGAAGGCCAUCAUGGGCGUCCUCGCUGAGAAGCUCAAAGCUCUUCUUGGCCGAGAGUAUGAUCUCCAGGUUGGCGUGCAUGACGACGUCAAGUCUCUCCAGUCCGAGCUGGAGUUCAUGCAUGCCUUCCUCCAGGACUACGACUACGCGAGCUACCGCCACUACCUGCAGCAGACCACCACCAGUGCCCAAGACAAGGUGUGGGUGAGGAAGGUGCGGGAGCUUGCGUACCAUGUCGAGGAUGCCAUCGACGACUUCACAUGUCGUGUUGGCCCAGCUCCGAAAGAGAUCCCAGACAUGGUCAAGCACUUCGUGUACACGCUCAUGGCUCGCCACCAGAUCGCCAAGCAGCUACGCCGCCUCCGACUUGAGGCGCAGGAGUUGAGCGAGCAGCGCGCGAGGUAUCCGCCAUUGGGCACUCCUCCAAGCUCCACUACUACCGUGCAAUUGCAAUGGCAGUUGCCGCCCCCGCCCGAUGAGACGACGUCGACCAACCUGCUGGUGGGAAUCGACGGACCACGGGAUGAGUUCAUUGCCAACCUUACAAGUGCUGCAAGAAAGCAUGGAUCUGGUCGCCGCCGUGUUGCUUCCAUGGUUGGAAUUGCUGGCGUUGGCAAGACAACCCUGGCCAAGGCUGUGUACCACAGCCUCGAGGACUCGUUUCAGUGCCGAGCGUUCGUCACUGUGUCAAGGAAACCAGACCCUAGAAGGGUUCUCAAGGACAUCCUGCAGCAGGUCAUGAUUACCACUGGGAGUGGGAGUUCCCCAGCCAUAGCUAGUAUGGAGACAUGGGAGGACAGCCAGUUCGUGGACAGGCUCAGAGACAACCUCAAGGACAAGAGGUUUGAUUCUGGUUCACCACCUAGCCUAGCUGUACCUAUUCUCUUCUUUUAUGAUCGAGUUUCAGUUGAUGUGUAGGGACUAGAGACGCUCUGCAAUUCCCUUAGUUAAUUGGCCUAAUUCGUUGGAUUACUGAAACAUCGAUUGUCUGGGAAGGUUCAGUUCAGAUUAUUGCUUGAACAACAGCAGGGAGUUACAGCUGGAUAUGAUAUAUGAAAUAAUCGGACUAAGUUACAAGCAAAUCCUGCUGCAUCCUCUACAAAAUGCUUCUAACCAAAAAUUAAUUUACUACUUCUUAUAAGCUGUGGCGUUUGCUACAAGCAAGCUUGCCGCUGAAUGCAUAUGAAGAUUUAGUACUUCAUGCUAUUUGUAGGAUUAGUAACUUAAAAGAGUUAAUCUGUAAGCAUUUCGGUUGAUUUUUUUUUUUUUAGAAUAAGGAAUGUAACAUUCAGGCCUCCGCCUCCAACGUUCAUAAGUGAAUGAGUUUUAUAGCCGCUUACAGUAUAACCCAUAGCACUUAGACUACGCUCCACCAAUUGAUUUUUUAUUGAUGUUUGUGUUGCAAUGUUCCUAUUUGUUUUUUUUACAACAAUGUUCCUAUUUGUUGAACAAUUCGAUUCAUCCGCACAUGGAUAUCCUUAAUAUGUUAUACUUCGAUUUAUAGUUAGUCAAAUAUAUGAUUUCUUUCCUUUUUGCUCAUCUAACCUCUGUUACGAUGGGAUGCAAUUAUAGGUACUUGAUCAUCGUUGACGACCUAUGGGAAAUACCAGCAUGGGACCGUAUUAGCCGCGCUCUCCCUGACAACUCUCUUGAUAGCAUGAUUAUCACAACUACUAGAAACGAGUCUGUUGCCAAAGCAUGCUGUUCACGGCAUCAUCCUGGUCAUUUCGUGUAUAAGGUAGCAUCUCUGAAGCACCUUGACUCAAGGACAUUGUUUCUUCGUCGAACUUUUGGCUCCGAAGAUAAUUUCCCUCAUGAUUUGGAAGAAUUGUCAACGAAAAUCCUGAAAAAAUGUGCUGGUUUGCCACUGGUCAUAGUCUGCAUAUCGAGCAUUUUGGCUACUAAAGGGAAAGAAGCAACAGAAUGGGAGAAAGUGUACGACUCCUUAGGAUCUGGAAGCAAUGAUGGUCUCUCUUGGUUGUGGCAAGCAUUUGAGGUUAGUUAUGAUGAUCUUCCUCAACAUCUCAAGGUCUGCCUACUGUAUCUUAGUGCAUUUCGAGAGGACUACGCAAUUAGAAGGGAUCGAUUAACACGCCGAUGGAUUACAGAAGGAUUUGUAGAUGAAAAACCUGGUAUGAGCAUGCAGGAAGUAGCCGAUAACAACUUCACUGAACUAAUUGGCAGGAACAUGAUCCAGGCAGUGGACGUUGAUUGUUUUGGUGAAAUUCAUGCAUGCAAAAUUCAUGAUGUGAUGUUUGAUCUCAUCACCAAGAAGUCAUCUGAAGAGAACUUUGUUACAUUCAUACAUGGUAAAUCCACAUCCACGCAGCGACAAUUUGUCCGUCGGUUAUCUCUAGACUAUGGCACCACAACAGAUGAUUUAGACUUGACAAAUUUCAAUGUGACUCAUGUUCGAUCAUUGACAAUUUAUGGGAACAUUAAUAAACUUGAUUCUGUUCCACUUGGUAGAUACCUAAGGAUGUUGGAUUUUGAAUGCUGUGAAGGUGUGAACAGUAGACACCUGAAGGACAUUGGUGAGUUAAUCCUUCUGAAGUACUUGAGUCUUAAGAGUACAUGGAUCAGUGAGCUGCCCCGGCAAAUUGGUGAUUUAAAAUGUCUAGAGACCCUGGAUUUGACGCAAACAAACAUAAGAGAGCUGCCAGUGGAAGUUGCCCGGUUGCAGAGGCUGGUACAUUUGCUUGCUGGUGGUGCAGAGCUACCACAAGGUAUUGGAAACAUGAGACCUCUACAGAUAUUAUGCAUUAGGGUAGCCUGUAAGAGGUCUAAGGAAGCUGUGAAGGAGUUACUUAGAUUAACCAAUUUGAGGAAACUAGACAUGACCUAUGUGCACCUGAAAGGGAAAGAGGGAAGAAAGUACGAAGAUGAGUGUGUGAAUACUUUGUCUUUGAUAAUGAGUGAACUCUUCAAGUGCAAGCUCCAAUCACUGCAUUUGAAUUUAUUGGGAAAUUAUUCUAUUAGUUCAUUCCUACGAAUCUAUCUCACUCCAUCUUUAAUCACUUCACCACCUGAUCAUCUUCAAAAUCUGAGAAUAAUAGGAGACUACGGUUUCCCUUACGUGCCAAGGUGGAUUGGAUUACUCAGUAAGCUCACUGAUCUGGAACUAACUGUCAGAACUAUGUUGGAGAAAGAUGUAGAAAUAGUUGCAAAAUUAGACAGGCUUGUCCGAUUCCGACUCACGGUGAAAGAGCCAUCUACAACUACAAAAGGCAUCAUCGUUCUGGAAUCCGGAUUUCCUUGUCUCAAGGAGCUAUUUAUCAGUUGUAGGAUCAUGCCGGUGUCCUUCAAUCAAGGUGCCAUGCCCAAACUUGAGAAGUUUGUGUUACAGUUCCAUGCUUACCAAGGAGAUUCAAAACGUACUUGCCCAAGCAUUGAGCAUCUCAAAUCUCUUAUUAAGGGAUUCCAAUUCAGAAUAGUAGUUGGCAAGGGUCUCAGUCAUCGUGAAGUCAAAGAUUUAAAAAAUACCUUCAAGAGUGCUAUUUUCAUAUAGCCCCCCUGCAGAGUGGAGUACUGGAGUAGCGGCAGUAAACAUGGAUGGGUAAAAAUAAAUAGCAACAAGUAAGAAAACAUCACAUUCCUUGUAUUGUAUCAACUGAAUUAGCUUGUAUCCUGUAACAUGAUAUCCUACUUUCUUUCUUGAAUAAAAGUUAUGUCGGCAUGUUCUGUGAAUUUUGGUACCUAAGUUCCUACCGGUAAAUGUAUAUAUCCUUAAUUCUAGAGAUAGAGAUAUAGACAUGAGAGUAACUACACGCGCGUGUAGAAAAACGCAUCAUAUAUUGUCACACCCUGGUUUUUAAAAGAAGACUAGAGUCGUCAUAUGUGUCCAGGAAGUCCACACAUAUAACAAAAGAAUAGAAAUAUCAGAAACAAUGUUAUAUAUAGCGGAAAACAUAUUUGUAAUAACACUUACAACUAUCAUAGUACGCGGAAACAGUAGCUAAACUUCUUAGGCUCCAUGGCUGACGGGGGGCUCCGUACGCCAAGCACUUCUGACAAGCUUCUAGAAACUCCAUGACAUCUUUGUCCGUCUUCUGAGGUGUGGGGAAAAUAGUAAGAGUGAGUUCAUGUCGAACUCAACAAGUAUAGGCGGAAAAUAUAAUGACAUGCAAGACUUAAUCAAAGGAAAAAAGCUGACACUGUUUAACUGCAGGUGAGCUUUUUAAGUUGACAAACUUUUAUUAUAAUCUCUUUUAUUUAAACAACCUAUUACUAAAUAUGAGUAAAGCAUCCCAAUCCGUAAUAGAUGAAAGUAAAUUAACAAUAUUAUUAGUCACCAUUAUAAUUAUUAUUAUUAAGAUCUCAGAUUUAGCAACCUCGGAUAGUAACUCGGGGUAGCAACCCAUUAAGAUUAUGGGAUAGCAAUCCCAAUUAAAAACACAGGAUAACAAUCCUGCCAACACGGAAUAGUCAUUCCGCCAAAGCACCAACCUAAAAAGCAAAGAAAGCCGAGGAUGGUGGUUGCGUGAGAGCUGACCUUGAUGGAAAGGACGGCUAGGGUUUCCAUAUUGGUGCAUGGGAACGAAGAGCAGACAUGAUGGGCACCAACCUAGGUCUGUGUCGUCGUCGGUGCCACCACCACACUGGCCAUGGCACUAGGAGCCGCCACCACCAAAGCCACCGCCCUAGGGGCCGUCGCUGCCAGGGCCAAUGCGGCUGUCUGGGCCAAUGCGCCACCCACGCCGAGGUUGGCUAACCCGAGCUAAAAACCACGAGCGUAGACAUCGGCGAGUGCCGGGAGAGGGAAGCUGCGAGAGGGAGAGGGAGAGGGUGAUAGGAGCGAGAGGGAGAGACUGAGAGAGGAAGGGGCGAUGGGAGCAAGAAGCGGAGGAGUCAAGAGAAAUAAUGAAGAAAGGUUGGACUGAAAGAGACGGGAUUUUUGGCCACCACACGAUCCCUUUUUUUUUGCUGGCCGGGACGCCGUACAGGACACGGGGGCACGCCAGCCUCCUGCCGAGCUUAGGCGUCUUAAUAAGAGUAAAUUUACGGUUUAUCUUUCUUUUCCUAUUUUUUUUCUCUGCUCGUUACAUUUUUUUUACUAUAAGUAUUAAUACUUUUUAAUACUACUUCCGUUUGUGUUUAUUUGUCACCAAACUUUCACUGUAGCAAUUUUGACGAUAUUCUUUUUUCUAAAAAAGAUUUUUAGAUACAUCAAGUUUUCACAUAUAUAGUUCUUUAUUGAACAUUCAUUAGUGUUAUAUAUAUUGAAGUAUCUAAGAUAUUUUAGAAGAAAAAAAAGAUGAUCAAAUUUGCUAUAGUAAAAGGUUGGUGACAAGUAAACACAAACGGAGGAAAAUAUAUAUUUAGUUAAAGUUAUUUCUUGGAAAACAAGAACAACAGACGGAGGGAGUACUUCCCGUUCACAUGUUUGGUUUCUCGAGAAAUCAAACUUUUUAAAAUUUGACCAAAUAUAUAUAUAAAUAGGAAGUACACUAAUAUUUAUCAUAUGUAAUAUAUAUUAUUAGGUUGAGCAUAAAAUAUAUACUUUCAUAAUAUAUUUAUUUACAUAUAUAAAUACUGAUAUUAUUUAAUAUAUUUCUAGUUAAACUUUAAAAAAAUUGAUUUUUUGGAAAGGCUGCAUUUACUUAUGGACGAAGAAAGUAUGCUAGUUGGUGACACUGACACCUGCAUUAUCAUCGUGGAUUCCAAGGAUAUGCAUAGCGAUGCAGCUAACACAUACCCCAGUCUUAUUCAAUUUCUUUUACAAAUUAUAAAAUAAAUAAAUCAUUACUAAAUAAUAAUAAAUUAAGUCAUAACAAAAUAAUCAAUAUUUAUAUAAAUUUUUUAAAUAAGACAAUUGACACGAGAUCCAAAACAUCACUUUCAAGGGGUAGGAGUAGCAUUGAGCUCCAGAAAAAAUGCAGAAACUAUAUAUAAUAAAUAUACAUCCCAAAAUAAGUAUCACUUUUAGGAUUCUUGAAAGAGAUGAAUGUUAUUUAAAAGUUACAUAUUUACUCAUCACAAGCUAUUUCAUCUAAUAAUUGCAUUUUGGGCAACAAUAUCAUCGACCGACUUGUCAGAUUGGUUAGUACAGCUAUAAUGCAGCUCAAUCUUCAGCAACUCAGACUCCAAAUAAACAAUUUGUAAUUCCUUCUCCAUAGCCUUAUUGCGUAAACCUUGGAGCUUUGCCUGCAAUGAAAGCUACAAAAUAAUAAGCAUCAUUGGAUUAUUUGCAGAUUAUAUUUUUAUAAUAAAUUAACUUAGAGACAUAAAUGUUAAUAAUAUUUACUAUAUACUCGAUCAAACUUUAACUUUUUUGAUCGGGACAUAUCCCAUAAUUGUAUUCUUUUAUGGACGGAGAGAGUAUCUAGAUAUAACAGAUUAACAAUAUAUCUAGAUACUUAGAAAAAUUGAUGUGCCAAACAAGUUAGAGCGACUUAUAAUUUGUAAUGAAGGGAGUAAUUCAUACACAGUUAUGUCAGAUCAACUGGGAAACAAAACCACACAUAUCUUGUUAGUCUGAAAUAGAUAUUUGUAAAAAUAGUUUAGCUAUAUAUGGUACUGACUACGUCUUCUUAGUGAAACAUAUACUCUGAAAUACAUAUUUUUAGAAUAAAAUUAUAAAUUGUUAAAAAAAAGCAUCAUGAUUUAGUCCUUAAUUAAGGUAGCAGAAAGUAAGGAACAGAAAUUACUGGAAAUCCCAUCUCAUGUUUGUACCAAAAUAAAAAAUGAGAGCCUAGGAGUAAUAGGCUAACUAACAUUAUAAUAAAGGUAGUAAGAAAGAAUAAAAAAUACACGGAAGAACUACUGGUCUUCUAAGGAUAAAAAUAGGUAGCUGUAAUAUAUCAGUGUAUAUUUGCGGUGGAAUUCUUAGAAAACUACAUGUUUUAGCUGCAAACACCAGAGUAAAUUUGGUAGAAAUAGUAACAUAAGUUUUAUUAAUUGAAUUAAAUUCAAAACUGUAGUAUUCCAUAUAUAUUACAUGAAUUUGGAAUCCAAAUAAAUUUCCAAUAAACUGCAUGCGGACAUUGUGCUCAAAUGCAAUCCAUUUGCAUCCAGGGCAGAAUGAAACUGAAUGACUAUUCCCUUGUUACCUCUUCUGACACGCUCUCUGUGUUAUACUUGUCAUUCCAGUACUGAGUGCAUAUUUCGUAGUGCUGCUACACACUUAGUACGUGGACAAUACCAUAAUAGAUUUAGUGUGCAUGAGUGAGAACAUGAGUCAUGUGUGUGACAGAGAGCACUUACUAGGCAGAGUCAUUGACAAUCUUAUCAUAUGCAAUCCUGAACUUUUUGAAUAUGAUCUAAUAUAUCAUAUUGCUGUAUUGAAAAUUCAUUUAUCAGAAUUGUCAUAUUGAGAAUUGAAUUGGAAUAUUGAACCAGCUGAUUACCAAAAAGCAAUAUUGAACCAGCUGAUUGAACCAGCAGGUUGUCAUUUAUCAGACAUGUACAACCUAAAAGCAAUAUUGAACCAGCUGAUUACCAAAAAGUAAUAUCAGGAAAAAGGUAACUAAUAUAUUAAAAGAUUCAAAGAAAAAUAUAAAAUUCAUGCUGAAUAACUAUUUUCAAUAAAAAAACAGGCUUAUGCAGCAGUAUAAUCUGGUUGCAACAAAUGCAGCAGGUCUACACUACAACUUAGAGGAGCUAAUGUACUGUUAAAAAGUGCCACUUUAAAUCAGCUACAAAUCUGAACAUUUGUGCAGUAUAACAAUUUCAUAAAGAUAUAUAGAUCUUAAAUAUGCAUAUUACCUCAAAGAAAUAUCAUUUUGAAGAUAACAAUACUGAUAGACCUAUGUCACCAAUAAUAAUUGAAAAUACCACGCAGGAUAAUUGAUAAAUAAACUCAUUAGAUCUAAAAUAAACAGUUCUGCAAUACAAAAAUAGCAUUCAUAUUGAACAAAAUAAGCACAUCUGCAACCUACAAUUUUUUUUAUAUCUGCAAAAGUGGUAGUAUAAAAUGAAUGUUGGCAAUUAAUAGAUGGCUCAAGAAAAACUUUUAAAAAAACUAUCUGAUACUAAAUAUGUGAACUCCUGAUACGAGUAAAAGAUACUAACACACUAGACCUACACCACCCAAAAAUGGGAACUCACGCAGACAGUAGACUUGAAGCAGGAUACAGAACUAACAUCUAAGAAAUAUAAUGUUGUUGUUUGAAUUUAGAUUUCUAACGACAAUUAGUAGACCCCAGUCUAGAAAGAUGUUGUAUUUCAUAUAACAUAAACAUGACAAGUCAGAUGAAUAAAAAGAAUGCAAAAUGACAGUGCAUGGGAGGUUGAGAAGAAAUAGAUUGCUACUGAAAAGUGAGUAGACCUAGGGAUAAUAAUACGAUUUUGGAACUAAUAUUAAUGUCAAUAAUUCCUGCACGGACACCACCAUUAGGACACCAUUUUCAGUACAAAAGUGCGGAUCUGACAUGUGAGUCAAUAAACAUAUAUAUAUUAAACAUGAGAUGCAUAAGAAAUGAGACUGAAUUUAUUUCCUAAUUUCCUACACAGGAAUUUUAACAAGAAAACAAUAAGCAAUGUCAAACUAUAUUUACUAAUUAGUGUUUUUUCGACUGACAAAGAAGCUAAAUGGAUGAAAUUAUGUGGAAAGUAUACUAAGUUAAGGAUACAUGCUGUUAAAGCACACACACAAGUUCUGCAUUGCCAGGAAGAAAUAUGAAAUAUUACUGAUGGUAAAAACCAUAUUCACUCACGGUAAAAACUGCAGUGUUUGAACUACAUACACAGAUUUAUGUCCUCUGAAGUGCAAGGACUAUCCAGACGAAAAGAAUAGUGAAAAAAACAAACAAGAAUCAGUUCUGAAUAAAAAAGCGAGGAAGCAAGAACUCAAUAGGAAAAACCACCGACCACCGGAUGCAGAUCCAAACGAACCCAGGCAGCAGCAUGCAGAUCCAGUCCACCACGAAUCGACCCAGUGUGAAUCGAACAAGAAAAUUAAAGGAGCAGCAUAUAUUAUGUUAGAAUGUUGAAAAAAACCAUGACCGAGCUAGAAGUGCAUCUAUUUAGUGACUUAGAAAAGAAAAGAAUAAUCUAGGGGAGAUGAAGGAGCACAAAACUGUCGACCAAAAUUCUGAAGAAAAAGAACAAAAUCAUGUAGAGAGAGUGAGAGUGAGAGUGAGAGUGAGACGAGUGUCGGAUUCGGAUCUGAAAGAGAGAGAGCGAGAGAGGGACAGUGAGAGAGACGGAGAGAGAGGGACGAUGGGAGAGAGACACCGAGAGCUCUGUAGAGGGAGAGAGAGAGAGAGAGAGAGAGAGAGAACAAGAGUGCUGGAGAGAGAGGAACAAGAGUGUAGAGAGAGAGAGACCGAGAGCUCUGGGAGUGUGUGUGAGAGAGUGUGGCGACAGGUAGGAUCGGAGAGAUUGACGGAGUUUGGAACCACGGCGGCGGCUGGGAGACGAGAAAAGACUGUGAUGAUUGGGAAUGGGAACUGUAAGGCUGUUUGGAUGUAGUUAGAUUCACAUCAAUUUAUAUGUGUUGGAGUGGAUUGGAGUGAAAUUUGAACUAAAUUUUAUCUCAAUCCACUCCAACGGCAUAGGAUACACGUGAAAACCCGUGGAUAGAUGAAGGCGGGUGGUGUCCCCCUACUGACAAGCAAUUUUGACCACCGUUGAAUGCAGAAUAGGAGAACAUUCAUACUGGUAGUUCUAAACCUAUUUUUACUAGCACUUUUAACAACUACCAGUGUGAAAGAUUAAUUAAAGUCAGCUAAUUUUAUGGGCGUCAUCUAAGAACCACCUUUGUAAAUAUUUACAGUAGCGAGUGAACCCUGUAAAUCGAUUUACAAUCACCGUUGUGAAUAAGGCUAAAAAGUUAGCAAAAAAUUUAUCAGGGAGAGUCGCGGUUGUGAAGGCUAAAAGAUUAGCAAAAAAGACUCACUACCUCAGGUCUCGCGGGAUACGUCGCCCCUUACCACUGCACCCCUAAAGUCACUUGUGUGACUGAGCACGAGAAACAAUCCCUAGUAUAUUUACUCUGUAAAAUUUUCAAAUGAAGAUUUGAAGCCUUAAGCGAAUUUGAAUGAAAAAAGUUUCAACUUUGUAGUUGUAGAUCUUUUCGAAUACUAUAAUUUUCAUUUAGACCAUGUAUCCAUUUGAAAAACUGAAAAAAAAAACUAACUGUAUUUACACUGGUGGUUUAUAGUAGCGCUAGGUUAAGAAAACAGUCCGUAUAAAAUUUUUACUAACCUGUAUUUCUACUAGCGAUAGACUUAAGAAAACAAUCACUAAAUGUAUUUACACUAGUGGUUUAUAGUUUGAGCCCACAGUUUAUUUGUAAUGGCGCCUAUAUAUUAUGAACCGCUAGUAAAAAGAUUACAACCAUUAGCAAAAAUUGAUUGUGACAAGUGGAAAAACCUUUCGGUGAGAUAGUAAGAGAACCAUAUUCAUGAAAAAAGAGUGUCUGGUUAUUUUUUGUAGAAUGUGUUUGGUUAGUGGUUACUCAGAGCAUCUCUAAAAGUUUCCAGAAAUUAGUUCCCAAAAUUAAUGAGUUUUCCAAGUCGUCAAAAAGAAUUAGAACCAGCAAAGAAGGCUUUCUCCAACCGUUUCCGGCCUCUAAUAAUUGCUUGCCAAUAAUUUAUAUUUUUUUAUUUAAAAAACACUCGCAUAUAGCAACAUAUGCAAACAUACCAUACAAGUCACUACAAAAAUUCAUUAAACGAGGGGUAUAUUGGACAUCAUGUUUAGAUUUGAAAAUUUUUGGCCAAAGUGGUAAAAAUUUUUGUGGUCAGAACUUUAGCUCAAAAGUCUGACGCACGCGAAAAAUUUUAGGUAUUUAGUUUGUCAAUUUUUUUCUGACACGACUUGGGCUGCAUGCAGUUGUUAUUGGUGGGCUUACAUGGGAGUGCGUGCACAGUAGCAGGUUCUGCAGCCCAAAAUUUUUGCCCCGUUUAGGCCUUGUUUAGUUCCGAAAAAAUUUCGGAUUUCGCUACUGUAGCACUUUCGUUUUUAUUUGACAAAUAUUGUCCAAUCAUAAACUAACUAGGAUCAAAAGAUUCGUCUCGUGAUUUACAGACAAACUGUGUAAUUAGUUUUUGUUUUCGUCUAUAUUUAAUGCUUUAUGCAUGUGCCGCAAGAUUCGAUGUGACGGGGAAUCUUGAAACCUUUUUGGAUUUCGGGGUGAACUAAACAAGGCGUUCCUAGACCCUAAUUCCACAAAAAAAAAUCUUUAGACCAAAAAAUUUCAAAUCUAAACAGACCCAAGCCAUUUAUCACCAAACUGGAGGGCAAAUGCCUAACCAAAAAGUUUGAUGAACGUGAUGUACCAUCCACUAGUGGAGGACAAAUGCACAACCAAAAUGUCCUUACCCAGCCAUUUAUCACCAAACAGAGAAGCUGUUCUAUGACUUUUGUACCAUCCACUAGUACAAAAUACUUUUAUAAUUUGUUAUUUGUUCAAUUGUUCUUGUGUUAUAACAUAUCAAAAUUUUGUUUUUGUCUGAGUACAAAAGAUAUAUUUUUUAAUUGUCUUUGCGCCCACACAAAUUAGAUCUUAUCGGAUUUAUGAUUUUGUCUAACGUGUUUUUAUUGUGGAAACCAAAAAUUGCUGCCUACACAGAUUACAAUGACCUACAGCUGCAAUUUUCAUAUAAAAUAUAUGUAAUAACCGUCGCACGAAAAUAAAUUCAAAUUCAAGCACCUGAAUUUUAUUUACGUGUUAGCAGUUGAUGGCUACUAGGUCAGCUGCAAGACAAGAUGAGCGGUAUUCGGCAUCUAAACGAUACAACACUCCCUCCGUGAUCAUAUUCUCACUUAUCAAGAUAGAAAUUAAACAUUUUAAACUUUGAGCAAAUAUAUCUACAAGAGAAUAUUAAUAUUUAUAUAAUAUAAUUAGUAAACUUAUUUUGGAGAUACAGAUAUUGUUAUAGCGACACUUACGAGAGGUAGUGGAACAAUGAAAUAUGAGCUAAAUAAGCACACAUAAUCACGACUAUACGCUCCGGCUGUAUACUGCAGAGCAUUACUCCAUUAUAUUGCACGACGAUCAUGCAUGUACCGAUCGAGAUGAGGUAGCUGCUUAGGUAGUAGCCUUGAGCUUGCCGAUGAACUCCUGCAUGCUCCGGUGGCUGGUGCCUCCCUCGGCGACGGCCAUGGCGGCCUCCUGGCUAGCCCUAGCCGCCCUUGCCCUGACCGCGGCGUCAGCCAUCGCCGCCUUCACCUUCUCCCCGAUCUCCCUGCCGCUCACAAUCCCGUCCUCCCCGUCCCAGCUCCAGCGCUCCAUCCACACCCCGACGCCGCCGCUCUCCAGCGCCAUGGCGUUCACGCGCUGGUCGCCGCCCCGCGGCCACGCCAGCAGCGGCACCCCGCACGCCGCCGCCUCCGUCACCGAGUUCCACCCGCUGUGGCUCAGGAACAGCCCCACGGCGGCGUGGCGAAGCACGGCCUCCUGCUCCACCCACCCUUUCGUCACCAUGCCCCGGCCCUUCACCCGCUCCAGGAACUCGUCGCCGAGGACGUCGCGCGGCUCCGCCGUGUCCUCGCGGUCGACCACCGUCGUCUUGAGCACCCACAGGAACCGGCACCCGCUCGCCUCCAGCCCUGCGCCCAUCUCCCGGAUCUGCUCGUGGCUCACGGCGAUCCGGCUCCCGAACGCGAUGUACACAACUGACCUCGCCGGCUGCUCCCCCAGCCAAGCAAUGACAGGGGAGGCCGCCGCAGCCGCCUGCUUCUCACCGGCCUCGGUGAAGAUGGAGCUGCUGCUGCUGCUGGGUGACGAUGACGACUUGAGCAGGCCGAUGGCGUACACCGGCGGGAAACCAGGGACCACCUUGCCAUCUCUCAGGGCGGCGAGCGCCAUGGGCUCCAGUGCGUCGAACGUGUUCACCAGAAUGCCAUCAGCUUGGCUCAGCGCACGGCCGUUGUCGAUGAACUGCCUCGUGAAGAGGUGGUUCAGAUCGUGCAGCGGCUGCGGGAGCGAGGACUGCCGGAUACGACGCACGCCGGGGAUGUCAACGUCGCCGACGCCGCCGCCGGCACCUGCGUCGUCGUCGUCCUGCUUCUUGUCGAGGUGGAUGGGGAAGUAGGCGACGAGGGAGAGCAUGGUGGCGCUCGAGAUGUACAGGACGUGGCAUGGCAGCUGCAGCUGCUUGGCGACUGGGAUCACGUGGGAGGCGAGGGUCACGUCGGUGACGACGGCCGAGACGCGCGGGUAAGCGCCGGCGAUGAGCCGGUCGAGGAGGUGCGCCGAGCGGCGCAGUGCCUCCCACCGGAGCAGGAACGGGUCGGUGCCCGGGAAGGCGGAGGCGUCCAGCGGCAGGAGGUUGAAGUCGACGCGCUGGAUGCUUGGGAGCGCCGCGAACAGCGCCGCGAAGUGGUCGGCCUCGGCGUCGGAGACUGUCGGGAGGACGGUCAUGACGGAGCAGCGGACGCCGUGGCUCGAGAGUGCCGUGAUGAAGCGGAAGAAGGGGACGAGGUGUGCCAUCCCGGCGCUUGGGAUGAACAUGACGUGCGCAGCAGCGCCGCCGCCGCCGUCGAGCUCUCCGGGGAUCGCCAUUGACCGUGGUGUAGAGGCGGGCAUGGAGUGGUCGAACACGUACUCGUGGUUUUUUUUUUCCUUCGCGACGAGCUCGCCGUUUCGUUGUAUGCGUGUGGUUUUUGUUUCCAGUGGCAGCAGAGCGUGGAACUAUAUAUCUAUAAAUUAAAGUAGUAGGCGCCAUAUGCACACAUGCGAUUAACUUGUACUCGCUCUAUCUAAAAUAUAAAACUUUUGAUUUUUUUUAACCUCAAAUUUGACCACUUAUCUUAUUCAGCAAAUUUACACAAAUAUAAUCAAAUUUAAAUUAUUUUUAAAGAACUUUUAUUAAUAAACCAAACUACGAUAAAAGAAAUAAUAUCUUACAUGAAUUUUUGAAUAAGACGAGUGGUCAAAUUUGUUAAAUAGUUUGAGGAUGGAUUGAGUACUCUUGUAGUAGGUCUUUGACUCUUUGCUGUGACUUCAAAAAAAAUAGAAUUUAUAAAUUAAAUUUAUGAGCUUAGCAUUAGAAGUUGUUAUAUUUCAGGUGCCUAAAUUGUUGACACACGCUGGCGGAUUGAGCUAUCCCGCAUAUUUUGUUCCGGAGAGCCCACGAUGGCAAAAUCCAUUUCACAAAUCAUCAUUCAAACGUAAAAUUGCUCGACUUUAUUUCUCUAUAAGCCCUGAGGUAGUAGUUUGAGCAACAAAUUUGAUCGUAAACUUAAAUUAGGUACCUUUGUGGGUAGAAUAGAACUAAAAAAAGGCUAAUUGUUUUAGGCCAGAAAAAUCCUGACCAUCCACGACCAUCUCACUGGACAAGCUGGCCCGGUCUUAGACCAAGCAUGAUCGGGGCCAUUCAUGCAAUUUCUAAUGAGAAAAAAAAAGACUUGAAGCUAGGCCAAGCCAAGACCUGCCCGGGCCACACACACACACACACGUACACGUACUUGUGAUUUCACGGGUAAGGCCUUUUUAUUUCCUCCCAAAACCUAAAAUUUUUCAAGAUUUUCGGUCACAUCGAAUCUUUAGACACAUACAAUAUUAAAUAUAGAUGAAAUUAUUGCACAGUUUAUUUGUAAUUUGCAGGACGAACUCUUUGAACCUAGUUAAUCUGUGAUUAGACAAUAUUUAUCAAAUACAAACGAAAAUGCUAUAUUUCUAAAAAAGUUCGUUAAGGAACUAAACACAGCCUAAAAAUGACGACUGGUGAACGUUAGAAACUACCCCUCCAUCCUGUUCAAAAGGUCAUUUUUGUCUUUUAGAUUCCUUAUUUGACCGUUUAUUUUAUUUAUUUUUAUGUAAAUAGUAAAAUAACUAAAUCAUUGCUAAAGUAUUUUUAUUGACAAAAUAAGUCAUAAUAAAAUAAAUAAUAUUUAUAAUUUUUUUUGAAUAAGAUGAAUAGUUAAAUAAGGAGUCCGAAAGUUAAAAACGAUACUUCAAGUAGGACGAAGAGAGUAACUCGUUUCAUUGCGCAUGUGUCUUGGUUUCUAGGGCGAGCCGAGUGAAAUUAUGAAUGUAUUUAGAACUAUUUCACAAACUUUAUUAAAGAGUAGCUUCAUAAAAAAAUUGUGGAGUUUAUAGAGCACUUAUUUAGGUGAUAUCACUGACUCCACCUUUUCUUCGAGCAGAGAGUGCGUGAAGCUGAUUCUGUUUAAAAAAAAAUGAGGCGCAGUGGUGCCAAACACUAAGGCCAGUUUCGGUGAUGUUUUAUCAGAGUUUUAUAGACAUUAAAUAUGUUAAUGUGACAAUGUAUUAAUGAAGAGAGGGGUGAUAAGAAUUUUAUGAUAAAAGUAGAGAGAGUUUUACGUGAAUAAAACUAUUCUACAUUGUUUCUAAAAUAUAUAUGUGUUAGAAACUGGAUUAUAAAACCCCACUGAGGAUCAGACGCCAUGUCUACAUCUGGAUUAACUCAUAGUCUGGUACUACAAUAUAAUGAUUGUUAUUACGAUUUGGAGUAGAAUAAUGCUUAUUUUUUUAGAAGUAGACAGUACAACAUACUCCUACCAGAUACUUCCUCUAUAUCCAUAAAAAAAGUCGUUUUGAAUAAAAUUUCAAUUAAACAUUAAGAAUAUAAAUUAUGAAUAACUUUUAGGUUGUUGAGAUUGGAAAUAUGAAAACUAUAUGAACUAGGUGAAUUCUCCGCGCGUUGCUGCGGGAAUUUCUAAAAAAUAAAUCAUUAUAUACAUAACAUUACUAUAUGAUAUUCAGUCUAUUAUGUAUGUAUACAUAUGAAUUUGACUUGCAUGUAUUUUAUUGUAUUAGAUCUAGUAAAAAUUUGCUAAACUAAUAGAACAAAAACUAAUAUAUGGUUACAUUAUAGAGGAAUUAAUUGGUGAUGAAACAAAUAGUGUAUGUACAUGACUUAUAUGUUAAUAGAUUAAAGAUUUAAAGUAUUUCACAUGAUAUAGAUGACAUGGUCUUUUUUUAUAAUUAAUAUAGGAUGACAUGGACUUAGUGGGGAAUGAUGUGGACACCUGAAGAGAGAAUUCAUCUAGUAGGGUUUAGCUUUAAGAGUUAUAGAUAGAUUUGUUUUGAAAAAUACUUUCAUAAAAAUAUAUAUAUACUGUAUUUUGAUAAAUUUUUUUAUAAAAAUAAAAAGACAAAGUUAGAUUUGGAGCGUCUGUUUGAUACUGCUCCAAACAAAACGCACGCUAGUAUUUAGGUGGUGCCUUUUAUAGACUUCCCGUGAUUACCCAACAGACAGAUAUGUCGAUCGGUACGUCCCCACCUAAUUAUAAUUAUUAAAGUGCGUAGAACGUCCUUGUUGCGGCCGGUGAGACUGUGAUAGUACACAUUUAAAGAUAAAGAUGGGCAGAUGCAAUAGUAAUGCACUAUAAUUAUUAAAGUGCGUAGAACGUCCUUGUUGCGGCCGGUGAGACUGUGAUAGUACACAUUUAAAGAUAAAGAUGGGCAGAUGCAAUAGUAAUGCACUAUUGUCUCGUCUCCUACCGUGCCAGCAACAAUUAAUCACAGUAGGCCUACGUGAUUUGGACGUAUACGAUAGUAGUAUGCUGAUGAUGAUUGUUGCAUCUCGAUUAUAGGGAGCGAAUUCGGGUACUCGCCCAUAAUACAUCAACACGACAUAGAUCAACUAAAUUAAGUUGAAAUUUUUAAAUGUAUCAACACAAAAUUUAAAUUUUCAGUUGUGUACACAAUUAACAGUACACAUCAACUAAAUUAAGUUCAAUAUAUGUAUGCAUAGGCGCCGGUCUCAAGCAGCAGCUAGGAUAAAAUGCAUCCUUACAAUAGCAUCACAGAUCAUCGAUAUAACUAUUGUUGCUGUGAUCAUCAAUAUAACUAUUGUUGAUGAGACUACCAGCAGGGUCAUGAAACGGACCAUCUGGGUGGAUGAUUCACUCCAGAAUGAAUUUGGAGAUCCUCUCUCUAAUCUCGCCCAUGCGAAUAACCGUUGUGUUCAAGUCAAAGCCCUGUAAAACACCAGUAGCCAAAGAGAUAAGGUUUUUCUUACAAAUAAAAGCAUUUAUUCACUAGCAUUUAUUCUUUGAUUAAAAGUAAAAUAAAUUAGAGACUUAGCACGUGUUUGCAAAGCAAGCAAAGCCCUUACUACUGUUGUUGGCACGUAGACCUCGUAACUUCUCGGUAGAGUAUAUUCCAAUAGCCCCAAAAUAAGUAUCACUAUACGUGGUCUACGUGCUAAUCAAACUUUCUUAAAUUUGACUAGUUUUAUAAAAAAUAUUAGCAAUAUUUAUAUCUUUAAAUAAAUUUGUUAUAAAAAAUAUUCAAUAAUUUAUCAGUGAUACUAAUUAAUUGUACAUCAUAAAUAUUAAUAUUAUAUAUAUGGUUAAAGAUAUUUAACUUCUCAAAAAUAAGAAUGUCACUUAUAUUUUAUGACGCGCAAGUAUAUGGGUUGGGUUAUAUGAGCAUAGCUCAUUAUAUGAUGCCUCUCAUUUGGUUACAUCAAACUCACAACAUCAAGCCUUACAUGUUGUUUUCUUACCGACUCAAAAUCACUUCUUAUUAAGUGAUUGAUACACUUACUUUGAAUUCAUUUUAGUAAAUAUUAUAGUGUUAUUUGAUACUCUAAACAAAUUCAAUUGUAAAAACCUUAAAAUAAAAAGUUUUAGAGUAAGGUUCAUGGUUGGUCCUCUAACUUGUAGAGGUAUGUCAUCCUGGUCCCUGAACUCAAAAAGUAUGUUAUUUUGGUCCUUAAACUCUAUUUUAGUCUCAUAUUCAUCAAAAUAGAUCUGAUCCCACAUGUCAGCUAUGUCUCUAACCUCUCAUCAUGGUCAGCUCAUCGACACGCUGUUGUUCAGCUUAUGCGGCUACAACAGCGGCGGCUCGCCUGCACACCAACAACAGCCUUAAUGGCAACCCUAGCCUUGGCCUUAUUCUCCUGAUCGAUGAGCACCAUGGUCGACUCUUUCAUCAGCCUUGAAGCUACGUUGGUAUGGACAUGUAGCCCGUGGCAUGAUGGUUCGAUUCGAAACCCGCAUUUUGGUCUGGCCCAAGCACAGCUCAACCUAGUAUUUGUGCGGGCUCAGGCUAGCACAACCUGAUGCAACAGGCCGUGCCUAGGCUGCACCCUAGCCACGCGGGCUGGCACGACACAACCCACAUUUUAGUGGCAUGUGAAAGGAUCAAGAUGUCUAAGGCCCUGUUUAGAUUGAGAACGAAAAUUUUUUGGGUGUCACAUCAAAUGUGUCGGAAGGAUGUCGGGAAGGGUUUUUAGAAACUAAUAAAAAAAUAAAUUACAUAGCUCGUCAGGAAACUGCAAGACAAAUCUAUUAAGUAUAAUUAAUCUAUCAUUAGCACAUGUGGGUUACUGUAGCACUUAAGGCUAAUCAUGGAGUAACUAGGCUUAAAAGAUUCGUCUCGCGAUUUUGAGCCAAACUGUGUAAUUAGUUUAUUUUUUUAUCUACAUUUAAUGUUCCAUACAUGUGUCCAAAGAUUCGAUGGGAUGGAUGAAAAAUUUUUGGGUGAGUAACUAAACAGGGCCUAAGAGAAGGUGAAUUGGGCUUUUCUUGCAAUAAUUAAGCCCUACACUUAGCCUAUUUUACCCAUAGUGCCUAAAUGUGUUCUCUAUUGUUCUACCACACAAAUGUUUUGCACCAUAUAUUCGAAUCCUACUCUAGAUAACAAUUCUAAGAAAAUAAAGACAUGAAUUGAAUUGCUCAAAGUAAAUGCUCAAAGUAAAGAGAGAGAGGAUUGCGAUAAUGUUUUUUCAGGUAUCAGAGAGUCACCACUCUUUACUAUUCCUCGUUGGAGCACCCGAGCAAGGGUGUAGCUCUCUCUUGAUCCAUGCAAGAAUCAAAUGCUCUCUAUGGGCUAAUUCUUCAACACUAUGUUAUGGUAAAUUGCCCAGAGCCGCUCACAUGAUUUUUAUAUUGAUGACUUGAAAUAAAAAACUCAAAACCAAAAUUUUAGACGAAAACUUUUAUAUAAAAUUAUCUUCACUUUGGACGAAAACUCCGCUAUACCUACCUCAGAGCACGUAGCACAUGCUCCGCCACUCGUUUUACCUACCUCGGUGGUCUUCGUUUUUAGGCUUUCUUUAGUUCUAAGAAAUUUUAAGAUUCUUCAUCACAUCAAAUCUUGCGGCAUAUAUAGAGCACUAAAUAUAGAAUAAAAAAUAACUACUCCUUCCAUUCUAAAUUGUAAGUCAUUCCAAGAAUCUUGGAGAGUCACAAUUAAUUUUUUACAGCUCCCAACUUCUCAGAUUCACAAUCUCAGUCUUAGAUCAUAGAGGUGACAUCAAAAGAUAUGUAACAUAAAAAUGAGUUGUGAGGAUACGCCGGGAAGAGAAUGAAUAAAAAUGGGGAGAGAAGAGAAUAAAUUAGAAAAGAAAAAAGAAAUAAAAAUAAGAGGGGUAUUUUUUUCUAUCUCAAACUAUAUUAUUAGUGUAGAACGAAUAUGUUGAUAUGAUUAAUAUAUGAAGAUGAUAGGUCAUUUCCAUGAGAAUGAGAUAGUGUGCCGUCACAUGUGUUAAAGCUUAAGAUUAGUUGUCUGGUCAUAUUGCUUGGAAUAUUGAUCUUACAAAUAGACUUUGUAAUGGUACCAGACUUAUUAUACGGGGUUCCAAAAGAAUAUCAUAGAUGCAGAAAUUAUGUUAGAACAACAUGCUGGAAAGAGGAAUUUUCUACCUCGUAUAGCCUUAUGCUCGUUGAACGAUGAGAUGUUCCCAUUCUAAUUUAAAAGAAAAUAGUUUCCAUGAAUUGAUGUUAAAUUGCGUGUCAAGAAAAAUUCAAAAAAAGAGUACAUAUUGAUAAACACAUAUGACGAAUUGAUGAUUUUUUUAGAAAUUGAACUUUUUUAUUUGCAAGUGGAUCAGAAUAGUAUGUUUGUCUAUAUAUUUUGACUCGACGUAGUUUUUUAUAUUAUUGUUGUAUUGAAAUUUUAUUCCCGCGUAGCAACGCACAGGCAUAUGCUAGUGACUCAAAACACUAAGAUUAGAUAGAAAUUAGCUAAGUAUAUAAAUAUUACUUGUUGAUCUUGCAAACGGACUAGUGAAAAUCUAUUUAUCCAAUGGUUAAUAGGAAAUGAGUCAUAACUCUUCUAGUAUCUUCUAGUAUCUACUACGACCACUGAGAGGGCUCUUGCAGGAAACUUGUCAAGACACAUAGCAGAAGUAUAAAUGGUUGUGUGCAUAGCAGUAGAUCGGCCUUUUUUUUUUUCUCUCGAAUGCAUUAAGACUGCUGGAGGCUGUAAAUGGUUGUGUGCCUUGCGAGACUGGAAUGAAAUUCUUCUCUAAAAUGCUGAACAUAUUAUAAUUUAUUUCGAACAGAAUGUUCUUACAACAUCAACAAAUCCUCGAUUAUUGAGUUGGGCUGAAAACACACACAUGCACACAACUGAAACAGGAACACACCUCAUCAGUCACAUUAUUCCAGCUAUUAUCAUGUAUCCUGAGGAAACUUUCUUGCAGGGAGCACUGCACCUUGAUGGAGUGCAUCACAGAGUCUCUUCAAGGACGCAUCCGACGACCCGCCCUCCUCGACGGCCCUCCGGCAAGCCGCCUUCAUCUCCCUCGCCUUCUCCCUCGCCGCCGUCCCCUCGGCGCCUCCCAUGAGAGCUCGGACUGCCCGCUCCAGCUCGGCAGCCUCCACGAAGUUGUCCUCCUUCCGACACACCUCCAUGGCGACGGCGACCCCCAUGCCGGCCACCAGCGUGAAGGCGUUGUAGUGCUGCUCGGCGGCCCACGGCCACGGCAGCAUGGGCACGCCGAACCACAGGCUCUCGAGCACCGAGUUCCAGCCGCAGUGCGUGACGAAGCCUCCGACGGCGGCGUGCGCCAGGAUCUCCUUCUGCGGCGCCCACUUCGGCCACACGAGCCCCCUGCCUUUCGUCCUCUCCAAGAACCCCGGCGGGAGCAGCUCGGCCAGGUCCCCGUCCGAGGACAGCUUCGUCCCGUGCUCCGGCGGCCCGCGCAGCACCCACAGGAAGCGGUGGCCGCUGCGGUCCAGGGCGUGCGCGGCCUCGUGCGCCUGCCGCGCGCUGAAGAACCGCGCGCUUCCGAAGCAGAGGAACAGCACGGACGCCGGCGGCUGCGUGUCGAGCCACCGCACGCACUCGUGUUCCUCCUCCUGCUGCUUCUCCGCGUCGGCCGGCGGCGGAGUAGUAGUAAUGGUCGCGGCGAGGACUGGCCCGAUGGUGUACACCGUCGGGGCGCGGUUCCCGCGCGUGCAGCACCGCCCGUCGGCGAUGGCGGCCAGAACGUGUGGCUCGAGCUCGGCGACGGUGUUGACGAUGAUGCCGGCGGCUUCCGUGUAGCGCCGGCCGUUGUACAGGAACCAGCGGUAGGUCGGGACGUUCCUGUCGACCAGUCCCGACGGGAGGCAUGACGCCGGCACCGGCGGGAGGCCAGGGACGUGGACUACGCCGCCGUCCAUCUCCUCGAACUCGACGUCGCCGGCUGCGGCGGCCUCGUCAUCGAGCGCAGGGGAGUGGAGCAGGAGCGCGCACAUGGCCGCGCUGCAGAUGAGGUACACGUAGGCGGGCACGGCGAGUCCGUGCGCCGCGUCGAGCAGCGGCGUGCAGAAGAUGUCGACCACGACGGCGGCCACGGGGCACGUCAGGCCGGCGACGGCCGCCGUCACGUGGGGCACGUACGGGUGCACGUUGAGGGAGAUGAACUCCUCGGGGCCCGAGUAGUAGGUGGUGGCCACGGCCGGCGGAGGCUCGGCUGCCGCCGGGAGGUGGUGGAAGCGGAUGGCGAGACCGAGGGCAGCGGACUCCGCCUCCACCUCGCGGAUGUGGUCGGCGAUCUCGGACGCGCGCUUCUCCGACGGCGCCGGCAUGAUGAGCACGGUGAGCGUGAGCCGGCGGGUGCUGCGUGCCAGCAGACGCUUGCCGGCCUCGAUCAUCGGGACGAAGUGGCCGACGCCCCAGAUUGGAACCAAGACGACGGUCGGGUCGGCGUCGGCGUCGGCGCUCGUCGUCAUGGCGUGGGUGGUGGUGUUCGGAUUCCGGGUGGAACGGAAGGAUAGACGACGACCGAGGAGCGGAAGGCCUCCCCUGUGGAUGUGCUUGUGCCUGUACUAUGUUGUCAUGGGUGAAAAAAAAAAGGUUUGAAAGAAAGCGGGCUGGCAGUGGGCUACAACUGCAAAGCAGCAGCUGCCGACUGUUCGGUUGGGCGAAACGAGAAGAGAAGAGAUGGGAAGAGUUAGGCACUCACAAUGCAGACUCUAUCAUAGAGUCUAAAAUCAUUUAUUAUCUCGAACAAUAUGGACUUGAGUCUAAAUAAGACUUGGAGUCUUAUUUUUUUCUACCUCUUUCUUCAAUAAAUAUGGUGCCACAUCAACAAAAUACCAUAAAUAAUAUGUAAUUAAUUGUCUUGGACUCCAUGAUAGAGUCUUGAAUUGGGAGUGCCCUUACUCAGCGCGCAUUGAGAGUUGGGAGAGCAGGCCUCCAGAAUCGUUGUUCAAAUAGAGCCAGGUUUUUGGAGAGCGCCUCUGCGACUGCUUGCCAUCUUUUUUGGAACGUUACAUCUCCUUUCUAGUGGUGCCUUUUCUUCGUCGGAUCGGCUUCGUCUACUUCCCCGUGGGCGUUCGAGAGAUGGCACUGCGUACAUCUUUCCGUACCAAUUGUAGUCCGUGGACUUCAAGCUUUCCAUGAGUGGGAAUGGAGCCACCGGUACUUUGAGCAUGGGUCCUUCCACAGGGUAUAUCUCUAUUCUCAAAUGGGUUAAAUUCAAUGUCUUUUUCGCUAUGAUCAGUAUGUUGUUCAUGAACAUAUUUGCUGCUAAUCCAAGUAGUAGUAUAGUCACACACAUGCAUAUAUUUGUCAUAAAAAAUUUACUACUAUAUUUCUUGAUUAAUUUUAACAUAGAAAUAGCUAAAUUUCUAACAGGGAGAUAGGAUAUUUUUAUGGUGACCACUGGCCACUAAAACAUCAGAGCUAUUGCAAAGCUGUUGGAGCAAUAAAAUUACUUCAUCUUCCCUAAUAUGAUAGGUUUAUGGAUACGAGGGAUCGUAUUGGGAGUUGUUGAAUAUGCUUUUAAGGAUCCAAAUUGGGUUGCCAUGUUAUUAGGUUUUAGUAGUCCGUUUCAAUGCACUAUUUUCAAAACAAAUCCGCUGACAGGGCAUCAAUGAAACGAAUAAUGAAACAACCUCCACAAUGCAUGAGUUUCACCUUGACGUUUCCUAGGCUGGGCAAAAUAUUUAAUUACUGCAGAAUGAUUGGAUCACAUGCAAGAUGGUGAAACGAUUUAGCCCUCAGUGGAGAUUUCAUCCUGUUUCACCGCGUGGGAAACAACGCCCGCAGGGUUUCACCAUGGUGAAACUACUUCCUUCUCUCUCCUCUUCGUUUCAUGCAAAAAGUGCAAUUUUGCUGACAUGGCGCUCUAACAAAUAUGCAUGACAUCCUGAUGAAACCCCCACUGAGACUGGCCUUACUCAUGAGGUCGGUUAUUAGACGAAAAAGGAUUAUAAAUACUAAAUUUCUCAUAAAACUAAAAACAGUUGACUAUCAAAUCGUAGACUACAAUCACAACUGAUAAUAAUAAUAAUUAUGUUAUUAGUUCUAUUGCAAAUAAUAAGAUUGUAGUCCGUGCGUGAUAGAUAUAUUAAUAUAAUGGAGUACUAGUAUAAUCCCCUAAUAAUAAAGCAAUGAGAUUAAACCAGUCUCAAUACAUGUUUCACAUUAAAUAAAGUGUCACAUGAGCAAAAUUGCUGACUUGGCAGGGUCAUUAAAUGAAGUAGUUUCGUCGGAUGAGAGAGGAGUUUCAUCUCCAUAAAACUUAUGUGACACAUCGGUUACCUAGUUUGUAGUCUUGGUAACUGUGCUAUGAAGACUCGCCCUACCGUCACGUGCCGUACAAGGCGCUCGCCGUGUGCAGACUAAGCGCACGUCCGAGCUCCGAUCCCCGGCCCUGCAUGCAUGCACUGCACAAGCUUUAUUUCAACCUGCGAUCCCGCCGCCGGCAUGCAGCCGUCGAGCAGACUUCGAGGACACAUUCUAUCUUGAGGCAGUCGCCGCGGACGAAGCCGGUGCCCUUGAUGCCGCCGGUGCCCAUCAUGUCGCACCUGUACGCGCUCGCCGCCGCGUCGAACCGCGUCGGGUGAUGGUCCCAGAUAACGGUGUCCGAGAGGCCGGUGGUCUGGUCCAGACGCAGGAGGCCGACGUACGCCCGCGCCACCACGCCCUCGGUCAGCAGCAUGACGAAGACGCCCAAGUGUCCGUGCUCGCCGUCGCCGUCGGAGCAGCCGGCGGCCGGGUAGUAUGAUCGGAUUCGGAUGGCCCAGUGGAGGCCGGCGACGGCGAAGGCCGGGGACUCUACGAAGCCGCCGCGUGCGAACUGCUGCUCAUGUAGCCUACUGAAUCCGCGGACGUGCACGACGUGCGUGCCGCGGGCCGUUCUUGUCACGCGCACCGGCAGCCGGGGCGAGUGUCGCCGUGCGCAGGCUCGCCAAUGGCGGCAGACGGCGCUGAGAUGGACGCGGUCUCUGCAGGAAGGGAGACGAGGCAGGAUGUGGCCGAACAGGUCCGAGGGCAGAUCGCACCACCUCAUCACAACUCCCGCUUCUUGCUCCUGCAGCAACUGCAACCCGCUGAAGCCGCGGGCCGCCGCCGUUCGAGUCACGCGCAUCGGGAGAGUGUUCGACGUCGACGCCGACGCCGCCGACGCCAUUGUUUCGCAGGUAAUAACGUAGUGCUGUUGGCCUGUUGCUCGAUCGAUGUGUGUGCCCAUGCACAGCCCACGCGAUGUUGGUUGUGCCUGUGUGUUAUUUUAUGUGCCAGCGGGAGAGAGCCCCGCCCCCGCCCGGCCGAGUAUGAUUUUUUUGAAACUGAUACGGACGUCCUGUCCUCGUACUGGUACAAGAAAAAUCUGAAACGGAUACGUAUAUGGUACUGAUAGAUAUCUGGGACACGGAGUAAAUAGUGUUGCUCGGCCUGAACAAUGAGCUCCUGCAUGAAUAUUUUCAACUUUAGGGACUGCUAAAGAGAGCAUGCACCUGAAUAAUAUUGUUUUCUAUAUUAUUAACCUGUACUAUGUUUCUUUCUUCUUUUUUAUUUUUUUAUACGUACAACCAGAAUUUUCAAUUUCUUCUAGUAACGUGGGGUUCUUAUAGUGUUUUAGUAUUUAAAAUUUAGUAUAAACUUUCCCUAGUAAAUGUCUCCUAGUGAGGAUUUCCUAGUGUUUAACUAGUGGUAGUGUUUUAUUACUAACUAAAAACACUAGGAGAACUCCACCUUUUGGUAGUGGAUGGUAAUAAUAUGUAUAGAUGUCUAAACAGACGGACACCAUUGUCCACUUGUUUUAUCCGCUCUCGAUUGCUGCCCCCUUCUCUCCUCACAUCUCUUUAUCCACUCUUUUCCAUCUCCCUCUUGGCUUUCGUCUCGCUGCCCCCGCCACUCAUGCCGUCAGCAUCCGCACUCCUACCGUGCCACUGGCAAGCUGUCCCUCCCCCUCUCUCCCUCACCCCGCUACGACCUCCACGCCUCUAUGCCACCGGAGUGGGGGCGACGAUGGUGGCUUGCAGCGAGCGGCAUGCCUCCCUCCCUCGCUCUACAACCUCCAUGCAUCCGGAGAUGAGGACGAUGGCGUAGCUCCGACAAGGUAGGCGGGGAGGGCCGGAUUUGGAUCUAAGGCCGCCCUUUCCCCUCUCUCCUCCUGUGGGUCUAGAUCUGAGCCCUCCUCAUCAUCAUCUUGCUCCUCCUCCUCGUCCUCCUCUUGCUCUUCCUCCUCUGGGUCUGGAUCUAUAUGAAAUAUGGUAGUGGCUAAGGUUUCGGCAACCUCUUGGGCUUCAGCGCUCUCGCGCGUGUUGUAAUGGUGUUAUCUGGUUGUUGCAGUACGUUUUCAGGUGAUGUUUCAAUAGGGUAGGAUUUCGGCGAGCUCUCAGGUUCAGGUCUCAUCAUUAUUGCAAUGGUUCUCUCUAGACGUUGCAGUAGGUUUCAGUCGUUUGUUGCAGUACUGUGUUUUAGAUGUUGUUUCAGUUGCUUCAAUCUGGAUGUUGUGGUAGUUUGUUUCAUGUUGUUGCAGCAGUUGUUCGGUGUUAUUAUAGUACUAUGUCCAUGAUGUUUUAGUUGCUCCAUCCAAUGCUUCAAUUUGCACUAUUAUAUUAGUUGUUGCAUGUUAUUGUAACAAUUGUUCGUGUUAUUAUAAUAUUAUGUUCAUGGUGUUUCGGCUGCUCCGUCCAAUGCUUCAAUCUUUAUUGUUGUAUUAGUUGUUACAUAUUGUUGCAGCAGUCGUUCAUUGUUGUUGUAAUACUAGGUUCAUGGUGUUUCAGCUGCUCCAUCUAAUGCUUCAGUCUAUAUGUUGUAGUAGUUGUUUGCAUGUUGUUGUAGCAGUUGUUAGGUGUUUGUUGUAAUACUAUGUUUUAUAGUGUUUCAACUACUUCAACCUAUUGUUGUACCAGUAUGUCCGGUUCGGUGUUGUUGCACAGUCAUGCACAUUGUGUUACAGCGUUAAGCGUAUGGGGGUAGGGUGCGGGGAUGAGUUGGCGGCAAGCGGAUGUGCUAGGGGCCGGCAAGGCGAGGGGCAGGGUGGAUCCCGUGCUCAUGGGGGUGGGACGGGAUCCUUGCGUGGGAGCGGACAAAGAGUGAUCCUACGUGCAGAGCGAGUAGGGCAUGGGCGAGUUGGUUGGAGGCAGACAUGUUUCCUUUUCAUUUUAUUUUUUUUCUUUUCUUCGUGUGGCACGGGUGGAGGGCUCAGCUCGUGGACGCGUUGUUGGCGCCUUCUUUUUUUCUUUUCUUCAUGUGGCGUGGAUGGGGGCUUAGCAUCCGGACGCGCUGCUGGCGCCGAACCUGCUGGCGCUAGUAGUACCGUUUUUCGUAUACUAAUUUUUCAGUUACAACUAUGACAUUUUUUUCUCGAAUACACAAGAGAUCUGCAUAUCAUUAUAUUAAGAAAAAAAGUUUAUAAUACAACCGACGCGCAACAAGCGCGCUAGGUGAUCACUAGCUGGACUGACCUAGCAAAGAGUUCUGUGGACCGGUAUUACAUAAAUGGAUCAACCAUAAUACGCUCAACGUCACAUCCUACGAGUCCUCCUCCUAAAAGAGCUUGCGCGCACGCCCGUUAAACACUGAACGACAAGGUCCCAGUAUGCUGGGCGUCGAGUAUCCCUCUUGGCGCAGGCAAAUCCGGUGCGGUUGGUGGAGUGAUCCCUAGCCGCCUGUUUAGGAGAACCUCGCCUCACUUGGAGGCCGGGACGAUGUGCGCCAACGGUUGGGCGGCAAUCCAACUGCUCCUAGGCCCUACAGGCGGGGGCCUCCUGAUAGCCGUCCUCUGCUGUGGAGGGGUUAGAUUUAGUGAUUUCAUUAGUAAUGUCAUUAAUAGUUAUAGAUGAUGUGGACCUUAUGUAAGGACAUGCAUAAACUUGUUCCACGGAUAGGUAUACCUCCGUCUCAGAAUAAAUUAUAGAGAUGUUUUAAGUGAUUUUUUUAAGUUUAAUCAAAUUUAUAUAGAAAAAGUAUAAUUAUUUGUAAAAACAAAUCCUCACAUUAUGAAAAUAUAGUUUAUGGUGUAUCAAAUCAAAUGAUACUAAUUACUGUUAAUUUGGGGAGUCUCAGGGACUUGUCGGCACCAAGCCAACCUGUCUUCAGGUCAAGUGGCCAACAGAAUGUAACACGGCAUGGUAACUAUCAGUUCACCUGCAAUUCCUUUUAACAAAAAGUUCACCGUAAGUCAUGAAGAAAGAUAAUUUUCAGUUUGGAAACUUUUAUAUAUAUGUCCAUUUACUUUGUUUUUUUAUCGAUAACACAAAAAGUUUAUACGUCUUUGUAUUACUAAGGUAGAGAAAAAAGUUUAAUAUACAGAGUAUAAGUGUAUAACACGCCUUAGCAGCGCCCUAGGUGGUUAGACUCUCGGACCCUCACGGCCUCACUAGUGUACUGGAAACUUGGUAUACUUGUGUAACUCAGCAUACUAGCAACAAAAAGUGGUUCAUGUUAUUGACCAAUGCUUAACCUAUUGCUAAUUCACCUGACGCAAAUACAUCAAUGUGUUGCAACAGAGCCCAAAACCAGAAAGCGAAUCAAGGCCAACUCAAGUCAUCAGCUUGUGUUCAGAUCAAAUCUCAAAUCUAGCAACCCUAUAGUACAAUUGAGGACAUCGAAGCACAUGCAUUUUCAAGGGAGAGGUCGGAGCUGUGAAUUUGUGAAGUAACACAGAACGCAAACUUAACACAAUUGCCAAUAGAUAAAGAUUAGCAGACCUGAUGAUCAUAUCAGUUUCAGACUUUCAGUUUUUUUUUGGAUGUUUAACGUCCUUCAGUUCACUAGACGAAUACAUGAAAUUUUGUUUCCUUGAUACGAUCCUACCAUCAUCCAUCUAAUUCAAGGGACUUAAACUGAAGGCAAACAUCUGUUAGCGCCUCGCAGUAGUGUCGAUCAGCCAAGGCGAGCGUCGUCUCCACCGUGGCUCCAUCGACGCUCCUGCACAAGAUGCUCUCGCAGAUCAGCUUCAGCCGUUCCAUGCCGUACCGAUCCGCCGCCUCGAGAAGAUGCCGCACCAUCUCCCUGUAGUCGUCGUCCCCGUCGAGAUCGCCGGGGAGCAGCAGCACGUCGGUGUAGAUGAAGUGAAGCAGAGCUCUAAAGACCACCGGCUGCAUGUCGUCGACGGCGAUGCGAUCCAUGGCCUUCUCCUUCAUAUCCCCGAAGAGCUCCGCCAUGAACACCGGCGACCGCGCAGCCAGCACCACCCUGUGCGCGCGGAAGAUCUCUCCUUGGACGGCGAGCGUGACGUCCGCCGCUUGGUCGCCAUGCUGCUGGUUCAGCAGCAGCUCGCCCAGGUGCUUGGCCAGGUCCGACGGCGGCAGUCUGAGUUUGCACAGAGCUACGGCCUCUGGCACCCGCGCCUCGUCGGCGACGACGUCGACGACGCACUCGAUCGUGAGCCGGUCGUCGCGCAGGUACGCCGACGCCUCCAACUCGCUCCGCGGCAUGAACUUGCGGGCGCCGCGCUUGGGCUUGCACUUGCCGGGCGGCGGCGGCGCCGAGUAGACGAACACGACGGGCUCCGCGGCGUGGUGGACGGAGCGGGACAGCCCCGUGCACCGGUCCACCAGGCGCAGGUCGUAGCGCGCCCACGCCCUGGCGUUCUUGCUCGUGAGCUUGACGAACGCCGACACGUACGCCCGGUGCGGCGCCGAGAAGCCGCCAGGGUAGAAGCGGACGGACCACCGGUAGCCGCCGACGGCGAACGAGCCCGACCGCACGUACUCGCCGGCGGCGAAGCCCUUGAUGAGGCUGUACCCGACGAUCUCGAACUGGUGCGUCCCGCGGACGGUGCACGGCGACGGCGCCAUUUGUGAAUUUGUGAUGGAUUGGAUGUUCAAAUUCUGACGCCGCCGUGUGCGUAUAUAGAUGACGACGGUGCAAGUUGAAGAAGUUUAAUCGACGAUCACUGAGUUUCUGGCUGAGAAUUCCCAUGUCUUGGGAACAUGGCGCGACCUCCUCGACUUCCAAACCGCUGAUGACUGACCCCUCGUGUUCUUCACUCAUCCAUCGAGUUCUGGACUCUGAAAUCCGCUCAAAUUCAUGCACCGAACACAUUCUUCUCUUCUUCUAUAUAUAUAUAAACAUACGUACACACACAGUGAUCAUGAACACGAACAACACGAGUGCACAAGAAGUCCUUGGUGAAAAAAUGGCUCUGCCAGCGAACACCAAGUCGACGAACACGACGGAGACAGUGCGCGGCGAGCACCGGUUCGACAUCGACGGGUACAGCGGCAAGCUCCGGGCUGGGCGCGUCGUGACCUCCGAAACCUUCGCCGUCGGCGGCCUAGACUGGGCGAUCCGCUACCACCCCGCCGCCGCCGAGGUGGGAGACGAAGAGUACGUGUCCGUGUUCGUCAAGCUCGUGACGCCCAACGCCAGAGCGUGGGCGCUGUACGACCUCAGGCUUGUGGACCGCGCCACGGGGCUGCCGCGCUCGGUGCGCCGCCGCAGGGAGCCGGUGGCGUUCGACGCGAGCAAGGCGAGGAAGCGCGAGAGGGGCUCCCGCUUGUUCAUGACGGUGAGCGAGCUGGCGGCGUCGCCGUACCUCCGCGACGACCGACUCACCGUCGAGUGCGUGCUCGACGUCGUGGAGACGUUCCUCUCGGAGACCACGGCGUCUCCGGGAACCGCCGAGCCGCCGCCGCCCGACCUGUCGAGGCACCUCGGCGCGCUGCUGCUGCAGACGCCGGUGGGGGCGGACGUGAGCUUCGCCGUCCAAGGAGAAACGUUCCGCGCGCACCGCGUCGUGCUCGCGGCGCGGUCACCUGUGUUGAAGGCCGAGCUCUCCGGCUCGGCGCCGGCGAAGGAGGACGACGACGACGAUGCAAGUGAGGUGGUAGCCGUCGACGGCAUGGCGCCUCCGGUGUUCAAGACCCUGCUCCACUUCGUCUACACCGACACGUUGCCGGAGGAUCUGCUGGGUGAUCUUGGAAGGGAGGAGCAGCAGGAAUUUGUGCGGGAUCUCCUCGCAGGUGCGGAUCGAUACGGCAUGGAUCGGCUGAAGAAGAUAUGCGAGCUCGUUCUUAGGAAACCACUUGAUGCCAAGACCGUGGCAGCUGCGCUAGAUCAGCACCGCCAUUGCCAAUGCCAAGCUCUCGGAGACGGCAAUGUUCAGUUCAUGCCAUCCGCUUGACUGCAAAGAUGAGCGAACGACGCACCGUCAGAAAUUGUUAUGGUUUGGUCCAGUUAUAUAUGUUCUGAUGCUUGUCAAUCAUAUAUAUGUUUUUUUUUAAAUAAUUAGUUAAAAGUAUCGUUGGACUCAUUCGUUUCCGAUGCUCGGUGCUUGAUUUCAAUUCAGAUGUUAGAAAUUGGAAUUUGUUUGUUUAUCCUUGGUUAAACUUGUCUAAGUUGAGGCGUGGAAUUUGAUUAGCAACCAAACAACCUCUUAAAAUUUAAAUAUUUAAAAUUAAGUUUUAUACAAAAGUACAAGCAACUUUAUAUCAUUUCAACCGUGGUUGAUGUUAGAUGUUGUCCGGAGGACACACCGCCCUUUCUUAAGGCAACCACAAUAUGUAUAAUAUUUAUCAUAAAAAUAACUUGUUAAUAGUUUUAAAUUAUCAUAAAUUAAACUUAACCUUUAUGAUGGCCUAAUUAUCUAUAGAGAUAACUUUUAAAUAGUUUAAAAUAUAAACAUAUUAAAAUAUAAGUUAACUAAAAAUUCAGAAGAAUCAGACAUUAAUAUUGCCAAUCCUAGCAUGUAAUACAAUAAUAAGUGGUGCUUCUAGAUUACUAGUGCACAACAUCAAGUAGUAAGAUAGUACCUCCAAGAUCUCUCAUCUCUUGAUGGCCAUAAACUAGUCUCUAGUGACGUAAUGUAACUUAAUUAAUAGUGUUAACUGCUGCUAGUGCAGAGCAUAUGUGAGUAGCUUAAGCUAAGAACUGAAAUCUCUAGUCAAUGUCGUCUAUUAGGGACGCUGGACUUCUCCUCAUGCUGGUUUCCAAGUCAUCUCUCAUCUCCUUUCUAAUUGCAGUUGUAGUCAUUGUGCAUGUUUCUGUAUCUCCAAAGCUACCAGCCAGAUGUUGCUUCAACCUUUUUAUCCCUCCAUAAAUGAGUGACCACAUAGGGUGCAUGUCGCCACAUCUUUGUUACAAAGGUUUGGUAGUAGGCAUACUUCCACCCUGGAUUGGAUCCGAACUUGCCAUUGUGCUAUCAACUGUGAAAACAAAGAAUUAAAGAACAACACAUGGAAAGGAAGCAGCAGUCCAGUCCACUCCACUCUGCAUCUAUAUACUAGAGGAGCAGCCAGUAGGAGUAAAACCAGAGUAGCAGAGAACAGAGGACAGGAAGAGGGAGAGAAGAGGCAUACAGACAAGCAGGUGGGAGCUGGGCACCCUGAACCUGAAGAACAGGGGACCGAGCUUCUGGCCAGUGAGGAGGCAAGGACGAGCAGGAGCAGUCCACACGGGAAAUCCUAGCCCUGGGCCCGGGCAAACGACGCGAAAUCAACGGACGGGAGGACAAGAAGACGACUGAAAAUUGAUGUGUAGUUGGCCAAACGGGCGGCCUGGCCCGGCAUUAUGCGGCACUAUGUCUAUCGUGUCGUGCCGUCUCGGACCAUCGUGCCAAACUCUCGGUCCAGGCACGGCACUAUAGCUUCUUAACCGUGCCGUGCCGUGCCGAUAGGCACUGUGGCCCAUCGUGCCCGUGCCGGCCCGUGGCUUCGGGAGAAGUCGAGAAGCUCAUUGCGCCCUGCCUCAAGGAGAAGAUGAGCGCUACCGCUGUCGUAUAGUCAGGCGGGAGAAAGUGUGGCCGCAACAAGGAUGUGUCUGCGCCGCCGACUAGAGAGUUAGGGUUUGAAAGGGUUGUGUGAUGCUUAUAUACAUGACUCACUAUACAUUCAAUGGUCAUGAUCUAUCCUCAAAGCAUCAGAUGAUGAAAAUAAUCGUGCCAGCGUCGUGCCAGCCUAUUAAUCGUGCCGUGCCCGUGCCGGCACUGCGGGCCGAAGUUGCGGCCCAGGCACGGCACUACCACCGGACCGUGCCGUGCCUGGACCGUGCUUUUUAGUGUCGUGCUCGGGCCGGCCUAUCGUGUUAGUGCCAGAUGGAAAUCUAUAGAUGUGUGGGGAUGCAUCAGAGAGCCACACGGGAUGUGUCGGCAGGAACUCACUGUGAGUGCGCAGGGAAGCAGGGAUGUGCUGCCCGAUCAUCCUGCUUGAAUGUUUUGGGACAAAUUUGGACUGAUUCCUGUUUUAUCGUGACUGAUUUCAGUUUCACUAGGAGGGGGAGGAGACGAUGUCCCUGUUUUAUGUGUCCUGCAACUUUGAUUGUCGUCGGUGGAGGGCAUGAUCUUAAAACUUCUCCCAUAAAAUGGAGUUAGUUUGUAAUAUGUGCCGCAUAAGAGCUCAAAACUGAACUGGUUGAACUUGUUUUUUUUAGUUCUCUUAGAACUAUGUAUUUUCAAGUCUUGCUAGGGAUAAUGCGUAUGCAAUGUAGCUACGCUGCUUAUUUUUGCUUAUGCCAGUUUGUUGUGCUUGCAGUUUUCAUGCACUGCAUAGAUGCGAUGCAUCAACUGAUUUCGUAACGCUGAACCUGUUCUCUUUGUCAGAUUUAUAUAUGCCUGAAUAUGCGGGCUUCUUGUGUCGGCCACUCGUAGGAGGGCCUGCAUGCAUCCUCAAUAAACGAUUAUGCAUUUGAGCUUUGUAAUACAUUAAUUAAAGCACAAAGUGAUCUGAAAUUCAAAGUUACAUUACCAACAAAGAAAAUGGAGGUAUACACCAAUCUAGACGGCUGGAUGAUAGUAGCCAAUCAAACUCUUACUAGAUCCGACGAUAAAACAAAAUUAAAUAACUCACUCCAGGAGUCCAGGUCUUCCAUUAUCGUAUAUAAAUCUUAACUCAGACGACAUAAUUUACUGUCUCUCAUGGAAACAUUAGUACACAGCACACCUUUGCUUAUAAUACUUACUUAGCCUUAAUACUCCAGCCACCAACCCAUUUACAAAUCCGCCGUCGAGGGGCUUUGACGACAACAAUGUCUUUACCAAAGCGUUGGGAAGCGAGGCGUGCCCAGGCACAAAUACUGUCCUCAGGUAUGCCUAUAUUUAUUUUGUCAUCAGGAUUUUUAUCUAGUUUCACCAUUGGUUCAAUGGUUACAUGCUCAAGCACAUCACCGUUUUCCAGAAUGCCAAGCAGCAGCUCGAUCUGAGGCCGGUAGCACCUGAACCCGCUCAUGUAGACCGUUUUGAGGUGAUCAAGUCGGCGCAUAGGGAAGACUUCACUUUCGUCACACCAGCAGCUUCCGCCAAUCUCGACAGAAUAACACAUCUGUUUCCCAAAGAUUUAGAAAUCACAUGUUAGUCUGCCUAAAUUAAUAGGAGCCUAAUGUUGUUCGUCACCAAAGAAAGAAAAGCAUUAUAUGAAAAAAGAAAGAAAAGCAAAAAGAAAACAGAAAAAAAAAUUACUCACAUGCAGUUCUAGUGUCUCCAAUCGGGGUGCAAAAUCCAAAAACUGAGCAAUCUGAAAAAUUCCAUCGUGGCUAUUUGGGCCAUUAGUGAGAAUAGUUAUUUCACAAGUCAGCUUCCUUAAUUUUACAAGCAUGCAUGUUGGCCUUGUCAUCCCACGCACCUGAAACAUGAUCAAAACAAGUAAUUAAACACUAACAAAUCAUUUGAACAACUAUGGGCCAAGCAAAGAUGAACACUAGGUACCUGCAAGGACCAGAGCCAGGUCGGAUUGUAUUCCCGCAUAGAGGCACAUACAUGUAGCUCCUUGACUGCUGAAAUACUGGGAAUAAUUCCAGCAAUGGCACAGACGAAUCCUUUGUUACUGACUUGUUCAGCCAAUGGCAUCCGAAAAAAUGUAAUGGUUACCUUCUCUAGAUUUGAGCAACCAUGAAGCAAUAUGGGAAUCACAAACCCUUGGUACCCAAAAUGAGUAAGACCAGUAACCUGAAAAUCAACCAUCUUGAGACUCAUAUUGCAAAUUAGCAAAUGUCUAAGUUUAUCGAGUGGGUGUGGUAUGUUCAGCUCUGCGACACCAGAGCAUGCAAUGAGCUCUAAGUCCUCAAGAAUAGGGCAAUUUAGUAACAAUUCUGGAAGAUCUCCAAUUAUUUCAGCACAGUGCAAAUGAAGCUUCACAAGUUUCUUGAAGCCACAUAUAUCCGAACGUGGCUUUAUAGAAACAUUAGUGAGAAACAAGGAUUGGACAAAAGGGCCAUCUAGACCAUCUAAAGCCUGGAGAGGGAAAUGAUAAACCUCUUUGGUAGGUCCUAUAUCUUUCCUUUGUGGCCCCAGGUUGAUAUCUAUAAUCUUGGCCGACUUUGAUGCAGUGGCAAAGUAUACCCACCUAUCAAGAUGAUCUGAGCAGUUCUUCUCAAGGUAGCACCUGAUGCUGAACUUAUUGAGCCUAGUACCAGUGUGCUUCUGAAUAACAGAAUUUACUGUCUCAAUGAACUUUGCUCCUUUUAUUUUGACACUAUCCUCAUCAGUGGGCCCAUCUUCAGUGCCAUCAAAGCAUAAAUUAGGGUACCGUGUCCAGACCUCUCUCCACUUUCUUGAUACAAUGCUUGUCCUUGCAGCCUCUUUUGGUGACUGUAGGGACAAUACCAAAUGCUGAAUUUCCUGUCAAAAGAAAGGAUAAUGACAAGGGUUUAGUUUUGAACAAAAGUACAAUAAUCAUGCAGUACUCAGUAGUGGGCACACACCAUGAUUGAAGAACUUCAUGCGCUUUCGCACAUGUAAAUCGGCCACUGAGCAGAUAAGAUAGUGCAAAAGAACCAAAGUAGAAAAAGAAAUGUGCUCAGCUAAUUAAUGGCCUUCCACAGGAUGCCAUUGGUAAAUUGGAGUCUUCAAGUCAAGUUCAUUGUAUUUCAUGCCACAAACAACACUCAGAAAACUACGCACAGCAGGGAGAGGUAGAUGAUUCUUUACUAAAAAUUUAUGAUGCACCUUUUAUGUUUCGAGCUAGAGAACAAUAUAAGCAUAGGUCAGGUGUCUCAAUAGAAGCACUGAAGAGUGCUAAAUAUGGAUGCCAGGACAAGUCAGGAUGGAAGAUACAGCAAACAUAUAGUAGAAGUCUGAGAUGAAAUUAUGAGACUUUGAGAAAAAAUAAGUGGGGCCAAGAGAACAUUCAAAAAGUAUGUGCUACCUUCGUAAGAAAACAUCCCAUCAUCCAGGAGCGAAUGAGACGACCAAGAUAGUGCUACAGGUUGCAAAAUCAUAAUUGACUAGAUCCAAAAUAUAGUUGCAAAAAAGAAAGAUGAUUUCUGGAUUUUGUGCACAAACUGCAGCAAGGGGACUCCAAAUGGCUAGGUUGCCGAUUGAAUUGUGAAUGCUGUUUUUCCUUCCUCUUGUUUGGGUGCAAAUGCAGUAGUGCACAAUACACAAAUUGCUGAACAGGAUAGAGUUUUUAUGUUAGGAGAAACUUGUACAUUCUGCUGCCAUGCCCUCUCCCAGGCCUCAUAAGUUCUAACCUAUACCAGAAGGCAUCUUAAAACGCUUUGGCUAAUCGUUGCGCAGGUUCAUGAAGGAAAGGGUAGCCUACUUAUAGCAUAAAAACAUUAAAGAUUAAUCUUUUCUUCAUGUCCAAAAGAACUGAAGAAUGAUUGCAUUCUUCGUAAACUUAUUGUGAAUUUGUGAUUCCACAACCCAAUCGAACAGAGAGGAGACGACAGGGCAGAAAAAAAAGAGGAUUUUUACCUCCGGAAGGUCGCCCAUUUGGAAUGGGGAGAACUCGAGUGCGUCGCUAAGGCAUUGGUGGUGGUCCAACCUCCUGAUUUUGGCCGCCCCCUGGUCCUCCAUACGCAGCUGCUGCUGGAGACGAAACAAAUCCUGGAUUAGGCACGGCCGGCGAGAGCACCCCACCCCCCUCCCCCCACCCCAGAAGAUAGAUAUAGCCGACCAGGCCCCGGCUCCGGCUCCGGCUCCGGACCGGAUACUCCCUUCUCUAGAGCAUCUCCUAAUAUAUCUAGCCUUCCAGAAAGAGUAUUUGGAAUCCUUUUUCCGUUCGGAAACAAUCGGGUAAAACCGGGAGAUAGAUGUAGAGGUUAAUAUUUACUCCCUCCAUCCCAAAUUAUAAAUUAUUUUAAAAAAUUUAUAAAGUUAAAAUAUUAUAAAUUUGAUUAAAUUUAUACGGUAAAAAUAACAUUUGUGAUAUUAACUAAAUAAUAUUAGAUUCUUCAUUAAUUAUAUUUUUAUAGUAUAUUUAUUUGAUGUCACAAAACUUUAUAAUUUUUUUAGUUUUAAUUAAACUUGAGAUGUUUUGUCUUCAAGAUUCCUAGAAUGACUUGUUUAGUUUCCAAAAAAUUUUGCAAAAUUUUUCAGAUUCCCCGUCACAUCGAAUCUUUAGACGCAUGCAUUGAGUAUUAAAUAUAGACGAAAAUAAAAACUAUUUGCAUAGUUUGGUCGAAAUUGAUGGGACGGAUCUUUUAAGCCUAGUUAAUCCAUGAUUGGACAAUAUUUUUCACAAACAAACGAAAGUGCUACAGUACCUGUUUUGCAAAAAUUUUUGAAACUAAACAAUGCCUUACAAUUUGGAACGAAGAGAGUACUUGCUCAAGCAGAGGAGACCUUUUCGUCGGUGGAAGUUCAUCGACUAUCUCCAACAGGGCCGACCUGAACACGGGACCUAUUCAUGUCACGCACAGCGAAGAAACAAAGCACCUAAAACUGUUGAACUCCAACAGUGAACGCAAAAACAGAGCUCCGCCACCGAGCUCCGACCCGCCCCCUCCCCGCCGAGCUCUCCACGCGAGCGCCGACCUGCCUCCUCCCCACCGAGCUCCGCUCGAGCUCUCCGCGCGAGCGCCGGCCCGCCCCCUCCCUGUCGAGCUCUCCGCGCGAGCGCUGACCUGCCUCCUCCCCACCGAGCUGCGCUGCUGAGCUCCCCGUCAAGCUCCGGCCCGCCCCCUCCCCACCAAGCUCCCUGCUGAGCUCCGCCACCGAGCCCUUGCAGAGCUCCACCGCUGAGCGCCGGCCCGUCCCCUCCUCGCCAAGCGCUGAGGCACCCGCAGGCAGAUCUAGCAGCGCCGGACCGCUUCACCGUCGUCCGGCCCGCCUGGCUGAGCGCUAUCCAUGGGCUCGCCUGGCCGCGCCUCGUCCUCGCCGCGGUCCUGCCUCGACAUCGUCGUUCGUGGUCACCGGACCUCCCCGCGCUCCAGCUGCCGGAGUGGGGGUGGGAGAAGAGGGAGGAGGACCCCAGCGUCGGAGAUUUGCGUCGUGCACAGAGAUGACGCAUGUAUGCCUUCUGUUUGGCCUCGUACCUAAAAUGCAUGCAUGUUGUCAGUUGUGUUUGCGUCCUCCAUUGGAGCGUGAUUAGAGGACGCAAAACAAUGUAGAAGACGGAUUUUGGGUUUGGGUAGUGUUUUGCCAACUCCGUUGAAAAAUAGUCUCAAUCCUCUUUACUGCAGUCACCCUUAUCGACUUCAUUCAUCCUGCAGUUAUGGGCAUCGGACCCUUCGCUAAAGAUCCAACGGCUGAUGACUCCGAUCAGCCUUUCAUGCGUUGGGCCUUAGCCUAUCUCAGCCCAAGGCACCAUGCUAGCUCGCCUCUGUCCUUGUCUUCGUCGUUGCGGAGCGGAGCGUGUCGCCGGAGAAUAGGAGGAGAAAGGUCAGCUGUACAGUACUCUGCAGUCAGCUGAUCUGAUCUGACGGUACACAGUUUCCACGAGGCUCCUAAGUGUUGCAUGCCUUCACGUGCUGGGCCUCGGCCCAACAAGGAUGAUGCCGGCGGCUGCUGUAUCCCUUAUGUUUUUCUGGGCUUAGAUGGGCCACUAGACCAGCCUGCUACAAGUGUUCGAUUGGGAUAACCGUUGGAUCACAGCGGACGUCUACCAUGUUGGUCAAACCUUUUCCGCCGGCGGACAAUACCUUCGUCAGGUGCAGUAGCGUUAUUCAGCCCCGUUAUUCAGGAUGCUCGAGAGAAGUCCUGCGUGCGUUGGGUGCGUCCUCCUCCACGAACUGAGUUUGCAGUGAACCGAGACUGACAGAACGAUAUAACUUUGGGGUAGCACUUUCAUCUGUAUUUAAUAAAUAUUAUCCAAUUAUAAACUAACUACACUCAAAAUAUUAGUCUAAUAAAUUACAGGCAAUUAGUUAUUUGUUUUAUCUAUAUUUAAUACUCCAUGCAUGUGUCGCAAGAUUCGAUGUGACGAAAAAUCUAAAAAAAAUUUGCAUAACUUUUUGAGAACUAAACAAGGCCUUUGAUGCGACAUUUUCUUUUCUAUCCAUUCAUACUUCAUGUACCAGAAUAAUUGAAUAAAUACAGGACAAGAAACAGGAUACAAGAAAACGCAGCGUCACCCUAGUUGCCACGCUGCUUUGGCCUCACUUCAAACAGCCAAACACUUGCUUAGGCCAGCACAUGGAUGAAUAACACUGUUGAGCCUAGUUAGUACACAUCAAAGGAGCUCAGAUUUCAGAUUCAGAGCUGCACCACAUGACCCAACGAGGACAAUUCAUCAUUGAUCUUUGAGGCCAAGUCCUCAUCAACCUCCAUCCUAGUGCACAACUUUGGGAUGGAAUAAGGCCGUGCUACUGCUGCAGUCGGCUCUUGAUCGCCCGCCUCCGUCUCCAUUCUGUCUGGCUUGUCCACAGAUGCACAGUUCUCCUUCCCAAACAGCUGCUCAAUAAGAUCACGGCAAGGCUUCAGAUCAUCCUCGCUCCGUGCUCUUGUCAGCUUACCAAGCAGCUCGUUCAGUUUCGCGGUUCUCUCCAUCUUCUGCUUUGCGAUAAACUUCAUUGGGCUUGGAUGAUCAUCCUGAGUUGGAUCAGAUGGUUUGUCAUCCUCAUUGGCGCUUUGGCUCUCAAGCAGUUUCUUCAGCUUCUGGUCCAAGAUAGUGGCAACCCUCUCCUUGAAGCUAUCAGCAGUUUCGUUAUCUGACUUCAACCUCACCUUUGCCUCCGAAACCAACAAGUCCAUCCUCUCUUCUUCUGAAGAAGUUGCUUCAGCUUCUGGCUCAACAUCAGCAUCUUCCAUGGGACAGAAUGUUUCCUCCAGUAACCCAACAUUCUGUGUAUACCUCUCAUAUGCUUCAUUUUCAGCAUCAAUAUCUCCUUGCAUAUGUUCCUUUAGCUUCAUAAACCUCCACUUGUUUAUACCCACAACAUCCUAGAACAAAACAAAAGUCACAAAAGAAACAAAAAGCGGUUCGAAACAAACAGAGCGCGUGAAACAGCCAAUAACCUUUUUGGUAAGCGACUUCUUUGUUUGGAGAGACUUCAGAAAAUGCUGGGGAAGCUUUUGCAAGGCAGCCAGCCUUGAUGCUGAACUGUGAAAAAGCAACAACCAAGCAUUAAAACAAUACAGUUGUUUGCAAGAGAUUAAUUGUCAACUUAUGUUUUAUAUAUGAAUUUUACCUGGUUGCAGGUAAAUUGGUAGACGGCUGUUCUGUUGCAGGAGCAGUAGCAGGUGAUGGCUUAUCUGGCAAUGUGUUGGUCUGCUUCAGAACUAUCAUGAUAGGUAAAGCAAGGCAACAUCAGUGGUGUUCAGAGUAGAGUAAAAAAUAAACAACAUUAUGGCAUAGCAACAUUAUGGCAUAGCACAGAGCAGCAGACAUGAUAAUAGACAAUGUAAAAGAAAGUUGAAAAUAAGAAAAAUGGAAUAUACAUGCAGAUUGAGAUAGAAAUAUCAUAAAAAUAAAACAUCAAUGUUCAUAAGAAAUGAUUCUAACAUAACCACUAGCAUUGCUUGGCUAGGCUGGAAGUUUGGAACUACAAAAACUUCCCAUCCCAAACCUUCACUUUUUUCCUUCACUACCCUCUUCCGCCAUUUCUUCAUGAAUCAUGAAGAGAAUAUCUCCAUUGACAGUCAAUGCAAGGUUUAAUCAAUAACCAAUCUAACACUUCAUCCCCACAUAUUUGACAUGUCCUUGAAGCAAGAUAGGGUCACACAUCCUCUCAGAGGAUGCAAGUCCACCAUGAAAAAUUCCUCUAUGGCCUUCUAUUACUUGUUUAAUUUUUUUACACAUUGUAUUUCUGUUGGAUGUGUGGUGCUUGCAGUUUGUGAAGACUUCUUCCAAACCAUAGUGACAUAAAACAGGGUCGAAGACAUCGACCCAAGACCCGGGAACGUCACCCUGAUAUGAAUACAUAGGGUUAUUUUCAACCCUGCCGUGUAUAAACCCCCCGCAAGUCUCAAGUAGCGAACCAUGUUCCUCGGCCCCGUUGACCCAGAAACUUUGUGACUAUGUUCCAAACAUUGUUCCAGGCAUUACUUCUGGAUGUAAAUUUCUGACUGCUAAUAACCAGUUCAUUUGUCUAAGAACUUGCCAUAAAUAUUUGAAAACACACAAAUAGUAAAUCUAAAUCAUUGCUAGGAUGGAUUGGUUAAAUCUGCUAGCUUGCACCUAUAAGCAAGCUCAUUUCGUCUACGAAACCAAAUGUACCCUAAAUAUAGAAAGUUCUGGAACAACUGCUGAAUGAGGGUAAAGAAAAGCCGAAGUUGUCUUGAUAGCAUUCUCCACAAUCUGUUUUGCUAAUACUGAUCCCCAAACUCAGUUAUCAGUUUUACAUUUUAGCACUCAUUCCCUUCCUGAUUGUUUGCAUAACACUGUGUCAAACCUGCUGUCUCAGAACUGCUGGACAAGAUGGAGGGUCCUCCAGUGCUAAAUGAGAAGAGAGAGGAUGUGCAUGGAGCACAGCUUCACUCUUGGUGUAGUCCCCAGGAGAUGACCUCAAGCAGGUGGCAUUGCUUACCUUAUGGGCUCAGUGGCAGUACGGGAUCUGUGGUUUGGCAGUUGGUCAAGUGCGAUGCUCAUGGACAUCAAGCACCGUGGCGAUAUCCACUAGAGAGUGCCCUGCACUGAGGACGGUGAGAUCUGUGUGGCUGCAGGGGUAGAAGAUGGAGAGUAAAGGCAGAACACGACAGGGGAUUGGGAGUGUCCAUGGAGACAGAAUAUAAAUGUGCAAGUCCUGCAUUCCAACCUGUGCCACUGGUUUCCAAUUGUGCUGCACAGGACUAGGAUGGGGAAAAACGGAGUAGGGACUAGGAAGUGAAGAUAGGACACUGAGUUUGGAGAGUAGUAUGUUAGCAAAACAAUUUCGUGGAGGGGCUAUAGAGGCAAUUUUGCCUAACCAAAAAUAGAAGGGAUGCCUGGUAAACUGUCCUGACCAGAUAUGUAAUUGUGCAGAUAUUUAGAUAGAAUAUCACCAUUUACCAAACUGCUUGUGGGUCACUAACUUUAAAUUUAGAUUAUCAUUUUUUUAUAACAGUGCAGAUUAUCACGUUAAAGGAGUACAUCACACAUACCAUGGAUGUGGCAAGGAUUCUGGGCCUUGUAGCAGCAGCUCUUGCAACACUGGAACGGACACCUGAAAGUCCAAGCAGAGCACACACAUAUAAUUCAUUACCAAGUCAAAAAUUAUUGUGGUCUCUAUCACAUAACCAAAGGUGAAGGUUCUCAGUUGACUGUAAGCUGCCUCUGCACACCAUACCACAAGUAGAAGGAAAUAAUUCUGCUUAAUAAGGAAGUAUCGAUAAACUCUUUCUUCUUACCGGGAACGGGCGACGUUACCACACUGGAUGCACUUGGGCUUGUUAAGACCCCGAAGGUUUGGCUUGGGCAUGUCAAAGGCGGCGGCUGGAAUAGGAGGUGGCUUCUGCGGCGUCCCAUUGCUGUUGGCCACCGCCGGCACAGGAGCAGGAGUAGCAGCAGGGGAAGGCGAGUCACCAGCCGCCGCCUUGGCGACUGUGGCAGCAGCAGCGGCGGGCUUCACAUCUGGCAUGGUUCUCCUCAACCCAGCGAAACUUGUGGGGAAAAAAGUAAAGUCAGCAAAUGGGGAAAAAAGUAAAGUGCACUUGAGAGACUAGGAUUUGAAUUCGUUUGUGAAUAAGAGGAAAUCUAAGGGGGGGAAAGAGCAUGCAUCCAAGCAGUGCCAGACACAGGAUUUUAACCUGCGGUGUGGAUGAUCGCAAAAAAAAAAACAUAAUAUACAAUAUAACAACCAUAAAUCCUACAAUGGUUCGAUAUAAUACCUUAGAUUCAACGAUUAACAAACUAGAAUAAACUAUAAUGUAUAAAUUCUACUAUAAUGUUGUUUCCGUUUCCAAACUCCUUGAAAUUUGACUAUAUAACAUUGUUUCUAUUUCUGGUAGUAUUUGUGAAAUUCCACAAAAACAGACUUCAAAAGGAAAGAAUGCAAUUCAAUUGGACACUAGUGCAUUCUAUUGUUGAGAAAACUAGGUGUUAAAUUUGUUCGGUAGAACUUUCAUUAGCUAGUCACUAUUCACUAGGGAAGGGCAGAAUCCAGUAUUUCCCCAAGGAACGGGAGCAGGAAAUUUUCAUAUAAUUCAGAAACAGACGUUUCAGUGCUUGACACACGAAUCUGCAGUCAUAUUUAAGUGAAGAAUCAUACGAUGCUGCCGCGUCAGACUAACAGUAAUUUUGAGAGCUAUCUACAUUCAAAAUCCCUAACCUUAAGAGGGAAGUAGGCACUCACCAGGAACCAGUUGGCAAGGGGUCAGCUGCAGGCCUGGAGGCGCGUCACACGCUGGGGUCAGAGUCAGACUACCCUGCGGGGCGCUGGGAGAGGUGAGGUUCCGCUGGACGCAGCCCGCAAAGCGCAGGGCGGCCGCAGCCCGCAAGGCGACGGGGGAAUCCGAGAGUAGCAGAUCGGGAAUCGGCCGGGCCGGGGCAGUCCCCUCUACGGCUGCGCGCCUACCAGCGGUGCGUGUGGCGUCGUCUUCGCGCGGAGGCAGCUGGCGGCGGCACGUCGUCGUAUCUCGCUCCGGGGAGAGGAAGAACGGGCGAACAGGCGUCAGGCGGGGGUCGACGCUGACGGCUUGGGAGUUGAGAGUUAUUAGGGCUGGGGCUUUUUCUCGAGAUUGGGCCUUCAAAAUCUGAGUGCUGAAGUGUAUUUUAGGCCAAAAUCGACGGCAGGCAAGGCCUCAGGAGAGGUCCGGGGAAGAGAGCAGCGCCUCUCGUCAAGGAAAUUGGGUGGGAGGAGGCCUCGCCGGCGACGAGCAAGGACACGAGGUGGCAGCGGCGGUCGGGGUGGCGUGGAACAAGGAGAUGACGAAGGAGAAGACGAAAGCCCGAAACCUUACUCUGGGCUUGGGCUUGGGUUUGGGCUUGGGUUGGCUCGGCCGGCUGUCCCUGUACCUGUGCCAGUGCCACGUGACGGAUGAUUUUUGUAAAAUGUAGUAAAAGGAUACUGUAUAUCAGUGCACCGGUUUUAAAAAAUACUAGAAUAUUUAUAGAUGCGAACAGUGACUAUUUAUCUCAGUAGAACUUGUAUUUUUUUUUACUCAUCAAACGAGGUGUAAAAGCGUUAAAAGAACUAUCAUAUUUGGCUUUUAAAUUAAAAAAAAUGAUGAACUUUAAUCAUACCAAGAGAUAAAAUUCUUAUAUAAAAUAGUUGUGAUGUUUUAUAACUAUACUGCUCACAGAGGAUAUUGUGAAUUGAUAUCUUCACGAGAAAAGAAAAAAAAAGGAGAAAAUGUCUAGGAUGGUUUUGAUACUUAAAUAUUAGAAACUUGUGUGGUUACAUUUAGGAGCAUCUCCCAGAGUUUGCCAAAUUAUACUUGGCAAAUUUUGUGAUUUGCCAACUCUCAAAAACAUAUGCCAAGUAAAAAACCAGCUCAUCUCCAAGAGUUUGUCAUUUUUAACUUGGCAAAAUUUUAAAAAAAGGCCUACGAACUAAUUUAUUUGCACAGGAUACCAUUAUCAUUCGCUAGUAGCGGCUAGCAGAAAAAUAAUCAUAGUUUUUCAUGAGCCUAAUCUUUCAUAUCCUUUAGCAGAGGUGACAUAGACCACAGAACCACCAGCAGGGGAGGCGGCAUCCAGGUUAAUGACCGCAGCGAGGUGGCAUGUGUGACAGACCUCAUCAGUCUUUCAGUCUCCGCAGCAGAGUGGCAUGCAGGCGACAGGCAUGUCGCUUUCAGACCCUGCUGAAGAGGUCGUCUGCGCUGCCGCGCACGCGAAGCCAAACGCUAUACGCGCGCGCAUAUUUACGCGUUCGGGAGAGAAAUAUGCCAACUUCCUAUUUUUGCUGCCAAGUUAAGAUGCCAAACUGUUGGAGGAUGUUUUUUUAUAUUUUGUCAAAAUUUUAUAGACAACAAGUUAAGAUAGCAAACUCUUAGAGAUGCUUAAAAUUUGCUUAUAUUUGAGCUCUCUUUCUCUAGAUUUUUUUCUAAGGUUAUACAUAUAUGUAGUUGUGAUCUCUAUUUAUUUUGAUAGAAUUUAUGAAUUAAUUUAUAUGCUAAUAUCCAUGUUCAUAGUCUUCCUUCUUUACAUCAUACCACUAUGCACGUUUAGGCGUUUAGCACACGUCAUGUUGUGGGUAUGCUACCGUAGCAACCUGCUUUCUAUUUUCUAUGUUUGAAUCUAGUAUGAUGCUUAUAUUAACUUAUUUGUGACUAGUUCACACAUACACCUUUCUAAUACCACAAAAACGACCUUAAUAUUUUUUCUAGAUUAAAUUAGUAUUGAAUUUGACUAAAUUUCUAAUAGUUUGAACAUUUGGGUGGGGAGCACGAAAAGCAUAGAAAAUCAAUAAGAGAGAGUGACAUAAAGGAAACCUUUUAUGACGUUGGUAGAAUUCCUAUAAACAAGUCAUUUCAUGGGAUUUUUAGGAGCCCAAUUAUUUGUUCUAAAGGGGUGAUAUAAAGUUUUUCUAUAGGAUUUCAAUAUAUUGAGAAUUAAUUCCUUGAAUUUUUCUUUACUCCAAAGUGGGCCUUACUACAUUUGCAAAAAAAACAACUAGAAUUGGGUAUGAAAAUUCUAGUGAUUUCACCGGCGGAGGAAAUUUGCAAGAGAAAUAGAAAAGGCUGGCUUUUUGCCAUGUUUUCCUUCUUAUUAAACUCACCAUCUCACUAUGCUAGCCACUGUUCUCUCUGUGUUUUAGGUGAUGUCCGGAUCAAACAAGCCUGACAAAUCUUCAGAACAAAUGGAUGAUUGGUUGAUUCAAAGUGUGUUUAUCAUGGAAUUAUAAGCAUUUAGAUUCAGAUUAAGAGGUAGAAUCCAGAAGUCGAUGUUGAGGUAGAGAGUGUUGAGAGUUCUAGAUAGAAUAGCUACCUCUCUAAAAUAGAAUAUAGGGAGAGAGUAAGGAGAAGCUGGGAGAGGAGUCGGGCCUGUCGGCAACCUCUCUAUUUGUAGCUCAAUAGAUGAAGUUCUUCUUCGAGUAAAGUCUGCCUUCCUUCUUCUAGUGUGGUAACUUUGUUCGUUUCCAUUACUGAAGCAUUACAUUAUUUAUUGUUCUUUACUUGUUCACCGCCUGGUUAAGGUGCUCUGAUCUAUCAUAUGUAAUUAAAGUAGUAAGUUUAUAGUUGCGGUAGUGGCUGGUGGUGACAGCCAUGUUCUCCUAUGUAUUCCACCAUAUUGAGCCUAGUUAUUAAACCAUAGGGCUUGUUGUGCCUGAUCAACCCUCUAGGUGAGUUCAGGGCAGGUACGCCCCAUAGUAAACAACCUUAGUAAAGUCUUCUUUAGUCUUGCCUUAGUCAAAGAAACCACACACUUAUUCUCUCUAAUCCUUUUAUCACCCGCCAUUGUUUUAUCCUUGGAUACUCUUGGUUCUUCACUAGUUCACUUCGCGUUUCCCGUGAAAAUUCGAUACCUUGGAAUACUCCCGAAUGACUACACUGACAUCUGUGUGUUUGCGGAUUUAUCUGUUUGCCAUAUCUAGUGUCAACAUGGCGUAGAACCAAAAACACUAUAGCUACUGAAAUGUGUUUCUUUCUACAAAUGUUAUAUAGAGAUGGGUAUUGUUCUUUGAAAGUGGAGUUUCUAAAUAAUCUAUCCUCCAGAACCUAAUCUGUGUACCAUUAUGAAGAUUAAAAGUGGAUAGAUGAAGGAAGCGAUCUUUGACCUUCUGCAUACCUAUAUUUAGGCCUUAUUUAGUUUCCCACCAAAAACUUUUCACCCAUUCCAUCGAAUGUUUCGACACAUGCAUGGAACAUUAAAUGUAAACGAAAAAAAAAUUAAUUACACAGUUUAGUUGCAAAAUCGCAAGACGAAGCCAUAAUUGCUAUAGUAAUCAACAUGUGUUUAUGAUGGAUUAGUUAGGCCUAAUAAAUUCGUCUCACGAUUUUCAGACGAGCUAUGUAAUUUGUUUUUUGAUUAGUCUAUAUUUAAUAUUCUAAAUAUGGACCAGUAUUUCUGAUGUGACGACAUGGGAAAAAAUUCUUUUCGUCAACUAAACAAAGCCUUAGUUCCUAGCUACAAGAGCACCUGAUCUGAGAUUGAUUUCUACAGGGUUAUGCAUGUGGCAAUGGAACUGAGCCGCUGCUGAUUUGUUCUGUAUGUGAGCAGAUUCAGAAGUGUUCUGAUGAUCCUAGUUCCUCGCUCGAGGUGUUCUGAUGAUGAGCAGGCCGCAGGCGUCGGCCGGUGACGACGGCCGGCGGUGCACGCAGGACAUAUAUACAAAAAUUAAAAGUUUGACGUGCGCCUCCACGCGCUCUGGUCGGUGGUCGCAGCGAGCGAGUUUGCCCAGAGAUCGAAUUGAUAUCAUUGCUUGCGAAACGGGGAAUGGUACCACGGGCAGCGCCAGCCACUGCCAGCAUAUCCGUUCGUUCCAGGCAGCGUGGAGAGGCCGGCGGCCCGCGGGACAACAGCGCAUGCAACGGCGACCACCUCCGACGUGUGCACCGUCACCGUCCACGCCGCCACAGUUGGGUGCGUGCGUGGCGCGCCGCGCCGCAUCCUCUACGUCAUGCAUCGUCGGUUCAAGUGAUCAUGACGAACCACGGCGUGGUGCUCGAUCCCGAGGACGCCACCGCCGCCGUAGCGGUGGCGCGGCAUUUCUCGUUCCCGCCAUCGAGGACGGCAGGCCACUCCUUGCACCGGCGCCGGAGGUGGAGUAUCGUCAAGCUCGCCAGGAGGAGGAGGGUGUCGGUGAUCGGCGCGGCCAACGUGGGCAUGGGCAUCAAGCAGAUCAACCUGACGCGACACCUCGCCGGCGAGAUCGCGCUCCCAGACGAGGCUCCAGCGUCGGCGGCGGACUACGGGACGACGACGACCAUGCCGUACCUUCAGCAGCACGAGGCGUCGUCGACGUCGUUCCUGCCUCGCAAGUACUUCUUCGCCCAAGUCACCGGCGGCUCCUCCGACGAUCUCGCUAGUUUCGUCACCGAGUGCGGCACGCACGUCUGUGUUCGGGCCGGAACGAGGCUCAUCUGUGGGACGACAACGACAACUGCCUCCAGAACGAGUCACAGAUCGAGCUGCCAUGGCCGCCAGCAAGGUACGUACGUCGUCUAUCAUGCAUCUCUCGUAAGCGUCAUCAACAUGCAUAUUAGCAUAUCCGGUACGUACAUACGUACGUUCAAUUCCUGGUGAUAUAUGAAUGUGAUCGACCUCAAUUAUUCUCAAUUAAGGCCUUGUUUAGUUCGCAAAAUUUUUAGUUUUUUUUUGGCUAUUGUAGCAUUUUUGUUUUUAUUUGACAAAUAUUAUCAAUCAUGGAGUAAUUAAGCUCAAAAGAUUCAUCUCACAAAUUACAAGUAAACUGUGCAAUUAGUUUUUAGUUUCGUCUAUAUUUAAUACUCCAUACAUGCGACCAAAGAUUCGAUGUGACAGAGAAUUUUAAAAAAUUUUGUGAACUAAACAAGGCCUAAUUCCAUAUGCAUGCAUGCAUGGCACAUCUUGAAAAGUCUUUCGCCGCCGCAUGCGAUGUGGAGGUGUACAAGAGAGAGAGAGUGGGAUGGCACGCCGUCGUGUGCUUCGCCUACCGCCGGUUCUUCUGCGCCGAGGAGAUGCAUGUGCUCGUGCUGGACAACCAUGACGACAAGACUGGUGGCCCACGGCGCUGGGUUCAUGUCGAGGAGGUCGACACGCUCUACGCCCUUGCUGUGUAGUGUAGGUGUAGCGCCUGAUUUUUUGUGGCGUAUGUUUUCCAUUGUUGUGCUUGUUUGUACUGUAUAUUGCUAGAGUAAAUUAAAGGGUAUGUGUGGUACGCCUCGAACAAAAAUUUGAUCAACAAUUAGCUGUCCGGUCCGAGCACGACGACGUUCCCGGCCGCAUCGGCGUCAACGAUCACUGUAUCCCCAGCCUUGACGAUCUCCCCGUCGAGCAGCUUGUCGGCGAGGGUGUCCUCCAGCAGCAUCACGACGGCCCUCCUCAGCGCCCUCGCGCCGUACCACGGAUCGAAACCUUCCUCAACCACGAGGUCCAUGAACCUCUCCGUCACCCGCAGCUCCACCACCAUCAUCGUCUCCCUGCUGACACGGGCGGCGACGUCGCUCACCAAGACGGCGGCGAUCUCCUUGCCGUCGACCCUCGUCAGCGGCCUGAACACGAUCGUCUCGUCCAGCCGGUUCAGGAACUCGGGCCGGAAGUAGCGCUUCAUCUCCUCUUCCACCACCUCCUUGCUGCUGCUUCGGCUUCCAUCUCCGCUGCCGCCAUUGCCGCCGCCGAUGUUGGACGUCAUGAUGAUGAGCGUGUUCCUGAAAUCCACCGUCCUCCCCAUCCCGUCCGUGAGGCGGCCGUCGUCCAGGACCUGCAGCAAGACGUCCAUCACCUCCGGGUGCGCCUUGUCGACCUCGUCGAGGAGUACCAGCGAGUGCGGCCGCCGGCGCACGGCCUCCGUCAGCUGCCCACCACCCUCGCCGUGCCCGACGUACCCCGGGGGCGCGCCGACCAGCCUCGCCACCGCGUGCUUCUCCAUCAGCUCGCUCAUGUCCAGCCGCACCAUGGCGUCCUCCGACCCGUAGUAGUAGGCCGCCACCGCCUUGGCCAGCUCCGACUUGCCGACGCCCGUCGGGCCGGCGAACACGAAGCUCGCGAUCGGCCGGCGCGGGUCGCUCAGCCCCACGCGGGCGCGCCGGAUCGCGCGGCUAACCGCCGUCACGGCCUCGUCUUGGCCGAUGAUGCGCCGGUGUAGGCCUCCUCCAUCCUCAGCAGCUUGGUGGUCUCGUCGGUGGAGAGCUCGUGGACGGGCACGCCGGAGCAGAGCGAGACGAUGUGCCGGAUGUCUUCUUUGGUGACCACUGGUGGCACCGCCGACAUGCCAGGACUCACCUCGUCGUUGCCGAUCUGCAGGGUUGUUGUCAGCUGGGACUUGAGCUCCAGUUCACGAUCGCGAAGCUCCUUCGCCUGGUUGCAUUCAGAUGAUCAACUUGUUUUUUGAUGGAAAGAUGAUCACGAGAUGCCAAUUGCCAAAGAAAUGAAUCUGUAAUCGUUACCUUUUUAAAGUUCUCGAUACGGAUAGUAUCACAUUUCUCCUUAGUGAUUUUCUUGAUCUCUGUUACAAAGUCUUGAAGUUCCUUAGGUAGCUUCGGCUGUGGAUCAGUUCAACUGAGAUUUUGUAAGAAUGCAUGCGAAAAUAGGGGAUGAAAGUUACAUUUCUGAGUUUGUUGUACCUGGGCAUGCCGUAAUCUGACUAGGGAACCUGCUUCGUCAAUCAAGUCAAUGGCCUUAUCUGGAAGAAAACGAUCACUGCAAGCAAAAAGCAAUAGUAAUUAUGAAAACUGUACAACUGAGAAAUCUGCAGGUAGAGAUAGAUUAACCUGCGAGGAGGAGGAUCAACUUCAUUAAAAGUCAAUAGUACACCUAGCAACUAGCAUGAUAUCAGUAUGACAAAAACAUGGUGUAAGUUUACUUCAUCUUUAUUUAACUAUAAAUAAAUGUGAAAUCUUGGGAUCAACUUAUGGUUUUAUUUCAGUGUCAGCAGAAUCUAGUGUUCAAAUUACUCGAAGAACAUUUACGAAUAGGAUUCGGAACAAUGGCUGGUACUAUAGGUCCACCUUCCUUAAUCACAGACCUGAUGUACUUAUGUGAGAGCUCGGCAGCUGCACUUAGUGCUUCAUCCGCAUAUUGAACUUUAUGAUGGGUUUCAUAUCUUUCUCGAAGCCCUUUUAGAAUUUCUAUGGCUUCCUCAACCAUUGGCUCUGGAACCUUCACCUGUCGGAAACGCCUUUCCAGUGCUGGAUCUUUCUCAAUAUGUUUCAUGUACCCAUCAGUUGUAGUGGCUCCGAUACACUGACAACAUCGAUGCCAGAAAGACAUACUUAACAAACAAAAAAACUGAUCAAACAUAAUUCCAACAUAUGAAGUCCAACGUGAUAUACUGACCUGAAGUUCACCUCUUGCUAGUGCUGGCUUCAAAAUGUUAGCAGCAUCAAUAGCACCUUCUACUGCUGCUCCUGCUCCUACUAGGGUGUGAAGUGUGAACUUCAUCGAGGAAUACUAUUAUGUUGCCACAUUGCUUGAUUUCUUCCAAAAGAUUCUUUAAUCUUUCUUCGAACUCUCCACGGUAUUUUGUUCCAGCUAGAAGGCAUCCAAUAUCGACAGAGAUAACCUGUAUUAACAAGUGUUGGAAACAUGAAUUAACUACCGGCCGCUCCUAAUAGUAGUGUACAUAGGGCAGCUGAAAUAAAGCAAAAUAAAAUUACCAUAGAUAUUGGCCACGAAUCAUGUUUUAAUGUAUUCUUAGACCAUUUUUGUGGAUCAAUGAAUUACAGUGUAAUAACAUGAAUAUUUCUUCAAUUAAAUUCGUCAAGGGAUAGUGGUUCAAAAUUACCUAGUGAUUUACUUUCAAAAAGAUACGUAGUGAUUCAACUGAUCAUACAGCCAAAUGCUUAUUAUUAGUAAGAAAAAUAAGAUCUAAAUAACUGAUCUGGACAGGGAAAAAAAACAGGGAAAAAAAACAGGAAGGCAGCAACUGAUAAAUCUAACAGACACAAACAGGUACUUUUCCCCAUACAUUUAACUUUCAUGUAAAUAAAAUGGUUAAUAUUUGCAAGAUUACAACAAAUUCAGCUAUACCGAUAGUUGCAAGAUUACAACAAACUCAAGCUAUGCCAAAUAACAAUCAAAUAGAAUCGAGACAAAACGAAUCACAAAUGUUGCCCUAAAGAACCAAGAGAAAAACCUUUUUCCCUUGCAUUGUUUCUGGAACAUCCCCCAUGGCAAUGAGCUGGGCAAGGCUUUCCACUACUGCUGUUUUUCCAACACCUGGCUCUCCAAUCAGGCAGGGGUUGUUCUUCCCCUUUCUGCUUAAAAUUUGUACAACUUGAUCAAUCUGUUUUUGUCUUCCAAUAACAGGAUCCAACUUUCCCUAGUGUACAACAUGAUCAUGUCCCAGAACAUUAUAUUGUGGAUUGCAUUGCACUCUAGUAUAAAGUAGCUUAUAAGUCCAGAACAGUACCUUAUUAGCUAAUGUUGUUAAAUCAGUUCCGUAUUCAUCGAGUGUGGGUGUGGAUAUCUUGUUUUUUGUCUCAGCACAAGUUUUACUGCUUCUCUUUUCCAAAGAAUCAUCAUUGCUUCGAGUUUUCAAAGGAGACUCGCUGCUUCCUCUCCUAACUCUACCAUUGAUUAUUUGGAAAACCUGAGAUGCAAGAUAUGUUUAUGACCAUCAAUCAACUAAGCAUGAUAAUCUAAUCAAGAGUGUGAAUUUGCCUUCUAGCUAGAGGCAGAGACUUUAUUUGAAUAUAGUUUACCUCAUUGAGGCCUUGUUUAGUUCCCAAAAAUUUUGCAAAAUUUUUCAGAUUCCCCGUCACAUCGAAUCUUUAGACGUAUGCAUGGAGUAUUAAAUAUAGAUGAAAAUAAAAACUAAUUGCACAGUUUGGUCGGAAUUGGCGAGACAAAUCUUUUGAGCCUAGUUAGUCCAUAAUUAAACAAUAUUUGUCAAAUACAAACGAAAGUGCUACUAUUUCUAUUUUGCAAAAUGUUUUGGAAGUAAACAAGGCCUGAGUAUGAGGUCCAAGAGCAAAAUACAAAUGCAUUGUAAAAUGUGGCUCCACAGGACUUGGCUGAUUCCAGACUUGAGCGCUAAAUGCUGUGUUUCCUCUUGUGCAAGCGCGAAAAUGUUCUUAACUUCCCCGCUGAAACUGUUGAGAGUUGCCCUGGUGACAAGACGAGAAUUCUUUUGUCCUCUCUGUCUGCUGCGAAAUAUUGAUUUGUAGCCAAGUACUGGUGUCACCGCAGGUCUAUGCACUGCUCGUAGACAACCAAAUGCUUGUGUCUUGGUUGUGGUUCCAUGAUUUUGAGCCAUGGAAAGUUGGAAACUAUUGAGGAAGGUCUCCUGGUGCUCUGGCACUUCCAAUUGGUUUUCCUACCUCCAGCUGACGAUGGGAAAGAAGUGGAUCUACGCAAUGUUCCUGCCAUAAUUGCAAAUGCAGCUCCAUAGCCUGUUCAUGACAAGAUGAUUAGAGUAAGAGAUAAAACAUUCUAGAUGUUUCUUCUGAUAACAUUCUAUUUGGUAUGACGACAUAUAUAUAACAAGGAUUUCUGAAACCCACAGAACACCACGCAUUCACGCACAGUGUCUAUCAUGAAUUCAUGAUGAGACACACUACAAGAAUUAACCACCAAUACAGACUGGAGAAUCAGACCGCAAAACAUUGACAUAAGAAGCUGACGCACCUGCGACCCUUGCAACAUGUGCCGCGCUUAUGUCAGGGCGGACGGCAGCAUGGACAGGAGGUAGCUUCAGUGGAAGUGGAGUAGAGGGGCACAGUAAAACCAUGACUGCAAAUUAAUGUGUUGCCUGUGUAUGGCAGAUCAAUGGUUAGAGUAGACGACACUUGUUCGCUUGGCUGAUAAGCCAUGGCAAGAAGUACUUGGCUGAUUUAUUGUGAGAGAAAAACACUAUUGUAUCUUGGACACGCUUUUGUUUGAGCUCUCAGCUCAGAUUUUAGCCAAAGGUGAUUAAUGGCAUGUCAAAAGAAACCCAACAUUUCAUAUUUCAUUUUUAUCAGAUUCUUCAUGUCACGAUAAAUUCAGCUGGGUAAGUGAUUAACCAUUGGCUAGGCUCAGCUAAGCAGAACGAUUACUGUUAGGCCAUGGAUGAUCAGUGGCUACAAAGCGAGCACUGAAGCUGAACACAGGUAUUGUUUUUAAAAAAAAUCUGAACACAAGUACACAGAACCUGAAGCAAGCGCUCGCCCUCGGCGGCGAGGAGGCAAGGUGUAGGUACCUGCUGGGACGUGGCAACGGCGGCGGCGGCGGCGACGUGGAGGACUAGGACGUCGAAAGCGGGGCGCAGGAUCAAGGUGUGGCUGCCGCCUGCCGGAGGGUGAGCCGCUGAUGCCGAUCGAGGCGACGGCGGCGGGCGGAGGCAGGAGCGCGAAAGGAAAGCUCAUCCGGCGCGAAGCAACGGGAUGCGUAUAUAAUGAAGUAAAUUUGGAAAUUGAUCGCCAAUUCAGGAGACAUCAGUUCCAAUUCCAAAUCCGCAGAUUUGUUUAAGCGGCAAUAGAAUCGGCAAGAGAGUAGCAACGAGUUUGCAAGCACCUCCGCUGUCCGAAGGCACUCUCCAACGAAUUAACGGCAUAUUUUUUUUACUAUAAUAAACCUUUUUAGAAGCUUAUAAUUUUUUUGUGGUUUAAAAAAACUUAGCAGGUAUUUAUCAAAAUUUCCAACUAAAAAAAUGAUGAAACUACCUUGAAAAUAAAUUCUAACCCAGGGAUGGAGGUAAUUUAAAUGGUUUUGAGAGUUGAUUGGUAAUAUGUGUAGUUUCAGAGCUCGGGGAGGAAAAUUCAGUUGAAGGAGAUAUAAGAGAUAUUCUCACUCCCAUAAAAGGUUUCACUUUUUCGUAUCCCCAUUUUGGAUUUGUCCAUAUAUUCUGUUGAGUACUCUCUCUGUUCAGUUUACUAUAUUUGUAGAAAAUACGUGCAAUAUUUAUAUCUCUAAAUAAAUUUAUUAUAAAACUAAAUUCAAAGAUCUUUUCAAUGAUACUAAUUAUGUACCAUAAAUAUUAAUAUUUUUAAUAUAUAUUUAGUUAAAGUUAUUUUUUGAAAAUCAUAAACGACAAUUAUUUUGGGAUAGAGAAAGUACACGGACAAGCCAUAUCUCACUCCAUAUGUCAUACUGGCUUAUACUUUUUUUGGUAUUCAAAUUAUUUGUAGCAGCAUUAUUUUUAGCUAGCUAGUUUUCUAAUGAGCCAAAACAUACUACUUUAGAAAGUUAAAAUAAUCUAUGAUGUUUUUUUAGAUUUUGUGCAUGUGCAUUAGGCUAGUCUUAAUGCAUGUUUCAUGAGAGUGUCAUGCACAUUAAGUAGGAUGUCAUAUAAGCAAAAUUGCUGACUUGGCAGAGUCAUUAAGGCCCUAUUUAGAUGCAGCCAAAGAGCCAAAAACUUUUGGAGAAAUAAGCACUUUUUGGAAGAAUGAAUCUAAACAGGGGCUUAUAAAACUUAGUUGUAAAGAUUUGGAAUUUGGGACCUUGGAGCUCCAAAACUGUGUAAACUUGCUUAGGGAUCCGUGUCUUGUGUGUUGUAGACCAAAAAAUUUGGGAAAUAUCUAAACACCUAUUUGAAUGUAAAGUUUUUUUUUAUAAAGUUUACAGCCAAAAGUUUUGGGAUGUAAAGAUUUAGGAUCUAAACAGUUUCUAAAUGAAGGAGUUUCGUACCCAUGAAACUCAUGCGGCUCGUUAGUAGAGCAAAAGUUAGUAGAGCAAAAGCUAUUGUGCCCAAAAAAUUGCAUGGCUUUCUUCAAAAGUUAGUAGAGCAAAAGCUUGAUUAAAAACUAUAAGAUGCACUGCUAUUGCUAGCAAUACCUCAGGAAGAUGAGCCGACAGAAACCUGUUAGGAUUUUCGAAUUAAAACCAGGACACAAAGCUUGGAGCCUGAUAACCGGUUAGGUUCGAAUGUUUGCUCUGCUAGUGUUUCAUGAGAUGACUUUGCAUAUGCUGCAUCUUUAGCUGAAUACACACAUAUUUUUUUUUUCUGAUGAAAAAAUCUUAUUUGCUUCAAAAUAACAAUAGCAUAGUAAAUUUUGCCUAGCCAUUACUGAGAAUCACAGGAAAUGCUAUUUAAAGUCUUGUCCAAACAAAACAAAGUACGCCUCACAUUCUACAAGGAAAAAAAAAAUGGGACAAGCAGUUUAUACAGUAAGUUAAAUUUCAGUCAUGCAAUGUUACAGAACAAGCAAUCCAAUUUAUGGAUAAUCAAACUAAAGAACAUAGCUGCACAUUCUGCAAUCUACAAGAAAAAAAUGGGACAUGAAAACAUCACCACGUCCAUCCUGACGAUCUUGAAUCUGCUGCCAGAUUGAUGUCCAAAUUCAAAUCUCCCAGCUUGAUGUCGCAGUCCCACCGCAGUGGUCUCGUAUGUCUCUGCCCAAAUCCAAACCCAUCAGCUGGAUGCAAGCCAUGACAUGGAUGCAGCCAAGGACCUCACCAGCCGUGGCGGCGCCAUGUCUUCUCACUUGGGUCGGGCGACUGCGAGCGUGGGGCGGGGCGGGGCGAACGCGACCGGGCGUCGAUGGCCACGACUGGAGCGUGAGGACACGACACGACGGAGGGAGGGGAAGUUGAAGCGGCGAGGUGGGAGUCGCAUGUCUUUUGGAGGGAGAAGCAGGUAUCGAACCCUGGCCGCUGGCGCUGGCGCUGAAAAAACAAAAGAACCACCGCACCGCUACUCGGUGCUCACCAGACACAAAACAAAAGCAUGUCCCAGUGCAUUUUCUAUUUCACAGCAACAGCAGGUUACUGAAAAACCCUACACAAGCCAGCGCCGACGGGUCCCUUCAGCCCACCACACGCGUUAGAGAGCAUUACAUAUCUCACACACCACGCAUGCAAACAUCACACAACCAAAAACUGUGUCUGUUACGCUUACUGAGAUGGUAAGCCUGAAACUAAUCCUCUUCUUCAACACUACAUUCCGGUGCCGCAUCCGAGCUAUUGGGUGCUAUUUCUGACGUGAACAAGGUUCCUCAGCUCUUCAAAUGCAUCCAUGGUCUCCGGGUCGAAACCUCCAGCAAACUGCAAAAAUGAGGCCGGUUUUAAAAUUUUAAGAACACUUGCAGAUUUAAAUACUGGAGAGCAUGCAAACUUAAUGAGACAUUAGGUUCCUGUAUGUGUCAGAGGGAAAAACAAUCUGUUUAAUCACAUAUGGAACUGGCAAUGAUGGACAUGUGAAAUGCUUGUGUGUGUGAGAUAUUGUUGGCAGUAAGGGAUGCGCAACGUGCGUGAGAGUUUGCCUUGUCUUAAGUUACAGCUAUAAUGUGUUACCUGAUGCAUCCUGAAGGCAAAUCUCACAGCCUGAAGCAGCAUGUACUCCAGAGCUGGAUCCUUAUUCAGAGGGCCCAUGUAUUGAAGCUCCAUUGCAACCCUUUUCAUGUACAUCUUCGCUAAUUUCACAGAUGCAAACUUUAUCUGUAGUCAAGAAGAAAAAAAAUAAGGGAGCAAUCCAACAAUUUAAAGCAGGUCUUUUAUAAGACGAUACUGCUAUAUAGAUUUUCAUGACAGCAACAGAAUCUGCAACUGCAGAUAAGGAAAUAAAGACGGAUUCCCAGAGCUGUUUGAGAAAAACAUUCCUUAAGCAACAAUACACAAAAAUAAUGUAUUCAGUAUUCUCAAGGAAUAGGACUUUUAGUGGUCAUCAUACUAAGCACUCUAACUAUACUGAAAGAUAUAUAUGACAGCAGUGGGAAACUAAUCAAUAAUUAAAGUAGUACUAGACAACAAGCUUUGCUUACUCCACUAAAGUAGUGUGAUUCUGCAGGCCAUCUGCAGUUUCCAUGCCUAAUGGAAGUGCACACUCAUAAUUUAUUUAGACCGGAGAAGGGGCAGUCCGACACAUAAUAUUUACCUUGCUAAUAAGAUUGUUAUCAAGCAUCCAGUCGGUUGGAAUAUUAAACUCCUUGCACUGCCUCAUCAUAGCCUCUCUUGUCCUUAGAAGAUUGUAGACACCUCUCUCAGUCCUGAAUUAAGAAUGCCAAUCAAAUUUUCAGUAUUUUGUGCAACUUUAUGGGUAAUAAUUAUUAGGUACUUGCAUAUUUCAUUAUAUUUCGGUAAACUUGGACAUACUUUUCAGAUAGUGUAACCAUUUUCUUCAGCGCGAUUUCACAGGGUAGACGUGGAUCAUCUUUAUAGUUUGAAACUUCCGAUUCCAACUUCUUCAGGUCCUGGUAGCCAAAAGCUGCCUCUCGUAGAGUGUCUGCCUUCUUCUCAGGCCAAUCAAAAUGCUUCAACACUGCUCUCUCAUCCACCUGGGUGUAAGGCAAUUAAGUUAAAGGAAUAAUUUAAGUGGCAGCUCCAACUGAAAAUGAUUACUCAGAAAUGAGUGGGAUUGUAAUAAACAUACUAGGAAGCCAAGUUCAUCAUCUAGCCACUUCACAAAUGCAACCACAUCUUCGAUAUCUUUGUAGGCUGCACUAGUCACCUCCUUAAUCAAUGAUUUCACAAAUUCACCCUGAGUUUCAACAUCUGCCUUGAUCUGCAAAUUAAAUAAAAAGUUAAAGCACACAGUUAGUGCCAGAACCAGCCCCAUCAGAGCUAUUUGUAUGAUCACCAGAUUUCCAAUAAGCUAGACUGAGCUCACUACUUACAGCUUGCAAAUGGGACGAGCGGUUCUCGAUUUCACCAAUCAUGCUACUCCGCACAUUCGCAGAGUUAGCUGCUUCACAGAUUCCACCACUGGAAGUAUCCUUUUUGGUGUCCCUUCUCAUAAGUGAAUGGUAGAGCUCUGCGACCUGAGGUGCCCUCUUCAUGACCCCAGUACUUUUUGAGGAAAACUUUGGAGGAGGCGGUGGCGGCGGUGGUCGUGGUGGAUUUACAGUCGAUCCAUUUGAUGGACCAGAAUUUGACACGGAAACAGAAGGUCUUGGUGGAGGAUUAGGGAUGCGCAAUGCACGCUUUUCAACAUCCAGACACUGUGACUUGCAUACUUCUGGCUUGCUGAGAACAAAUCUUGAACUUUCAGAUCGACCAAAAUCAUACUUGUCCACAAGAAGGUCACGCUUCUCCCUGAUUGUAGGAUCCUUAUUACAGGCAAAUGACUCAUCUGUUGCAUCCAGAAGGCUGAUAAAGGUAUCAGAUUGCCUUCUUUUAAUGAUGUUGAAGUCUUGUGCACAUCCCUUUGGUCCACCAAGUGAAUGCCUACGUGUCGGGCUUCGUGCUUCUGCAGCUUCAAUCCACGCCCUAUCAAGAAGGGCUUCCUUUUUAGAUGCUUGGCAACUCUUAUCAUUCUGGGACCACUGCUUGAUGCGUUCUGCAAUGCUGAAUUUUAUAUCAGAACUGUCCUCAGCAUUUUUUGCAUCACCUUCACCACCAUCACCCUCAUUAAAAGCCAUGACACCAUUGCAAUCUAUAUCCGUCAUUGCUCUAGCUGCUUGAUCUGAGUUACAGAGCUCAUGGCGUAGACAUGAAUUGAUCCACCGAAGAUAAGCAAGCUCCUCAACCUCUGUUAGCCGACUCAUUUGCAAUCCCUCAACUUGCUUGCUUAGGUUUGCAUUUGUGUGCCUCAGCAACGAUGCCUCAGCUUGAACCUUGGCAACUAUAUCACUCUGGUGACAGUAUUUAAAGCACACGAAAGAAAAAUUAGUUGAAAUAUUUUCCAUACAAAGUACAAACAGAAAGAAUAAAGUUCAAGCAAUGGUACCUCUGCAUUCUUCUCAAGGCCAGCCAAUUUGGAUUCAGCUGAAGAGAGCUUAAUUGCAAGAUUUCGUUUCUGAAACUGUAGUUCUUUGUUUAACCGGCGUAGUUCAACAACUUCGAACUCCAAGUUUUCUGAAGGUGUAUUGUCCCCAUUUACACUAGGUAUCCGGUUGCCAUGGCCAUCUAACCUUACAUUUUCUUCAUGAUGUUCUACCAUAGAAGAUAGAGCUGAUAAUUGUUCAGAUAUGUUUGUUUUCUCAGCUUCUAAUGAAGUCUUCAGUCGUGCAAGCCUGUCAACUUCAUCCCUCAUAGAAUCAAGCUCCUUCUCAAGUUCUGAAACUUUUGGGUUUUCUCUGCAUUGCCGCAACUCUGACUGUAAUGCUAAUUCCCUUUCUUUCGACUCACGUAGUUGCUCCCUGAGAUGAUCCAACUCAAGAAAAAGAUCAUGGGAUGCUGGGGACCUAAUAUUGUGGCAAUCAAAGACAUGGGGGUGGACUUGAGCACCAGCAGGUGAACAAGGGAAGUCCCCGAUAAGGGAUCUUUUCACCCUAGAGUGGUACGGAAUCUGUUGGUUGGUCUGAUUGACAUUUUCGACAUUUGCAAGAGGUGGUUUUUUGCUUGCAAUUGCUGCUGUCUUCUUGGUUUUCUUGUCUGCUGUAAAACCUUUGACAAUUUGGGAACCCCAUGAGGAUCCAAACUUAGGUUUCAGAGAACUCGAAUUGCUUUUGGAGUCAACCCUUGAUCUGCAUGGCUUUGUUUGGUUGUCAAACAUGAUUUCCUCUUUCAUCUUUUCCCAGGGUUACCAGUUUACCACACUCCAAGCACCAUUCAGCACUGCACAUAAAUGAGGAAAGUUGUUGAUAUAUGUAGCAGGCAAUAUCACCACAAGAAAAAUAGAAAUAAAUAAUAUGGUCAGCUGAUUUGUGAAAGAAGUAGAGGAUUAUGUGCCCAUUUUCAAACUAUAUAUAUAGCCCCACAACAUCCAUCAAACUCAGUAUUCGGGCCAAAGGAGCUCUUAUCAGCAACUCUAUGUAUGGAACAGUUAAUACCGGAACAGACCAUUUAAGUUUUAAUCCGAAAAGCCUUCCCUUCUCUAGUCGCUCCCAUGAAUUUUUUAAGCCUGGCGAGAGCUGCACGGCAUUCCUUAGGGAUUAAAUUGACUACAACUAUCCAAGCACACUUAUGCGAAACAAAAGGAGAUUACACAGGCCUGAACAGUCAAGUUUAGCACUUUUGAGUAACCAUCUCAUUGUGAAUCGCUGGAUUCCAAAAUCUUUCUGGCAGAAGAAUAAAUAAAUAAUAAAGUUUUUGAGGUAAACCCAUGCUUUCUACUACUCCUACAAAGGAAAAGGAAAUGAGCAAGAAUAGGACAUGGAUACUGCGAUUGAGUCAGAUCCGGGUAAAAAUAGCUUGCAUUGAGGUUUGGGGGUGCCCCCCGUUGAGCACAGAAGGAAAGGAAGAGAGGGGACGGGCAUACCAGCAUAGUGGUCGUCGCCGGUGAACGGACUAGGAAAGGGGCGUCGCCGGUAGCCCAAUCGUCGUCGGCGGCAAUAAAGGAAGGCAAAGGGAGAGGGACCAAAAUUACAGCUAAAAAAGAUUGACACUGAAAUCCUCCAACCCCAACCCUAAGCAACUCAAAUCUGCAGCAUUCCACUCCACCAGAACGAACCUGGCUAUGCCGACAAAGAGCCCCGGAUCAGCUCAACCUACUUUAGCUACUCCAAAGACCGCAGCCACGACCGCGGUGGCCGCCGGCGUUUAGAAUACUGAAGCAACGAGCAACUGGCACUAGCAGUAGUGGCAGUGGCGCUCUAGUAGCCAAUAAAUAAAGAAGGAAAUCGCCCCAGCGCCCAGCGGAGUGUGGAGCCGUGGAGGAGGAGGAGGACGGAAACAAACAAGGGAUGGUGCUUCGGAUGCUUGCCUCGCCGGCUCGCCCCAAGACGGGGAGAGAGAGAAUCCGUCCGUCCCCCACGCGCGGAUUUUUUCAGUGGAUUCCUCCCGGGUUCCGAGACGCCACCGCGACCGCCUCGAGGUCUCUCGCUCCCCCCCGUGGAGAAGAGAGAGUGAGGAAGGGGGGUUUUGAAUUUUGAAAUCGGAGAUGGGGAAGAAAAAGGUGAGUAGCCGUAGCAUAGCUCCACUCCAGCACGCUGUCGCUAGCUGGGGGCAGAGGCAGAGCAGUGGAGCUUACUGACGUGUGGGGUCCUCCGUGUCCGGUGGUCGGCUUCGGCAUUUUGCCUGAUUUUUCGCUCCUGUGUCCGUCCACCUGUCCAUGUCCACGGUGUCACGCUCGGGAGCAACCACAAUGCUCGGAGCUUCACGACACGACACGGUAAGGAAAAAGUCCACACACGUUUCUCAACUUUUACGAAAAUCUAUUUUUCUUUUAAACUUUAAAACUGAUUAAAAUACCUCUCUUAAUUUUUAAAGUCAUUCAUCUUAUCAUCCUACCCUGGUUAAAAAGGUUUCGAAUGCGACUUUAUUUUUUUAUUUUUCAUUUAUUUUAACUGAAUCUUUAAUAAAAUCAUAGUAAAACAUAGAAAAUUAUAAAAUAAAAAUCUAUUUUUCUUAGACUUUACAUGAGUAGAUCUACAUAAUGAAUAUACAAUAUAAUAUGAUUUGAUAUAAAAUUUUGUUGUAGCUUUAGAUCUAUUCUUUUCUGUAAUUAAAAGGAAUAAUUCAUAGGUGUAGAUUCUAUUGUUCAAUUGUGGUGAAGUUUUUAUGGUAUGCUAAUUAUUGUAUACUUAAGCUGUACUAAAAUUCUAUACUCAUUAGAUUAUGUAUAACUUAGUUAUAGAUUUUAUUUAUAUUUAUACUUGUUAAAUAUAAAUAAAUCUAUAAAUAAACUAUACAUGAUUCAAUGAGUAUGAAUUUUUAACCAUAAUUCAGCCAUACAAUAGCUAGCCCACCCUAAAACUUUUCAUCGCAAUUGGAUCAUAGAAACUGCAGCUAUGAAUUAAUUACAGAAAAGUAUAGAUAUAAAGACACAACAAAAACUAUACUAAAACAUAUUAUAUUAUAUGUUUACUGUGUAGAUCUACUCACGUGGAUUCCCAUAAAAUUAGAUUUUUUUUUAUGAUUUUUUCUAUGAUUUACUAUAAUUUUUCAAAAAUUUAGUCAAAAUAAAUAAAUAAAAAAGAUAAAACCACCUUCAAAACUGAUUAUAACAAAGACCAACUGACCAAGGAGGCAAGAUGAACAGUUUUAAAAGUUGAGAGAUGUGUUUUGUCCAGUUUUAGAGUUUCGAAGAGGAAAAAGCAAACUUUUGUGAAAGUUGAAGGAGGUAAUAUAGACUUUUUUCCAACUUAAAAGACUAGGUGGAUAUCUUAAAAGGAUUCGAACUAGUUUAGAAUAUGUGAAAAAUAGAAACUUUUUGCUUUGUGGGCAACCAUGGUGAAGUCUUGCUUGAUAUUCGCCUCUUGCACAAUCAACAGACUAGUUAGGGCACUCACAAUGCAGACUCUAUCAUAGAGUCUAAAGUUAUUUAUUACCUCGAAUAAUGUGGACUUAGAGUCUAAAUAAGACUUGGAGUCUUAUUUUUUCUACCUUUUUCUCCAAUAAAUAUGCUGCCACAUCAGCAAAAUACCAUAAACAAUAUAUAAUUAAUUGUCUUGGACUCUGUGAUAGAGUCUUGCAUCGUGAGUGCCCUUAGACGCUACAAUGGAUGGUUCCAUUACUUACCUAUUUGGAUUUGACGCUCGCACUACCCAUUAAACUAGGCACUAGUGCUGACAAGGGGGUGGCGCCAUAGAUAGGGGUGGCAAUGAAGCGGAUGAAGGCCUUGUUAUCCAAAACUUUAUAAGAUUCUCCAUCACAUCGAAUCUUACACACAUGCAUGAAACAUUAAAUAUAGAUAAAAAAGAUAACUAAUUGCACAGUUUACCUGCAAAUCACGAGACGAAUCUUUUAAGCCUAGUUACUCCAUGAUUGAAUAAUGCUUGUCAAAUAAAAACAAAAGUGCUACAGUGUCAAAAUCCAAAAAAAUUUUGGAUCUAAACAAGGCCGACGUAUCCAUCGAUCUUAACCCGAACUCAAACUUAAAACUUGAAAUCGCCCAAACACCAAUUCGGAUGAAAAUCCAUCCAUCAUCAAAAUUAGCAGAUCCACAAAACCCACCACAAUAAGGAAUUGUUUGGCAACACAUGUAUGAUAUAUAUUACAUAUAUUCACAUGUAUAAAUAAGAGGCAACAAACAACAUACAAUUCUACGACUCAACUUAGAACAAACUUUGUAGCUUACGGACACAAUUUAUUAAUACAAGACAUGAGUUCUGAUUUAGAGUGGUGUAUUUGGGGUCACCAUUAGGAAUCCGUGGGUGAAACCAAAACCAAAGCCGAACUCAAGGCCCUGUUUAGUUUCCCAUCCAAAAUUUGAGGUGUGCAUUCAUGUAACCUUUUGGAGCCAAACUUUGUUGGAUGGUUCAAACUUUGUGCAAGACAAUGUAUUGUUAUCUAUGGAUUGAACUCCAUGUGAUGUAUGUGUGUCUAUCAUUAUGUGAUGGAACUUCAGUUUGAGUCUGGGUAUCAUAUAUGUGCUGGUUUGCAAUUGUGUUUUUUUUGUAUUUAUAUUGUCUGUUGGACUGUCUGACGCUGAAAUUGCUUGGACUGUUGGAUCAUCUGUCGCUGUAGGUAUGGUAACAGACUAUCUGCCGCUGAAAAAUAUCAAUGGACGGUCUGACGUAAAAUAUAUUCAGGACGACAGACUGUGUGACGCUAAAAGUAUGGUCUGACGCUGUAUGUUUUUAGUGUCAGCACUUACACCGUCUGCAGAAGUCUGACGCUAUAUGUUUUUAGCGUCAGACCAUCUGACGCUGUAGCCACUUUUAGCGUCAGAUCAUCUGGCACUAAUUAUGGUGUUGUGGUGUAGUGCGACACAUUCGAUGUGGCAUCCAAAAAAUUUUCAUCUCUAAUCUAAACAGGGCCUAAGUUUUGGGUCUCCAAACUUGAAAAUCGAGUUGAAAAUUGCUCCCUCACCUGCACCUGUUGGACCUGAAAAUCAAAAGGACCUAGCUCGAAACUGCCCCAGUGCAAUCCCUAAGUGUAGAUGCUUGUCGGUUGUUUUUUUGGAUGAAGCAAGUUCGCCUUGCAAUGGUAGGGCCAAAGUGUCAAGAGGAAGGACUUGAUCGUUCUAUUGGUGACGAGGAAGAAAGCGGUGAACAUAACCAACUCACCGUAGGACUGGGUGAUGAUAGUAUUGACUUAUGCAUCAUAGAUUAGCUGGUUAGGUUAUUUGUGAUAGAACCUUACCAACUGAGUUCAAGUUCUCGACUUGACACAGGUGUUUGUAUUUUUCUUGACUUAUUUUAAGAUUUAACGGCGCUGGCGACGUGUCCGUCGACAGCGAGGGCCUGUGGUGACUUCGUAAAUCUUGAGAUUUGCCAGUCCAACUCGAUUCUUUGGAGGUGCUCAUAGAGGUAGGAUGUGCAUGCGUACAUUUAUAGGGGUGAGUGUGUAUCUGUGUAUGCGAACGUCUGUGUUUGUAAAACUAUAUUCUUUUGAGAUAUCAUGUAUGAGCAGGAGUCAGUAUAAGACAACACGAGAAGGGAGACGGAGGUAGGGUGGAGAACUAUAGAUAACAUGCACACAGGAAGAUGAGAGAAUUCUCUAUCGUGAUUCCUUGUGAGCCACUUAAAAAGUUCAACAGACUUCAGUGCCACUACUCUAAAUUUUUUUUGCCCUCCAGACCACUCAAAACCGUAGGUGUGAAAAGUCAACAAUACCCUUAGGUGUAAAUAUGCUAUUAUUUUUUUGAGCAUCUUAACGACUUCAAAUGAAAAAACUCAAAACUAGAAAGUUGUAGAUCUUGUCAAAAUCUACAAUUUUCAUAUAAAAAAUAUUUUCAUUUAAUUUAGCAAAAAAAGAUUUGUUUUGAUAUGGUUAAAAUAUAUCUUAGAAAAACAUAUCUUUUUUGCUAUAUUGAAUGAAAAUAAUUUUUAUAUAAAAAAUAUAGAUUCCAAUGAGAUUUACAACUUUUUAGUUUUGAGUUUUUCUAUUUAAAGUCAUUAAGAUGCUAAAAAAUUAACAUCACAUUUACAUCUAUGGUAUUUUUGACUUUUCACACCCGUGGUUUGACACCGUUAGAGCCUAAUCUAACGGUAGUGGCCUGGAGGCAAAAAAAAUUUUUAGAGUAGUGACAGUGAAGUCCAUUGAACUUUUUCAGUGGCUCACAAGGAAUUGUGAUCUUUUACAGUGGCUCACAGGAAAUUCUCUCUAAUUUUCCUAUUUUAAUAUUAUGGAUAUACUCUCUCUCCGCCAAGAAGAAUAUAAUUUUAGAUUUGAGAGUAGUUAAACUUUCUCAAGUUUGACCUAGAGAAAAUAUCAACAUUUAUGUCUUUAAAUAGUUUUUUGAAUUACACAAGUACAAAUGUAAACACUCAAACACACGCACACUCGCUCCCUAUGAAUACACGUACGGAAAUCCUAUCUUCAUGAGCACCUCCAAAAGACUAUGUCGGCACAUCUCGAGAUCGACGAAGUCAUCCCAAGCGCCUCGCUGUCAACGGAAACGUUGCCUACCACUGAAAGCACAACACCGUUAAAUCCUAAAAUAAAUUUAGAAAAAUACAAGCAUACAUGCCAAAUCGAGAACUUAAAUUAUAACAACUAUUUCAUAAUAAUCAAUCUAAUGAACUUAUUUGAUAUAAAAAAUUUUAGUACUUUUAGUAGAGGUGGUCAAAGUUUAAAUAACAACUUUUAUGAGAAUUCUAUCUUUUUUUGAUAGAGGAAGUACUAGCAAACAUGCAUAAGCAUUGCAACGGAACAUACACUUUGUUGGGCGAUUAUUUGAAUGACUUGUGGCUUGGAUAUUUAUGUAAUAGAUGUGUCCUCUGUUCCAACAUGUAUGGGAACUAGAAUCCUGUACCAUUGUUGGAUACACAAACAUGUGCGGUUUUAAUUUUUAUGAGCAUGGGUCGUGAGUUUGGAUCUCAUAGGAGACAAUGGAGAUACUACUAGAAUCCACAAAAUCGGUAUGGGAAUAUGUUCCCUAGAAUUUUUCGCAGGAGAAGCCUCCUAAGACAAUUUCAACCACAGUUUGGAAAGAUGGUUCCCCUAGGGUUUCUUUAAUUUUCUUAGCAAAAAUUUUAAACUCUAGGGAAACCAAUAGAUUUUAUAAAAAAUGGAUGGAAGAAUGACUUGGUUAUAUAAGGCCAGUCUCAAUGGAGUUUCACGAAGGGUGUCAUGCACAUUAAAUAGUCUGCCACAUCAGCAAGAGCACACUUUUUGUAUGAAACUGGGAGGAGAGAGAAUGGAAAAGUUUCACCAUGGUGAAACGAACGUCGGAAACGGUGUGAAACCCGCGUUGAGAGUCGUGAUUCGUUUCAUCCCAUCGGUCUUCUUCGACACCAGCCCCGCGGACUCCGCCUCUGACGCGAGCCACCAUCCGCAGUCGCAGUCCGCCGAUCUGCAGUCGCUGCCUCCAUCAUGGCCAUGAGGGCGCGUGCAUCCGCACGCGACCGCGGAUGCCUCCCAGCGCGGCGAGCGUGAGCGCCGGGCAGGCUCCACCGCGCCGGCUCCUUCUGGCCUCGAACCAACCGACGAUGCGCCGCCAAAGGCCAACUCCUCGACGAUGCACAGGGCGGACCGCGGGUGCUGCUCGUCACGGCGACUCGUACCUCCUCGACGACACGCGGGGCGGACUGUCGUCGUGCAGAAGAGGCAACGUGCAACCAUGGCGAGCGGGAAGGCCAGGCGAGGGCGAGGGCGAGGGCAAGCUGCUGUCGGGCGCGGACCGGGAGAGCUGCUGUCGGGAGCGGACGCGAGCGAGCUGCCUUCGCUGCUGCCGGUCGUGGCCCCGCUGGCCACGAUGCCAUGAAUGAACAAAUAAAGGAAGUGGAGAAAAAAAGAGAAACACGUCAGAAGUUCGGAGAACUUCAUCUGAUGAUGAACACUGAGCUAGUCAGGCGGCGGUGAGUACGGCUCGGGAAGACUAGAAAAAACGGCCGCGAGGCGAGUUCCCCGACGUCGUCCGCUGGGCAUGGCUCAGCUGGCCGCGAGAGGGGAAAAGAGAACGAUGGGACCCACAAAAGUUUAGAAUAAUAUAUGAAACCGUGCUAUGAAAUUACACACUGUGGAGAAAGAUAUGUUCCAAGUUAAGUUUCGCAUCUUGGAAACUGGAAAGGUGAAACCUUCCAUUGAGACUGGCCUAAGAGGAGAAAUUAGAUGUAAGAUAUAUAUAUGUUGGAUCAUGUGGUUAUGCUAUUGGUCAUGUAGGGAUUGGAUAAGAAUCGGCCACCAACCACAGACAUAUGCAUGUUUAUAUGCAAUUGAAGCAACCCAUGCCUUCUUUUUCCAUCUUGUUUUUUAUUGACAAAGUGACAUUUGUUGACAGGUGACCACUGAGUGACGACUUGUAUAUUUUGGUUCGGUAGUGGAAAUGGACUAUGCAUGCUCGACAAUGAGUACAUUUAACCAAUGGGUUACCAGACUUGUACCCCUAUACUAGGAGUAGGAUUAUCAUGACUCAUGAUGAAUUGAAUGAAAGGUGAUUGGCAAGCUUAUUGGGUAGAGCUAAGAAUUAGUCUGAUCCAAAUUCGUAAUUCACAACUGAAUAUUUCAAGCAACAGUGAUGUAAACAAUGUUCUUCCCCAAUUAUUUUGUGGCAUCCCAUGGAAGGAACACAGAUGCAUGGCCAAGAUAUAGAUAGUACUUUUAAAAAAUGUUUCUACACUUCGAGAUAAUGUUUCUCUUAUUCUAGUUAGCUCAACUCAGAGAACAAAAUGUUUUUUAUACUAACUUUGUUGAAAUGGGCUCGGGUCCCAGCAUGUUAGUGUUCUUUGUACCUUAUGUUAAAGUAAAUUCUUCUUUUUUGCCUCACAAAGGUUCCUUUCUUCUAGUGAAAUUCUUCGAGUAUAUAGACUAAUAUAAUUUAAGUUUUUUUCUUUUGCGAGUGGUAUAAUUCUCUGUCUACUUGAGCUUUUUAGCAAAUGGAAUUAUAGUUAGGCCAAGAUGUGUCUUUAGAAUGAAGUAAGUUCUCAAUUUCAUGCGGGUCAUUGGAAAUUUAGAAAAAUGCUGUUGCUACUGUAGUGUUAUCUUUUGGGCCAGGCCGACUCCAUUUGCUAGUUGCAGCCCGAAAUGCAAAUAAGCACCAGUAUAAACUGGGAAUAUACUCUCAAAAAUAUCAUUAGGAAUAAAGGCAUAGUUAAAGUUCUAGGACAUGAUCGAAUACAGUAGAGAUUAGAAUCACACUACAGUUUAAUUAGAAUUUUAUAUGAACAUAAAAAUAAGACUACCAAAUUUCAUCUGGAGGACUCUUACAAAAAAAUCAACAGGAGGCAAAUUAAUUCCAAGAAUAAAAAGGGAACAAAACCUGAUGACCUCACAAAAUCAAAUAUCUCAUCUUAUGUCUAUUGGCUUAGAUAGACACCUCAGUCUGAACUAACUUAUCACGUGCGACGUGGUAAUUCUGCUAUGAUGGUAGAAAAUAAUUCACUCUGUUUGUUUUAACCUUUUAAAGCCAGAAGAUGACCAUUUCUAAGAAUUUAGGCGACACCAAUAUAACCUAUUACCAACGGAAUGAUAUAAUUGGGGGCAACACAUAAUGGCUGCCUUGGUUUUAUCUUACUGUCUUAACAUGUCAGAAAGCAAAACAUCAUGUAAUAGCCUACCUAUGAGCGAAAAAGAAAGUAACAACAAUAAGUAGGCAAAAAGCAUCGAUCAAGAUUCAAUACGAUAUAUUUAGAUUUACAUGUUUUGUCCGGAAGACAUGUGUUGUACGUACAUUUCUUUCAGUAUAUAUACUAGGAUGGAUGUGACAUAUAGAAGCUCUAUCUACAAAUACCUUACUUAAGCUAUGUGAGAAACUACCAUAGUAAUAAAAAUCAUGCUCAAAAUAGCAAGUGGUUAUGUGACUACCAUCAAAACAAGCUUAUUAACCAAACCUAUACUUCAGAUAAAGUGGUGAUGGAGUUUUAAGCUAUGUAAGAAGCUACCAUGGUAGUACAGAUCAUGCUCAAAAUAGAAAGUGGUUAUGUGACACUACUACAUGAAAAAAUUUACCGUGGCGGGCUAAAAUGCUUAACUGAGGCAGUUUUUCCAACCACCUCGGAGCAAAGGUCAUGGUUAAUGUGACCUUUUGCGAGGCGGUUGGAUGCGCGCCUCGGUUAAUCAAAUAAAAAGAAAAAAAACCCAGAGGGCUUGGAUCUGGGCCUCUUGCCCUACCGCUAGGGGAGCCAACUCUGCGUAUGCAUCGGCAGCUCGCUGCGUCCAUGCCCGCUUUGCCACCACGAAGAUCCACCGCCCACUGCAGUACAUCCGUCGCGGGUGUGGACGACCUCACGCACUGCCGUGGGUGAAGGCCUCCAAGCCCUGGACUGCGCUGCCAUGCCCUCGGCCCCGGAUCCGCGCCACCUGAGGACCUUGAGGCAGAGGGAGGAACUCCUUGCUGCCUAGAUCCACGCCGCCAGAGGAGACGGAGGAGCUCCUCGCCACGCCGUCGGUGGUGCUUGAGGGAGGACGGAGAAGCGUCGCCGCGAUAGGGGGCUCUGCCACCGAAUACGAAGGAGAGGAGGAGGGGCGUUAGAGGGAAGGGGUGCGGUCAAUGGGGAGGGGCGCUCAGGUGUCAAGUUUUGCGAGGAGGGGAAGUGAAGGGCGUCGGGCGUAUGGCGUCGCGAGCAGCCAAGGUGAGAGAGUGCGGGUGCGGCUGAGGAAGUGAAGGUGAAACCCUAGGUCUAGUAUAUAUAUGUGACCUUGAAAUUGGGCCUCUUGGGCUGGCAGGCUGGGCCAGAUUUACUGAGGCGGGUGGAGUUAUAAUACCCGUCUCGGUUAAUGAUUUUACCGAGACUGUUAUGUUAAGAUGUCCGCCUUGAUUAAUCAAUUUUGCGAGGCAGUUUAUGUAACCGCCUCGGUUAAUAAAAAAUGACCGUCUCGGGCGGUUGAAAUUUUUGCCCGCCUCGGAGGGUGUUUCAAAAGAUCACGGUAAAUCUUUUUGUAGUAGUGUGAUUACCAUCAAAACAAGCUUAUCUACCAAUCCCAUACUUAAGACAAAGUAGCCAUGGAGUUUAAGCUAUGUGAGAAGCUACCAUAAUAAUACAAAAUCACGCUCACAAUGGAAAGUGGUAUGCGACUAUCAUCGACAAGCCUAUUAACCAAUCCUAUACUUAAGAUAAAGUCCUCCAAAUAUAUUCCAUAGUUAGAGCAACUCUAGUGUCAUCUAAAAGUGAACUGUGGGAAGCAAAAAGAGAUCUAGAACAUUGGAGCAAUCAAACAUUGGGCGUUAGACCAAAAAGCGUAAUUUGUAGACGAGCCAAAUCAAGAAGAAAAAAAAAUCAUGCCGGGCAUGUCACCCCUCACGAUUCUUUUGUCCCCAAUAUGACUCAAAUAGAGAUGAUUUUUUAGUUCUAUUUGUGUGCAGAAGUCGAUGUGCACAUUGAAGGCAACGAACUUUGCUUUUAUUCGAUUCCACAGUUCGACACGAUGUUUUGCAUAAUUAAGUUGGUAUUUGUUGUUGUUUGCAAACUCUCAGAACAAAAUGCAAAGUCUAAAAAUAGGCCAUCUCUAAGGGUUUUACAUAACUGAGUUGGCAAUUAGCCAAAGUGGACCCGGUCGUGAUUUUUUUCCUUCGCGCGCGCUCGCGAUCGUCUUCCCACACGCGACUUUCCUUCGCGUGCAUAAAGUCGCCGCCGGUUCUCGUGUUUUCCUCACAGGUCGCGCCACCAGUUCUUCCUGCUCCCCACCGCUCGUUGUAGGUGCCACCGCGACGACUCAUAUCAGACUCGUUGCAGGUGCCGCUGCGGUGCCAGCCCGAUGGAUGCAACCUGCCUACGUACCCGGAUCAUCUUCCUGCUCUGCUCGUACAUUACCGUUCUAUGGCUUCGAUAGAUUGCCGAUGCACUGGUUCAUCAAUUUUAAAAUUCAUUUGAUUCAAUUCGGUCCUACUCUUCUGGCUUGUAGCAGAUGACGGCGAUGGUGUUGCUUGCGGUCGCGAUAUAUGGCGCGAAGAAAGUCCAGGUCGCGCGGGGGACCGGGAGACGCGCGGUCGGCCUUUUGCCAAGCCGUGCGCGGCUUGGCAUAUAUGCCAAGCUUGCUCUCUCAUUUGCCAAGUUGCUCAAAAUGCAAACUCUAAAUGCAAAACCAUUGGAUACCUCUUUUGUGAUUUUUGACAAAUUACAAGAAUGCAAAGUCCAAAUGCAAAACCGUUGGAGAUGCUCUUAGAGGUGCUCUUAGGCUAUCUCCAACAGCCUAUGCAUCACGCUAUCCAUAUCCAAAAUGUCUGAUCACAGUGAAAAAGCACUCCCAACAGAGUAGGCAAAGAGAGGACCUAUUUUGCGUCAUGGUGAGAGGAGACUCAAAUAUGCAUCUCUCUCUCCAUGACCCAAAUCUGCAGCAUCGAUCAUGGUGGGCCCGCGACAGGGAUCUGCCGCACAGCGAGGCGCGGUCGGUCCACCGAUGAGGACAGCGAGGCGGGCCCGUGACGAGGAGACGACGGCGAGGCGAGGCGCGGCGGGCCUGCGGACAACGACGGCGAGGUGGGUCCGCGACGGGGAGCCGCCGUCACGACGAGCGUGGUUGUCCCGCAGACGACGACGAGGAGCCGCCGGCGCAGACGACGAUGGCGAGGUAGGUCUGCAGAGGGGCGAGACUGUCUCGGCAGGGAGGAAAGGAAGCUCGGCGAGCGCGGCCGUCUCGCGCAGAGAAGGAGGGAAGCUUGGUUCUAGGCACAGUGGAGAGGGAAGAGAGCAGCGCAUGCGGUUCUGUUCGAUGGGAAGGAAUGGGGCGGCACAUUCAGUGGAUCUGCUCUCCUUUUAGGUCGGCUGUUGGAACACGAAAGAUUUGGUGUGUGUGACCCUUUUCUCCUGCGUGACCCAAAUAAACCGUAUGGAUCUCAUAUAUGGGUGAGGACUGUUGGAGACAGUCUUAGAUGAAGAUCAAUUCACAAAUCCUAUCCCUGGACCUGAACGUCACAGCCCACGACUCACAAACCAUGGGCCAUGGCCCGCAACUAACAUCCUUUUCCCCUAACCCAAGCAACCUCAUAGUCGGUCCCUAUUAGUCAUUGCCCCACCGAUCACUUGCUCCCGUCAUUUUUUCGAAACACUAUUUUACACUCUAUUCCUUAUACUCAAUAGUUGAUAUAUAUUACACGCUGUAGUUUAUCCCUUAUACUCAAUGAUCAACAUAUACUACCUUGCAUACUCUAUCCCUUAUACUCAAUAGUCGACACGUCGUCGCAACCGUGGUGUCUAUAUAUAUGCCAUACAUAAAGCUAUUCUUAACUUUGAUGUUUACCUCUUCUCCCAAGCAAGGACCAUCAUUCUCAAGCAUCAUCAGACGAAGAGAGGCCAGGAGAAGAGAUUAGGAAAAGAACCUGUGAGAAUUAGUGGGAGAGAUCCACAAGGAAGGUACUGGCGUCGCGUACUCCCCCUCUCUCUCUAGUCGACCCCUUUGUUUUCUCUCUCCUCUCUCCUCUCUCUCUCUCUCCUGGUGCUGCUGCCUGCGCCUGCUGUGUGUGUGUCCCUCCCCCCUGCCAACCCUUUUCUAUUCAGUCGGUUCCCCUCUCCUCUUCCCCCAAGCCAAACACCACCACCCCUCCUUCCUCCCCACACCCCCUCUCCCUACGCCUCCUCGCCGCUUUCCCCACCCAAUCCGACCGCCGGGCCGCCUCCUCUCCGCCGGGGCGGGCGAUUCCCCGGAGAUUCCGCGCGAUUCGCCGCGGAUUCGGGGCUCCUCCGGGGGUUUCUCGGCGAAUCGGCGGGGAUCGGGACUUCCCGGCUGGAGGUCAGGCCCCCCCUCCUCCUCCCCUCCGAUCGCUAACCCUCGCUGCUUCGUGCCCCGCCGCGUGGGGGCGGGGGUUUGCCCGGUUACUGCCCGCGCCGCCCUGUGCCUUAGGUGCGAUGAACAGACGAGUGAACUUUUGCUUCUACAUACAACUGGGUGCUGGGUGGGGUGGGGGAGAGCGAUUCCGUGAUCGGGGCGCCUUCUGCUGCGUGUCCUUGCCCGAUGUGCGGAGUGGGUUGCCGAGGGGUGCGAGUCGGCUGCGGGUUCUCCUGGUGGUUAAUUAAGCAAGUUGCUAGUAAUUGCACGAGUAGAUUUACCUGUUGCUGUUAAUGACUCUGUGCUGCUGAUCCAUUUGUUAGUUAUAUAUGCUUUGGUGGGCAAGGGAUGCGUGUCCCCCAGUGCGUGGAAUCUUCGGUGUGCAAGGAAUGGAAUGGUGUCUGUGGGAAGUAGCAUUACAGAGGACAGAAGAGGGCUGAUGCUGGUGCUAGGAAGUAGAUGUUGCGUGCCUUAUCCUGUACUGAUAUGGACAAAAAUAGGUUUGACUGGAUUGUUGGAGACUUUGGUUUACCUAAGCAUGCCACUCUAGCAGCAUACUUCUUGUUUGUACCAAAGUUACAACAGAACUGCAACUUAUGCAUCCCUAUGUCGAAUGUGCUUGCAGUACUGAUAACUUUACCAUCUGUAGGUGUUGCGAUUAGAACAGCUGUAGAACUUUUUCGCUGUUUCGAAGGCUGGCUGAUACUGAUUGGCAUAUCAGUCAUUCAAUAUGCACAUUCCUUUUAGUAUGUUCUAUUCUAUUAUUUGAUGAAAUCAGAUCAUAUCGUCACCUUUGGGUUCAAGUAUUAGCAGUAAUCACCGCUAACCAUUGGUGGUUUCUCCAACUACGUUGGUUGCCAAGCAACGUAGUUGGAAUGGCUACAUUGUAGCAAUGUUCUUUUAGUUUAGUGGUGCCUGGCACAAGAUAGUGUUGUCAUGGCUUUGCUUUGAUGUGAGCAUCCUAAUUUUUGUCACGCCUUUGAUUACACUGUGGGAUACGCUGCCAAGCAAUCAGACAAUUCUAGAUUGGCAAGGAAUCAUAUCUUGAUACCUUUAGACAUGAGGAUUAAUGACAAGAUCUAUGGCCCCCUUUGCUUAGUAGCAAAUGGGUGUUUUAUCCUCUUUGUCAAGUGAGUCCUAAGUCUGAGGCCAGGAUGAAUUUUGUAGUGGGGCUGGGGCCAAUUAUUUCAUGACUCUCACUUUUUAAUUCCUUCUCUGCAGAAUCCUCCAUCUGUUUCGGUAACUAUUUGGAACAAUUUACGUGGAGAUUGCAUACCAUCACCUUCCCUGAAGUGAAAAAUAUAUGGGCUGAUCGUGGCAUUUCAUGGGAGGUUUUGAAGAUGAUGAACCACCCUCAAAACGCGCAAGAGCAUCCUCAGUAGAAUCUGCAAGUUUACCAGAUUAUUUCUCGUUUUCGAAAUCCGUCAAUCCUUUGGGAAGUACAAUGGCUAGACCUUUGCCUUCCCAAGGGAAAGAAGUUAUGGUUGGUUCCAAGGGUGUUAUUAAGAAGGAGGAAUUUGUUAGGAUAAUCACCAAAACUCUGUAUAGUCUUGGAUAUGAAAAAAGUGGAGCAGUUCUGGAGGAGGAAUCUGGGAUUAUUUUACAUAAACCUAUGGUGAAUCUUUUCAGAGAGCAGGUGAUUGAUGGGAAUUGGGAUAAUGCGGUGGUUACCUUGAAUAAGAUUGGCCUUCAAGAUGAAAACAUCGUGAAAUCUGCGUCAUUUUUGAUAUUGGAGCAGAAAUUCUUUGAACUUCUAAGAAAUGACGAUGUCAUGGGUGCUAUGAAGACUUUACGAUGUGAGAUCACACCCCUUGGUGUUAAUAGAAAAAGAGUGCAUGAACUGUCGACUUGUAUGAUUUCUUGUUCUCCACAGCAGUUGUUCCUUGGUUUUUCAAAGCUUGGAAUUGAUUCUUCUAGUUCUCGGUGGAAGCUUCUAGAGGAAUUGCAAAAGGUGCUCCCUCCAACUGUGAUGGUGCCUGAGAGGAGGUUAGAAAAUUUAGUUGAGCAAGCACUUACUGUACAAAGGGAUGCUUGCUAUUUCCAUAAUUCUGUUGAUGGGUUGUCCCUCUACACUGACCAUCACUGUGGGAAAGACCAGAUACCGUCUCGCACGCUACAGGUAAAAAAGACUCUGGUACCUGCUUCGGUGUUUGCUUGGAGCGCUAAAACCCCACAUAAGUGCUAGUUCUGUGUCUGCUGGUCAGCCACUUAUGUACUGUAUUGAUUUGUCAUUUGUAUGUUAUUUAAAACACCUCAGUAGUUCUUUUUUUGUUCUGUAUUUCACUUCCAUUAGCUAUAUUUGGAUUAUGAUACACAGCAAUUUGAAUGAAAACAAUGGAAGUCCCAUUGUUGAUGCUGUAAUUUGCAAAUCUGAAGUCAUAAUCCAGCUUUACAGCAUGUAUGUAGACCACUUAAGCUUCCUUCUACCUUCCCCCUUGCUCCAUCUCCCUCCUUGUUCUCCCCACUUCUCACCAUUUGUUGCCAAAUAAUAAUUUCAGUUUACUGCAGAGGGUUUUUUUUCCUGAAAAAAGGUUGAUAAGAGCUGGGAGUGCCACUCAUCUUUGCACUUCACAAAAAUAUUGUAUUAGCUAUGUUUUCUUUGUUAAGAAAUCAUUCUUUCACUUGCAGUAAAAUGAAUAGAAACUUGCGACUUGUAUUUUGCCGUACAUUGUUGUCACUUUUAGCUGGAUGUGAAAUGUUAGAGAACUUGGUUAUCAAGACUAUUUUUUUCCUAGUAGCUGCAUAUCUUGAAGUUCGAUGCUUUGAAGUUCACAAGUAAAAAAAUUGUUGCAGGUUUUGCAUGCACAUCACGAUGAAGUGUGGUUUAUCCAGUUUUCAAACAACGGAAAGUAUUUAGCCUCAGCGUCAAAUGAUAAAUCUGCAAUUAUAUGGGAGGUAAACUUGUGAACCACUGAACUUAUGUUUCCAAAGUCUUCUUUUCUCAUGGUCUGCGACUCUGCGUACAAACUGGGUGGCCUGUUCCUUAGUUCCUAUUUUAAAUUUCAUGUCAAGAACUGAACUUGUCCAACCUUACUAAUGCUUUUCAUCACCUGUUCUUUAUUUUUUUUACCAAAAGUUGACUUUCAAAUCCAUUGUUAUUUUCAAAACAAAGACAGAAGUCUGCCAUUUCAUAUUACAUUUUUUCCACUGAAAGCCUACUGCUUAUUACUCCGUCAGUUCCAAAUUAUAAGACAUUUUGGCUUUUCUAGACACAUUGCUUUUACUAUGUAUCCAGACAUAGUGGUAUAUCAACAGUCAUUGUACUCCCUCUGGUCCAGUUUAUAAGGCACCUUCUAACAUGGUCUCCUAAAUUACACUUUGACCAUUCAUUUAUUUUAUAUUAUAUUAUUUGUUAUAAACUUAUGAUCAUUGGAUAGUACAUUUGAUUACAAAUCUUAUCAAUUUUGUUUUACAAUGGUUAAAAAUUCAGUCAAAUUAUUAGUCAAAAGAUUAUAUAAUGACUCUUGACCUACACAAAAUGCCUUAUAAACUAGACAGGAGGGAGUAUCUAGAAAAGUCAAAACAUCUUAUAAUUUGAAAUUGAUGGAGUACAUCUUGUAAGCUCCCUAGCUUGAAUACUGGCACUUCUGUAUGUUCUUGUUGAUCAUGAAAGUGUCUGUCCCCACUAUCUUACGGUUGCACUGCAGUAAGUUGGGUUGUAAUGGUAAUACAGGUAGAGACUUCAAUCGCGUAAUUUGCUACUGAUAAAUGAAGCUUUAGUUUUUACUUCUGUUUUGUUGUUAUUGACCAUGCUAUGCGGUUUACUUUUCCUCUUUUUUAUCCCUUCAUGAAUUAAUCUUUUCAUUUCGUAGGUUGAUGAAGAUGGAGAGCUAUUACUGAGGCAUACAUUGAUUGGUCAUCAGAAGUCGGUGAUGAUGGUCGCAUGGAGCCCUGAUGAUUGCCAGCUUCUCACAUGUGGGCAGGAAGAAGCCAUCAGACGCUGGGAUGUUGAAUCUGGCAAAUGUCUUCAUGUUUAUGCAAAGCCUGUUGGUUUGAUAUCAUGUGCUUGGUUUCCAGAUGGAAAACAAAUAUUGUCUGGUCUAGCUGAUGAAAACUUUUGCAUUUGGGAUUUAGAUGGUAAUGAAGUAGAUUGCUGGAAAGGGCAGAGAUCAACAAGAACAUCUGAUUUUGCUGUAGCAAAAGAUGGAAAUCUUAUAAUAAGCAUGAGUAGGGAGAGCACAAUUCUUCUAUUUGAUAGGGAGACAAAACAAGAGAGGUUAAUUGAAGAGGGUAGUACAAUUACUUCAUUUUCUCUAUCAGAAGAUGGUGAUUUCCUGCUUGUAAAUCUUAUAAGCGAAGAGAUUCAUUUGUGGAACAUAAGAAAUGAUCCUGUUCGAGUCAACCGGUACAAGGGCCAUAAGCGCAACCGGUUUGUGAUAAGGUCUUGUUUUGGUGGAUCUGAGCAGGCGUUCAUUGCUAGUGGGAGUGAAGAUUCACAGGUAUGGCGAUUGCCUUGUGACCCACCUAAUGGCUAUAGAAUCGAUAUUAUGUGUGCACUUACCUUUGUUGUCAUUGUUUUUAUUAAUAUGCACUGCUCCCAGACACAUGCUGUUUUAGACAAUUAUAUUUAUUGUCAGAUGAGUCAAAUCUAAUGGAGAGUGCAGCUAACAUGUUUGUCAUUUGAACCGUCCUCAUUGCAUUACAUUAUUCUUUUAUAUACGAUAAAGCAUUCAAACAUCCUGUGACACGGAAAUCAUUGGCUAACUCGGGGACGCUCUUGCAACUGGCGCCUAUGUCUAGGCCGGUCUCAGAUUUAUUAUAAUUUAAUAUGCAUGCCUAAUUGCUUAUGGCCUUGUUUAGUUUCGAAUUUUUUUUGGGUUUUGGUACUGUAGCACUUUUGUUUUUAUUUGGCAAUUAUUGUCCAAUCAUGUACUAACUAGACUCAACAGAUUCAGGUAAACUGUGUAAUUAGUUUUUAUUUUUGUCUAUAUUUAGUGCUUCAUGCAUGUGUCGUAAGAUUUGAUGUGAUGGGGAAUCUUGAAAAGUUUUGGUUUCUAGGGUGAACUAAACAAGGCCUGUCUGCACAUGCUAGUUUCCACCACUUUUCUUCUAUAGUUUCAUACAUUCGGCAUGCAGCAUAUUUGUUGACACUUUCUUCCAUGUCUUCUGACCAAAUCUUGCUGCUGAUUUAUUUUAUGCUAGGAGAUGCCACUAUAAAUACGUUGAAAUUAUCCUGUGUUUUUCAGCUGAUUGUCUUUUCUGAUGAACUAUUAUACUUCCAAGGGGUGUAAUGGAGGCAUGUAGUUAUGGCAUCCAUAUAUCUUGUAGGCAGUAGAAAAUAUGAUACUUUGCAUUUCAUCAGUAAUAAAAGAAGUAAAAAUGUUACUCCUGCCUUUCAAAUUGGAAGUUGUUUUUGUUUUUCUAGAUACAUUGCUUUUACUAGGAAAGUCAAAACGACUCACGAUUUGAAAUGGAGGGAGUACUUCUUAAAGUUGCAUUGGGAAACAUAAGAUUUAGCCUUUGCAAUGUCUAGAAGGCCUGUGGUUGGUUGGUCCAGCCCACACGGUUCAUUGCAUAUUUUCUUUUGUACCCUGCAAGGUAAUAAUGUGCAACACCUGGUCAUGUUUCCAGGUCUACAUAUGGCAUCGAGCCACUGGUGAUCUCAUUGAGACUCUUGCUGGUCACUCGGGCACAGUCAACUGCGUAAGUUGGAACCCUACGAAUCCCCACAUGCUUGCAUCAGCUAGUGACGAUCACACAGUUCGUAUAUGGGGGGCAAAGAAGGCCAGUCUUAAGCGCAAGGAUGUUGGGAGCAGCAACUGCAACAGUAACGGUUUCCACUCGAAUGGCAAUGCUCAUGGCAACGGUUUCGUUCACCAGUGCAAUGGGAACAGCACCAAAUGAUUGGCCAGGGCAAUGUAUCUCCAUGGAUGGUUAACUGGCAUCUGUAAAUCCCCCUUUCCUUUUACUUCCCUCCUGGAAGAAGAAUCGCCACCGCCAUAGUGAAAAAAAAAACAAAAAAAGAAAAAAACAAAGCUGCAGCACAAAGUGUGGGGAACCUGCUGGGUUUCGUGCGCCAUCUUUCCCUUGUUCCAUCAUGACUGUCAUCACAUUUAUUUCUUAAUUCAAGCUGGGAUGGAAUUAUGAUAUUGCUUAUGCAUCUUUCAUAUCUUGAUGUACCCUCCCUGAUUGAUUGUAACUGUAUUUUGGUGGUGAUGCUGAUGGUGGUCAAUUCCUCUGAUUGCAUUUUGCCUUGAGAAGAAACAAAUGUUGGCCUAGGAUGCUCCGCCUAAAAAAAUGGGAUGGAACAUCUUAUCAUAAAUUUAAAUAGAUUCAAUUAUUUGUUUCAAGGGAACAAGUGGUUUGUUUGCUUGCCAUAUUAUUCCUUGUAAGCAAAUAUCUAGGGUAAAUGGAAAUUUUGAAUAUUUUUCAAACCAAACAACUAACCAGUGUUCUAGCAUCAUUGAAAUAACUUGUGUGUUGUAGGUGAACUUUCUUAAAAAAAAACUGUUGCAUUUGAAGAUAUGAAAGUUGGGUAGGGGCAUUUACGGUCUGUUUGGUUAGGCUAUGGAGAAGUUGUGAGCUGUGAAAGUGAAAAAGUAGUUGUGAGUUGUGUGAAAAAAGUGGCUCUUUGGUUUAAAUAACUGAAAACCAAUCAUCUCUCUCUCUCUCUCUCCAAACAGCUGUAAAAUAUCUAUUUUCAUCCAUUUGGAAAAACUAAAAGGGGAGUUCAAGGUAUUGUGAAAAUUGUACUACGAGAAAGCAGCAACUUCCUUUUGUUCUAUCGUUUGGUUGGCUUUCUGCUUUUCUAUCGAUCAGCAGAAAUGUUUUCCAAAAGCUGAUUAAACAAAAACUUUACUAAAGAUGAACCUUGAGGCAGGUUAGGGCACGGCCAACGCACGCAGUUAAAUUUGUUAGCCUCGUGCAAAAGUACCAGUCUACAUAGAGACUCAGGGGGUGUUUAGUUAAAAAAAUACAAAAUGCAGAAUGUCAACUAUUUUAGAAUAGUAGAAUGUAAAAUGUUGAAAUUUUCUGGACAUGAUACCUUCAUAUAUGACCAUUGACUAUAAGAUGAGUUCAUUUCUAUAUUUGUAUAAUAAUUUUUGGUAUAAUUCACUUGGUUCCACAUGCAUAUAUCAUUAUUUGCAUGUAGGUAUGAAUGUGUCUCAAAGUGCAAGGUCAUCAAAGUUGAAUUUUUAGUUCGCUAACGGCCCGAUAGUGCUUUAUUGGGAAGGUCAUAACUCAUCCAUCUGGAAUGAGAUUGAGGUCAAUGAGCACUUGAUGGAAAGCUUGUUUGAUAAGCUUUCAAAUAGAUCUGGUCCUACCUCAAUAUCACAUCGGCAAAGCCUUCAAAUAGUUAUUAUAUUCUGUUGUUGUUUGUGCCGAGAGCUACAUCAUCAUUAUGGGUAUAUUUUUUUUCUUGUGACUCUAGUCAAGUGGGAGCACAUCUCAAGGAGAAGGAGAAGCCACAAAAGGAGCCCUUGAAUGUCCUCCUCUUUGCCCACCACCUUAGAAGGUCAGCAAAGUCGUUCAAGACAAGUCAGAGGCCCAAUCCAUAUCAAGUUUGAGUCCAUCUCGGGCUUCGGGACCAGCAUGAGGUAAACACAGACGUCCAGGACACAUCCGGACUCUGUUUUUGAUGAUCCAUAUAUGGAUGGAAAGAUAAUUUCAUAAGCUAACCAACGGCUUUGGUUUGAUGCCUAAAUUCCAUCGGCGUAAAGGGAAAUCGUCGAAACAAGUUGACAUUUAGAAUCCGUCGGGGCGUUACGUCGCCAUCUUUAGGGUUGUUGGGCCUUGUAACGUGUUAGACCACCUUAUGGACGUGAAGAGGAGUCCUUAGACGUCCCUUAGGCUAUAUAAUUAGUAGCCUCCACCUAUGUUAGGGUUUGGCUUUUGCUUAGAUUAUUUUGUCAAAAACAGUUUCGCCGUGAGAUCCUAACUCGUGAGAUUAAUCAUUCAUCUGCAAAUUGGUUGCAUUCUUCCUUGUUCUUGCUUGUAUUAUUCGAUUCGGAGGCAAGGAUUAGCCUUCUUGGUGAGGUCAACCGUGCAGCGCCGGUCGAUAACCAGAGGAGAUGUGGUGCUAAGGUUGCAGGGUUUGGAUCUUUGUGAUCUGAAGCCAGAUUGUGUGUCGUUCUCUGACCAAAUCGUUGUUUAUCUUGAAUCUGAUGGAAGAUCGGGACCCAUCCCCAUUAUUUAGUUCCAUCCGAAAUACAGAAUUCGUGCAAAAGUACCAGUCCACGUAGACUUAGGGGGUGUUUAGUUAAAAAAAUGCAAAAAGUCAACUAUUUUGGAAUGAUAGAAUGUAAAAUGUUAAAAUUUUUAGAGUCAUGUUUAGGUCCAUCUAAAAUGUAGAAUCUAUUGUCCCCAUGAGAGCCUCUUGAAGUUCUUUUUGGGUUUUUUAAGCCUCCUAAGGCCAAAAUCUACAAUGGAGAAUAACUAAUUUUUUACCAAAAAAUUUAUAUACUUCCUCCGCCCACGAAAGAAUCAAUUUCUAGGAUCCGUGCCAGUCAAACUUUUUAAAGUUUGACUAACUUUAUAGAAAAGAGUAACAACAUUUAUAAUAUAAAAUACACAUUAUAUGAAAAUAUAUUCUAUGAUGAAUCUAAUAAUACUAAUUUGAUACUAUAAAUCUUAGCAUUUUUUUCUAGAAAUUUGGUCAAAGUUUAAAAAGUUUGACUUAGGACAACUCUAGAAAUUGACUCUUUCGUAGACGGAGGGAGUAGUAUUUAGUUCCAUUUUACAAAAUGAUGGAUCAAAAUCUAAUUUUUUUUAAGAGAAAAGGGAAACUAAAAACCCUCCUAGUAAUCUAGUUGUACUAUUCACUCAAUCCUAACGUACUAUAGUUUGUGGUCCCAUGAAUUACUGUUUUCUUCCAUUGUCUUUAUACGUUAUGUUUCAGCUUCUCAACGCUGGCUGUAGCGGGUGUGUCUCAAACUUUUGUCAGAUGGGGAUGGGGAUAUUGUAGCCUCUUCAGGCACAUCUGAGGUUCUGCGCGAGGCCAUCAAUCGCUAUAACCUGGAUGGCUGACUCCGGUGUUAAUCGCUACAAUGUGGAUGGCAUCGUCGGCAACGGCUAGAUAUCGUUGGGGCACUUCAGUAUCUAACGUUGACAAGGCUAGAUAUAUCUUUCUUUCAUUCUCCCACAACGUUGCCUUAGAACACUGUGAAGAGCCUUAAAAUAGGGAUUGUUGGAUAUCUUGAAGGGCUCAAAUCAAUCGGGAUUCAAAAUAGGAAACACAAAUCCAUGUUGGUUAUUAGUGCCUUUUCAGAUGCUGAUUAGGCAAAAUAUUCUUUUGAGCAAUCUUGUGUCAUAUGGCGUGCAAUGAAACAAGCAACUAUCUCUAUGUCUAGAGCUCAUAAAGCUACAAUAAAUACAGCUACAAAUUAAGAUAGUGUGCAUUCACAAGCUUCUGCAUGAAUUGUGAAUCUCACAUCCGAAAGUAGCCUAUUAUAUUGACCAAAUAUUUAUAUUAUGUCAUUCUGGUCUUUCAUGCUAGGACAAACAUGUAGAGAUUAACUAUCGCGCUUUGUGGGAGGAUAAGGUCUGGUUGGAUGUUGGAGUAAAAUUUAGUUCAAGUUUGACUACAAUCCAUCCCAAACACAUGUGGAUUGAGAUGACUUCGACAUUCAAAGAAGAGCUGGAUCAGGCAACUUGAUAUAAGAUUCAUCGGCUCGACAAAUGUGCAUGUAAAUUGCCAUACAUCGGUAAUUAUAUUAUUACUCUUUUUUAAGGCGCAAGUCUUCCGAUGCAUAGAAGCUUAGACUUUUGGGGUCUAUUUGUACAUGUGUAACUAAUAAUUAGCUGCUAAAAUUAGCCAAAAAUCUAUUUGGAUAUUUAUCUAGUAAUAAGGUCCUGUUUGGAUCUCCUCUAAACCUAGCUCUAAAAAAUUUAGAGUAUUUUGGCUUAUUUUGAGGUGUAAAGCUCUAGUGUGAGAUACUGAGGUGGGAUAAAAUUUAGAGGUAACUUAAAACUAUCUAUUUGGAGAUUUUAGCUCUGAAGUUUAGAGCAGGAGAUCAAAAUAAAACCCUAAGUCUAACUAAUGUCUUACCUAUAACCUAGGUAACCAUUAUUGGUUUCUUUUAUCUAACACUGCUUAUAGCUAUCUGGAUGGAUCCAAAAAGAGCCUUAGUAAUUGAUUUUUUAUAAUUGCUUGUGUGGGACCCAUGCGGUGACACCUAUAACUCUUUCUCCUAGUGUUAUUAGAUUCAAACCACUAAAGUUUUUGAAAAUGAGUUAUUGGGCUCUGUUUGGAUCUAUUAGCUGCUGUUAAUUAGCUAGGUAAGUAUUAGUUGGUUUGCUCCAGUUAAUGACAUACUCCUUCUGUGCGCCCCCAAAAUAAGUGACUUUUUUUUUACUCACAGACAAGAUAUUUGAUCGUUUGUCUUAUUUUUUUUUUGUGUGUAAAUUAUAAAAUAAGUAAAUUAUUAUUAAUUAUCUCUAAUAAUCAAAUAGAUCAUAAUAAAAUAGAUAAUAUUUAUAUAAAAAAUUUGAACAAAAUGAAACGUCAAACAAAAAUGUUAAAGAAAAAAACGUCACUUAUUUUGGAGAAGGGGGAGUAGUUGUUAGUUGAAGCUUCAGUUAUGUGGAUCCAAACGAGCUAACUAUUACUAGUACCUAACCUAAUAUAUCACACACAGCUGUGUUCAAAGAACUUACUAUGGCUCAAAUGUUGCCGUCACUCUGGUUCCUGCCGGCCGGCUCCUACUGGGCCGGCUAUACAUGCCCAUCCGCACGCACUGAAAUUUUCGUCCAACAGUAGGGUACACCUAACACAAACAAGAUUUUUGACUGCACUUGUGCAAAUGAGAACGAUGCUGGAGUUUGGACAAAUCCAGCCAGUCCUUGUCACUUAUCAGUGACAACACAGAUGUCGCUACGUACCGCCACCAAUCUUGUUGUUUUGCUAUCCCUUGUCCAGUGCAAUCAUACAUAUACAAUCUCUCAUAUAUAUCAAUGGUCAUUAUAUGUUGGGAAUCCUUACAAGCAGAUAUAUAGCAGUGGCACCCCCUUGCAGUCUUGACAAGGUGUCAGGAAUUGAGCUUGGAAAUGGAGGAGUUCGCCCUGUGCCCAAAUCCUCAUUUCGUGGUCAUCCCAUGGCCAGUCACCAGCCACAUGAUUCCCAUGGUGGACAUCGCCUGCCUCCUCGCCGCGCACGGCGCCCCGGUCACCAUCAUCACCCCGCCUUCCUGCUCCCAGCUCGUCCACAGCCGCGUCGACCGCGCCCGCGCCGGGCAAGCUGCCGGCUCGGCGGGCAUCGGCAUCACGGUGACCGCGCUCCCGUUCCCUUGCGCCGAAGCCGGCCUGCCGGCGGGCUGCGAGAGGCUGGACCACGUCCCCUCGGUCGACCUCGUGCCCAACUUCUUCGACGCCAACGCGCAGUUCGGCGACGCCGUGGCGGACCACUGCCGCCUUCUCAUGGCGACGCCGACGCCGACGCGCCGGCCGAGCUGCAUCGUCGCCGGGAUGUGCAACACGUGGGCGCACGGCGUGGCGCGUGAGCUCGGCGUGCCCUGCUUCAUCUUCCAUGGCUUCGGCGCGUUCGCUCUGCUGUGCUGCGAGUAUCUCAACACGCACAAGCCGCACGAGGGCAAGUCGCUGGACGAGGCCAUCGACGUCCCCGUCCUGCCGCCGCCUCUCGAGCUCAAGUUCGCCAGGAGGCAGCUGCCGCUACAGUUCCUGCCUUCGUGCUCCAUUCCGGAGAGCCGCCUUCGAGAGCUCCGGGAGUUCGAGAUGGCCGUGGACGGCAUCGUCGUGAACAGCUUCGAGGAGCUGGAACACGACUCGGCCGCGCGCCUCGCGGCCGCCACGGGCAAGACCGUGCUCGCCGUCGGCCCCGUCUCGCUGUGCGGCGGCGGCGGCGGCGGCGGCGCACGCGCACCUCCUAGCCUCCUCGACGUCCGGGCCGCCACCGACAGCUCGGUGAACGAUGACGCCAGACGGUGCAUGGCAUGGCUAGACGCCAAGAAAGCCGAGUCGUCGUCGUCGUCCGUGCUGUACGUCAGCUUCGGCAGCGCCGGCCGCAUGCCGCCGGAGCAGCUGAUGGAGCUCGGGCUGGCGCUCGUGUCGUGCUCCUGGCCUGUCCUCUGGGUCAUCAAGGGCGCGGACACGUUGCCCGACGACGUCGACGAGUGGCUACAGCACAACACCGGCGGCGACGACGGCCAGUGUCUCGCGGUCCGCGGGUGGGCGCCGCAGGUGGCCAUUCUGGAGCACCCGGCCGUCGGCGGGUUUCUGACGCACUGCGGGUGGGGCUCGACGCUGGAGAGCGUCACGGCGGGCGUGCCCAUGGCCACCUGGCCGUUCUCCGCCGAGCAGUUCCUGAACGAGAAGGUGAUCGUUGGCGUGCUCGGCAUCGGAGUGUCUGUCGGCGUGACGAAGCCCACGGAGGGCGUGCUGACCGGCGCCAAAGACGGCGGCGGCGGCGGCGCUAGGGCGAAGGCGGAUGUGGGAAUGGAGCAGGUGAAGCGAGCGUUGGAUAUGCUGAUGGAUGGAGGAGUGGAUGGGGAGGCAAGGAGGACGAAAGCUAGGGAGCUCAAGGCCAAAGCGAAGUCGGCUUUGGAGCAUGGAGGAUCGUCGUAUAUGAAUCUGGAGAAGAUGAUACAAUUUGCAGCUUAAUUAGCUUGAAAAUGGAUUGGUCUAGCUUGGUCAGUUUCAGCAAGCAACUCAGUUUAUUUCUGCGUAAUAAAGGUUAAGAAACUACUAGGACUGCAAGCAGCUGGGGUAUAUUACAUGUAGGGUUCAGGAACGCUGUCGCUGCAGGCUGGGCAAUCUCUGUCCAGGAUUGCAACUAGGCAGGAGUAGACGAAAAAUGGCAACAUCGAUCAGAGAUACUUUGGAUUGAAGAUCAGUGACUCAUGUGCGUUGUCUAAGAUUUACUCCCUAGCUAUGUCCUGGAUAAAUACAGUACAUCGUGACUUCUAAAAUUUGUACUGCAAGCAGACGGGGGAGAAAGUUAUUUUUGCCCUUAAGGGCAUGUGCUCCCACUCUCUCUACCACUGGAUUCGCAUUGAAAAGUGUGCAAACACACAUCUCAAUGCGAAUCUGCUUUGAGAUGUGUGUUUGUACACUUCUCAAUGCGAAUCCAGUGGUGGAGAGAGCGAGAGCAUAUGCCCUUGAGAGCAAAAAGGUUUCAGGAACACUGUCGCUAGCUGCAGGAUGGGCAAUCAAUUGCAACUGGGCAGGAGUGGCACGGUAGAGGAUGAUUCAAUAAUGCUAUGUGAAUGAUGCUUUGAUCUAUUGAAGAAAAUGAAGAACACAAUCAUGCAAGCGAACAGCAUGAGCCACAAAUUGCUUUCAUGAAUCAUGAUGAGAAGAAUUUGCGCAUUAGUGUUGUGGUACUUGCAUUGAUAGUAUACAGUCUAUAGAGCUUAUGGAUUGCAUGGUGUUUGGAAAAGAAAAUUGUCCUGAUUUCUGAAUGCACGUUCCCGUUCUUAACAGCUACUGCGCAUAAAAUAUGUGGUAGUUAAUAACAAGAGAAUGAAGCCUACAAAAAUAAUGAAGAUGCAAAUGGUUAUUCAUGGGAAUGAGGAAUGAAUGCAAGAGUUCUAAAUUAUGAAUAAAAUGGGAACGUAAUAUUCUAGGUGUAAGGUAGCUAAAAAUGUAUUUUUAUGUAAGUGUUAGUGAAACUCUCUUGAUUACAUACCGAGGCCAUGAUACCGUUCAGAGAGACGGGGACAUCUGCACUAACUGGUCUAUUAACCGUAAUUCCAUAUCCUUAGAGCAACUCCAACAGUUUACGACUAAAACUCACUUGGCAAAUCUAUAAUUUUGCCAAGUCUCAAAACCAAAUGCUAAGUGAAAAAAGAGGUCUUCUCCAACAGUUUGUUAUUUAGGCUUGGCAAAAGAACUUGGCAUCCUAGGGUUUUUGCCAAAAUCACAAAAUUGAGCCUCCAACAAGUUGGCAAAACUAGUUGGCAAAUUGGGAUACACGUGAUGCCAAAUGAUGGAGGACUUGGCAUAUUUGCCAAGUGAAGGGGGGAUUUUGCCAAGCUCACAAAAUUGCCAAGUAGUUUUGCCAAUUUGUUGGAGGCUGUUUUUUAUGAUUUUGGCAAAAAUCCUAGGAUGCCAAGUACUUUUAGCAAACUGUUGGAGUUGCUCUUAGAGUUACAUGCCUGGCUCACCAUGGUGUCAACCUCAAAUAACCUAGUCCAUAAAGGAGAUCCUAGUUUCUCUAAAAUGAAAGGCCAAAUGGGCCAUAAAAAAAAAUAUUGUGGUGGACUUGGUGGACGCCAAGACCAGUGGCCCACGUAAGGGCGUAAGGCCCAAGCCCACAACGUUCUCGACGCUACCUGAUCACUCCUACUAGGGUUCCGCACCCCUCCCCACCUAUAUAUACCGUCAGCCGCCGCCGUCCUCCCAUUCCCCUCCCCUAUCGUGAACCCGCCGCCGCCGCCGCCGCAGGAGGAGGAGACGCGCCAAGGAGAGCACGCGAGGAGGCGACCAUGAGGGCCAAGGUAUCCUCCAUCCAUCUCCGCGCCUACUCCUCGCGCCUACCAUCUCGUCGAUUAGAUCCGUGUGUGGCGUAGCAACUCGUUGCCACGAGUAGUUCUCAACUCGGUUCGUCCAUGUCCCGGGGCUGUGAUUACAAAGAGAGAGGCUCGAGUGGCGCAAUUCUGGGGUGGAAUCUCUUAUGGGACGGCGGAUCUCGCCGUGCGCUCGUGGACGCCCCCCUCGUCGCGGCGGCCGGGUCUGGAUCGGUAGCUUGGGACGCGAGGUGCCGCUCUGCGCGAGGCUGAUCCUUAGACCAGUCUCAAUGCAUAGGGCCUUGUUUAGAUGCACAUGUUUCGAGCCGAGCUGUGACAAAUCGUGUCGCGCAGAGCUUGGUAUCUCUGUGUCCCGUGCAUCGUUUCCGCAUGGUCCAGCCGCUGCGGUCUCGGAGGCGUCGCGUGCUUGUGGCGCCGCCGUCUUCUAGGGUUCUUCCCUGGCCACGGUGAAGGUUUCUUAAUCGCAUACACUUGAUAUGAGCCCCGUGGAUGAUGGCCUUAAGCCUCUGCUUGUGAAAUGUUGUUAGGAGAUUGAAUUGCAUUUCUAGCAGCAUCUGAUGGUGACUGUAGUCCUUGCUCUAAAUUUUUAAAGAUUUAGAUGCUUUGUUACUUAUGAUUUGUUUGCACUGGAAUCUGCCUGGCACCGUAAAUAAGCAAUUGCACGUUGAUGCUUAUCAGUGUUUGUCAUUACUAAUGCUUAUCAGUGCAAUUGUACUGGAAUCUGCCUGGAGAGAUUUUUGUUCCGUGUUUACCUUUAAUCUGUGGAAUUGUCUACUUCCUCCACUUAACCUGCAGCACAAAAAGGUAGUAUGUUGCCAGGCACUUAAGAUAAGAAUUCUGUUUUGUAGUUAAUUGAAAAUUGUGUGAUGGACAGGAUAAGGAUAGCCCCGUUCUUUUGCAUAGUUGUUAGAUGUAUUCCUUACAGUAUGUCUUUAAUUGUCUUGUACUCCCUCAUUUCAAAACAUAAGCUGUUUUGGCUUCUCUAGGUACAUUGCUUUUGCUAUGUAUUUAGAUAUACACUAUAUCCAAGGGUAUAGUAAAAGCCAUGAAUCUAGAAAGCCAUAAAGUCUUAUAAGUUGGAAUGGAUGGAGUAUACAAGAAUGGUCCUGUUCUUCUUCAUUUUAGUUAGUUGCAUUCUUGUCUAUGCUGUGCUAUUAUUUUUCCUCUUAUCUAAUGCUCACUCAACUAAUGCAUUCUUAUCUGUCAAUCUUCAGUGGAAGAAGAAGCGCAUGAGGAGGCUGAAGAGGAAGCGCCGAAAGAUGAGGCAGAGAUCUAAGUAAGCUGGUGGAGAUGGAUGGUGGACGUGAUGGCAUGCUUGAGUACAUACAUUUCUUCGGAUGCGUUUGCUCAUGGAGAGGCGUGAACCUGGUGUGCAGUCACAGUUUGCCAUCUGUCAAUUGGCUUGUCUCGGAAACCUGCACUUCAGUAGGCUAUCGUGGUUCUAGUUAUAUCCAGAGUUUUGCACUAAGACAACUCGGUCUGUUUUGUGAACCUAUUAUGAUGGAGCUUUAUUUGCUGCUAAUAUCGACCUACCUAUCUACCUACCUGUUAAGUAAUUCCUGUGUUUGUUUAUGCUGUGCUUGCCUGAUCUUUCAUUGUGUUAUUGUGGUAUCUGCUCGUUGGUGCUGGUUUAUCUGGCCUGUUUCUGUAAAUCAUCAGAGAAACAGCGUCCUGCUGUGUUGAAGAGCACACCGAUCGCUAUGCUUCACAUUGAAGCUGAUGCUCAACAUUGACUCAUAGUCUCAUACAAGCAUUGAAGCUAUUGUUCAUUCUAUGACCGACAGUUUCUCUAUAAUGGUGCAUAUGAACAUUGAAGCAGACAACAUAUUUUGCAGCUCGAACCUCUGUUGCCAAGCUGAUGCUCUACAUCGAUUUUAAUUGCAGUAACGGUUUGCUGCUGUGGCACGUCUGCGUAUCUCUGACGUUAAACGUACCGCGAGGUUGUUUUGGUCUGCGAUCCAGUGUUACCGCGAGAUGGUUUUGUUUUAUCAUCAAUUUUUUUUCUUUGUGUGUGCAAUGCCUCGGUUCGCUGUAGGCCUGAAGCUAAAAACCAAAGUCCCAUUCUGACUCUGAUACUCGUUCUGAAUUUUUUAUUUUUUAUUUUUUAAAAAUAUUUUAAAAAUCACUUAUAAAAGGAAAUGGUUUUCGUUUUUAUUUUUUAAAAGUCCCAUUGUGUUGUUUAAACAUUUGCUAGUUUUUUUUUGAGGGGAUUAAACAUCGUCUUAUCAUCUAGUUGGACUGGCCAACCAAAGGAAAUGCACAAUCUACGGUCCAUUUCAAAACCGCGAGCGUGGACUAAUCAAGCCCACGAUAGGACCUUUCGUUUAGGCCCAAGUCCAACCGAAGGCUCACUAACCAAAUGCAAUGCCCUAUUCGGCCCAAUUAAGGCCCAACGCCGUCUCGCUCAUGUCUCUCUCCACCACUACGCUCGUGGUCUCUCGAUGGGACCACCACUCCAAUGGACGGCGCGGAUCUCCCCUCCUACUCCGCCGCCACGGCCGCCGACGGCGACCGGCCUCCGGAGAGCGCGGUCGACGGAGGCGUGGAGAACGAGCGUGCCGCCGCGCCCACUCCAGAGCGGUGCGAGGCGCCGCCUCCGGAGAGCGCGGUCGACGGCGGCGUGGAGGACGAGCGUGCCGCGGCGCCCACUCCGGAGCGGUGCGAGGCGCUGGCCUCCGCGAUCGCGGGGGUGCUGGCCGGCGCGCUGCGGGAGCACGAGGAGCGGGCGGCCGCUACUGCCCGGAGCCAGGACGAGGUCGCCGCUGCCGUCGACCGCCUCAACGGAGGUAGGUGCCUCUCCCCGCUCCCGCCUUCGACUUUGUCUGCUGCUGAUGCUGUCGUGUGGUGCGCGCGUUGUGGCUUAGGGUUCUCCAGCUUCGGAUGCGGUGUAUUGUGGCGUUAAUUCAAACCGAAGAGUAGUGGGAUUUAAAUGACAUACUAGCAAUUGAGUUGUGAGCUCUGUGUUUUAUCUAUCUACUUUGCCUCUUUUCUUGAACUAUUCAGUACUCUUCCGUAAUUUCGUCAUCACGAUGGCAAUGAAAUUCAGGGACAUCCCAAAAAAUGUACUUUGCCUCUUUGAGAUUCUAACAGAAGACUAGUGGGAUUUAGAUGACAUACGAACAAAUGAGUUGUGAGCUCUGUAUUUAUUUAUCUACUUUGCCUUAAACUACUCCAGCACUCUUUCGUAAUUUCCUCACCAUGGUAAUGAAAUUCAGGGACCAAAAAUGUACUUUGCCUCUUUGGGAUUGCAACCGUGACAGGGCGAAGUUGAAAUUAUAGCUCGUUGUAACUUGCUUCUGUAGUUUAAUUUAAUUUAACUAAUGCACCAUCGUAUUUCUUGUGCGAGAUUGCAUGUUAUGUUUCUUGCUAUGUUUUCAAUAUCCUUACCCAGGGACUUGAUUGAAUCUACUUCUGCUGUUCUAAGUUGCACUUGACAUUGUUAGAGUAUAACACGACUAGGAUAGAGUUACUUGGGAUUAGGAUCCUUGUGUGCUGGCUUGCCCCAAGUCAUGUAAACUCUCUAUAUACUGUCUGAGAGGCUCAAUUUAAAUAAUCCAAAUCCACCCAUAAACAUAGUUCUUAGUUGCACCUGAAUCUACUUUUUAUUUAGUCCAAUUUCAGUCUCUUCAUUGUCUCAAGCGAGUUAACAAAUAAAUGGAUGAACUAGAAAAUUCUAGCAGUUAAACAGUAUACAAUGAUUAAAAAUAUUAAACUGAGAUUCAUGAUUCUGUCAUGGGCACAUGUGUGAGUGUCCAACUUGCCUGCAGGUGACCAGGUUUCCAAUCCGGUAAAAAAAAUUGGGCACACCAAAUAACACUUGGAGAACCCUAAGCCACUUGGAGAAGUCUCUUACAUUUUCCUUUGCUCCAAGGCUCCAUGCUUUUAUUCAAUUUUUUUUCUCACCUAAUGUGCUAUUGUCUGCGUACACAUAAUUUUGAUGGAAAGUAUGUAUGUAUGUGUAUCCAAUAACUGUAUGAAACUAAGACUGAGUUUUUGCAGAGCUAGACAGGCUAUUAGAGAAUGCACCCUCAAUGAUAAUAAUGCAACAUUCAGCAAGGAUUUCCAGUAUCCGCAAGAGGAUUUCAGCAAUGAACAUGCUACUCAAGUCCAUACAGCGACGCAUAGAUAACAUUGAUAGAAUUAUUUCUACUGGUAUGUCAAGUGGUUCUGUCUAUCAUUACUCUCUGUCUGUGGGUCAGCAGAGUGAAUCAUUAUGGACACAUUGCUUUGUGUUUGCAGAUCAUUCAUCUCCUGUACAGAAAGCCGGUAAUGAACUUGGAUCAAGGUGCCCUCCUUUUUUUUCCUACCACUUUUCAUCGUUUAUCUUUGGGUGGUCAUGAUAAAUGUGAACAAGCAACGUUAAGAGUUAUGGCUUUCAAUAUCUCGAAGCUAGUGCUGAAGAUGAAGUCUUAGUAAAUUUCUGAACAAUAGAUGCAAUUCUGUAUAACUGGAGAGGUGGGCUUUUCUUGCUUUUCAGUGUCGUGGUAUGAAAUAUUUAUACAAUAAACAACACAAUAAGUAAAUCUCUGGUUCCCCCAGCCCAAUUUGCUACUUUAUUUAUCUAGUCCUUAUUAGUUGCAUCCUUACACAGUUCCUCUUAAUUACAGGUUUUAGAAUAAUUCUGGUGGUGUCCCAUCAAUUGCAACCAUUUCUGUUUUGGUAGAGUUACCAUCAAGCAAUCACACGGGGCUGUCCAUAGAAGUGAGACGUCAUAAUUUCAAUUUUUCCCAGAGAUGUAUGAUCAAAAUAUUCCAAUCCUUUUUGUCACAUUUUGGAGUGGGAAAAGCCUUUUGUACUGGAUGGUCAAUUUCUUUUCCUGCGUUCUUUUUGUUGCAGACAAUGAAGCGUGUUUUCAGCUUCGGCGUUCACCCUUGUAUUCAAAUAUGAAAUUAUAUUCAGAAAUCAUAUUAUCAUAUUGACACUGUUGAGUGGUUUUGAUAUAUAGUACUUGUUUAAGAUGGCAACAUCUGGAAUUCACAUUGUUAUACUUUAUCAGAAAUGUUGGUAGAUGCUAGUGUGCCAUGGAUAUAAUUCGUUUGAAGGCCUUCUGGCCAGGUUUGUCACCAAAUUCCAAACCAAAUGUCAACGUUCAUAUGCAGGUAUCGGUCUACUCGAUGGAUUCGAUCAACACACUUGCAUAAACAACUUGGCAACUUUCAUUGCUCGUGCAGGAGACUCAGUCAUGUUCUGCCGACCGCUGGCAAUGCAAAUUGCCAGGUAUGUGCAGUAAGGCUGGCGUGCAGCAAAGCAAUAGAAACAAACAUAUUUCAGAAGAAAAAGCUGGCAUGCAGCAAAGCAAUAGAAACAACAACAUAUUUCAGAAGAAAAAACAUAGGUGUUAUUCCGACUGUUUCAAUGUGCCGAAAACAGGCAGGAAUUUGCUGCGUACAACUAUGACCUUUUUUUUUCGAGAACAUGCGUACAACUAUGACCUGGAACAACAAUGACCAAUUGUCGUGGGUGGUCUUCAUUGAAGAAAUGUUUCAUUUUCAGAAUCAGAAUAAAUAAAGGUACAGUGACAGCCAUGAAUCUACAAGUUACCCCAGGACACCAAGACUACAACAAAAUAAACUAAGCAAUGAACAUGGUAUGAACCUCAAAUGGAGGUUCUCCUUCAAACCUGUACAUGUGUUGACUAUCUAGGAUCUUUUCUCCGCUAAUCUUACAACAUCACUGACAAUAACCUUACUGCUGAAAUGAACACCACAGUUUGCAAUAGUAUUGUCAUAGGCGCAUGUAACCUUCUUUGUGACCUUUGAAGAGUUUCAGAUGCCUCUUGUUCUGAGAAUUGCUCCGGGUCAGUUCACGGCGUGUUCUCCAUGACGUCACAUGAGAAUAUAAUGAAGGAAAUAAGAAACAUAGCAACAGAAGUAAUAAGAUCACAACACAUAUUAGCAUGACAUUCAUGAAGCCAUCCCGGUUUUUAGGGUUCUUGUUCUGCUCGGUCCAUGGCACGCCACCAACAUUCAUCCCGAAAACUGACAAAUUUUGCAACAUAAAUCAGGUAAAUAAGAACCCUGAAAAAGAACAGAAAUUAAUUCAGGAAAGUACACGAGUGAGCACCAGGACAAUGAACUUACCUCCAGUGACAAUGGAAAGAGGAAGGAAUAUUAUGGAGAGAAAUGAAAGGUAGUACAAGCUUUUGUUUAUCUGCUCUGAUUGCCAACUAUCGAGACUAGCCUGAAGUGUGGUAACUCUAUUUGUAAUGAAUCCUAGGUUUUCUUUGAGCCUUCUGAGGCGACCUAUCAGAUCUUCAAGGGCUGCUAUAUCUCCAGUUGCGAACCAACUCUUGCUCGCACAUUUUUCUUUCACGCGGGGGAAUACUUGUUCACCGUGAGAAACAACCUACACAAACAAAAAUAGUAGCAUUGAGUCUGUGACUUCUGUUCUAUAGAUUAGGCCUUGUUUAGUUUCCUAAAAAUUUUGCAAAAUUUUUCAGAUUUCCCGUCACAUCGAAUAUUUAGACGUAUGCAUGAAGUAUUAAAUAAAAAUAAAAAUAAAAAGUAAUUACACAGUUUGGUCGGAAUUGACGAGACGAAUCUUUUGAGCCUAGUUAGUCUAUAAUUGGACAAUAUUUGUCAAAUAUAAACGAAAAUGCUACUAUUCAUAUUUUGCAAAAAUUUUUGGAAGUAAACAAGGCCUUAACUGAAUUCAUGUAACUGCACUUUUAGAACCUGAAAGCCAAAUUAUAAGCAACACAGCAUGACAACCUCAAUGUCAUAUCAGCACUCACUUCAUGCAUGUUUGCGAUUUUGACUAAAGCAGUGCAAAUUAUAAAACAUUCCAGGUUCCCAAUAUAUUUCCCAGAAACUCGAGAGAAAACUCAUACCUGAAGCAACCGCUGUAGAUCGAGAUGCAUUUUUGGGAAUCUCCUGCCAUCCAGCAAAAGUUUCCUCAGAAAGUGACCACCUGCAACAAGCACAAUCCACACAGUUCAUAAAAUAAAAAGGCUAGUCAUUGGAGAGAAAAAGGUGAAAGUUCGAAACCUUGUUUGUUGAAUCCUGGAAUGCAAUAAGCAUGGAGAGUACAUUUGCCAUAUGGUACCCCUCUAUAUUUGCACAAUGCUAAUAAACCUUUGCUGAAGCAUACAUCAUUUAACUUGGCAUAGGUCGCAUAGCAUUGUUGCAAAAUUUAUAUGGUUUGGAAGAAUGAUCAGGGUCUACUUUGGAAACUCUACUGCCAUUAUAUAGGAUCCUGAUUCAUGAAAUUACAUGAAUACAUGUAACAGAGUCAUCCUCGAAGUUACAUUCAGGACCUGCAUUCAAUUCAACCAUUCCAAAAUGUCUGGAAUUUGUCGUUCUGAUGGAAUGCAUACCAACCCCACCCUUUCAAACCUUGCAACCUUUUGUUUAUUUUAUUUAAAGAAAACCUCGUAUGCAAUCAUGAGUCAAAUCUAAUUCUAUCACAUUGAUCUGAGUUCAUGCAGCAAGAGGUCAGCAUUUUCAGCGUCACCAACCAACCAAAGAAGCGUAGGUUAGCAGCAAUCGAAUAUCUUUUAUCCAGAUGAGGAAUGAAAGGGAGCUUUACGCGAUGAUUGACCAGCAAGAAAGCAACCUCCGACCACGACCUCCGACCGCUCACCUUUGUCGAGCUGCAGCUCGAUGGCGUCGAGGUCCAUCUCGAGGCGCGUGACAAUGUCGUGGACGUGGUCUACGUGCGUGCCGAGGACGUGCACGAGGAGGUUGGACACCGUCCGCGGCACCGGGUUGUCGGUGUGCGCGCCGUCGGCGUGGUUCAUGGCCAGCAGCGACUCGAGCAGGCGCUCCUCGAUGACGACGCCGCCGUCGACGGCGCAUCCCCCGCCGUGUCCCUCGUCGGCGACGACGCCGAGCGGCACCUCGGAGAGCAGCGACGCCUGCUUGGUCCCGAACGCGAGGCGCGGGACCCCGCCGACGGACACGGUGACGACGGAGCUCUCGGUGACGCGCACGGCGAGGCGGAGCGCGCACGCGCUGCCGACGGGGCCCGGCGAGCUGACCCGGAGCAGGAGCGCGCCUCCGCUGUCCCCGGAGGAGGAGCAGCAGUGCGGGCCCGUGGCGACGAACGCGAGGAUCUCCUGCAGCGUGAGCGGCGGGCAGAGGAGCUCGAUGAGCGCCUGCGCGUGGUGGAGCGGCUUGGCCGCGGAGCGCGGGAGCUCCACGUGGUGCCACGUGAACUCCCCGGGCCUGGGACGCCGCGCCGACCCGCCGGACGCCGACGGCGCCAGGCCCAGGCCCCAGGGCGCCUCGGAGAAGCCGCCAUCGCCGUCGAACACGAACGCGUGGCGCGGCACCGCGCCCGACGGGAGCGGCUUCCCGACCGCGGGGGACGGGGACGGGGGCGGCGGGCCCCGCCUCGGACGCAGGUGGUUGGAGCCAGAGCCAGAGCCGAAGCCGGCUGCCUCCGCGCGCGGGGCGGGCUCGCCGGCGCCGGCACCGGCCGCCAUUGGCAUUAGAAUUUGCGCCCACGCCGCGCCACGUGAAGGCGUAUUAUACCACGGCAUCGCACAAGCUCCAGGGACCUCGCGGUGAAAUCGCGAAAUAUCUCUGGACCUUUCUGCAAAAACGAUCUCGGCAAGCGUUUUGCUAAGCGCUAAGCUUAACCCGGGAAGGUUAGUUUCAAAAAAACUAUAAUACUCCGUGUUAGUGCAUAGUAGUAGUAAUAAUAAUACCAUUUUUAUAUUAGUGCCAAAUACUGCUACAUGGAUAUGUUUUGCAGUAGGAUUAAUUGUAAAGAUAUAUGUUUAGUUAGGGUUGGUGUCGGUGAUUAAUAAUAAACAUUUUCUAGGAGGUGAAGGUGAUUUGAUUGAUCUGGGGGAAGAGGAUGAGGAGGGUGGGUGAUCUUUGCAUGGGUUUGACUAAAUUUGGGAAUCUCUCUGGUUGUGUGCUUGGAGGCUGGAGGUGCAUCACAUGUGCACUGCAGCUGCAAUUGUUAUUAAUUAAUUCAUUAGUAUUAGCCAAACUAGAGUUUUUUUUUUGUUUCAAUGAAAGAUGGUUAUUAUUACUCCAUUUUGGCCUUGUUCAGAUGCAUGUGAGCCCAGUCAGCUUUUCAUGAGAUAAAAAAUGAAAGAAAAUCAGAGAAAACUCUUAGCAAAGGUUUGGAACGUGCCUAUUCAUUUGGCUGAAAGUACUAUUUGCUGAUUUAUUGUGAGAAAAAAUAUUGCUGAACGACUGACAGAUUCGGCAAAUAAGCUCAAGCGAACAGGCUUAGUCCAUUGGUUUGAAUGCAUACGAGUUUUAUUUAUAGAGGCUCUAAGGGUUUGGUUUGCAUGAAAUACUAGCCAGGUCACUCUUCUUUGAGAGAAAAAAAAUACAAAACUAAUCCAACCUUUGUUUUUCCAUGGAAUAUAGUUAACUAACGGUACUACUAGUAGUGUCUUAGUAUUUGUUUUCAAGGAAAAAAAAUGAAUUACUGGGGUCCAGCCAAUGCAGUCGUCGCUUGUGAUCGAGGCUCAGCCCAUUCCUAAAACGGGCCGUGGUCUCGUAGACGAGAAUAGAGCUACCACAGCCCAGCCCAGCCCACCGUGGAAAUGGGCUCCCCUCAUCCUCGCUUUGCGUCACGCGACGUGAACCCCCCGGCGGGCGCCGGCGGCUCCUCGCCGACGUCGUCAUCAGUAACGGAAAAGAGCCCACCCGCCACUCGAACGGGCCGGCGAGGCGGCGGCGCCGGCACGUGACGAGUGACAAGGACAAGCUGAUGAAUCCAUCCCGACCGACCAUGCGCGCAUGGUCCUACAUCCUCCGAGCCGCCCGGGGGUGGUGGUGCGGGCAGCCGCGCGCACCACGAAGCACGAUCUGCGGUCCUCAGGCGCGGGCGCGCGGCGGCGUUAAUGGUCGAGCUUCAUGGCGGGGCCGAGGCCGCGCCGCCGCGGGCCAGCACGGUCCCAUUCCCAUGCGUAUGGCGUUCCAAGCUCCAUGGGGACGACGGCGCGCGCGCCAUGGCGAGGAACAUCCAUGCACUGCACGGCCUUCGAUCGGUGUAGUCCCGUCUCGGUCUCGGCCGCGCCGCCACCGCAGCGCCUCCUUGAUUCCGUGCAGUGCAUAGCAAAGCUCAUUCAGGUGCCGGCUUGGUAGGUGACGCUGACGCAGAAGCAGAAGCAGAAGCAGUCAGUCAGGCCAUCGUCGCCCAGUCCGCGGAGGUGAAUUCAGGUGAGCUUGCCUUUGCCUGCGCCCCCCCCUUAAUUGUUCUCAACCUAUCUAGUACUCGCUAACAAUGGGCGAAAUGGAUUUCGCAUGAACUGAAAACUGUGCUGGGAAUUCGGUCAUGACAUCUUCCUGUUAUCUGAACUUUCAAUCUGGUUACUGCUUACAUCCCCAUCCCUACAAAAUGGAUUUCGCAUGAACUGAAAACUGUGCUGCACAAAGGCACAAACAGCGAAAGAGGCCUGCUUUUUUCUUUUUGUUCGUUUGCCUUCUGGAUAAUCACAUCCAAAUCAGCACUUCAAUCAGUUCAGCACUGUGAAAAAAGUAAAACUGAAAACGACCGACGCAGUUUCUGCAAAGAAAAAACUCUCUAGAGAGUUUCGGCUGCAGAAUCUUCAGCUGGUCAAAUCUUAUCAUGAGGAACGCUCGAAUUAGGAGUGCCACUUUUCUGUGCCCAGUAAAAAGAAGCAGGCAGGCAUACACCCUGUGGCUGGCUAUCACUAUCCUUUCUCCACAAACACAAAGUAGCUGUCUCCAUUUUUCAACCGGAGAAUCCGAAUUUGCAAAGCGCUAGAGUGCAGAGUCGACUCAGCGUGUCUAACAUUGGUAGGGCAAGAAUAAAAAUUCCAGGACACGAUGCUUGCUUCGCUCCUUUCCAUUCCUUUUCGGCUCUCAAAGUACACAGCAGGCUAGCGCACGCACACGGCUGGCUAGCGUAUUUACAUUUUUCAGAUCUUUUGCUGCUCAACAGUUACUUGUUUACUUAUAUAUAUAUGACAUCAAGCUUCAAAACACACUUGAUUUUACAUUAGCUGCUGUUGUUGUUGUUGUUGACGAUGAUAGUAGUUAUACAUGUCCACGAAGGGUUUAGUCUAUAGGCAACCCCUGGGACGAUUUCCGGAAGGAGUUCUUGGUCAUCUUUUCCAUGAGGUGACACCAACGGCGACAUUGCUCACCUGGAACAGAUCAGAAGAAACAAAACAGUCAAGUCUGAUUGAUUGUUCAUAGUUCACUUGGUGACUUUGACAACGAGGGAAAACCAACGAACUAUGGUCAUAGUGUUUGAGAUAAGCUCACCAGUUUGCCCUUUUCAUCCAGUGUCUUAGGAUUCUCCACCAGAACCGUCUGGGGCCGAGCAUCCUGCAAGGAGCAUGAAAGUUGAGCGAAUAAAGCCUGUUUCAUUAUCGACGAACAUUUGACAUCAGUCUGAAUUUAGACGGUUUGCUUCAACCCGAUGGACCAGUGCUUUCAUCGCAGCACUAGAUGGUCCAAGGAUUUCAAGCGAAAAAUCUCUCGGUGGGACGCGUGCGGAAUGUGCUAAUCAUUGGUACUUGCCUACUUGAGGAACUGAUUCCCAUGCAAACCAUGGAGCAACCUGAACCUACCAAAGUUGUGAUUUUUAUGAAGGACAACCCCACAAUUGAUGCAACAAAAGGGUGGUUGUGCUGUGGUCAUCAACUGCUUAAUGGUCCCAUCCCAUAGGGCCAUAGAAUUACUUUGGACACCAAUAGUACUACCUCCUAAUAACUUUUGGUGUUCUAUAUAUGUGUGGAACUGUACUGACUGUGGAGACUAGGCAAAAAAAAAAGAAAGACUAACCGAUGGCGCUGGCCGUGCAGAGCCACCGGUGUGGUUGUUCUGUAGGAAGUAGUUUGUAAACGGAAUAUGAGUUGCGAUUGAUGACAUAUGCAACGACGAAGAGAAGACAAAUUCAGUUGUGCAGUACACAUACCCUGACUGGAUUAAUGUUGCGGCAUGUUGGGCACCCGACUGUCGUCGCUCCCGGUGGGUAUGCCAGAGUUGUCCGGCAUUGCCCGCAUGACAGGUGACCCAUUUGGUUUCCUGCUUCAGUUUAGGAUCAGGAAACUUGUGUCAGCUGGAGGAAGAAACUUGCAUGAGAAUGCAGUUGUAGCCUGUUUGUUGCAGGCAGACUAAAGGGAAUUGGACAUGAGGUUUCACCUGAUCUUGUGGAGUUGAGCCUACUACAGUGAGGGCAGCGUAUGUUGGUGGCGCUGCGGGAGUGCACCAGCAUGGUGAAGCAGCCGCCACAGACGAGUUCAGACAUCUCCGGUCCUAGAGGAAACAAAAGCAGAGUUUUUCGCUGAGAAAACUGGACUGAACAGGCAAUUGUAUCUUUGCUUCUUUAGACUGUAGCAUCAUCACGAUCGGACAAGGGAAAAAAGGCUUUGUGCUUUAUGCUGAUAUGUGUAUAGUAUACCUGAUGGGUUGGCGGCUGUGAAAGUGUUGCAGGUUGGGCAGCAGACGCCGGUGGCUCCCCUGCGGUACUGGAGAAGACGCUUGCAGCCGCCGCAGACCAACUGGCUAUGCAUGCCUGCAGUUGGAAAUUAUAUUGGUGCGGUUAGAAUUCCAAAUCCCAGUUCAGGUGCAAGAAGAUGCAACACUUUGAUCUGACAAUGGUAAAACAGGCUACCCUUUCUCUCUGAACUUCAAGAAAAAAAAGAAAAGAAAAGGAGGAUGAACUACACAGCAUGUAUAUUUUCUACUGCAUUUGCGACCGUGUUUUGCUAUAUGUAUUUGAAGAAAAGGAAAGGAUGGUGGCAUGAACGUGGACUGGUCACAUUUUGCGGCGGGCAAAAUUCGACAUGCACACAAGGCAGGUGCGCUAGCUGUGUGCUGUGCAUGGAUGGAUCAACCUUGCCUGAGAUCUAUAUAUGAACUUGUUCUGUAUGCAGGUUGUUGAAGGUGAGGAGGAAUUGUAAAGCACGGUACGCACGCAAUGCAUAACCUGUUUGCUAGCUAUAGGCAGGUGAGAAACUCAGAGCUGCUGCUUGCUAAACCCAAGCAUGCAAGGUAGGUAUACAUAUCAUAGACCAAGAAUGGAAGAUGUAUUACCAAGGCAAGAACACCGGCCGAGCUAGAAUGGACGGCGCCUUUGAACUGCAGCUAAUUAAUGAAGCUAGCUCUGAAGGUGUGCAGCAAGCUAGCAAAGGAGAGAGGGGGAGAUGAUAACGAUGAUGGAGAGAGGGGUUUGGGUUGUGGAGCUCCACGGUGGCAGGAGACGGGGGGCAGGGAUCAUAUUUAAGGGCGGGCGGGAGCGCGGGGGAUGGCCGGCCGGCCGGCCAGCCGAGGUGGAUUCUCUCAUCUCUGGGGCAGGGGGAAUGGGAUGGGGGGAUAGAUUAUUAUUCUCGCUGGCCUGGCCUGGCCCUGGCCAUGGAGGAAUCCCGGAAAGAAACCGACGUCGGCGCCGGGGGAGAUGAUGCUGAGUGGAUGGAUGGGCGAUGCGUGUGCGUGUGCCUGCCUGGGAUGGAUGGAUGCCUUUCGGAUAUGGCCGAAUUCCCCUGCCCCCGCCAUCUCUCAGCUGCCUAGCUAGCUAGCUCUCUUCCCCGACCUCUCCUCCUCCUCCUUGCAUAGUUCCAUCGAAUCUCCACCCCCCGUUGGCGCCAAUAAUUCCUUCCGCUUGCUCCAUGGGGCGGCUUCCCUCAAGAACAAUAACCUGCUGGAAUUGUUAAUCCUCGCUAGAAUAGAUCGGAGGGGGCGGAUUCGGUUCUGACUUGUCAAGCCGGCCGCGACAAGUGUGUGCUAGGCUAGCUUUACACCUCGGUUUGGAAUUGCGGUUUGAAUUCCGCCUAGGGCCUAGCUUUAGCUUGGCGCGCCUUCCAACUAGAGCUUCAGAGCUAGAGGAGCAAACCUUUCCGUUGGAACUGUAGCUUGGAGGCCGUACGGACACCCACUUUGUAGGCCUUGUUUAGUUCACCCUAAAAUUCAAAAACUUUUCAAAAUUCUACGUCACAUCAAAUUUUAUGAUACAUGGAGCACUAAAUAUAGACGAAAACUGUAAUUUACGAGACAAAUCUUUUGAGUCUAAUUAGGCCUUGUUUAGUUGGCAAAAAAUUGAGUUUUUGGCUACUGUAGCACUUUCGUUUUGUCCAAUCAUAGAGUAACUAGGCUCAAAAGAUUCAUCUCACAAAUUACAUGUAAACUAUGCAAUUAGUUUUUAUUUUUGUCUAUAUUUAAAGCUCCAUGCAUGCGACCAAAGAUUCGAUGUGACGGAGAAUUUUGAAAAUUUUUGCAAACUAAACAAGGCCUUAGCCUAUAGUUGGACAAUAAUUGUCAAAUAAAAACAAAAGUAUUACAGUGUUAAAAUUUAAAAACUUUUCGCAACUAAACAAGGCUUUAUUCUGCCCCCUCACUCCAUCCACGAAAAACUUUCGGUGGAUUGUACUUUGAACUAUCUUUUUCUUUUUAAUGAAAUACAUGCCACGUAUGUUCUCUAAAAAAAACUCCAUUGACAAAAAAAAUGUAAUUACGGAACCACAUCUAAUAGUCCCUCACUCCAUCCACAGAAGAAUGUAACUACGGAACUGCGCUAGUCAAACUAGUUCAUGUCUUACCAAGUUUAAAGUAAAUAAAUUUAACAUUUGUGGCUUUAAAUAUAUUUAUCAUAAUUAUAUAUUCUAUAACUAAUCAAAUGGUACUUAUUUUGUAUACUUUAGUUAAAAUUUAAAUUGUUUGAUUUAUCGAAAAAAUGAAAAUUGCAAAUUUUUGUGGACUGGGGAGUACUACCCCCACGUUCCUCUCACUAGAUAAUGUUUAAGUACUCCGUGCCAUAAAAAACACUUGUUAGGUUAAGUCCCUGUUUAGAACAUGGGGAUUUUUUUUUCUGUAUUCCUACAUUUUUCUACAAAAUCGAACUGAUUUUUUUUUGUGAAAUUCAUGUAUGAUUCUUAGAAAAUUCAUGUAUAUUCCAAACAGAUUUUAAACUUUGUAUGGUCUUCGAUGUGCAUUUGUAUUUAUUGAUUUUUUCCUAUAAUAUGUAAUCUUGAAAUCAUUUUCCUUUUGGACUAUAUAUAAUACUGCUAUUUUCUUCUGAAUUGAGGCUGUUUGGAUAAGUCCAUUUCCUAUAUCACUAUAUGUAAAUUGAGUGGACUAGAAGAAAAUUUUCAUUUGCCUCUUCAAUCCACUUGUAUUGAUCUGCAUCUAUUAGUAAUUUAGUAUUGAUAAAUCCCAUGGCUAUUUCGUUUCAAAAAAAUCCCAUGGCCAUCGAAAAUAAGUUCCCGAAUUCUCCCUUUGAUAUCAUCUACUCCCUUCGUCCUACAAAUAAACGUAUUUAUUUGACUUCUAUGAUUCAUGUUUGACCGUUUGUCUUAUUCAAAAAUUUUUAGUAAAUAUUAUUUAUUUUUUAUGACUUAUUUUAUUGUUAGAUAUAUUUUUAUAAUGAUUUAUUUAUUUUAUUAUUUGCACAAAAAAUUUAAAUAAGACAAAUGGUCAAACAUGAAUCGUAAUAGUCAAAGAAAUGUAUUUAUUUGUGUGGCGGAAUGAGUUUGUUGCGCUGUCCUUCAUGCAGAAGUGAAGGAAAGUGAAGGAAAGGAUCCUACAUUGGAUGAAGCACUUCAAGCCUGCCGUGCUGGUGUCUACAGACAUUCAAGAAAUUUAGUUCUUGUUCUAGGCUGUUUAGUGCUUCUUUUGAUUUUAUGACAAACUGGUAUUCCCAGUAUGGUAUCUGACAUUUGCUUUCUUAAAUGCUGAGGUAAAACUCUUUAUAAAAAGUAUUGAUAAAUCCUAGGAAUAAUCAAAUCCCAGAAAUAAUCAAAGAAUAAUAAGGAUUUAGGGGGUAUUUGGUUUACUCCUCGUCUCCUAAAUCUAGUCUCAUCUAGUCACUUUUACUCGAACACUAUGACUAAAUGGGACUAAAAAGUGUAUUACCUAACUACUCACCCAAGUGUUGCUAAAUAGGACUAAAGCCCACCUUUUAGCCAAGCUGUGAAUCCAAACACCCUGACUAAAAGGUCUCUUUUAGUCUCUUUCCGUCCACCAAACUAAGGGGGUAUUUGGUUAUAUAACUAAAGUUUAAUAGGUGUCAUAUCAGAUGUUACAUAUGGUGGUCUAUAGGAUAUUUGGAUACUAAUAGAAAAAUAAAUUACAGAUUCCAUCUGCAAGACGAAUUUAGUAAGCCUAAUUAAUUUAUCAUUAGCACAUGUGUACUGUAGCAAUUAGUGUCUAAUUAUGGAGGCUUUAAAAAAUAGUCUCGCAAAUUAGUCUCUAGCUAUAUUUUUAGUCUCGUAAAUUAUUUAUAUUUAAUACUUCAUGUAUGUGUCCAAAUAUCUAAUGUGAUAUGGACUAAAGUUUAGCAACAGUAACCAAACGAGGUCUAAACAUGGGCAUGACUAAACUUUAGGAGCUGGUUUGGGUGACUAAACUUGAAGUGGUGUGAACCAAACACGUUCUUACUCAUGAGCUCGCAGAGGAACUUAUUGGGCGCCUAAGUGCAUGUCGUGAGGGUCAGCAUGGGUCUUUGCCUUUCACUCUCAUUGUAUAGACUAGACUUGUUUUCUUCUUAUGAAUGACAGAACUGUACUCCCACUCUCAUUUCCUAGAAUACAUAUAGAUCAAACAAACCCUGUAGUUACACCAUGGCUUAAUUACUUUUUGGUGCCAAUGCCAUCCAAAGCAUUUUGUCGUCGUCACCAUAUCGCGCUGCUCGUUCUCCGACAAGAACUAGAUGAGCUAUCUACGAUGAGCAUCUACAAGUCUACAUAUCAUCAAGAUGGGCUAUGGUUGCACGACUUUUAGUUCCCCUUAGAUAUUUUGGCAUUGCCCAUGCGUGCAUGCAUAGUAGUAGGCGAUGCACGCUACCACCAAUCUUAGGUUGCAGCAAAGGGCCAAAAUACUCUCUCCAUUUUAUAGGCUUCACUUUAAGCAUAUACAUUUUAAAAGAUCCGUGCUCGAGCAAGUUGAUACGAACGGCCCCGAUCUUUUACCAACGACGAUUUGAUGAAAACUAGACACUAAUCCGGCUUUAGAUAUAUGAAAAUAUCUAAAACCUUGUAACCUUAGCGCAACAUAUCCUCUAGUUAUCAACCAUCUAACUAACUACCCGGUUGACCUCAUUGAGAAGGUUAAUCCCUUCCUCGAAGAAUACAAGUGAAAAAUCUCGAAGAACACAAUCUAAAUCAAAGUGACAACUACCGAUGUAUGAUUAAGCACUCGAAAUUAAGGUCUCAUAAAUUGAUAACUGACAACUACUCAAAGACAAAUUAAUCUAAAUCAAAACUCAAAAUCUAACAUAAUCUAACAAAUGACCAAGUAUACCUAUUUGUGUCUCAGAGUCCUAACAUAUUACAAGCUCAAUGGUCCAAAAGAUGAUGGCAUAUUACCCUGACAGAUUCUGAAUGAUAACUUUUUAACAAUUUCCAUUGAUUUCAAAUGGAUUUUAAAGUAUGACCAAUGCCAUUGAAAAUAUUAUCUCUUUAGCUUUCCAUGCAUAGACAGAACAUCCAAAACGGAGUCCAUAUGUGACCUAGACAUCCGUUUUGGCAUGGACUGCUCCUAGAAUCUAAGAUAGACUCAAACAUAUGUAUUAGGCCUUCAACUUGUCUUGGACGUACAUUGGCCUUCUAAGGUGGUGUCCAAGGAGAAUGAUGUCCUUGGACAUCCUUGAAGGGUUAUCCACAUAGUUAGGGUGUGCUCCCACUUCUUCUAGGCUCCCAAGGGCGAUUAACAGGCCCACAACGGCAUCAUAGUACUCGACAUAAUUAGUGGAAAUAUUUCUUGAUUAUUUGGAGACCUUGUCAUGUGAUAUUGAGGUCAGAUCAGGUUUAUUUGAAGGUUUUCAAAUAAGUUUUUCAUCAAGUACUCAUGGACUGAUGGACCUUAAUCGCACUCCAAUGGAAGAUUUAUGGCCUUCAUAGUAGAGUAUUGUGAGUCUGUUGAUAAACCAAAUGUUUAGCUUCGAUGGCCUCGCACUCCGAGGUCGGUCUAAUUUUGCAUGGUGUAUCCACACCCCCAUCUGUUGUAGAGAACAUAGAAAGAGUCUUCCCCAUGUUUGCAUCGUCAUUAUCAUCACUCUUACUUAUAUCAUUGUGCAAACAUACGCACGAGCUCACUUGUUUUUAACUUUCAUGGGCACGUUUGUAGGUGUCUUGUCCUAAGAAAAAUAAUAAAAAACAUGUAAUUAUGUAUCUUCAAAAUUUAUUUCACUAAAACAAUACCAUUGCACUACACUAGAAAGAGAUAGAAAAUCCUAUCCAACGAUUGAUAACACUAGCAUAUACAAAGAUACAAUAACUUAGUUGGUUUAAUUCCAUUAUAUUAUCAUGCCUAUAGCUAAAACAACUAGAACUUUAAUCAUAAUUUGGUAACUGUACAUCCAAAGGAACUACCAUUCAUAACCCUAACUUUAGCCAAUUUAUUAUAGCUAUCUAAAUCUAAUUUAUUAUCCAUAUAAUUUUACCCAUAACCCUAGAUCAAAGAAAUGUAAAAAAAUAAGGUUUUGAUCUACACAAUGUGUAUUUUUACUAGGUGAAGUACUAAGCCUAGUACUAUAUGAUAACUUGGACUUCCUAGCAUAUCUGAAAAAAAAACACCCAUUAAAUUGCAAAUUUCCACCCAUCAAAGCAAACACAGUUGUAACAAGAGAAGAACUUGAUCCUGUAUAGGUCUUAUCGCGCUAGAUGGCGUGGUUCAACACACUGAUCCCCAGCCCAGUCGCCCGAUAGUGCCAGCAUGGCUAACUCUCGUGUCCCAGUCGCCUAAUAGUGCCAGCUUGGUGUAAUACCUGAUUGUAAGAACAAAACUUUUUACACCCAGCCCAAUUUAGAAUAUGGCCCGUGGUGACCUAUGUGCAUAUUAUGAGAUAACUAUGGAGGGUUUAGUCCCACCUUAGUUGUUAAGAGUGGGUUAGACCAACAUAUAAGAGCAUCUCCAGCAGACUAUCUAAAUGGACUACCUAUCUCCAAUCUGAGUAGUGGAGUCCUAAAAAUCCACUUCAGCAGACUACCUAUCCACCCAAUAGAUUUGUUGGCUACCCAAAUCUGAGUAGCUAGUUUUAGAAGUAUUGCUGGAGUUGAGAGCAAAAUCUAGAUAGUAUUAAAAUAGGUGGCUACCCAAAUAGACAUUUAGGUAGUUUGAUUUAGGUAGCACUGCUGGAGAUGCUCUAAGGCUUUUAGAGUCCAUCCCAUCAUCUUCGGGUUAAUCCUUUUACGCGAAGUGAGGGCCAAAGCAUAAGUGGGAUGAUAGUAAGUAAGUGGGAUGACGGUAAGUGUGGUUCGCUCAGUGUUUAGAGUAGUCCUGUUAUGCUAGACACUAAAAGGGUUAGAUUAAAAAUAUUUUUUUAGUCAGAUCAUUAAUAAAAUAAUAAUCAUUAAUAUUUUUUUAAAGAAAAAGAUCCUCCAACACAAGUGGUUGUCGAAGAUGUCUGUUCUUGGAAUGUUGGUGAUUAAUUCAGUCGAUACUAAUUAUCUGCCCCACCCAUAUGAAUAUGACGUGGCAAAGCAUAUGAAACCACUUGAGAGUAAGAAAAGAUCUUACUAAUAAUGAGCUCAAAGGUGGUUGCAUCUCUAGUACUGUAGCGAAUAGCAGUAGUUAGUUACAGAUUCUCCAUUUAGAGGCGUCGCCCUCGAUGCCAUGCACCUUUCCUAGUCAGACGACCAUUGCAGCUGCCAUGUGGCAGUGUGAUCCUUCAUACAGUUAUGCCACGUCGGCUUUGUUCUCUGGCGUCAAAUCAUUAGCAAAUGUCAAAGGGAAUACCUGUACAGGAGUCCAACGCGUGGAUGGCUACCAUUGCGUGCCCCUUUUAUGGGAAUCCCCGCGGGCGGCUCGUCAAUAAUCGUGCGAGCUCUCCUGGCAUUGCAAGUUUAGUUUACCCCAAAAUUUAAUUUUUUUGUUAAAGAUUCUCCUUCACAUCGAAUCUUACAACACAUGUAUGAAACAUUAAAUGUAGAUAAAAAAAAUAAUUAAUUAUACAGUUUGUCUGUAAAUCGUGAGACGAAUCUUUUGAGUCAAGUUAGUCUAUGAUUAAACACUAAUUACCAAAUAUAAACAAAAUGCUAUAGUAGCGAAAUCUAAAAAGUUUUUAGAUAUAAACAAGGCCUAAUAAAAUUAAAAAACUAUAAUUAAAAAUGACUAAUAAUGUUGAUUAAAAUAGUACUUCCUCUCCGUGGAUAAAUCAAUUCCUAGUAUUGUCUUAAAUCAAACUUUUCAUGUUUAACCAUGCUUAUAAAAAAUACAAUAAUAUUUAUGAUAUCAAAUGAACAAAUUCUAAAAUAUAUUUCGUAGCAUAUCAAAUGGUUAACUUAGUAUCAUAAAUUCUGGUGCUAUUUUUAUAAAAUCGGUUAAAUAUUAAAAGAUUUUACUUAAGAUAACUCAAAUUGAUUUAUCUAAGAACGAGGAGAGUAGUUUUUGUAAGGAAACUGAACCCUUUCUUUUAUCCUGAGCGGAUAAAUUAUAUUCUUCUUUGGCUAUAAUGCCCCCACUGAUUUUGAUUUUUUUUUUGUAUCCAUGGAAAGAUGCCACUGCAAAGUUAGUUUUGCGACAUUUGGAAAAUGAUGUAUAUCAGAUUCACUCGUGUGGGUCAUGGAAUCAUAUGUCAAGCUCACUCAACUUGCAUAUAUUAUCCUGGGUGCAUCAUUUUUUGCCACUGUGUUGUAUCUAUUUCUCAAAAUCCGUAUAAUUUGUCGCCACUCAGACUCAUUAAGAGAAUCUUUACCCAAUUUGGAUUAGAUUUUCCAUAUUAACAAAAGGUACAACUAAAUCAUGUUUGCCUUUUUUCACAAUAAAAAAAAUGUUAGGAGAAAAUCUCAUCCUCAUGUCUAGUUAUUAGAUCAUACAUGUAUAUGAGGCCUUCCCAAUUUUUUUGAGGCCUUCCCAAAUUAUUUUUAACCUCUUGUUCAAAUUUGGGGGUAUUUAAACUUUUUUUAGUAUAUUUCAUUAGUUUUUUUUGUUUCAUUGAUUUUUUUUGCAAACUUCAAAUUUGAACUGUAGGUGCAUUAAAUAAUGGAAUUUCUUUACCCAAUUUGAACAUCGGAUGCUUAAAACCUAGACAUCUCCAUAUGGGGUCAUAAGUGAUCACAUGUAAAGAUGUCUAGGUUUUACACAUCCAACAUCGCAACUUGUUCUAAACCUUCCCAAUUUUUUAUCAUAGUCUCUACAUGUGAUAAAAUGACCCCCAGACAAGUUUCUUGAUUUUUGGACUUUUUAUGGAUUUUAUAUAAUUUAAAAACAUUUUUUCCGCAAGUUGUUUCUAAUGUUACAGCAGGAAGAUGUUUCACAUUUCAUUGAGCUUGUGGAUAUGGUCUUAAAAUACACCAAAUAUCGUGAAUAUCAUUUUUUGAAUAAAGAAAUUUCAUUAUUUAAUGCACCUGCAGUUCAAAUUUGAAGUUUGCAAAAAAAUCAAUGAAACGAAAAAAACAAAUGAAAUAUACUUAAAGAAGUUUAAAUAUCCCCAAAUUUGAACAAGAAGUUUGAAAUAAUGUGGGAAGGCAUCAGAAAAAAAUUAGGAAAAAAAACUAAAAAAAAUCUUCCACGAGUGCCUUUGAGUGCCUUUCUUAGCUCUACAACACUCGGGGAAGCCAACAUUUUCCCCGAGUGUCAUGCAUUAGCACUUGGGAAAAGGCGCCUUCUCCGAGAGUUUUUUUGGCACUCAGGGAAGAUUUUUUUUUUAUUUUAAGCUCCGACGGCGUCGUUUGUUUGGGACGUCAAGAAACACUUUUCUUCCCCGAGUGCGGCUCUUCCCCGAGUGUUGCGCUCAGGGAAGAGGACUUUUUACGAGUGUCAUUCUUCCCUGAGUGCCAGGUAGGCUACGACACUCGGGGAAGCCUCUCUUCCUCGAGUGCAAUUCUUCUCCGAAUACAACACUCGGGGAAGAUUGGCUCCGAGUGCUCGAUUUUUAGCACUCGAAAAAGCUUGUGACACUCGAGAAAUUUCGAUUCUCCCGUAGUGUAUAUAUGGGCCACCUCAUGCACCGGUUCAUCGAGGAGAGAGACAAAAAUGUUGUCAGAAAGGAUGAGUCGACUCAAAGAGCACAAAUCCAUGGUGAGCCCCAUAUAGAAAUAAAAAACAUAUAUCUCUCUUCGUAGCCUGGCCUGAUGGUGUUCGUUUGGGCUUAUCAGUCGAAUCUGCUAGCCAUUCAACAGUGUUUUUCUCUCACAAUAAAUCAGUCAACAGUACUUUCUGCCUCCGCCUGGCUGAGAGGAAGGUUCAUUCUUCCCUCCUCCAAAACCUUUGUUUAUUCAUCAUGAAUCGACUCAUGAUCUUGCAUCGGUUCAAUUUCUCUCCUUCAUGAGUCGCCUCGUAUAGUGAUUAAGUUGAUUCAUCGGAACACCAUAUUGGACGAUGAAUGGGUUUCAAAAAAGCCACUGGAAAAAGGCCUAUUUCUUCUGUUACCUCCUAGAAGAUAAUUAUAUAUGAUAAUUGUUAUUUAGUUCAGUUCAAUGGUUCAUAAUUAUUUCGAAGGUAAUUAUUUCGAAGUACCAUACCUGUUUGACUUAGUAUAAAACUAAAUUGAGCUACAUUUUGGAGCCUAUAGAGCAAAAAACAUGCAAAUGCUUAUGUACGUACGCCCUCCACAUACAUGCUCUCCAUUACUCCUUCCGGUGACAAAAAAGUGAUAUUUGACUUUUGAGGUUGAUCUUCGAAGCUUUGACUACAAAAUACUACUUUUUACGUGUUGAGUUCAAAUGCUUGGAGUGGUAUGAGUAGAUUUGUGUUAUUCUCUCUGUACAAAAGGAUUUAAUAUGAGAUUUGUACCGGUUAAAUUAGUUUAAGCUUGUAAUAAAUAGCAUUCAUAACAUUCAUGCAUCCAAUGAAGUUUACUAUAAAAAUAUAUUCUAUAACUAAUUUUGAUACUUACUUUGUAUUAUGAAUGUUAAUACUUUCUUAUAUAAUUCAAAGUUCAAAUUGUUUAACUCAUCAAAAAGUGAAAAUUGCAACUUUUUGUGGACAAAGGGAGUAAAAAAGAGCUUCAUAAAAGUAUAUGAUUUAUUUGUUAGUUAUAGGUACAAACAAUAGCAAAAUCCAAUGUAUAGAAUAUAUCUUCUCAGAAUAUAUAAUCCAAAUACAUACACGUACACCAUCGUCAUUUGAGUAUGUUUGGUACAUGCCACAUUUGUCACGCCAAAUCUUCUACAAAUGUGGUUGCCAUAAAAAGUUUGGUGAGAAAAAUUAAAGCCACACUUAUGACAAAGAUUGGCAAUAAAAUGAGUCUAUGACGUGUGGCUUAGUGUGCUAAGAAAGUACGCGGCAUGUCAUAGUUGUGGCAGCGAACCAAACAAGGGUUAGAAAAAUUAUGACAUGACUAACGACGUGUGUCAUGGCAUGUUAUGGUCACGAACCAAACAGGCAUAUUGACUGGAGAGUAUAUUAUAUUGAUGCUAUAUGCAUAUCCUUGUGUGUAAAGUUGCAUGGAUGCAUGUCUGGAGGAUAAGCUAGCCGUCGACGUGUCUUUAUUGGAAGCUGGAACACCACGUAGCAAUUCUUAUCGCCAAUGUUAUCCUCCUCUCCGGCUUGUAGUAGCCCAGUCUUUCGACAAUUAUUCUCUCUACUAUCACGCUGUCCCUACAUUCAUGCACACGGCCAUAUAUUAUCAGCAAGCUAUAACUACCUAGAGUUCCGAUACUUCAUCUUAUCACGCGCCAUGCAUGAACCUAACUAGCAUAGGUAGGGUGAUUUGUACGAGACAAAUGGAACGUUCGAUGAAUUCAUGUACCAAAAUAUUAGUCCCUUUUGAUCCAUAGAGCUAACAAGUAAUAACUGCUAACGAUUAGUGCUGGAACUCUGGAUCCAAACGAAUACUAUGGCCCCGUUUGGCGCGGCUUCUCCAGCGGCUUCAAGAGCCGUUUGGAGCCGUUUUGUGCCAAACGGGGUAAAAUAGAAUGGCUCCACCAAUGAAGCCCCCUAAAAACAUGUUCUCACAGAGCUCUGGGGUGUGAAGGAGCCAAAAAUAGUGGCUUCUUCCGGCUUCACCUCAUCCUACAUGGCGUUAUGUGAGAGCAUAUUUUAAGGAAAGAGUUGUUUUGCCAAACGAUUUAUCAAAAUAGCUUAAACUCCACCGAUAGAGCCAUUCAUGGAGCUGAAGCCCCAAAAAACAGCUUCACUAAUGAAGUGGAGAAGGGCCUAUAGAUAACUAACAGGGUCGCUAGUUGUAAGUAGGGCACCUAUACUUCAUUCUUCCAACGAGUACAUACAUUAUUGAGGAUGGCCCUACGAGAAAAGCAAAUACGACCGAAUGUGGUAUAUAUAUUGAUCAUUAUAUCUCUACUUAUUUUCUUCAGAAAAGAUACUGCAUUUCAUCGAUUUCUGAAGAAUUAUUCAUGACAAAUUUUGUUAAUAAUGCUCAAUUUUUUUAUGGUGUUUCGGCCCAUGCAUACAUUAUCUACAAACUAAAAUGAGAUUAGCAAUUUAAUGCAAUCAGCUGUUCAUUCUAAUAGCCUAGGGAGAGCCAUUACUGGAACAACGCUCAUGCACCCAAGUGGAAGGAGAAAUAUGUCUAAGGUUUUGCUAGUGGAAUAUGCACUUGUGCCACAAAUUUCUUUAUGAGGCAACAGCAUAUUCUGUCUACUAGGAUAGCAUAGCAUACUAAUGCCUAAAGUAGAAAAGUGCGCACAUAGAUUGCCCAAUAAAAGAACAUAGAAUUUUAAGGGAUGCGAAUGCGAAUGAUUGAAUUUUUAAAAUUUCAUGCAUAGCACCCCCAGUUUUCGGCCUAUUGCACUUCAGAAUAGCUCCUUAGUUUGUUUUUCAAAUAAAGGAAAAAAGUUUCAGCUUGCAUCGUAUAAUGCAUACAACCACCCUCACUUAUUAUACCAUCCAAAACUUAAAACAAAAUAAAAUACAAAGUAUGUGCAACAUUCACUGCUAAAAAAACUUUUUUUAGAGAUGGCUAGAAUGAGUUUUGAGAGGCGAGUGCUUCAUCCGCCUCUAUCGUCUUUGUAUAUUUUUUACAUAGGUGGCUAUCCAGAAAUCCCUAAAAUCAAUUUUAGAGAUGGGUUGAAAUUACCAAAUCACCCUUAAAGUUUGAUUUCUAGAUGGGGACCGAAGUUGAGACAUCUCUAAAAGUUGCUCUCUGGAAUUUGAAAAUCCAGCCAAAAAUUAGCAAAAAAAGGUUUACCUCGGGAGAAGCUCACUACACAGCCCCCACGAUCACAUGUGUGGCCCAUAGGGGAUCAAAUUUAGAGAGCCUUUGACCUUGCAUUUUCCUUACCACGUACUCUAAGCUACUUGCAAUGGCGGAUCUAGAAAAAUAAGUCAGAAGGAGCUUAUCUUAUAAUAUUCCAUCCUUAGCCUCUCUUUGUAAACUUGAAUAGGUCUAAAUUAGUAGGAGGGGCUUAGGAAGGGCUUCAAGGUCCACUCUCUGCCCCGGUGCUGGAUCCGCCCUUGGCUACUUGUGACCAAGUGGCUAAUACAAUCCUUUUGUAUUUACUUUAACAAAUACUGUAAUAAAUAAAAUAUUUGACAUCCUAAACAAAUUUAAAUGAAAAAGAUUAAACUGAAAAAUUAGUGCAUCCUUUCUCCGUUUAAGUUGUUUGAAAAAAAUUAAAAGAAUUUGAAAAAUUGAAAACAUAGAAUUUUUUGGCCUUAAAUUUUUUCAAGUGAAAAAGGUCAUUAGAUACAAAAUUAUAGUCUCAUCGAGAUGUAUAACUUUGGUAUAAAGUUUAUCUUUAUUUGUCUGGAUUUUAAAAGUUAUGAAUUUUAUCGUGCUGCACAUAUUUUCAAAUGCGAGCCAAAUUGCGAACUGCCUCUAGAAAUCCAUUUCUAUAGACAUGGAUGUUGUAGAAUUUAUUGUUCUAGUAAUUGUGUAUCAUGGUAGCAAAUUAGAUGGGGGUAGCACAUCAGACACAGAUUUAUACUGGUUUAGGUAUGAAGUACCUAAGUCCAUUGUAGAUGAUGAUCUUUAUUGUUUGUGCGCCAAUUGGGCUGAGUUGCGAGUAGGGGAUCACAACAUUGUGGCCAUGGGUGGAGCUAUCUUGAGGAUGAGCUCGAUCUAUACUGGAUCUAAGUUGGGGUGAUCUUGGGGUGACCGAUCAAGGGUUCCCUGCCCCUCCUUACAUAGUCCAAGUGUAGGGUUAGAGGUAGAGUCCUAAUCAGUUGAUAUGUAUGUUUCCUAGUUUAUUACAAGAAAAUCUAAUAGUGGAGAGUUGGUUUAAUUUCUAAGUACAUUUUGGUAUGACUUGUCCAUCAAGUAGUCGAGGUAGCCUCAUCCAAUUUGUGUAACGAGUCAAAGUCUUUCCAAUUAAAACUUUUAAUAGAACCUUCUUGAUCACCUUGCACAGUCCCUCAAACUCCCAAGAACCAUCUUGUGAAUCUCUUUAAGGAUUCCUGGUAUUCUCUACAAGGACAAGGACUCCAAAUUCGCAACUCAAUCCCAUUGUGGGGGUAUAAACCCUCAUACCCUUACGGCUAGACUUGGGCCAGGAGGCUUGGUCCAUUACGAGAUGAGUUCGAGGCUUGAUCCGACUGCUCGGAGUUUCGCGCAAGGAAACAAGACGUGGAGAUCAAGCAGGAUUGUAGCCGGUUAGAAUAGGAAUUGAUAUUGAGCUAUCUAUGGCAAUUGUAACCGACUAGGAUUAGUUUCCAGAUCUGUAACCCUGCCCUCCAGACUAUAUAAGGAGGGGAAAGGGACCCCCCUUAAGACACAUUAUUCUCAAUCCAAUACAAUCAGACGCAGGACGUAGGUAUUACGCCCACACGGCGGCCGAACCUGGAUAAAAAGCUUGUCCGUGUCUUGCGUCACCAUUGAGUUCAUAGUUUGCGCACCGUCUACUGAUAAACUAUUACCGUGGUUAUACCCCAAGGUAGACUGCCGACUAGCUUUCGUCGACAGUGGCGCGCCAGGUAGGGGGUGUGCGUACAACUUUUCCAGCGAACAAGAUGGUCAUCGUUCCAGCUUCUGCAGCCGUGCCUGAAGGCCUCACAUUCACCGUCGGCCAGAUUACGUGGACAACCCGCGGCGGUGGCCCCACGGUCACGGUUUCGGAAGAAACCCAGAUCCGAUCUGGGAUGACGGCGACAUCGGCUCCGACCACGCGGACACCGGCACCGAGCACGCGACCACCGCUUCCGCGCUACAGGGGAAAGAAGAUCGAUGGCUCGGACCUUUUCCGAGCCCUUGAUCGCGUCGAUCUCAAGCUUCUCGAAGCUUCCCGACCAAUAGAUGGGAUCUCGCGCCAGCCUGACCAAGCCACGUCAACGGAUUUUUACAACUCCCACCGGCCAACUCGUGUCGUCACACACGAACAGCUGGGAACAUCUCUGACGAUAACCUCGACCGCCUCAGGACAGUCCGUCAAACUCGAGGCUGGUCCACAUCAAGGCUCUCCUUACGGGCUGAACAAUUCGGCCGUUCACUACUCACGGCACAUCUAAUCCCUCUUCAACGGGGCUGGUUGGUCGCCAAAGCGGAGCAAUCGACCAGCUCGUCACUACGUCAACAUGGUGACGAUCCGAGAACUACGGGACGGCCAGGCUUCCAGCACAAACUCUAGCACUAGCUCCGUUCCUACCGAAGUCAUAAAUUCCAAGGACGAAGACUACGACCUGGAUUUACCACCGUAUCCUCCGGGUUUCUCUUGCUUCCCGGUCUUUCCACCUCGGCGUGGAGACCUCGUUUUCAAUGUCAGCGCCAACGAGCCGGUCGUUGACGGAGAAACAGACGAGCAGAGGCAGCUCCGUGAGCAGCGCAAUGCUGACCGUGCCCGACGACGCGCGGACGAGGAGCGCCAACUCCUGCCACAUAACCUCACCGACGCUUUCGACAUGGUCGGGGAUCAGCCAGUCUACAAAACUCCAAGCGCCAACGUGGCUGUCGCCAUGGCCAACUUAGAUCGACUCCCUGAUACUCCCGAAUGCCAGGGCGUCCGAUCCAGCGUUCGAGCACACCUGAUCGCCACGAUGGGACAGACAGCCACUCUGCUCAAAAGAGUCCAAGCUAUCUCCUAUACAGAGGUCUCCUCCGACCAGACUCAUCGCAGCCGGACCUCACCACAACCCAGCAGGCACCACCGCAGCCGUUCUCCCAACAAUCAUCGAAAAGAUUCACGGCGUGACGAUGGCGGCCAUCGCGAGCAGAAUCGCGGGCGUGGUCAGGAAGUAAACCAGCACAGGGAUCUUCGAUACAACAUCCCUCCCAAAGACGCCUGGGACCGCAUCAACAGGCGCGCCACGGAGAGAGCAGUCCACGAAAACCUACGUCGUAUUGAGUACGAUGCAACUCACGGCCCCCCGGGCCUGAGACAGUUCUUCUCACACCCCCGCCAGGUCGUGUGGCCCAGAAACUUCAAACUUGAGAAACUCAAAAAAUACGACGGUAAGGAAAACCCAGAAAACUGGAUCACUCUAUACGAGAUCGCCGUCCGGUCAGCAGCAGGAGAUGAGCACGUCAUGGCCAACUACUUCCCAGUCGUCCUCGACCAGGCCGGUCACCAGUGGCUCCUAGGUCUGCCCGAGGACUCUUUCGACUCCUGGGAAGAGUUACGACAAGCAUUCAUCGACAAUUUCAUCGCUACAUGCGAACAGCCGGGGAACAAAUACGACCUCGAAAGAAUAUGGAACAAGAAGAACGAGCCUCUGCACGAUUACAUCCGACGAUUCUCGGAUAUGCGCCUUAAGAUCCUAAAAAUUUCCCAUGACGAGGCCAUAUAUGCUUUCAUCAAGGGGCUGCGCUUCCACGAAGCACUGAGGAACAAGCUACUGCGCAAAAGGCCAACAACGAUGGCCGAGCUUCUUGCCACGGCCAAAAACUACGCCGACGCCGACGACGCAGAAAAACUCAUCCGGGACGAUGCGAGAGGUCCCGACCAGCCCCCUCGACGAGAUGACAGUCGAGGUCGUUUCGACAACAGGAACCAUCGUCGCCCCGACAAUCGGACCACAGAGAAGGCUGGGACAGGCGGCGUGACAACCGCGAUGACUUCAGAGGCAAGCGCCCUCGUGAUCACGACCACGAGGUGAAUAUGGUCAAGCGUCCCAAUGGGCGGCGAGACUACCAGGAAGACUACAACAAGACGUUGAAGGGACCAUGCCAGCUGCAUCCAAAGUCCAACCACACGAUGGAAGAAUGUCGCGUCCUAAAAAGCAUCUACACACGGCGGGCUGCUCAAGACGACACAGCCAAGAAAAAUGGGAAACAGGACGGGCGCGAUCAUGAAGAUGAGGACGAGGACCAGGAUAGGGACCCACGACACCAGUAUGUCAGUCCCACCGACGUGGUCCACUCCAUCUUUAGGGGCAAGGUCUCCACCGAGUCUAAGCGAGAAAGGAAGCUCUUAAAAAGAGCCUGCCUCAAUAUAGACACCACGGAUGGACUAAUCGCUGACCCGAAAUUCCCUCCGUGGUCGCAUAGGGAAAUCUCCUUCAGCAGGAAGGACCAGUGGGCCACCAUCCCAGAACCAGGACGUUUCCCUCUAAUACUGGAUCCUUGCAUCAACACCAUCAGAUUCGAGCGCGUGCUCGUCGACGGGGGAAGCUCCAUUGAUAUCCUUUUUCGCAACAGCUUGCCUGCUCUCAAGUUAACCCCGGCACAGCUAAAGUCCUACGAUGCUCAAUUCUGGGGAGUCUUGCCAGGUCAAAGUUUAGUGCCCCUUGGACAGAUAACACUGCCUGUCCAAUUCGACACGUCCGACCACUUUCGAACAGAUUUCGUCAACUUCGUGGUCGCCGACUUCGACGGAACCUAUCACGCCAUACUGGGCUGACCAUCGCUGACAAAGUUCAUGGCAGUCCCACAUUACUCAUAUCUGGUCCUCAAAAUGCCUACAGAGAAGGGCGUCCUAAUUGUCAGAGGCAAUGUCUACACCGCAUAUACUUGCGAGGAGGAGAGCUUCAAGAUCACUGAAGCAAUUGAUCUUUCAAUUCUCAUGGCAGAAACAGCAACCCAAACCGCACAACUCCAUCCCGACCAGCUCCGACUACCCGAGCAGGAGACCCCCAGGAAGAAUUCAAAAUCCAAGGAGUACAAGGAAGUACAGCUGGUCGAAGGCAGCCCCGAGAAGACGGCCCUCAUCGGGGCCAACCUGGACCCUAAAUAGGAAGACGCGCUCGUCACGUUUCUAAGGGACAACGUGAACGUUUUCGCAUGGAAACCCGCAGACAUGCCCGGCGUCCCACGGAACCUGAUCGAGCACUCCUUAAAUGUCUCGAAGACCGCAAGACCCAUCAAGCAAAAGCUGCGACGGUUUUCUCGUGACAAAAAGGAGGCUAUUAGGACAGAAAUAACACGGCUUCUAGCAGCCGGAUUCAUAAAAGAAGUGUAUCAUCCCGAUUGGCUCGCCAAUCCGGUUCUUGUACGCAAAAAGAAUAAUGAAUGGAGAAUGUGCGUUAAUUACACUGAUCUCAAUAAACACUAUCCUAAAGAUCCUUUUGGUCUCCCUCGCAUUGACGAGGUAGUCGACUCAACAGCCGGAUGCGAACUCCUCUCUUUUCUAGACUGCUACUCUGGUUAUCACCAGAUCUCGCUAAAGGAAGAUGAUCAAAUCAAAACGUCUUUCAUUACUCCUUUCGGCGCAUACUGCUACACGACCAUAUCCUUUGGACUCAAAAACGCCGGAGCCACCUAUCAACGGGCCAUCCAGCAAUGCCUCCAUGACGAGAUUCGUGAUGACCUCAUCGAGGCUUAUGUAGACGACGUCGUCAUCAAAACAAGGGACGCAAGCACCCUAAUCGACAACUUAGACCGAACCUUCAAGGCACUAAACAAGUACAAGUGGAAGCUUAACCCCAAAAAGUGCAUCUUUGGGGUCCCUUCUGGUCUACUGCUCGGCAACGUCGUCAGCCGCGACGGCAUACGACCAAAUUCUUCAAAAGUAAAAGCAGUGCUCGACAUGCGACCACCUAAGAACGUCAAGGAUAUUCAGAAGCUCACCGGAUGUAUGGCCGCCCUCAGCCGCUUCAUCUCAAGACUAGGAGAAAAAGGCCUUCCCUUCUUCAAACUCUUGAAGGCGUCGGAAAAAUUCUCCUCGAUAGAGGAAGCUGACGCUGUGUUCACCCAGCUCAAGACUUUCCUCACCCUACCGCCUGUUCUCACAGUGCCUCAGCCCAAUGAAGACCUACUUCUUUACAUUGCAGCAACCGACAGGGUCGUCUCCACGGCAAUAGUGGUCGAGCGAGACGAGCCAGGCCACGUCUACAAGGUCCAGAGACCCGUUUAUUUCAUAAGCAAAGUCUUAAAUGAGUCCAAGGCCAGAUACCCACAAAUACAGAAGCUCAUAUACGCCAUUUUAAUAACGUCGAGGAAGCUAAAGCACUACUUCGACGGCCAUCGGGUCUUGGUAACCACCAGUUUCCCUCUUGGGGAUAUUCUGCGCAAUAAAGACGCCAACGACAGAAUUGUAAAAUAGGCAAUGGAGUUAUGCCCAUUCUACCUAGAUUUCCAGAGUCGCACCACAGUCAAGUCUCAGGCCCUGGUCGAUUUCAUCGUAGAGUGGACGGAUCUUAACGAGCCUCCCGUUUCCGACGUCUCCGAUCACUGGUCAAUGUUCUUCGACGGGUCCUUGAACAUCAACGGCGCCGGCGCUGGGAUACUUUUCGUGUCGCCUAACAAGGACAAAUUGCGUUACGUCCUUAGGAUCCUUUUUCCGGCAUCAAACAAUGUUGCUGAGUACGAAGCAUGCCUACAUGGCAUACAACUAUCCGUUGAGUUGGGAGUCAAACGCCUCUACGUCCACGGCGACUCCGCUUUAGUUAUCAACCAACUCAACAAGGAAUGGGACGCAACCCACGAGAAGAUGGAUCUCUACUGCAAAGAAAUCCACAAAUGGGAAUCCAACUUCUAUGGCAUAGAGUACAUCCACGUGGUCCGGGACAAGAACCAGGCAGCGGAUGCGCUGUCCAAGUUAGGGUCAUCUCGGGCCCAGAUCCCGCGAGGUGUUUUCGUCUAGGACAUCCAUGAGCCAAGUGUGGGCACAGACCUGGUCGAAAAGCAACCUAUUGAGGCAAUGCUCAUAGAUGACGCUACUCCGACAACCGGCAUCCGAGAUUGGCGCACUCCGUUCAUCAGGUAUAUAUCGGACGGGUCAGGCUUUCAGGAUAAAACGGAGAACGAGCGCCUCAUUCGACGAUCAAAGAAUUACAUACUGGUGGACGACAAACUUAUGCGAAAAAAUGCAAGUUCCGAAGUGCUGCUCAAAUGCAUAUCCCAAGAGGAUGGCAUCAAGCUCCUAGACGACAUACAGGCCGGAUCCUGCGGCAACCACGCAGCCUCCAGAACACUGGUCGGGAAGGCUUUCCGAGCAGGUUUUUACUGGCCAACCGCGGUCACCGACGCAGAAAAACUGGUCCGACAUUGCGAAGGAUGCCAGUUCUUCGCCAAAAGGACCCACGUACCUACUCAUGAGAUUCAAACUAUUCUGUCAUCCUGGCCUUUCGCCUGCUGGGGCCUCGACAUGAUCGGGCCAUUUAAACCGGCUCCCGGCAACUUCAAGUUCGUCUUCGUGUUAAUCGACAAAUUCUCGAAGUGGAUCGAAUACAUGCCACUGGUCAAAGCAACCUCCGAGAAGGCUGUGGAGUUCCUCAAUCAAAUCAUACACAGAUUCGGGAUCCCCAACAGUAUAAUCACCGACCUGGGCACUCAGUUCACUGGCACUACGUUCUGGGACUUCUGCGAUGACAGAGGCAUAGUCGUAAAAUACGUGUCAGUAGCACACCCACGAGCAAACGGUCAAGUCGAACGCGCGAACGGAAUGAUCAUCGAUGCCUUAAAGAAAAGGUUGUACACCGAGAACGACAGAGCGCCUGGUCAAUGGAUGAAAGAAUUACCGGCCGUGGUCUGGGGUCUCCGAACACAGGCCAGUCGCAAUACAGGUGUAUCAUCCUACUUUAUGGUUUAUGGCUCCGAGGCAGUACUUCCAUCAGAUAUAACCUUCAGAUCUCCAAGAGUUGAAAACUUCGACCAAUCAACGGCUGACAACGCCAGGGAGCUCGAAAUCAACUGCAUGGAGGAAAAGCGUCUAAUUUCAUGUCUUCGAACAGCAAAGUAUCUCGAAGCCAUCAGGCGGUACCACAACAGGAACGUCAAAGACCGUUCUUUCAUGGUCGGUGACCUGGUACUCAAGUGGAAAACAAGCCAGGAAGGAACGCACAAGUUAUCCACGCCUUGGGAAGGACCCUUUGUGGUCGCCGAAGUUACACGCCCUACAUCCUACAGACUGGCGUAUCAAGAUGGAACACGCGUGCCUAAUUCUUGGCACAUAGACAAACUGUGCCAUUUUUAUCCAUAAGUUCCAGUACCUUUUGCUUGUAAGUUUCUUAUAAUUAGCAAUAAUAAAAGUUUUUCUUUUUUGCUAUGUAUACACGCAGAGCUUCCGACGAGUACAACAGUCUUCCUCUGCGCCAAAGAUUCUUAACGACUAUCAAUCAAACACAGUGAUACGUCACUCAGAUAACAUUACAGCGCUCAAAUUCAUGGUCAUGACAAAAUUCAAACUUUAUUACAAACUUUACAUACAGAGUUUACAAUAAACACUCCAUCGGGUGGCUACUAGUCUACUCCUACAGACUAUCCUACAGGCCUACUGCUCGGGCUGAUCACCCGCUUGGCCUUGCUGCCCAGACGAAGGGGUCGGGGCCACCGGCGCCUGGCUGGUCGAGACCGCAGGCGUCGACCGCCCAUCUCCAGCAAUAGACGCCCCCGACAACUCCCUGGCCAAUCUGUCAGACCCCGACUGGUCGGGGGGAGUGGCCGUCCCGCACAGGUUAAUGUCGCCGAUCACCGUCGAUGACAAGUCUAGCAGGCCAGCUCGAAGGUCGUCUGCCUCCUGCGGGCCAACUUCCUUGGGGUACCCCCUCUCCCGCCUGGACAGGUCGACCAGGGGAUAGUGGGCGCGCACCAUGCUAAGGACAUGCGCGCCGGCGAACUCCCCGGCGUCCUUGACGAACUGCUGGAGCCAGUCCCACGUCCGUUGCGCUUUCUCGACUGGCGUCAGUUUCGGUGUGCGGGGCUGGUCUUCAGGAAGCUCGGGGCUGAUCAAGUCCAGAACUGGGGCUACUCCUUUCCAAAGCCUAAUGCAGUUAGUCUUCCAGGAGUCCUGAUCCUUGACCAGCUCGUCUAAGUGCUUCUUGGUAUUCACCUUGAGCACUACAAACCAAGCAGGAGGUCAGUUCAAGAACAAGGAAAGAAACGUUGAUCAACCAAAUAAAAAAGGGGUGCCACGCUUAUUACCAGACAGCUCCCGAUUCCUGUGGCUUAGCUCCUCGCGUGCUCGGCGCCCGGCCUCCAGCGCCCCGGCAAGCUAUUGGCCGAGCUGCUCUUUAUCUUGUCGGAGGCGCGCAACCUCUUCCUCCAAUUCUACAAGAACAAUCCCCUGGUCAACAAAACUAACCACGCGGCUAUAUACAACUGCUCGGAGUGCGCGACUGACUUGUCCUCUGCCGAUACUGGUCGGCUAAACGCCGAGUAAGCUCGAGACGGCGCUCUUCCUGAGCACUCAUCUCGGCCACCUUCUCCCCAACUUCUGACCGAAGCCGGUCCACCUCCGCGGACAGGGCCUUGUUCUCGGCCGCAAUCCCCUCGAUUUGGUCGAAGCACCUCUUCCGAUACUUCGCCCUUUUCAUCACGCCCUGCAAGAAGAACAUAUGUCGAACCCAGGAACACAGCAUAUAAGUGUCGAGCAGCACAAAGGACCACUUACCUUAACCUCAUCCACGAGACGCUUGGCCGCGCGCUCCACCCUUGCGGCCUCUUCCGUCUCCGCGAGCUCCUCGUGUCCAAUGAAGUGGUCCCCGUGUUGGCGCCACACGUAGACGUGCUGGCGGCCGUCACGGGGACGAUUCUGGAUCUCCUCCACGUCAUCGUCAGAGGCCGCCCGGGGCUCCUCGUUCGCCGCACUGCCGCCGGCCGCGGUCGCAGGCAUCACUGGCCCAUGGUCCAGGCCAGGGGAGCCUACGGGUGAAGAGGCCUCUGCUCGGGGCGGUGUUGGGACCCCCCUUUCUCCGGCUGGAGGAGUCGGGACUCUGUCUUCCUCCCCCACAACAUUACUCGGGGGAGGGGUUCUCGCUGCCUCUUCAUCCCUCGUCGGGGUGCUCGCCGCGGCACUCGCCGGGGCCGGUUGUUCCUCGGCACUCGUAGCAGCGGUUGUCACCGCAGGCUGCUCCGUGGCUUGCGGCGCGGCGUCUCCAACGGCGGCUACAGGCUCAGUUGUCCUCUGUUCAGCGACCUGGUCGGGGUUGACAUCUGACGCUAUGCUAGACAACGAAACAACAUUUAAACAAUGUCAGAAAUAGCAACAAAAAGCAGAACGUCGCAGUACGAAAGUAAGAUUAAGCACUUACAGGUCAGAUCGCCUGUGUGUUGCGGUGAACCUCCUCCUGGUCCUACCGGAUGGUGCCUGCGCCCCCGUCUCUACGACGCGCGGUGCAGGAGGGUCGCUGGUCACCCGAUCAGUAGUGGCGGGCGCUAUGUCUGGACGAUUGCGCGGCCUCCGGACCAGGGAAGGCGCGGCCUCCUCCUCCUCCUCGUCGUCGUCGGUGAUCCGGACGAGUCGACGGCACUUUGGCGCCUGACUGCUCUCCGCCGGCAGCGCUUCCGCAGGGGAGGGGUCUGCUGCUAGCGGCCUUUUCCCCACCACUCUGUCUUCGGUGGUCGGGGCGGGAUGGUUCUACUCCUCCUCACUGCUGGUGUACCGAGCACACCGAGCAGCGUCCUCUUCCGACGGGUCUACCCCCCCGGGGUUCUCCAUGCCGGGCGCCAGUGAUACGAAUACCGCGCACCGGUCAACGUCUCCAAUCUACAGCAAAAAUAAAAGACAAAUCAACAACGAUGGCGAACUAGUACUCGAAAAGCAAAAUCAGUUCGCAACAUUACCUUGGGAGCUGGUCGCCCCAGCUUGAAGGCCUGCGCCCGAUCACUACUGCGAACGAAGCUGCCGUCCGCAAAGUUGAACAGCUGGUUUAGCAGCUGUUGCACUUCCGCCUUCUCCAGGACCUCAGGGCUCAUCCUGGUCGGGUCCUGGCUUCCAGCAUACUCGUAUGCCGAGUGGACCCUCUUCUGGUAGGGCAUCACUCGACGACAGAUGAAGUUGCCGACCACCCCUAGUCCGUCUAAACGCGACCAGUCGAUCAGCUUCAUCAGGUCUUCUACCUGGCCGGUGAACUCUGGGCGGUCUGUCCAACUGACCCUCUUCUCGGGAAUGUACCCCACGUCGCAGAACGUGGAGCUGCCCGGCUCCUCCCUGACGUAGAACCACUUCUUGUACCAUUCGGUGAGAGAAGUGUUCCACGGGCAGCUGAGAUACCGAUUCUUCAUCCCGUCGCGAAGAUUGAGGUAUACUCCACCUGCAAUCUUGGAGCCUCCAACCGCUCCCUUCUUCCUCAAACAGAAAAGGUAGCGGAAAAGAUCGAAGUGCGGCUCUAUCCCAACAUAGGCCUCGCACAGAUGGAUAAAAGUGGAAAUAAGAAGAAUCGAGUUCGGGUGCAGAUUGCAGAUCCCGAUCUCAUAGUAAAGAAGAAGCCCCUGAAGAAAAGGAUGGACGGGAACCCCAAAACCCCUCUUGAAAAAAUCUUCGAAAACCACUAUCUCACCGGCACGGGGGUCGGGGUAGCUCUCCCCAUCUGGUGCCCUCCAGCCGCCGAGCUCUUGGCUGUGCAGUAGCCCCAUGCCGACGAGGUCGUUGAGGGACCUCACGCUGCUCCGGGACUUUUUCCACUCCUUGGCCAUCAGUUCGGCCCUCUUCUUGGAGUCGCUCUUCGCCAUUGACGCUGUGGAAAUGGAUGCGAGCUGGGCGGACUGAUGGAGGUUGCGGAAGGCAAGAGUGGAAAGCUUGAAGGCAAUGGCAGGGUAAGCAAUACGGAGGGCGAGGUCAAGCUUUUAUAACCAACAACUCCAUCCCUCCCACUUCCCGCAUUCUUGGGAAAUGGGAGGACCCAACAGUGGAUGCGGCGUUUCGGUUUUCAAUAAUUACCGGCAGUUAAUACGGCGGCCUUUUUUGCUUAAUUAAUGUUUUCCUUAUCUUGAACCGCGCAAAGAGCGGCUGUACAGUUACCGGGCGCAACUUUUCAUGCAGCCAUCUGACAGUGCGCCAGGAGGUCUCGUCACAUCACCCAUUUCCGUGAUAAGAUUCCUUUUUCAAAAUAACAGACACAAAUUGGUGGAUGACCAACGCCCCUAGGGACUGCACCGACCACCGAGCACCGUACGCUCGAGGACUGGUCGACCAGUCUGCCAGUUUGGAGAUCUGGGGACUGCACCGACCACCGAGUACCGUAUGCUCGGGGACUGGUCGACCAGUCUGCCAGUUUGGAGAUCUAGGGACUGCACCGACCACCGAGUACCAUAUGCUCGGGGACUGGUCGACCAGUCUGCCAGUUUGGAGAUCUGGGGACUGCACCGACCACCGAGUACCGUAUGCUCGGGGACUGGUCGACCAGUCUGCCAGUUUGGAGAUCUGGGGACUGCACUGACCAGCUAGCACCGUAUGCUCGGAGACUGGUCGACCAGUCUGCCAGUUUAGAAAUCUAGGUAUGCAUCAAUUACCAAGCACUACACGCUCGGGGACUGGAUAAUUUUAAUUUUUUAGACCUUGCUACAAGGCUCAUACUUCACCUUCCAGCAAGCUCGGGGACUACAUCGGUACGAUGCAUCUGGCGAUGCAUCUCAGUUUCAGAAUUUCUUUGAGGAUUUUUCUUUUGACCCUGGCACCACGUGCCUACGUCACCUACUACUAGGCUCGGGGACUAAGUGGGCACACUUCACCUUGCGGUGAAUACGCUUGCUUUUUGAAAGGCUAUACUUUUCAGAAAAGUAAAGUGGACACACUUCACCUGGAAAGAAAUCUUUUUUAAUUUAGAGCACCAUGCAUUCUUUGAACAACCUGCUUCUUCGAUGUCAAUGUUGAUCAACUGUCUUUUGAGUUGGUCAAAAUACCGUUGCAACUGUUUGGGCGACUUUCCUACUUAUUGAAGACGUCAAGCCUCACUGAUCGAAGAAGCUCAAGACGGCGUGUUACAUCACAAUACAUGGUGCUCGGGGACUAGCUGUGGGGGUAUAAACCCCUAUACCCUUACGGCUAGACUUGGGCCAGGAGGCUUGGUCCAUUACGAGAUGAGUUCGAGGCUUGAUCCGACUGCUUGGAGUUUCGCGUAAGGAAACAAGACGUGGAGAUCAAGCAGGAUUCUAGUCGGUUAGAAUAGGAAUUGAUAUUGAGCUAUCUAUGGCAAUUGUAACCGACUAGGAUUAGUUUCCAGAUCUGUAACCCUGCCCUUCGGACUAUAUAAGGAGGGGCAAGGGACCCCCUUAAGACAUAUUAUUCUCAAUCCAAUACAAUCAGACGCAGGACGUAGGUAUUACGCCCACACGACAGCCGAACUUGGAUAAAAAGCUUGUCCGUGUCUUGCGUCACCAUUGAGUUCGUAGUUUGCGCACCGUCUACCGAUAAACUACUACCGUCGGUAUACCUCAAGGUAGACUGCCGACUAGCUUUCGUCGACACUCAUCAAUUCUCUCAAGUCAACCAAAGUCAACAGAGAGUCAACCAUGGUCAACUUGAAGUUAACAUCGUAAGAAUACUCUCCAAAAGAUGCUAACCAACAACCCUAUCUCUAGGACAUGAAGAUUGGCCUCAAUACCAAAAAAAAACUCUCUUUAUCUAAAUCAUUUGGUAAAAAUAAGUGAUUUUACAGAGUGUCCAAUAAGAUUGACGGACUAUCCGACAAAUCUCUUAUUCAGCUGGUUGAGUGGAGAAUGAGCUGCCCUCAACUCAUCCAAGUGACCCCAUGUGUCAGCGUGCACCGGCAUAUGUAACAUCAAAAUACUUUUAUUGAAUCACUAGGAAAUAUGUCGUAGAUAUAAAUAUAUUUUUCUAUAAACUUGAUUAAAGUUAUAGAAUAUUGAUUUGGGAUAAAACAAAAAUGAUCUAUAUUUUAGAACGGAGAGAAUGGAUAUAGCUUGAAGUGGUGGGUUACAAUCUGUGCAUGCAAAGAAGAGCACAUGCGGUGCACCUACCCACAAAACUUUCAAAGAAAAAUUUGAGUAGUGGUGCUUGCAAGCAAGGGAACGAUUGAGAAGCAGAGAAUAUGAACUGUACACUGCUGCAACCCAAUCAACAGCAAUAUCUGAUAAAAAUAUGAUAUAGAUCCAAAGCGGCCGAAAGGCUAAACAUCGAGGGCCAUUCCAUCUCCAUUGCCAAAACAAUUCCUUCCUUCCUUUCGCUCUUAGGAAUCCAAUCAACUCGAUCAAUCAAGCUCAAAGUUCUAUCAUCAUCACACAAGCUCCGCAUUGCUUUUUAUUUCAUUUUCUAUGGUCUAUAGAGGUAGCGUCGUAGCUAGGUACUUAGGAAGAGAACGAGAAGAGAUUAGUGAUGCCUUACUUUGACAAAUGAGUAGAUAGAUAGACAAGCUACAAGUGAGCAUCGAACAAGACUACAAGAGUAUACAAUACCUUGGGCGAUGGAGGUUUCAACUUCCAAAUUAAGCAUGUGAAACACGAUCCCAACUGUAGAAAUUGCGACUUGUUUCAUGACAAAUGGGUAUCUACUAGCUAGGAGAAAGCUACAUUUUGAUUCACUCGAGUGCUUUAAAAUUUCAGUCUAAUUUGAAACGGAAUCUAAUUAUAGCUAGGCUCCUAAGUCUAGGUUCAUUUUUUUAAUAAAGGAUAGAUAUAGUCUAUCUGGCUUCAUUCACCCAAGCCGGAUGAACUCAAGCGAAAUUAUUAUAAGAUCUUACAAAGUGUUACAUCGAAAGCCAAAGACUAACACGACCAGGGUCGUAAGUAAACAAAGAAAUACCUAGUAACUGCAAAAAGUCCAACACACGAAGAUCAAUGUAAAGCAAUCCUAAAAACAGACGACCACACAAAGGAUGAAAACAUCCGGAGACAUGAAGUUUCAAGAGCCCGACAAGCGUCGACUAACUGUUGUUGACGGUCUUCAAGAUGCUGUAACAUUGUCGGUCCAGUAUGUCUCUCUGAAUAGCACCUACAAAAAAUAUUUAGGUCUACAUUUGUCAAAAAAAAUUAUUUCUUGAUAUCCACAGUGACCAACAUAAUGUAGCGGUGGCAGUCAAUAAGUUUAUAUUGUGAUUAGUUCCCCCUCCUUUUGACCAAUGAAUAAAAAGAUCAUUAGCAUCCGUGGGUUGGGCAAUGCCCAGAACCAUGUGUACUGCUGUCUACAGAAACUUAGCAUAGGCACAAUUAAUAAACAAGUGUUGGAUUGAUUGGAGUACUACAGAAAGAACAACCUGUAUCUGUAUGUCCCCUCUAAUUUCUUUUUGCUAAGCUGUCCUUUGUUAAAAUAACCCCUUUUUUAAGUACCACAUAAAGAUUUUUAUUUUCAUGGGUAACUUGGCGCGCUAAAUUUCCUGUGAGACAUGCACACCAUUAUUGACUAAAUACGCAUACAUUGAUCGAACUGUAAAUAACCCAUUCGAGUUUAGAGACCAAACAAAGACGUCAUUUUCUUCUUGUAACUGCAAAGUUGCUACUGUUCCAAUCCCUCAAAAGUUAUUUCCCACUAAUGUCCUUCGAAAAGAAACAUUAAGUGGAAUAGACGACAACACAUUUGACAUAGUGUCGUGUUUUCUAUGCACUAUGUUGAACAACCUUAGAAUUUUAGUUCGGAGAGAAUAACUCUCAAUCCAAAUAUCUUCCCACAUAACCUCGUUUGUUUUCUCUAGGUUGAUGGCGUCGGUUGUGUAAAUGCAUGCAUGUGUUUCACAUUCUUGAAAAAAAAGAAAGCUACAGCUGAUCUAUCCAAAUUAACUUGACGGUGAAGACACAGAAGAGUAUCGCCACCGCCACCCCCUUUUUCUCUCACCGUCGCCCCGUCUAGGCCCCCUUCUUCCAUCCGGGUUUAUUUGGAUUAAUAGGAUUAGCUGUUGGAUGAAGCUAAAAAGUACUUCAAAUUAUUUAGUGUUAGGGAGUAAUUGGCAACAACCUAGUUAAAAAAUUUCUUAAAAAAAUUAGCCUAUCUGUUAGCUCCCUGUUAUAGAUGGACUAAGACUUAAAAUUACCGCCUCCAUCCUGAAUUAUAGUGUAUUUUCAUUUGUUCUAAGUCAACCCACCUUAUGGUUGACUAAAAUUAUAGAAAAAAAUUAACCUCUACCACAUAAAAAAGGUAAGUUAUAAAAAUACAUUCCAUCAUGUUCUUAAUGGAGCUUAUACGAUGUCAAAAAUAUUAUUAUUUUUAAAAGACGGUCAAACUUAAGAUGAGUUAACUUAGAGCAAAUAAAAAUACAUUAUAUUAUUGUAGGAAGAAAAUUAAUAUGUCUUUCUAUAAUUUUAGUCAAGCAUGAGAUGGGUUAACUUAGAACAUAUGAAAAUAUGUUGUAUUUUAGAACGGAUGGAAUAACAGUUAACCUUCUAUAUCCAAUUAGACCCAUAGAGUUAGUUGUAUUCAAGGAAGAAAAGCCCCCCCCCCCCCCCCCCCCGACUUCAUCAAGAGAUUGACUCUCCAUGAUAAAUAUGAACCCGAAUUGUAAAGUGGUACUAGUGCAACCCGCGCGCCAUCGCGCGGCGGUGUUAGUAAAGCACACUUGAGUUUAUAUGCAUGUCUCGUAUGUUACAUAUGUUGCUGAUGUGUAUAGUAAGUCUAUGAUGAUGGGAGGUAUACGUAGAGUUAGUAGCUGGCAAAGGGUGUGCAUAAACACAUGUUAACCUAUGGGUUGUAACAUAACGGAUAAUAGUAUAGAUAGUAUAUAUGGCACAAAUUUAUGGACUGGUACAUGGUAGAGAGCAUUGCAUAAAUAUAUAUUACAUAUGUUCUAGUAUUUUUUUGUGAAAAUGCUGCACAUAGAUAAUUCAUGUGAGCAAACAGGUUACUCUGCAACAAAUAUUUCUAGAUAACAACCGAAGGGAAAUCAAGCUGUCAAAGAUGCCAAUCACUGCAUACCAAAUUCAUCGAUGGGGGCAUCAAAGUUAUAGGUGGCUGCAAUGAAGGGACUACCGGCUUGGCGCACGAAGGUUCUCCCUACAUGGAACUGCAUCAGAUUCAGAACAUGCAAUGUGGUCACAACAACAACAAAAAGUAGCAGACUGCAACGGGAAUAAUGGUCUGGCCCACAUGGGUUACUUAGUUUUCUUACCAUGUCCUUGACAACCUUAAGGAGUACACGGGGCCUAGAUUAAAAAUGGUCCAAACAUCUAUAUAAAAGGAGGAUAUGUCAUCUUAAUAACAUAUAGGUGGUUGUUGUUUCUAUACGAACCACAUACAAUUUUAGUAUUCUAGAAACCAGAGUGCAACCAGAUGAAUGUUGACAUGGAGGCACAUGUAUUGUUUCCUGAACAAUACAAGCACAAAGAACAUAAGAUAAAUAUAUAUUUUUGGCCUCAAACCAGGAAAUGGACAAACAUCUACAUGACUAAAAUAGACAACACACUAACAAUCAACAUUAGGUACCACGUAGCUUAAAACUGCAUGUUAUAUAAGCUGUUUGUGUGAUAAACCUACAGAGAAGCAAAUAAUACUUUUGAAAUAAAUGCAUCAAUUCACAAGAUGAAUCAAUGAUACAAUCUUAACUAAUUGCAAGAUGAGAAGUCACUACCGUGAAAACUAUGUAUGAAAGGAAAGUGCUAUAAUAUUCUUAAAUUAUGGAUGACAAAAGAGUAGUCAUCAAACUGUGUAACUGUUGUUGCUAGGUAAGCAGACAGGCAAAUUAAACCUGCAAAUAUAUGAACAUGCAUGACCCACACAUGGUUGUACAUGUUCCUUCAACUUGGAGCCAAUUAUAGACACUAUGGUAUGGAAAAAAUAACAUAACUUAAACUCUGAAAGACUGUAGGCGUAGGCAUACACUCUAUUAUGUAUGAGUGACCACAAGGCUGCCUGCCAGAAAUGUGUAAGGUGUGAAGAAGCAUCGUAAAUAGAUCACAGUAAUGUUGACAUCAAUUACCAAUUGUGCAUGAAGAAAAUUAUAACAAUGAAAGCCAAACUGAUGUCUAUGGCAAGCGAAUAGCCAUAGUGUCAUUGAGCAAUGGGCAUGAAAUUUUCAUCAUAGGCUAAACAAAGGGAAAAUAAUAGAUGGUAAACACUGACAACAUCAGAUCAUAACCAAUGAGAAAUGCAUCAUAUGAUUUGGCAAACGCCAAGAACAGCCUUUCGAAACCAAAGAGGCUUUCAACAUAAUUUUAGUGAUCCAAAACACACCGACACCAUCAACAUACAAUGGGCAUGUGUUUUAGAUAGCAAACAGUGGGCAUGUUUUUAGAGGGAAAAACCUAAUAAAAAACAAUUAGAGCUUUUUGAAGGCCUUAGUAAAUUGCCAACCAUCAUUUGUUUAUGAACUUGGAGCUUAAAGAUAUGUUCAGAAAUGGUUACUUUUAGAAAUUUCAUAAUAUAAGUAACAGGUCAUGCCUAGUACUCACAAGCGAAUGAACAUCAUAUCGUAUCAGUGAGCAAUGGAUAUGGACUUUGCAUCAUAUGCUAAAUAAGAGGGGGGUGAAAAUGGCAAAUGCUGACAACAUCAGAUAAAAAUAAAUGAGCAAUGUAUCACAUGAAUCCACAAAUGGCUACAAACAACCAUUUAUAAGCAAAGAGGCUUCUAGCAUAAUUUCAGCGAUCCACAGCACACCAACACCACAUAUAAUGGGCAUGGGUUUCAAAUAGUAAACAGUGGCAUGGUUUUAGAGAAAAACAUUUUUGUCAUAAAACAUGAAUUAGACUCACCGGGGAGGCACUGUGCCGCACACACGAGGGGAGCCUGUAAUACCCGAUUUUAAGGACAAAACCAGAUAUACACCAUAUGUGAGUUUUAAAAGCCAAAUCUCACAUAUAGCUACAAAAUAAGGGGUAAUAUCAAAAGACAAUGCAUAAAUUAUAUAACGAACGUAGUAUAAAAGAUAUAACCUUUGAUAGCAAACAGCGGAUAGACAACAUCAAACUUCGGGUAUUAACUUCUCUCCACAGGAUCCAACUGACUGGUUGAGCACAAGCCUAACAUCUCCUGAAGUGUGGGGGAAAUUGCAAGAGUGAGCACAUAUCGUACUCAACAAGUAUAACCAGGGGUUCAUGAGGCUCAAAUGGCUGACACUGGUUUAACUGCAUUUAGCUUUUAAUAGUAGAUAACAUAUUUAAUCAUUGGAUAGCAAUAUCAAGGUAGCAUACUAAAUCCCAUAACCACAUGAUCAAUGUGUACAAGAAUUAAGAAUAACACAUAUAAACAACAUAAUAAACCAUCAUUUAUCAUCAUUAGUCAUGUUCAUCAGAGUCCGCCUAUUCCGUCAGUUUUCCGGGCCGCCCGUAUCCGUGGGCACGGCUAGUAUACCAGAUUUAACACUCUGCAGAGGUUGUACAUCUUUACCCAUGAGUCGUGAUUUACCCUUUCGCCCGAGGUCAUGAGUCUCUUAACCCCCUUCCUAGGGAGGUCGGCAGGGAUCACUAUGAAGCCUUUCAAAGAUUUCGUCUAACAAGUUAGGGCCAUUAGAUUCACUCGGCAGGCAGAUAUAGAGCCCCCCUUCCAUGGCACAUAACUCGCAGCCUAUACACAUGGACAGAGGCCACACUAUACCCAACGUGUCUAGCCAUUCUUACGCCAUUUAAGGUAACCGCUAACAAGCUAGAAAAAGGUCCUCAUACUGAGCUAAAACCAGAGCCAUGUAGCCCUCAUGGUUGUACGAGUUGUCCCAACUUUUGCCAAGGGAUAAGUCCUUACGGAGGGUCAAGAUCAAUCUAGCAAAAGCUAGAGUUCUUUCCACCCUUUAUGUUCAAGUUGCUGAAAAGCUUAUUUUAUUGUUUAUUGCAUAUUCAAUAUUCAUGUUACAAGAUCAUGGAUUAAUAAUCAAGCACUAGCAAGAACUACCCAAAUGCAUAUCCAAAUAGGUAACAAGGAAUUCAGGAUAACAAUCAUCUAUGAUUUUGCUAAGGUUAUCAAGGUGAAAGCAUGCAUAUGAUAUAUAACGUAUUAAUUGUGUAUAGGUAACAAGGAUGAUCCCAAGUUAUACUUGCCUUGCUCAAAGCUCUCCUGAGCCUGCUGGUCUUUAAAAGCUUGGUCUUGAUCAACAACGCACGGCUCACCGUCUAUUCCCAAACAUCAAUCAACAGCACGCAAACAAUCGGAGACAAACAUACACGAAGCAAACAAGCUAUAAUUAGAACAAUACACCAAACAGUAGUAAAACAAAUAUAAAAGUUUAUCAAAAUAUUCUAUGCAGCGCUACGAUCACACAAACGUAAAGUUCACGAAAAUCGGAAUUAAAACGUGAAAGAUAUGAAUUUUCUAAGAUUUCCUAUAGAUAAUUAAUUAAUUAAAUAGGACCACGAAAUUAAAAAGUUUCAAACUGAGUAAACAAUUUUACUAACAUGUAGAGCUCAUUAAUAUGAAUUCAACGCAAUUUGAAUGGACAAAAACGGAAUUAAGAUGAAUAUUUUAUGAGCUAGAUAAAAUCAGUGGCAGUUUUGUAAAUACAAGAAAACGUAUUCUCGGAGUCAAUCUGGUUGUUUUCCGUUUUCUAAAAGAGAAAGCGUAUUUUUGAAAUCCGCUUUGGACUGCGGGUUUAUUCUUAAAAAGAGCAGGGGUUCUUUAGCAAGAGUUACACCGAACCGUUACCUUCUAAUCUCGUUCGCUGGUGCUUGAUCGGACGGUCCGCAGCGUCCCAAGGAGGUCACGGCAGGGGUCGGCCGCCGGGUGGAGCUCCAGCGCGGCGGCGCCAUUGGAGGCUCGCCGGAGUUCUCGGUUUGAGCGAUUCCGGCCACUAGAACGCAAAAAGAAUACACCGGGCGGAGGAGAAUCUCGUGCCGAACUCAUCUAGGGCCUAAUCUGGAGCCGAGGGAGAGCGAAGAGGGCUUGCCGCGGUCGAGAACAAGGUCGGCCUCGCCGAGAUCCAACUCAAGAGAACACGGCGACCUAGGGCUUGGUUUCGCAACAUGGAUGCAAAGGGGUGUUGCGGGGUGGAUUUGGGAGUUUUAUAGGGCUCGGUUCACCGUGGAUGGCAAGGAAUCCCGUGCGUAUCGGGUUUUGACACCCGGUCGAGAGUCCAGCACGACUCCGACUUGGGGUUGAAGAAGGCUGGCUGUCGGGUGGGGUCCACUGGUUAGAGAAAGAGAGGAGAGGGCGCGGGGUAGGCCAGGAGCUGGGCCGGUUGCGCGUACUGGGCCAAAGAGGGGAGCGGGCCGCGGGGGAGGGGAAGCAGGCCAGAGGGAAAAGGGAAGCGGGCCUCGGCCAGACCCAGGGAGCUGUCUCCUUUUUUUUCUUUUUAUUUUCUUUUGUUUCAAGGCCAUUUCAAAAACAAGUUUGAAAAAUCAUUUUAAAAUCAGUUUAACUUACCUUUAAUCAAAUCCACACAAUACAAUGAAAAUAAUGCUCCAAUAUGAAUGCACAACAAGUUGCUACACCCUAUGAUAAAUUUUAAUUAAAUGAAAAAUAUUAUUUUCCUAUGUUUCAUAAGCUCAAAAAUUCAUAAUUAAAUCAUUUUCACCUAUUUCAAAAAGGAGUCAAUUUUAGGGUGUUACAAUUCUACCCCCCUUAAAAUGAAUCUCGUCCUCGAGAUUCGAAAGAGACACGGAUUCCAACAGAGAAACAGAAAAAGAUACUGAUAACUAUUUCAACUUCACAACUGGCAUUCCAAAUGCAAACACUUGUGUCUCGGGAUCACAACUUGUGAACAAAAUUUCCAUAAAACGUCUAUUAUUCGUAAUUGAUCAAGGUCCAUCUUGACUACCAACUUUUCACUCAUACAACUCAAAGACGUGAUAACUUAGCAUGGAUAUGCCUCCUCAGGUAGGAGCGGACCACCUUGAUACUCAAUUCUUUUCCCUGAUGGUGCGGUUUAAAAAAAAAUCCACUGGGUAGCACAGAUCACUCCUUUGUUUGCACAUAACCAUAAGAUAUCUCAGAAGACAGUUAUCACUUCAUGAUAGUUUAAAAUGCAUCUUCCAGUGGUACAAAAAGUACUACCCCCCUUAAGACGAGGUUGGUUGGGGGACAUUAGGGAUUAAUUCUCCUAUCCUUUUUAGACGCUACACAUCAUAGUCUUUUAAAUUCCUUGUAUCAAGUCUCUUAAUCCAAGGUUGGUUUCAAUACUAAGUUCCAUCUAUUGGUACCUUUAUCACAGUUAAGUUGUUUCACUCUGGCAUCCCAAUUAUAACUUCGUAAACUUUGGUGUCAUCUGAUCCUCACAACUCUCAAUCCAUGAGUAUCAGCCAUGACAUAAACCUCCAUUGGUAUUAGCACACUCCAAGUGGAAUGAUAUCUUGAAACAAACCAACAUACCAAGCUCUUGAUGUCCUUGUAGAUGUUCCAGUUAUUAACCACUUCUUCUCCUUGUAGUUCUUUAAUUGGGCUACCCCCCUUAAGAAAAGUCAACUAGGGGACCAAGAAAGGUAGCUUGCAUACUUUCCAGACAAGUUAACAUUGAGAACUUCUAACAUCCUAAAGAACUUAUGUGCAGUGGAGCAAACAGGUAUCCUGAAAUUUCCUCGCGAUAUGAAAAAUACCAGCGUAGUAAAACAGGUAUAACUCUUAUUCCGUUAAUCCAAUAGAGUUGCAGAUUAUAUCGUUAGAAAACUUAUGAAAUUCCCUACAACUUUCAUGUAGAAGUCCUCCUUAGGUUCUGUCUUUAAGCAUAGGUAAUAACCAAACAUAAUAUCCUUCCUGAUAAUGUCUCAGCCAAGGUGCAGUAACUUCCAGAAAUUAUAUCUAGAGCUCCUUAAAUCAUCUGCAGAUGAUCCUUAUAUUGUUUAAAAGCUUAUGAAAUCCUCUACAACUUUCGUAUACAACUCUUUCCCAGCUUCUGACUUCAAGUUGGCCGAAAAUGGGGAAUACCAAAACUGCCCAGACUUUGAUACAGAACAGAAACAUCCAAUUGCAUCUGUCAUAUCUCAGGUUCUACUUAUCCAAAUAAGUUCUAGCUUACACCGUUGGAAAGCUUAGAAAAUUGUCUACAACUCUUCUAUAGAACACUUUUCCAAAUUCUACAGUUAUAUUUGUCUAGAACAGUAGGCAACCGAACUGAUCCAGAUUCCUGACAGCACAUAUGUAUCAUCUUGUGAUUUUUGUAACUUCCAAACCAUAAUAGAUAUGAGGGUGAUCCUUGCGGUCAGAGAAAUAUCUUGAAGUCUAGUUGUUCCCAGAAAAAUUUGAUAAACUUUGCACGAUCAGAUCUUGAGAUACACCAGAAUCAUUGCAGUCUGCUUCAGAAAACAGCAAAGGAUAGAAACAGGAUAUAACCAAACCCAACUACUUAUUUCACUACUCCUUAUGCCUUAGGCCUAUAAACUAAAUGAUAUCGUGGAGAAAACCCACAAGAUCAUUGCACUCAUUACAAAGAUCCAAAUCAAUCAUAAGCAUAAUAACAAACCAAACCAAGCAUCAAAGGUUCACACUUCAAGCAUUAACUCAACUUGCGGUACUAUCGUUCUCUUCCUAUUAAGGGCAAAGAUCCUAAAACUUAUAUUUCAAGGACACAAGAAGGUGGUAAGAAAAGGUUCUAAUAGCAUACCAAAUCAAGGAGUGAAGGUGAGAGCAAGUACUCUUAAAAUAAGCAACAAGGUAGAGAAAUAGCAAGGAUAAGGAUAUAGUAUGGAUGAAAAUAUCAAGGUUUAUAGAGCAAGGAUUUUAUGACAAUUCCAAAACCUUAAGAUGACCAAUUUCUAACUAGGCUUGCGUCCUACAGUCAGCAUUGCUUUGAUACCACUUUGUCACACCCAUAUUUUAAGGACAAAACCAGAUAUACACCAUAUGUGAGUUUUAAAAGCCAAAUCUCACAUAUAGCUACAAAAUAAGGGGUAAUAUCAAAAGACAAUGCAUAAAUUAUAUAACGAACGUAGUAUAAAAGAUAUAACCUUUGAUAGCAAACAGCGGAUAGACAACAUCAAACUUCGGGUAUUAACUUCUCUCCACAGGAUCCAACUGACUGGUUGAGCACAAGCCUAACAUCUCCUGAAGUGUGGGGGAAAUUGCAAGAGUGAGCACAUAUCGUACUCAACAAGUAUAACCAGGGGUUCAUGAGGCUCAAAUGGCUGACACUGGUUUAACUGCAUUUAGCUUUUAAUAGUAGAUAACAUAUUUAAUCAUUGGAUAGCAAUAUCAAGGUAGCAUACUAAAUCCCAUAACCACAUGAUCAAUGUGUACAAGAAUUAAGAAUAACACAUAUAAACAACAUAAUAAACCAUCAUUUAUCAUCAUUAGUCAUGUUCAUCAGAGUCCGCCUAUUCCGUCAGUUUUCCGGGCCGCCCGUAUCCGUGGGCACGGCUAGUAUACCAGAUUUAACACUCUGCAGAGGUUGUACAUCUUUACCCAUGAGUCGUGAUUUACCCUUUCGCCCGAGGUCAUGAGUCUCUUAACCCCCUUCCUAGGGAGGUCGGCAGGGAUCACUAUGAAGCCUUUCAAAGAUUUCGUCUAACAAGUUAGGGCCAUUAGAUUCACUCGGCAGGCAGAUAUAGAGCCCCCCUUCCAUGGCACAUAACUCGCAGCCUAUACACAUGGACAGAGGCCACACUAUACCCAACGUGUCUAGCCAUUCUUACGCCAUUUAAGGUAACCGCUAACAAGCUAGAAAAAGGUCCUCAUACUGAGCUAAAACCAGAGCCAUGUAGCCCUCAUGGUUGUACGAGUUGUCCCAGCUUUUGCCAAGGGAUAAGUCCUUACGGAGGGUCAAGAUCAAUCUAGCAAAAGCUAGAGUUCUUUCCACCCUUUAUGUUCAAGUUGCUGAAAAGCUUAUUUUAUUGUUUAUUGCAUAUUCAAUAUUCAUGUUACAAGAUCAUGGAUUAAUAAUCAAGCACUAGCAAGAACUACCCAAAUGCAUAUCCAAAUAGGUAACAAGGAAUUCAGGAUAACAAUCAUCUAUGAUUUUGCUAAGGUUAUCAAGGUGAAAACAUGCAUAUGAUAUAUAACGUAUUAAUUGUGUAUAGGUAACAAGGAUGAUCCCAAGUUAUACUUGCCUUGCUCAAAGCUCUCCUGAGCCUGCUGGUCUUUAAAAGCUUGGUCUUGAUCAACAACGCACGGCUCACCGUCUAUUCCCAAACAUCAAUCAACAGCACGCAAACAAUCGGAGACAAACAUACACGAAGCAAACAAGCUAUAAUUAGAACAAUACACCAAACAGUAGUAAAACAAAUAUAAAAGUUUAUCAAAAUAUUCUAUGCAGCGCUACGAUCACACAAACGUAAAGUUCACGAAAAUCGAAAUUAAAACAUGAAAGAUAUGAAUUUUCUAAGAUUUCCUAUAGAUAAUUAAUUAAUUAAAUAGGACCACGAAAUUAAAAAGUUUCAAACUGAGUAAACAAUUUUACUAACAUGUAGAGCUCAUUAAUAUGAAUUCAACGCAAUUUGAAUGGACAAAAACGAAAUUAAGAUGAAUAUUUUAUGAGCUAGAUAAAAUCAGUGGCAGUUUUGUAAAUACAAGAAAACGUAUUCUCGGAGUCAAUCUGGUUGUUUUCCGUUUUCUAAAAGAGAAAGCGUAUUUUUGAAAUCCGCUUUGGACUGCGGGUUUAUUCUUAAAAAGAGCAGGGGUUCUUUAGCAAGAGUUACACCGAACCGUUACCUUCUAAUCUCGUUCGCUGGUGCUUGAUCGGACGGUCCGCAGCGUCCCAAGGAGGUCACGGCAGGGGUCGGCCGCCGGGUGGAGCUCCAGCGCGGCGGCGCCAUUGGAGGCUCGCCGGAGUUCUCGGUUUGAGCGAUUCCGGCCACUAGAACGCAAAAAGAAUACACCGGGCGGAGGAGAAUCUCGUGCCGAACUCAUCUAGGGCCUAAUCUGGAGCCGAGGGAGAGCGAAGAGGGCUUGCCGCGGUCGAGAACAAGGUCGGCCUCGCCGAGAUCCAACUCAAGAGAACACGGCGACCUAGGGCUUGGUUUCGCAACAUGGAUGCAAAGGGGUGUUGCGGGGUGGAUUUGGGAGUUUUAUAGGGCUCGGUUCACCGUGGAUGGCAAGGAAUCCCGUGCGUAUCGGGUUUUGACACCCGGUCGAGAGUCCAGCACGACUCCGACUUGGGGUUGAAGAAGGCUGGCUGUCGGGUGGGGUCCACUGGUCAGAGAAAGAGAGAAGGAGAGGGCGCGGGGUAGGCCAGGAGCUGGGCCGGUUGCGCGUACUGGGCCAAAGAGGGGAGCGGGCCGCGGGGGAGGGGAAGCAGGCCAGAGGGAAAAGGGAAGCGGGCCUCGGCCAGACCCAGGGAGCUGUCUCCUUUUUUUUUCUUUUUAUUUUCUUUUGUUUCAAGGCCAUUUCAAAAACAAGUUUGAAAAAUCAUUUUAAAAUCAGUUUAACUUACCUUUAAUCAAAUCCACACAAUACAAUGAAAAUAAUGCUCCAAUAUGAAUGCACAACAAGUUGCUACACCCUAUGAUAAAUUUUAAUUAAAUGAAAAAUAUUAUUUUCCUAUGUUUCAUAAGCUCAAAAAUUCAUAAUUAAAUCAUUUUCACCUAUUUCAAAAAGGAGUCAAUUUUAGGGUGUUACAGAGCCUCUGGCUCGGCAACGUACGAUUCAAGGACCAGCCAUAUCAGGUGGCUCAGGGGUAGGCACGCCCACAGACACCUUGGAGCUUGCACACGUCUAACGGCAGUGGCCAAUCGCGCCGCCAUGCCGCAUACUGGGGGUGCUGCCAGCACAGGCGCCCGCAGCGUGGGCACAAGCGGUGCAGGGGAGGAGAAGCGUCGAAAAGGAGAAGAAGCUGGGUAUAUAUUUGUUUGACUGGAUUUGGACGAGAAGCUAGAGAAGCCAAAGACAAGCAGAGGAGAAGCUGGCUAGAGAGGAGAAUGAGAAGCACUUCUGGACAAAAGCAGCUCCAACCAAUCUGAGGCAUUCGACACGAGAGCGGACGAGCAAGGUAUUUUGGAUGUUGCUUCUGGCGGAGUUGUCUCAAAUUUCUUGAGCUAGUGCAAAAUAAUUUACCAUUGCCCGAGGUAGAUAGCCCCUCUCUUUAUACCAUGCAGAGGAAAAGAAUCAACAUGAUUUACUCUUAUGGCGUGUAUAAUAAGAAGAUACGGUAGCAGAGAUGUGAGAUAGAAAAUAAUCGAUAAGAUACCUGCUAAACAGAGGUAGCUCCAUGCUGUUUGGACAGUUUCCCUCUGUCAGGAGCCAGAUUGAGCGAAACAUGAGCAAACGAAGGCAUUGAGAAUCCAAGAGCCUGAAGAAGAACGCAACAUUCCAACAAAUAUAUUUUCUGUGAUAACUUCUCGAGGGGUCAAGAUUAUGUAUCAUGAAAAAAACAAAAUAACAAAAGGUAAAAGGUAUUACUUUGUAAAUUAGAGCCUAUUGCAAUGUGUCUGGUAAAUGCUCUUUAGCUCUGUAACAAAACAUGGUAAACACUUACUCCAAGGGUGCCUGACAUUUAAAAGAAAAGCAGCAACCUCAUGGGGCUUCACCCGUGUAAUCUGAUAUUGAUGAAUGGAAAGCAUUUAAGAUCAUUUCGGAUGAGUGGACAACAUUUAAGAUUAUUUCCUCAUGAUGAACUAAUCAAGGCUUUUGAAGAUAGGUGGAAGAACACAGGUAUUAUCCAGGAAUCUGAAACUGUUUUUCACUGAGGUAAAAUUGCAAGCCAUUUUAUUUUCUUGUGUACCUAGGGUGUCCUAUUUGGAUGUCUUUGUCCACAAGAUCAAAGCUAUUGGGAAGAUGAAAAACAUAGUGCCUUCUAUUUUGGAAUGACAAUAAAAAGGUUUCAUUUAUAACUAUCAAUUUUCUGAAGCUGUCUGGCUAUGUGCAGGAAUAAUCCUCAUACUGUGAGAUAUAAUUAAAAAAUAAUUAUCUCAAAUAGAACCUCACCUGGUUGUCGAAUAAGCAGAUACAUGCAUGCUGAACUAAAAUGUAUCAUUGAAUUAACCUGCAGAACCUUCAGAUUUAGAAAAACUAUAAGCAGCACCAUAUAUAUGCGGGUCAUUUGAAAUUAGAAUUAUGAAAAGAGGUUAACAUACAUAGUAAGCAUAUGAUAGCACAUGGUUUUACAUGAUGGAAAAAAUGGAAGCAUUAGUUUUUAGGAGAAAGGAACAGAGGCAUUAGUUUUUAGGAGAAAAGGAACAUGUAAUUCUGUUUUGUGUCUGUUGUAUACCUACAUUGAUUUGCAGGUGCAUGGCUGCUACAUUUUCUAUAGCCUUCUUUUUAUCAAAUUACCUGAUCAUAUCUCAAAUUACAUCGAUCGUAACACCGCAUAAAAUAGGUUCCAAAUCUGUCGAAAAAGUUAGGGGGCAUAUACAACUAUCACGAGCCUUGCCUGUGGCUUUUUAACCUGACAACUAUAAGAGCUCAAUGACAACAUAGACGAUGAAAUUAUAGUAGUGCAGCUUUUUAGUGGGAAGCUAAAUAUUUUUUUAUGGUCUAAACUAAGUAAAUUCAUGCAAUCCUAUAGUAGUGCAGGUUGUUACCUCGUGUAGUCUGUCUAAUCACACCUGUGCUGCUAGCAGUAGGAGGCGCAGGCAGCCGACAUGCUGUGAACCACACUUCGCUGUAACCUUGGCCCUUCAUAGAUAAACCACCAAAUGGAGCUGUUUUUAUUUGUAUCUAUACAAAUUGUCUUGUAACAAUAGUCAACAGGUUAGAAGGCGACAAACUCUUCUGCAAAUCAUGAAUGGAGCAAGGUAUGUAAUUUAUGGAAAGAAAAAAAAUAUGCACGGCAAACAAGGAUACAAACUAAAUCUAUGGAAAAUCAGGUAUCCAUAAAACAAAGAUCAUGAUCUAUAUAGCAGGACGUACAUGCAUUUGUUCCAAAAGUUUUCAUGUAAACUAAAAUCUUAGAUCAAACUACUCUUCAGAAGAACUAUAUAUGACAUACUAAUUAUUUUCCCUAUUUCCUUUCCGUACUGCUGUUACAUGUAUAUUUGAUCUGUAGGCACUGCAAAUUGCCUGCAUAUUGCCUAGGCAAUAGUACGCAUAGCAACAGAACUCAAACAACACUAAUAUUAGUAGACACAAUAGGUUGUAAUUAGACCAAAUCCGAGCAUUAAGGUAGGGUGUGGGUGCUCGGUUUUGCACUUUAGACAGGGAAGAGAAAGGGUUGCCGAACCUGGAGGUGGAAACGCAGAACGGCGCGGCCACGCAGCCGCCGAGGUGCGCCCAUGGAGGGGCCGCCGUGCUUGUGCACGGGCCAAGCGUGGGCUACGUACGACCUAGCGCCGGCGAGGCACCGGACCUCUGGUGUACCCACUGUCGGGUGCUAGGGCAAGCGCCCGUUGCUGGGAUUCAACCACGUGGAGGGGGAGGGAGAGGAAGGAGAAGUGGAGACGGUGGGGAAGGGAAGGACGGGGCGGCGAUGUGGCUCAGGAAGUGGCAGGUAGGGUUUCAGCGACAUGGCUGGGGGUGAUGAACCGAUGCACCGGUGCAAGACCCGGCGAGGGCCGCCAUGGCCCUACGCUUGCGGCGCGAGGAGGGAGGGUGUGGAGGAGGAUGAGGGUGGCCACCACCGCUCCGAGGGCCGGCCACCGCCGAGGUCACCUCGCCCCAUCGUCUCGGUGUUGUGGGAAGAGACGGAGGGAGCGAAGAGGACAGAGGAUGGGGAGAGAAGUUUCCUGAAGUCCUAAAGUAGGAGCAGAAGCCCUUGUAUAUAUUUGGUGGAUCGGAUUCAGAUGAGAAGCUGCAGAAGCUAGCAAAAUAAACAGAGAGCGACGAGGAUCUGCAAGAAGCCGAUUCUGACUGAAGCCGCUUCAGAUGAUCACAGCCACACGAUUCAAGAUCGGACGGCCACGGUAAUUUCGGGUGACGUGGACCCUGCUUCUCCUGGAAGCCGCCGGAUGGUUUAGGGGAGAAUUUCUUGACUAUAAACAACUAAUUAAGUAGGUCUUCUUAGUUGUAAUCGUUGAAACCUUAUUAGAUUGCAAACACCUGCAAAAACCUAAUCCCUCAUUUUAUUCACCAAGAUAAUACAAGAUCAUCCAAAUUGGCCAAACUUAGCGGCCUGAACACUGGUGGAGCCUCAUGGAUGCGAAGCUGGGCUGCUGACCCUUGCUGUCAAGAGAUUUCUGAAGACCAUGUAUGUACUCAGCUUUUUUUUUGCGAACUGUACUCAGCUUAUUUAGUACCAUAAACAUCAGUCUUAAACCAGAGCUCAUCCUUAAUUCAUCUCAUUCCUGCCUUGACCUUCAGCCAUUAUCGAUCUUCAUUAAGGGGACGUUUAGUUCUUCUUUUAUCCUAAAAUUUUUGGGUUUUAGCCCAUCAUUUUGUAUAAUAGAACUAAACAACAUGCAAAAAUUUUGACAAAAAUGUGACUAUUCUUCAUUUUGAAUUUUGGCCUCAAGAGGCCAAAAAAACCCAAAAGAGCCUCAUGAGGCUCUAAUGAAGACAAUAAAUUCUGUAUUUUUUAUGGAACUAAACAUAACCCUGAAAAUUUUAACAUUUUGCAUUUCAUUAUUCCAAAGUAGUUGGUAUUUUAUAUUUUUUGCAUUCUACGAAGAAUUAACACACCCUAAAAAAAUAUAUGGUACCCGUACGUGUCCAAAGCGCAUCACACUUAUGUGUGACUAGAGUAGACCAUUUUUUUGGUGACAUGUGUAAAUAAAUAAAAACCAUUGUAAAGUAAUGCAACUUUUACUUGUGUGGCAUCGAAUCAUCACAAUAUUUUUUGAAACUAAUCAUCACAAUUCGACACAACUUAUCCGCCGGAUAGAGCUUGUAUUAUAUUUGGUAGAUGGACAUUUUUUUUGGUGAGAGAACAUAUAAUUUAUAUAUGUUAGGUUUUUUUUUCCUGUGAGUAUAUAUAGGAUUUGAUUCUCCUAUGAAAAACAAAAUAAAAUUAAUGAAGUUCAGAAUCAAUUAUGGCAUGAACUAGAAUACCUUUUCAUAGUUAGGUCUCCAAGAGAAGCAAGAUCAGCUGUAAACAAUGGCCAAAAAAGAGAAAGGAUGAGACCUGUUACGUGGCAAAGGUCACUUUACAUUCAAUCAAAUAUUCCCCCAGAUCAGAUCAUCUUGUAGAAGAUAAGUAUAUGUAAAAACAUGUUUUUUUAAGAAAAGAAGAUCUUUUGCGUGGAAAAAAUAGCACAAAAUAACAUUAUUUCUAGGAAGGAUGAAAGGUCUGUUACAAGUUGGAGAAUAUUUUCUCGGUACAACAAGAUAUGGAGAGACUUGACUAGAAGUUUCAAAUUAGUGUGACACAACUGUAAAAUGUUAACAAACUGAAACUAUUGUCAAUAUAAAGUAUAAGUUCUUCAUAGUAAGUAGGUUCUACUACACAGAUUAUUUUUACAAUUCCCUUGCAUUUUUUAGGGGUGGUUGAUAUAGUAAACCACCUCGCUAUAUAAUUGUUAUGAUUUACAGUAGCAUAAAAACUGUCCCUAUAUAAACUAUUUCCAUGGUCGAUUAGCUUAAUAAAAUCAAUCUGCUCCUAAAAAUCUACCUAUUUUUAGGGCCAGUUGACAAAAGAAGCCACCUUUAAAAAUAUAGAUUUUUGUGAUUGGAGCGGCGGAGCUUGUUUAUGUCUACUGCCCCUAAAAAUAAAAGUAGGUGUAUUUAUAGGAACAAAAAAAAUCAUAUUUUUUCAAAUGAAGUUAUUAGAUGGAGACAAACAUUAUAUCAAAAUUAUAGUAGAGCUUAAUGAGACCGAAAAACUUUGUACUUGAUGAAUUUUGUAUUUGGGAUCAUUAUAUAGGACGAACUUUACAUUUUAAGUUUUUAGAUUUGAAAUUUAGAAUUUUGAAUUUUUCAAACGACCUCGAGUGCUCGAUGACGAGAUCAGCUGAGACUUUAUUUUUUUUCUCAUUUGAGAUUGACUAGGUGCCAACAUAUUUAAUAUAAAAUCUGUAGAAGUUUAUUCAAAAAAAAAAAUCAUCAUAUACUUGAUCAUAAGUGACACAAGGGUUCCCACACGAGGCAAAAGAUCCUAUAUUAGAAUCCUGGUGGA
RNAcentral lists this long non-coding RNA (507072 nucleotides) under Sorghum bicolor (sorghum). Its description in RNAcentral is "long non-coding RNA (SBIC_LNC011580)". The stretch from base 106630 to 106736 matches the Rfam family "MIR5565 microRNA precursor family". The record is from RNAcentral. Lineage: Eukaryota; Viridiplantae; Streptophyta; Magnoliopsida; Poales; Poaceae.